This 364048-nucleotide long non-coding RNA is filed under the name Triticum aestivum (bread wheat). RNAcentral's name for it is "long non-coding RNA (TAES_LNC002611)". The stretch from base 172132 to 172256 matches the Rfam family "MIR1120/MIR1122 microRNA precursor family". Lineage: Eukaryota; Viridiplantae; Streptophyta; Magnoliopsida; Poales; Poaceae. The record is from RNAcentral.
AAUAUUCUGCAACAGUUUCGACUGCAGGUAAUCAAGUUUCUCUACCAAUAAUGGGCCUUUUUGGCUCUCAGUCGAAUACCCUUUAGUGGUGUGCCACGGGAGCUCCAUUUCCCUUUGCGUGUACGCAACAGACUGCAAAGUCACAUGACCAAAUUAAAACUCACCGGAAUAUGGUCGCAUUAGAUUCGGCUGCCUUUUUCCAAUCGACGUAAACCGGCAGCGUCAAGAGGCAAUCACUAGCUAGGGUUUCUGAUGCCGUCAAUUCGUCGCCAUAUCUAAACAUCACACAGUAUGUAUUCCUUACUAAAAUGAAGGAUAGGAUAGGUAGCACUCGCCCUUAGCACGAGGAGGCAGGCAACAUCUCUGAAACCUCAAGAUACAGAGUGGUAUUCAGAGUUUAGAAAACAGAACAAAAGCAGAGGAAGCUAACUACAUGACAGAGCAGAGUUGAGAAAACAGAGCCACCAGAAAAAAAAUACCAAAUCGGUCAAAGAAAAAGAAUAGCAUCGCCAUCAGUGUCUUCCUCCAUCCUCUGUUCUGGUGAUGCAUCAAACCUCAAGCUACAGAGAAAAGAGAGCAAAAGCAGGCACAUAUUCAGAGUGGAGAAAACAGAGCAAAACAGAGGUUGCAACAUGCUUAGUUUAGAAAGCAGAGCUACACGCAAGCACAACUGCAGUCUGUAUCUAUAUAUAUAUAUGUAUCAGUUGUGAUUGUCCAUCUUUGUCCACUGCCUUCUGCCUUCACCCUCGCUUGCUGGAGCAAUCCAGACCAUGGGCUCAAGAGACAGAAUGAAUUGACGGUGUCCAUCAUCAAGGGGUCUUCGGCAGGUACAACUCAAGUACAUAUAUAGACCAUCAGUGUGCACUCAACACCACGCUGCAGAAACAGAGCACACAAGGCACAACCUACACUCUGUUCUGGUACCUUCCCAGCCCAUUAUGGUAACAUUAACCUCAGUUAAGGUACUGUACUCCACAAGGAAGACACGUAGAAAUAAAACUUGAGUUUCAAAGUUUCCUUGGCAACAUCCAAGGACUCUUAUUUGUUUGAAGGAUUAACAGAGCAGGAUAUACUCGUGCCUGCUACGGCCAGCAGGGAUGCAUAGAGCGAAUUGCUACUGCUUUUUUAUUAUUAUUAUUAUUUCGCCGAACCUGUAGGAAUUACCUCACAGAGUGUAAAUUGCUGCCACUUAAGUCCAGAAAGCAUGCACAAGGGAAAACACAAGAUCCUUCCCACAAUCAUUUCGCCUCAACGACAUCUUUCCCAGCACCUUUCUCAGGUCGUCCUGACCGUGUUUGUCCGUUCCCGCAUCCCUUGUUCCUCCCCUGCCUGUACAUAAUUAGGCAGUCCACCUAAAAGAAGCUAAACCUUUAAAGAUUUAUUUACCUUGAGAAAUAUACCUCCUCACUUAAUCUCAGUUCUACUCACAAGGUCAACAACAGAGGAUUAUGAGAAUUUAAGACACCAAAAACAGUACUUAGUUGAUGUAAUGAGACUAAUGUUUUCAAUAUCCAUUCUUCAUUUCCUAGCUAAUCUGGCUCAUGCAAAAGGAGUUCAAUCAGCUUACUUCUGUUGUUUUAUAGGUAAUCUGGACCAUGCAUCAGCGUAUUUGUGUUGGAAAAACAGUUAUGAUCUCUCCCCCAUGACGAUCUCUUAAGUGUUUGUGUUCCCAUUGCCUGUGUAUUUUUGCAAUCUGGUGUGUUUGUUACAAGCUCCAUCCGCAGCAUGGUGAGGGUGUUGCCACGUACUCCCUCCGUUCUAAAAUAGAUGACUCAACUUUAUACUAACUUUAGUACAAAGUUGGGUCAUCUAUUUUGGAACAGAGGGAGUACUUGUGUAUGGAGGAACAAAUAAAUUUUACUGCUUUCUCCAUCAAGUUACAUAUAUCUGAUGUGGGUAUGCUUGAUUGGAUUGGAUUGGAUUGGUGUGUGAUUGACAAGCAAGCGACACUUGAUUGCUUGCUUGUUUGGUUUCUGGCUCUAGCUUGGUGUGGUGUUCACGACCAAGAUGGCCGGCUUAAUUGUGUUGUUUUAUACUAAGAGCCAUAAGAGGGGUUGUUUGUGCCCAGCCGUGCAACCUAGCGAGGUGUGUAAUAAACUAUUACUACCCAUGAGUAUUUUGCGAUUGUACCAAAGAGUUUGAGUAGUAUUGUACUCCCUCCAUCGGAAAAUAAGUGACUCAACUUUAUACUAACUUUGGUACAAAAUUAGUUACGAAAUUGAGUCACUUAUUUUGAGAUGGAGGGAGUACUUGCUAUAUUCUUUUAGCAAUUUGGGGCCAACGCAUUUACUGUCGUUUCAUCUCCUUGCACGGAUCUUGGGGCAAAGCUAGUGACAUGUGAGGUUGUGUAUUCGUUCGCUGGGACGUCCUAACCAAGGGAAUGUUUUCAGCAUCCUUUUUNNNNNNNNNNNNNNNNNNNNNNNNNNNNNNNNNNNNNNNNNNNNNNNNNNNNNNNNNNNNNNNNNNNNNNNNNNNNNNNNNNNNNNNNNNNNNNNNNNNNNNNNNNNNNNNNNNNNNNNNNNNNNNNNNNNNNNNNNNNNNNNNNNNNNNNNNNNNNNNNNNNNNNNNNNNNNNNNNNNNNNNNNNNNNNNNNNNNNNNNUCCCGACGAGGUGUUGUGAGGUAUUCGGCAAUUCCAGGUGCGACCACCUCCAAGUGGAUGCACCGCGGCCAUCUCGAAGCGGUGCGAAGUGUGGCGAUUGACGGUGACGGUGCGGUGAGAGAGGAACAAGGUCUUGUUGAUAGUCAUGUGGCUCCAACUCCCGAGCAGCGCAAUGUAGGUGAAGAGGGGCCUAGCAGUCUGCACCGCGGCCACCUCGAAGCAGCAUGGUGGACGGGCGCUUGACAAUGAUGGCACAACCCUCCGCAUUGGAGACAUUGGCAGUGGAGGUCUCAAUCUCUCACCCCCACCCCCACCCGCUCCUGCGAUGUGCCCCGCAAGCGCGUCACGGGAGCUCUAGAUCCGCCGUCGGCGCAAGGCGCCCCCCCUCAUCCACCCCUCCACCUCACCGCUGCCGGAGGGCGUCCGUCGGGAGAAGCCCGUGCGGCGCUCGCAAUGGCGGGGCUACUCUCCUCCUACCCCUUGUCCGGAUCCCGGCGACGCGGGCUACGCGGAUGCGCGGAUUCGAUGGCUUAGUCCGGCGUGGCCUUGGACGCCGGGGAUGCGCGGAUUCGAUGGCUUCUGCACUGGGAGGAGGCGGUGCGGCUUCGCUGUGGUGGCGAUAGGGGUUUGCUCCAAUGGCGGCCGAUCUGGAUCCCUAUGGCCUGCGGGUGCUGCGGGGGGCUGCGGCCACCAUUGGAGAGGGUGCCUCCCCAAAUCGAUGUGGUGGUGGCGCCAGCGCUAUGGUGCGUCGUCUCGGCCUUGCUAGGCGGCGAGUUGGCAGUCAGCCGGGACCUGAUCUGAAGAAGAUGGAGGCUUCAUCGGCGCCUGUCCUCCUCUGCUGGACGGGCUGCGGGCCUCCCCGGGAUUUCUACUCAGCUGUUUAACCCCUAUUGCAAGCAUCCGCAACUACAAAAGAAGUAUUAAGGUAAAACUAACCAUAGCAUGAAACAGAUGGAUCCAAAUCAGCCCCUUACGAAGCAACGCAUAAACUAGGGUUUAACCUUCUGUCACUCUAGCAACCCAUCAUCUACUUAUUACUUCCCAAUACCUUCCUCUAGGCCCAAACAAUGAUGAAGUUUCAUGUAGUCGACGUUCACAUAACACCACUAGAGGAAAGACAACAUACAUCUCAUCAAAAUAUUGAACGAAUACCAAAUUCACAUGACUACUUAUAGCAAGACUUCUCCCAUGUCCUCAGGACCAAACGUGACAACUCACAAAUCAUAUUCAUGUUCAUAAUCAGAGGGGUAUUAAUAUGCAGAAAGGAUCUGAACAUAUGAUCUUCCACCAAAUAAACCAACUAGCAUCAAUUACAAGGAGUAAUCAACACUACUAGCAACCCACAAGUACCAAUCUGAGGUUUUGGGACAAAGGUUGGAUACAAGAGAUGAACUAGGGUUUUAGAGGAGAUGGUGCUGGUGAAGAUGUUGAUGGAGAUUGACCAGUUAUUAUUUAUUUCCUUAUAUCAUGAUAAAUGUUUAUUAUUCAUGAUAGAAUUGUAUUAACCGGAAACAUAAUACAUGUGUGAAUACAUAGACAAACAUAGUGUCACUAGUAUGCCUCUACUUGACUAGCUCGUUAAUCAAAGAUGGUUAAGUUUCCUAACCAUCGACAUGAGUUGUCAUUUGAUUAACGGGAUCACAUCAUUAGAAGAAUGAUGUGAUUGACUUGACCCAUUCCGUUAGCUUAGCACUUGAACGUUUAGUAUGUUGCUAUUGCUUUCUUCAUAACUUAUACAUGUUCCUAUGACUAUGAGAUUAUGCAACUCCCGUUUACCGGAGGAACACUUUGUAUGCUACCAAACGUCACAACGUAACUGGGUGAUUAUAAAGGAGCUCUACAGGUGUAUCUGAAAGUACAUGUUGGGUUGGCGUAUUUCGAGAUUAGGAUUUGUCACUCCGAUUGUCGGAGAGAUAUCUCUGGGCCCUCUCGGUAAUGCACAUCACUAUAAGCCUUGCAAGCAAUGUAGCUAAUGAGUUAGUUACGGAAUGAUGCAUUACGUAACGAGUAAAGAGACUUGCCGGUAACGAGAUUGAACUAGGUAUUGGAUACCGACGAUCGAAUCUCGGGCAGGUAACAUACCGAUGACAAAGGGAACAACGUAUGUUGUUAUGCGGUUUGACCGAUAAAGAUCUUCGUAGAAUAUGUAGGAGCCAACAUGAGCAUCCAGGUUCCGCUAUUGGUUAUUGACCGGAAACGUGUCUCGGUCAUGUCUACAUAGUUCUUGAACCCGUAGGGUCCGCACGCUUAAGGUUUCGAUGACAGUUAUAUUAUGAGUUUAUGAGUUUUGAUGUACCGAAGGAGUUCGGAGUCCCAGAUGAGAUCGGGGACAUGACGAGGAGUCUCUAAAUGGUCGAGACGUAAAGAUCGAUAUAUUCGACGACUAUAUUCGGAGUUCAGAAAGGUUCCGAGUGAUUCGGGUAUUUUUCGGAGUACCGGAGAGUUACGGGAAUUCGCCGGGGAGUAUAUGGGCCUUAUUGGGCCAUACGGGAAUAGAGGAGAGAGGCCGAAAGGAAGGAGGCGCGCAGCCCCCCUCUCGUCCGAAUUGGACAAGGGGUGCAGCCCCCUUUUCCUUCCUCCUCUCCCCCUCUUUCCCCCCUUCUCCUACUCCAACAAGGAAGGAGGGAGUCCUACUCCCUGUGGGAGUAGGACUCCCCUUGGCGCGCCCCUCCUAGGCCGGCUGCCCCUCCCCCCUUGCUCCUUUAUAUACGGGGGCAGGGGGGUACCCUAGGACAACAACAAUUGAUCCCUUGGAUCUCUUAGCCGUGUGCGGUGCCCCCCUCCACCAUAGUCCACCUCGAUAAUAUCGUGGCGGUGCUUAGGCGAAGCCCUACGACGGUAGAACAUCAAGAUCGUCACCACGCCGUCGUGCUGACGGGACUCUCCCUCGACACUCGACUGGAUCGGAGUUCGAGGUACGUCAUCGAGCUGAACGUGUGCUAGAACUCGGAGGUGCCGUAGUUUCGGUGUUUGAUCGGUCGGGCCGUGAAGACGUACGACUAUAUCAACCGCGUUGUUCUAAUUCUUCCGCUUACGGUCUACAAGGGUACGUGGACAACACUCUCCCCUCUCGUUGCUAUGCAUCACCAUGAUCCUUGCGUGUGCGUAGGAAAAUUUUGAAAUUACUACGUUCUCCAACAAUCAUGUUGCAAGUAAUCAUGUGAACUUGAUAUGUAUUCGAUAUUUUGAUAGUAUGUAUGUUGUGAUUCCCUUAGUGGUGUCAUGUGAACGUCGACUACAUGACACUUGACCAUAUUUGGGCCUAAGAGAAUGCAUUGUGGAGUAGCAAUUAGAUGAUGGGUUGCGAGAGUGACAGAAGCUUAAACCCCAGUUUAUGCGCUAUUCCGUAAGGGACCGAUUGGAUCCAAAAGUUUUAGUGCUAUGGUUAGAAUAUUAUCCUUAAUACUUUUCUCGUAGUUGCGGAAGCUUGCGGGAGGGUUAAUCAUAAGUAGGAGGUUUGUUCAAGUAAGAACAACACCUAAGAACCGGUCCACCCAGAUAUCAAAUUAUCAAAAUACCGAACAUGAAUUAAACCAACAUGGUAAAAGUGAGUAGAUGAAAAUCCCGUGUACCCUCAAGAACGCUUUGCUUAUCAUAAGAGACCGUAGCCUGUCCUUUGCCUUAAAAGGAUUGGGCUACCUUGCUGCACUUUUGUUAAUACUAUUGUUACUUGCCCGUUACAAAUUAUCUUGCUAUCAAACUACUCAGUUACUUGCAAUUUCAGCACUUGCAGACAUUACCUUAUUGAAAACUACUUGUCAUUUCCUUCUACUCCUCGUUAGGUUUGACACUCUUACUUAUCGAAAAGAGCUACAAUUGAUCUCUAUACUUGUGGGUCAUCCAGGCUAUUUUCUGGCGCCGUUGCCGGGGAGUGAAGCGCCUUUGGUAAGUGGAAUUUGGUAAGGAAACAUUUAUACAGUGUGCUGAAAUUUAUUGUCACUUGUUACUAUGGAAAACAAUCAUUUGAGGGGUUUGUUCGGGGUAUCUUCACCUCGACCGGAACCACAAUUAGCUACCCCUCAACCUACUGCACCUACUGAAAAUAUUGAAUAUGAAAUUCCUUCGGGUAUGAUAGAACGUGAUGCCUAUAUAAUGAUCAUUGUCAGGAUAUCGUUAUGAUUAUUUGAAGUUCUAUCAAUUGCCUAACAGUAAUUUGUUUACCUACUGUAUGCUAUUUUUUCGAGAGAAGCCACUAGUGAAAUCUACGGCCCCCGGGUCUCUUCUUUAUUGUAUUUGCCUUCGCGAUCUAGUUUUAUUUUCUUUUAUUUUCAGAUCUAUUAAUCUAAAAACCAAAAGAUAUCUCGUUGAAUUUUAUUUGCUUUUAUUUGCUUUUAACAAUCUAUCACAACUUUUAUCCCGUCUACUUGCCAAUUUCUGGCGCCGUUACCCGAAACGGAUUGACAACCCCUUUAAUACGUCGGGUCGCGAGUAUUUGUUAUUUGCGUGCAGAUGCCAUUCACGUAGUAUUGCGUGGUUCUCCUACUGGUUCGAUAACCAUGGUCUCGUCAUUGAUGGAAAUACCUACCAUUGUUGUGCUGCCUCAUCCCUUCAUUUUUGGGGAAAUACGGACGUAGUUCAAGCAGACAUUAGUCGCCUCCACGCCGAUAGGCCUGCUGCCUGCACUGGGGGACGGCGGUGCCGGCUUCUUCCACCUCGCCCACAAGGUGUUCGAUGUUUCGUCGGGAAGGUACAAAUGGAUAGUGGAGAUAAGGACUUUUUCAUGAACUUCAUUUGUGAUUCCGACGAUUAGUCGUCGUCAGACGAUUCAACUACAAAAUGAGGCUCUUUUGGGGUGAUUUGGUUGCAUAUGUGGGCUCACCUUGGCAACCAAUAGAUAUAUUGGCUCUUUUCUUUCAAAUGAAUAUGUGGCAAUUUAUAUUUCAUUUGGUUUGUAAAUCAUGAGACUUUUAUUUGGUUAUAAAAAUAUGACAUUUUUAUUUAAUUAUGAAAUAUGCGAACUUCGGGCAAUCUUUUCGAUAUGUAUGCAAAAAGGGUGCAAAAAUAUGGCUGCAUGCCGACCCACCGAAGAAAAUGUAUUGGUGAGUUGGGCGCAUAGAUCCAUCCAAACAUGGAAGGGGACGGAUGCCGAUCCAAACGGAUAAAAAGCGGACAAACUGCGUGUCCGUUCACGUUGGUGCCUUGGAGUUGCUCUAAGCAUAAGCAUGCGAACCUUGCUUUAUCCUUGUCGUGUAGAAAUGGGUGGUACGUGUGUAAACUAAUCAGCACAUCGGUGGUGGAACAUUGAUACUACUAACUAAAGUAAAGUAGAGAGUCGUGCCGAAAGCUGAAUCGUUCUCCAAAAAGGACUUUUGACGAGAAUAUAUAUGAUGCAAAGGUGGGAUGAAAAGUCAUACAAAAAGUCGUGUUAACGGGAAUAUAUAGAUGAUAUUGGAAGAAUUCGUUGGAUAUGAGGCAUAUAUCAUCCUAGUGGGGAAAGCAUAAAAUUCCUUCAUUAUUGUACCACAUAGAUUCCAACAGCAACAGCCAACAAGCUAGAUAGCUUGUCCAUCUAGUCUAGCUAUAAGGACGCGCGCAGGAGGACACAGCUAGCCACUCCCCCUUGCCACACAAAGAAAAGAAACACACUCAUUUUAUCUCAACCGAGCAACCAGCUACCGAGAGAGAGCCAUGGACCUCGCAACGGGGGCCAUGGGUAGUCUGCUCCUCAAGCUUGGCGAACUCCUCAAGGAGGAGUACCACCUCCAGACCAGCGUCAAAAAAGACGUCCAGUAUCUCGAGAGAGAGUUGAUGAGCAUGCAUGCUGCCCUCCGCAAGGUUGGGGACGUGCCACGGGAUCAGCUCGACGAACAGGUCAAGCUCUGGGCCGAGGAGGUCAGGGACAUGUCAUAUAAAAUGGAGGAUAUCGUCGACAAGUUCCUGGUGCGUGUCGAGGGCACUGAGCAUGCCGUCAAGCCACGCAAGCUCAAGCGGCUCAUGAAGAAGAUGGGCGGCUUGUUCACCAAGUUCAUGACAUGCCAUGCCAUUGGUGACAAGAUCAAAGGAAUCAAGGCCAGUGUCCAGGAGGUGGCUGACCGGCGUGACCGGUACAAGGUCGAAGAUGUGGUCCCUAAUCCAGCUGGCCUAGCCACGGUCGACCCUCGCCUAUCGGCUCUUUACAAGGACCGGAAAGAGCUAGUUGGCAUUGAUCAUUCAUUGAAUGAGCUAACCAAGAUGUUGAGUGAUGGGGAUGGUGAUGAAUCCAAGCGACUCAAGAUACUCUCUAUUUUUGGAUUUGGAGGCCUUGGCAAGACAACUCUUGCCAAAGCGUUGUAUGAUAGGCUCCAAGAGGAAUUCUAUUACAGCGCUUUUGUUCCCGUAAGACGGAAUCCUAGUGUGAAGAAACUUCUCAAUGACAUUCUCUUUGCAAUUAAAAAGCAAAUGUACCCGGGAUUGGAUGAAAGGCAGCUUAUUGACGAACUCCGAGGAUUACUUGAGAACAAAAGGUACCCACCAUAUUAUGUAAUUUGAAAUUCAUCAAGUAGUAAAUGAGAAAGUUACUGCCAAAAAUAAGAAGAGUGAAUUUGACACGAGCCAUAAUCUUUUUUUGAGAUAUUAUACAUUUGAGUUUGGAUAGAAUAUGCUAGUUCUAUUUUUUAAAUAUAGUAAAAAUACCAUGUUUCCUUAACUUCUUUACUAUCAUUUGGGUCGAUAGCUAGUGACCACUGGAGUAUUUUAGGACUUCCUAAAAUAAGUGUGAACAAAAGAUAUGUAAUUCAUAAAUUCUUUAAUUUGAGAAAUUUGAUUUAUCGAUGAUGAAUGAAAUCAAACUUGUGCAUGUCUCUGUCAUGAACUUGUCCUUAUUCCAAAUGUGGAUUCCUUAAUGAGGAGGCUAGCUUUCCUACAUCCUCUUUUUUAAGGUAUUUUACAUACUUUGGCACCUUGCAAAAUAGUUUUGCUAAUUUAUGACAACCCUUGUGUUAUGAAUGAAAAUUACAGGUACUUCAUCGUUAUUGAUGACAUAUGGGAUACACAAACAUGGGAAAUAGUUAAGCUCGCUUUGGUGUGUAAUAAUUGUGGAAGCAGGAUAAUUACAACUACUCGUAUACUCGAAGUUGCCACAAUGACUGGUGAAGUAUACAGGUUACAACCGCUUUCCCAUGAUCUAUCCAAGGAUUUAUUUCAUAGAAGAUUAUCUUGUGGUGAAAUAAAACAGCCAAGUCAUCUUCCAGCAGAGGUAUACAAUAAAAUUCUACAUAAAUGUGGUGGUGUACCAUUGGCUAUAAUCACAAUAGCUAGUUUGCUCAUCAAUAAACCAGUGGAGCUUUGGUCCAAGGUAUACACCUCAAUGGGUUUUGGGCAUGAAGAGAACAAAGAUGUGGAUAACACGAGGAAAAUACUUUUAUUUAGCUAUUAUGAUCUACCUUAUCACCUAAGGACUUGCUUAUUGUAUCUGAGCAUAUACCCGGAAGAUCGUCUGAUUGAAAAAGAUAGCUUGAUAUGGAAGUGGGUUGGCGAAGGUUUCAUCCACGACAAACCAGGGGUAGGACUAUUUGAGAUUGGUGAGAGGUACUUCAACGAGUUGGUGAACAAAAGCAUGUUAAUGCCGGUAGAGACCCCACAAUAUCAUGGCAUCAUAACUGGGUGUCGUGUCCAUGACAUAAUACUUGAUAUGAUAUGUCUAUUGUCAAAGGAAGAAAACUUUGUUACUGUAUUGGAUAAUAAUGAGCAAUAUACAAAUUCACAUUGCAAUGAUCGUAGGCUAGCUGUUCAACAAAGCUUCAAACCGUUGGCUAGCACUUCUACAUUUCAAGCAAGGUCACUUAAUGCCAUGUGCAAUGCUAAGAUGUUGCCAUCACUUUCAUGCUUUGAAGUUUUGCGGGUCCUAGCUUUGGAAGGCUCAGCUAGUUCGCACAAUCCUAAUUAUCUUGAGCUUGUUGGAAAGUUAGUUCACUUGAGGCACCUCAAAGUAGCUAGCAUGGGUAUCCGUAAGCUCCCAAAGGAAAUAGGAAAUCUGAAGUUCUUGCUAGUAUUGGACUUGGGUGGAAACAGCGUAAGUAAACUUCCACAGAGUGUUGGUUGACUAAGUCAACUCAAGUUCUUGAACAUCAGUGAAACAGACAUUGAAGUGCCAAAUUGGAUUGGGAAUUUGACUUCUCUGGAAGAGCUAUGCCUAUAUAAAGUUGAUGAGCACUCGAACUUUGUGAUAGAGCUGUCCAAGUUGACAGAGUUGAGGAAGCUCCGCGUUUCUAACACUUUAGAACUGUGGACUGACAGUGCAAGGAAUGCUUGGGCAGAGUCUAUAGCUAAACUGAAUAAGAUCCAAACCAUUGACAUUAAUCUUAUUGCCUCGUUUAGAAUUCCUGCUGAUGAGAGCACCUGGGAACGGUAUGCCCUCUGUCCACAACUCCGUGUUCUACACAUGGCCUACGGAGAACCUGGGCUAGUGGCAAGGAUCAAUCCCCGUCUUCUUCCGAACCUCUCCCAUUUAGAACUAUUUGUAUGCACCUCGGAACUGGAGGUCUUUGGAAAUUUCCGAGAGCUUGUUACCCUGAAGUUGUGCUCGUGGUCAGCUCUCCACCAUGACACCAUGGGUGGUGCAGGUGCUUUCCCCAAGCUAAGGGUAUUCAAGACAGAAGCAACGAUUGGCUCAUUUUUAAAGGGAGAUAUGCCGAUCCUUGAAUCUCUCCAGUUUCGCGUUGUAGCCCAAUCCAAUGGUGAUGGCGUUAGCUUUGACUUUGACUUUGCUAGCCUAGGGAACCUCCCUUUGCUUCAGUUUGUCAAAGUCUUUUUACUUGCCCAUCCUGCGGACCACAAGAAGGCUGAGGAAACGGUGAGGCGUGCAAUUGAUAUGCUUCCCAACCGUCCCAGCCAUCGUAUCCAUUCAUAUGAUAUAAUAAUAAAUAGGAGGUAAGUACAUGUAUAUAUCAUUCAGGAUCGCUGAUCUCAACGGGCAGCUAGCCGUGUAUCUAACGGAUCUUCGUUUUUAAUUUCUUUUUCCAGCUAAACUUAUUGAUCUAAGCUAGCGGGUAUCUCGACAGCAAUCAAGGUACAUAUGUACGCUACCUAUCUAUCUAAGCAGUAACUUUUCCAAUCCAAAAUAAGUGUCGUAGUUUUGAGUUGAGGUUAUUUCAAAACUGGGACACUUAUUAUCUGCACGCCUUGUCUUUCUUUUCUUUCUAGAGUAAAUAACAUCAAUUGCAUGAAGAUCAACUGUAAAAAAAAAAGCAGUUCCAAUCUGAAUGCACGCUACAUAUAUCGUUCUCAUCAUUUUAAAAUAACCAUGCAUACUCCACAUGUCUGGUUUCUGAGAGUCACUUCAUACAUGUAGGCUGGCAGUAUUAACCAAUCACCGCGGAGAAAGAAAGAUAGUGAGAGACUUCCCUUUGUUUGCUCUAUGUAUUGUCUUUGGAAGCAAACAAAAAAACAUAUCUUUGCUUUGUUUUCUUUUGUAGCAAAUUGAAAAAAAAAUGGAAAGCAAAACAAAAGUGUCUCUUUGCUAUGUUUCUUUUGUAGCUAAUGAAAAAAUCACAAAAAAAUGAUUGUUUUACUGUCUUUUGUAGUAAUAAAGGAAAAAGAGAAUCACAAAAAUAUGUUUAUUUUGUGGAGUCUAGUAGUAUGUUAUUUGGUGGUUUAGCUAGGAGAAAAAAAAUCCAAAAAACUUGUUGGGUUCUCGUACCAUUUGUGUGUUGUGUCUUCCUGUGUACAUGCGUAUGUGUUUUGCAGGUACGUUUUGUGUGUAUUUUCUGGGGGGUUGGUUAGGAGGCAGGUGCGUGUGUCNNNNNNNNNNNNNNNNNNNNNNNNNNNNNNNNNNNNNNNNNNNNNNNNNNNNNNNNNNNNNNNNNNNNNNNNNNNNNNNNNNNNNNNNNNNNNNNNNNNNNNNNNNNNNNNNNNNNNNNNNNNNNNNNNNNNNNNNNNNNNNNNNNNNNNNNNNNNNNNNNNNNNNNNNNNNNNNNNNNNNNNNNNNNNNNNNNNNNNNNNNNNNNNNNNNNNNNNNNNNNNNNNNNNNNNNNNNNNNNNNNNNNNNNNNNNNNNNNNNNNNNNNNNNNNNNNNNNNNNNNNNNNNNNNNNNNNNNNNNNNNNNNNNNNNNNNNNNNNNNNNNNNNNNGCUAAUAAUGAUAUUUCACUUCAUGUUGCAUAGCCGGUCCCAAGCCCGGAAAAAGGAGGAGGGGCCAAACUACUAUUAAUUACGAAAUCUCGUGACCAUUUUAUGUUCUGAUAGACGAUUGUAACCUUUAUUUGUAGCAUUUGCUCUUUGUUUUCUUCAAAAAAAAUUGAUCAAGUGUAUAACAUAUCAUAGUUUAACAUAUAUGGUGGUUCAACUUUGACUAGUUUGCAACAUUCAGGGGACAAGUUUUGUACAAAAUCAUUACCCAAGGAAGAAGAGACCACUUGGGUUCCUUUGUAGGGCUUCUCUGCCAAUAUAUAGGAGUGAUGUCUUAAAGGGUGAAAGAAAGUACAUAUCAGGUAUGCCAUGUUUGUUUUCAAUACCCAAGCCUAAAGUCACAUUUAAGUCUCACGAAAGCAUCAGAGAUGCGUGCGAGCAGUUUCUCUUAUUUUUUGUACCCAAAGUUGGGGAGACGAUAAUCCUCAAAUGCCAUUGGGAUAGUUUGCUAGAGCAUAAAAUAGAUCGAGGUAGAAAAUGUUGAUGAAUUAUAUGCAGAGCUCGUCAGCGGAGUUGUAUAAUAACCAAGUAAAGGAUUCUGUAAUGGAGAAUUAAUGCUCCUGAAGGUGCCCUUGCUAAGAUUUAUGUUUUUCAGUAAAGGGUGUAUUUUAUUAACUCAUAAUUUCGCAUUAAGAGUAUACAAAGCAUCAUGAACUCACACCUGGCCUUUGUAUAACUAGGAUGGACACAACCAACACUCGCACUCACACAAAAAAGGGGAAAUGAUGUCGCCUCCAAAAUCCUGUCGAAGUGAACUGUAACAUGCAGCAAAACCAUCAACAUCAACCACCACCGAUAAUAGCACCCCCAACAUAGGGAAAGUGCUUCAACAACAGCGCCUUUAAGAAGGAAACGGCACGCGAGCGCCACCAUCGCCAGAUCCACCCACGAAAGGUUAAUCUUGGAUUUUCACCAAGAAGAGGAAGUCUUAGCAAACUUCAAAUGAUGCCUUGAACAAAGGAAUGAUGUAAGAACAACACCGUUGCUAGGUACAACUAUCCUGCCCUGCAUCGAACCCUUGAAGUUGAGAAUAUGCUCCUCUUCCUUCUCCAUUCAUUCAUGGAUGAUCAUCAUCACCAUCUAGUCUUCAUCUCCUCCGUCAUCGCGGUACGAAUCCGAGUCAUCGAUGAACUCCUCGAAAAUGAACUGUUCAAGCUUCGAUUAAGCAAACUCAUCCUCUGACGAAUCCAUUGUUUGCCUACAAAUAAGCAAAACAACCUAAAAAACAGCUCCGACAUUUUGUCAAACGCAUGUGUGCGAAGUGUAUGUCAGGUGGAGUAGGACACACCUGUGCGAACGAGGGACGGUGUUGUGGGAACGACAAAGCUAUGGUGGGGAAGUAGGACGGUCAAGGGACGUGGCGGACGAGAACAAAACAGAAAGAUGACAGGUCGGGCGAUGGUGAAGAUCGAUUUGGGGGGAUCUGGCAUGGGUCCGGCAUAUUGUGACCGACGUGACAAACAUGUCCGCAUGACCCCAAAUAUGCCCCACCUAUGGGCUAAGUUUUUCUUUCUGAACACAGUACAAACACAUGUGCUCAUAUACAUGCGCAUACACUCACCCCUAUAAACACACACACGCACACCCUAUCCCUAUAAGCUCCUCCGAAAGACUGAGCUGGCAUAUCAUCUUGAAAUUUACAAAGUCACCACCCGCCGUCGACGGAAACGUCUCCUCCCACUGAAUGCGCAUCGCCAGAAAUCACUUCAGGAAUAAAUUUGAGCACCAUGAUUUGAACCCUGGUGGAUGGCGUGAAAUAUGCCCCACCUAUGGGCUAAGUUUGAAGGGUGUCCAGUAUAGUGCACCGAAAGAAUCUGUUUUGGGGACGUGGGUUGGCUAAAAGAUGGAUGUUGACACUUGACAGAUUUGUCAACUUGUCCUUCUGCUUUUUCGAAUUCAACCCGCACAGCACAACGCAGGUUGCUCUCCCCCUCCUCGCCCUUGCUCACGCGCUCCACUCCACGCUUCCACACAGGAGAAAGGCGUGUUGGUUGGGGCGACUAGACGAGAGGAGGAUUCGGACACCGUCUUCACCAUGCUCGACAACCCAGCCGACCUCGCCCGCGCGUCCGCUACCCUCUUCAGCAUGCUCGACGACCCGGCCGACCUCGCCCGCGCAUCCGCCGUCUCCCGCUCCUGGAGGCAAUUCGGUGCGUACCAAUUCCUCUCUCUUUCUGGAUCUGACCUACGCCUCCCUCUCCCUUCCUAUGCUCUAGCUGCUCAACAGUACCGAUCUCCGAUCCAUUAGAGCACGUAAUCGCCCAGGCCACCUGCUGCUGAUUUGCUAAUCUGCUACGCUACCUUGUACUAUCUGUUCUGAAUUCUAAACUGAAUCUCUUCUCUUAUCCAGUGAUCGCCAACCAGUUGAGCAAGCUGCAGUGCCUGCGGGCCUUCCCGGAGCUCUUCGCCUUCACGCACGUCGACGUCACCACCACAUCCGGCUACAGCAGCAGCAGCCUGGAUCAGCCCCACCGGGAACACAGGGUGUACACGCACCUCGCCCAGGGCCUCCUCUCGGAGUACAAGCCCAGGGACUGCAUCAUCCACUGCAUCGGCGCUUCCACCACCGACAGCUUCCCGGAGGAGAGCAUCCAGAACACCAUCGAGCCCGUCGACCCCGUCGAGGUUAGGCCCUCCUACUGGUCCAGCCGCAGCAACGGGGAUCCCGACGCGCCCGAGUGCCUCAUAUACAGGCUCCAGGCGGAUCUCUGCCUAGUCGAUGAGAUCAAGAUGCAGCCCUUCAAAGGUUUCUUUGUUUCUGUUCUGUAUGGAGCAAAAGAUAAAUAAAAGAAUGACAUAAGGUGCCUCCUGUCCUGUGUUAAUUAUCUUUAUUAUUUUGCAGCAUUUUUCCAGCUUGGUGACCCCAUAUAUUCGGCAAAGAGCAUCCAGUUCCAGAUGGGCUAUCCAAGGUCACCUCUACGCCCUGAAGCACUUGUCUCCGAUGAAAAUGAAGGGCAGUUGAUUGAUGACAGAAACUAUGUCUGGACCUACACAUCUCCACAAUUUCCAAUGCUGCAGGUCAGUUGAAUAGUACAUAAUCAUAUUCAGAGGCUCAUUAUUUUUACUCGCUGAACACAGAAUCUUGUGCUUGUGCAUAAAUGAGCCAUACAGCUGAGCCAGAACUUUCUUGAAAGGCCCAACAUGAAGAAACUGCAUUUGAUCAAUAUAUAUAUAUAUAUAUAUAUAUAUAUAUAUAUAUAUAUAUAUAUAUUGUACCAGUGUUCUAGACGUGUUUAUUACAAAGCUCACUUGGAUUUUGUUUAAUAGUAAUAUCUACUCCCUCCGUCUCACAAUAUAAAAUCGUUUUUUCAAGCUAACAUAGCAUGCAAAAACGAUCUUAUAUUGUGGGAGGGAGGGAGUAGAUCUUUGUAGUCCCCUUGUGCCGUAAACCUCUCGAGUAAGUAACAUGAUGUGUGAUAUUUCAGGAAAAUGUUCUGCAAUCCUUCAAGUUACCAUGCCCGGUUCUUUGUAUUGGUGGGGUGGUGAAGGUUGAGCUUCUUGGGAGAGCUCAGAAGCAGGAACUUGAUGGCCUCUACUACGUAUGGUGAGUUCUUGAGCUACUUUAAUUGGAGAUAGGAACUACUACUCCCUCUAUCGCAUAAUAUAAGAGCAUUUUUUACACUAGUGUAGUGUCAAAAAGGCUCUUAUAUUAUAGGAAGGAGGGAGUACUAUAUUGUUUUGCUCUGAACUAGCAAAGUGGCCCUCGCAAAUGCGAGGGCAUCAUCUUUAGUGCACCGGAAUCAUUAAAGUAUUUAUUUAUAUUAUAUGUAGAGUUUUUUUACUGGCAUUUAGUCACUUGUCAACAAAAAAAAUUCUAUGUAUCUCGUCUUUAUUUCGACACACCCGCCUUACUUUUCAUAAGCCGAGUACUAUUUUUUGUGUUGUGUUUUCGGUUAGAUGCACGGCUUAGAUGCAUGUGAACUGAGAACCCGUGUUUUGACACUUGGUGUACAUGUUAAUACUCUGUAGCGUGUGAUUUUUCUAUAAUGAUUAAUUAUCAAAAACAUAAGUUCAUAAGAUCAGUUGUUUAAAUGUUAAGAACUAAGAUGUUUAUGUCAAUUUAACAUAUACUUGUUUUUAUAGUUCAGUCAGUAAUCAAGAUGUGCAUUUAAAGUUGUUUUGUGUGCGAGAUCUGCUUAAGUGCAAGGAUGAAGAUAUAGCUAUAGUACGUUUCAACAAACAUGAAAAUUUGCCGGCUGUGAUUAUAAUGAGAUACGAAUAUCUACUUGUUAUGCUAUGUUUCAACAAACAUGAAAAUGUAAGUAUGUGGUCUGUUUAGAUACGGUUAUGUAGAUCUAGCUAUAGUAACGUAUGAAGGAAUAAACAAUAGAAUACCAGGUAAACCCAAGUAUGUGGCAGUACCUGUAGGAAAUGGCAACAUAAAAAUUUCCAUUGGAAGGCUCUAAAAUUUAAUGACGAUGUUGGUUGGUCAUGAAGGAGCAUAAAUGUAUAAACAAAAAUAAUAAGCUCCUGAGCACCGGGUUAAAAAUUCUAUAGACUGGUCGGCUUUAUACCAAUGGGUUAUACUUAACAUUGAUACCCUAUAUCAUAUCUGACUUUUGAAAGCACUUAUAGAUGAAAAUAUGUGCAAUGAAAUAAUAAAAUCAAAAUUUCUGCAUGUAUGCAACACAUAUUAUUCCCAACGUGAACACUACAUGGUCGCGAUCACAGUAUGACAUGACAAUUGGAUUCUAAUGCAUCAAUAUGCUUUUGCAUCUUAGUUGUGUCUCAAUAACUGUUCAUGUCGCUUUUCCCACCACCAACAAAUUUUUUCAAAUGCUGUAUUUGGAAGCUGAUGGACCAUCACGUCCACAGAGAAAAAUUGUGGAAAAGAAGAUGACGGAGUAUCAUGAAGCCUUGGAUGUGUAGCAUCGUUAAGUUGAUACUUAUUUGAAAUUCUGUUUUACAAUUCAAAUUGAAAGAUGUGUACAUGCGUUUAAAAAAUGUACUUAUUCAUCGAAAUUAUUUCAUUACGUAUAGUACUAUUUUCGACCACUGAACCUAUCCAAACAGUGAUCUUCUAGGAUUGUAAAUAGAAGGUAUACUUACCAUGAUGUUUAAUAGGAAAGAAAUUAGGAUUACUUAUGCUUGGUUAUGUCAAGUGAAUAGGAAGAUAUCAUAUAUAUCAUGCAUAUCGCUUCAGCAUACAGAAAUUUAUGAGUUUCUGCGUAUCAAGUUUAACUGCCAUCAACACUUCUAAAAAAGCCCACUUGAAUGUGAAGUAUUAUCUCAUGUGUGCAAUACCUGAAAAGAAGAGCUUUAAUGCAACAUUAACAUUCGUGCAGUAGCCUGGCCUGGACACACGGCACAUCGUGUGACAUCUCUGAUCAAGUGCACGGCAGAUCAACAUAGAAGCAACAUGUCAUGCAUGAAGGUAGUCAUCCACCGUACAUGCUGCAGAUUUUCGAAAAAAACCAAAUUAGUAGGACAUAAAAACCUAGAUAUCUGCUGUUAUUGUUGCAAUAAGGUUGUCGUUCACGUACACAUUAUAUAUUUUCUGAAAUAGAAGGACGAAUAAAAAUAACUAAAUAUCUAGUGUAUCGGAAAAUAUGUGUUAGUUGUAAUUCGUAAGUACGGAUGCUUACCUUCAUCAGCUGGGACAUGUGCACACGGGCAUGCAGCAAGUCAUCUUGCCUGAUGUCGUGGACGUGCAUGCAAGAAUAGAACACAUGCAUUCUACCUUUAUUUGUCCGAUACCGAUCUGCAUAGUUUGGAGCCCGUCAACAUAUGUGCCAACCGAUCUACUCAUAUUAAGUUAAGGCACAUGAUGCCGUUAGAAUCCUAGCUUUCAUUCAUCUAGUUGGUUUAAGGGAACUGGGCUCCUGCCGUCCAUGCAUCCGUACUUUCAUUCCUCCAGUGUGGUGCCAUGAGUUUUCAUGUCCUCUAUAGCUUUAUAUCGCUGGAAGCAAAACACCAUAUAAUCUGCUAAUGCGGAGGCAUACACCAGUGAACCGACAGUCAUCAAGCUAAACAUGUAAUGCAGAUUGGACGUUUGUCUGUGCAUCGGAACUUUUUUUUAAAGAACAGGGAGGAGACUCCCCGGUUACAUUAACUCGAAUCAAAGUAAAUCUUUCUUAGAUGUCCUGAUCCUCACUACCUUGUUCUUCCAUGGAUGUCCGUCAUCUAUCCUCUGCAGCAGUACGGGAGUAAACGGGAGGCUUCCACCGACAAUCUCAUGUAGUUUCUAGGAUACUCAUCCAAAAAAGCACCUUUGAUCUUCCAUGGUAGGAUGGGAAGAAAAGAGGAGUUUCUUCCCUGGAUGUAUAUGUAAGUAGUAGGUCAAGAUGUCUCCAUGCGUGAGGGGGAUUCCUUUCUCUUUUUUUUUUCUUCCUAUGAUGGAUACGUGAGGGUUUAGUUCUAUCCCCUGGAUGGAUGCGUGAGGCAUCCAUCAGGUUGCGUGAGGGGGAUUUUUUUUCCUUGGAUUGAUACGUGAUAGGUUAGGUCUUUCUUCCAUGGAUGGAUUUGUUAGGAGUCCACCAGGUUACGGGCAUCUAACAACCCCGGUUUAUUAACUAAUAUAAUAUCUAUUAAAUCAAUGGUCAGAUAUAACUAAUUAUUGUGGGAUUUUCUAGUCCAAUUCUCUUUUUUCUGGUUAGCCCGUAAAGCACUUUUUAUAUAUAAUAGAUAGAUAAUCAUUUGCACUGAUAUUAAUAAUCAUGUACUUUUUGUUCCAGUGUGUCUCAUGUCCAAAUACUGGGGAAGCCACUGUCACGAGAGCUCGGGGUCGUUCCUCGUGGGAACGGCCUAGUCCUGAAUUACUAUCUGGAUCCCCGUACAUGUGGCAUUCCCCGCUGUGAGUCAUCAGGGGAUGAUGCCGCAGCAGAUGGCAUAGCUUGGCGUCGAACAUCUGGCAUUCUAGAAUGGCGCGAGGGAGUGGAGGGCUGAACCAAACGCUGUUGAGCAGCCUGCUCGGUGCUCCGUUGCAGCUUGUGGUCGUAGCCGACGCAUCAGAGGAGGUGGAUCUUCCUUAGAAGAAGAGCAAUAAUUGUGUUUUUUUGGAUUUGAUCCUGGAGAAAAGAAACAUAUGAUAAUUACUGCUACAUACAUAUAAGACUGGCUGCCCUUUGUGGUGCUGUUUGAAAAGUAUUUUUCUUGUAACAGAAGACAGCACAAUGAGAUGCAUCCAAUCAGCUCACCUGUAGCCAGAUCAAUGUCACUGUUGUGAUUGAUUAUUACCUAGUCAGAGAAAAUCAUCUCUUCAAUCAAAGAAUGAGUGAAUAAGAUUAUGUCAAUAUCUUCAGUCCAUUUGGAUAUGCAAAUUGAAUGGAAAAAAAUAUGAAAGCACCUACUGGAUGUAGAUAAUAAUUAAUAAAUGAAUAAAUUCAUCAGAUCAAUGCUGCUGUUGUUUAUGUUCUAGCUAUGGAAAAUAUAUGUGUGAGCCUCUUUGAUCUGUGCGUGGUUUAGCAUCUCACAGAUGUUGUAGCAGGAGCUGGCAUGAGAGACAAAGAUUCCAUCAAAGACUCUUGCACUCCUGACCCUCCAAAGCUCAGCAGCACAAGCGGCUAUAAUAACCAUCCACCAACGAUCUUCACACAACAACUUUUCAAUGAACUGCAACACCGAGAAAUCCUCGGUGGUACUAUGCAGGACACCCAGCCUGUCCCAAAUCUCAUGAGCCAGGGCACAGCGUAGGACUAAUUGAUCCGCAGUUUCAGCUCCAGGGCAUCUAUACCUAUACCUAUGUAUCUAUAUUUAUAUCUAUAUCUACACCUAACAAUAAAGGGGCUAUUGCUUCUGACAGCACAUCAUCGAAAUUGCCUCCAAAGUUGUAAAAUAUUACCCACGGAUGCCACCAAUAAGUAAUUAAAAACAUUUCACACACGGGAAUGCCCGCAUGUGCUGGCUCAUGCAGUACGAACCUUAUAUACUACGCUCUGCACGCUCGGAGAAGAUACAGGGCGCCUCUUUGGGCCGGCCCUUGUCCGGGCAGCCUGUUUUUUAAAUUUCGUUUUCCCUUUUUAGUCUUUGUUUUGUCCUACUUCAAAUAUUUUGUGACUUCAAAAAAGUUCCAUAAAUUUCAAAAAAUGAGAAUUUUUAAAUAAAUCUAUCAUGAUUCAUAAAUGCUUGUGGAUUCAGAAAAUAUGCUCUUAAAAAAUGUUCGCAAUUUUUAAAACAAAUGUUCUGGAAAUAAAAAAUGUUCAUUAUUUAAAAAAAUCAUGUACUAAAAAAUUAAAUAAAAUUGAAGAAAAUUUCGCCAAUUCAAAAAAUGUUCAUGAAUUGAAAAUAUACUAAAAAUUCAAAAACUGUUCGUGACUUACAAAAAAGUUUAUUGAUUCAUAAAAUGUUCGCUGAUUCAAGAAUAUAUCAUGCAUUUCAAAAAUUGUUCCACCAAUUUCCAAAAGAAUGUUCGUCCAUUCUAGAAACGUUCACCGAUUCAAUAAAAUUGAUAAAAAAAUGUUUGCAAAUAGUAUAAAAUUUUCAUAAAUUCAAAACAUGUUUUUGAUUUUCGAAAAUGUUAAAAAUUUCUAAAAAUGUUCAUGGAUUUAAAAAAUGUUCACGGUUUCAAAUAUGUUCAUGAUUUUAAAAUAAGUUCAUGAUUUCAUGAAAUUUAGAGUGAUAGUGUAUUUCGGUGAUGCAGCAAAAUGUGAUCAUGGCCAUUGAAGAUUAUGAUUUUUUUUUCUCCCGUUGCAACACUGCCCAAUGUGCCAUCACCUACUGAUGUGAUGUUAUCGAUGCCAAUGUUGCCCAAUGUCAUUUAUAUUAGUGAGUCUGGUAAUUAUGUGAUAUGCAUCUAUAAUUGCUAGUACUUUGAUCCAAUAAUGGUGUUGAGUUAUAUAUGCUCCCUCUCCACGCAAACAUGUGACAAUUUUCAUUGUGCAGUAUAAGUUGAUGGUGGUCCAAAUGAUGAUGAACAAGGAAAAUAUUUUGCUAAGAAACAUGGUCUGAGCGCUCAGGUGAUAGAUCAGAUGAACAAGGGAAGUUCUAAAGAGGAGAUGGAAGGAAUAGCAGGUUUAGAGGGUCAGCCGAUGAAAGACUGCACCAAGGUAAUUUAUAGAUUCCAAUUGUCUAUAUUCUUCUAAUUCUUCUCCUAAAGAUGUAGCUAGCAGAACUGGGGCGGAGUUAGAGAGUGAUAUUCUUGAGAUAAAUAAGUCUAUAUUGCUUUUCAAUUGUUACCUUGGUUGUCGUCUGAGCUGGUUUGCAGAAACGUGGCCUACGAAACAGACAGCGCCUGUGUGCGAGGUUGUCGUCACUGAUGAAAAUUGGUUUCUUUCGUCAGAGAAGUAGACGGGGGCUGUUGGUGCCUUGACAGGGUUAAUCUUGCUCAGGACAGGGACUGGAGUGUGCUUUGAGUAUCAGGUUGGUGUUUUUGUUGAACUGUCACAUACAUUGUAAUGUUGGGUUGUUGUAUAUCUCCUUCUUUGUAACAAGGUAGGCCUAGUCUUUAGGGAUAGACCUAAUCUAGCGCCACCAUCCGGGACGCGCCCUGCAUGUAGGGCUGACUUUCUAUAUGUACGUGUAAACAGUUAUGGAGAUACAGUGUGAUUGCUCGCUCAGUUUGGUAUCGGAGCUAUGGCUUCCCCUUCCUCCUCUCCCGAGUGAACGGCAGAUGCCGCCGCCGCCGCUGCCGCCGCCUCCGGCAACCCCGUCGAUGCGCCUUCAUGCGCUCUGGUUUCUGGCGAGACCUCUGGCUCCGGUGGUCUUCCUCUUGCAGCCAUCCCACCCACCCACUCAACCCUGCCUUCCUCCUCCAAUCCUCCCCCACCUCUCCUGUCCAGCGUCGCCGGCGUCAUCGACUUCAAGCUCGCGCUCGACGGCCGCAACUUCACGCGCUGGAGGAACUACAUCACCCUGCUGCUUGCGCGGCACCACGCCGAGGAUCAUGUUCGGGCCGUCUCGACUCGUCGGCUGGCCGACCCGGCAUGGCGUGAUGACGACACCACCGUCGUCCUUUGGUUCUACACCAUGAUCGAGGGGGGCCUCCUCGACAUCGUCGCCCCCGCCGGCUCCUCCGCCUUCACCAUCUGGACGCGGCUCCACGAGUACUUCCUCGCCAACGAAGCUGAACAUGCUAUGCAUCUGGGCCAGGAGUUUCAGGCGUGUGUGCGCGGCGACCUCACCGUCCACGAGUACUGUCGCCGGCUGCAAGGCAUCGCGGCCGCCCUCGCCGAUGUCCGUGAGCCCGUCACAGAUCGCACCCUCACCUUGCAGAUGCUCGAUGGGCUGGGGCCCAAGUUUGCGAUGCAGUCGGCAAUCCUCCAGUCCACCGUGCCCCUGCCCAACCUUCAACCAGGCGCGCGCCCGUCUCGUCCUCGCCGAGCUAUCCAUGGACAAACUGAAGGAAAUAUGCCCUAGAGGCAAUAAUAAAGUUAUUAUUUAUUUCCUCAUAUCAUGAUAAAUGUUGAUUAUUCAUGCUAUAAUUGUAUUAACCGGAAACAUGAUACAUGUGUGAAUACAUAGACAAACAUAAUUUCACUAGUAUGCCUCUACUUGACUAGCUCAUUAAUCAAAGAUGGUUAUGUUUCCUAACCAUACAUAUGUGUUGUCAUUUGAUUAACGGGAUCAGACUUGACCCACUCCGUUAGCUUAACACUUGAUCGUUUAGUAUGUUGCUAUUGCUUUCUUCAUUACUUAUACAAAGUUCCUACAACUAUGAGAUAAUGCAACUCCCGUUUACCGGAGGAACACUUUGUGUGCUACCAAACGUCACAACGUAACUGGGUGAUUAUAAAAGAGCUCUACAGGUGUCUCCAAAGGUACAUGUUGAGUUGGCGUAUUUCGAGAUUAGGUUUUGUCACUCCGAUUGUCGGAGAGGUAUCCAAGGUCACCUAUACGCCCUGAAGCACUUGUCUGUGAUGAAAAUGAAGGGCAGUUGAUUCAUGACAGAAACUAUGUCUGGACCUACACAUCUCCACAAUUUCCAAUGCUGCAGGUCAGUUGAAUAGCACAUAAUCAUAUUAAUUCAGAGGCUCAUUAUUUUUACCCGCUGAACACAGAAUCUCGUGCAUAUAUAAAUGGGCCAUACAAAUGAGCCAGAACUUUCUGGAAAGGCCCAACAUGAAGAAACUGCAUUUGAUCAAUUAAUAUAUUGUAGCAGUGUUCUAGACGUGCUUAUUACAGAGAUCACUUGGAUUUUGUUUAAUACUAUCUAGACAUUUGCAGUCGCCUUGUGCCGUAAACCUAUUGAGUAAGUAACAUGAUGUGUGUUAUUCCAGGAAGAUGUUCUACAAUCUUUCAAGUUACCGCGCCCGGUUCUUUGUAUUGGUGGGAGAGCUCAGAAGCAAGAAUUUGAUGGUCUCUACUACGUGUGGUGAGUUGUCGACCAACUUUGGAGAUAGAUACUAUUACAGUAUUGUUUUGCUCUGAAUGAUCAUUUGCACUGAUAUUAAUAAUCAUGUACUUUUUCAUCCAGUGUGUCUUAUGUCCAAAUAGUGGGGAAGCCACUGUCACGAGAGCUCGGGGUCGUUCCUCGUGGGAACAGCCUAGUCCUGACUUACUAUCUGGAUCCGCGUACAUGUGGCAUUCCCCGCAGCGAGUCAUCAGGGGAUGAUGCCACAACAGGUGACAUAGCAUGGCGUCGAGGAUCUGGCAUUCUAGAAUGGCACGAGGGAUAGGAGGGCUGAACCAAACGCUGUUGAGCGGCCUGCUCGGUGCUCCGUUGCCGCUUGUGGUCGUAGCCAACGAAUCAGAGGAGGUGGAUCUUCCUUAGAAGAAGAGCAAUAAUUGUAUUUUUUGGAUUUGAUCCUGGAGAAAAGAAACGUAUGAUAGUUACUGCUACAUACAUAUAAGACUGGUUGCCCUUUGUGGUGCUGUGAGAAGGGUUGUGGCGCACCGUGCAAAUUGCCUUUAAUAUUACUCCACCGAGAUCGGUAAACACGUUAUUUGGGGUGUGGCUGCUUGGGAUUGAGUCCGAAACAGCCAGACACAUUCGUGUAGGAGUAUGUGCGUUAUUAUGGACAAUUUGGAAUUGCAGGAAUGAUUUGGUUUUUAAUAGGACAACAAAUACUCAUUUUUUGCAGGUGUUGUUCCGGGCUACGGCGCUGAUCCGUACUUGGUCCUUACUCACUCCGACGGAGGCCAGGGAGCGUUUGGUUACUGGAUCUGUCCGGUGGGAGACGGUAGCGCGGGAUAUCUUCAACCGGUUUGGAUGGCGAUCAUGUAAUAGGAUAGACAUUUAGUUUACCUACCUGCUAUUAUGCCAGCCGGUUUGUGGCUUAUCUCAUUUCUGCCUUGCAGUCGAUGCUCUAUGUGAGCUAUAGGCUGCUUUUAUUCCUUUGUUUGUAAGACCUUUGUUCAGAACCUGUUUAUUUGGUUAAUAAGAGAGGCCGUAUGCAUCGAUCUGAUGCAGAGGCCGGGGAAUACCCCCUUUUCUAAAAAAAACAGAAAACAGCACAAUGAGAUGCAUCCAAUCAGCUCACCUGUAGCCAGAUCAAUGUCACUGUUGUGAUUGAUUAUUACCUAGUCAGAGAAAAUCAUCUCUUCAAUCAAAGAAUGAGUGAAUCAGAUUAUGUCAAUAUCUUCAGUUCAUUUGGAUGAAAAAACAUAUGAAAGCACCUUCCGGAUGUCGAUAAUAAUUAAUAAAUGAAUAAAUUCAUCAGAUCAAUGUUGCUGCUGUUUAUCUUCUAGCUAGGGAAAAUAUAUGUGUGAGCCUCUUCGAUCUGUGACUGGUUCGGCAUCUCACAGAUGUUGUAGCAGGAGAUGGCUUGAGAGACAAAGAUUCCAUCAAAGUCUCUUGCACUCCUGACCUUCCAAAGCUCAAUAGCACAAGCGGCUAUGAUAACCAUCCACCAACGAUCUUCACACAACAACUUAUCAAUGAACUGCAACAGCAAGAAAUCCUCGAUGGUACUAUGUAGGACACCAAGCCUGUCCCAAAUCUCAUGAGCCAGGGCGCAACGUAGGACUAGUUGAUCCACAGUUUUAGCUCCAGGGCAUCUAUACCUAUACAUAUGUAUCUAUAUUUAUAUCUAUAUCUAUACCUAAUAAUAAAGAGGCUAUUGCUUCUGACAGUAUGUCAUCGAAAUUGCCCCAAAGUCGUAAAAUAUUACCGACCGAUACCACUAUUAAGUAACUAAAAACUUAUAUACUGCACUCUGCACACUCGGAGAAGAUACGGGGCGCCUCUUUGGGCCGGCCCAUGUCCGGGCUGUUGGGGAACGUAGUAAUUUUAAAAAAAAUCCUACGCACACGCAAGAUCAUGGUGAUGCAUAGCAACGAGAGGGGAGAGUGUUGUCUACGUACCCUCAUAGACCGAAGCGGAAGCGUUGACACUAUGUAGAGGAAGUAGUCGUACGUCUUCCCGGUCCAACCGAUCCAAGCACCGUUACUCCGGCACCUCCGAGUUCUUGACACACGUACAACUCGAUGAGGCACCCCGGGCUCCGAUCCAGCAGAGCUUCAGGGAGGAGUUUCGUCAGCACGACGGCGUGGUGACGAUCUUGAUGUUCAACCGUCGCAGGGCUUCGCCUAAGCACCGGUACAAUAUGACCGAGGUGUAAUAUCGUGGAGGGGGGCACCGCACACGGCUAAGCAACGAUCACGAAGAUCAACUUGUGUGUCUAUGGGGUGCCCCCCUCCCCCGUAUAAAAAGGGGGAGAGGAGGAGGGGGCCGGCCAAGGGGGAGGCGCGCCCUAGGAGGGGGAAACCUACUCCAAGUAGGUUUGCCCCCUCCCACUAGUAGAAAACGGAGCUUUAGCGCCGGUUCGUAAGGGCCUUUAGUGCCGGUUCCAUAACCGGCACUAAAGGGUGGUCACUAAAGGCCCCCCCCCCCUUUAGUACCGGUUCAGCACGAACCGGCGCUAAAGUGCCACCACGUGGCAUGAGCUCGCGCCCCGGUAUGGGGGACCUUUAGUACCGGUUGGUGUUACCAACCGGUACUAAAGGGUUUUUUUUUUGAAAAUUUUGGAAUUUUUUUUUGAUUUUUUUGUCGAUUUUUAAUUUUUCUGAAUUAUUUGAUGAUUUAGUCUCUAAUCCCCUCUCUUAACUGCUCAAGUGUGGAUCACUCAUUCCAAAUCAUCUAACUUCCCGACCGGUCACCCAUCCCUCUCACUACUCUAGCCCGAGCACGCUUAACUUUCGGGUUCUAUUCUCCUUCGUUUCCGAGUCUGCACUUGUUGUUUUCCUGACAAUAGUAAGAUGUUAAUCCUAUUAACCCUUAGGAGUUUAGCUUGAGCAUGAAGUCACACAUUUUACCGUUUGAGUUUGAAACUAUUAUUCUAAAAAACAGUAAUUAUUUAGUAACGCUAAUAUUUCUUGAAUAAGUUUGACCAUAGUUUGACCAUAGUUUGACCAGAUUUGACCAAAAUUCAAAAAAUUAAAAUAAUUAUUUAGUAACACUAAUAUUCUUGAAUAAUUAUGUAGUAACAUUAAUACUUCUUGAAUAAGUAGUUUGACCAGAUUUAACCAAUUUUUUUAAAAAAAACUGAAAUUAUUUUACCAUAUCUUUUUUCCUUUUGGAAUUUGAGGAUUCUAAAUAAUUCCAAAUAGGCUGUAGGCUGUCUCCAUCGGAUGCGGAUUUUCGUGCUGAAUUUUUUGAUAUAUUAUACGUUUUUUUCCGACAUCGUAUGGAAAAGUUAUAGCCGUUUUACAUUUUCCCUACACUUUUAGUGUCGGUUUGUGUCACAAACCGGUACUAUAGGUCAGACCUCUUUAGUAACGGUUCGUGGCACGAACCGGUACUAAAGGGACCUUUAGUACCGGUUCGUGCCACGAACCUGUACUAAAGGUGAUCGUGGGGCCCCGGCCUGACGCCAGCCUGCCACCACCCCUUUAGUACCGGUUCGUGCCACGAACCGGUACUAAAGGUUCAACACGAACCGGAACUAAGGCAAAUCCGUUCGAACCGGCACUAAUGGUACCAUUAGUACCGGGCCAAAAUCAAACCGACACUAAUGUGCUUCACGUUUGACUCUUUUCCUACUAGUGUCCCUUUCCUAUUAGGAGUAGAAGAGGGAAGGAAGAGAGGGGAGGGAAGAAGGAAGGGGGGGGGCGGCCCCCCUCUCAAUUAGGAUUGGGCUUGGGAGGGCGCGCCCCCUCCUUUGCUCCUUCUCCCUCCUUUCCACUAAGGCCCAAUAAGGCCCAUAUACUUACCGGGGGGUUCCGGUAACCUCCCAGAACUCCGGUAUAAUCCCAAUCUCAUCCGGAACCUUUCCGGUGUCCAAAUAUAUCCGUCCAAUAUAUCAAUCUUUUUGCCUCGACCAUUUCGAGACUCCUCGUCAUGUCCGUGAUCACAUCCGGGACUCCGAACAACCUUCGGUACAUCAAAAUACAUAAACUCAUAAAGUAACUGUCAUCGUAACUUUAAGCGUGCGGACCCUAUGGUUCGAGAACAAUGUAGACAUGACCGGGACAUGUCUCUCGUCAAUAACCAAUAGCGGGACCUGGAUGCCCAUAUAGGUUCCCACAUAUUCUACGAAGAUCUUUAUCGGUCAGACCGCAUAACAACAUACGUUGUUCCCUUUGUCAUCGGUAUGUUACUUGCCCGAGAUUCGAUCAUCGGUAUCCAAUACCUAGUUCAAUCUCGUUACCGGCAAGUCUCUUUACUCGUUCCGUAAUACAUCAUCUCGCAACUAACUCAUUAGUUGCAAUGCUUGCAAGGCUCAAGUGAUGUGCAUUACCGAGAGGGCCCAGAGAUACCUCUCCAACAUUCGGAGUGACAAAUCCUAAUCUCGAAAUACGCCAACCCAACAAGUACCUUUGGAGACACCUGUAGAGCACCUUUAUAAUCACCCAGUUACGUUGUGACGUUUGGUAGCACACAAAGUGUUCCUCCGGUAAACGGGAGUUGCAUAAUCUCAUAGUCAUAGGAACAUGUAUAAGUCAUGAAGAAAGCAAUAGCAACAUACUAAACGAUCGGGUGCUAAGCUAACGGAAUGGGUCAUGUCAAUCAGAUCAUUCAACUAAUGAUGUGAUCUCGUUAAUCAAAUAACAACUCUUUGUUCAUGGUUAGGAAACAUAACCAUCUUUGAUUAACAAGCUAGUCAAGUAGAGGCAUACUAGUGACACUCUGUUUGUCUAUAUAUUCACACAUGUAUUAUGUUUCCGGUUAAUACAAUUCUAGCAUGAAUAAUAAACAUUUAUCAUGAUAUAAGGAAAUAAAUAAUAACUUUAUUAUUGCCUCUAGGGCAUAUUUCUUUCAGUCUCCCACUUGCAAUAGAGUCAAUAAUCUAGAUUACAUAGUAAUGAUUCUAACAACCAUGGAGUCUUGGUGUUGAUCAUGUUUUGCUCGUGGAAGAGGCUUAGUCAACGGGUCUGCAACAUUCAGAUCCGUAUGUAUCUUGCAAAUCUCUAUGUCUCCCACCUGGACUAGAUCCCGGAUGGAAUUGAAGCGUCUCAUGAUGUGCUUGGUUCUCUUGUGAAAUCUGGAUUCCUUCGCUAAGGCAAUCGCUCCAGUAUUGUAACAAAAGAUUUUCAUUGGACCCGAUGCACUAGGUAUGGCACCCAGAUCGGAUAUGAACUCCUUCAUCCAGACUCCUUCAUUGGCUGCUUCCGAAGCAGCUAUGUAUUCCGCUUCACACGUAGAUCCCGCCACGACGCUUUGCUUUGAACUGCACCAACUGACAGCUCCACCGUUUAAUGUAAACACGUAUCCGGUUUGCGAUUUAGAAUCGUCCGGAUCAGUGUCAAAGCUUGCAUCAACGUAACCAUUUACGAUGAGCUCUUUGUCACCUCCAUAUACGAGAAACAUAUCCUUAGUCCUUUUCAGGUACUUCAGGAUGUUCUUGACCGUUGUCCAGUGAUCCACUCCUGGAUUACUUUGGUACCUCCCUGCUAAACUUAUGGCAAGGCACACAUCAGGUCUGGUACACAGCAUUGCAUACAUGAUAGAGCCUAUGGCUGAAGCAUAGGGAACACCUUUCAUUUUCUCUCUAUCUUCUGCAGUGGUCGGGCUUUGAGUCUUACUCAACUUCACACCUUGCAAUACAAGCAAGAACCCUUUCUUUGCUUGAUCCAUUUUGAACUUCUUCAAAACUUUGUCAAGGUAUGUGCUUUGUGAAAGUCCAAUUAAGCGUUUUGAUCUAUCUCUAUAGAUCUUAAUGCCCAAUAUGUAAGCAGCUUCACCGAGGUCUUUCAUUGAAAAACUUUUAUUCAAGUAUCCCUUUAUGCUAUCCAGAAAUUCUAUAUCAUUUCCAAUCAAUAAUAUGUCAUCCACAUAUAAUAUUAGAAAUGCUACAGAGCUCCCACUCACUUUUUUGUAAAUACAGGCUUCCCCAAAAGUCUGUAUAAACCCAAAUGCUUUGAUCACACUAUCAAAGCGUUUAUUCCAACUCCGAGAGGCGUGCACCAGUCCAUAAAUGGAUCGCUGGAGCUUGCACACUUUGUUAGCUCCCUUUGGAUCGAUAAAACCUUCUGGUUGCAUCAUAUACAACUCUUCCUCCAGAAAUCCAUUCAGGAAUGCAGUUUUUACAUCCAUUUGCCAAAUUUCAUAAUCAUAAAAUGCGGCAAUUGCUAACAUGAUUCGGACAGACUUAAGUACGGGUGAGAAGGUCUCAUCGUAGUCAAUCCCUUGAACUUGUCGAAAACCUUUUGCAACAAGUCGAGCUUUGUAGACAGUAACAUUACCGUCAGCGUCAGUCUUCUUCUUGAAGAUCCAUUUAUUCUCAAUUGCUUGCCGACCAUCGGGCAAGUCAACCAAAGUCCAUACUUUGUUCUCAUACAUGGAUCCCAUCUCAGAUUUCAUGGCUUCAAGCCAUUUUGCGGAAUCUAGGCUCACCAUCGCUUCUUCAUAGUUCGUAGGUUCAUCAUGAUCUAGUAGCAUGACUUCUAGAAUAGGAUUACCGUACCACUCUGGUGCGGAUCUUACUCUGUUUGACCUACGAGGUUCUGUAUUAACUUGAUCUGAAAUUCUAUGAUCAUCAUCAUUAACUUCCUCACUAGUUGGUUUUGAUGUCACAGAAACCGGUUCCUGUGAUGUAUUAUUUUCCAACAAGGGAGUAGGUACAGUUACCUCAUCAAGUUCUACUUUCCUCCCACUCACUUCUUUCGAGAGAAACUCCUUCUCUAGAAAGGAUCCAUUCUUAGCAACGAAUGUCUUGCCUUCGGAUCUGUGAUAGAAGGUCUACCCAACUGUCUCCUUUGGGUAUCCUAUGAAGACACAUCUCUCCGAUUUGGUUUUGAGCUUAUCAGGUUGAAGCUUUUUCACAUAAGCAUCGCAGCCCCAAACUUUAAGAAACGACAACUUUGGCUUCUUGCCAAACCAUAGUUCAUAAGGUGUCGUCUCAACGGAUUUUGAUGGUGCCCUAUUUAAUGUGAAUGUGGCCGUCUCUAAAGCAUAACCCCAAAACGAUAGCGGUAAAUCAGUAAGAGACAUCAUAGAUCGCACCAUAUCAAGUAAAGUACGAUUACGACGUUCGGACACACCAUUACACUGUGGUGUUCCGGGUGGCAUGAGUUGCGAAACUAUUCCGCAUUGUUUCAAGUGUAGACCAAACUCGUAACUCAAAUAUUCUCCUCCACGAUCAGAUCGUAGAAACUUUAUUUUCUUGUUACGAUGAUUUUCAACUUCACUCUGAAAUUCUUUGAACUUUUCAAAUGUUUCAGACUUAUGCUUCAUUAAGUAGAUAUACCCAUAUCUGCUUAAAUCAUUUGUGAAGGUGAGAAAACAACAAUAUCCGCCACGAGCCUCAACAUUCAUCGGACCACAUACAUCUGUAUGUAUGAUUUCCAACAAAUCUGUUGCUCUCUCCAUAGUACCGGAGAACGGCGUUUUGGUCAUCUUGCCCAUGAGGCACGGUUCGCAAGUACCAAGUGAUUCAUAAUCAAGUGGUUCCAAAAGUCCAUCAGUAUGGAGUUUCUUCAUGCGCUUUACACCGAUAUGACCUAAACGGCAGUGCCACAAAUAAGUUGCACUAUCAUUAUCAACUCUGCAUCUUUUGGCUUCAACACUAUGAAUAUGUGUAUCACUACUAUCGAGAUUCAUCAAAAAUAGACCACUCUUCAAGGGUGCAUGACCAUAAAAGAUAUUACUCAUAUAAAUAGAACAACCAUUAUUCUCUGAUUUAAAUGAAUAACCGUCUCGCAUCAAACAAGAUCCAGAUAUAAUGUUCAUGCUUAACGCUGGCACCAAAUAACAAUUAUUUAGGUCUAACACUAAUCCCGAAGGUAGAUGUAGAGGUAGCGUGCCGACCGCGAUCACAUCAACUUUGGAACCAUUUCCCACGCGUAUCGUCACCUCGUCCUUUCCUAGUGUUUGCUUAAUCCGUAGUCCCUAUUUCGAGUUGCAAAUAUUAGCAACAGAACCAGUAUCAAAUACCCAGGUGCUACUGCGAGCUCUAGUAAGGUACACAUCAAUAACAUGUAUAUCACAUAUACCUUUGUUCACCUUGCCAUCCUUCUAAUCCGCCAAAUACUUGGGGCAGUUCCGCUUCCAGUGUUCAGUCUGCUUGCAGUAGAAGCACUGAGUUUCAAGCUUAGGUCCAGACUUGGGUUUCUUCUCUUGAGCAGCAACUUGUUUGCUGUUCUUCUUGAAGUUCCCCUUCUUCUUCCCUUUGCCCUUUUUCUUGAAACUAGUGGUCUUGUUGACCAUCAACACUUGAUGUUCCUUCUUGAUUUCUACCUCCGCAGCCUUUAGCAUUGCGAAGAGCUCGGGAAUCGUCUUAUCCAUCCCUUGCAUAUUAUUGUUCAUCACGAAGCUCUUGUAGCUUGGUGUAAGUGAUUGGAGAAUUCUGUCAAUGAAGCUAUCAUCCGGAAGAGUAACUCCCAGUUGAAUCAAGUGAUUAGAAUACCCAGACAUCUUGAGUAUAUGCUCACUGACAGAACUAUUCUCCUCCAUCUUGCAGCUAUAGAACUUAUUGGAGACUUCGUAUCUCUCAAUCUGGGCAUUCUUCUGGAAUAUUAACUUCAACUCCUGGAACAUCUCAUAUGCUCCAUGACGUUCGAAACGUCGUUGAAGUCCCGGUUCUAAGCCGUAAAGCAUGGCACAUUGAACUAUCGAGUAGUCAUCAGCUUUGCUCUGCCAGACGUUCUUAACGUCGUUAGUUGCAUCAGCAGCAGGCCUGGCACCCAACGGUGCUUCCAGGACGUAAUUUUCUGUGCAGCAAUGAGGAUAAUCCUCAAGUUACGGACCCAGUCCGCGUAGUUGCUACCAUCAUCUUUCAACUUUGCUUUCUCAAGGAACGCAUUAAAAUUCAACGGAACAACAGCACGGGCCAUCUAUCUACAAUCAACAUAGACAAGCAAGAUACUAUCAGGUACUAAGUUCAUGAUAAAUUUAAGUUCAAUUAAUCAUAUUACUUAAGAACUCUCACUUAGACAGACAUCUCUCUAGUCAUCUAAGUGAUCACGUGAUCCAACUCAACUAAACCAUAACCGAUCAUCACGUGAGAUGGAGUAGUUUUCAAUGGUGAACAUCUUAUGUUGAUCAUAUCUACUAUAUGAUUCACGCUCGACCUUUCGGUCUCCGUGUUCCGAGGCCAUAUCUGCAUAUGCUAGCCUCGUCAAGUUUAACCUGAGUAUUCUGCGUGUGCAAAACUGGCUUGCACCCGUUGUAGAUGGACGUAGAGCUUAUCACACCCGAUCAUCACGUGGUGUCUGGGCACGACGAACUUUGGCAACGAUGCAUACUCAGGGAGAACACUUCUUGAUAAUUUUUAGUGAGAGAACAUCUUAAAAUGCUACCGUCAAUCAAAGCAAGAUAAGAUGCAUAAAGGAUAAACAUCACAUGCAAUCAAUAUUAGUGAUAUGAUAUGGCCAUCAUCAUCUUGUGCUUCUGAUCUCCAUCUCCGAAGCACCAUCAUGAUCACCAUCGUCACCGGCGCGACACCUUGAUCUCCAUCGUAGCAUCAUUUGUCGUUUACGCCAUCUAUUGCUUCUACGACUAUCGCUACUGCUUAGUGAUAAAGUAAAGCAAUUACAGGGCGUUUGCAUUUCAUACAAUAAAGCGACAACCAUAUGGCUCCUGCCAGUUGCCGAUAACUUCGGUUACAAAACAUGAUCAUCUCAUACAAUAAAAUAUAGCAUCAUGUCUUGGCCAUAUCACAUCACAACAUGCCCUGCAAAAACAAGUUAGACGUCCUCUACUUUGUUGUUGCAAGUUUUACGUGGCUGCUACGGGCUUAAGCAAGAACCAAUCUCACCUACGCAUCAAAACCACAAUGAUAGUUUGUCAAGUUGAUGCUGUUUUAACCUUCGCAAGGACCGGGCGUAGCCACACUCGGUUCAACUAAAGUUGGAGAAACUGACACCCGCUAGUCACCUGUGUGCAAAGCAUGGCGGUAAAACCAGUCUCGCGUAAGCGUACACAUAAUGUCGGUCCGGGCCGCUUCAUCCAACAAUACCGCCGAACCAAAGUAUGACAUGCUGGUAAGCAGUAUGACUUAUAUCGCCCACAACUCACUUGUGUUCUACUCGUGCAUAUAACAUCAAACCAUAAAACCUAGGCUCGGAUGCCACUGUUGGGGAACGUAGUAAUUUCAAAAAAUUUCCUACGCACACGCAAGAUCAUGGUGAUGCAUAGCAACGAGAGGGGAGAGUGUUGUCUACGUACCCUCGUAGACCGAAGCGGAAGCGUUGACACUAUAUAGAGGAAGUAGUCGUACGUCUUCCCGGUCCAACCGAUCCAAGCACUGUUACUCCGGCACCUCCGAGUUCUUGACACACGUACAGCUCGAUGACGCACACCGGGCUCCGAUCCAGCAGAGCUUCAGGGAGGAGUUCCGUCAGCACGACGGCGUGGUGACGAUCUUGAUGUUCAACCGUCGCAGGGCUUCGCCUAAGCACCGCUACAAUAUGACCGAGGUGUAAUAUCGUGGAGGGGGGCACCGCACACGGUUAAGCAACGAUCACGAAGAUCUACUUGUGUGUCCAUGGGGUGCCCCCCUCCCCCGUAUAUAAAGGGGGAGAGGAGGAGGGGGCCGGCCAAGGGGGAGGCGCGCGCUAGGAGGGGGAAACCUACUCCAAGUAGGUUUGCCCCCUCCCUUUCCUAUUAGGAGUAGGAGAGGGAAGGAAGAGAGGGGAGGGAAGAAGGAAAGGGGGGCCGGCCAACCUCCCAAUUCGGAUUGGGCUUGGGGGGGCGCGCCCCCUCCUUUGCUCCUUCUCCCUCCUUUCCACUAAGGCCCAAUAAGGCCCAUAUACUUACCGGGGGGUUCCGGUAACCUCCCGGAACUCCGGUAUAAUCCCAAUCUCAUCCGGAACCUUUCCGGUGUCCAAAUAUAUCCGUCCAAUAUAUCAAUCUUUAUGUCUCGACCAUUUCGAGACUCCUCGUCAUGUCCGUGAUCACAUCCGGGACUCCAAACAACCUUCGGUACAUCAAAAUACAUAACCUCAUAAAGUAACUGUCAUCGUAACUUUAAGCGUGCGGACCCUACGGUUCGAGAACAACGUAGACAUGACCGAGACAUGUCUCCGGUCAAUAAUCAAUAGCGGGACCUGGAUGCCCAUAUUGGUUCCCACAUAUUCUACGAAGAUCUUUAUCGGUCAGACCGCAUAACAACAUACGUUGUUCCCUUUGUCAUCGAUAUGUUACUUGCCCGAGAUUCGAUCGUCGGUAUCCAAUACCUAGUUCAAUCUCGUUACCGGCAAGUCUCUUUACUCGUUCCGUAAUACAUCAUCUCGCAACUAACUCAUUAGUUGCAAUGCUUGCAAGGCUUAAGUGAUGUGCAUUACCGAGAGGGCCCAGAGAUACCUCUCCGACAGUCGGAGUGACAAAUGCUAAUCUUGAAAUACGCCAACCCAACAAGUACCUUUGGAGACACCUGUAGAGCACCUUUAUAUUCACCCAGUUACGUUGUGACGUUUGGUAGCACACAAAGUGUUCCUCCGGUAAACGGGAGUUGCAUAAUCUCAUAGUCAUAGGAACAUGUAUAAGUCAUGAAGAAAGCAAUAGCAACAUAUUAAACGAUCGGGUGCUAAGCUAACAGAAUGGGUCAUGUCAAUCAGAUCAUUCAACUAAUGAUGUGAUCUUGUUAAUCAAAUAAUAACUCUUUGUUCAUGGUUAAGAAACAUAACCAUCUUUGAUUAACAAGCUAGUCAAGUAGAGGCAUAGUAGUGACACUCUGUUUGUCUAUAUAUUCACACAUGUAUUAUGUUUCCGGUUAAUACAAUUCUAGCAUGAAUAAUAAACAUUUAUCAUGAUAUAAGGAAAUAAAUAAUAACUUUAUUAUUGCCUCUAGGGCAUAUUUCCUUCACGGGCAGCCUGUUUUUUAAAUUUCGUUUCCCUUUUUUGUCUUUGUUUGUUCCUACUUCAAAUAAUUUGUGACUUCGAAAAAGUUCCGUAAAUUUAAAAAAUGAGAAUUUUUAUAUAAAUAUUUAAUAAUUCAUAAAUGCUUGUGGAUUCAGGAAAUGUUCUCUUAAAAAAUGUUCGCAAUUUUUAAAACAAAUGUUCAGGAAAUAAAAAAAAUUCAUGAUUUGAAAAAUUCAUGUACUAAAAAAGUAUAUAAAAUUGAUGAAAAUUUCGCCACUUCAAAAAAUGUUCAUUAAUUGAAAAAUAUCUUAAAAAUUCAAAAACUGUUCGUGACUUACAAUUUUUUUUAUUGAGAAAUAAAAUUUUCGCUGAUUGAAGAAAAGAUCAUGCAUUUAAAAAAUGUUCUCUUUCAAUAAAAAAAUGUUCAUGAAUUUCAAAAAUUGUUCCACCAUUUUCCAAGAGAAUGUUCUUCAAUUCUAGAAAUGUUCACCGAUUCAAGAAAAUUGAUAAAAAAAAUGUUUGCAAAUAGUAUAAAAUUUUCAUGAAUUCAAAACAUGUUUUUUGAUUUUAGAAAAUGUUCACUAUUUCAAAUUGUUCACAAUUUUUAAAAAAAAUGUUCAUGAUUUCACGAAAUUGAGAGUGGUAGUGUAUCUUGGUGAAGCAGCAAAAUGUGAUCAUGGCCAUUGGAGAUUAUGAUUUUUUUUCUCGCAUUGCAACACUGCCCAAUGUGCCAUCACCUACUGAUGUGAUGUUAUCAAUGACAAUGUUGCCCAAUGUCAUUUGUAUUAGUGAGUCUGGUAAUUAAGUGAUAUGCAUCUAUAAUUGCUAGUACUUUGAUCCAAUAUUGGUGUUGAGUUAUAUAUGCUCGCUCUUCACGAAAAUAUUUUGCUAAGAAACAUGGUUUGAGCGCUCAGGUGAUAGACCAGAUGAACAAGGGAAGUUCUAAAGAGGAGAUGGAAGGAAUAGCAGGUUUAGAGGGUCAGCAGAUGGAAGACUGCACCAAGGUAAUUUACAGAUUCCAAUAGUCUUAUAUUCUUCUAAUUCUUAUCCUAGAGAUGUAGCUAGCAGAACUCGGGCGGAGUCAGGGACUGAUAUUCUUGAGAUAAAUAAGUCUAUUAUAUGGCUUUUCAAUUGUUACCUUGGUUGUCUUCUGGACUGGUUUGCAGAAACGAGGCUUACAAAACAAACAGCACCUACACGCAAGGUUGUCGUCAUUGGUGAAAAUUGGUGUCUUUCGUCAGAGAAGUCGACGGGGGCAGUUGGUGCCUCGGCCGGGUUAAUCUUUCUCGGAACAGGUUUGAGGUGAGUUUUGGUGUUGUAAGUAGUUGUAGCCUCUGUUGUCUUUUGAGCCUGUGAACAUUGCGCUAUCAAUUUCUGAUGCGGUAAUGGCAGACUCUCAGGUCCUUGGUGAACAGGGACAACUACGGCUAGGGGGAUUUAACUUUUGAUAAACUAGUAGAGCUUGUGUUUGCGUACGAUUAUAUGCACCAGGGAAGAUUAGACAGAGCGCUUCAUGGUAUGCAUCAACGUGAAACUUGCUGACUGUUCAAUCGCUAACCUCUUGGUAAGUAGCCUAAUACUCUGUAACUUCAACUGUUCUUCAGGUAAGUGUGAGAAUAUUCAGUCGUGGUGGGGAGGAGGAAGAUUGUCAGGCCCCAACUCCCAAGUCGAAUCGACCUGACGCCUCAAGCUACAGCCAAAUAUUCAGAGUUGAGAAAACAGAGCAAAAGCAGAGGAAGCGACAUGCAAGUAUUCACAGUUUAGAAAGGAGAGCAAAAGCAGAGGAUUAGAGUUGAGAAAACAGAACGAAAGCAGACUCAUGCUUGUGGCAAAGGACUGAAAAGGAGUACUUUGCAUGCGAUUCCAAAAAAAAAAUACGUUUAGAUCAGACUCAUGAAAAAAUAAAUUUGUGGAGAUAGCGAACCACUCAUGCCGAGCGGAUCAUUUUCUAUUGUUUUGGAUGGACAUUUAGAAGUGUUUCUUUCCAUUAAACUUGUUGAGUAUACACCUUGGCGAUAUCAGGCAAAAUGAGUGUGUAGCGGAUACUGUCAGCGGUUCGCUGUAGGAAUGAACCCCAAUUUACAAGUUUGAUUAACCUGCACUGCAAAACAACAUAUAACAUAAAUCUUAGACAAGCCCUCCCACUUUUAUUUUUUGCAUGGUAAAGAGCCCUCCCACUUUCAACAGCAUCCUGCAUCACAUAAGCUUUCUCUCACACACACACUUACACGCACACAUGUCCGCAGAAAACAAACGUGCGGAAACGAAAUGGGCCCAAGAACGCGUGAAGCCGGGGAGAGAAAUGGUCGUCGGCCCACCACGCUUGGCUGGGCUUCUCUCUCCCUCUCUCUCUGUCGAAGAAAGGGGAAAAAAAGACAGAAACCAAUUCCGUCGCCCUCUAGGGGUGGGCGUUCGGUAUAAACCAAAAAUUCGGUUUCUACCAAUCGGUUUUUUUCAAAGUUCGGUUAGGAAAAUCAGAAACCGAAUAUGACAGCUUCAAAUGGAUAACCGAAAAUUCGAUUAACCAAAUAAUUCGGUUCGGUUCCCGGUUUAUACCGAAAGAACUACACGUGAGCAACUGUGGCUACAAAACGCAGCAGCGACACCCUAUAUAACCAACAAUAUGUGCUCGUUUCCUCGACUAGGCGAGGUGGUACUAAACAAAUGUUGUUUACACACACGCAUGGAAGUGGAACACACUAGCAGAUUUACUGCGGCUCACCCUUGAAUAAAAAGCCCAUAUUAAAUUGGGCCUACAUCUUUGCAUGCACCUGGACACCUUACUCUCGUAGGGAUCCGGCUUGCCUGCUCCCUCGCCAUGCUCCCAUCCGUCCUCCCACUCCAUCCUACGGUUGUCCUUUUUUCCUUUUUUUUUCUAAUCUAAUCAUCUUCCCCCUGAUUUUAAGGGGGUGGGACCGGGCCUUAUUUUGUUCCAAUUAAAUCAUGCCACGUAUGUGGGAGCACGGAUGGGAGCACGCUGGAGGAGCAGGCAAGUCUCGUCCCUCUCGUAGGGCCACCCUCUUUGGAUACGCAGAACAGAGUCUCCGCAGAAUGUGCUGGUCGCUAGCGACGUGGAGCAUGACUCACGAGAGUAGGGGCAGGACAGGCGUCGUGCUUUUGGUUAUUCUUCACGCUGACUUUUUUUUGAGGGUGUACGCUGACUCACUUGUUCGGUGUUUGUUCGGUUAACCGGUACAACACCGAACCGAAUAAAUUAUGUUCGGUUACUGGAAGUGAAAACCGAAUUUCUGUGUGCCAGUACAGCAAACCAAAAUUUCGGUUUAUUCGGUUUCGGCAUCGGUUCGGUGUUCGGUUCCUCGGUUUUAUGCCCACCCCUAUCGCCCUCCACCACACCUCCACGCCGCCGGCCACGAGCCUCCGCCACCGCUCUAUCCAUUCCCCCCCUUCGCGCUGGGGGCCGCGGCCGGAGAGGAGGGAUGUGGAGGUCCGGCGCGCAUCGGCCAUGGGGCUUCACUGCUUAUGCCGUUACAGUUCUGUCCACCCAGGCAUUAUAUCCUUGAAACGCGAUGCAAGUCCAAGGCUCUUCAAGUGCGGUUUAGAAUGUGAAUCCACUUCAGCCGAAUCUCUUCAACACAAGUAUAUAUUCCUCAGUGUUUUGGCUGUUUUAUUACCAGACGAAUUCCAGCAGGUAAUUUUCCUUUGACAUUCCGCGUGCCUUCCGUACGAAUUGAUGUUCCUUUUUUCAGUAAACUUGAAAGCUGUGUAAUUUUCUUUCUCUAAUGCAUUCAGACAUGUUGAUCCGGAAGAAGGGGUCAACAUUGCGGAGACUGACACUGGAUUGUAACUUGGAUGACUGCAGUCUUGUGUUUCAGGUGAAUCUCUGCAAUACAAGUACGUAUUAUUCAGUGUGUAGGCAAUUUUGAUCUGUUACUAGGCGAAUCUCAAUGGGUAAUUUCAGUAUUAGCCUUCACUUUUACUGAAAAAAACGAACAUUUGUAAGAAACUAAAUGCAGAAUGUCAAAGCUAAUUUUCUUUUCUCUAAUGCAGAUUUGUUGAUUGGUAAGGGACUGCCACUGGACUGCAACAUUAGAAUGUUGUCUCCCUAAGGGGAAGGGGAUUUAACUUCGAUAACUACAGCCUUGUGUUUGUGUAUGCACCAGGGAAGGUAACCAUCAAAAUGUAACAUGCUUACUAAUCGAUCCCUAACCUCUAUGUAAGUAGCCUAAUUACUGCGUAACUCCAACUGUUCUGCAGGCAAGUAUGAGAAUAUUCUAUCUUAACUGUCUUCACAUCGCAAAAGGCACUUCAAUAUCUGCAUCAUGGUGGUGUUACCCGGUCUGUGAUCUCAUGGUAAGUUAUACAACAAUGAAAUAAAAACUAUUUACACGGGAAAGCUCCCAACAAGUAAGAAGAAGAACUGGAAAUAUUUUUGGGUUUUCUAUUUAAUUAUUACUACUACAGCAGGAAGAAAUAAACUACUACUAAUUUUUUGGUUUUUCUAAGGUUUAUUAAACACACAAGAAGAAAGCAGGAAAAAGGAAAAUACACAAGCAUGGAUAUUACAGUGAAAGAGUAUGAGCACCGACAUCUAGCAAUGAGUGUGUGUGAACAUGAAUGUAAUGUCGGUGGAAAAUACGUACUCCCCCAAGCUUAGGCUUUUGGCCUAAGUUGGUCUAUUGCCAGGGAUAGCCUGGCUGAUAACCAUAGGUGUAGCUGGGGUCGUACUGCGAUGCAGCGGCUACCGCCUCCUGAGCAGCAGCAUGGCGUCGAGCUGCCUCCGCUCUCCUCUCGUACUCAUCUGCCUCCUCUUUGGUAAUAAAUAUAUCUUCCUCUCGUCUGAAAAUCAAAGAAGGCAGGAGCAGGAAGAGUAACAUGGACAACAUGCCGUUUGUUAAAGAUUAGUCGAUACUGGAAAGGUGGUCCAGUCCUCUCAAUGAACUCAUGGGAAAACAUAGAAUCAAGAUCUAAAUAUGAAGGAGGUAACUCCAUGUCACCCUCACGAAUGUCUACAUCAAGAAAAUUAGCUAAGCGGGUUGCAUAAAUUCCUCCAAAGAAAUCUUCGUUAUGUCUAUUAUGAUGCAACCUACGAGCUACAAUGGCUCCCAUAUGAUAAGAUUGGUCCCCUAACACAGCACUUCUGAGAAUGCUGAGAUCAGGGGCACACAUGUGACAUGCUUCAUCCUUAGCAUUUAUGCAUCUACCAAUGAAGAGAGCAAAGUAAUGUAUAGCAGGAAAGUGAAUGCUCCCUAUAGUGGCCUGCGCUAUAUCUCUAGAUUCCCCCACAGUUAUUCUAGCAAAAAAAGUCUCUGUAUUCAGAUUUAGGGGGAUCCCUGAUACUACCCCAAGAUGGAAGUUUGCAUGCAAAAGUGAAAUCCUCUAAGUCCAUGGUAUAAGAUUUGUCAUAAAGGUCAAACAUGACUGAAGGAGAAUUACGCGAAGAUGAAAACUCAAAUCUCCCCACAAAUGAACUUGUGAGAUCACGAUACUGGGGGCAUUUAUCAGCUUCAAAGACCUCAAGACCGGCAUUACGCAAAUAUGCGUAGAAUUCUUCUUUAAUUCCCACUUGAUUCAUAAAAAUUUUCGAAGGCCAUUCACAGGGCCUCACGAGAGCGUCUCUUGGUGGUUCCUCGUCACCAUCACGCAUUGCAAGCCUGGGACCUUGCUUCCAUGAAGAACCACCUUGGAACAUCUUCCUAAGCAUAUUGUUUUCUCCGAAAAAUAAUUCUAAAAUUUUUAGUAACUUCAAACAAAAGUGAACCAACUUCAAUAAAACUGAUAGCAACUACUCAUACAAGUGCCUAGAGCAUAUAUCAAGCAUUACAACUACUGGGAACCAUAUGAAUUUGACAUGCAAGCUCAAGAACAUGGUCACCUAUGCAGCACAAAUUUGCAAUGAAUAAAGCACUAGAACAAAAACUAAUUGGACCAAUGGAGGAGUCACAUACCAAGGAACAAUCUCCCCAAGCAGUUUUGCGAGAGGUGCUUUGAGCAAGGAGAUCGAAAGUCACAGCAAAAGAGGCUGGAACACGAGCUUGAGUUGGUUUUUCGGGUUUGUGUGAGACAGAGGAAGAAGAUGGGUGCAGGGAUAAGUGGAGGAGGGCCACCGUGGGCCCACGAGGCAGGGGGGCGCGCCCAGGGGGGUAGGGCGCACCCUCCACCCUCGUGGCCAGGUGGCAGCUCCCCCCGCGGUAAUUUUUUCACUAAAAAUCCUAAAAUAUUCCCGACAAAAUCAUAUUAAAUUGGCAUGGCAUUCUGAGGACUUUUAUUUUCGGGAUAUUUUUAUAUUGCACGGAUAAAUCAGGAAACAAACAGAAAAAUACUAUUUUACUUUAUUUCUACUAAGUAACAGAAAAUAUAAAGAGGGUACAGAAGGUUGUGCUUCUAGUUUCAUCCAUCUCAUGCUCAUCAAAAAGAAUCCACUAUGUUAACAAACUCAUUCCGAUAAUCAUGGAACCGGAGAAAUUUCGAAUAACACUAUGUUACCUCAACGGGGAUAUGAACAUCCCCAAUAAUAAGUAUAUCAUAUUUCUUCUUGACAGCAGGGAGAGGAAAUUCAAAACCUCCAAAUAUAAUCGAUGGAAUUUUUCCAAUAGAGUUGAUACUAUGAACUUGAGGUUGUUUCCUCGGAAAGUGUACCGUAUGCUCAUUACCAUUAACAUGAAAAGUGACAUUGCCUUUGUUGCAAUCAAUAACAGCCCCUGCAGUAUUAAGGAAAGGUCUUCCAAGAAUAAUAGACAUACUAUCAUCCUCGGGAAUAGCAAGAAUAACAAAGUCCGUUAAAAUAGUAACGUUUGCAACCACAACAGGCACAUCCUCACAAAUACCGACAGGUAUAACAGUUGAUUUAUCAGCCAUUUGCAAAGAUAUUUCAGUAGGUGUCAACUUGUUCAAGUCAAGUCUACGAUAUAAAGAGAGAGGCAUAACACUAACACCGGCUCCAAGAUCACAUAAAGCAGUUUUAACAUAAUUUCUUUUAAUGGAGCAUGGUAUAGUAGGUACUCCUGGAUCUCCAAGUUUCUUUGGUAUUCCACCCUUAAAAGUAUAAUUAGCAAGCAUGGUGGAAAUUUCAGCUUCCGGUAUCUUUCUUUUAUUUGUAACAAUAUCUUUCAUAUAUUUAGCAUAAGGAUUCAUUUUGAGCAUACUAGUCAAUCGCAUACGCAAAAAGAUGGGUCUAAUCAUUUCAGCAAAGCGCUCAAAAUCCUCAUCAUCCUUUUUCUUGGAUGGUUUGGGAGGAAAAGGCAUGGGUUUCUGAACCCAUGGUUCCCUUUCUUUACCAUGUUUCCUAGCAAUGAAGUCUCUUUUAUCAUAACGUUGAUUCUUUGAUUGUGGGUUAUCAAGAUCAACAGCAGGUUCAACUUCUACAUCAUUAUCAUUACUAGGUUGAGCAUCAUUAUGAACAUCAUCAUUAACUUUUUUACUAGGUUCAUGUUCAUUACCAGAUUGUGUUUCAGCAUCAGACAUAGAGAUAUCAUUUGGAUUAUCAGGUGGUUCAGCAAUAGGUUCACUAGAAGUUUGCACAGUUCUAUCAUUUUUCUUUUUCUUCCUCUUAGAAGAACUAGGCAUAUCAAUAUUAUUUCUCUGAGAAUCUUGCUCGAUUCUCUUAGGGUGGCCUUCAGGAUACAAAGGUUCCUGAGUCAUUCUACCAGUUCUAGUAGCCACUCUAACAACAUAAUCAUUUUUCUUACUAUUCAUUUCAUCAAGCACUCCUUUCUGAGCUUUAAGUACUUGUUCUACUUGAGUGGUAACCAUAGAAGCAUGUUUGCUAACAAGUUUAAGUUCACCUCUAAUAUCAUCCAUAUAAUCACUCAGGCCUUUAAUCAUAAUGGUAUUCUGUUUUAAUUGUCUACCAAAAUAAGCAUUAAAGUCAUCUUGCUUAAGCAUAAAGUUAUCAAACUCAUCCAAGCACUGACUAGCAAUUUUAGUAGGAGGGAUUUCAGCUUUAUCAUAUCUAUAGAGAGAAUUUACCUUUACUACCUGUGUCGGGAUAUCGGGAGGUUCUUCAGUAAAUAAGUAAUUGAGAUCAUAUACUUCUUCAACAGGCGGUAAAUUAAGACCAUGUAUUUCUUCAAUAGGAGGUAAAUUCUUAACAUCUUCAGCUUUAAUACCUUUUUCUUUCAUGGAUUUCUUUGCCUCUUGCAUAUCUUCGGGACUGAGAAAUAGAACACCUCUCUUCUUCGGAGUUGGUUUAGGAAUAGGCUAAGUAAUUGGCUCAGGAGCUGGCUCGGGAGGUGCCCAAUUAUUUUCGUUUGCCAACAUAUUAUUUAAUAGAAUUUCAGCUUCAUCAAGUGUUCUUUCCUUGAAAAGAGAACCAGCACAACUAUCCACGUAAUCUCUGGAAGCAUCAGUUAGUUCAUUAAAAAAGAUAUCAAAUAUUUCAGGUUUCUUAAGAGGAUGAUCAGGCAAAGCAUUAAGUAACUUGAGAAGCCUCCCCCAAGCUUGUGGGAGACUCUCUUCUUCAAUUUGCACAAAAUUAUAUAUAUCCCUCAAAGCAGCUUGUUUCUUAUGAGCAGGGAAAUAUUUAGCAGAGAAGUAAUAAAUCAUAUCCUGGGGACUUUGCACACAACCAGGAUCAAGAGACUUAAACCAUUUCUUAGCAUCACCCUUUAAUGAGAACGCAAAUAUUUUGAGUAAAUAAAGGUAGUGUGAUCUCUCAUUAUUAUUAAACAGGGCAGCUAUAUCAUUUAACUUAUGAAGAUGUGCCACAACAGUUUCAUAUUCAUAGCCAUAAAAAGGAUCAGAUUCAGCAAAAGUAAUUAUAUCUGGAUCAACAGAGAAAUCAUAAUAAUCCUGAUCGGGAACACAGAUAGGUGAAGUAGCAAAAGCAGGGUCGGGUCUCAUCCAAUCUCUAAAAGAUUCUUUACUCCAUUUAACUAGCAACCUCUUAAAUUCAUAUCUAUCCUGGCAAGCAAGAAUGGCUGCAGUAGAUUCAACAUCGAAAAGAUAGCCCUCAGGAAUAGCAGGCAUAUUAUCAUCAUUACUAACAUCAUCAUGUUCAGUUUCAAUAAUUUCUCUUUCUCUAGACCUAGAAAUUUGUUCAUCUAGAAAUUCACCAAGGGGCACAGUAGUAUCAAGCAUAGGAGUAGUUUCAUCAUAAGUAUCAUGCAUAGCAGAAGUGGUAUCAUCAAUAACAUGCGACAUAUCGGAACGAAUAGCAGAAGCAGGUUUAGGUGUCGCUAGCUUACUCAUAACAGAAGGUGAAUCAAGUGCAGAGCUAGAUGGCAGUUCCUUACCUCCCCUCGUAGUUGAGGGAUAAAUUUUUCAUCUUAGCGUCUUUCAAGUUCUUCAUAGUGUCCAGCAGAUAUAAAUCCCAAGUGACUCAAAGAAUAGAGCUAUGCUCCCCGGCAACGGCGCCAGAAAAGGGUCUUGAUAACCCACAAGUACAGGGGAUCGCAACAGUUUUCGAAGGUAGAGUAUUCAACCCAAAUUUGUUGAUUCGACACAAGGGGAGCCAAAGAAUAUUCUCAAGUAUUAGCAGUUGAGUUGUCAAUUCAACCACACCUGGAAACUUAUUAUCUGCAGCAAAGUGUUUAGUAGCAAAGUAAUAUGAUAGUGGUGGUAACGGUAACAAAGUAAAGACAGCAAAAGUAAUGUUUUUGGUAUUUUUGUAGUGAUGAUAACAGUAGAAACGGAAAAGUAAAUAAGCGUAAACCAGUAUAUGGAAAACUCGUAGGCACCGGAUCAGUGAUGGAUAAUUAUGCCGGAUGCGGUUCGUCAUGUAACAGUUACAACAUAGGGUGACACAGAACUAGCUCCAGUUCAUCAAUGUAAUGUAGGCAUGUAUUCCGUAUAUAGUCAUACUGUGCUUAUGGAAAAGAACUUGCAUGACAUCUUUUGUCCUACCCUCCCAUGGCAGCGGGGUCCUAUUGGAAACUAAGGGAUAUUAAGGCCUCCUUUUAAUAGAGAACCGGAACAAAGCAUUAGCACAUAGUGAAUACAUGAACUCCUCAAACUACGGUCAUCACCGGGAGUGGUCCCGAUUAUUGUCACUUCGGGGUUGCCGGAUCAUAACACAUAGUAGGUGACUAUAGACUUGCAAGAUAGGAUCAAGAACACACAUAUAUUCAUGAAAACAUAAUAGGUUCAGAUCUGAAAUCAUGGCACUCGGGCCCUAGUGACAAGCAUUAAGCAUAUCAAAGUCAUAGCAACAUCAAUCUCAGAACAUAAUGGAUACUAGGGAUCAAACCCUAACAAAACUAACUCGAUCACAUGAUAAAUCUCAUCCAACCCAUCACCGUCCAGCAAGCCUACAAUGGAAUUACUCACGCACGGCGGUGAGCAUCAUGAAAUUGGUGAUGCAGGAUGGUUGAUGAUGACGACGGCGACGAAUCCCCCUCUCCGGAGCCCCAAACGGACUCCAGAUCAGCCCUCCCGAAAGAGAUUAGGGCUUGGCGGCGGCUCCGUAUCGUAAAAUGCGAUGAAACUUUCUCUCUGAUUUUUUUCUCCCCGAAAGCCAAUAUAUGGAGUUGGAGCGUCAGAGGGCCACCAUGGGGCCCACGAGGUAGGGGGCGCGCCUAGGGGGGAGGAGCGCGCCCCCACCCUCGUGGAUAGGGUGUGGGCCCCCUGGUCUUCAUCUUUGGCGAGGAUUUUUUAUUAUUUAUUCUAAGAUAUUCCGUGGAGUUUCAGGUCAUUCCGAGAACUUUUGUUUUCUGCACAUAAAACAACACCAUGUCAAUUCUGCUGAAAACAGCGUCAGUCCGGGUUAGUUCCAUUCAGAUCAUACAAGUUAGAGUCCAAAACAAGGGCAAAAGUGUUUGGGAAAGUAGAUACGACAGAGACGUAUCAACUCCCCCAAGCUUAAACCCUUGCUUGUCCUCAAGCAAUUCAGUUGACAAACUGAAAGAGAAAAAGAAAGAAAUUUACAAACUCUUUUUGCUCUUGUUGUUGUAAACAUGAAAAGCCAGCAUUCAAGUUUCAGCAAAUAUUAUGAACUAACCAUACUCACAAUAACACGUAGGUCUCAUAAUUACUCAUAUCAAUAAUAUAAUCAGCUAGCAAGCCAUAAUAAUAGAACUCAGAUGACAACUUUUUCUCAAAAUAAUCAUAACAUGAUAUUACGAAAUGGUAUCUCGCUAGCCCUUUCUGAGACCGCAAAACAUAAAUGCAGAGCACCUUUAAAGAUUCAAGGACUGACUAAACAUUGUAAUUCAUGGUAAAAGAGAUCCAGUCAAGUCAUACCCAAUAUAAACCAAUCAUAAUGAAUGCAAACGACAAUGUGCUCUCCAGCGGGUGCUUUUUAAUAAGAAGGGUGAUGAUUCAACACAAAAGUAAAUGGAUAGGCCCUUCGCAGAGGGAAGCAGGGAUUUGUAGAGGUGCCAGAGCUCGGUUUUGAAAUAGAGAUAAAUUAUAUUUUGAGCGGCAUACUUUCACUGUCAACGCAACAACUAUGAGAUGGUUGUAUCUUCCAUACUACAUGCAUUAUAGGCAGUUCCCAAACAGAAUGGUAAAGGUUUAUACUCCCCCUCCUCCACAAGCAUCAAUCCAUGGCUUGAUCGAAACAACGAGUGCCUCCAACAUUCAACGGGUCCCAGGGGGAGCUUUGCUUAAUUAUUUUGAUUUUCUUUGAUCUUUUUGGAUCAUGGGACUGGGCAUCCCGGAUACCAUCCAUUUUCUCAUGAAUGAGGAGCGGAGUCCACUCCUCUUGAGAAUAGCCCACCUAGCAUGGAAGAUAUAGGCAGCCCUAGUUGCACAUGAGCUGCUCGAGCAUACAAAACAGAAUUUCAUUUGAAGGUUUGGAGUUUGGCACAUACAAAUUUACUUGGAACGACAGGUAGAUACCGCAUAUAGGAAGGUAUAGUGGACUCAUAUGGAACAACUUUGGGAUUUAAGGAGUUUGGAUGCACAAGCAGUAUUCCCGCUUAGUACAGGUGAAGGCUAGCAAAAGACUGGAAAGCGACCAACUGAGAGAGCGACAACAGUCGUAAACAUGCAUUAAAAUUAAUUUACACCAAAUAUAAGCAUGAGUAGGAUAUAAUCCACCAUGAACAUAAAUAUCAUGAAGGCUAUGUUGAUUUGAUUCAACUACAUGCGUGAACAUGUGCCAAGUCGAGUCACUCUAUUCAUUCAAAGGAGGAUACCAUCCUAUCAUACCACAUCAUAAUCAUCUCAAUAGCAUGUUGGCACGCAUGGUAAACCAUUAUAACUCAUAGCUAAUCAAGUGCGGCACAAGCAACUAUAAUCUCUAAAUGUCAUUGCAAAUAUGUUUACUUCAUAAUAGCUGAAUCAGGAACGAUGAAUCAUCAUAUUUACAAAAACAAGAGAGGUCGAGUUUAUACCAACUUUUCUCAUCCCAAUAAGUCCAUAAUAUAUCAUCGUUAUUGCCUUUCACUUGCACGACCGAACGGUGUGUAUAAUAAUAAGAGUGCACGUGCAUUGGACUAAGCUGGAAUCUGCAAGCAUUCAACUCAAGAGAGAAGACAAGUAAUAUGGGCUCUGAGUUAAAUAAACGAUCAUGCAUAUGAGAGCCACUAAGCAUUUUCAAUAUGGCCUUCUCGACCCCCAAAGAAAGGAAAAAGAAAUAAAAACUAUUUACACAGGAAAGCUCCCAACAAGUAAGAAGAAGAACGGGAAAUAUUUUUGGGUUUUCUAUUUAAUUAUUACUACUACAGCAGGAAGAAAUAAACUACUACUAAUUUUUUGGUUUUUCUAAGGUUUAUUAAACACACAAGAAGAAAGCAGGAAAAAGGAAAAUACACUAGCAUGGAUAUUACAGUGAAAGAGUAUGAGCACCGACAUCUAGCAAUGAGUGUGUGUGAACAUGAAUGUAAUGUCGGUGGGAAAUACGUACUCCCCCAAGCUUAAGCUUUUGGCCUAAGUUGGUCUAUUGCCAGGGAUAGCCUGGCUGAUACCCAUAGGUGUAGCUAGGGUCGUACAGUGAUGCAGCGGCUACCGCCUCGUGAGCAGCAGCAUGGCGUCGAGCUGCCUCCGCUCUCCUCUCGUACUCAUCUGCCUCCUCUUUGGUAAUAAUAUAUCUUCCUCUCGUCUGAAAAUCAAAGAAGGCAGGAGCAGGAAGAGUAACACGGACAACAUGCCGUUUGUUAAAGAUUAGUCGAUACUGGAAAGGUGGUCCAGUCCUCUCAAUGAACUGAUGGGAAAACAUAGAAUCAAGAUCUAAAUAUGAAGGAGGUAACUCCAUGUCACCCUCACGAAUGUCUACAUCAAGAAAAUUAGCUAAGCGGGUUGCAUAAAUUCCUCCAAAGAAAUCUUCGGUAUGUCUAUUAUGAUGCAACCUACGAGCUACAAUGGCUCCCAUAUGAUAAGAUUGGUCCCCUAACACAGCACUUCUGAGAAUGCUGAGAUCAGGGGCACACAUGUGACAUGCUUCAUCCUUAGCAUUUAUGCAUCUACCAAUGAAGAGAGCAAAGUAAUGUAUAGCAGGAAAGUGAAUGCUCCCUAUAGUGGCCUGCGCUAUAUCUCUAGAUUCCCCCACAGUUAUUCUAGCAAGAAAGUCUCUGUAUUCAGAUUUAGGGGGAUCCCUGAUACUACCCCAAGAUGGAAGUUUGCAUGCAAAAGUGAAAUCCUCUAAGUCCAUGGUAUAAGAUUUGUCAUAAAGGUCAAACAUGACUGAAGGAGAAUUACGCGAAGAUGAAAACUCAAAUCUCCCCACAAAUGAACUUGUGAGAUCACGAUACUGGGGGCAUUUAUCAGCUUCAAAGUCCUCAAGACCGGCAUUACGCAAAUAUGCAUAAAAUUCUUCUUUAAUUCCCACUUGAUUCAUAAAAAUUUUCGAAGGCCAUUCACAAGGCCUCACGAGGGCGUCUCUUGGUGGUUCCUCGUCACCAUCACGCAUUGCAAGCUGGGACCUUGCUUCCAUGAAGAACCACCUUGGAACAUCUUCCUAAGCAUAUUGUUUUCUCCGAAAAAUAAUUCUAAAAUUUUUAGUAACUUCAAACAAAAGUGAACCAACUUCAAUAAAACUGAUAGCAACUACUCAUACAAGUGCCUAGAGCAUAUAUCAAGCAUUACAACUACUGGGAACCAUAUGAAUUUGACAUGCAAGCUCAAGAACAUGGUCACCUAUGCAACACAAAUUUGCAAUGAAUAAAGCACUAGAACAAAAACUAAUUGGACCAAUGGAGGAGUCACAUACCAAGGAACAAUCUCCCCAAGCAGUUUUCCGAGAGGUGCUUUGAGCAAGGAGAUCGAAAGUCACAACAAAAGAGGCUGGAACACGAGCUUGAGUUGGUUUUUCGGGUUUGUGUGAGACAGAGGAAGAAGAUGGGUGCAGGGAUAACUGGAGGAGGGCCACCGUGGGCCCACGAGGCAGGGGGGCGCGCCCAGGGGGUAGGGCGCGCCCUCCACCCUCGUGGCCAGGUGGCAGCUCCCCCCGCGGUAAUUUUUGCACUAAAAAUCCUAAAAUAUUCCCGAAAAAAUCAUAUUAAAUUGGCAUGGCAUUCUGAGGACUUUUAUUUUCAGGAUAUUUUUAUAUUGCACGGAUAAAUCAGGAAACAGACAGAAAAAUACUAUUUUACUUUAUUUCUACUAAGUAACAGAAAAUAUAAAGAGGGUACAGAAGGUUGUGCUUUUAGUUUCAUCCAUCUCAUGCUCAUCAAAAAGAAUCCACUAACAAGGUUGAUCAAGUCUUGUUAACAAACUCAUUCCGAUAAUCAUGGAACCGGAGAAAUUUCGAAUAACACUAUGUUACCUCAACGGGGAUAUGAACAUCCCCAAUAAUAAGUAUAUCAUAUUUCUUCUUGACAAUAGGGAGAGGAAAUUCAAAACCUCCAAAUAUAAUCGAUGGAAUUUUUCCAAUAGAGUUGAUACUAUGAACUUGAGGUUGUUUCCUCGGAAAGUGUACCGUAUGCUCAUUACCAUUAACAUGAAAAGUGACAUUGCCUUUGUUGCAAUCAAUAACAGCCCCUGCAGUAUUAAGGAAAGGUCUUCCAAGAAUAAUAGACAUACUAUCAUCCUCGGGAAUAUUAAGAAUAACAAAGUCCGUUAAAAUAGUAACGUUUGCAACCACAACAGGCACAUCCUCACAAAUACCGACAGGUAUAGCAGUUGAUUUAUCAGCCAUUUGCAAAGACAUUUCAGUAGGUGUCAACUUGUUCAAGUCAAGUCUACGAUAUAAAGAGAGAGGCAUAACACUAACACCGGCUCCAAGAUCACAUAAAGCAGUUUUAACAUAAUUUCUUUUAAUGGAGCAUGGUAUAGUAGGUACUCCUGGAUCUCCAAGUUUCUUUGGUAUUCCACCCUUAAAAGUAUAAUUAGCAAGCAUGGUGGAAAUUUCAGCUUCCGGUAUCUUUCUUUUAUUUGUAACAAUAUCUUUCAUAUAUUUAGCAUAAGGAUUCAUUUUGAGCAUACUAGUCAAUGCAUACGCAAAAAGAUGGGUCUAAUCAUUGCAGCAAAGCACUCAAAAUCCUCAUCAUCCUUUUUCUUGGAUGGUUUGGGAGGAAAAGGCAUGGGUUUCUGAACCCAUGGUUCCCUUUCUUUACCAUGUUUCCUAGCAAUGAAGUCUCUUUUAUCAUAACGUUGAUUCUUUGAUUGUGGGUUAUCAAGAUCAACAGCAGGUUCAACUUCUACAUCAUUAUCAUUACUAGGUUGAGCAUCAUUAUGAACAUCAUCAUUAACUUUUUUACUAGGUUCAUGUUCAUUACCAGAUUGUGUUUCAGCAUCAGACAUAGAGAUAUCAUUUGGAUUAUCAGGUGGUUCAGCAAUAGGUUCACUAGAAGUUUGCACAGUUCUAUCAUUUUUCUUUUUCUUCCUCUUAGAAGAACUAGGCAUAUCAAUAUUAUUUCUCUGAGAAUCUUGCUCGAUUCUCUUAGGGUGGCCUUCAGGAUACAAAGGUUCCUGAGUCAUUCUGCCAGUUCUAGUAGCCACUCUAACAACAUAAUCAUUUUUCUUACUAUUCAUUUCAUCAAGCACUUCUUUCUGAGCUUUAAGUACUUGUUCUACUUGAGUGGUAACCAUAGAAGCAUGUUUGCUAACAAGUUUAAGUUCACCUCUAAUAUCAUCCAUAUAAUCACUCAAGCGUUUAAUCAUAAAGGUAUUCUGUUUUAAUUGUCUACCAAAAUAAGCAUUAAAGUCAUCUUGCUUAAGCAUAAAGUUAUCAAACUCAUUCAAGCACUGACUAGCAAUUUUAGUAGGAGGGAUUUCAGAUUUAUCAUAUCUAUAGAGAGAAUUUACCUUUACUACCUGUGUCGGGAUAUCGGAAGGUUCUUCAAUAAAUAAGUAAUUGAGAUCAUAUACUUCUUCAACAUGCGGUAAAUUAAGACCAUGUAUUUCUUCAAUAGGAGGUAAAUUCUUAACAUCUUCAGCUUUAAUACCUUUUUCUUUCAUGGAUUUCUUUGCCUCUUGCAUAUCUUCAGGACUGAGAAAUAGAACACCUCUCUUCUUCGGAGUUGGUUUAGGAAUAGGCUAAGUAAUUGGCUCGGGAGCUGGCUCGGGAGGUGCCCAAUUAUUUUCAUUUGUCAACAUAUUAUUCAAUAGAAUUUCAGCUUCAUCUGGUGUUCUUUCCCUGAAAAGAGAACCAGCACAACUAUCCAGCUAAUCUCUGGAAGCAUUAGUUAGUCCAUUAUAAAAGAUAUCAAAUAUUUCAGGUUUUCUUAAGAGGAUGAUCAGGCAAAGCAUUAAGUAACUUGAGAAGCCUCCCCAAGCUUGUGGGAGACUCUCUUCUUCAAUUUGCACAAAAUUAUAUAUAUCCCUCAAAGCAGCUUGUUUCUUAUGAGCAGGGAAAUAUUUAGCAGAGAAGUAAUAAAUCAUACCCUGGGGACUUUGCACACAACCAGGAUCAAGAGAAUUAAACCAUUUCUUAGGAUCACCCUUUAAUGAGAACGCAAAUAUUUUGAGUAAAUAAAGGUAGUGCGAUAUCUCAUUAUUAGUAAACAGGGAAGCUAUAUCAUUUAACUUACGAAGAUGUGCCACAACAGUUUCAGAUUCAUAGCCAUAAAAAGGAUCAGAUUCAACCAAAGUAAUUAUAUCUGGAUCAACAGAGAAAUCAUAAUAAUCCUGAUCGGGAACACAGAUAGGUGAAGUAGCAAAAGCAGGGUCGGGUCUCAUCCAAUCUCUAAAAUAUUCUUUACUCCAUUUAACUAGCAACCUCUUAAGUUCAUAUCUAUCCUGGCAAGCAAGAAUGGCUGCAGUAGAUUCAGCAUCGAAAAGAUAGCCCUCAGGAAUAGCAGGCAUAUUAUCAUCAUUACUAACAUCAUCGUGUUCAGUUUCAAUAAUUUCUCAUUCUCUAGACCUAGAAAUUUGUUCAUCUAUAAAUUCACCAAGGGGCACAGUAGUAUCAAGCAUAGAAGUAGUUUCAUCAUAAGUAUCAUGCAUAGCAGAAGUGGUAUCAUCAAUAACAUGCGACAUAUCGGAACGAAUAGCAGAAGCAGGUUUAGGUGUCGCUAGCUUACUCAUAACAGAAGGUGAAUCAAGUGCAGAGCUAGAUGGCAGUUCCUUACCUCCCAUCGUAGUUGAGGGAUAAAUUUUCAUCUUAGCGUCUUUCAAGUUCUUCAUAGUGUCCAGCAGAUAUAAAUCCCAAGUGACUCAAAGAAUAGAGCUAUGCUCCCCGGCAACGGCGCUAGAAAAGGGUCUUGAUAACCCACAAGUACAAGGGAUCGCAACAGUUUUCGAAGGUAGAGUAUUCAACCCAAAUUUGUUGAUUCGACACAAGGGGAGCCAAAGAAUAUUCUCAAGUAUUAGCAGCUGAGUUGUCAAUUCAACCACACCUGGAAACUUAUUAUCUGUAGCAAAGUGUUUAGUAGCAAAGUAAUAUGAUAGUGGUGGUAACGGUAACAAAGUAAAGACAGCAAAAGUAAUGUUUUUGGUAUUUUUGUAGUGAUGAUAACAGUAGAAACGGAAAAGUAAAUAAGCGUAAACCAGUAUAUGGAAAACUCGUAGGCACCAGAUCAGUGAUGGAUAAUUAUGCCGGAUGCGGUUCGUCAUGUAACAGUUACAACAUAGGGUGACACAGAACUAGCUCCAGUUCAUCAAUGUAAUCUAGGCAUGUAUUCCGUAUAUAGUCAUACGUGCUUAUGGAAAAGAACUUGCAUGACAUCUUUUGUCCUACCCUCCCAUGGCAGCGGGGUCCUAUUGGAAACUAAGGGAUAUUAAGGCCUCCUUUUAAUAGAGAACCGGAACAAAGCAUUAGCACAUAGUGAAUACAUGAACUCCUCAAACUACGGUCAUCACCGGGAGUGGUCCCGAUUAUUGUCACUUCGGGGUUGCCGGAUCAUAACACAUAGUAGGUAACUAUAGACUUGCAAGAUAGGAUCAAGAACACACAUAUAUUCAGGAAAACAUAAUAGGUUCAGAUCUGAAAUCAUGGCACUCGGGCCCUAGUGACAAGCAUUAAGCAUAUCAAAGUCAUAGCAACAUCAAUAUCAGAACAUAAUGGAUACUAGGGAUCAAACCCUAACAAAACUAACUCGAUCACAUGAUAAAUCUCAUCCAACCCAUCACCGUCCAGCAAGCCUACAAUGGAAUUACUCACGCACGGCGGUGAGCAUCAUGGAAUUGGUGAUGGAGGAUGGUUGAUGAUGACGACGGCGACGAAUCCCCCUCUCCGGAGCCCCGAACGGACUCCAGAUCAGCCCUCCCGAGAGAGAUUAGGGCUUGGCGGCGGCUCCGUAUCGUAAAACGUGAUGAAACUUUCUCUCUGAUUUUUUUCUCCUUGAAAGCCAAUAUAUGGAGUUGGAGUUGGCAUCGGAGGGCCACCAGGGGGCCCACGAGGUAGGGGGGCGCGCCUAGGGGGGAGGGGCGCGCCCCCACCCUCGUGGACAGGGUGUGGGCCCCCUGGUCUUCAUCUUUGGCGAUGAUUUUUUAUUAUUUAUUCUAAGAUAUUCCAUGGAGUUUCAGGUCAUUCCGAGAACUUUUGUUUUCUACACAUAAAACAACACCAUGGCAAUUCUGCUGAAAACAGCGUUAGUCCGGGUUAGUUCCAUUCAAAUCAUACAAGUUAGAGUCCAAAACAAGGGCAAAAGUAUUUGGAAAAGUAGAUACGAUGGAGACGUAUCAUGUAGGUCUGCCACUGUGAGCCUAGAAUUGCUGAUGUGAAUCCCCAAAUAUUUGGUGAGGAAGGAGCCUAGUCUACAGUUAAGCCUGUCGGCCAUACCUUGGCACUCCUCCUGGGAGUAGCCAAGGAUCAUCACCUCGCUCUUGUCGAAGUUGGUCGUGAGGCCCGACAUCUGCUCAAAGUAGAGGAGGAGGAAUUUAAGGUUGGUGAUGUCAGAGUCUGAACCCUCGAUCAUGAUGAUGGUGUCAUCUGCGUACUGUAGGAGGGAGACCCCUCCCCCUCCCACCAGAUGAGGUACCACCCCUUGGAUAUGACCAGCAGCCUUGGCCUUAUCAAGGAUAGUUGCUAGGGCAUCGACCACCAUGUUGAAAAGGAACAGAGAGAAGGGAUCACCCUGGCGUACCCCACAUAGGGUGGGGAAGUAGGGUCCAAUCUUGUCGUUGAUGUUUACUGCGGUCCGACUGCACGAGACUAGCUGCAUGACGCGGUGACCCAACGAUCGUUGAAGCCCUUGCGGAGGAGGACUUCACGAAGAAAAGCCACCGAACCGUGUCAUAGGCUUUAUGGAAGUCAAGCUUCAAAAAGACCGCAUGCUGGCGCUUUGCGUGGACUUCAUGCAGGACUUCGUGGAACACCAACACCCCAUCGAGAAUGAACCAGCCCUGGAUGAAGGCAGAUUGGUUGGGGUGGGUCAUGGAGUUAGCCAGCAGGGUCACCCUAUUGGCGUAGCCCUUCUCAAGGAUCCAAAACAUCACGUUGAUCACCGUGAUAGGGCGAAACUGGCGGAUAUCCGAAGCACCCGGGACCUUAGGGAUUAGAGUAAUAAUUCCAUAGUUGAGGCGCAGGUCCAUGGAUCCCACAUAGAACUCAUUAAAUAGCACCAUAACCUCGGGCUUGAUAGCUUGCCAGAAGGUAUGGAAGAAUUUCACCGGGAGACCAUCUGGUCCGGAACUGAGGAAGGGUUCAUGCCCUUAAUCGCGGCGAGGACCUCUUCCUCCCUGAAGGGGGCUAUAAGGGCCUCAUUGUCCAUAGUCGAGACCAGCUGGCAACCCAACCAAGUAUCUAAGGCCAGAGAGGCGCCACCCCGAGGGGUAGAGGAAAUAGGGCUUUAUAAAAGCCGUCGACGUGGGCGCGGAUCUCCGUGGGUCGGAGGAGGAUGGUGUCCCCAUCCCAUAGGCAGUGGACGGAGUUGCGACGUCGCCUACCGUUGGCGAUUGCUUGGAAGUAAGCGAUGCUAAAAUCCCCACGGAGCACCCACUGUUGGGUGCCCCAUUGGUGCCAAUAGGCCUCCUCGUCGGUGUAUAUGACCGAUAGCUGGUCUUCGAGCUCAUAGCGCCCGGUGGUGUCUGCCCGGGCGUCUAGGGCUUGAAUGGAUGCUAGCAGAGUGGAUUUUCGCUCCCUAAGGUCCGGCCAAGGUUGGCCCCCCAACCAUUCAUGAACUGUAGGGACAGUUUAUCACAAAACUUCCAGGUGUCAAUCGCGGAUAGGGACCUGUGCGGGCUUCCCCAGGCCUCCACCCACCGAGCGCCCACCGCGUCCACAAAGCCCGGUUGGUUUAGCCAGAAUAGCUCAAACCGAAACCGGGGCGGGAUGGGAGGGCGGUCGUAAGGUAUAAAUAAUGUCCGAUUUCGAUUACAAGCAAGCAAACAAACAGUCACAUAUAUUCAUUUGUUGUUACAACAUAAUAAUAACAACAAGAGUUUGGGUAACAAUCAAGUGCGUAAUAAAACCUAGUAUGAAAUAGAGUAGCAAAGUGUUGGCUCCCUGCUUGGAUUAUUAUUAUCAAGUUACAUGACAAUACCGGCCCCUUCAAAGUGUUCCACCGAAAAGAAAUAAGGAGUAACACCGGCCUGCCAUACAGACAGAUAUAGAUACAGAUACAGGUGCUCGUCCACAAACCUAACUUGUAAGCUUGCAUAAGUAACUUGGAUGGGCAAACAACAGAUCAGCCGGAGGAGGAGGGUUGUUCCCCAUUUUCCUUGCUGUGGUAAAAUCUUAUGCCCUCUGGGGAAGGAUGGAUACAGGAGAUAUCGAAGCAAGGGAGGAAGCAAGCAAGGCUAAAGAUGAAUAGCCGCCAUAUAUGUAUGUAUGUAUAUAGUUGAAGAUGAUUGCGAUGAUGAAAUAACCAAUCAAUUAACCUGCAAAUCAAGACGACGGUUGGUACAAGUAAGUGUACGUGUCAGUUUUGACUUUCGGUUUGAAUUAUUUUUCGUCCUUGGCCGAAAUGAUCGAAUUUCGGACAUUUCAAAUAUUUCGGCAAAAUCUCAGACGAAAUUUCGCAAACAAAAUUUGAAUUUUUGGAUGAAAUUUGGUGAAAUUUGAACAGAAUUUGAAAUGAAACAGAGCAUAAGUACAGCAAGGCAAGAACCAUCGGGAGAAUUAUACAAUAUUUAGCAAAUAAGCUCUAGGGAUUAAUAAAACUGCAUCCGUCCAACAACCAUCAGCCUCCAACGUAACAUUAUAACAAUACUAACAUCAGUUCGAACCAUCUUUGUCGCCCUUGAUGCUGCUGCUGCUGCUCCGUGCUCCUGCCUGCAUUGAACUGGUCCGCUCGUGCACGGUCACCUCCUUUGCCGCAGCAGUCGAGCACCAUGCCGUAGCCUUGGAGAAACAACAGAGAGGAGGUGGCUGAGGUGGAGGAAGCUAGGGGACACUGGAGGUGGGGCGCCUUGGCCGGAGAACCAAAAGAGCCCUGUGCGCGGCGGCGGUGGCGCACACAGGAGGAGAACGAGAGGAAAAGAUCUUUCUAGGGUUAGGCCGCUCGGUCUCCUCGUUUUGUAUCACCCGAUCCACAGUAGGAACUCGCUGGAAGCUGGGCUGGGCCAAAAAAAUUUAAAUUGGGCCAAAAUUUUUGGCCGACAGAGACAUAUGCCGGGCCCUAGCGAAAUGGCCGAAAUUCGGCCGAAAUUGGUUUUUUCGGCCGAAAAUCAAAACACAAGGUCCCAAGGACCCAAGGUCGCUCAAGUGAUCCUUGAUCCACCAUGGAAUGCUCAUGUGUUUUUUGCGUACAAUUAGACCGCCCAAAUCACUGCCAACACCAACAUCAUCCACUUGAAUGGACAGGACCUCCCCAGCUAACUCGGACGCAAGAUGACUAAUCUUCCAAGCUUGGCGGAUGCACUCAGGCACUAAUCCUUCCAAUUUCGAAAGUUGACUAACUUCCCAGGGUAGUACACUGACGAACACGCCUAAUUUCUCCAGCUUCUUUAGCACCCCGAUUUCCCUUGGUAUCUUCAUCACCCCUGUAUCAUGCAACAUCAGAUACUUCAAAUUCUGCAGUUUCCAGAUCUCACGAGGAAGCUGCGCGAGCUCCAAGUUCCGACUCAGGCCCAAGGUCUCUAAAUGCUGCAGGUCACCGAUUUCACUAGGUAGCUUUGUGAUCCGUGACCUGCCCACCUCCAGCGUUUUUAGAUACUGCAACUUCCCAAUCUCCCGAGGUAGCUCUUUGAGCUUGGUGGCAUGCAGGUUCAGAUUCUCCAGAUUCUGGAGGUUCCCGAUUUCACGGGGUAGCUCUCCGAGCGUGCUGUUGUAACUCAAAUCCAGUCUCCAAAUGUUGCAGGUCUCCAAUCACCCUGGGUAGCUCUGUCAGAUUUUGGUUGUCACUCAUGACUAGAGUCUUCAAUUGUUGUAGGUCUCCAAUCUGACUGGGUAUCUCUGUGAUCGAUGUGAAUCGUACCUGCAAAGUCUCCAAAUACAGUAGCCUCGCUAUUUCGGUAUCUCACUAAUUUUCGUCCCCUCUAGGCCGAAUAGGUGCCUUAUACGGAGCAGUGCACAUAUAUCCUUCACAUGAUGAUUCCCAAGAGCCUUUCUGACAUUAAAAUCCCGAAAAUAACCAACAGGCAAUUCAGGAUACUGCUGAUGAUAUUGAAGAUCCAACACCCGAACACGUUCCAACUUCUCUAAAGGGACAUAUCUCUUAGCACCUUCAAAAACAACAAGAGAUCGGGACCAGUCCAUCGCACUGCCAUCAACUCGAUAAUCGUCGAUGCACAGCCGAUGGUUUCCACAUGCAUUUGCCAAUGUGAUAUCGGAACUGCAAGCAAUGAAAUUAUCUUCACGCGAUUUCCAUCUAAGGAAAUUUCGUAUCACCGGAUUCAUUUGGUAGGCCUUGUCAUAUGCCCGCAGCAUCGUCCAACCCUUGUUGCUAAGCUCUUCGAGAUAAUCUUUUGCUGCAUCCACUUCAUAAGUAAAUCCUUCAGCGACCCAUCGCAUGACCAAAUCAUUCAUGGGAAAACAGUAAUUCUCAGGGUAUAUACUGCAGUACAACAAGCAGGUCUUCAUCAUAUGGUGAGGAAGAUCGUCAUAGCCAAGCUGCAAGCUCUCUACCAACGGUUCAAACCCUGGAGUGUUCUGAAUUCCACUUUGCUUAACUUGCUUCUCAAUGAUAUCUUGCACAUCACGUGCCUUUACAUGUACCCCUAGUUGUUCUUGUUGCUCUCGGAGGACCAUUGCCAUUGCUGAAAACAUGCAAAGUAGUGCUAACAGGACACCACCACACAUGCGCACAAUAGGAUGGUCACAGUCAAAACCUUCUCCAACCAUGUCAGGCUUCAUCCGAGUGGCAAUAUCUUCCUCAUCAGGUCUGUACAUCCAUCUUCUCUUUGUAGAACUCCAUUCAGGAUUGCUUAUCGACAAGAGACUAUAUUUAGGAUUCAGUCUGAUGCUGAUGUAGAGCUCGUUAUUAGCGAAAUCAUCUCCUGUUACAGAAUCAAUGCGAGUUGUCAUGACAAUUCUACUGCCCAGAUUAUUUUGUGGAAGAGACUUGUUGAUGAUGUCCCAUUUUCCACGAUGCCAUAUGCCAUCAAUUAUUACUAGGUACCUAAGGCAAGUUGGUUGCACAAGAUAGUAAUUAGUAGGCAGCUUGACCAAAUUAAAUUUAGAAAUCCAGGACUGAAAUCCUGAACCUGGCAGUAAAUAUUUCUAAAAGGAUUAACUAAAUUUAAACUUUAAUAAUAAUUUGCACACCUUUUGUCAUCUAGGAAAUUCGAUAUGGCGUGGAUAAGACCUUCCUCUGUCCUUGCUUGGGUGCCAGCAGGGGGUUCAGCUCCUACUUGCUUGAGAAUGCUUGUGAGAACCUCCUUCAUGUUGGGAGUUGGAGUGACGGACACAAAAGCCCGGGACUGGAACUUAUUUCCAAUCUCCCCAUACACAAGGCUGGCAAGGGUUGUUGUGCCCACACCACCCAUCCCAACAAUGGAUGCCAUUUUGAACUGCGGCUGCGCCAUUGUGCUCCCUUCUUGUCCUACCAGGUACCUAAGGCAAGUUGUUGAUCACAUUCAAAAGCUGAUCCUCGGUCAUCAUCGAUCCUCGUUUUUUUUUCAGUACAAUAAAAUUUACUCCCUCUGUAAAGAAAUAUAAGAGCGUUUAGAUCACUAUUUCUUUACGGAGGGAGUACUUAUUACCUAACCUCAUUGAUAUGCGCUUGUUUCGAGUUAGCUGCAUCCAUAUUCUAGUGCUUUACCAUUCUUUAUUCUUGGCUGGUGUUUAUCCAGUAAUUUCCCUUUUUUAGCUUUUGCAUUUAAAUCAAAAUAUAAUUCUAAUGCUGACUCUUUAUGCACAGUCUUGCUCGUCAAUGUUCUCAACUUUGGUUGAAAACACGAGAAGAAAUUGGUUAUCCACUGGGCACUUACCAAGAGGCUAGUCUUGUAUACCCCCAUGUCUCUGAAAAGCUCAGCAGAAAGGUAUUUAGUUUAUAUUGGCUAUGUAUUGCCGAAUGUGUUAUUUUUAAACAUAUAAUGUUGUGAAUGUACAUGUCACAACAUCCAACAAACACACCUUCUGACCUUGGACUUUGGUUUCUGUCAUUUAGGAAGUGCUGGGGCAGGCACAGACGUUUGUUCUUGAAAUAGGAACAGAAGAGUUGCCGCCCCAUGAUGUGGUAGAAGCAACUGAACAAGUAAGUUUCUAUUUCAACAUGGUUUUCCAUCCUAGUGUAAACAACACAGUUAUACUUGCUGAACAUUUAAGUUAUGAUUCUGUCCUUUUGAUCUUCCCCAGCUUGAGAAAUCUCUAGUUCAAAUACUAGGGAAGCGUAGACUGAGCCAUGGGAAGGUGCUCUCCUAUGGGACACCACGGAGAUUAGCGGUAUAACUACCAGCUUGACACUUCUAUCUUACAUUUAAUUUCUCAACCAGCUUUCAAUGGAUUAUUAUAUCAUCAUAUUAGUCCCACGGGCACAGUGUUUGAACUUCUGAUGCCUUGAGACAAAAAUAAGCUUGAUGAAAUAUCAUAUCCAGUGCAAAGUGCAUGAUGGAGAAACAUGAAAUCAGUCAGUAGGGUUAUCUGUCCUUUCCUUAGUAGCAACAGAACUGUAGACAGAGUUAGAAUAUAUCUUUUUUUUGUGUUGUAUGUAAAUUAAUAGAAAAUUGAUAGGCUUUAAGAAGACGACAUCUCUUAAAGAAGAGGUAUCUUGGUAGUCAUCUUUUACUAAAUAUGUUUGUUUUGUGCUGCUAUACAAGUUUCAGCUUUAUUUUGCAGGCUGUUGUUGAAAAUCUAAGUCUGAAGCAAAUGGAGGAAGAGGUUGAGUUACGCGGUCCGCCAGUUACAAAGGCAUUUGACCAAGAGGGAAAAACCACUAAGGUUAGCUAUCCAACGAGAAGCUGGACUUAUCCCUGGUAUCCUUCUGUUGCGUAUUCCUUGGGUUUCUCUGGUUAUCUGCCCUGUUUUUAAUAUUUCUCCAUUCUAUUUAGGCUGAGUAGGGAUAAUGUUUUGGAAGUCUUUCUCUCUGUUCUAAUUCAGGAAUAUUUUUCUCUGUUCAUUUUCAGGCUGCUGAGGGGUUUUGUCGGAAAAAUAAUGUUCCCUUAGAUUCCUUAUACAGAAAAAUCGACGGUAUGCAACUCAUGCUUUUGCCUUCAGAAAGUUGGUUGCUCACUUCGAGCUCUAUGUUUUGUUUUUCUGAAAUUUUCAUUUCUGUGGCAUAUUAGCAUUUGUGUGUAGCUUAUUGGGAAGGGAUUUCUAGAUUUCAUCUCCCUUUCUUAUUUCUGCUUGAUCUACCUUGGAACCGAUGAUCCAAAGGUCCUUCGUUGUUCCCAUGAAGGAUUUCUAGCACAAUGUUAGGUUCAACUCUCAAUUCUUAUUCUGCAUAAACUAUUUCAUACCAAACAACUGGGGUACUAUUUUGAUUAGAUUAAUCCAAUUCACAAACACAAAUUGUAGGCCUGGUAACUUCACUCUACUUAAUGAAAAGAUGUGCAAACACGCUUGUUACAUUCUCUAGAAAAAGCAUGCUAACUCUGAUUUACUGUAUGGCUAUAUUGAGACUCUCCACUGAACUACAUGUUUGAAUCGUUUCCUGUUCUAUGAAGAGGUCUGAACUUUGUUGAGCUUAUUCUUUUCCAGGUAAAACAGAGUAUAUAUAUGCCCGUGUCAAAGAGUCUGCACGAUACGCUGAUGAGGUUAGUUUUCAUUCUUCAUAUUUUUGACAGAAUUAUAUCAGGAAAAUGCAGUAAGUAGGGCCUUUGGUUGUUGAUAAAAGCAUAUGAUUCCUUGACACUUAUUUCAUCAACAGUAUUUGCAAAAGAAUUAAAAAGGUGUUCCUUGGUUCUGGGGGGUUUGAGGUACGAGCUUUUGGGUGGUGGGAAUGAGAAUGAUAACCUGUCUGAAUUUCUCUGUGGUACCUGCUUGUAUUUCUUGUCAAGAAAUCAGCCUUUAACUUGUUUAACAACUUUUGGAAAAAUUUCUAGAUUAAGAAAAUUAUAGGUACUCCAUCACCCGACAUUAUUUAUGAUUUGUCAAGGAGCAAACUCCACAGUUCAUAAUAAACUUAGUGACAUGUCCCGGUGCUGCCGCGUUAGUAUUUUGUAGGAUGAGAAACUAUAAUUGGCUAUUUAUGAUUGGUGAUAAUUUAAAUCUCGUGCUCAGCACGCUGUGCGGUGCAGCGUUCAGCAUCUAGCACGCUAGAAUGCAUACUGUAGUUCCUGGCUUCCAUUUUCUCUGCCCCUGUUCAACAACUGUAGCAUGUGAAUUGCAGGUCCUAUCUGAAGAUUUACCUACUAUUAUAUCUGGCAUUUCAUUCCCCAAGUCAAUGCGCUGGAACUCAAAUGUACGUGUAGAUCACAUUUCAGGUUUAAUUCAUAUUUGCAUGCUAUUUAAGUUUCUAUUCCGUAACAUUUGGGGGGUUAUUUCACUUGCAGAUUGUGUUUAGUCGCCCUGUACGCUGGAUCAUGGCACUUCAUGGAGAUCUUGUUGUGCCAUUUUCUUUUGCUGGCAUCUCAAGGUAAUAUUUUAGUGUGUGAUACACUUAAUUUAUAUUUUUUUAGUGUGAUGAUGUGCAUAAAGAUUAAAUGGAAUAAAACUCCUAUGCCUUUUGUUGUGUGUUUUUCCGUACAAAAAAUCUUAAAACCACCAUGAUUUGUUAUUGGGACAGUGGGAGCCAGUCAUGUGGCCUUCGUAACUCCUCUUUGGCGAAUUUUAAGGUACAGAUUGAGCAAUCAUGUGUAUAAAUUUAUUUUUGUACUCCAGUUCUGACUUCUAUUUUGAGAUAAAUAUUGAUGUGUAAACUGUCAAGCCAUAUCAAGUUACCCACAUUGUAUUGCCAAGAUCGAUAUUGAAAGACUUUAGUUCCAUUUCCCUUUUCAGGCUAAUAAUAUCUGUCCUGGCUCUUGUUGCGGACAAAAACCAUGUUAAUUAUAGUAAAAUCUAAUCAGUUAAUGCUCUUGACAGAAUCUCCCUCUGUUGAGAAAAAAAAGUGCUACUCCAGUGAACUAACUGCUGUGUCCUCUUUGGAGUAUCUUAUUUUCUGUAGAGGGAUUUCACUCUUUGUUGUGUGACAGGCUAACAGAUGUGGUUGCUAUCUCCAAUGUUCAGGUGGAAACUGCAGAAUCAUAUUUGCACACUGUGGAAAAAGCUGGGAUCGUGAUUGAUAUGCAGGUGAGAUAAGCAAAUAUAAGGCUUUCAUAUGCAGUCCGAGAUCUCAUGUUCUUUUUGCAGAUCAUUAACACAUGCUCAUUUGGUAGGUUCCAUACCAGAAUGUUAUAAUUUUGUGCGCAAUCUGAUUCACUUGAGAAUAUAAUUUUGUGGGCUAACUUGUUUAGCCUACAGAAAACAAGGAAAAGAUGCAAUUGGCUGAAGGAGUAUUCCGUUAAUACUUUUAGUUAAUUAGUACUCCAGGUUUCAUUGUGCCUCAGUUUUUAUAUAACACUCCAUUGCAGGAGCGCAGAGCUAAAAUCUUGGAUGACCCUAGUACAUUGGCUAAAGGAGUUGAUGGGGAUUUCAUUGCACCUGAUAGCUUGCUGCAGGAGGUAGAUGUUUUUUUUUGGCAUAUUGUUUUGGUUGAAACUGGAAGUUAUCCUGAAACAUUUGAAACCACAAUGCAGGUUGUCAAUCUUGUGGAGGCGCCUGUGCCCAUUCUUGGACGAUAUGAUGAUUCCUUCCUAGAACUUCCGAAAGAUGUGUUAACAACGGUAUGCUCAGAUUUGGACAGCGAUGCCUAUAAACUACACUACAUUUUUUUGGUUCUGAUGAUGCAGGCACCAAAUGAUAAGUCCAAUGACAUGUUUUGUGCUUUAAGUAUUACUCAACUGAAAGGAAUUAUCUCAUAACAUGCAUGUUUUCUAAUGAAAAUUACAACUGCAGGUCAUGCAGAAACACCAGAGGUAUUUUCCUGUAACCUCCAAGUCUACAGGCGAUCUGCUACCAUAUUUUAUUACCGUGAGAUGAUUUCUGCACUUCUAUAUACUUUACAAUUGGUUAGUGAUUAGUCUUUGUUCUAAUUCAGCAUUUGUUGUUAGGUUGCUAAUGGUUCUAUUAGUGAAGAAGUGGUCCGUAAAGGCAAUGAAGCUGUACUCAGGUUAUGCAAAGGUCCAAUGAAGAUUUUCUGAAUCAUUAUUUUACUGUGCAAAUUUUCGUUUUAGAGCCAAAGUUUUGGCAUGAACAAAUAGUAGCACAGUCAAGUUACUAGCACUAUUUUUGAAUUGUUUUUCAUCUUGGCCUCUGCCUUUUUUAAUUUGUAAAGAGAACUUUAGACAAAUAUACAUUCUGAAUUGGCGUACAAAUACAGGGCAAGGUAUGAGGAUGCCAAGUUCUUUUAUAAGAUGGAUACACAAAAGAAUUUGUCUGAAUUCCGAGGCCAGCUGAAGAGCAUUCUCUUUCAUGUGAGUUAUGCUGAAUUUUCCUUGGUUUCUUGUGUUCUGCUUAUUCUUAUUUUAUCUGCAUCACAUUGAAUAGGAAAAACUUGGUACAAUGCUCGACAAAACAGCGCGUGUUGAAAAUGUUGUCGCAGAGGUGACCCUUGUUCUCGGGAUAAAUGAGGGGAUGAUCCCAGUUGUCAAAGAUGCAGCUGCAUUGGCUAUGUCAGAUCUUGCCACUUCCGUUGUUACGGAAUUAACUUCACUCGCUGGAAUUAUGGCACGCCACUAUGCUUCAAGGGACGGUCUUCCAGAAGAGGUACAUUUGUUGCCAACUCUUAAUAGGGAAAGUUAAGCUGGUCCUCAACUUUGGCUGAGCAAAUUUUCAUGUCAAAGAUUGCAGAAGCACUAUUCGAGAUAACACUUCCAAGGUUCUCUGGCGAUGUUUUACCAAAAUCAGAUGUUGGCAUAGUCCUUGCGGUUGCUGAUAGGUACUUCCUACACAUAUAUUGACAUCGUUAAACAGAUGCUAAACUGAAAAUAAAAUAAAAUGUUGCUAUAUUCGAGUCAUAGCCCACUAUUUAGAACUAUGAUAUUCGGAGAACCUUGCUUCUGCUAAUGAUUUUUUUUCACAGAUUGGACAGCCUAGUGGGUCUGUUUGGAGCUGGAUGUCAGCCAAGUUCUUCGAACGAUCCAUUUGGACUGAGAAGGAUCUCUUAUGGAUUGGUAAGGGGAGCUGAAACUGUAAAUAUCAUUACAUAUAUAAUAUUUUUUAUACAGGUACAAGUAUUAGUUGAUAAUAUAUUUUAUACAGGUUCAAAUAUUGGUUGAUAAUAAGAAGAACUUUGACCUCACGAAGGCCUUGACCUUGGUGGCACAGGUGCAGCCUAUAAGAAUAGACAAUGACGUUAUAAAUGAGGUCAGUAUAUAUUUCAGAUCAUCACUAUGUUACUAUGUUCAUAUGAGUACAUGGUUUUUGACAACUCUGAUCAAAUUUAUUCUUAGGUAGUGCAAUUUGUAACACGGAGACUGGAACAACUUUUGGUAUGUAUCUCCUUCACCUGUAAUGACAAUAGAGUUAUUACUUAUUACACAUAAGGCUGUUCUUCUCCGAGAUUCUUGUAUUCUACCCUCUUGGGAUGUACUGAGAAAGAAAUAUAAGAUACACCCUCUGUUCCAUACUACACUAGAACUUUGCGUAAUUCUUGUUGUGGUUUUAGUUCAGAUGAAGUACAUAGACUAUAUGUGAGUAAAUUUCAUGUCUUUUGAAAUGACUCGUUUGUUCCUCAUUUUUCAUCAGGUGGAUGAGGGAAUUAACUAUGAAAUAGUUCGGUCGGUGCUUAUGGAGCGUGCGAACUGCCCUUAUCUGGCAUCACAAACGGCAGCUGAAGUAAGAAAUUAUAGUUUUCAAGUUUUAUGUGCUUAGCACCUCUGCUGAAAUUUGUGGAAGCAUCCUGGGUUUGUGGUGAUGGUCUUGCUAUGUGGAAACUGGCAGAUGGAAGCAUUUUCAAGAACUGAAGAUUUCCCAAAAAUCGUUGAGGCGUAUUCCAGGCCAGUUCGAAUUAUACGUGGGAAGCAAAUCGAGUCUGCUUGGGAGGUACUGGCUGUUUUUACGUAGACACGUGCCAUCACAAUUGAGUAACAAACUCAGAGCGCAGCUUGAAUUAGGAGCUAAGCUUGCUGCUGUAGCAUCUACUGACGACUUGCCUCACCAUGAAUGCAAAUAUGCAGGUUGACACAAGCGUAUUCGAGAAGGACGAAGAAAAGGCCUUGUGGAGCGCCUAUUUGGAGGCUGUCGACAAGAUCCAUCCUGGUAACAGAAGACUAUAUUCAUUUCUCAAAGCGACAUGUAUCAGGUCCACACAGUUCAUACAGCUCACCUCUGCGCUAUUCUGUUCACCGCUCUUGCAGGUGUUGACGUCAAAACCUUCGUCGAGGCCUCCCUGCUUCUGAUACAGCCUUUGGAAGAUUUCUUCAACAAUGUUUUUGUCAUGGCGGUGAGAGUAGAAACUCUUUGUUUUCCAGAUCUAUUGUGAUUCAUAUCAUUUUACCGUUUGACGGUGUGUAGAUGCACAUGUGACUUUGCUGAUUAACCUUUGUUUGUAUCUCGUGAUGGCGCCCAUUGGACAGGAAGAUGAGAAGAUCCGCAACAACCGGCUGGCACUGCUACAAAAGGUUGCGAGUUUGACGAAGGGGAUAGCCGACCUCUCGGCUUUACCAGGGUUUUAGUUAGCCUUGAAGCGAGCUGAGAGCGUGCGUCCCAUUUUUGAGCUGGUGUCAUUAAGUUGGAGCCAUUUUUUUGUACUUUUGUUACUGGUCAUUCAUCUGGUGGAAACUUACUGGGAGAAGAAUGAGAAUGUAACUACAAGGGAUCGUCUUUGAUUGGAGGGUAUCAGUUAUGAGGUGUAACUACAAGACGAACCAAUAGACAAAAUGAGGUGUUGUUUAUGCUAGUUGUUAAAUGCAUUUUCUUCUUCUGUGUUGUGUUGCUGACAUUAUCUGGGGUUGUCUUUGAUUGGAGGAUGGUGACCUAGAGAAAAUUUAUUUGGCAUUCAUUUAGAUCUUACCAAUUUCAAGCAGAUCGGGCGGGCGCUCCUUGAUGUUGAGAUUUGUUAGUCGAUGUAUAACUUUGUUUGAAGAAGAUUGAAAUGUUUGCAGCUAGCCUUCCUUCCUUUUGUCUGUUGGUUCCUGGUCACUUUGGUUAAUCUUGUAGCAAAAAAUAUCAGUUAGCUUUUGCCGGGUUGUUGUAGUUGUACUAUAAUCCGGGUCAGUAACAUACGUAGUUGUUUUAGUAAGGGCACCUAUGUAUGUAUGUUUGUACUCCUAUGUAUUAAACCAAAAUGUUGCUGAAUUCUUCCGGCAACAAUGUCUGUGAUGUGACUUGCUUUUUACCCGUGUAUGAUAUGGUUGCGUUAAGUAAACUGAACCAAAGCCACUAGCUAAUGUCAGACGGAACACGAGUAUUGCAAGUGCAGUAAAAGAAGGAAAAACAUGUUCAGCCUUUCCUUUAUUUUCGGUUGAAGGUUACGACUCUCAAGAAAUAAACAAUUUCAUCUAAAAGAAUAAACAAUUUGAAAGAAAAAUCAUGAUUUCACACUCCUAGAGCAAAUUAAUCUAUACCAAACUACGAGUAAAUACAUUUCAGAACAGCUGACUGAAUAUCAUCGGGUCCAAAUUGCUUUUUAUUCAGAGUUUGAAAAAUCUUGAACAAAAAAAUAGGGCAAGCUAGAGACUGAAUUCGAUGUUCGAAAAGUAACUGAGAGCUCUGUUUUACUGAACAAAUAAAGCUGGGUGAUGGAGAUGAAGACCGUAGAAAGCAUCAAAACAUUAUUGGAACACAAAUUACAACUGGAAAUAACAUCUAGUGACUAAAAACUCGGAUGUUUCUGCAGGCACUUUCUCUGGAACUCAUUCAUGUCUUCUCUUUUUAUAUCAUCAUCAGCGGAGUGCUCCCAGGAAAUUCAGACUGAGAAUGAGACACAGCCCGCACUGCAUGGAAAUAUGAACGGAAACUCUGUCAUUCAAUUCAUGGAGCAAACUGGAUAAAGUAAAAAUUAUAGUACAAAGCAAGGACAAGGUAAGUAACUUACUCAUAUCUUGAAUGCAUUGAACCUUUAUUCAGUUCACCGUCUCAGCAAGCCAUCACGGCACACAGAAUUUGGUGGCCCCUGUAUGGGCGUGUGGCAAACAAACUCCACACAGGCGGUUGCCCAUCAGGGGUCCAUGAAUGAAUCUCAACCACCUUUUCAUCAGUAGAAUUGAUUGGACGCCCAAUAACAAUCAGCCGCUCACCACACGCUCGGAAACCCAUGUCCCUGCCAUCAUUUUGCUUAGACUGUACAGGCAAUUUGCCAAGAGUGAUCCACCUGUUGUCGAGCUUAUCAUACUGCUUCAAAUCAUUAUUCUCACUGUAAUCAGCAGCAUAAAGCUCAUUGUUGACAACUGCAAUGAGCGGAGGAGCAUACCAUGUUGACAUGUUGACAACUUCAAUGCUGAGCCCCUGAGCCAUGUUGUCGAUGACCCUCCAUGACCGCCGGUUUAAGUCAUACUCCUCACCGCUUGUCAAUAGCUCGCGGCUACUGCUAUUACCACCGAUCACAUAGAACCUGCCAUCCAUGAACGCACCAGAGCAUCCGUACCUAGCCCUAUUCAUGCUGGGAAGGGGUGUCCAAGUAUGUGUCUCCGAGUCAUACAUCUCUGCGGAGCUCAAUACAUUACCAUAAGAAGAAUCACCGCCUCCCGCGACAUACGCCUUUUCACCGACACUUGCUGACCCAAACCUGUACCGCGGGGUGUUCAUCUCAUCCGCCAGCCCUGUCCAUGAAUUGGUAAGGAUGCUGUAUCUCAAGGCAACCCUUUCACUCCCAAACACCAGCAGCUCGGUUCCUACAGCGAGCGACUCCCAGAGGAUGCAUUGAGCCGGUGGCAUCUUGGGCACUUGGAUCCAGCGCCCAGUGGACGGGUCAUAAGCCUCCCACUCCGGAGGAUUAUUACCGCAAGAGAGGUAGAGCCAGUGCUCUGCGAUCCCGUUCUUGCGACGCAGGCGGUAGAUGUCCCCGUUGCGAACCACGGAAUUGAAAUCACGGUUGAGGGAGGCGAUGGCGCCAUAUUCCCACCUGGAGAGGCGGUGAAGGCAAUAGAUGAAGAGAUCACGACCUAUCACACCAAUCAUAUUGCUCCAUGACACCUCUCCACCACCAUCAGCUCCCGCUCCUGACAAAAGUCGACAAAUUAAUAAUUGACGGGUAAUAACUUGUCACCUGAAGCCUGAUGGCAAAUUGUCUCUGUCAGAAAAGUAUACCUGGAAAUGGAACAUCCAUCGGGCAGGAAGUGGACUUCGGUGACCUUGCUGAUAUCCUGCAGAUUACAACAACCAUUUGAACAGUUAAUUUAGGUAGAAGAAUUGAAGAGUUACAACAACCAUGUAGCUCGGCACUACCUUUUAUCACCAUGGGAACCAGAAUCCACUUCAUGUUGCACGUCAAUUAUAGGAUUGCUCGGAUGAUUACUAACUACGCCGAUCCUUGAGAGAUACUUCACAUCAGCAGCUGCACCCCCAAAUUUAGCGGAGACCUCUCUAAGGCCUGUCAUAUGGUCGAUGCUGAUUAAUGCAGUACCAUGUCGAUAUUGUUUCCACUGCUCAGACUCCGAAAAAAGUUCAAGUCUUUGGUCCAUUUGGGGGAUGACGUCGAAAACGAGCCUGAGCUUCAAGAGAUUAGGCAUUGUGUCCGCCUCAAAUCUUAGCCAAGCUAUUCCACUCAUGAACCUCAGCUUCAAGUACUUGAGAGCUGUGAGUCCAGCAGUCGUGCCAAAGAUUAUCUUAAUAUUAGGCGACUUCUCCACAUACAACGACAGAACAGUGAGGGCAGGCAACCCUCUAAGAAUAUCAACAUCAUUUACUGACAGUCCAUCCACUGCAAUCUUCAGAAUGCAUAACUUGCCAAGUUGGAUCGUCCACAAAUGCAUAUUGCGAAAUAUGACGGGGCUGUGCGGUGAGACCUCAAUUCUCUGGACAUGGUGGGUAAUUUUAUCCAAAAUCCACUCAACUCUUGCGUCUGAUGCAUCACCAUAGCUAACCGAGGAUCCGUGAGCCACCAGUUUUAUACUUUUCAGGCUGUCAUGUCCAUACCUUAAAUAAUCCAGAGCAUACAUGCUUCUCUUCAGACGGUCGUAAUCUGAAGAAAGUGGUGUAGAAAUGCAAAGGUCCUGCAGGAGGUUCGGCCUGCAAAGGCUCGGAUCGUCACCGAUAGACCAAUCCAGCAGAUUUAUGUGAGGAGGAAGACUGAGGUGCAACAAGCGUGAGAGAUAUAUAAUGUCCCAUGGAACAUAAGUGCCUCUUGGUGUAUCCAUAACAUCCAGUGUCUCCAAACAUUGCAGCCCUCUCAUACGGUUUGGAAGUUUUAUGCAGACAUCACAAACAAUCUUCAGAUAUAUAAGAUGGAACAGUUCGGAUAUCCCAGUGAGAUCUAUGGUCAGGUCUUGGUCACCAUUAUAAUGGCCGGAAAGUAAGGUUCAGAACCCGGACAAGCUUGAACUCUGCAAUGCAAGGCAUGCACUCUGAUAAUCCAAAAACUCCAAGUGAACGCACUUGUGACUUUCUGAUGUUUGCCGGUAUCUUGGCAUAUUUUGCAUCACCAAGUUGGAGAGAUAGUCGACGGACCUUAUGAGAAAGUGCCAAAAUCUUUCGAUUGUGAUCUACUACCACAACGAAAUUCUCUUCUGCAGACUUGUGUGCAAUAAGAUCAUGAACCAUGGCCUGAACUGUGCAGGACACCACCUCAUUGUUGAAGUUGAUGGACACAGGUUGGAUAAAUCUUCUAUCAACAAGUUCAUCAAAAUACAUUCCGGCAACUCGUUCCAUAUUUUGACCUUCACUUGCAGCAAGAAACCCUUCAGCCACCCAUUGCCUGACCAGGUCAUGUUUGAAGAUUACGGAGCAAGCACGUCUUGAGGUAAUGAGGAAGGCUGUUGUAGCUGAGGUGCAAUACUUGUCUCGUUCUUUCUGAAGCUGAAUCUGAUGACAAACAAGACACUAGCGAAUCAUGUAUGUGUGUCACUAAAUCCACUGAUACAGAAGGCAGGUUUGCUAAAAGACUAGCAAUGCUGAUGGUGGCUAGCGGCAAACCACCACAUAUUUCUACAAUUUGGCUUGAAACUUGUUUCAAUUCUUCAGGACAGUUAAUUUCAGAACAAAAAAGCCUGCCAAAGAAUAGCUUCCUUGAGUGAUCAUCAUCCAAAGGUUUCAUCUCAAAAACUUGCUCUGGGUCAUCGCAGCAACAUGCUAAUGCAACAUCUUCGAUCUGUGUAGUUGUUAUUAUUCUGCUUCCUUGACUACACUUGGGGAAAAGCUGAUUAAUAACAUCCCAUGCAGAUGUAUCCCAUAAAUCAUCAACAAUGAUUAGGUACCUGCAUGUCAAGAAUUCACACAUGUCACAUUUAUGCGUCAGGCUAACAGUAACAGCAGUUAGAUAUGCUAGGAAAGAAUGAAAUUUUGCUCCAUACAUGUCCAGGACUUAUGGUAUUAACCUGAAGUUAAAUGUACGUUACUACCAGCAUCAAGUUAGUGCUGACUUGAAGAGUAAAAAUAAUGUACUAUAACGCUUACUAUCAAGCUUUUUCAGCUCACUGUAAAUCUUGUCGGAGAUACAUCUUUUCAGAAAUUGACUAUAUAUCAUCAUGCCUUUUUUUUGUGAAAAACAAAACAGCACCUGUAGCGAUUCUGAACCAUGUGGAAAAUAAGCAGUACAUACCAUGCUAUACAACUAGUACAUACUAUUUGCAUGUGGAAAAUAAGUACCUCUUGGCAUGUAGAUAAUUCCUGAUACUUUCAGCAGUAAUGUGAAGUUCAUCAGAAGUGUCUUCGCUUGCUUGGGGAUGCUUUCGCUGGAUUUGUGAGAGCAUGUCGCGGAAAAGCCUUUUCAUAUCAGGCGUUUUGGACACCCGGAUGAAAGCCCGCUAAUGGAAUUGCCUCCCCAAUUUAUUAUACAACACUUUGGCAAGCAUUGUUUUACCAAGACAUCCAGAUCCGUGAAUAGACACCACCCUGAGCUGCCGAUUCUCAUCAUUAGCCAGCUGGGAGUUGAUAAACUUGCUCAUCCGACCAUCAAUUACUAGUCCGGAACAAGUUUUCUCACAAGGCUGUGGCGGCAUUGGCAUCAUAGGCCCAAUGGCCGAAAAUCUACUUGCCACCGAGGUGCUAUAACAGUGGACCUGGUAUCUGUCAUACCGUCGAACCACCUCCUGGGCAUAAAUCCUGAAUUCUGAUACCUUUUCAACAAUCUGCUGGUACCACUUGAGCCUCCUGGGAGCACAAAUUACAUCAACACGGAUGGUUUUGGAGAUUACAUGUCCUGACACAUCAAGAGCUGCAUAUUCAAUCUGUUUCUGCCACUUGAGCCUCUUUGAAAUCUUAACAUGAGUCAUCUUGUGGUCAGAUUUGUAGCCAAGAGACUGAUCAGGGGGCACAAAGUUGUCAAUACAAUCUAGGAUGUCAUAAGAUAACUCAUGUGCCUCUUUCAUCCAACACUUGGCUGCCAAGGGAGGGUCCUCCACCUCUAAGAGAUCUUCAAGGUAUGCGGCUAUUUCUUCAAGAUCAUCUUGGAGGAGUUGCGACCUAUCAUUGACCCCCUUGGUCAGCUUGCAUCCAUGAGGACCUAGCAUCAUGUCAAGCUUCUUAAGAAGGGGUCUCAUGGCGCCCAGAGAAACACUGAAACUGGUAUCCACCUCUCUGCCUCUACCUCCCAUUGAAACAUCUGAAAAGAAACAUAGACGAGAAAGAACGAUUUAAUUUAUACAACGGGUGUUGGAUGUAAUACAUAACUACCAGUAAGUGUCACACUCGCAUCUAUUUCUAUUCACAUAACUGACAUUUAGAAAAAGCAAAAUAUAUUGAUUUUACGUUGUACUUCACUCAUCAUAUCCACCAACGCAUUUAAAUUGCAGAGAAAACAAAUUGCUUAUAGACAUUUGUGGACUUUAUUAACUCAAAAUGAAGCAUANNNNNNNNNNNNNNNNNNNNNNNNNNNNNNNNNNNNNNNNNNNNNNNNNNNNNNNNNNNNNNNNNNNNNNNNNNNNNNNNNNNNNNNNNNNNNNNNNNNNNNNNNNNNNNNNNNNNNNNNNNNNNNNNNNNNNNNNNNNNNNNNNNNNNNNNNNNNNNNNNNNNNNNNNNNNNNNNNNNNNNNNNNNNNNNCUACAUGAGUAGGAUACACACAAUAAACAGUAACAUACAUAAAAAUCACACAUGCAAAGAGAAAGUUCAUAAAAGACUGAGGCUCUGCCUACUUUUAUUCAACCAGUUGUGGUCAUGUUUUAUUUUUAGUUUUAGUUUUGUCUGGUACUCGAUGACUUGAACUUGUUUUCAAAUUUAAUAAAAUUAUUUGUGUGCAUGUUGUGAUGCAGAGGCUAGGGUACUACACUCCCUGGUGUCUGAAGUUCUCCCCACUUUGCUAUCUUUUGGGAACCUCAUCUCCCACCACUUUAACCCAAAUAUACCAAAAAAGGCUUUGCCCUGCUUUAUAUAUAAAGCAACGAUCCACAAGCACCACGAUACAAACUCACGCCACCACCGCAACACAUACACCCAAGGCAAGAUACAAAGGUGCCGAGCACCGCCACACCACCCGAAUGACUACCAAGCAACUACAUAUGAGUGAGGACGAACCGCUUGGAGCCAACGGAUACCUCCAUUCCUCCGAGGAGAGGUGAGGCGGAAAAUGAUGGAGCAAGGACUCCAAGAUGGUGCCUCCUAGAAGGGAACGACCACUGAUAGCAGCCACCAUCCGAUCCCAAGGAUCAGGUUUUCACCCAGAGCAACUCGAAGGAGUAAGGACACCGCGACGGAGCCUUCAUGAAAGAUACGAUGUCCAUGGAAGCCGCCGCCGUUGGCCAAUAAAAGAUUGGGCAAGUGAUUUACCCUAGCACGCUCACCCCUCCGACGCAUCCUAGCUCCGCCAACCACCAGCGACCACCCACCCACAUGGCCAUGGCCGCUCGCCCGCAUCCGAGGCACAAGUUCCGGCCGUGAACACCGUGACUCCCGCCGCUAGGGCCAUCGCCCUGCAUGCAGACACUCCCAAGGCCGACCAAAGUGACCGGCUUUAGGCCAAAGGAUGCACCCAAUAGAAGAGACCGCGUCAGCCCACACACGGCCGGGGAAUGGGGGAGGAGGGGGAACGGACACAUCCGGGCCGACACACCCCCGUGCCAGUGAGGUGUGGCCCAAGCUCGUCGACGUAUCCCAUCCCUCCAGCCUGCCUCCCCACCGGACACCUCCUGUGUCGCCCCACCUCGACAGCGAAGGCAGCUCCACGCGAGGCCACCAACACACAUCCGCUCACCGGCAAGGAGAGAUCCCAAGGACCACCCCAAUUGUGAAGGAAGCUCACCGAGGAGCCCAUCUGCGAUGCCUACCGUCGUCCNNNNNNNNNNNNNNNNNNNNNNNNNNNNNNNNNNNNNNNNNNNNNNNNNNNNNNNNNNNNNNNNNNNNNNNNNNNNNNNNNNNNNNNNNNNNNNNNNNNNNNNNNNNNNNNNNNNNNNNNNNNNNNNNNNNNNNNNNNNNNNNNNNNNNNNNNNNNNNNNNNNNNNNNNNNNNNNNNNNNNNNNNNNNNNNNNNNNNNNNNNNNNNNNNNNNNNNNNNNNNNNNNNNNNNNNNNNNNNNNNNNNNNNNNNNNNNNNNNNNNNNNNNNNNNNNNNNNNNNNNNNNNNNNNNNNNNNNNNNNNNNNNNNNNNNNNNNNNNNNNNNNNNNNNNNNNNNNNNNNNNNNNNNNNNNNNNNNNNNNNNNNNCCAGGUCUGGCCUUGACCUACCAUCCCUGGAGACCAAGGCGCCCCCGCCACCGCCGCAUCGCCGUCGUCGACCAGCCCCGGAGGGAUAUCAUGUUGCCCGGCCCGGCGCCCAGCGUGGCACCCAGGCUCGGGUGAGCCGCCUCGCGCCUCGCCACCCGCGUGAGGGGAAGAAGAGCAGCCCCGCCAUCGGCGCGUGCCGGGCUUCGCCCAGUCAAGCCCCUUGCGGCGGCGAGGGAGGGGUGGAGGGAGGAGGAGUGCCCCGCCGACGGCUAGGGUUAUCCUCCGUGCGCCCGUGGGGGGGGGCGUCGCGGGAGGAGGAGGGAGUCUAUACUAGUCUAACGUAAGCAUAGUAACACUUAAAAUAUACAAUGGGCCGAGUUUGAUAAUAACUCCACCCGUGAGUUCUUCUCCACACACGGCAUUGCUCUCCUCAUGUCGUGCCUCUACACUAGCCCACAAAAUGGCCACGUUGAACGUAUCUUACAAACCCUAAAUGACAUUGUCCACAACCUUGAAAUCCACGUCUCCAUGCCAUUUUCCUUCUGGGUGAAAGCAUUGAACACCUAACAGACGUCCAUGCCGUCCUCGGCACAACCUCACUCCAUUCUACCCACUCUUCGGUGCUCACCGAGACUACACGAACAUGCGCGUGUAAGGGUGCCUAUGCUAUCCUAACACCACGGCCACCACUGCUCACAAACUAGCUCCUCGCUCGAGGCCAUGCAUGUUUCUCGGCUACUCACCGGACCACAAAGGGUACCGUUGCUACAACCCAUCGACCGGCAGAGUUCUCAUCUCAUGUCAUGUAGUUUUCGACGAAAACUCCUUCCCUACCGCACCACUGAACCCACAACUCCUGUGUCGGCUGAUGGUGAUGAAAUCUAUCAAUCACAGGGCCCUCGACGUCGUCAGACAACCCCUAGUACCUCACCAGUGCCCACGGCCGCGGCCACCUCCACCGCGCCUUCGACGCCCUUGUGCCAAUCAUCACCAACACCCACCCCCAUCCGAUCACCAACUCCACCUCCCUCUCGGCGCACACCUCCGAUCAUCGAAACCCCAUCGCCAUCUACGUCACCUCCCCCUCCUGCCAAACCAACACAACCCCGAGGGCCUCUUGCACCCACGCAACGCAUGGUCACCCGGCGGCAUCAAUGACAUCUUCCAGCCAAAUCCCAAGUACGGGCUCCAGGCUCACGUAAUCACCGUCUUCCCCAUUUCCAAAUCGGUGCGCACGGCAUUGCGCGAUCCGUUUUGGCUAAUAGUUAUGCAGGAGGAGUACCGGGCAUUGACGGCGAACAAACCUGGACGUUGGUGCCAUGCCCACCUGGUGCCAACACUAUCACUUGGAAGUGGUUGUUCCGGCACAAGCUCAAGGCUGAUGGAUCCCGGGAAUGGUACAAAGCCAGGUGGGAGGUGCACGGCUUCUCGUAAUGACCGGGUGUGAACUUCGAUGAAACCUUCAGUCCUUUCGUCAAGUCUGCUAUAGUUCAUGCCGUACUCACCAUUGCCACGUUGCUAGACUGCCGCGUCCAUCAAAUGGACGUGAACAAUGCCUUUCUCCAUGGGCAGCUAGCCGAGCGUGUCUACUGGUCAACAACCGGCCGACUUCAUUGACCACGACAACCCCGACUACAUCUGCCUCCUCGACAAGUAGCUGUACGGCCUCAAGCAGGCACCGCACGCCUGGUUUGACAGGUCCGCCACGUUCCUAUGCACGGUCGGCUUUGCAGCGACACGCUCCGACCCGUCGUUGUUCGUGUACUACCACGAUUGCGGCCUGGCGUACCUCCUACUAUACGUCGACGACAUCGUGCCCACCGCCUUGUCUAGCCAUCUCCUCCAACACAUCCAGCAGCGCCUCUUUGCCGAUUUCUCGAUGAAGGACCUUGGACCUCUACAUUAUUUCCUCGGCAUCAGCGUCACAUGCAGAAGAUCUGGCUUCUCCGUGUCGCAGUACAAAUACGCGGAGGAGCUCCUGGACCGUGCCAACAUGACCGUGUGCAAGACCUCCCCGACGCUCGUGGACACACGUGCCAAGCUAUAUGCAUCCGAUGCCUCACCUGUUGCCGAUUGUUUGGAGUACAGAAGCUUGGUCGGGGCACUCCAAUAUCUCACCAUGACUCGCCCCGAUCUCGCCUACGCCAUCCGGCAAGCGUGCCUCUAGAUGCACAACCCGCAGGACCAGCACUUGACGAGGACACAUGUCCUUCAUCUUCAUCGCUCGCAAGCACUCGACCUCGUCGCCUAUUCGGACGCCGACUGGGUCGGCUGCCGCGACACGCGCCGUUCCACCUCCGGCUACACCGGUCUUCCUCGGCGAUGCCUUGAUCUCUUGGUCCUCGAAGCGCCAAGCCACGGUGUCCAACGUCGCCAACAUCGUCGCCGAGUGCUGCUGGCUCCGGCAGCUUCUGGGCGAGCUGCGUGUCGACGUCCCCAGGGCCACGGCGUGUAUUGUGACAACAUCUCCGGUGUCUACAUGGCGGCCAACCCUGUCCAUCACUGACGCACCAAGCACAUCAAACUCGACAUACAUUUUAUUUGGGAGAAGGUGGCGCUUGGUGAGCUCCAUGUCCUACACGUCCCGAUGUAACAGUUUGCUGACUGGAUGACAAAGGGGUUACCUACAGUUGUGCAUCCGGCCGCCGGACGCUCAAACGAUGGCGGGAUGUCGACGGAUAUCUGGUGGUUCACCCAGCCCACUCUCUACACGACCUAGUCUCCCCCCUCUCUGCGCACUAGGCGCACGAUCUCCACCUCUGCACGACUGCGGAAUGGCUGUACUAUCAAACUGUAUAUAUGCAGAGCUAACGCAUCGGCAGUGCACUACGGUGCAUUGCAUUCUUCUUUCCUCCAUCACAAAAACCUACUACCUUUCUACUUUCUUCUCCGAACCUACCAUCCCACGACGUUUGAUGUGAGCUAGGUGUGUGUACUUGCCGCGAUCACCGCGUCAUGCCAUCCCAUGACCAGAUCAAGGCUGCGCCUAUUCAGCUAAACUCACUAGCAGAAGAAGUCAGCUCGACCAAGUCAUCAUGUACAGGCACAAGCACAUGCCGUUUAUUUUGCUAACUUGUAAGAAAAUAACAGCAGCAGGGUUUAGCGCAUCAAGAAAAGAAAAGCAGCAGAUGGAUAAAAAAAAGGAGAGAAACGAAGUGUCACCUUGGGUUGGAUAAAACAGGACAACCCUCUCCUGCUCAUCCUCCUUCUCAAGAAUGCCAUGAUCCAUCAUCUUGUUGCGGGAGUCGCUGCAGUCUUCACAGGGUUCGGAGCCGACCCUCUUACAGGCUUGGCAGACCAAGGCCGGGCUCGGCCUUGGGGCGGCGUCCAGGAGAGGCCGCAGCCUGCCGGCCCGGUGCAGCUGCCUAACAUCCUCAGGGCCGCCGACGAGCCGGCCGCCCACGAGGAGCUGCGGGAGGGAGAAGGCGCAGCCCCGAGCCGCGAGCAACGACUUGAGCUCGCAGCGCUGCGCUUUGCUCCUGGACACGUCGCGCUCGUCCACGGCCAGGCCGUAGCCAUGCAGCAGCGCGCGCAAGGCGUAGCGGCCGGCGGAGGUGCGCGCUCUGCGGCGCGACGCUGAAGCUGAUGACGCCGUGUAGAGAACCACCUCCGGCUGCAGCUCCUCCUUGCCGCGCGGCCGGGACGACGAGCUGCCGCCAUGGUCAUACAUGUCCGGUGGCCUCAUCCGCAGAUGAGUGUCGAUGGCUAGAGUUCCGGCCAGACGAGACUAAGCGAAGUGGUGGCUUUGUUGUGUGUCUCUCACUCUUCUUCGUCUCCUUCUCGCAUGCAUCACACGCUAUGCAUCACGUGCUUGUGCCUUAUCUUUAUUACUGUACAAAUUACGUCCUCAAACGCUAUGCCUGUGGCCCUAUGCGCGCUCCAUUAAAUUAUCUUGUGUUUCUUUCCAAGCACUGGGAUUAGACUCGAUCAAAUUAUUUUGUGUUUCUUUCGAAGCACUGGGAUUAGACUGGAUAAGUUCUCACUGGAUUCCUGAUCCUACAAAGGGCCACCAUUUUCCCUCUGAAUUUACGUUUUUUGCAUCCCGUGAGUUUUGUUCCAUCACUCGAGUUCCGCCCAGACGUUUAGGGGGGAGGUAAAGUGUCCAGUUGUAGAUGCUGUAAGAAAGGCCGCGACAAGACCAUUCAUGUUGUUUUUCACCCCUCCUAAGGUUGCCUCUUAGGGCAUCUCCAGCCGCGCCCCCAACAGGCCCUCUCCAGGCGAUUUCGCCGCGCCGGCGCCAACAAAAGUCCCCAGUCGCGCCCCCAGAAGCCCGUUUUUCGCCGGCUCGGGCCAAAACUGGUGUCGGCGGACCCAGGCCGAACCCGGCGCCCUGGGGGGCGCUUGGGGAGCCGGCGCAAGCGAAAAAGGCGCGUGGGCCCGCACUGGAGGCGACCCGAGGGCCUUUUCCCGCCGCUUUGCUGCCUCUUUUCUCACUUCUCUCCCGCUCGCUCGCCUUGCUCCCGCCAUUCUCCCCCCCUUUCUCCCGCCAACCCCGCUCGCAGCCCGCCGCCAUGCCGCCGAAGAAAUACACCAUGGCGCGCGCCGCGGCGACCGCGACGGGCGCCGCUACCCAAUCGAAACAGAGGAAGCCGAGGGCGCCUCCAACGAAGCCGCCGGGCAUGUCGAACGCCGAGUGAAGGGUGGAAGUACAGCGCCGAGAAGCGGUCACCGCCGACAGGCAGAACCGGGGGAUAGCCAAGAAGGCCCGCGACAACGCGGCGCGCGCGGCGGUGUCCUCCUCUUCUGUCGAGGCUCCCGUCGUCAGCCACGCCCACCAGUACGCGCCCUGGGGACAGCAAGGCGCCGGAUCUCCAUGGGGUUCAUCGUCGCCCGGCUACGCCGACGGCGACGCGCACAGCGGGUUCAACCAAACGUGACCUUCCCUCAUGGUCACCCCGCUACGCGCACGCCAUCGCUUGCCUUCGCCGGUGUGCAGUACCCAGCAUACAACUACUCGCCGCCCCCCCGCCUACGCGACCACGCCAACGCCACAUCUCUACCGCGGGCCGCUGCCCUUCUCGCACCUCGGCGACGCCGACGACACGGGAGCCGACAUGGACGACAUCAUCGCGACCGGAUCGGCCGUGGCCGCCUCGUCUCCCGGUUUCGCCACCCAGGAUGAGGUAGUCGACCUCAGCGGCGACAUGGAGGCCGAGCUCGGCUACGUCUACGGCGACGAUGCGCAGGAGCCCGAGGAGGAGGACGAGGACGAGGAGGAGGAGGAGGAGGAGCCGGCUCCUGUUCUGACGAAGGGGCGCCAGAAAAAGAAGCGGGUGGCGAGGUCGGGCGAGCCGCGCAUCAAAUGGACGUCCAAGGAGGAGGAAUGCCUCGCCGAAGCGUGGAAAGUCGUCUGCCUCGACCCGACCACCGGCGCGAACCAAAGCUUGGAGACGUACUGGGACCGCAUCAAGGCCGAGUUCGACGAGGGGAAGCUCGUCGACCCCUACUUCAAAGGCGUGUACAUGCAGCGCGGGGCCAAGGCGAUGGCGAACCAUUGGGGGCGUAUCCAGUUGGCGUGCAACAAAUGGCACGGAAUCGUCGAGGAGGUCGUGGCUCGCCCGGAGAGCGGCGCCAGCGUUGAAGAUCAGGUACGCACGCCGUUCGCCCGCACAUGUUCAUCCCCUGCGCCCGCGGUUCGCCAACUGUUCGUCCGUCCGCGCAGCUGCUGCGCAUGUUCGCCAUGUUCCGGGGUGACAACCAAGACGCCGACUUCAAGCACCUCCACGUCUACAAGCGCAUUGACAAGUGUGAGAAGUGGGCGGAAGUCCGACGUGCCCUCGACAAGGCCAAGGAGACGUACAAGCCGGACGCGCCGACUCCGGGCGCGUCGGAAGGGCGGCCGGACGACCACAAAUUGGCCAAGAAGGGGAAGAAUGCCGACGCGGCAACCGCGCGAGUGCAGGAGUCCAUCGAGCACUGCCUCGCCGACGUCCAGGCCCGGGCCGUCCUACGCGAAGAGAAGACCGAGUCGCGGUGGUCGGCGCUAAUGAAGAACAACGCCAUCAAGCUCGACCUGCUCCGGACGAACGUCGCCGCGAAGAAGAGGAACACCGACAUGGCUUUUCUGAUGGGUGCGGCGGACUUGCUUCAGAGCAACGACGAGAAGCUCAAGGCGUGGUACCUGGUUCAGCGCGGCCUCAUCCUGAACGAGCUGCCGAUGGCAACGCCCACGACGCCGACGACGCCCACGGCCGCACGGACGCCAAGCCCGAGCGAAGCCUCUACGUCGCCGCCUAGCAGUGUCGAAGCCGCGCCGGCGCAGCCCAACACCGAAGCAGCUCCGACACCGCCGAGCUCGCGCACGCCGACUCGGCCAACACCUGGGACCAACCCCGCCGAGUGAUCGCCGAGGCGGCGGCGCUCUAUUUGAGUUUGAAUUAACCGCGUUCUGGGGCCGGCGCGUGGGUGCGUGACUGGGAGCUAGCUCGCCCCCAGGGGCCGAGCUAGCGCCGGCACGCCCCCAGUAUGCCGAAUUUAGACGCCCUGGGGGGCCGAACGGCUGGAGAUGCCCUUAGACUAGGCCUGCUAAAGUCGCAAAUGCUUUGACUGCAUUUUAUUGAUCUUCUUCAAUCGACAUUGUCCCGUGUGUGGAUGGUUACGAACUUACCAUUUGUUACUUUCAAGCGUUCGUUUCAGGUUUUCCAUUGUUUAAAAAUAUUUUUCAAAUUAAAGAAAAAAGUACUGCAAGACACCAAGUAUAAUAUAAGCAUUCACACCUCACAUAUUUUACCUUUUGCUCCUCCUGCUAUUUGAGCUAGGAGCCUAGGAGUGGCGCAAGCACCUGUAAGCCCUCGGAAGUGUCUGGUUGCUGCAGAGCUUGCCGGCCGCUCUCAUCUACCCUUCGUUCUCAUCCUCCAUCAUUCAUCGGAUUGGCGCUUGAUUUUUAUUUUAUCGAAUGCGAAGAUUGAAAAAUUGUGAAAAUGUUGUGUCGGUAAUACCUCCGUUGUGAUUUAUUAGUCCCCUCGUAUUUAGGUUCAUAUUUUCACCACGAUUUGAACUAAUAAAACAUAAGUUAUACAUAGUAAAAUUAAUAUUAUCAGAAACUAUGUUCGAAUACGAAUCCAACGAUAUAAGAGCAACUCCAACGGGCCGACCCAAACGGACGGCGCUUUUGUCCCUUUUUUGUUCGUUUGGGUCGGCCGCCUGCCCAGUGUCUGCUCUAUUUUAAAUUUGGGACGGCAGUGCGCCCAACGCGCCGACCCAUUUCAUGCCGCACUCAGUUUUUUUAAAAAGGCCCGCGGCCAUAGAUCAUGCCAGCGGCCAUGUCUCAUGCCGACACCAUGCCAGCGCCGGCAUACAAUGCCGGCUUCAAAAAAUAUCACCACACAGUUCAUGCCGGUGCACUCGCCAGCGGCCUGCACACAUGCCAGCACACAAAAAAGGGGUGGGACUUCAGUGCGCACCACCCUCGAAGACCAUGUUCUGCAUGUAGUCCUCGUCGCCGGCGGCCGGCAUUCCGUCGAACAGGUUGCGUGCGCCCGGCAGCACGUCGGCUGGCAUCUGCCGCGCGCGUUUCCUCAUGCCUUCGAAUGACGAGCCACCGGCCACCGGUGUGGCGUUGAGGUCGAUGGGCGCGGGCGCGGGCGUGGAAGGCGCGACCACGCUCACCUCGGGCAAGCAAUCCCCGGAGAGGCGGGAGGCAUGCGGGUAGAUGUGGAAGCUGGGCAUCAGGGUGCAAGCCGACGCGCUGGGCGAGUCGGGCAGCACCAUCCAAGGGAACGCGGAUGAGCCGGUGUUUGCCUCGGCCACGGCGGCGUUGACGAGGCCAUGCUGGCUAUGGUUUAACCCUAGCAUAUAGAGCACCUCCCUCGUUGUCGCCGCGACGUGGGCGUUGGUGACCUCCUGCUGCGCGGCAGCGGCGACGGCGGCCGCCGCGAUGGCUUCAUCCCUCGCAUCCGCCUCAUGCCUCCGGUCCUUCCUCUUGACCGACUCCCUUGCCCGCUAUUCGGGUGUCAACGCCUUCUUCGGCUUGGGCACGGCGGUCUUGCGGGGGACGCGAGGCUUGCCUUUGCCGAAGGGGGCAGUCGGCAUGCCGGACGAAGCGAGGGAGGUGAGGCCGGCGGCAGCCUCAAGGUCGUCGUCCAUGGCGGGGGUGGGCCGUAAGCGCGCACGGGCGGGAUUCUUUUUGGGGGAAAUGGAGGGAAAUGGUGGAGGCUGCCACCGACCAGCGGGCCAGGGGAAGGAGAAGGCGCGCACGCGCGUCCGUCUCCUAUCCGCACCGACGCAAAUCCGUCUCAAAAAUGGGCCGGGAAUGGGUCAGCAGGCGGACGCCAAGCAGACGCGCGUCCGUUUGGGUCGGCGCAUGGGGCCGAUUUUUGUGUCUGCGCCGACCCAAACGGACGCCAACGGACGAAAUGGAUCGCCCCGUGGAGUUGCUCUAACAUUUUGGGACAUGCUCUAAAAUUUUGUAAGUUAAAUCUAUGGUCAUAAAUUGAUACAAAUUACGAAGGAGGCCAAUAAACCAGAAAGAAGGUAGCAGGUGUACAUGUACCGUGAAAGACUUGUGAAUUCAUUAGUCCAUUCAAGAGACAUUGUGUUUCCAUUCAAUGCAAAGUGAAGUAAACUAAAUGCACCGCCAGCUGCUUGGAUCAAUUAGCUGACGAGGCGUGAAAGAUCCACGAGUUAAUUAGUACAUCUAAUGCAUCAGUCUAUCUUGAAUUGGCAAUCUGACACAUUGUGCAUAUCGAUACGGUGCCAAACUCUGCUUACCAGCUUAAACUAAUACAGUGUCAGCUACUUUGGAUCGACGAGCUAGGUGGAACAAACGGGAGCUAAGUUUAACCAUCAAGUGAAAUGGCGGCUUGUGGGGCACUAUAGUUUGUAUUUUGCCAGAAUCAAUGCAAUUUCUCUCUACGUAACCGUGAACUACGGAGGCAACUUGUGAAGUUUCAUGGAGAUUUAGGAAACUUGCACUGCUUUGAAGUAGGUUAGUGCACCUCGACGUAGGCUAACACCAACAUGUUAAAGAGGACUCCGUAGGGCAAGGUGGGGCAACCGCCCUACCUUGAUUCUUUUGCAAAAAUAUAUCACACAAGUAUGCAUCAUUGCAUCGCUACUUUUGAAAUUCCAGAACAUUGCGGGAUUUCAACUUUCUAAAAGCUCAACGCUAACAUUGCGUGUUUUGAGCCAAUACAAAGUAGAGUUAAACUAGUCCGCCACUAGCUGCUUGGAUUGAUGAGCUGACAAGCUAUGCGUGAAAGAUUCGUGAGUUGAUUAGUCCAACUAAUGUAACACUGGCUGCCUUGAAUUGGUCAGCGCUAAACUAAAUAUNNNNNNNNNNNNNNNNNNNNNNNNNNNNNNNNNNNNNNNNNNNNNNNNNNNNNNNNNNNNNNNNNNNNNNNNNNNNNNNNNNNNNNNNNNNNNNNNNNNNNNNNNNNNNNNNNNNNNNNNNNNNNNNNNNNNNNNNNNNNNNNNNNNNNNNNNNNNNNNNNNNNNNNNNNNNNNNNNNNNNNNNNNNNNNNNNNNNNNNNNNNNNNNNNNNNNNNNNNNNNNNNNNNNNNNNNNNNNNNNNNNNNNNNNNNNNNNNNNNNNNNNNNNNNNNNNNNNNNNNNNNNNNNNNNNNNNNNNNNNNNNNNNNNNNNNNNNNNNNNNNNNNNNNNNNNNNCUAGCUUUGACAACUCGCAGAGCAGGUGGCAAGAUACCAGAGCGACACAAUCCAAAAGGUUGUAAAAAUGUAGUUUGGUAGGUAUAGUGUGGAUGACUUGUGAGUUCUCUAGUCCAUUCAACAUUGAUACAUAGUGUUUCGACUCAAUGCAAAGUUGAAUUACACCCAUGAACCACUAGUUGUAAGCCCUCGGAAGUGGUUGGUUGCUGUUGAGCUUGCUGGCCGCUGUCAUUCUCCCCUUCAUUCUCAUCCUCCAUCACUCAUUGCAUUGGCGCUUGAUUUUCAUUUAAACGGAUGCGAAGAAAGACUCAUGAUUCAUUAGUCCAUUUAAUGUGAACACACCGUGUAUUUGAAUUCAAUGCACAGUUGAAGUAAACUAAAUGCACCCCCAACUGUUCGGAUCGAUGAGCUGACAAGGCAUGAAUGAUCCAUGAGUUGAUUAGACCAUCUCAUGUAGUAACACUCUCUAUCUUGCACUGGCAGUCUGACACAUAGCUCAUAUUGAUACGGUGCAAAACUCUUCUUACCAUCUUAAACUAAUACAUUGUCAGCUGCUUGGAUCAACGAGCUAGGCGGAGAAAACAGGAGCUAAGUGCAGGCUGCUGCUGCCCGCCGGUGAUCCCCUCCUCAUCCUUGCUUACGGCUAAAGAAACCGUGGUCGCGGAAGCCUCGCGCGAGAUUGAGGGGGAGAGAAGGGAGAGUGGUGGGUCAGGAGAGGUCCCAGUUCCUUCUUUUUUCUGUUCGAUUGAUUCCUCAAAAAGAAUCAAUCAAUCGAACAGAAAAAAAAGGAGCAACCGAGCCGUUGUCUGGGCCGACGGCCCAUCGUUGCGUGUAGCAAUUUAAGUUCUUUCCGGCCUCCCACCUUGUGGAGUACGGUUUUUUUUCUGAAAGAUAACAUGUCUACAUCACCACGUUUGUUCUUCUAAUUUUUUUAGAAAAGGAGGAUGAUCCCCGGACUCUGCAUCUGGGCGAUGCAUACGGCCACUUUAUUAAUUAUUCUCACAAAACCUUACAAAAUCAAUAUAACAAUAAGACUAAAGCCACCGUCUAAGCAACAAACUAUCGCUACACCUAUCCAGUUGAUGAAGGGCGCAGAUAGCCUGGGCCUAAUACCAAACAGACAUCGCAGCCAAGACUAACAUCUAAGAGUUGAGGCCCCAACCUAGCCACUUGCCGGGUCUGGGGCACACACUGGUCUCGCGUGCUCUCAGAAGCCGCCGCACUACUAGGAGAACGGCUAUAGAUAAAAUGGACACUAAUGGCGCACCACAUGUGUGGUGCGCCAUUAGUAUAUACAAUGGCGCACCUGGUGCGCCAUUAGUAAUAUAUUACUAAACCUGGUGUGUGGUGCGCCAUUAGUAGUUUUGAAAAAAAUAAAAAAUAAAAAUUGUUACUAAUGGCGCACCGUGGGAUAGUGCGCCAUUACUAGUUGAUAUAGUAAUGGCGCACCACACCCACCGUGCGCCACUACUAGUUUUGAAAAAAAAAUAAAAAAAAAUUGUUAGUAAUAGGGCACCUGUGGACAGUGCGCCAUUACUAGUUUUACCAUUACUAAUUUUUUUUUUAAAAUGAUUUUUAAAAAAAAACUUAAUAAUGGCGCACCAGUGCAUAGUGCGCCAUUACCAUUACUAAGUUUUUUUCAAAAAAAAAAUCAAUUUUUUUUCAAAACUAGUAAUGGCGCACCGUGGGUGUGGUGCGCCAUUACUAGUUUUCGCCAUUACCACACCCACGAUGCGCCAUUACUAACUUGGCCCAAAAGUUUCACAGAAUGCACCCCCCCAAAGACCGCCUUUUCAGUUUAAAAAAAAUAAAAGAAAAUGAUGGAAAUGUCAAAAAAAUAAAAGAAAAGAAGUUUCCCAUGUGAUAUGUGGUCUAGUUGUUGGGAAAAUUUACAAAUAUGAAUUUCGACUUUAUUUGCAAAAUCUCUCUGAAAAUUUGUAAAAUGGGCAUAACUUUUGCAUACGAACUCGGAUUAAAAAGUUUUUUAUAUGAAAAAUCAUCUACUCGAAAAGUUACAUUCGAAUUUAACCGGGGGAACCCCAUUAAACAUUUUCAAAAUCCCCAAAAACUUAAAUGAAAAAAGUUACGGGGCUUUCAAGAUCUAGAGGCAAAAAAAUUCAAAAAAUUUCAAACUUACUAGUGGCGCACCGUUUGCUAGGUGCGCCACUAGUAACAGAAAAAAAUGGUUUCGACAAAAAAAUUUCGAAUUUUUUUUCAAAAUAUGAUACUUAUUAUGACCGGGAAGUUUGAAAUAUUUUUUCAAAAUUUCAUCAUACUUAUGAACAUGAACAAAGUCCUAGACAUCAAGAAGGUUUAAUACGAUUGAUAUGAUAGAUAUAUCAACAAGUGCCUGUGAAGUGAGCUGGUGCUGGGUUUGGAUAGAACUGUGAAGUUAAGCGUGGUCGGGCUGGAGUAGUGUAAGAAUGGGUGACCUUCCUGAAAGUUUGACCACAGAGUGUGAUUUGACUUGAGAUUAAGCAUAUUGACCCGAGAUUAAGCCAUAGUGACCUGAGAUUAAGGAAAAACAAAAAAAUUGAAAAAAAAAUUAAAAAAAACUUCUAAAUUUUUUUUUGAAAAAAAUUGUUACUAAUGACGCACUUUUAUGUGGUGUGUCAUUAGUAUCUGGUAUACUAAUGGAGCACCGUGGGCUAUACUAAUGGCGCACCAUUAGAGAAAAAAAUCUAAUGGCGUGGUGCUAGUGGCGCACCUGUAGUGCGCCAUUAGUAGCGAAAACAGGUGUGUCACUAGCAACCCUUUUUCUAGUAGUGCCGCCGCCAAUUGCCACCGCUCCAUCUUCAGAACUGUACUGAUGCAUCAACCUUGCUCGGUCCAGCUAACGUCGAUGCCACCACGGCGCCCAACGACACCUCCUCCCUGCGCGCAAACAACUGAACACGUCGCGGUCGCCACUGAUACACCUCAGCGCCGUGUUGCCAAGUACCACCAGCCGACACAGCUUGAAGCCCUUGGAGGAUCUGUCGUGCGUAGCACCUGCCGACCAGGCAUGACCAAGCGUAAAACCUGUCGGUCAGGCAUGAAUUGACAUCUCCACCGAAACUCCGUGCAAGACGAAGCCCCUCCACAUCCUGCCUUUGACUUCCAGCGCUGCUCCACAAAACGAUGCUCCCAAGAGAGAAACGAAACUGCAGUGCCGCCAUCGUCCGGUCUGGAACACCAGAUCCUAGGGUUUCCCCCGGAGCAAUACGAGUGGGUCGACGGUAGUCACAUGACGAUGCCUUCAUCAAGGUAACGACGUGGAACUCCGCCAUCGCCCGCCAUCGGCUCGGUUUUCACCGGCAACUACGUCUACACGACUCGCAGAUGGUGCCAGAUAACGGAUCCCGAGAUCCGAACACCCAUCCUCAGGCCGACCACCUCUGACAGAAGAGAUGACCACUAUCGCCGGCUGCACCGGUCAGAACAGAUCUGAUCGGAGGUGCCGCCGACGAAACCACGAGGCCCUCCACGCCGCCAUCGCAGCCAAGCCGGCCGCCGCCACCGGCUUCGCUAUUCACUUAAUUUAUUUUCCAUAAUAAGUUGCAGGCAAGUGUGAUAAUAUUCAGUCUUAACUGCCCUUCACAUCCACAAAAAGGCACUUGAAUUUCUGCAUCAGGGUGGUGCUACCCAGUCUGUGAUCUCAUGGUAAGUUAGUACAACAAUGUGCAUCAUUCUAGAUGCAUCUGGUUUUAAUGUUUCAAAAAUAGAAGGGAGAGUUUUGAAUCGCUUUUUCGCAGAUUGUUCACCUUUUGCACAUUGUCUACAUUUGUCACAUUGCUUAGGUUUUCGGUUUGCGAGCGACAGCCAACAGUUAGUUUAGGUUCACACUAGUGCGAGAGAGGGGGUACGAACCAACGCCUCAAGAAGUACUACAUUAUGUAUGAUGAGACAUGUCAUGUAACUUGUAUAGCUAUAUUGUGAUUAUGAUGUGACAGGCAUGAUUUGUGUUGGAUGAUAUAAUGAGACUAUUAUGUGUAUGAUAUUAUGAGCAUAUUGCAUGUUUAUAAUAUGAUUAGAAUAUUGUAUAUAACCUGUACAAAAACAUCGCAAAUACGCAGCAAAAAAAAAAGAUAUAUAUGAGAAAAUAUAGUAGUAGCGCUCUUUAGCGCUCUUUAGCGCUGGACAGGAAAACACUACUACUAAAGCACUUAGCAGUAGCGCUGGUUUGGAAAGCGCUACUGCUAAGUAGGUAUAGCAGUAGUGCUGCGCUAUUGAUACACCAAAUACUCACGCUACUGCUAGGCUUUUCCCUAAUUGUGUCUCAUAGUCGAAGGAAUAUGUAUUUGAUAUGAAGAAAGCAAUAGCAAUAAAACUGAACGGUCAUUAUGCUAAGCUAACGGAUGGGUUUUGUCCAUCACAUUAUUCUCCUAAUAAUGUGAUCCUGUUAUCAAAUGAUAACUCAUGUCCAUGGUUACGAAACCUUAACCAUCUUUGAUCAACGAGCUAGUCUAAUAGAGGCUUACUAGGAACACGGUAUUUGUUUAUGUAUUCACACAUGUAUUUAAGUUUCCAAUCAAUACAAUUCUAGCAUGAAUAAUAAACCUUUAUCAAAAGAAAUAUAAAAUAACAACUUUAUUAUUGCCUCUAGGACAUAUUUCCUUCACUUAUAUGUCCCUAUGACAGUUUUGCAAUUCCCCUGACUAAUAUUCUGUCCAGCUCUGUUGGAAUUAACCACGGUCUGUGUCUGGAUUGGACAGGAAGCUAGCUGGAGUACUAUGUCCCCUUGUAAUCAAAUGCUGGUUCAGAUAAAUAAGAUCACUGGAGCAACAUGCCUUUGUGUGUUUUCAGGUGAGUGUCUCUGCGUUCCGCCGCUGGAUUCGUACUUGAGCUCAAGAAAAUCCAUCCACUUGCCUGCCUGCUUCAAAGCCAACUUCUACAUGAAUUGCGUUGCAUACCAAAAGCAUCGUGCCCGUGGUUGCAGCUCGCUGUGGUGAAGGGCGACCGCGUUGGCCAGCGUGGUGUCAUGUUUUUUUUUUUUAAAUGAGACCACGCUGGCUCGGCUUCUUGUAGUUCAUUGGAGACCUCCUCGAUUGCUUUUGGGUCGCGACCAUUAUGUCGUCCGUCUCCGUACUCUGACCGUGUGCCUCUCUAUAUGACCAGCAUAGACAUCUGUACUAAACUUAAUGCUGUCUGUACUGAAAGUUCAACACUGACAUUGAAUUCUUGGCCUGCUUUUAUUGUCUGUGCUAAAUGUUGGAUGUUACAUGAUGCAAGUCUUGGAGUGAAUCUCACACAAAAAUUUAGAGCCUAUUGAAUUACGCAAUGUCCCUGAUGAACGUUUGCUGUGCAUUAGAUCAAGGUUUCAGAAUCUUUCUGCAGGGUAUAUCAGGUGCCAUCGAAAUUGUGCCUUGCAUUGCUCCCUUCCCAGUCACCAUAUCUGGGAUUGGAGAAACAAGAUUAGCUUUCACUUUUGCUGAUAAGCCAACCUGAAUGUGAUGGUUUCCAAAUGAUUGUUCUUCGGAAUCUGAACAAUCUUCAACAGGAAAGACUACAAGACUGAACUUGUUGUUGGGAAGUGACUUAACUUACAAUUCAUCGUCUGAAUAAAACCUACUAGAGUAAGUUCAAGUAACGGAUCUGCCGAAAUGACAGGAAGCUAGCAUCAUGAAGAAGAAUAUAUGAGUUCUACUAUGAUGGCAUCACCUCAAAAUUAUCCGCUCAACCUCUUCGGUUCCAUCGCAAAUGUCCAAAGGCUCAACAAGACAGCCGAGCUGUCGAAGCUACAGCUAGUUAAAACACCAACCUGAGCAAGAUUAACCCAGUCAAGGCACCAACAGCCCCCGUCGACUUCUUUGGCGAAAGACAACGAUUGCCACCAGCAAUGACAACCUCGCACGCAGAUGCUGUUUGUUUCGUAGGCCUCGUUUCUGCAAACCAGUCCAGAAGAGAACCAAGGUAGCAAUUGAAAAACCAUAUUAUCCUCAUUUAUCUAAAAGAAUAUCACUGCCUAACUCCACCCCAGUUCUACUAGCCACAUCCCUGGGAGAAGCAUUGGAAGAAUAUAAGAUAAUUGGAGUCUGUAAAUUACCUUGGUGCAGUCUUCCAUCUGCUGACCCUCUAAACCUGCCAUUCCUUCCAUCUCCUCUUUAAAACCUCCCUUGUUCAUCUUAUAUACCACGUGAGCGCUCAGACCAUGUUUCUUAGCAAAAUAUUUUGCAUCCUUGGUGUUAGCAAACUAUUUUCCUUGUUCAUCAUCAUGUUGACCACCAUCAACUUGUACUGCACAAUGAAAAUUGUCACAUGCAUGCGUGAAGAGGGAGUAUAUAUAACUCAACACCAAUAUUGGAUCAAAGUACUAGCAAUUAAGCAACAGAAGAUGCAUAUCACUUUAUUACCAGACUCACGAGUAGAAAUUGCAUUGGGAAAUGGCAAAAACCAGCUGCAUACUCUAGUUCUGCAAAUGCUGCAGGUAAUGGGUAGAAUCAAGCAUAAGAAGAUAAGAUGGUCACACAAUUUCAUAAUAAACAGAGUUUGGCCCCUCCUCCUUUUUCCGGGCUUGGGACCGGCUAUGCAACAUGAAGCGUACCAUCAUCUUUGCAUAGGCGGAGUUACACCCCCACUCCACACACACCCAUAUAUACAUCGAACCCCACUAAACCAAAAACCAAAACCCAAAGAACAAGACACACAAACACGCAUAAGCCUGAUCUCCAAAACCAAGACCCAAGAUACAAACCCAAACGACACACACCAAAAAAAUAGUAAUGAAACCCGAAGACCCUCUGUUAAUUUAUUUUUUCCCGAGUGAACAUGAAAGCAUACUCGACCCUAAAAAAAGUGUGAUUUUCAUUCUCCAUUACUACAAAAGGCAGAGAAACAUUUUGCGAUUUUCAAGCACUUUUUUUUGUAAUUUUUUCAUCUGCUAACAAAAGAAAAGAUAGCAAACAAACAGGCAUUUUUUUGUAAUUUUCCAUUUGCUAAAAUAAAGAAAACAUAAUAAAAAAACAUUUCUUUUUGUUUUUUGCGGUAUCAUUUUCCAUUUCAUGAAAAGAUAGUAAGAUAAUUCGAUUUUUUUUGUGUUUUUUUCUUUGCUUCGGACGACAAUAAAUAGAGCAAACAAACGGAAGCCUCCCGAUAUCUUUUCUUUCUCCGGGGUGAUUUGUGAACACCACUGCCAGCCUGCAUAUAUGGAGUAACUCUCAGUAUAUGCAUCGUGCAUGCAGAUUGGUAAUCGACUUUUUUACGGUUGACUGGCAACUGCUGUUAUUUAUCCUAGAAAGAAAAGAAAGAUAAGGUGUACAUAAAUACAUAUAGAUAGGGAGGGUACGUACCUCUUGAUUCCCGCAGGUGAAGAUGCACGGCAAGCUUAGCCCUAUCAGUUUGUCAAUCUGGAAAAAAAGAAGAAGGAAAAAGAAGAUCUGUGAGAUACGUGGCUAGCUGCCCGUGGAGAUCAGCACUAACGAAUAAAUAAAUAUACACUUGGUUACCUCUAAGUCCAGUCCUUUAUAUCCCUUGUGCUGAUAUAAGGAAUGACACGGCUGGGCAGCGUAUCAAUUGCACGCUCUACCAUUUCCUCUGCCUUCUCGUGGUACGCAGGAGGGGCAUAUAAGAUGACUCUGACUACCUUAAGCAAAGGGAGGUUCCCUAGGCUACCAAAGUCAAAGUCAAAGCUAAUGCCAUCAUCAUUGGACUGCGCUACAACGGUGAACUUGAGAAAUUCAAGGACCGGCAUAUCCCCCUCUUGAAACGAGCCAACCGUUGCAUCUGUCUUGAAGACCCUCAGCUUGGGGAACGCAUCUGCACCGCCCAUGGUGUGGUGGUGGAGUGGUGACCACGUUUCCAGCUGGAGGGAAACAAGCUCGCGGAAACUGCCAAAGAUCUCCAGUUCUGGACUUAAUACAUACAGUUCUAAAUGGGACAGGUUCGGAAGAAGCCUGGGAUUGAUCCUUGCCACCGGUCCAAGUUUUUUGUAGGCCAUGCGUAGAACACGGAGUUGUGAAGAGAAGGCAUACUGUUCCGAGGGGUUCUCUUCAUGACUGGAGUCUCUCCACCCACAAACUGAAUGAAUGUCUAUGACUUGGAUCUUGCUCAGUUUGGCUAGAGACUCAGCCCAACUAUUCAUUCUGCUAUCACCAUUUACAUAUAAUGUAUAACGAAUGUGGAGCUUCCUCAACUCUGUCAACUUGCCCAGCUCUGUCACAAAGUUGGAGUCGUUACCAACUUCUCCUAUGCAUAGCUCUUGCAGAGAAGUCAAAUUCCCGAUCCAGCAAGGCACUUCAAUGUCUGUUUCACAGAUGUUCAAGCACUUCAGUUGACUUAGUCGGCCAAUACUCUCUGGAAGUUCACUUAUGCUAUUUUUACCCAAGUCCAAUACCAGCAAGAACUUUAGAUGUCCUAUUUCCUUUGGGAGCUCACUGAUACCAAUGCUCCCUAGUUUGAGGUUCCUCAAGUGAACUAACUUUCCAACAUGCUCAAGAUGAUUAGGACUGUCCCAACCAGAGGGACCUUCCAAAGCUAGGACGCGCAAAACUUCAAAGCUUGAAAGUGAUGGCAACAUGUCAGCAAUGCACAUGGCAUUAAGUGACCUUGCUUGUGAUGUGGAUGUGCUAGCCAGGGGUUGGACUCUAUGAUGAACAACUAGCCUACGAGCAUUGCAAUGUGAAGUUACAUAUUGCUCAUCGCUGUCCAAUACAGUAACAAACUUUUCUUCCUUUGACAAUAGGCAUAUCACACUAGUGCAGAACCGGGCAUUAGCACCGGUUCGUAAGGCCCUUUAGUGCCGGUUACAUAACCGGCACUAAAUUGUGGUCACUAAAGCCCCCCCCCCCCUUUAGUACCGGUUCAGCAUGAACCGGUGCUAAAGGGCAACCACGUGGCACGAGCCAGCUCUGGGGGCCUGGAGCCCUUUAGUACCGGUUGGUAAGACCAACCGGUACUAUAAGGUUUCGGGGGUUUUUAGUUUUAUGAUUUCUUUUUCAUUUAAUUUUGUGUUUCCAUUUUAAUUCUUUUUCGUUUGCUGGUAUUUUACGAUACUACANNNNNNNNNNNNNNNNNNNNNNNNNNNNNNNNNNNNNNNNNNNNNNNNNNNNNNNNNNNNNNNNNNNNNNNNNNNNNNNNNNNNNNNNNNNNNNNNNNNNNNNNNNNNNNNNNNNNNNNNNNNNNNNNNNNNNNNNNNNNNNNNNNNNNNNNNNNNNNNNNNNNNNNNNNNNNNNNNNNNNNNNNNNNNNNNNNNNNNNNNNNNNNNNNNNNNNNNNNNNNNNNNNNNNNNNNNNNNNNNNNNNNNNNNNNNNNNNNNNNNNNNNNNNNNNNNNNNNNNNNNNNNNNNNNNNNNNNNNNNNNNNNNNNNNNNNNNNNNNNNNNNNNNNNNNNNNNNNNNNNNNNNNNNNNNNNNNNNNNNNNNNNNNNNNNNNNNNNNNNNNNNNNNNNNAACCAAUCAUGCAUAUAUAUAUCAUCAAUGUCUCACAAACCACCAUAUUAAUUAAUUCACACAUACACACAUGUAUAGCUAUAUACAAUUUCUCCUACAUAUGAAUGUUGCCUUCGGAGCCAGUGGCAUUAGCCUAAUUGGUGCCUUCGGAGCACGAUGACAAUUGGAAGUGGUUUUCAUGGGGGCGGUAGCGGGUAAUAGAAUUCUCCCUUCGGAUUUAUGACCUGGUCGAGCAAAAAUCCCGCUAUUUCCUCUUGAAGUGCUUGUAUGCGCUCCGUUUCUAUGAGCUUCUCCCGCACCUCUUUGAACUGUUAAGAAGGAGAUCAAUAUGCAUGUGUAUUAGUUGUGUGACUAGAUAUCGAUAAUGGUGUAAAAAUUGUGAAUAGUGUUCUGACAAGCGUAUCCAUUCCUGUCUUUGAGAUCUGCUCCUUUCGGAUGCCAUCAUGCGAAUGUUCUCGCAAACGCAGAAUGCACAAUGAUCAGUCCCCUGCGCCUCCUUCAGGGCCUUUAUGAGAAUGGAAUUUGAUUAGAUAAUAAUUAAUCAAGCAUGAUAAUUAAAGAGAUGGCAGCUAGCUAGCUAGCUAGUACUACUUAAUUACUUACCUUGGGUCGAAACCAUUUAAGCUUUUUUUUCCAUUCGCCGGACGUGACGCUGAUAAACCUUGCCCAAGACCUGCCCGCCGACAAAGAAAAUGAAUAAAGGGGUUAUUAAAUAGUUCAUAUCAUGAAAUGACGAACUAAAUAGGCCGAGAUAUAUAAUUAAUAAUGAUUGAAAUUACAUGUUGACUAUCCCAUACAAGAUGUUAUAGUUAGUUUUUUCUGAGAUUAGUGAGUCCAGUACUUCAACUGUUCCGGCGUCAACUUUAAUGAUACACAAUACCCAGUGAAAUCUGCAUGCACACACAUUUGCAUGUCUUAAUUAAGCGGACAUAUGUAAGCAAAAACAUGUAGCUAGCUAGUAGGCAAAAACAGAGAAUUUGUAGUACAAGACAUUGUGACUCACUGGAAGUUGUAAGGAAGUAGUAUAUCUUCAUUGUAUUUGAGGCGCUUCAAGAACUCUAGCAUGCUGUCCUCUACGUUCUCUGACGUUCAUUUAUAGUCCAUGUGUAUUCAUUAACGGUGUUUGGGUCAAUGAACCCAAUGCCAAAGCGUCCACCUUUUCUCAUUUCAUAUAUCUUCAUCCUGCAUAAUACCACAGAAAAGAAUAUAAUGAGGAUAAUUACAGGUAAUGAUUGAUCAAAAGGAUCACUACAGCUAGCUUGAGACUUAAAUUAUAGAAACAAAUCACUUACAGACAAUAGCAACUGACGAUAGAUUUGUCGAAUGCGUCUUGAUUGUAUAACUGAAACAGUUCUAAAUACUCAACGGACACAUCUUUCUCAUGGAAGUAAUGGUCCUGCUUGACAUUCACCAUGAGGGACAAUCGAUCUGAAAUCUUGGUAAUGUUCAUGUACCAUUGAUGCAAUUCAUACAUUCUCGUUGGGAGGUUCUUGACCUUGUCUGGCGCGACCAAAGGUUGGCCCCGGACAUAUUUCCGUUUUAUUUCAUCCUCUCUAAGCAAAGGCAUGGGCUCGAUCUCGAGGAGUUGUCCAACAGUGAUGUUGAGAACUUCAGCCUGCAUUAUAUGCUCCUCCGUUAUUACCACAUUGCCCACCUCGGGAACGUGCACUGUUUGCCCACAAUAAUAUUGGGCGCGCGUACUGUCACCUGUUGUUGGCACAACAAGCGAGGGGAUCGAUUGCGCCACCUGUUCUCCCAGCUGGGGAAUGGUUUUCCCGCAUUUUUUGAUAGCUGCUUCUUGUUUGCUCGAUCCCGAUGUAGACGUGCUCGCCUCCCUUUGUAGACGUGCUUGAUAUAACUUCCUGAUUUAGCGCUCAUAGUCUGUGUCAACAGGCUUGGGAGCUGGUGGUUGAGCUAUACGAAUGAAGUGGUCAAUCGUUUCCUCAGGCACUUUCUCCAUUGGCGGCGUUGGCGGUUUCGGUGCAAAAUGGGCUUCCACCUCGGCCUUCGAUAUGGCUGUGAGUUCCUCCUCGGUCCUGUCAUAAGACCUCUGCGAAAGAGGCUUGAGGCUUGGACCAUAUUUAUAUCGCUUGCCUCCGCCUGUACUUCCUGUAAUACCUUGACUCGUACCUCUACGCACCAUAGCUGCGGGGUGUCUCUUCUGCGAUUGCUGAGGCGGCGGAGACGGCUGACGAGGCUGAGUUGGACGAGGAGGAGUGGCCUGAAGCUGUGCCAGACUUGAAGGAGGAGUGGCCUGAGGUUGUGCCGGACUUGGAGGAGGAGUGGACGUCUGACGCUUGGCGGACUUGGAGGAGGAGGAGUGGCCUGACACUUUGCCGGACUUGGAGGAGGAGUGGCCUGACACUUUGCCGGACUUGGUGGACUUGCAGGAGCGGGAGUCUGCUGACUCGGUGGCGGACUUCGACGAGGAGUCGGCUGACGCAGUGUCGGUGGCCUUCGAAAGAUGAUGCAAUCCUUUUUCCAUAGGAUGAUACGAUGUUUGGCCUCUCCGAGAAAGUGCUCGCCGUCACCUCCAGGAAUGUCAAGCUCUAGGUCCGAAUAUAGGUCCAGCACCUCAUCAACCAAGACACGAGCAUAGCCCGCUGGAAUCGGGUUGCAAUGCAAGGUUGCCCUGGGGGGAUUUGUAAAAGCAAGGGCGUCCGCCACCUUAAUGGGUAUGUUCUUCAUCUUGACAUGUAGCUCGCAAUUAGUGUUCUCCGUGAUGUCAUCCACAGGGUAUCUAUCCAGCAUUGCGGAGUCCGGGGCGGAACCCACGCUGCUUCUCGGCAUGGAUGGGGCGGUGCUAUCCAAUGCUGGAUCAUUCGCUAGAUGCUGCUGAGACCCCCUUUGCUGGGUAAGUGAGUCGAUCUGCUCCUGCUGCCGCUGGAAUUUGACUGCCAAUUCCGCUUGACUAGCUUCUAGGCCUUGAAGGCGUUUAUAGUCCCGCUUCCUCUGCUCCUCCUCCAUCUUCCUCUUCUUCUCCUCCGCAAUCUUCUUUCUCGCACGGGUUCUGUAGUCGAUGUUCCAUUCUGAGAACCCCUCAUACCACGGCAUAGCGCCCUUGCCUCGUGUUCUUCCCGGGUGUUCAGGAUUUCCCAGGGCACGCGUAAGCUCGUCGUUCUCUCUGUUGGGCUGGAACACCCCCGAUCGUGCCUCUUCUAUUGCAACAAGUAUCGCAUCGUCGGCUCCAUUUAGACUUGCCCUCGUCGAGACAUUGCCUAUCUCCGGGUCCAACACCCCCCCCCAUGCGCAUAGAACCAAGUCCUGACCCUGGGGGGCCAGCUCUUAGUAACCGGAGUGACACCUGCAUCCUCCAUCUCUUUCUCAGACUUAUCCCACUUAGGCAUUGCCACCGCAUAGCCACCUAGCCCCAGCUUAUGGAACUUAUCCUUUUUUCGGCAUUCUUCUUGUUUAUUCUCGACCGUUCCUUAGCUAAUUCCGAAUCCUUGAAUUUCACGAAAUCGUCCCAAUGAGCACGUUGGUUCUCUAGUGUUCCCUUGAAUACUGGAGUCUUCCUUCCUCCCUUGACGUACUUGUUCCAUUCACGAUUCUUGUGGUUCUUGAAUGCAGUCGCCAUCAUUAUAAGAGCAGCCUCCUUGACUUUCUGCACAUCUGCUUCUGUGAAAUGAUCUGGUAGGGUGAAAUGUUGCAUGAGAGUAUCCCAAAGCAGAUCUUUUUGAUUCUUGUCGACAAAAGUAACAUCUGGACGUGGCUUUGCUGGCUCUCUCCAUUCUUGAAGUUUGAUCGGGAGUUGGUCCUUCACAAGAACUCCGCACUGACGAACGAACUUGUACGCAACCUUCUUAGGUGCUAAUGGUUUGCCAGUAGGGCUGCAUGCCUCGAUAUUGUAUUUUACGCCCUGCUUCAACUUUUUGUUCGGGCCUCGUUUCGUCAUUUUGCCUGAAGAUUUGCUCGAUCCGGAUGGCUGAAAGAACAAAGAUUGAUUCGUUAAUAUAUCUUCAAGUCAUUUAAAACAUGUGAUGAUCACCAGAUGCCUGCUUAUAUAAAUAUAUAUACCUCGCCGGUCUUUGUUGUUUCAGGAUCAACAUGUUCUUCGUCAUCGUCAUAAUAGUAGUUCAUGACUUCAUCAUUUUGGUCGUCGCGAUCGAAUAUCAUAUCACCCUCUCCGGUGUUGUUUAGAAAUUCGGAGCCGUCAUAAUCUUCUUCAGUCUGAUCAUCAUCUGGCCCACGUAUCAUAUCGAACAUGGUCUGUUCUCCCUCUCUGUCGGUAUUGUCUGCCAUAACUUUUAUUUAACUAAUCCAAAAGAAAUAUAAAACAAUUUAGUAUUCAAAUUACAUUGUCUAGAAUAAUAGAUAUAAUCUCGAAUACAUCGUCUCGAAUAAUAUAUAAUAUUGAAUAGUACAUCACUGGCUAUUAGCUAAUAAAGAUCAAAUACAACAGAAGAAUCUAGGACACUCGCGGUUCCUGCGGCGCGGGCGGUGGACACCCAAAGAGAAGGAACCCUCACAGGAUCAUAACUGAAGUGAGAUCCCCAAAGAAACUGCCAGGUAUUGGAGAACCUGCCGCCCUCUAACGCAACCAUGUAGCGAUGGACAUGCUCGUCCUCCUCCCUGACACGGCGACGUACCACCUCCGGCGGGGCCGGGUCCCUCCGCACAGAAACUGGCCCACGCGAACGCCACCAAACGAGAUCAGGGUCAACGACGGGACCCGGGGCCGGGUUCCUCAUCAAGCGGCGCGCCCCUCCAGGCAGCACCUCCCAGUGCCAGCCCGGCGGAGCCCAGUCCCGGACAUGGGUCGGCUGGACGUCGUCGCGGACGGGUCGACGGCGAGGAUGCGGGCCGGGCAUCGUCGAGAACAAAUACUAGCUAUAUGCAUGCAAAAAGUAACAUUUUUUUAAUGAUUGGAUUUUGAUAACUAAAUUUCUAGCAUUUCUAUAUAACUAACAUUUCUAUAACAUUUCUAACAAUGCUAUAUAUAACUAACAUUUCUAUAACAUUUCUAAAACUUCUAUAACUAAAAAACAGAAAAAAAAAUUAUAACAUUUCUAUAUAUUUAACUAACAUUUUUAUAACUAUUUCUAUAACUAAAAAACAGAAAAAUUUCUAACAAUUCUAACUUUUUUAUAACUAUUUCUAUAACUAAAAAACAGAAAAAUUUCUAACAAUUCUAACAUUUCUAACUAUUCUAACAAUUCUAACAUUUCUAACUACUUCUAAAAAACAGAAAAAUGUCUAACAAUUUCUAAAAAACAGAAAAAUCUAUAACUAAAAAUGUGUGUGUGUGUGCGCGCGCUCACCGGCCGGCGAGGCGAGAGGCGACGGGGGGNNNNNNNNNNNNNNNNNNNNNNNNNNNNNNNNNNNNNNNNNNNNNNNNNNNNNNNNNNNNNNNNNNNNNNNNNNNNNNNNNNNNNNNNNNNNNNNNNNNNNNNNNNNNNNNNNNNNNNNNNNNNNNNNNNNNNNNNNNNNNNNNNNNNNNNNNNNNNNNNNNNNNNNNNNNNNNNNNNNNNNNNNNNNNNNNNNNNNNNNNNNNNNNNNNNNNNNNNNNNNNNNNNNNNNNNNNNNNNNNNNNNNNNNNNNNNNNNNNNNNNNNNNNNNNNNNNNNNNNNNNNNNNNNNNNNNNNNNNNNNNNNNNNNNNNNNNNNNNNNNNNNNNNNNNNNNNNNNNNNNNNNNNNNNNNNNNNNNNNNNNNNNNNNNNNNNNNNNNNNNNNNNNNNNNNNNNNNNNNNNNNNNNNNNNNNNNNNNNNNNNNNNNNNNNNNNNNNNNNNNNNNNNNNNNNNNNNNNNNNNNNNNNNNNNNNNNNNNNNNNNNNNNNNNNNNNNNNNNNNNNNACGCGGCCGGGACGGGGCGGCGGUGACGCCGGGGAUGACGGGGACGGGACGACGGGGCGGCGACGACGGGGCCUGGGCGGCGACGGGCCGGGGCGGCGACGAGGGAUAUGGAGACGGUGGGGGCGGCGGGCGACGGUGCAGAGGAGAAGAAGCAGAGGGAGAGAUGAGAAACUGACGAAAUUUUGAAGUGUUUUCUUAUAUAGAAGGCACCUUUAGUACCGGUUGGAGCCACCAACCGGUACUAAAGGUCUGUUUUGGCUAGCCCAAGCGGCGGGAAGCGACCCCCUUUAGUACCGGUUGGUGGCUCCAACCGGUACUAAAGGCCCCCCCUUUAGUACCGGUUGGAGCCAUGACCCGGUACUAAAGGGUGUGCGCUGCCAGGCGAGGGGCACAAAAGUUUAGUCCCACCUCGCUAGCCAAGGGGCACUCGCACCUGCUUAUAAGCCCCGCCGUCGCUGCUGUCCCGAGCUCCUCUCUUAAGCAGGCCUUCUGGGCCUACCUCUUCUGUGAUGCCCUGUUGGGCCUACUGGGCUAGCGGGCCUGCAUCCUGGCCCAACUUGAAUUUGGGUUUCUAGUCGUAUGCAGGCCGCUGUGGCCCAGUAGGUGGGCUUUUUUUCUUAUUUUUUUGCUUUAUUUAUUUUUGUGAAUAACUUAACUUUGAAAAUAGAUUUUUCAGUGAUUCUUUUUUCUUAUGUUUAAUAUUAGUGUGUUUUAUCAUUAUAUUCAAUUUGGUAAUGCUUAGGUUAUUUAAAAAAUGAAAUGCCUUUGUAACGGAUGAGUUUUCGUCCGAAAUCCUGAUACUUCGAAACAAAUUGUCCAUUUUGUACACGAAGUGCAUCCAGUUUUUGCGGUAACCCUCUCGACUUUUUUGCACAUGUUAUGUGGGUGAAACUAUGAUACCAUGCCAACUUUCAACCUUUUCAGAGUUCAUUUGAAAUGCUUUUCAAUUUCAGGGUCAUUUAGCUGAAAAAAAUCAGUAAAUGCAUGAAAGAAUUUGCUUGCACAUAAAAUUUCUUCGCGUUUCAAAUGCCAAAACACAUAGCUACCCUAACUAUUACAGACAUUCCCUCCUGGGUGUGAAACACAGAAGAAAGUGAUGAUAGUGAAGCCGAUCACAUCCCAGAUCUUUGGGUGUGAAACUUUUUCUUCGCGUGUGUCCCUUUGCGCCGUAACCAUGGAAAAUCUUCAUCAUUUAACGGGAUGCUCGGGUCAAUAUUCACUGUGAAUGGAGAAAUUUCAUCAAACUUUUCAUAAUAUUCUGACUUGUCUGUCUUGUCAUCCACUCCCACGAUGUUUUUCUUCCCAGAAAGAACUAUGUGCCGCUUUGGCUCAUCGUACGAUGCAUUCGCUUCCUUAUCUUUUCUUUUUCUUGGCUUGGUAGACAUGUCCUUCAUAUAGAAAACUUGUGCCACAUCAUUGGCUAGGACGAAUGGUUCGUCUGCAUACGCAAGAUUGUUGAGAUCCACUGUUGUCAUUCCGUACUGCGGGUCUUCCGUUACCCCGCCUCGUGUCAUAUUGACCCAUUUGCACCGAAACAAAGGGACCUUUAAACCACAUCGAUAGUCAAGUUCCCAUAUGUCCUGUAUAUAACCAUAAUAUGUUUCCUUUCCCGUCUUGGUUUCUGCAUCAAAGCGGACACCACUGUUUUGGUUGGUGCUCUUCUUAUCUUGGGCGAUCGUGUAAAAUGUAUUACCAUUUAUCUCGUACCCUUUGAAAGUCAUUAUAUUCGAAGAUGGUAACUGGGACAACAAGUACAGGUCAUCUUCAAUAGAGGUGUCAUGCAUGGUACGUGUCUGCAACCAGCUGGCGAAACUCCUGGUUUGUUCACGUGUAAUCCAGUCAUCAGACCGCUCCGGGUGUUUGGAGCGUAGCAAAUUCUUGUGUUCAUCCAUAUACGGAGCCACCAAGGUGGAAUUCUUUAGAACUGUGUAGUGUGCUUUAGUGAGAGAAUGUCCAUCCAUACAUAUUAUUUGUUCCCCUUCUAGCGUGCCUUUUCCAUCCAGUCUGCCCUUAUGCCGCGAUUCAGGAACACCAAUCGGCUUAAGGUCAGGAAUAAAGUCAAUACAAAACUCAAUGCCCUCCUCAUUUUGAUGGCCCUUGGAGAUGCUUCCUUCUGGCCUAGCACGGUUAUGAACAUAUUUCUUUAAGACUCCCAUGAACCUCUCAAAGGGGAACAUAUUGUGUAGAAAUACAGGACCCAAAACGUUAAUCUCUUCGCAUAGGUGAACUAGGACGUGCGUCAUGAUGUUGAAGAAGGAUGGUGGGAACACCAACUCGAAACUGACAAGACAUUGCACCAAAUCAUUCUGUAACCUUGGUAUGAUUUCUGGAUCGAUUACCUUCUGAGAGAUUGCAUUGAGAAAUGCGCAUAGCUUCACAAUGGCUAAUCGAACGUUUUCCGGUAGAAGCCCCCUCAAUGCAACCGGAAGCAGUUGCGCCAUAAUCACGUGGCAGUCAUGAGACUUUAGGUUCUGGAACUUUUUCUCUGCCAAGUUUAUUAUUCCCUUUAUAUUCGACGAGAAGCCAGACGGUACCUUAAUACUGAGCAGGCAUUCAAAGAAGAUUUCCUUCCCUUCUUUGGUAAGAGCGUAGCUUGCAUGACCCUGAUGUAUGCCGUCUUCUCCGUGCAUACGUUGCUGGUCCUCCCGUGCCUCAGGUGUAUCUUUUGUCUUCCCAUACACGCCCAAGAAGCCAAGCAGGGUCACGCAAAGAUUCUUCGUCACGUGCAUCACGUCGAUUGCGGAGCGGACCUCUAGGUCUUUCCAAUAUGGCAGGUCCCAAAAUAUAGAUUUCUUCUUCCACAUGGGUGCGCGUCCGUCAGCGUCCUUCGGAACAGGUUGUCCGCCAGGACCCUUUCCAAAUAUCACCUUCAAAUCCUUGACCAUAUCAUGUACAUCAGCACCAGUACGGUGGCGAGGCUUCAUACGGUGAUCCGCCUCACCUUUGAAAUGCUUGCCUUUCUUUCUUACGGGAUGCCUGCUUGGAAGAAAUCGACGAUGUCCCAGGUACACAUUCUUCUUACAACUAUUCAAAUAUAUACUGUCGGUAUCAUCCAAACAGUGCGUGCAUCCGCGGUAUCCCUUGUUUGUCUGUCCUGAAAGGUUACUGAGAGCAGGCCAAUCAUUGAUGGUCACGAACAGCAAUGCCUUUAGGUCAAAUUCCUCCCCCAUGUGCUCAUCCCACGCACGUACACCUGUUCCAUUCCACAGUUGUAAGAGUUCUUCAACUAAUGGCCUUAGGUACACAUCAAUGUCGUUGCCGGGUUGCUUAGGGCCUUGGAUGAGCACUGGCAUCAUAAUGAACUUCCGCUUCAUACACAACCAAGGAGGAAGGUUAUACAAACAUAGAGUCACAGGUCAGGUGUUAUGGUUGCUGCUCUGCUCCCCAAAAGAUUAAUGCCAUCUGCGCUUAGACCAAACCAUACGCUCCUUGCGUCAUCUGCAAACUCCUUCCCGUACUUUCUUUCGAUUUUUCUCCACUGCGACCGGUCAGCGGGUACUCUCAACUUUCCAUCUUUCUUACGGUCUUCUCUGUGCCAUCGCAUCGCCUUGUCAUGCUCUUUGUUUUGGAACAAACGUUUCAACCGUGGUAUUAUAGGAGAAUACCACAUCACCUUGGCAGGAAUCUUCUUCCUGGGGCGCUCACCCUCGACAUCACCAGGCUCAUCGCGACUGAUCUUAUAGCGCAAUGCACCACAUACCGGGCAAGCGUUCAAAUCCUCGUACUCACCGCGGUAGAGGAUGCAAUCAUUAGGGCAUGCAUGUAUCUUCUGCACCUCUAACCCUAGAGGGCAGACAGCCUUCUUUGCUUCGUACGUACUCUCGGGCAAUUCGUUGUCCUUUGGAAGCAUAUCACUUAUCAUUACCAGCAACUUUCCAAAUCCCUUGUUAGAUACACCAUUCUCUGCCUUCCAUUGCAGCAAUUCCAGUGUGGUGCCCAGCUUUUUCUUGUCACCUAUGCAAUUCAGGUACAACAAUUUUUUGUGAUCCUCUUACAUGCGCUGCAACUUCUUCUUCUCCAAAUCACUUGCGCAGUUUCUCUUUGCAUCGGCAAUGGCCCGACCUAGAUCAUCAACGGGCUCAUCUGAUGCCUCUUCUUCAGCUUCUUCCCGCAUUGCCGGCUCAGCUUCUUCCCGCAUUACCGGCUCAGCUUCUUCCCCCAUUGUUGUAUCAUCGUAUUCAGGGAACCCAUGGCCAGGAUAGAUGUCGUCGUCCUCUUCUUCUUCAUUGUAUUCCAUCAUAACCCCUCUUUCUCCGUGCUUGGUCCAAACAUUAUAGUGGGGCAUGAAACCGGAGUCAAAUAGGUGGAUGUGAAUGGUUCUUGACGUAGAGUAAUUGCGACCAUUCUCACAGCCAGCACAUGGACACGGCAUAAAACCAUCCGCCCGCUUGUUUGCUUCAGCCGCAAGCAGAAAAGUAUGCACGCCCUCAACGAACUGGGGAGAGCAUCGGUCAUCGUACAUCCAUUGCCGGCUCAUCUUCAUUACACAACACCGAAUAGACCAAAUUAAUACAAGUUCAUACAUAAAGUUCAUACAACACUUAAAUGCAACAAACAAAUAACUCUCUAGCUAAAGCAUUUAAAUGCAACAACAAAUGCGAGCAAGAUCGCAACUAAGGUAACAAUUGAUCCAACAGCAUAAUGAUACCAAGCCUCACUAUCGAUGGCAUAUUUUCUAAUCUUUCUAAUCUUCAAGCGCAUUUUCUCCAUCUUGAUCUUGUGAUCAUCGACGACAUCGGCAACAUGCAACUCCAAUUCCAUCUUCUCCCCCUCAAUUCUUUUCAAUUUUUCUUUCAAGUACUCGUUUUCUCUUUCAACUAAAUUUAACCUCUCGACAAUAGGGUCGGUUGGAAUUUUCGCUUCACAUACCUCCUAGAUAAAAAUAUCUAUGUCAACUUGAUGGGCAUAAUUUUUCAUAAACACGAAAUGUAACAAAUAGUUUUAAAAGAGAAUAUACCACAUCCGAAUCAUAACAAGGACGAGGGCCGAUGGGGACGGAUAUCAAAACCAUGGCACUAUGUAUAACAAACCACAUACGGGUAAGAUAAUUAUUACAUGAUUAACUAUAUAUCCAAAUCACACAAACAUCAAUUUUUUAUAUAAAAUUUCAUGAACAAGAGGCUCACCACAAGGUGGUGCCGGCGACGGGACGGUGCGGGCGAUCGACGGUGGUUACGACGGAGAUUUAGAAGGCACUAAGUAAACCACACCUACAUAUGCAAACUAAGUGUUAUUUUUGACCUCAAAUUGCAUAUAAAUCAAAUACUAGCACAUAUAUAUAUUUCCUCCCAAAUUACUAAACUCACAAAUUAAUAACUAUAUAAAGCAUUGCAAGAGCUAAUCUAGCAAUGAGAGAUGAAAGGACAAAGUUGCUAACCUUUGUGAUCACUUGAAUGGAUGGGGGCCUUCAAAUCUUGACAAAUUUUGGGCAAAAUGUGGGAUGAGCUCGAGGGGAAGAGGAAGAACAGAGAGGAGAGGAGAGGGGAAAGGGGGAAGAACAGAGCGAGCUGGACGAAGGGUUUAUAUGCAGGAGGACCUAUAGUACCGGUUCGUGCCACGAACCGGUACUAAAGGUGCUGGAGGGGGCCCAGACUGACAACAUCCUGCCACCACCCUCAUUAGUACCGGUUCGUGGCACGAACCGGUGCUAAAGUUUCGCCACGAAACGGUACUAAUGAGAGCGGCCCGGCUAGCCAUUGGAACCGGCACUAAUGUACACAUUAGUGCCGACUCUAAUUCAAACCGGCACUAAUGUGCUUCACGUUUGACCCUUUUUCUACUAGUGUCAUAUCCAACACCAUAUCAUGGACGCGACAUCCAAUUAUGGUUCCAUGAUGCAUUUGCUUGCUUAAAUACCAGGAAUCCUCUACCGGCAUUAUCAUGCUUUUGUUCACCAGCUCGUUGAAAUACCUCUCACCAAUCUCAAACAGUCCUACCCCUUGUUCCUCAUGGAUAAAACCUUCACCGAUCCACUUCCAUAUCAAACUAUCUUUUUCAAUCAGAUAGUCUUCAGGAUAGAUGCUCAGAUACAAUAAGCAAGUCUUGAGGUGACAAGGUAGCUCAUAAUAGCUAAAUAAAAGUAUUUUUCUCGUGUUCUCCACGUCUUUAUUUUCUUCAUGUCCAAAACCAAUUGAAGUGUAUACCUUGGACUAAAACUCUACAGGUUUACUAGCAAGCAAACUAGCAAAUGUGAUGAUAGCCAAUGGUACACCACCACAUUUAUGUAAAAUUUUAUCAUAUACCUCUGCUGGCAGAUGAUUAGGCCCUUCUAUUGCACCACAAGAUAAUCUUCUAUGAAAUAAAUCCUUGGAUAAAUCAAGAGAAAGUGGUUGUAGCUUGUAUACUUCACUGGCCGUUGUGGCGACUUCGAGUAUAUGAGUAGUUGUGAUUAUCCUGCUUCCACAAUUGUUACACACCAAUAUCUUUAGCGCAGAGUAUAUAUCAAAUUAGUGGAAAUAUUUUAUAAGGUCCCUAAGUAUUCAAAAUAUCUGUAAAAAGAGGGUGCAUGCAUGUCAGCCAAUAUGUUGAGGAAUCUAAAGUUACAUUGUUGACUCAGGACAAGGAGGGGUCCAGGAGAGAGACAUGUAUGCAUGAACAGAGUUUAAUUCCAUUUCAUCGUCCAGAAUUCUAGUUUUGGUUAACAACAUUUCCAAAUCUAGAUACUUUCAGUUAUUAGAUAUAUUUUUGAAUUGACACGAAUUAUAAGAAGUUCUAGAAUAUCAACACCGGCAACGAUUCGAGGGUAAGUCGCAACCCAAAUUAUAGCAAAGAAGAUAUGAAAACUUGAUACAAUACACUUUUUCGNNNNNNNNNNNNNNNNNNNNNNNNNNNNNNNNNNNNNNNNNNNNNNNNNNNNNNNNNNNNNNNNNNNNNNNNNNNNNNNNNNNNNNNNNNNNNNNNNNNNNNNNNNNNNNNNNNNNNNNNNNNNNNNNNNNNNNNNNNNNNNNNNNNNNNNNNNNNNNNNNNNNNNNNNNNNNNNNNNNNNNNNNNNNNNNNNNNNNNNNNNNNNNNNNNNNNNNNNNNNNNNNNNNNNNNNNNNNNNNNNNNNNNNNNNNNNNNNNNNNNNNNNNNNNNNNNNNNNNNNNNNNNNNNNNNNNNNNNNNNNNNNNNNNNNNNNNNNNNNNNNNNNNNNNNNNNNNNNNNNNNNNNNNNNNNNNNNNNNNNNNNNNNNNNNNNNNNNNNNNNNNNNNNNNNNNNNNNNNNNNNNNNNNNNNNNNNNNNNNNNNNNNNNNNNNNNNNNNNNNNNNNNNNGGCGCAGCCGGGGACUACGGCUGCGGGGCAUGCGCUGCUCUGGUUCACAUCGGAGGGUCUUGGAUCUGGGAGGCGGCCCCCGGUGAGGCCCCUUGUCGCCUGCGGCGAGCAGUGGGGUGGGCACGGUGUCGGCGAUCUGGUCGGGUGGCCGGCGGAUCUUCGGUGGGCUGGGACCUCAAGUGGCUGCCCUGGUGGCUGGCGGUGUCAGAUCUGGCUGCUGGCCAUCUUCCCCUGCUCGGUGCGUUUCACCCUCGAUGGUCCCUCCGGAUCGAGCACAACUUCGGUAAGGAGACGAGGCCCGAAGAAACAGUUGAGCUCGGAUGAAAGGUUUGAGAUCACAGCAAUCGCGCCCGACGGCGAACCGAUUGAACCCAUCCAGACAAAGAACCCAUUUUCUGCUCAGUGCGGGGUUCUUGUUAGGGACAAGAUCCCGAUCAGCAUCCAGCAAUGGUAUAAGCCUAAGGAGGAAGACCCUGAGGUGUCUUAUGUCAAUGAUAUGGAGAAAGAUGAUCUUUGGACUCAGCUGAAGGCAAAUUUCACCCUACCGCCAGAGGAAGAUCCGGAGAAGCCAGUUAAAGAGCAAUUAAUCAAGUCUUGUGCUCUUUAGAAGAUGGCAAACCUAUUCAGGAGGUGGAGGAAAGAGCUGAACAAGUUUGUCGACAAAGAAGAGACACCAGAAUUCAUCGGCAAAUAUGAGAAGAUCAAAGAUCACUGGCCCGCAUUUGUGGCCCACAAGACAUCGGAAAAGAGUAAGAAGAUGUCGGUGACAAACAAGCAAAAUGCUGCGAAGAAGCAGUUUCACCAUCGCACGUGGUCAGCUGGCUACCUCAAAGCCCGGCCUAAGUGGUUCGUAAGGGCCUUUAGUACCGGUUCAUGAACCGGGACUAAUGGGUCGUUACUAAUACCUCCCCCCUUUAGUCCCGGUUCUAACACAAACCGGGACAUAUGGGCCUCCACGUGGCCUUACCUCCCCCCUUAAGAAUAUCCGUCCCUGCAUAUUAUUGAGUCCUUUCCAAGCGUGCCUUUUCCAGUCAGUCUCCCCUCAUACCGCGAUUUAGGGAGACCUAUCUUCUUAAGGCCAGGAAUGAAGUCAACACAAAACCCGAUGACAUCCUCUGUUUGAUGGCCCAUGGAGAUGCUUCCUUCUGGCCUAGCGCGGUUACGGACAUAUUUCUUUAGGACUCCCAUGAACCUCUCAAAGGGGUACAUAUUGUGUAGAAAUACGGGGCCCAGAAUGACAAUCUCGUCAACUAGAUGAACUAGGACGUGCGUCAUGAUAUUGAAGAAGGAUGGUGGGAACACCAGCUUGAAACUGACAAGACAUUGCACCACAUCACUCCUUAGCCUUGGUAUGAUUUCUGGAUCGAUCACCUUCUGAGAUAUUGCAUUGAGGAAUGCACAUAGCUUCACAAUAGCUUCACUGAGCAGCGCAUUCCCUUGGACCACUUACGCCGGGCUUUGAGGAAGCCACCUGACCCCGUGCGAUGGUGAAGCUUCUUCUUCGCAGCAUUUUUCUUGUUUGUCUCCGACAUCUUCUUACUCUUUUCCGAUGUCUUGUGGGCCACAAAUACGGGCCAGUGAUCUUUGAUCUUCUCAUAUUUGCCGAUGAAUUCUGGUGUCUUUUUUCCUUGACAAACUGGUUCAGCUCUUUCCUCCACCUCCUCAUUAGGCCUGCCAUCUUCUUAAGAGCACAAGACUUGAUUAAUUUCUCUUUAACUGGCUUCUCCGGAUCCUCCUCUGGCGGUAGGGUGAAAUUUGCCUUCAGCUCAGUCCAAAGAACUUCUUUCUGCAUAUCAUUGACAUAAGACACCUCAGGGUCUUCAUCCUUAGGAGGCUUAUACCAUUGCUGGAUGCUGCUCGGGAUCCUGUCCCUAACAAGAACCCCGCACUGAGCAGAAAAUGCCUUCCUUGUCCGGAUGGGUUCAAUCGGUUCGCCGUCGGGCGCGAUUUCUAUGAUCUCAAACUUUUCAUCCGAGCUCAACUUUUUCUUCGGGCCUCGUCUCCUUACCGAAGUUGUGCUCGAUCCGGAGGGCUAGAAAUUAUAAGGAAGAAAGAUGACAGUAAUUAAUAUGUGUACAUAUACCAAAACAAUGGAUGCAUCAAUUAACUAGUCAGCACGGGCUUAACUAAUAUAUAUAUACCUGGCCGGACUCGGUUCGGUGACCGGAGCAGUCAGCACGGUCUCCUUCAUCUUGUACCUCCAUUAUGUCACCGGAGCCAUCAUGAACAUAGUCCUCCUCUUGUACUGGCAUUAAUGGGUCGAAGCCAUCAUAAACAUAGCCGUCUUCUUCAUCCGGCUGACCAAUGGUGUCGAUCAGAAAUGACGCAACAUCAUCACUUCCAUUUGCGAUUAUCUCCCCCGACAUCGCUUCUGUUUCUUCGUCUCGGGAGUGCUCCAUAGUUUCUGCAAAUAUUUACAACAUGUCAAUUAUUAUUCAAACAUGGUACAUAGUGGCAAACGUAGAUCUAGCUAGCUAAUCACAAUAAGGAAUCAUGUUAGUGUCCUCGAUGCUGCUUCUCUAGGGUUUUGGGGUCGCCUCGACACAAAGCUUCAAGGGUUUGGGGUGGCCUCGACGAUAACGCUCUUUUAACUUGAUAAAUUUGGGUGGCCUCGAGAGAGUUAAUUUGUCAGGUAGGGGCGCGGCGGGAGGGGGUAGGAGACCUGCAACAUCGUUUUCUCUCUAGGGUUUGGGUGUCCUCGACAUACAUAUACAUGGGAAAAUAAUGUUAUCGGGGAGGGGGUAUCGGUACCACCCCCUCGUGUUGAAGUUUCUUCUUUCUCCUUUCCUUUCUUUCUUCUUCUCCUCUUCUUUUUCUUCUUCUCCCUCGAGAAAGGAAAAUAAUUAAGGAAAAGGAAGAAAAGAGGAAGAAGGAAGAAGGAAGAAGAAGAAGUAAAAGAAGAAAAAAAAGGAGAAGAAGAAAAAAUAGAAUUUUUUUUUCUUCUUCUCCUCUAUUCCUUUCUUCUUCUCCUCUUCUUUUUCUUCUUUUUUCCUCUUCUUAUUUAUUUCUCCUCUUCUUCCUCUCCUCUUUUUCUCCUUUCUUCCUCUUCUUAUUUUCCUUCCUCUCAUUCUUUUUCUUCUUCUUCUUCCUUCUUCCUUCUUCCUCUUUUCUUCCUUUUCCUUAUUUUACUUUCUCCUCUACACUAACCUAAAAUGCACUAACCUAAAAUCGAUCGAUAUCUACUAACAACCUAAAUAUAAAAUUAAUACAUAUAUGAAAAAACAUAUAUAAACAAAAAAAUGCUAUGAACAUUAUAUUCAUACAUACAUAUAUAGCCACAUCCAUUCAUCAUAUAUAUAUAGCUACCACAUACAUAUAUACAUUAUACAUAUGAAAAAAUGCAAUGAACAAAAAAAUACACUUAUGAAAAAAAAUACUAUGAACAUGUACACAUAUAUACACAUACAAACAUAUAUACACAAAAAAAUGCAAAAAAUGCUAUNNNNNNNNNNNNNNNNNNNNNNNNNNNNNNNNNNNNNNNNNNNNNNNNNNNNNNNNNNNNNNNNNNNNNNNNNNNNNNNNNNNNNNNNNNNNNNNNNNNNNNNNNNNNNNNNNNNNNNNNNNNNNNNNNNNNNNNNNNNNNNNNNNNNNNNNNNNNNNNNNNNNNNNNNNNNNNNNNNNNNNNNNNNNNNNNNNNNNNNNNNNNNNNNNNNNNNNNNNNNNNNNNNNNNNNNNNNNNNNNNNNNNNNNNNNNNNNNNNNNNNNNNNNNNNNNNNNNNNNNNNNNNNNNNNNNNNNNNNNNNNNNNNNNNNNNNNNNNNNNNNNNNNNNNNNNNNNNNNNNNNNNNNNNNNNNNNNNNNNNNNNNNNNNNNNNNNNNNNNNNNNNNNNNNNNNNNNNNNNNNNNNNNNNNNNNNNNNNNNNNNNNNNNNNNNNNNNNNNNNNNNNNNNNNNNNNNNNNNNNNNNNNNNNNNNNNNNNNNNNNNNNNNNNNNNNNNNNNNNNNNNNNNNNNNNNNNNNNNNNNNNNNNNNNNNNNNNNNNNNNNNNCUCCAACCGGGACUAAUGCCCCCUUUAGUCCCUGUUGGUGCCACCAACCGGGACCAAAGACCUCUUUUUCGGCAGCCCAAAGGGCGGGAAGCUGCGGCCUUUAGUCCUGGUUGGUGGCACCAACCGGGACCAAUGCCCCCCCUUUAGUCCCGGUUGGAGCCACCAACCGGGACCAAAGGCCCCUGUGCUGCCCGCAUCGGGGCCAAAGUUUAGUCCCACCUCGCUAGUUGAGAGGGGCGCGCAGUGGUUUAUAAGCCCCACUGCCGCACCCCUCUCGAACUCCUCUCUACUGCAGGCUUAUGGGCCUACUUGCUACUGCUUUGCCUGAUGGGCCUUCUGGGCCUACUGCAGGCCUGAAUCCUGGCCCAAAGUAGGGAUUCAAGUCGUAUUCAGGCCGUGGGGGCCGAGUAGGGGGUAUUUUUUUUGUUUUUUUGUUUUCUCUACUUAUUGUUGCUAUUUUUAUUUUUUCCAGUUUUUUUUGUUUUGUUUUCUGCAUUAUUUAUUUUGUUUUGUUUUUUUGCUUUAUUUUUUAAUUCUUUUUGCUUUUAGUUUUAAGGAAAAUUAUAAACUUUCCACUUUUUUUGUUUUUUGUUUUCUUUCUUGCUUUAUUUAUUUUAUUUUGUUUCUACUUACAACAAAAUACAUAUUGUUGCUAUUUUUAAUUAUUGCGAGGGCCGAACCAUAAGACAUUAAAGCAUUUCAAAUGAACUCUGAAAAAGUUGAAAGUUGGCAUGGUAUCAUAAAUUGACCCACACAUAGCAUGUGCAUGUACAAAACGGACAAUGGUAUCAUACUCGUCAGUUACAAAGUUGGCAUGGUAUCAUCAUAAUAGUUGCAGGAGAAAGUCUUCACUUUUUCUUCGCUUGUGUCAUUUGCUUAUUGCGCCGUAACCAUGGAUAAUCUUCAUCGUUUAUCAGGAUGCUGGGGUCAGCCUUGACUUUAAAGGGAGGAAUUUCAUGAAACUUUUCAUAAUCUUCAGACAUGUCUGUCUUGUCCUCCACUCCCACGAUGUCCCUUUUUCCUGAAAGAACUAUGUGGCGCUUUGGCUCAUCGUAUGAUGUAUUCGCUUCCUUAUCUUUUCUCUUUCUCGGUCUAGUAGACAUGUCCUUCACAUAGAUAACCUGUGCCACAUCAUUGGCUAGGACGAACGGUUCGUCAGUGUACCCAAGAUUUUUCAGAUCCACUGUUGUCAUUCCGUACUGUGGGUCUACCUGUACCCCGCCUCCUGACAGAUUGACCCAUUUGCACUUAAACAAAGGGACCUUAAAAUCAUGUCCGUAGUCAAGUUCCCAUAUGUCCACUAUGUAACCAUAAUAUGUGUCCUUUCCCCUCUCGGUUGUUGCAUCAAAGCGGACACCGCUGUUUUGGUUGGUGCUCUUUUGAUCUUGGUCAAUCGUGUAAAAUGUAUUCCCAUUUAUCUCGUAUCCUUUCCAAAUCAAUACAGUCAAAGAUGGUCCCCUGGAUAACAAGUACAGCUCAUCACAAACAGUGUUGUCACCUCUGAUACGUGCUUCCAACCAACUGCCGAAAGUCCUGAUGUGUUCACAUGUAAUCCAGUCGUCGCACUGCUCCGGGUGUUUAGAGCGCAGACUGUUCUUGUGUUCAUCGACAUACGGGGUCACCAAGGUAGAGUUCUGUAGAACUGUGUAGUGUGCUUGAGACCAAGAAUAUCCGUCCCUGCAUAUUAUUGAGUCCUUUCCAAGCGUGGCUUUUCCAGUCAGUCUCCCCUCAUACCGCGAUUUAGGGAGACCUAUCUUCUUAAGGCCAGGAAUGAAGUCAACACAAAACCCGAUGACAUCCUCUGUUUGAUGGCCCAUGGAGAUGCUUCCUUCUGGCCUAGCGCGGUUACGGACAUAUUUCUUUAGGACUCCCAUGAACCUCUCAAAGGGGUACAUAUUGUGUAGAAAUACGGGGCCCAGAAUGACAAUCUCGUCAACUAGAUGAACUAGGACAUGCGUCAUGAUACUGAAGAAGGAUGGUGGGAACACCAGCUCUAAACUGACAAGACAUUGCACCACAUCACUCCUUAGCCUUGGUAUGAUUUCUGGAUCGAUCACCUUCUGAGAUAUUGCAUUGAGGAAUGCACAUAGCUUCACAAUGGCUAAUCGGACGUUUUCCGGUAGAAGCCCCCUCAAUGCAACCGGAAGCAGUUGCGUCAUAAUCACGUGGCAGUCAUGAGACUUUAGGUUCUGGAAAUUUUAUUCUGGCAUAUCUAUUAUUCCCUUUAUAUUCAACGAGAAGCCAGUCGGGACCUUCAUACCGAGCAGGCAUUCAAAGAAGAUUUCUUUCUCUUCUUUCGUAAGAGCGUAGCUGGCAGGACCUUCAUACUGCUUCGGAGGCAUGCCCUCUUUUUCGUGCAAGCGUUGCAGGUCCUCCCGUGCCUCAGGAGUAUCUUUUGACUUCCCAUACACGCCCAAGAAGCCUAGCAGGUUCACGCAAAGGUUCUUCGUCACGUGCAUCACGUCGAUCGAAGAGCAGACCUCUAGGUCUUUCCAGUAGGGUAGGUCCCAAAAUAUAGAUUUCUUCUUCCACAUGGGUGCGUGUCCCCCAGCGUCACUCGGAACAGCUAGUCCGCCGGGACCCUUUCCAAAGAUUACGUGCAAAUCAUUGACCAUAGCAAGUACGUGAUCACCGGUAUGCAUGGCGGGCUUCUUCCGGUGAUCUGCCUCGCCUUUGAAAUGCUUGCCUUUCUUUCGACAUUGACGGUUGGUCGGAAGAAAUCGACGAUGGCCUAGGUACACAUUCUUCCUGCAGCUUGCCAGGUAUAUACUAUCGGUGUCAAGUAAACAGUGCGUGCUUGCGUGGUAUCCCUUGUUUGUCUGUCCUGAAAGGUUACUGAGAGCGGGCCAAUCGUUGAUGGUCACGAACAGUAACGCCUUUAGGUUAAAUUCCUCCUGUUUGUGCUCAUCCCACGUACGUACACCAUUUCCAUUCCACAGCUGUAAAAGUUCUUCAACUAAUGGCCUUAGGUACACAUCAGUGUCAUUGCCGGGUUGCUUAGGGCCUUGGAUGAGAACUGGCAUCAUAAUGAACUUCCGCUUCAUGCACAUCCAAGGAAGAAGGUUAUACAUACAUAGAGUCACGGGCCAGGUGCUGUGAUUGCUGCUCUGCUCCCCGAAAGGAUUAAUGCCAUCCGCGCUUAAAGCAAACCAUACGUUCCUUGGCUCACUUGCAAACUCAUCCCAGUACUUUCUCUCGAUUUUUCUCCACUGCGACCCGUCAGCGGGUGCUCUCAACUUCGCGUCUUUCUUACGGCCCUCACUGUGCCAUCGCAUCAACUUGGCAUGCUCUCCGUUUCUGAACAGACGUUUCAACCGUGGUAUUAUAGGAGCAUACCACAUCACCUUCGUAGGAACCCUCUUCCUGGGGGGCUCGCCAUCAACAUCACCAAGGUCAUCUCGUCUGAUCUUAUACCGUAAUGCACCGCAUACCGGGCAUGCGUUCAGAUCCUUGUACGCACCGCGGUAUAGUAUGCAGUCAUUAGGGCAUGCAUGUAUCUUCUGCACCUCCAAUCCUAGAGGGCAUACGACCUUCUUUGCUGCGUAUGUACUGUUGGGCAAUUCGUUAUCCUUUGGAAGCUUCUUCUUCAAUAUUUUAAGUAGCUUCUCAAAUCCUUUGUCUGGCACAGCAUUCUCUGCCUUCCACUGCAGCAAUUCCAGUACGGUACCGAGCUUUGUGUUGCCAUCUUCGCAAUUGGGGUACAACCCUUUUUUGUGGUCCUCUAGCAUGCGAUCGAACUUCAGCUUCUCCUUUUAACUUUCGCAUUGCGUCCUUGCAUCAACAAUGACCCGGCGGAGAUCAUCAUCAUCGGGAACAUCGUCUGGUUCCUCUUGAUCUUCAACAGCUUCGCCCGUUGCAGCAUCAUCGUGCACAUCGUCUGGUUCCUCUUGAUCUUCAGGAGCAUCACCGUAUUCAGGGGGCACAUAGUUGUCAUCGUACUCUUCUUCUUCGCCCUCUUCCAUCAUAACCCCUAUUUCUCCGUGCCUCGUUCAAACAUUAUAGUGUGGCAUGAAACCCUUGUAAAGCAGGUGGGUGUGGAGGAUUUUCCGGUCAGAGUAAGACUUCGUAUUCCCACAUACAGGGCAUGGACAACACAUAAAACCAUUCUUCUUGUUUGCCUCAGCCACUUCGAAAAAAUCAUGCACGCCCUUAAUGUACUCGGAGGUGUGUCUUGAACCGUACAUCCAUUGCCGGUUCAUCUGCGUGCAUUAUAUAGUGAAGUGACCAAAUUAAUAGAAGUUCAUCAUCACAUUAAAACCAAAGUACAUACAUAGUUCUCAUCUAACAACAUAAAGCUCUGCAGAGCAUCUAAAUUAAUUAAACCAUACACUGAAACUAUGUAAAACAUUUCAAUGCGAAAACAAAUGCGAUCAUAAUCGCAACCAAUGUAACAACUGAUCCAACGGCAUAAUGAUACCAAGCCUCGGUAUGAAUGGCAUAUUUUCUAAUCUUUCUAAUCUUCAAGCGCAUUGCAUCCAUCUUGAUCUUGUGAUCAUCGACGACAUCCGCAACAUGAAACUCCAAUAUCAUCUUCUCCUCCUCAAUUUUUCUAAUUUUUUCCUUCAAGAAAUUGUUUUCUUCUUCAACUAAAUUUAACCUCUCGACAAUAGGGUCGGUUGGAAUUUCCGGUUCAACAACCUCCUAGAUAAAUAAAAUCUAUGUCACGUUGGUCGGCAUAAUUGUCAUAAACAAUAAAUGAACCAAUAGUUAUGAAAAGAUAAUAUAUACCACAUCCGAAUCAUAGACAUGACGAGGGCCGACGGGGGCGGAUACCAAAACCAUCGCACUAUAUAAGAUGCAAUAAUAAAAGUAAGAAAAUAAUACAAGUAUCUAUCUAAACAUACAAGUAAGAAUAUUUUUCCUUUCAGAAAGAAGAUAAGAACAAGAGGCUCACCACGGUGGUGCCGACAAUGAGAUCGGCACGGGUGAUCGACGACGGUGAAGACGGGGACGGGGCGUGACGGACCGCUAAACCUAGACAAAUAUUGAGGAAAGUGGAGCUUGGCAGUCGAGCUUGGAGAGGAGAAACCUUAAGUAGUGUGGCUCGGGCAUUCCAUCGAACACCUUGUGUGCAUAGGAGGUGAGCUAGAGCACCACCAAACCCUCUCCCCCUCGGCCAGAAAAAACAGAGCAGUGUGCUCUGCUCUUGCGCGAGGGGGUAUAUAUAGGCACCACCAUUGGUCUCGGUUGGUCGCAUGAACCGGGACUAAAGGUUUGCCUUUGGUCCCAGUUCAUGCCACCAACCGGGACCAAUGGUGGUGGGCCAGGAGCGAGGCCCAUUGGUCCCGGUUCGUCCCACCAACCGGGACCAAAAGGUCCAGACGAACCGGGACCAAUGGCCCACAUGGCCCGGCCGGCCCCCGGGGCUCACGAACCGGGUCCAAUGCCCCCAUUGGUCCCGGUUCUGGAUUGAACCGGGACUAAUGGGCUGGACCGGCCUGGACCAUUGCCCCCUUUUCUACUAGUAUCUUUUAUUGCUAGAUCUUCGGGUCCUUGGGAUGAUGUGAUCCAUGAUUUUGUUUCUCAUUUACUUGUAAAUAACAUGAAUAUCAUAUGAGAAAUAAAGUAUUAUUUGCUGUCAAAAAAAGUCCAUGCAUGGCUGAACCAACUAACUAAUUGGCCAACUAAUUCCUAGGAGCUAGGUUAAGACUGGAACAAAAGUCCUCAAACAAUCUAGUAUGUAAACCCUGAGUCGUGAUGUUUGCAAGUUGCUGACUGGUCGGGAUGUGCAUGGUGCACAAACCAAGAGUGACCUUCUCUCGAACGAAGUUGAUGCCCAGUUUGUUGUGUUUUGUGCGGCGGUCAGGCACGUGGUUUUGGGGGAGGUAGACAGCCGAGAAGUUGUCACAAAAGACCAUUUUUGCUUAGUCGAUGCCGGCGUGCAGCUCGAGGAGAAGUUGGUGGAUUAAGUAGAAAUCGGCAACGGCGUUGGCCACAACAUGAUAUUUCUGCUUCUGCACUCAAACACAACAUGGUGGGCUGCCAUUUUGAGGACCAAGACAUCAAUGAGGCACUGAGGAAUAUGCAAUAGCCCUUGGUGGAGCACCAUGUGUCCUGAAAGCCUGCCAAGUCAGCAUCGUCUACAUGUGGGUCUCAGUUGAACCUGCCUGAGGUAAAACAUGCUAAAAACCAUCAUCUGCACAUAGUGUGGUUUCCUGCAUCUAGGUUGUCUACAUCAAGGAAGCAAUAUUUACCAGUGUUUGGUUGUCUGCAUUGCACUGGGUAGAAAAACUACAUGUUGUUUGGUUGCGAGUGACAUAAGGUGCGAUCAACACUUCUCACAAGUGGUGAACUUACCACACAUGAUUUAAACAACAUUUCAGUCCUAGAUAGAAAACUAAUGACAAUUCAUCCUAGCUACUAACAAAUAGCAGUACAAAAUUAACAGUCAACUGGCUCAAUAGGGGAAAGUUAAUCGAUGCCGAACUAGGUGGAAGUCCAUUAUCGUCCUCUUAUUGCUCUGUUGUUGUUGUUGUUGUUGUUGUUGUUGUUGUUGUUGUUGUUGUUGUUGUUGUUGUUGUUGUUUCUUCUUCUUCUACCAUUGUUGUAGCUUCUUCUCUUCUGCUUCUGCUACUGUUGCUUCUUUUUCUCUUCUGCUACUACUUACUCUUCCGUUGUUGCUUCCUCUUCUUCAGAUCCUUGUCUAACCUUUGUUUUCCCACGUUGCCCGAGCCCACUCCAUUCUUUUGUUCUUCAAUGCAAGGUCAAUACCGUGCCACUAUUUCCCAAUAUGUCCCGAGCCACAUUUGACCAUGGGUGGGACCAAGCAUACUGACCUCGGGUUCCUGAUCUUGCUCCUCCAUGAUAGUGUCGGCGGCCUUCAAGUUUUGCAUCAAGGUGUUUGGAUUGAUGGUCCUCCGGUCAAGGGUGCGUUGCUGGCCAAUAUUGCUGACAUGAUGCAGGUACUGUCACACUUUCACCUAACCAAAUUGCUAUAGAGUAAUAAUAUAUUUAUAUAUUCACUCAUAUGGAAAAUAUAUUUUUAUUUUUUUAUUAAACUAUAAUAUAUUUUUAUUGUUAGUGCACAGCUAUAUUCUUACAGGUGUAUUUAAGUUAAUAUAUAAAUUAUAUAUUUUAUGGGCACCAGUUUUUUUUGUCAAACCUGGAUGUUGCUCUUUCAGAUAGUAGAGCUAUAAUAUAUAAAACUGGAUAGUGGUUUUACCCUGCAGUGAUAAGUUUCAAAAAUAUAUAUAAGAAUGAAUACAAUAUAUUUUCCGAUCAUUCAUUGCCUGAAGUUCUAGUCUUUAAUUUAAAACUAUAUUAAAAUGGUGCAUAAGCUCUAAAUUAAAUGUGAAUAUGGAAAAUUUAAUAAAGAAAAGACAUUACCGGAUGAUAUGGACCAAUCACAUACAUAUUAGUGUUCUAAUAGUUGAUGUCAAUUUUUUUUAAAUGAUCUUUAUUUGUUAUUUAAGAUAUAAGGAUGGUUUUGACACAAUUUCCAAACUUAAGAACAAUUCAACUAUCAUAAAUAUAAUUGUAUUUUUGAUAAGUUUGUAAUAUUUUGUUUGACAUAAAAUAUCAUGUUUAAUAAAUAAAACUAUACUUAACUAAAAUAUAUGUUGUCACUCACCAUAAUACCAUAUACCAUCGUUGAUCUCUAUGAUUUCUUAUUUGUUCAUGUCACAAUUGUGCAGAUUAUUACAAAUGGGAAGUUCAAGAGCGUGGAGCAUUGAGUUUUGCUCAGACCAACUGUAGAGGCACAUAUCAGUUGCAUGCUUUCUAAGCAUUGAUGAUCUUGAUAGGCCAUAUGGGCCGGUAAAGGAGCUUUUAUCAAAAGACAAUAAGCCCAUUUAUGACCAAGUAAUAUUCCGUGAACGCAUGAAGAAGUAUAAACUAUAAAUUAAACCAGUGGUCUUGAACUCUAUAUAUCCCAUCCUCUUAGAAUAAUGUUGUGAUUAGUGACAAUAAUAAUGCAGAAUAGUGAAACCAUAGAAAAUUCUAGAUAUGGAUAUAUUUAUUAUUAUAGGUGACCAUGUGUAUGUUAGAUUUUUAGUGGUAUUGUGCAAUGUAUCUCCUAUUUCAUAAUCGAUCUAGUAUAUGGUUUGCUGAAUAAUUAUUGGGAUUUUCAAUGUGUCCAUUUAUUGUAGGUUUUUUUUGAUAAAGAUCAUUUCAUUCAAUUUAUAUAUCGAGGUGAUAAAACCGUAUUGAAAGAAUGCCACUUAUAAGAGGCCUUGGUUCGAGAAGAUGCAGGCCGACAUGGUCAAGUUCGAUGACGAGGAUCUAUGGCGGAGAGCGCCAUCUUUUUCUUGGCCAGCAAGUUUGCCGGCAUGACCAUGGCUGAGAUGGCGUGGUUGAACUCCAUCCUUUUUCUGUGUGCUGGCAUGUGUGCCGGCCGCUAGCAAGUGCGGCAGCAUGAACUCUGUGAUGUUUUUUCGGAGGCUGGCAUGUAUUCUGGCCGCUGACAUGGCGUCGGCAUGAACUCUAGACGAUGGCUCAUGGCCGCUGGCAUGAUCUAUGUAGGCUUGCAAGUUGGGAUGCAAAAAGGAGAUGCAUUUAAAUAACUAUAUGAUGAAGGAUCAAUGGAUUCGGGAUAGCAAGAGGGGUGCCGGAAACGGUAUGCAUGUUUGAUCUUGACAGGUUUUAUUUUGGCAACAUGUAAAAACAGAAAAGCAAACCGGUAUCACUGCUAGAAAACAAAACCAAACUACAUAGAGUACAAUUUUGGACUAGGACCAUUGAUCGUUUGUUACAGGGAGAAGAGAAUACAACCUCUGGGAAUACGAGGCUCUGCCUCUACAUGCAUAUAUUAGUGUCACAUACAUACAAUUUGGUAGCGAUGAUGAUGAUAUAUAUUGUGUCUGCGCGGCGGGGCACACAAAACCAUAUAUUCCAGGUCAGUCAAUGCCGUCUUCUAUUUGAGACCAGAGAGGGCGAUGAUAAUGUAUGGGGAGAGUUCAACCAUGAGAAGCACUAGGACCGGCACUGCAAAGUUCCACCCUGCCCUCUUAGUACGAAACCUCCUCACCAGGACCCUUUUGUCGAGGUAAAAAAUGGUCACCGCAUUGAGGCCCCAAACGGCUUCCAACGCCAGGAGUGCGAAAGCCGUAAAACAGCAACAAAGGAGGGCUUUAGUGCGCUCCACCGGAGCCAGCACCGCGUACAUCCCAAACGCAAAGGCGGCCCCAAGGCACCUAGCGGAACAAGCCAGGAAAAUUUCGGAGAGGACCAAGUAGACUAUGCGUUCCUGUAGUCUUGCGCCCAACCCUGCGACCAUGAGAAGGACGAUGGAUCCACUGGAGAAGAUGAAUGCCAGUGUGUUGGCCAUGACGAACGCGUCGAAGGCGUACUUCCCAGCCAGCAACGGCGUGCCGUCUGCUCGGUAGCCACCUGGCACUGCAAAGGCUGCAGCGAACGUAACCGUCGUGAUGAGCACGGAGGCGAUACCAAUGAUCUGCGUGCGGUCGAGGAUGCUCUGUGAUGUGUCCUUUUCGUUGUUGUGGAUUGUUCUCGGUAAGAUAUUCAUCCGUGGGGAAUCAGUCCAACGGGCGGCAGUGACCAACAUCCCGUUUAUCCUAGACCGUGUGUUCUGCAAUGAAAGAAAAGAAAAUACAUGACUAGUUCUACCUGUACCACAAUACUUGUAGCUGGGGAAGUAAGUAUUGUGGUACAGAGGGAGUAUUAGCUAGCUAAGUCCGCGGAAGAGAGAGAGAGAGAGAGAGUGUGUGUGUGUGUGUGUAACUGAAAAACUGAUAGGAGUAUAAAUAGUAUAGAUAGCUUACCCGAUAGCUGCGGUUUGUCUCUUUUUGUCUGUACCUGGAUGCAAGCUCCCAUGGGGUUUCUCCCUUCUUGUUGGUUAGAUUUAGCUUAACCUCUGGUGUUGACAGCAGAGCAUGGACUAUAUAUACAUCCCCGACCUCAACAGCGAGGUGCAGCGCAGUGUUUCCUUGUUGGUCCUGCAUGUUCAUGACUGAGGAUGCAAACAUCGUCUUGCGCAGCUCUUGGCAAGCGCACUUGACCACAUCGCACCUUUCAUCCUGGACGGCAACAUGGAGGAAAGUCCUGCCCUGGCUAUCGCGUAGCUGGGCGCAGUAAGGGCCGCACCUAUUCUUUUGUAGCAAGGCCAGAACAGUACCAGGUUGGCCGCUUGACGCAGCCAGAUGUAUGGGAAACGACCCAUUCUUGUCUGGCAGAUACGCUGGAGAUGGGUCGGCCUCCAGUAGCAACUCGGUCACCCUUGUCUCCCCAAAUAAUGCUGCGUAGUGAAGUGGCGUCCGUCCGGUGGGUCGGUCUGCUUGUUUGGUAAGAUCUUUGUUCCUUUUCAAUAGCUUUUUUAUUGCCUCUGCACGCAUGCAUGCAAUGGUUAGCUAUCAUUAUUACUUCAAACCAGUGGCGACGCUACACACAACUUAAUUUCUUUGUGAUGUCAAGUGACAAUUUUUCUGGUUUCUCCUCAUUGUACCAUCUCUACAUCAUAUAUCUCAUAUACUACCACCUGGGGGUAGUUACCCCACAUGUCUCAUAUACUACCAUGUGGUAGUAUAUAUUCUACUUUAUCAUUUUAAGUAUGUUCAUAUACUAUAUAUAAGAUACUCCAAAGUGAGUUAUCUGAAAAAAAUUGCAAAUUUGUUUUUAUUAUAUUUGUGAAAUACGUACAUAUUUGUACGUAAAAAAGAGCAUACUCAAAAUACGAUACAUACUAACAAAAAAAUAGUAUAUAUACUACCUAAACAUACAACAUACUACGCGUACAUACUCUCCGAUUUGAUAGAUACUACAUACAACAUACAAAACUCAAGUGGUGGUAACUACCACUGGUGGUAGAUAAAAUUUGUCCCCUGGUUAGGGAUUGUCUAUUCGUCACCCUGGUUGAGGAAUAGUUAUUCUUCACCCCCUCUAUUUUACCACCAAUGCACUGUAGUUUUACAUUUCGUAAGUUUUGUCUUAUUUCUGACGUAAAAAGAGAUAGCAAGAAAAUAUACAAUCACCGUAAAAAAUAUUUUAUGUUAUGUGAAAUUACAAACGUAAAAACAUAGUGUAAAAUAUGGGGAUUGUCUAUUCGUCACCCUGGGUGAGGAAUAGUUAUUCUUCACCCUCUCUAUUUUACCACCAAUGCACUGUAGUUUUACGUUUCGUAAGUUUUGUCUUAUUUCUGACGUAAAAAGAGAUAGUAAGAAAAUAUGCAAUCGCCGUUAAAAAUAUUUUAUGUUAUGUGAAAUUACAAACGUAAAAACAUAGUGUAAAAUAUACAUGAACUCCACUUUUCUUGUCUAAUGACCAAUAUUUUUUUUCUUAUACCAAAAUUUACGCAGUGAAUCAAUAGGAAUGUAAUUAUUUGAAUUUCAAAUGUAAUUUAAUUAUAGAGUGAUCGUAAAAUUACCUCGGGUGAAGAAUAACUUAUUCUACACCUUGGGUGAUGAAUAGCAUCAAUAGGGAUUGUUUAUUCGUCACCCUGGGUGAGGAAUAGUUGUUCUUCACCCCCUCUAUUUUACCACCAAUGCACUAUAGUUUUACGUUUCGUAAGUUUUGUCUUAUUUCUGACGUAAAAAGAGAUAGUAAGAAAAUAUACAAUCGCCAUAAAAAAUAUUUUAUGUUAUGUGAAAUUACAAACGUAAAAACAUAGUGUAAAAUAUACAUGAACUUCAAAUUUUCUUGUCUUAUGACCAAUAUUUUUUUUCUUAUACCAAAAUUUACGUAGUGAAUCAAUAGGAAUGUAAUUAUUUGAAUUUCAAAUGUAAUUUAAUUAUGAAAUGAUCGUAAAAUUACCUCAGGUGAAGAAUAACUUAUUCUGCACCUGGGUGAUGAAUAGCAUCACUAUAUAUAUGCAUGUUUAUCUUGACCUAGUAUAUCAAGAUGGUAAUUUCUAAAAUAUACAUGGAAAACUGGUAGAAUAUUAAUCAAUAAAGGAAUUGCCGUAUUCCUAUUUAAUAAUUUGAUCAAAUGAUUAACUAUUUGAAUAUAUCCUACGAGCAACAAGGGUUUUCGUCAUCUAAAUUAAAAAAGGUGAUACCUCAUAAGUUCUACUUUUGAAGAACAAAAACUGAGGCCGCCGAGUAAUAGAGAGUAUGUUGUACAAGCAAGACAAGUAAUGCUAGCUGUGUUUAUCAAGUGAUUUGAGAUAAUCAUCUUGGAAAACACUAAUUAAUGCAUACAAAUUAAAUUCCUCGACGACCAUAGCCUUAAAGCACAUGUUAAGAUACUUCAAGGAUUGUGUGGGUCAAUCAGGAGUCAACUCAUAUGUGAAAACAAAAACAAACAAAAAAACAUGGACAAAAAGGAGAGAACAGCUAGUAGGGAGAAAGUUCUUACAAAUUUCGGGGGAGGCAUUUUGGUUCCCGGGAGCAUUUGCUAUCUUGUGCCAAUGCACGGGUUUUCAACAAGUCACACUAAAAUGAAGAAAGACUACAUCUUGUGACAUGUGUGAAGUGAGGCAAAUUAAGUGCUAUGACAACAUCAGAAACUUCAGACGUAAACACCUAAAGAAACAUGGGAGAGAAGGUUAUAUAUAUGUACAUAUAUAGAGUACUCACCCUCGCCCCAUUUCCACUGUAUGGCUGCGUGUUAGGCGUUUUGGCAGUCCGGUCCAGAGUAAGACAGCUUGUCGUCUUUCUCGAAGAGCAGCUUUGCAAUGUCCAUGUGACCCAGCAAGAGGGCCAAGUACAGUGGUGAGGCGCGGUCGGUCAGCGGAACACGAGCUAGCUGUGAGUCCGCCGACACUAGCUCGCCGAUCAUGUCCUUGUCUUCCACGCGGACGGCUUUGUGCAGCACCGUCUCUCCCUCCCCAUUUUGCAUUCUUAGGAUCGCCUUCACACUCUCAUCAUCACCGGUGCCGUCCCUGGCCCUUGCCAGAGCCAAGAGAUGAGAGACCAUCCUAGCAUUCUUGAGCCGGGCGGCACAGUGCAGGGGGGUGUCGCCCUCCCCAUUAGGGGCGCUGAGGAGGUGAUUGGCCUUGCCAACGAUCACCAUUGCACACUCCAAGAAUUCAUCUCCAUCUCCACCAGACGCUACUACAUGCAGGAUGGAGUCCCCUGCACCGGUGACCGCUUCUGAGGGGGGCGUUGCAGCUGGCUUGUCGACGUCGUCGGUGAUGGUAUCCUCGACGACGUCGAGGACAACUUGCCGCGCUGCAUCUUCUUCUUCCCUUUGAAGAAGAAGAAGGCGCUUUAUUUCAUAGGAGUCGCCAUGCGCCGCAGCAAUGAGCAGCUCGGGAUGAUGCAGCUGGAACCCCUCAUUCGGCUUGCUGGGAAGGCUGGGAGUUUGCUCUAUGUUCACUAUACCCAUUACGUGAGCUACACGUACGACAGUAUGGAGGAGUAGGGAAUGGUAUAGAUGGAGUAGGAUGGUGGUCGCUGAGAAGAAAUAUAUAUAUAGCAGAGAUGCAUGGCCUUAAUCUUGCACCGCAGGUUUAAGAGCAGAUAUUUACAAGACUUGACACAUCUGCUUUGGAUGCCAAUCUAUCGACGAAUCUGCACAAGAUUGCGGCCACGUUCUAUUAAAGCAAAAGGUACAUCGUAGGACAGGAACCUUCUUGCGGGCUUGAGGAUCACAACCAAGUCUUUUUAUAUUGGGUGUGUCUAGCUCUCCACAUCUAGAUAAUAAAUAAGUAAGUCUUAUCUAGCUGCUAUACCAUUUUAUUUGGAGUGAAGAUUCUUGUGAAAUCUGCCUGAACAUCGACACAAACCGUCGACUCCCUCUGUUGCUAUUAUUUCGUCAUUCAACACUAAUCCUAUUUUAUCCCACCAAGUUCCCGGUACUCAUAGAACGAAGGAAGGUUUUUAUUUUUCUUUUGAUCUUCCCAUCCAGGUGCUCCUUGGGACAACUCCACAUGUCUUUUAUUGCUUUUCCCUCGCAAAGUUUCUCACCUCGAACAAACCAAAAAUCAACUAAGUGAUCGUUCUAUGGUUGCUGCUCCUUGUUUCCAACCUUCUCGCUGGUAACCGUUGCUCCAAACUGUGGGCUAUGUCAAAUAGCGGGCUAUAUAUUCUAAAUAGCGGUGGUCCUCCAAAACAGCUAUAAACGGCUAUUUCAUAACUUCAUCGGAAUAGCAGCGAGUACUCCCUCCGUUCCAUAAUGUAGUGCCUAUAGUUUUUCUGAAAAGUCAAACCUCACAAACUUUAAUCAAGUUUGUGGAGAAAAAUAUUUACAUCUAGAGUGCGAAACAUAUAUCACUAGAUUCAUCAUAAGAUGUAGUUACACAUUAUAUAUUUUUGCUAUUGUAGAUAUAAAUAUUUUUCUCUACAAACUUGGUCAAAGUUUGUAAAGUUUAACUUCUCAAAAAAUCUAUAGGCACUACAUUAUGGAACGGAGGGAGUACCAUUUAGCGACACCCUGCUCAAAGCGCUAUAGCGAAUCUAUAGCCGUCUAUUUAAAUCUUUGUUGGGAACCGAAGAAAAACCAAGCAAAGAUUUAUUCAUUUGUAUUCCAUGUUGCAGCUUGUCUGGCAUGAUCCCUGACGCCCUCUAGCUUUUCUCUCUCCAUCCUUCAACCCUGGGACCAAGCAAAACCCAAAGCAAAAGGAUUCUUCUAUUGCUUUCCACUUGCCAACCUUCUCGCUAUGUACCAAAGCAAAUAAACCAAGCAAAGAUUUAUUCUUUAGUUCUUCCGUGUUGCAGCUUCUUUGGCAUGAUUCCCUGACGCCUUCUAGUUUUUCUCCCUCCAUCCUUCAAGCCCUGGGACCAAGAAAAACACCCAGAAAAAGAAUUGAAACAAAAAAAAACAAAGGCUCUUGUCUUCAUCGGUUGUAGCUUCCAUAGCAUAACUCUCGAUCAGCAGCCUGCAAUUCUCCGCACUCGAAAUAUCGUUUGUAAUUUUUCUUCUAGAUGAGACAAAGACCAUUUACCUUGCUUUAGUAUUUUGUUUUAAAGAUUGCUUGCUGAAAUCAAAGUUAUAAAGCUACGACCUUAGACGAUAGUAGCUCCAGGUUUCUUGGAGAGAACAAAAGGUCGAUCCCUUAGACGAUACAUGUGCCAGGAUUUCUGUCUUUCAUAACAGUCUUCAAGGUGACAAAAUUUCUGUCCAGCUAGAUACCUUAGACGAUAGAUGCUUUAGUUAUCUUUACGUCUAGCAGAGGUUCAAGUGAAGACUCCUGGUCUUACCAUACUCGUACCUUUUUAUAAAGAAAAGGAAAAGAGAGAAAAUAUACCAAAGAUGAAGAGCAAGCCAUAUCGAAAUGGCAUGCAUGAUUGCACCCACCCUCUGUCUGCAAUGUAUAUGGCGAUUGGCAUCUGCGCACUCAGACCUCCAAAAAAGUUCCCAGAUUGAUCAUACAGAAAUUGAGUCUGGUCUGGUCGCUCACGUCGCUCUCAGGUAACUCUGAAUAUUCGUUUUAUUCGGUCUGGUAAAUAGGGUUUUUGGUACAUACAAUAUCAAUACUUUGGUAAAUAAUACGGCAUGAAAUUAAAAUAUGGUUCGGUUUCCAUAUAUACCAUAAUAUUUUCGUAUGGUUUCAAUACAUACCAAACUAUAGAAACGGAGACACGGGAAGAGGCCGAACGCAUAAAGGUCUAUAUAGAGAAGUCCAUGCGCGAUGAACGCGGUGAUUUGCUAGUAGCAGCGACUUGGUUUCUUCCGCAUAUCCGAGAUGUUGAUUCAGCAGAGCUUAUGGCAAUUGGAAAUGGAAUAUACUUGUUGGCAAAUUUGGGGUGCAACAAUGUGGAGAUUGAAUUUGAUUGCUCGUUUGCGGCGGAGAUAUCCAGCAAAUGGACUCUUAUCUACCACCCGACGUUGCAUUGGUCUCUGAAUGCAAGCAGUUGGCAAUAGACUUUGCUAAAAUAUUACAUAAACACUGUUUUCGAGAAGCUAAUCAGCUAGCAGAUGAGCUAGCUAAGCAUUCUUUUAUUGCUAGAUCUUCGGGUCCUUGGGAUGAUGUGAUCCAUGACUUUGUUCAUUUACUUGUAAAUAACAUGAAUAUCAUAUGAGAAAUAAAGUAUUAUUUGCUUUCAAAAAAAGUCCAUGCAUGGCUGAACCAACUAACUAAUUCACCAACUAAUUCCUAGGAGCUAGGCAAAGACUGGAACGAAAAUCCUCAAACAAUCUAGUAUGUAACCCUGAGUCGUGAUGUUUGCAAGUUGCUGAUUGGUCGGGAUGUGCAUGGUGCACAAACCAAGAUUGACCUUCUCUCGAACGAAGUCGAUGCCCAGUUUUUUGUGUUUUGUGCAUGCACGGGGUUUUGGGGGAGGUAGACAGCCGAGAUGUUGUCACAGAAGACCAUUGUUGCUUAGUCGAUGUCGGCGUGCAGCUCGUGGAGAAGUUGGUGGAUUAAGUAGCAAUCGGCAACGACGUUGGCCACAACAUGAUAUUUCUGCUUCCGCACUCAAACACGACAUGGUGCGCUGCCAUUUUGAGGACCAAGACAUCAAUGAGGCACUGAGGAAGAUGCAAUAGCCCUUGGUGGAGCGUCGUGUGUCUGGAAAGCCUGCCAAGUCAGCAUCGUCUAUAUGUGGGUCUCAGUUGAACGUGCCUGAGGUAAAACAUGCCAAAAACCAUCAUUUGCACAUAGUUUGGUUUCCUGCAUCUAGGUUGUCUACAUCAAGGAAGCAAUAUUUACCCAGUGUUUGGUUGUCUGUAUUGCACUGGGUAGAAAAACUACAUGUUGUUUGGUUGUGUCGGGGAUAUACCCCGCGGUAUGACCCGGCUGGGACUUGGUAUUUCACUAGUAAACCGCCCGAGGACUGACGACUCACUGAUGACCCUGCCUAGCCGGAGGCCCAUUGGUGAGCCGGCAGACAGUGGUAAGCCGACAGACAGUUGUAAGGCGGCAGACAGUUAUAACCCGACAAAUAGUGAUAAGCCGGCAGAUAGUGGUAAGCCGGCAGACAGUGGUAAGCCGGCAGAUAGUGGUAAGCCGACAGAAAGUGGUAAGUCGGCAGAUAGUUAUAACCCGGCAGGCAGAGUCGCCUAGGGUUAAUAAGCUCUAGACGUUCAGAAUCCCAAGAUGUUAAGAAGCCCAUGGAGAGAAUCUCGUGAUGAGAAGUCAGAAUAGUUUAAAUCUUAAUCCAACUAAGACUGUAGCGACCAGACCUCAAAGAGUCUGAUCUCUGUGCUUUAGAGUCAUCCCUGGAUCAGUAAUGCUGGCACACAUAGUACUUGAAGGAUUUAUAAUAGAGUAGCAAUAACACACUUAUUACACCGAAUGUCUCAAACGAGAACUUAUUACAAUAAAUAUGGCUUAAGGCCAUCUAAUAACGAUAACAACGGAAGGCUUGGAAGAUAAGCGAGUCCAUCAACUCCAACGUCAUCACUGAGUAUAGAACCACGACCUAAGGCACCUUACUCGUCGUCUGUAAAAUCUGCAACAUGAAUGUUGCAGCCCGAAAACGGGUCAGCACAUGGAAUAUGCUCGCAAUGUAAGACAUAGAGAGUAAUGAACAGAAAUAGGCUAUACUACAUGCAUAUAUGGCUGGUGGAAAGCUCUAUGGUUACAGUUUUGUGUAAAGCCAAUUUUUCCCUACUGCAAAGGAAUAAAUAUUAUUUAACUAUCAUGGUGGUUGUUAAACAUUGAGAGUGUAGACACCCUCUCAAUCCCAAUUAAGCAUCAUCAUUAAAACCCAACAAAAUUAAUUAAAGUGACAUGAUGAGAUUCACAUGAUAAUCAAAGUACUAGAUACUCAAGAUGUCCAUAACCGGGGACACGGCUAACCAUGAUUAGUUUAUACACUCUGCAGAGGUUUGCUCACUUUUCCCAACCAGACUCGAUCUCCUCCGUUGGGAUUCUCGCAAUACAUGGUGUUUGAGAAACGGACGACCGAGACAUAGUCUUUCAGAAGCGCUAGCACCUUACGAUCGGGUAGACAGUUACACCUACUUUCCCUUACAUCUGCUAGUCUACCACUGUAAGAGUUCGCACUACUUAAUCAACUAUGCUAGAACCCAUAGUAACUUGUGACUGCACACGGAAGUUUCUAGCAUGAAUAAUCUCAUGAUCCCUUUGAGCCUGGGUGGCGGUCCAUAAAAAAACAACAGGCAAUGGCUGGAAUACCCAGGUGCCUCAAUCCACCCAGAUGUGUGUUAAAGUUGCCACCUUAAGUUGAACCAUUAAAUAAAAAUCUCACAUCUGUCAUGGAUACACUCACCCAAUCCACGUCUACUAGCGUAGCAUGGCAUAAGCAAAUGUAGAAGUAACUCCCAAGGGUUUGAUAAUAAAACAGGUAAUAGGUACUAUCUCAUCUACUUCCCAAAACCCACAUAUUAAUCAGAUCAUAAUCAUGCAAUUGUUUGAGGAUUGAUCUAAUUCAAUAAAACUGGGUAGUAAAGAGGUAUGAUCAAAGUGUUACUUGCCUUGCUAAUGAUCCGUGAAACCGAGAGAUUCGAAGUAGCAAGCGGCGCACUCCGGGUACUCUGUCGCAAACAAACAGGCAUACAAUAAGCACUCAUCAAAUGCAAGGGUCAAACUCAAAUAACGGAUCUAACUAGAAAGUUCAACUUAAGAACUCUAAAUAAAAUUUUACAGAAGCAAAAACUUGUUUGAGUUGGUUAAACGGAAAGAGGGUUUCGAUACGAAACUCUAGGCGCUUGAAUCACCUGAUUCCGAUAAACGAGCGAAAAGUUAUACUAAAACGAAAAUCGGAUCAGAAAUCGCGAUCGAAAAUAAUCGCGGAAAAUCCGAGAAAAAGAAAAACGGACGAACAGGCUAACAAACGAAGGUUCGCUGUCUGUGGCUAAACGACAAAAACCGUUCGUUAAAACGAACGUACGGACGAACGUCUGCUAAAUAACUAAACCGGAAAAAAAACUAAACCGAUCUAUUAAAAUAAAUAAACCGCGGCUUAAAAAAACCGGGCGGUUUUUCUUAGAAAACCGCCGGCGGCGGGGUGGCUACCUCCGGCGAGGUCCGGCGUCGGGCUCCGGCGGGGCGGGGCGGUCGGCGGCGGCGGGUGGUGGCGGCGACGGGCGGCGGGGCGGCGGCUAGGGUUUUGGCCUGGGGUGGGUUGUUGGCCUUUAAAGGCCGCCCGGGCGCAGUGUCCAGGUCGGACACGGCCCGGUAAGGCGGUAACUUUUUUUUUGAAAUAUUACGCGCAAAAAAAUAAAUAAAAGAAAUACUAAACGGACUCCAAAAAUCCCAAAAUAAAAUUUCCCAGACUUCUAAAAUCAAGCCGGACAAGAUGAACAAUUAUUUGGGGCCUAAAUGCAAUUUUGAAGAAACGCGAAUUUUUCCUAAAUUCAAAUAAAAUAGCAAUAAAAUCCAAAAUAAAAUCUUAUUUGAUUUUAUUAUUAAAUCCUUAAUAUUUCUUUAUUUUGGGGAAGUCAUUUCAUACCCUCUCUCAUACUUUUAUAAUAGAAAUAAUUGAAGAUAAAAUAAUUAAAAUCAAAUGAUCCUAUUUUCAAAUUUUGAGAAGACUCAAAUAUGAAAAUAACGAAAUCCCCAACUCUCUCCGUGGGUCCUUGAGUUACGUAGAAUUUCUGGAUCAGGCCAAAAACAAGAAAAUAUGGUAUGCAAUGAUGAUCUAGUGUAUAACAUUCCAAAUUGAAAAUUUGGGAUGUUACAAACCUACCCCCCUUAAGAUGAAUCUCGCCCUCAAGAUUCGGGUUGGCUAGAAAAUAGGUGAGGGUGGUCCUUCAGCAGAUCUUCCUCUCGCUCCCAGGUGGCUUCAUCCACGGUGUGGUGGCUCCACUGAACUUUGCAAAACUUGAUAACCUUGCUGCGGGUGACUCGGCUGGCAUAUUCGAGAAUCUUGACUGGUUUCUCCUCAUAGGUCAAAUCACUAUCUAACUGAAUUGCUUCCAGCGGCACAGUAUCUCUUAGAGGUAUAUCAGCCAUCUCUGCGUGGCACUUCUUCAACUGGGAAACGUGGAACACAUCGUGAACUCCUGACAAUCCUUCGGGCAAUUCCAAUUUGUAAGCAACUUCUACCAUGCGUUCCAAAACUUUAUAUGGUCCCACAAAGCAUGGUGCUAACUUUUCCUUAACUCCAAAGCGCUUAACUCCUCGAAGUGGAGAUACACGAAGAUAAACUCUAUAUCUGACUUCGUAAACUGUCUCCUUGCGCUUAGAAUCUGCAUAGCUCUUUUGCCUGGACUGGGCUACCUUGAGCCUAUCGCGAAUCAACUUCACCUUCUGUUCAGACUCCUUAAUCAAAUCUGGUCCAAACAACUGGCGGUCUCCAACUUCAUCCCACAACAACGGUGUCCUGCACCUCCUUCCAUACAGAGCUUCGAAAGGGGCCAUCUUCAAACUGGAUUGAUAACUGUUGUUGUAAGAGAACUCCGCAUAUGGAAAAUUGUCGUCCCAACUAGAUCCAUAAUCUAGCACACAAGCUCUCAACAUAUCCUCCAAAAUCUUAUUGACUCUCUCGGCCUCUCCAUCUGUCUGCGGAUGAAAGGCUGUACUGAACUCUAGUCUGGUACCCAAAGUUUCGUGCAACUGAUUCCAGAACUUUUAGGUAAAAUGGGUUCCUCUAUCUGAUACAAUGCUCCUCAGAACUCCAUGCAGACAUACGAUCCUGGUCAUGUAUAUCUUUGCUAACUUAGCACUGGUGUAAGUGGUCUUCACUGGGAUGAAAUGAGCUACUUUCGUCAAACGAUCAACUACAACCCAUAUCAAGUCAUAGCCUGAACGAGUCCUGGGCAAUCCCGUGAUAAAAUCCAUGCCUAGCUUAUGCCACUUCCAUUCAGGUAUCGGCAAUGGUUGUAGCAAUCCUGCUGGCUUCUGAUGCUCUUCCUUCACUCUCUGACAUACAUCACAUACUGCUACAUACUCCACAAUAUCCUUCUUCAUUCCGGUCCACCAGAAAGUGUCUUUCGAAUCCAAAUACAUCUUGGUAUUCCCUGGGUGAAUUGAGUACGGCGAAUCAUGGGCCUCUUGCAAAAUCAACUUCCUGAUCUCCGGAUCAUUAGGCACAUAAACGCGGUCCUCAAACCAUAAGGUAUUGUGCUCAUCCUCACGAAAUCCUUUAGCUUUUCCUUUGCUCAUCUUCUCCUUUAUAGAGGCAAUCUCCUUGUCAGUCUUUUGAGCAUCUCUGAUCUUAUCCAUCAAAGUAGACUGAAUCUCCAGUGCUGCUACAUAGCCUUUCUGAACUAUCUCCAAGCAUAGCUCUCGAAGAUCCUCGGCUAACUCCUUUGGUAACUCUCCGGUCAAGAGUGUGUUGACAUGGCUCUUGCGGCUCAACGCGUCAGCUACUACGUUAGCCUUUCUGGGAUGAUAAUGCAAUCUCAUAUCAUAAUCCUUGAUGAGCUCCAACCAUCUCCUUUGUCUGAGAUUCAACUCCUUCCGCGUGAAGAUGUACUUCAAACUCUUGUGAUCCGUGUACACCUCACAAUGGUUUCCAAUGAGAAAAUGUCUCCACGUCUUCAAUGCGUGCACUAUGGUUGCUAACUCCAAAUCUUGUGUAGCAUAAUUCAACUCAUGGGGCUUAAGCUGUUGUGAGGCAUACGAAACAACUCUUCCCUCCUGCAUAAGCACUGCUCCAAGUCCUCGACGUGAAGCGUCGCAAUACACCUCGUAAUCCUUGCGCUGAUCUGGCAAAAUCAACACUGGUGAUGUAACCAAACAUUUCUUCAACUCCUGGAAACUGGCCUGACAUUCUUCAGUCCAUUUGAACUUGGUAUCCUUCUUCAGCAACUCCGUCAUAGGUUUUGCAAUCUUCGAGAAAUUCUCAAUGAAUCUCCGGUAGUAUCCUGCAAGUCCAACAAAACUACGGAUCUCUCCAACUAUCGUUGGUGCUACCCAAUUUGUCACAGUGACAACCUUGGUGGGAUCUACUGCUAUUCCUUCUCCGGAUAUAACAUGUCCGAGGAAUCCAACUUCCUUCAACCAAAACUCACAUUUGCUGAACUUGGUGUAUAACUGAUGUUCUCUGAGCUUCUCAAGUACUAAACGCAAAUGCUCCUUAUGGUCUUCUUCAUUCUUUGAGUAGACCAAAAUAUCGUCAAUGAACACCACGACGAACUUAUCCAGAAACUCCAUAAACACCUUGUUCAUCAUGUUCAUGAAAUAUACAGGUGCGUUAGUCAGACUAAAUGACAUAACGGUAUACUCAUACAGCCCGUACCUGGUGGUAAAAGCCGUCUUAGUUAUAUCCUGCUCUCUAAUCUUCAACUGAUGGUAUCCUGAUCGUAAAUUGAUCUUGGAAAAUACCUUAGCUCCUUGCAAUUGGUUAAACAAAUCGUUGAUCAUCGGCAAUGGGUACUUGUUCUUAAUUGUCACUUCAUUCAAUCCUCGAUAAUCAACAACCAUCCUCAAUGAUCCAUCCUUCUUCUCCACUAGAAGUACUGGCGAUCCCCAAGGUGAAGAACUUGGGCGAAUAAAGCCUUUAUCCAGUAACUCCUUAAUCUUCUUCUUAAUUUCCUCCAAAUCUUGUGCGGGCAUCCGGUACGGUCUCUUAGAUAUCGGCCCUGUGCCUGGCAAAAGCUCAAUCAAAAACUCAACGUCUCUAUCCGGUGGCAUGCCUGGCAACUCCUCAGGAAAUACGUCAGGGUAAUCCUUCAUCACUGAUACUUCCUCCUGCACAACUCCUGGUAAGUAAUUUAUACCUAACCGACCGAUGAUAUGGUCGCCGGCCGGCCGUUGCAGGUUUCAGGACUGGGGAUUGGAGAAGGGGUGGGGUGACACUACUGAGACAUGCAGAGAAACACUCAACUUCCUCUCGGAAGUGCUCCAGGCGCCGGAUCCUAUCAACAUGGAGAAGUUCUUCAGCAGGGUGCCGUCGGUGUUCAACAUCGUCAUCUUCUCCAUCCACGGUUACUUUGGUCAAGAGAAGGUGCUUGGGUUGCCCGAUACCGGCGGUCAGGUACAGUGAUCAUUAUCUCAUCCUGGUAUAUUAUAACCCUGAAUCAACAGGGAUUCAUGCUUGAAACAGAAGCCAACAUUUCAAUCUUUCCUUGACAGGUGGUUUACAUCCUGGACCAAGUUAGAGCUCUUGAAGAGAAACUUCUGCAAAGAAUCAGGAAGCAGGGCCUGAAUGUUACCCCAAAGAUUCUUGUGGUAAGCUUCGACCGCCUUCAUUAAACUACGAUGGCCUAACAGUCCAGGGAGGGGGCAUAUGACAGCUCCUCGCUCGUGUCGAUCGCAGUUAACAAGACUCAUACCGGACGCAAAGGGCACCAAGUGCAACGUUGGGCUUGAACCGGUCGAGCACACUAAGCAUUCAAGCAUCCUCCGUGUGCCAUUCAAGACCAAUGAUGGGAAAGAUCUUCGCCAGUGGGUCUCCCGGUUUGACAUUUACCCUUACCUGGAGAGAUAUGCCCAGGUAUGUUCAGCUAGGAAUUUUACUAGGCAUUGGCAACACCUUGUGAACGAACUGAAUGUGGCACUGAUAAUAAACCUUUAUCGUGGUGGUUUCAGGAUUCUUCUGUCAAGAUUCUUGACAUUCUGGAGGGGAAGCCAGACAUGGUCAUCGGAAAUUAUACCGAUGGCAAUUUAGUAGCAUCCCUCUUGUCGAGCAAACUCGGGGUCACCCAGGUGAAAAUGAGCUAUCGAAAUGAAAUACUGAAAAAAAUGUUCUUCUGUCACCAAAGAAAUCUGACAUCACAACCAACAGGGAACAAUUGCUCAUGCUCUUGAGAAGACAAAGUACGAGGACUUAGAUGUCAAGUGGAGAGAAAUGGACCACAAGUAUCACUUCUCCUGCCAACUUACUGCUGACAUGAUCGCCAUGAACACUAGCGACUUCAUCAUCGCUAGCACCUACCAGGAAAUAGCCAGAAGGUCAGUAACUCAGUAAACCAAGACCAUCUUGCCCUGUCUCUCAGCGACUCAUCCCAGGAUUCCCUGACAAAAUGCAGCAAAGACAAACCUGGCCAGUAUGAGAGCCACUACGCCUUCACAAUGCCAGGGCUGUCUCGCUACGCCACAGGCGUCAACGUCUUCGAUCCCAAGUUCAACAUCGCCGCCCCUGGUGCUGAUCAAUCCGUUUACUUUCCAUUCACACAAAAACAGGCUGGGCUGACCGACUUGCACCCUCAGAUCGAGGAGCUACUCUACAGCAAGGAGGACAAUAAUGAACACUUGUAAGUAUAUAUAUUCCUUGGUAAUAGAAUUUUUUUAUUUACCAUUGACAACAUUAAUUGCUAAUAACUCUGAACUGUGAUAUGAUUGAAUCAGAGGGUACCUAGGGGACAGGAGCAAGCCAAUCAUCUUCUCCAUGGCAAGGCUCGACAAGGUGAAGAACAUAACCGGGCUGGUCGAAUGGUACGGUGAGAACAAGAAGCUCAGGGACCUUGUCAACCUGGUCAUCGUUGGGGGACUCCUGGAACCAUCACAGUCAAACGACAGAGAAGAGACCGAGGAGAUCAACAAGAUGGACAGCUUGAUGGACAUGUACCAGCUCAAGGGACAGAUCUGCUGGAUCAAAGCACAGACCGAGCGCGUGUGCAACGGUGAGCUGUACCGUUGCAUUGCAGAUACCAGGGGCGCCUUCGUUCAGGUAAAAAAGAACUCAAAUACAGUUUUUUUUUGAAGGCGCUAGCAAAUUGCUAGCCUCUAUAUUAUGGGGUAGGGAGCAGUAUAUACAAGACCGCGUUCGCGGUUCUGAAAUGAGAAAAGCAAAGAGAAGGAAAAGAUUACAGGGCCCUUAAGCCAUUGUUGGGCGAUCUCUCACGUCGGAUCCCCGAAAGGGUGCUGCAGACAUUUUGCUCCCGCUAUCCUCCAAGCCUCCAUGGAUCCCCGCUCUGCCUGAAUGAUGGCCCCCGGCUCGGCGAUUUUCUUCUGGAAAACACGUCGGUUCCUCUCUAGCCACAGUUCCCAUGCAAUGAGCAUAGUGAGCGACCUGAUUCCUUUGCGAUAUUCUGGCAGGGUGCUGUCGAUGAUGAGAGCCCAGAAGAUCUCUGAUUUGUCCCCCUCUGGCCAUGAGCUUGGAGCGAGGGCAGCGCAGCCAUGCCAUUGCGCCGCAGCAGCCCAGAUCACCCGUGCCACCGGGCACUGCCAGAGGAGGUGCACUGAGGUUUCAAGGUUUCGAACGCAUAGCGGGCAGAAAUAGUCAUUCGGCCACCCGCGCCUUUGCAGCCUGUCAGCGCACCACAGCCUGUCAAGCAUCAACAGCCAGGUGAAGAACUUGCAGCGUGGAGGAGCCCAGGCUUUCCAGAACAUAGUUGCAUAAUCUGAUCGGAUCCUGCCGGCGAACUGAAGCUUGUAAGCGGCCGCUGCGCUGUAUGUGCCAGUGGUGGAUGUCUUCCAGGUGAAUACAGUUAAGCAUGAAACUCAAGCACUGACCAUGUGACUGAACCGUGUCUUUCAGCCUGCACUCUACGAGGCAUUUGGACUAACGGUCAUCAAGGCGAUGAACUGCGGGCUGCCAACAUUCGCGACAAAUCAAGGAGGACCAGCAGAAAUCAUCGUCAACGAGGUUUCGGGUUUCCACAUCAACCCGCUCAACGGCAAGGAGGCAAGCGACAAGAUCGCAGCCUUCUUUCAGAAAUGCAAGGAGGACCCCACCUACUGGAACAAAAUGUCCACUGCCGGACUCCAGCGCAUCUAUGAGUGGUACCGUACAAUCAUCAUCUUAGAAUACUUAUGGAUAAUUAUGCUUCUUCUUCACAAAGUAAUUUAAUAAUCUCUUGUCUGUGAUUUUAGUUACACGUGGCAGAUUUACGCGACUAAAGUUCUGAACAUGGGGUCGAUGUACGGCUUCUGGAGGACUCUGAACAAGGAAGAGAGGUAGGCCAAACAGCUCUAUCUACAGAUGUUCUACAACCUUCAGUUCAGGCAGCUGGUUAGUUCAGAAGAAGCAGUGCAACACCAACACCAACAGAACCCAACCCCAUUUUCACUGAUGUUCUACAUUUGUUAGUACUCUUUUCAGGUAAAGACAGUCCCAAAACUGGGCAAACAACCCGCACGGCCUACGACAGGAAGCACGGCCCCCGCUAGGAUUGCGCCGAGGCCAAGAGAAAGGCAAGUGUGCCCGCUGCUAUGAAAUUUACUGAGGAGAUAGCGGGGAAGCAACUGACUGACCUGACCGUUUGUUGUUUCGACGGUGCAGAAGGCCGCAGACGAGGAUUCAGAGGUGAGAGUUGUCACCAAUCAUCAAGCUGCAAAACAGCAGAAGAAGCAUCAGGUCACAUUUGCAUAAAACUGAUGAAUAUCUGAAUAAUGUGUUUGCGCAGGAUUGCGACCAGCUUACUCGGCCCGGUGCUCCCGACGUCCAACUUCUCUCAGGAUGCAGCUUAAAGUGAAGACCAAAUAUCAUAAGGACUGUGCUUGUGUGUGUGCCAUUGAUUUGGAAAGUUCCCAUGAAACUGGAACUGUCCAUGAUGAUUGUGAGAAUAAUGCAAAGUGUGAGCCCUGCACUCAUCAUGAGUUAACUGCUUCUGCAUCAUGCAAAAGCAAGAAAAAUAAAGCAAGUUUAGAAACGAGAUUUCAAGCUCCAGACCCUUAAAAGUACUCGAGAUUCAACAUUUACAACAUAACAAAGUAGACACGUAGAUGGUACUUCAGCAAACAUAGACCAGCAUAGUACAGCGCACAAGACAGCGGCUGGCGGAUUAUUACUACUUUCUUCACAUAAUUACAACACUACUAAGAAAAGGGUUAUAGAUAGGACUGAUUCUAAUGGCACACCAGAUAGACAGUGCGCCACUACUAUAUACUAAUGGCGCACUGGUUGCGGGUGCGCCAUUAGUGUGGAAGACACUAAUGGCGCACCAGUCUCACGGUGCGCUACUACUAUUGAUUUUUUUCCCAUUUUUCUAUACAAACUAAUGGCGCAUGAUGACAAAGUGCGCCAUUACUAGGUAGAACUAGUAAUGGCGCACGGCCAAGACAGUUCGCCAUUAGUAUAUUUUUUUUUUACUUUUUUGCAAACCUACUAAUGGCGCACGGUAUCACAGUGCGCCAUUAGUAGUUUAAACUACUAAUGGCGCACUUUUCCACAUUGCGCCAUUAGUAUACAUAUGUUUUUUUUUAUUUUUCUGCAAAAAGUACUAAUGGCGCACCACCUGCAGGUGCGCCAUUAGUAACCAGGGUUACUAAUGGCGCAUUAUGUGGUGGUGCGCCAUUAGUAACCUGGGACCAACAAGAUAUUUUGGACAGCCCACCUACCCACUCACAUUCCCCACUUCAUUCUCUCCACCUCCUCCUCCAAGCUUAUCUCGGCUGCCUCCUCCUCACCUCAUUUCCACCAUAGAUUCAUCAAAAUUAAGUGGUGAAAUUACCUUUUUUUGAUAGGUAAGUAAGGGAAAAUCUAUCUUCAUGAUGUAGAUCUACUUUUUUUCUCCCUAGCUCGCUCCAACAACGUGCACAUGCACUUUUUGUGGCCUAGCUAGAUCUAUGUAUGUUUGUGGUGUUGCAUAUAUGUUUGUGUUUGAAGGCACCGGUAUUUGAAAUGCGAUAGUUGCCAAUAUUUUGCCGAAAUGUUUUGAUUCAUUUCCGUUUCGGCGAGAAUUUUAGCACUAUGCAUUCUUUUUGGUCCUACUUUUAGGGAAGGUCAUGCCAAAUUUUUUCUUGGUUCUAAAAUAUCGUUUUACUCUACCCCGCAGGCGACCAUGGUCCGCACGAUGACUGAAGGCAUCGUGAAUAGGUUUUUGAGCUCCGCGAAGGCCGGGAUGCUUCAAAAGAACGAGACAGAGAUAAGAUGUCCGUGUCGAAGAUGCAAGCUGAAGAGCCUUAUUGCGGACCCGGAUUCCAGGCAGGUGCGGGACCACCUGCUCUUGCGUGGUUUCAUUGAUGGCUAUCGGUGGCAAGGUGAUGAAGAUGACUAUGAAGUCGUCCAUGGGGGCCGGGAAACAAAUGAGGAAGGGCAACAAGACAAGUACCACCGCGGCGAGGGCGGGCGAGAAGACAAAGAAUAUCCAGGACAUGAUCACGGCGGUGAUGCUGUACACAGUCAUCAUGUAGAAGAUGUCGUAAAUGAUGAUGGGGAAGAUCAAGACGAAGGGCAUGAUCAUGAAGAUGAAGAUGCCGGAGCAGACGACGAUGGAGGCUGGGUGCAGGACCCUCAUAUUCAAGAGCUGCUUCUCAACCAGACGGAUAACGCAAGAGCUGCCGCCCGAGAGAAAGCCAAGCUGGAUCAACUGGAGAUAGAUGCGGUUACUCCAUUGUAUGAAGGAUGCAGGCCCGAGGAUACCCGCCUGAAAGUAACGCUCAUGGCUCUGGAGAUGAAGGUAAAACAUAAAAUGACCGACGCAUGCUUCGACGAGAACAUGUCAUUCUGGCACGAACGUCUUCCCAAGGGGAACAAGUGCCCGACCAGUUUCGAGGAGGCGAAGAAAAUCGUGUGUCCUCUGGAUUUACCGCACGUGAAAUACCAUGUGUGCAUGAACAAUUGUAUCAUUUAUCGGGACGAGCACGCGGAGUCUACCAUAUGUCCAGUGUGCGGCGUCACUCGAUACAAGAAGAGGAAGAAAGCUCCUCGAAAAUCGGUGUGGUACUUUCCGAUCACUCCUCAUCUGCAGCGGUAUUUCGUGGACCCUAAGGUAGCAAAGCUCCUGCGUUGGCACGCAGAUAGGGAGGAGAAGAAGCGGGAAGAUGACGAAAAUGAUCCGGAGAUAAAUAAAAAAGACAAGAUGUUGAGUCACCCUAAGGAUGCGAGCCAGUGGCAAGCGUUGAACUUUGAAUACCCAGAAUUUGGGAAGGAUCCAAGGAACAUCAUGCUGGGCGCGAGCACCGAUGGAGUCAAUCCGUUUGGCAGCCAGAGAAGCACACAUAGCACCUGGCCUGUGUUUGUGUGGAUGUACAAUCUUCCCCCCUGGUUGUGCAUGAAGAGGAAGUACAUUCACAUGAGUAUGCUAAUUGAAGGGCCGAAACAACCAGGGAACGACAUCAAUCAGUAUCUGGGGCUGCUGAAGGAGGAGCUAGACACGCUGUGGAAAACGCCAGCCAAUACGUGGGACGCCGCAGAGAAAGAAUAUUUCCCUAUGAGAGCUGCACUACUCACGACGGUGCACGACUAUCUCGGUUACGGAUAUCUCGCGGGGCAGGUAGUCCACGGAUUUUCUAGAUGCGUAAGGUGCAUGGAUGACACAACGUAUCGCCAGCUAGAUAGAGAUCCCGGGUCUUCAAAAACCGUGUUCAUGGGACAUCGAAGGUGGCUUCGCGACGAUGACCCGUGGUGGAAACGCAAGGAUCUGUUCGAUGGUGAAACCGAACCCCGAAAACGCCCGUGUACGAGGAGCGGCGAGGAAAUAGACGAGCUGUUGAAAAAUUAAAAAGACUGCCCACUGCCGGGAAAGAAGCAAAAGGCGCCAGAGUCGGGAAAGAAGCGAAAGGCGCCAGAGCCGCUGCUGAAUGUAUGGAAAACGAGGUCUGUUUUCUGGGACUUGCCGUACUGGAAGAUCCACCGUGUGCCUCACAGCCUUGAUGUCAUGCAUAUCACGAAGAACGUGUGCGAGAGUCUGCUUGGUACCCUGCUCAACAUGCCAGAGAGGACCAAAGAUGGGCUGAAAGCAAGGGCAGACUUGAAAUCAAUGGGCAUCAGGCAGGAGCUUCACGCUAAUGAUGAUGAUGAUGAUGAUGAGGCGAAGCAGGACACAUAAAGUCGUCGCAAAGGCAAAAAGGCCAAGAAGACUGGAAAUGACUACCCUCCCGCGUGCUUCACUCUAAGUCAGGAGGAGAUCGAGCAGUUUUUCACCUGCCUCCUAGGAGUAAAACUUCCUUACGGUUACGCGGGGAAGAUAAGCAGAUACCUAGACCCAGCGAAGCAGAAGUUUAGCGGGAUGAAGUCUCACGACUGUCACGUGCUAACGACGCAAAUACUUCCAGUUGCAAUCCGUGGGAUCAUGGACGCGCACGUCCGUGAAACGCUAUUUGGCCUAUGCAACUUUUUCGACGUCAUCUCUCGGAAGUCGAUUGGCGUGAGGCAACUCAGAAGGCUACAGGAAGAGAUCGUGGUGAUACUAUGCGAGCUUGAGAUGUACUUCCCACCCGCAUUCUUCGACGUUAUGGUACAUCUGCUGGUCCAUAUCGUGGAGGAUAUCAUCCAACUCGGGCCGACAUUCCUGCACAGCAUGAUGCCGUUCGAAAGGAUGAAUGGUGUCAUCAAAGGAUACGUUCGCAACAUGUCACGUCCAGAGGGAAGUAUAGCCAGGGGCUUUCUGACCGAAGAGUGCAUCUCCUACUGCACGAAUUAUCUAGGCAUCGAGAACCCCGUUGGUCUACCCGCCAACAGGCACCUCGGCAGGCUCGCUGGAUGGGGUCACCGUGAGGGUCGCCGCGAAAUGCAUGUCGACUUCGAGGGUCGACUCGCCGACUUUGAAAGAGCAAACCUAGUCGUGCUACAACACAUAGACGUGGUCGAUCCUUGGGUGUUAGAGCACAAAACCUUUAUUGAGAAGACGUACAAUGACCGAGGCCAACAGAGGACGAACGGAGAUAUACUCAAAGAGCACAACUCAUGUUUCACGCGUUGGUUCAAGCAGAAGCUUCUGUCGUACCCUUUACAUGAAGAUUCUUCCGCGGAAGAACAACUCAUAUUCGCCUUGUCACAGGGCGUCGAGCACAACCUGAUGACCUAUGAGGCGUACGAUAUCAACGGCUACACAUUCUACACCGAGGACAAGGACAUGAAGAGCGAUGGUUAUCAGAACUCCGGGGUAACGAUGGAAUCCUACACCGGUAAGGACAGGGACAGAUACUACGGAAGGAUCGAGGACAUCUGGGAGCUGAGCUAUGCUGGAGAGAAGGUGCAGAUGUUCCGUGUCAGAUGGGCCAAGAGCGUCCUAAAAUAAGACCGAUAUUUCACCACCAUGGUUAUAGCCGAAGCCAAAUCCAAGACCGCGGGCGCAAACGUCACCGCGAAAAAUGAGCCAUGGGUACUGGCUUCCCAAGUGGACCAAUGCUUCUUCAUUACCGACCCGUCAAAGCCCAGUCGUGUUGUCGUGAGGAGAGGCAAAAGGAAUAUCAUCAGAAUGGAUGGAGUAGCCAAUGAGCAAGACUUCGACAAGUACGGUGACCCGAAGAUCGAACAUGACGACGACGAUGAAGUAGCAGCACACACCACAAGAAGAAGAAGGACCACCCUUCCUAAAGGACGUCCAUUCCACAGAAGAACUCCAUUUGCGAAAAAGAAGGGCAAGAAGAUUGUGAACAGAUAGCUAGCUAAGAUCGAUUGUAUUUAAAUCGUAGUCUUCAUUUCUCGAUUGUAUUUCAUGCGCACUUUUUGAUAUCAUGAAUAUUUUUAAAUUUCAUGGGCACUUUUUGAAUUCAUGAGGACACUUGAUCUCGAUACCCCUCCAUCUCGAUCUCGAUUCCCCCUCCAUCUCGAUCUCGAUCCCCGCACCCACCCCCGCUCCACCGCCGCCGCCGAUGAUAUUUUCAAGUAACAAAUUUGAACAUAUUUUUAAAAAAAUUAUUACUCUUUUUAUAAAAAAAAUAGUACUGUUAUGAUUUAAACAAGUUUGAACAUAUUUAAACACAAAUAAAUAUAAAGAACAGCAUUUAAAAUGUAUAAAAAAUAUUGGGGAGCCUGGGAAUCGAACCCAGGACCUCCUGGUGUAUGUGCUGCAUGCUGACCAGUCGGGCUAGUGGGUGGGUUCUGUUAUAGAUAGGGUUAGGUUGUAGAUAUGGUUAGUGGGCUAGAUUAAAACAAAAAUCUAAUGGCGCACCGAGGGGUGGUGCGCCAUUAGAAUAGUCAUACUUAUGGCACACGACUGGUCGGUGCGCCAUUAGAACCCUCCCCCUAGCUAUCCCCUCUCUCUCGCCAGAUCCCCUUCGACCCUCUCUCCCAAGCCACCAGAUCCACCCGCGCGCUAUCCCCUCUCUCUCUCACCGGACUCCACUCCCGCCGCCCCCGCGCCCCCACGCCCCCACCCCCGCCGCCCCGACCCUCGCCGGACUCCUCCUCGCCAUCUGCGCCUUCUUCCACAUCCUCCAGGCCUCCGCCGCCGCCGGCCGCCAAGGCACCAACCACCUCCUCGGACGGGGCGCUCUUCCUCGCGCUCUCCUCACCAACCACGACGCCGGCCACCUGCUCCUCACCAACCACGACAUCGGCCACCUGCUCCGUCGUCUCCGGCAGAGGUUACUCCACCUAGCUGCAACACUCCUGCGCUUGGCGGCUAGGGUUUGCCUCCAGCCUCUCCCCUCCCCCAUCAACGAGAGGAGCAUCCGGUGCCCCCGCCCUCGAGUUCGUCGACGGCGCCGUCCUCCAGCCGCAGCCGCCGCAGAUACAGAGCCCCCGAUUCCAUCUUCCCCCUCGCCCCCAUUUUUUUCCUCGAUCCAACCCAUCUUUCAGAUGCAACUCUGUGAUCUCCAUCUUUCAGAUGUUAUAGUGUACAGGAGCAACUUUGCACCAAUGCAUGAUUCUAGUUAAAGUGCCAAACAUUUUUAAACAAAUGAAUUUUUUUGCAAUUUGACAUGAUUACUUUGAUCUUCUAGAUGCUUCAGUCUCAUUGUAGAUUGAAUUUUUUCAUGCCAUACAUCUGUGUUGUGCUUCAUAGGCAGCAACAAUCGUUCUUAUCAAUUUCACAGGCUAGUUUCCAACAAACAAAGCCUAUGCUUAUGAAGAAUAAAUCAGCUGAAAUGAGAUACUGAUCCUUUUUUACUUUGUUUGUUCAGAUUGUUGGAAAUUUUAAGCCCUCAAUCACUGAAGGCCACUGUAGUUCUUUGAAUUCAACCAUUUAGGUGAGCUACAACUAGGAGGAUUUUGGAGUAGUACUCUGAAACUGUUGCUGUUAGAACAUGCUGUUACUUGCUGUCAGUUAACUGAAUCAGUACAAAACUCUAGUGUAUUUUCUUCAGUCCCUAACUGACAACACAAUUUCUUCAGUCUAGUGAUGCAGCAAUUUCUUUAGUCUAGUGUAAAUGUAACUGACUACUGGUCAAAUACUCUAGUGUAUUUAGUGUAAAUCUAGUCUGAAACUAGUAGAGCUCUUGGUGAUUUGCAAAUUCAGUUUAAAUAAAAAUUUGGUACAUGACUACUGAUCAUGUAUGAAAGAUGUUGCUACUGGAUGAGCACAAGAACUACUCAAUAGAUAAUUGAUUUUGUAGAACAAGUCUUGUUGGCAGUCUUGAACCAAUAGAUAAUCUUAACUGAAAUUUGACCAUGUCUUGUUGCCAGCCCUAAUGAAAAAAGCAACUGAAUUUCCAACAACCUGCUAGGUAGAACAAUCCAUUUCCAACAACCUGCUAGGUAGAACAAUCCAUUACUACAUGAUUGCAACUGAAUUGUCAACUCUAUGUACUAUGUAUGCUGUGGCAUGUGGUGUGGUCCGAGUGAUCAGGUUUCAAGUGAUUUUGAAUUUUUAUGAUUUUUAUGCACAUAUAUAUGUGUAUGAUGAUCCUCCUUUCCUGCAGUAGUAUAACUAGGAUAUAUACCAAAAAAGAUUGUUAUAUUCCUCCCUGGUACAAUAAAUAAUAAACUAAAAUAGUUCCUCGUACAAAAAGAAUAAACUAUACAUAGUUCAUUUCUUCAUCUUUGAAUUGUUUCAGAAAUUGGUAUGACCAAAGAUGCUAUUGUAUAUAAAUUGGCUGUUGUAGAACUGUUCUUCAUCUUUACAGUGCUGUUGUAUAGAAAUAUGCUGAAUUUUCUACUCUGAUUGUUGCUCAAAGAAAUUUAGCAAAAAAAAAAGGGGUCCUGGGAGACGCCGCUGCUGCUUGAGGCCCUUGAGAGGCCCUUCGUGUCGUGAUGAUUUUGCAGGUACCCCGAGAGGCCCUUGAGUUUGCCAGAAUGUCGAUUAACUUCCGUUCCGGCAAAUUCGGGUACUCCAUAUGUCCUAUUUUCAGCAAAGUUCAUGCUGAAUUUUUCCGUGAAUUUUAGCAUGACUUUGCUAAAAAUCGGACAUAUGAGGUACUUGCUACUAAUGCAUGGGCCGGCGUAUCUUAGUACUUAAUUAAGUAGGAUCAACUGCCCCUUUAUUCUUGCUGUAUUAAACCAUAGGUGGCAAUAGAGCCAAGUGAUUAGUGCCAAGUGAUUAGGCCCAACCUAGGGUGCCUCGGCAUCGAUAAACCCUAAAUGAUGAAAACUUAACUUGGCUGCCCCGGACGCCUCUGUGUCGAUGAGAACCUAAAUGAUGUACGCUUAGGCUUUUAGGGUGCCUCGGCGUCGACAAACUCUAAAUGAUGAAAGCUUAGGCUUUUAGAGUGCCUCGGUGUCGACAAACCCUAAAUGAUGAGACCAUGAUCUUGUUUCUUGACAAUAACCAACUUUUUAACCAAACUUUUUUCCUAUUUAGAGAGAGCCAUGGCCCACAACAAUGAGGCCGAUGGUUCGGGCGGCAAGCAAUUCUGGGAGCUGUCCCAGGAGAUGGAGGAACAACCUCACCGCUAUGAGGACGCCGCGGAAGACACCGAUCCUGAUUACACAACCCCUAGUGGCGUCGGGGAUGACACCACUGAUGGUGCCGCCGAGGAUGCCACCACUGAUGAUGGCGGCGCACACACAGAUGGCAGCCAAUCGAAGAAGCAAAGGAAGGACCGGCGUCCGAAUGCGCUCCGCACGUCAAGGAGGAAUUCACUCAAGUGGACUCCGACGAGAAUCCAACGGAGCCCAAACAUAUAGUCAAGGGGUACUCGGUUCAGCUCGGGUGCAUUCUCCGGAGCACCGUCUCGAUCAACACCGAGAACCUUAGGCAUAAGGACCGAGGGAAUUUGCGCAACCUCCUCUUCACGAAGCUGCACGAACGAUACAAGUUCCCCGCCGAAUUUGAAAACACACGCCUCUCAGGGAAUAAAGUGAAUAGUGCCGCCCUCACGAAGAUGAGCACGACCCUGUCUACUUGGAGAAGCGCGGUGAAGAAAAUGAUUGAUAAAGGUGAUAGUUAUGAGAAGAUCAAGGCGAAAUAUCCUUUGAUGAGCGAAGAUGAGUACAAGGAGUUUGAGAUCAAGUGCUCGAGCAGUGCAACCUCCGAAUCAAGUCAGUGGGGGAAAGAAAUGCGGGAGUUGAACUUAGGGGAACACAAACUCGGUCCCGGCGGUUACAGAGUGGCGGAGCCUAUAUGGGACAAGGAGGACGCGGAGCGUGCCGAGCAAGGCCUACCGCCCCGCUUCGAGAAAUACAGCGGAACAAGCAGACCAGGAACUAUGUCAGGGCCCGGUACAAGGAGGACCCGAUAACAAAGGAGCUUACCACGGAUUCGAAGACCAGGGCGCUUGAGCUUGUUCUGGUAAGGAAUACACCCCCGCGUAAUUAGCUCCAUAUGGUUGCACUCUAAUUAAUCCCCAUUAUUUCUAAAUGGUUCACAUUCCUUUCGCAGGACACUGAAAGCAGUAGCGCGGGGUCGUCUCAGAGCUCCCCUUUCGACACCCCUUUAAAUACGGCGUUGAACAUAAUGAAAAACAAGGAUAAGCUCACUAAGCCGACGUCAGCUGGUCGUGUGGCCGGCAAAGGCUUGUCCACAAAAUGGGGGUCAUACUAUACCGCUGAUGUGCGGAAGGAGAAAAAGGCCAGCUCGGAAAGCCAGACGCGCGAGGUUGAAGCACUCAAGGCACAAGUGGCGCGGAUUCCGGAGCUUGUCCAAGAGCAAGUGGAACAACAACUGGGAACGAAGCUCAACGCCAUGGUGCCUACGUUGAUUCAUGGGCUGACGAUGUGGAUUGCGGGCGGCCAACAGGGGCCUCCCCCGGUUCCCAGCUUCACGGCCAGCAACUCACACAGCGCGCAGGCGGCGCCAUUGGUGUCUCCGGCGGCGCCGCCAUUGGUGUCUCCGUCGGAGGCGGUAUUCGUGUCUUCGGCGCCGGCACGGGCAUUGGAGCUUAAUGCACCCGGGUGUACGCCGGCCGGCACCUUGCCAGCAAGCGCCCCCUCCGUCAGUUGCACGCCCGCCGUUGGCGGUGCCUCGACAUUAGCCGAGCUCGACGGCAUCACGGUAACUAAGCCUCUCGGCCGAUGACUUCAUCUCCUUGCCUUUGAUUGGGCAUCCCUGACACCCUGUACAUGUUUUCGCAGGGCACCGCUGACAUUCCUUGCACUCUUCUGCACUUCGUGGGUGCCGAGUUGGUCGAUGUCGCCAAGGGCAGAAUCGUUCAACCGGGCAACCCCAUGUUCCACGGUAAUCCGAUGCCACCCACAAUGUAUAAGGUUGAAGUGGUUCGGGUGCUGCCAGGCUGCGACGAGCUGCUACCUCCGGUUCGACCCGCUGGGGCCGACGAAGAAGAUGAGAUGACCCUCAGCGCCUGCGUAAACUGGCCCCUGCUUUGGCCGAAGAGCCAGAUUCGUUUGGGGGCAGGGGACACCACCCCACAGACAAGACCGCCAGUCGUGCCGGCGCCAAGCCAUGGCAAGAACGCUGCAACGUUACCGGACCUGCCAGACUUCCCUAUGUCGGACAUCCCUAUGGCACAGGAUCCGGACAGCCCUAUGGCACAGGAUCCGGACGACGACGACAACGACGACGGUACAUUUACCAAAGUCGAUAAGUACUUUGCCGAACAUGGGUACGCUGACGAGUUCUAUGGGCCUCUUUCUCAAGAACCCAACCAAGACGACCGCAAUCUAGCUGGUACGGCGGAGAAAUCCAAUUGCAAUAGGCGUCGUCUGGCGUUCAGUUCUCAGGAGACGCCUCUAGCUCCCGCCUUCACCGAGCCUCAGAUAGCUGAGGUGCGAAAUAUUAUCAGCCCCAACACGCUCAAGAAGGCGGUCUGUGAGCAGAACUCGGUCCCAUUACAGGAGAUCAAGAAGAAGGGACGGAAACGAAAGACUAACAAGGGCGCCGCUGCGAGCCAUCCGGCACCGAGUUCGAUCCGUGCUCAGGACGGGCCACCUUCACCUAAGGAUAUCUCGAGGAGGGUGCAUGUGGCAGGUAGGGCGAUGCUACUACCAAAUAUGCUGAAUGCUGCAACCGGUGCUAUGCGGAGUCUGCACGACAGUGUUCUUUCUUUGGAGAAGCGACGUCUCAGAGAGAAGGAUGUGGCAUACCUGGUUUUCGUGGCCAAGGUGCCAGAGGGCAAGGGCUUUGUGGAUGGCGACAUCGGGGGUACGAUCGUCCUGCGGUUUGAUGACAUCUUUGCUAUGUUUAAACUUCAUCCGCUGCACUACACCUUCGUUCGGCUAUUUUCGCUGAGUAUGGAGAUGCGGAUCAUUAGAGACAAGACCCCGGACAUCGUGAUAGUCGACCCCUUCUACAUGUGUGCCAAGCACUUGAGCAGCGUUGGGGACCGCCAAGUUGCGAGUUCACACCUGAAGGCGUCAUUCUGGCAAACCCAAAUAAGGAUAACUUCCUUGUGGCUUACUUUCCCGAGUAAGUCAUCCCUUAACCGCCCCGUAACAUAUGAUUUCUUAGAUUUCGAUCGUUCUUUUUUUUUCUAACAUUCCGUGUUCUGUGCAGUGACACACAUUGCACACUCAUCCUCUUAAGCCCGAAAUAUUCCAUGGCCACGUAUUUCGACCCGAACCGUAACUCCAAGAUAGACUACACAAAUGUCAAGAAAGUUCUUGAUGAUGUUCUCCCAGGCUACGCCAAAUCUGGAGGCACCUUCACCAGGACUGUUUGUAAGUACGGCAAGCACAUGUUCUCACACACACUAGUAGAAAAAGGGUCAAACGUGAAGCACAUUAGUGCCGGUUUGUAUUAGAGCCGGCACAAAUGUAUACAUUAGUGCCGGUUCCAACAGCUAGCCGGGCCGCUCUCAUUAGUACCGGUUCGUGGCUAACCUUUAGCACCGGUUCGUGCCACGAACCGGUACUAAUGAGGGUGGUGGCAGGAUGUUGUCAGUCUGGGCCCCCUCCAGCACCUUUAGUACCGGUUCGUGCCACGAACCGGUACUAUAGGUCCUCCUGCAUAUAAACCCUUCGUCCAGCUCGCUCUGUUCUUCCCCCUUUCCCCUCUCCUCUCCUCUCUGUUCUUCCUCUUCCCCUCGAGCUCAUCACACAUUUUGCCCAAAAUUUGUCAAGAUUUGAAGGCCCCCAUCCAUUCAAGUGAUCACAAAGGUUAGCAACUUUGUCCUUUCAUCUCUCAUUGCUAGAUUAGCUCUUGCAAUGCUUUAUAUAGUUAUUAAUUUGUGAGUUUAGUAAUUUGGGAGGAAAUAUAUAUAUGUGCUAGUAUUUGAUUUAUAUGCAAUUUGAGGUCAAAAAUAACACUUAGUUUGCAUAUGUAGGUGUGGUUUACUUAGUGCCUUCUAAAACUCCGUCGUAACCAGCGUCGAUCGCCCGCACCGUCCCGUCGCCGGCACCACCUUGUGGUGAGCCUCUUGUUCAUGAAAUUUUAUAUAAAAAAUUGAUGUUUGUGUGAUUUGGAUAUAUAGUUAAUCAUGUAAUAAUUAUCUUACCCGUACGUUGUUUGUUAUACUUAGUGCCAUGGUUUCGAUAUCCGUCCCCGUCGGCCCUCGUCCUUGUUAUGAUUCGCAUGUGGUAUAUUCUCUUUUAAAACUAUUUGUUGCAUUUCAUGUUUAUGACAAAUUAUGCCCAUCAAGUUGACAUAGAUAUUUUUAUCUAGGAGGUAUGUGAACCGGAUAUUCCAACCGACCCUAUUGUCGAGAGGUUAAAUUUAGUUGAAAGAGAAAACGUGUACUUGGAAGAAAAAUUGAAAAUAAUUGAUGGGGAGAAGAUGGAAUUGGAGUUGCAUGUUGCCGAUGUCGUCGAUGAUCACAAGAUCAAGAUGGAGAAAAUGCGCUUGAAGAUUAGAAAGAUUAGAAAAUAUGCCAUCGAUAAUGAGGCUUGGUAUCAUUAUGCUGUUGGAUCAAUUGUUACCUUAGUUGCGAUCUUGGUCGCAUUUGUUGUUGCAUUUAAAUACUUUAGCUAGAGAGUUAUUUGUUUGCUGCAUUUAAGUGUUGUAUGAACUUUAUGUAUGAACUUGUAUUAAUUUGGUCUAUUCGGUGUUGUGUAAUGAAGAUGAGCUGGCAAUGGAUGUACGAUGACCGAUGCUCUCCCCAGUUUGUUGAGGGCGUGCAUACUUUUCUGCUUGCGGCUGAGACAAACAAGCGGGCGGAUGGUUUUAUGCCUUGUCCAUGUGCUGGCUGUAAGAAUGGUCACAAUUACUCUACGUCAAGAACCAUUCAUGUCCACCUGUUUGAGUCCGGUUUCAUGCCCCACUAUAAUGUUUGGACCAAGCACGGAGAAAGAGGGGUUAUGAUGGAAGACAAUGAAGAAGAAGAGGACGACGACAGCUAUCCUGGCCAUGGGUUCCCUGAAGACGAUGAUACAACAAUGGGGAAGAAGCUGAGCCGGUAAUGCGGGAAGAAACUGAGCCGGCAAUGCGGGAAGAAGCUGAAGAAGAGGCAUCAGAUGAGCCCGUUGAUGAUCUAGGUCGGGCCAUUGCCGAUGCAAAGAGAAACUGCGCAAGUGAUUUGGAGAAGAAGAAGUUGCAGCGCAUGUUAGAGGUGCGGGAGAAGCUCAUAGAAACGGAGCGCGUAGAAGCACUUCAAGAGGAAAUAGCGGGAUUUUUGCUCGACCAGGUCAUAAAUCCGAAGGGAGAAUUCUAUUACCCGCUACCGCUCCAUGAAAACCACUUCCAAUUGUCAUCGUGCUCCGAAGGCACCAAUUAGGCUAAUGCCACUGGCUCCGAAGGCAACAUUCAUAUGUAGGAGAAAUUGUAUAUAGAUAUACAUGUGUGUAUGUGUGAAUUAAUUAAUAUGGUGGUUUGUGAGACAUUGAUGAUACAUAUAUGCAUGAUUGGUUCUACUAGAAAUUCUNNNNNNNNNNNNNNNNNNNNNNNNNNNNNNNNNNNNNNNNNNNNNNNNNNNNNNNNNNNNNNNNNNNNNNNNNNNNNNNNNNNNNNNNNNNNNNNNNNNNNNNNNNNNNNNNNNNNNNNNNNNNNNNNNNNNNNNNNNNNNNNNNNNNNNNNNNNNNNNNNNNNNNNNNNNNNNNNNNNNNNNNNNNNNNNNNNNNNNNNNNNNNNNNNNNNNNNNNNNNNNNNNNNNNNNNNNNNNNNNNNNNNNNNNNNNNNNNNNNNNNNNNNNNNNNNNNNNNNNNNNNNNNNNNNNNNNNNNNNNNNNNNNNNNNNNNNNNNNNNNNNNNNNNNNNNNNNNNNNNNNNNNNNNNNNNNNNNNNNNNNNNNNNNNNNNNNNNNNNNNNNNNNNNNNNNNNNNNNNNNNNNNNNNNGUGUACAAUGUGUAGUAUCGUAAAAUACCAGCAAACGAAAAAGAAUUAAAAUGGAAACAUAAAAUUAAAUGAAAAAGAAAUCAUAAAACUAAAAAAAACCCAAACCUUAUAGUACCGGUUGGUCUUACCAACCGGUACUAAAGGGCUCCAGGCCCCCGGAGCUGGCUCGUGCCACGUGGUUGCCCUUUAGCACCGGUUCGUGCUGAACCGGUACUAAAGGGGGGGGGCUUUAGUGACGACAAUUUAGUGCCGGUUAUGUAACCGGCACUACAGGGCCUUACGGACCGGUGCUACUGCCCGGUUCUGCACUAGUGACAAUACGAAGUUCUGCUGCGUCAAGCAGCCGCCUUGCGGUCAGAAGGAUGCCUACUAUGCCCUCCAUCACAUGCGGGCGAUCGUAAGGGACCAUCAUCAACUUCUGCUACCAGAUAAUCUCAAAGAUUGGGCCGCGAACUUGUCGGCAAUCCAGGACGCGGACCUCAGACAAGAAUUCUUUCGCAUCCAGUCGGACUUUGCGGACAUCAUCCAUCAAGAUGUCCUUCAUACGUCGGGGCAGUUCUUCCUCAGAUAUCAACCGUCCAACAAUAAGAUAGAUGGAAUGCUACAAAUGCAGGGUGACAACGACCGCGAUUUCAUGACCAUCGCGACAGGCGGCGGCUUCAUCCACGCUCCUGUCCGAUGAGUCGAGUCGAAAGUAGUGAUGUGUAGUUCAGAAACAUUGAUUGGCUCAUGUUGUAAUUAAACUUUAAUGAAUUCGUAUGUCUCUUUGGUUUGGAGAGUCGUUCAACUUAGAUGUAAUCGAUGCUAUUUAUUAGUAGGACCAUGAAUCGUGCUAUUAAUAUCUUGCUUUUCUCUUCCGAUCCUUUUGUUGCAUACUUACAUAUUGCUUAUGUAUUGUCUGUUGUUUGGCUUGUGCAUAGAGAUGCCGUCGUAUGUCGUGUACAAGGGUAAGGUUCCCGGAGUCUACGACGACUGGGAGGAGUGUCGGAGACAGGUUCACCGUUUCAGCGGUAACAGUUACAAAGGGUACACCACUAGGGCGGAGGCCGAAUCUAGAUACGCCCGCUAUCUAGCGGGAGAGAGAGGAGGGAGCGUUGGAGGAACCGGAUGAAGAUCAGUUUGAUCGCGAUGAUGCUCAUCGUGAUGACCACAACUCUCUUCUAUGUGAUGGUAGUUUAGAUGGUCGAUAUCGACUUGUAAUGUGAAGACAAACUCGCUACUCGCGGUCUCGAGACUUGUAGUGUUCUAUCUUUGUUCGGUCUUUUGAAUUCGGAGACUAAUAUGAUGAUUUGUAUUCGGAGAUUAAUCUUCUAUUGUAUUCGAUGAAUCUGCUGUUGUUGUGGGGUGUUGUCUAAAUUCUGUCCAAUAAUAUAUUUUGUAACCGGUGAAAAUAUCAGAAAAGAAAAAAAGUCCCUAAUAUUCAUACUAGUGGCGCAGCACACAAGACACUAAUGGCGCACUGAGAUAAUCACACUAAUGGCGCAUCACACGCUGGUGCGCCAUUAGUAUGCCAAAGCACAUGGGUACAUAUGGCCCCCUGGGAGGAAUUCUAAUGGCAUACUGUGGGCAAUACUAAUGGCGCACUAGGUGGUGCGCCAUUAGAACACCAGAUACUAAUGGCCCGGUGAAUUCUAAUGGCGUGAUGCUACUAGGAAAAGGCAUGCUAGUGGUGCAUCAGUAGUGCGCCAUUAGAAGGCAAAACUGGUCCGCCACUAGCAUGCCUUUUCCUAGUAGUGAAUGACAAGGGACGACACGCUGACAUAAGGAGCAAUUUAAGCUCCGCCUUCACAGGCUUCAGCAGUAGAACAUGACGUUCUUCACAUUGUCCUUGAGGGCUGGAAGGGGCUUAACAGCUGCACCGCCGGGGGCCCGAGUACCGCGCGACGCCGACGAGCCGGACGUCGGUCCACGCCCACCGGGCCCACUUGCCAUAGAGCCACUGUCAGAGCUCUCUGGCUCCAUGUAGAACCGGGCGCGGAAGGCGGCCAGAUGAGCAUAGUAUGCAGGUGGAACUGCAAUGGAACAAUUCAGGAAAGAUGGCGGCUUCAGUAAGGAGACAAAGUAGUGGAAAUAUUGUUCACCGAAACAAGGCAGUAGAACUUUGGCAGUGAUCCCUGGAAGAAGGUGACUUACCAAUCGACACCGAGCGAGUGCACCUCGCGUAGCUGCAGGAGUGGUUCAAGUUAGAAAUGAACUUUCUAAAAAAAGAAUUAAGACAGAGAGGGUGCUUAGGUGUAGCAGAGGUUGUUGGUGAGAGUCUGCAACCCAUCAGCUGUGAAGUUGUUCUCGUCCCACAAGACGUGAUAAUGAGCGGGACGGCUGGUGCCCUAGAGACAAGAGAAUAUUACAUUAUAUAGAUUGUUUGUUGCACCCGUAGAUCAGAAAACCAGAUGUAAGCAAAUUCUGUCUGGUUGUUUACCUUGAUGCCAGCAUGACUGCACAAUUAGAAGUCGAAUUCAGUCGGAUGACAGAUCUUCGUGUCCACAACCGUACCUUCAGAUGUAGAGUAUUCGGGAAGGAGGCCCGUUUCAGAUCAAUCAGCAGCAGCAGAGUACAUUGGUGAGAAUAUAGUAGCAAUAUAUGAUGUGAGUUGUUUAUAAAAUUUACGUACCAAGGAGUAUGUUCCCACUCCUGUCCAUCGAGUUCUUAUCAUUGUGAUUGUGCGCAAAUAGUCUCGUGUGGUGGCGUUUCUGAACCACGGUGAAAGUCACCUGUGGCUGGUAGUUUGCCUCCAGGGAAGCACAGGCCUGACUCACACACAAUGAGAUCAGAAUUUAAUGGAAACAUCUGAGUACGGAUAAAUAAAGAACUGGAUGGAAAAGUAGGUACUUACUUUUCGGAUCGCAUUGAGUUCAAACAACAGAACUUGGUAAAACUGGCCCUCGCUAACGCCAUCCCUGGUAAACGUAUACAAGACAGGGCAUUAGUGAAAGCAGACAGCACAUGACCUGGUGUUAUCUGAUUGGGCAUGCACAAACCUGUAGAAUAUUAUCCGCUGGGGCUUCUCACCGGUUGAUUUCUUAAAGGAUAUAAGUAGCUCCCUGCAUUUUUGUAUUGUAAUGAAUUGUUGGCGAUGUUCAUAAGGAAUAGCUAUUUAAAAAAAAUGAGCAGUGUACCUAAUCAUGCCACUACUGACUGGUCCUUUCUGUGGAUCUUGCCGGACCUUGUACAAAUCCUCUAUCAGCUCUUGCUGGUGCGCCUGAGCAGAAACUAACCCCGCGUACCUCGUAACCUCCGGCCAAUCUUGGGAGGCUACUACCUACAAGACAGCAUACAGUGACUCAUCAGCAGAGUACCUAAAAUCUCUUGCCAAAAAAAUAGUCAAGACUCAAGAACAGGUACUCAGGUACUAGUAUUUUCCAACUUACAGCAGCGAUUGAGGGACUGCUGUCCUCGCCAGGAUGAAGAUGGGUCACAUCAGCACCGAAUAUGAUUGUAGGUUUGUCAGUGACCAGAGGGAUACGCCGCGACAAUGCAUCCACCAGCACAGUGUUCCUGCCCCCCACCUUAAUUACAGAAUAAGCGAAAACAGGAUAAGGAACAUGGAACAAAGAUGUAAAUUGUGAAGAAAAGCAGCAUCAGGGCAAACUAACCUUGACGUUUAUCUUCAGUGCAAUAUUGGCAUAAAUUUGCUUGUUCAGUUUAAACACCUGCUUUGUGCAACAGCAUUGCGAAACUAUUCCGAGAUCGAUUUCGCACACACGCUUCAGAUCACCUAGCAUCAGAUAAAGAAACAAGUAACUGUAACAACGAACAUCAUGAACAGUAAAGUUAGGAAGGUUUGCAUUUAUCAGAUACCAUAAAGCGAGCCGUUGUUAUCAGGAAGGAUCCCAAUAAGCAGAUCGAGCUCCCGGCGCUGGGGGUCCAAGAAUGUUCAUUGCUUCAUGGUACCGAGCUUUGAGAGCUCGCUCCACUUGAUCCGGGCGUGCACCCAUGGGUGGAAGAACAGACUCCAGAGCGAAGUCCUAUCAUGAUGAUGCAUGAUACUGUUACUGUUGCAGAAAACUAGAUGGAGAAGACUGAAGUACAAAGCCUACGAUUCAUGUUGAUGCUUUUAUAUCUAUGGAUCUUGGUGAGAUUUCUUCAUGUUAACUUUGCAGGAAGCAUGCCAAGAAUACUUUCCAUUCCCGAGUCUUGGCACAUCUGAGCAAGCUUGUCUGGCACGUUACGGGCAAAAUUGACGCACAUCCAGCUUCUGACUUUACCACCAUUGAUCAUUUUCUGGUUAUGAAAAAUGAAAAGGGGCAAUAGAUAUUUAUGGAGAAUAAACAAAUAAAAAGAUAGCCUUUGCUCCCGAAACAAAAGAUGAGUGAACUUUGUGAACAGAAGAAUAUUCAUGUGAUUACCUUGUUCAUCAUAUUCCACUGACCAACUUUAGGUAAACAAUCCUUUUCUCUACCAGUCUCGUUGUACUUAAGCUGCAUCAAGAGAAAAAGGCGGCAAAAAGCAUCACUUUCUGUACAGCCAAUGAGCCAAAGGAAGGAUGCCCCAUACGCUCAGCGCAACUGCACUGCCGGGAGAUGACCGAGGGUACGGCGGCGAAAUAGCGAGUAAAGUUCACAAUAAGUGGGACGGCCUACCCGUGGGGCCGGUAAAAUCCGUGCAUCCACUGAUGCCAGACGAUCGCUGAUCUUAAUGCCAAACUCCUUCCAUAAGGAUCCUCCUGAUAAGCAUUAUGUUUGACCAUCUGUGUUUCUAAUAAACAGAACAAAAAAAGAGAGGCAAGAGUUACAUACUGAAGUUGCACAAACAACUGUACGAAGAAACACGUCAGACAUGAAAAGCAAGAAACUUCAUGCCUGGGUUAUAUCACGCUCCCGGUCACGCGGGUACUGACAUGUCUCAUCCAAGAGAGCUCUUAUCUGAUUCUGAUUUAGUUGUGGAAUUUGUGGAAGCGUCUCAACCCCCAACAUGGGAGCCCGCAUGGUAUAUAUUGAUUGAGGCGAGGCCGACUCUCACAGAGGCAUACAAGUUUCGGUUGUUAACAACCAGAGAGAUUACAUGGAGAGAUAAGGAGAAUAUCAAGUUAAAGGAUAGCUAUGCUAACAACUAGAGAUCUCCUAACUACUCCAAGUCUUGGCUACCAAGCAAUGCUGCGCCGUGACACAUGUUGACACAUGUAUGUUUAACACUCCCCCAUAAUCACAACUAGCACAAGUUGAGAUUACGUUUGAACUCUUCAAAACCUUUGAAUGGCAAUGCCUUUGUGAACCCAUCUGCAAGCUGAUUUUUGGAAGGUAUAAAUCUGAUCUCAAGCUGUUUAUUGGCAACACGUUCUCUUACAAAAUGAAAGUCUAUUUCAAUGUGCUUUGUCCUGGCAUGGAAAACUGGAUUAGCAGAUAAAUAUGUAGCACCAAGAUUGUCACACCACAAACAAGGAGGCUGAAUCUGAGUCACUCCAAGUUCUCUAAGCAUAGACUGAACCCAAAUAAUUUCUGCCGUUGCAUUUGCUAAUGCUUUAUACUCUGCUUCUGUACUUGACCUGGAAACAGUAGCUUGUUUUCUUGCGCACCAUGAUAUCAAGUUAGGUCCAUAAAAGAUAGCAAAACCACCUGUUGACCUUCUGUCAUGUAAACAACCAGCCCAGUCUGCAUCUGAGAAGGCACUGACACGUGUGGAAGAUGACUUGCUGAAUGUAAGACCCAAGUGUAUAGUGCUUCUUAUGUACCUGAUAAUUCGUUUUGCAGCUGUCCAGUGAGCUGUGGUAGGUGCGUGAAGAUACUGACACACUUUAUUGACUGCAAAAGAAAUGUCAGGUCGAGUAAGAGUCAGGUACUGAAGUCCACCGACUAGACUCCUGUAACUUGUGAUAUCCUCUUGAUGCAGAGGCUGUCCUUCUGUCAAGGAUAAAGGUUCUGAACUAGACAAAGGUGUUGGUGAAGAUUUACAAUUCUGCAUGCCAAUUCUACUUAGCAGUUCAGUAGCAUACUUUGCCUGAGAUAGAUGAAUACCAUUACUAUGUUUCUUGACCUCAAUGCCCAAGAAGAAACGCAGGUCUCCCAAGUCCUUGAGUGCAAACUCAGAGCCUAGAUCCUUGAGUAAUGCUGUCACAGCUCCAUCAGAAGAACUAGUGACAAUUAUGUCAUCAACAUAUAUUAAAACAAAUAUGGAUGUUUUGUGCUUGUUAUAGAUGAACAAGGAGGUGUCAGAUUUUGAUGGAACAAAGCCAAGUGACUGGAGUUUCAUACUUAACCGUGAAUACCAUGCCCUGGGUGCCUGCUUCAACCCAUACAAGGCCUUAUCAAGCUUGCAGACAUAGGAUGGCGCAUCUUUAUCUUCAAACCCAGGAGGCUGUUUCAUGUACACUUCCUCUUACAGAACACCAUGAAGAAACGCGUUCUGAACAUCUAGCUGCCUCAGACUACAACCCCUGGACACAGCUAUUAAUAACACAAGACGGAUUGUUGCAGCUUUAACAACAGGACUGAACGUGUCCUCAUAAUCUAUUCCAUAUCUUUGCUUGAAGCCCUUGGCUACAAGUCUUGCCUUGUAUCUAUCUAUGGUGCCAUCACACUUCUUCUUGAUUCGAUAGACCCACUUACAAUCAAUCAGAUUUUUGCCUGGUCGAGGAGGCACCAGGUGCCAUGUUUUAUUUUUACGCAGCGCCGUGAUUUCAUCUUCCAUGGCCGCCUUCCACCUAGGAUCACCAAGUGCUGUCAUUAAACUGUUAGGUUCACCAGUUGUGCAGGACAUACCAAUUUUAGAGAAUUUUUUGUAAUUUAAACGAGUGGUAAUUCCCUUCUGUAGCCUGGUGCGCGGCGCCACAGGAGAAACCACAGGAGACGAAACCGCAGGAGAUCCACGGGUCGCAUCAGCCUCAGGUGCUGGCGACUCAGAUCCCGAGGAGGAUUGUGUCGCGCCUGUGGGCGACCGCCUCGGUGGUGAAGCGGCGGGCCCGGUCGAAUCUGGUGUAGUGGCGGGCCCUGGCGCAGUGGCGGGCCCUGGCGAAGCCGACGCGGACCAACCAGGUGAGGCGGGGUCGGGUGCGCGAGUAUCUGUCCGCCACGCGUCGUCAGGCGGUUGGCGCGGGGCAACGCCGUCGUUGUCCUGAUCACGCGCCCGCUCGAGGUGCUCGGGCCCCGAGGCACGACCAGGUGCUGCGCGCCCGGAUCCCAGAGAGGAUAUUGGGGCGGAUCCUCCUCGAUGUGCGUCCGUGUCGCCAGUCAGGGGGCACAUAAAAUCACGUCUGUUUGAACUGCAAUUUCCUUCUUCUUCUGAAUUUAAAUCUGCAGCAGUAAUCUCAGGCAUAACAUGAUGAUUAGAGGCAAGUUGGUCAGUACUAUUAUUCUCUCCACCAUGAUCAACGCCGGUUAAGGUAGAGGGCAACAGAAGAAUUUCUUUGCGAAGCAAAGCGCCGGCAUUUGGGUGGAGUUUAGCAAAGGGAAACACCGUUUCAUCAAAGACAACAUCUCGGGAUAUAUACACGCGUCCCGUGGCUACAUCAAGACACUUGACACCUUUAUGUUGUGCACUGUAGCCUAUGAAGACACAUUGUGUUGAUCGAAACAUAAGUUUCCUAUUAUUAUAGGGACGAAGGUUGGGCCAACAUGCGCAACCAAACACACGAAGAUGAGAAUACUCAGGCUUGAUAUGAAGUAGACGUUCAGUGGGUGUCUCAAAGUUGAUGACAGGACUAGGUAAAAUAUUUAUGAGGUGCACCGCGGUGAGGAACGCCUCAUCCCAGAACUUGAGUGGCAUGGAUGCUCCGGCAAGGAGGGAAAGACCAACAUCGACAAUGUGUCUAUGCUUGCGCUCCGCUGAACCAUUUUGUUGGUGAGCGUGAGGGCAAGAAACAUGAUGAGAAAUCCCUAUCCGUUGGAAAAAGGAGUUAAGUUUCUCGUAUUCCCCUCCCCAAUCUGAUUGCAUGGCAAGUAUUUUGCAAUUGAAUUGUCGUUCGACAAGAGCUUGAAAGUUAAGAAAGACUUGGAAAACAUCGGAGCAUUUCUUAAGGAGGUAUAUCCAUGUAUACUUGCUAAAGUCAUCGAUGAAACUCACGUAAUAGGUGUGCCGACCGACAGAGGAGGGGGCCGGUCCCCAUACAUCAGAAAACACAAGUUGCAAGGGUUUUGUUGAAACACUAUUGGAAAUGGGAUAUGGCAACUGGUGGCUUUUUGCUCUUUGGCAAGAGUCACAAAUAGUUUCAUGAUCAUGCUCGUCAACAAAUGCGAGCUUAUUUUUGCUAAGAAUUUGAUAAACAACGGAAAAAGAUGGGUGGCCUAAACGAUUAUGCCAUCGUUCUGAGGACACCUUGAAAGCUCCAUAUGCUUGCUUAUUGAACUUGGAAAUUGUGGGGAUCAACGGAUAGAGACCUUGCACACAUCUACCGCGAUAAAGCACCCUCCUCGUGACCUGAUCCUUGAUCAAAAAGAAGAAGGGAUGAAACUCUAUGAAGACACCAUUGUCAAGAGUAAUACGAUGAACUGACAGAAGAUUUUUUGAUGUAUUAGGAAUAUGCAGAACAUCAUCUACACGAAUAUCACGAUGUGAGGUUUGAAUAAUAGACUUGCUAACAUGACUUAUCAUCAUACCUGGACCGUUUUCAGCAGUGUGGACUUGAUCUUGGCCUUGGUACUUCUCGUGCAUGGUCAUCUUCUCAAGCUCAGAGGUGAUGUUCUCAUUUGAGCCAGAGUCAAGAUACCAGUUUGAGUCAACUCCGUAUGAGGCAUUUGCUGCGGCUGCAACACGCCUCCUUCUGGAAUUGUCCUCUGCAUACCGCCAUUUGCAUUCUUUUGCGAUAUGGUUAGUUUUCUUACAGAUUUGGCAUUUGUUUUCAUACUGCUCGUACCCCAUGAAGAGAGCGCCUUGAUUGUUGUUGUAGUAGUGGCGAGGGGGGCCGUUGUUGUUGUAGUAGCCCCCGCCGCCGCCGCCACGAUGGCCACCGCCUUGGCCACCGCUGUUGCCGUGGUUGUUGUAGCCGCCGCCACCACCAUGAUUGUAGGCGCCGCCACCAGCGCCAGGAUAGCCGCUGCUGGGGUUUUGGCCACCGCCGCCAGGAUAGCCCCCGCCACGGCCGCCGUGCUUCUGGUUUUGGUAGCCGCCUUUGCCUCCGCCCGAGCGACCUCUGGAGGUUGUGUUGGCCGAUGACUUGAAGCCACCGGCGCCGUUGAACAUCUCAACGCGCUGAUCGAAGUUGGCCACCAUGGAGAAGAGCGCGUCGACGGUGAUGGGCUCGGUGCGAACGUCGAGUGCGGAGAUGGUCGGUUGGUAUUCCAUGUCAAGCCCGGGGAUGAUGAAGGAGAUGAGCUCUCCCUCCCCAAGCGGCUUGCCCGCCGCCGCAAGCUCGUCAGAGAGGGCGCGCAUCUGCCCGAAGUAGGUGGAAGCAGAUUGAGAUCCCUUCUGGGCGUUGGUGAGGGCAGAUCUGAUGUUGUUCACGCGAGACAGGGAGACUGCAGAGAACAUGUUUGCUAAUGCCGCCCAGAUUGCAUGAGAUGAUUCAAGCGAAGCCACUUGAACCAGCACCUCCUUGGACAGAUUACGAAGGAGAUAUGCUACGAUUUGUUGAUCCUGAACUAACCAGGGAUUAUGGGCAGGAUUGGGAACUACCUGCUCCUUACCAUCUUUAUCUUUGCUAGUGAUUGUUUUGGGAGGCUCCUCUAUGGUUUGAUCUAUGUAGCCAAACAGGCCAGCGCCCAGUAUCUGGGAUCGCGCCUGGGCUCGCCAGAGAACGUAGUUCGUCCGGCUGAGAGGUUCUGAUGUGUUGUAGUUGAGGCCAGAGGAGGUGAUUGCGGUGGAGGAGGACAUGGCUGCGGCGUGAUGGAUUGAAGAUGGAGAGGAUGGAGAAGGAUGAGCUAGAUGCUAUGGAAGAGGCCUGCUCUAUAUACCAUGUCGAAUUUGUGGAAGCGUCUCAACCCCCAACAUGGGAGCCCGCAUGGUAUAUAUUGAUUAAGGCGAGGCCGACUCUCGCAGAGGCAUACAAGUUUCGGUUGUUAACAACCAGAGAGAUUACAUGGAGAGAUAAGGAGAAUAUCAAGUUAAAGGAUAGCUAUGCUAACAACUAGAGAUCUCCUAACUACUCCAAGUCUUGGCUACCAAGCAAUGCUGCGCCGUGACACAUGUUGACACAUGUAUGUUUAACAUUAGUCUCUUGGAGUACCUCUGUCCCUCCACUAUUUUGCAGACCUGAACAAGCUCGACUCUGUGUCAGAAACAUAUCCAAAUAAUGAAAAUGGUUUGAACAUUGAAUUGCUUUGGGCACUUGGCUUACCUCCAUAGGCAAGUAAUUUGGACGCUGCUGGUUGCCAACUUGGAGGCAGGGCAGGUACGUGUGCUGGAUGGCAAAGCCUUGCUGCCUUCAGUCGUUUGGCAUUUCGUUCAGUAGCAGAACAGCUAGUAUAUCUAGACUGCAGCCGAUUUGUGAACACUUCAUGAUGCAUGUAGUGGGCGUGCUGUUGCUAUCCUUGGUUCCUUGGUGCACACCUCUAUUAUUUAUAAUUUUGGUGUCCUUGGUGAUGCUUGUUUCUGCUCAAGUUGAAUUAGUACAGGCCCUGCGAAUUCCCUGUUUUCUGAUUUUAUACUCUGUUUGAAUUUAUACCUUGUUUUCUACUGAAAACCCCCUGUUUUCUGACCCCGCAAAAAAAAAACCCUGUUUUCUGAGACAAAUAUGCACAUGUACUACUUGAGACUUGAGAAUGACAUGCACGUGUACUGUUCCCGCGAAAUUGGCGAAAUGACUUAUUUUAAAGUUUGCUUUCCACAGAAAACCUCUUGGGCCAUCGUAUCUGUAACUGUUGAUGCAUGGCUAAUUUUCGCAGCAGGCUCACUUCCCAACAGUUUAAACAUCGUUAACCGUUUCUUUCGUUUCAAACAAGAGCUUGGCACAUCCCGGGUAAUUCUCUGUUUCUCCUUUCCACUCCUUUUUUGUUUCGUCGCUCACUUCAUCAUGGAUGCCGACCUCUUUAAGACAUGCCAGGGACUAGAUCUUUUUGCCACUGAAGUCAUUUAGAUCCUUGCGUAGGAUCUGGAGUGACUCGAUGCGCGACAGAGAUCCCUCUCGGAUUUCCAGCUCAGUUAUGACUUCCACCAGGACACAUAGGCGUAACAGGCAUCUGAAUUUAUCAAGUCUGAUGAUGAGCCUGUCCAGUUGAGUUGCGAUCAGCUUCAGGUACUCAGAGCUCGUGCACUUUGCUAAUGGCAGCAAGGAUGUCACCGCUCUGGUUAUCACCACGAACGACAAGCACAAUUUAGUGAGACCACACAACAUGAUAAUGAACCGAGGCAUCUGGCUGCAUUUGUUCGCUUGUGGCUUGAGUGACAUAAGGUAGUAGGAGUUAUGCUUAUCUUGGAGGAAAUUCAGCAAGUCUCGAGACUAUUCAUCACUGAUGUUCAGCGAGACUGAAAGAACUUUGUUUGGAUCAGUGCCUCUAUUGAUCAAAUCCUAGAUGGAUUUUGAGAUAUGACUCGAAUUGCAACUAUAAUCGGUGGUUGAUUCGCACCAUAUUUUCACCAUUGUCAGGUGCUUCACAUGCUCCAUUAUCUGUGUGCAACUUUGGCUCAUGUUGUCCAACAAAUCUGCCUAGCAUUUCCAAUUAACUUUUAUCAGGCAAUUCUGUAGCCUUCGCAUUCUCCGGCUUCCUUCAUUUUGUUGGAACUUGAACUUUACAAACAGAUGAAUUAAACAUGGCGGCUCCAUGAGUUGUUUGGACAAAAUCUCUUAUCUUGGUUUUCUUACAUACAGUGUCUCCAAUAAUUUGAGCUAUGACCGUAACAACUAGUUAGCAGUAAUGGCCGGAUCAAGGCCAGGCCAGGAGAUGAAACCUGACGAAGCGCACAUAGAUCAAUACUGCAAGAAAGACGCGCCUCCUAAGAAGCCCUGUGGAUUACAUUAUUAAUUAUCCUCGUGCAGUGCAGUCUACUCCACCGAGAAUCUCUUUAUUUUUUUAGUCUAGCAUCUAUUUGCGUUAAUUAAUUGCAUUCCCCAAGACUUUGUCUGGCUGCCUCUCUCAUGCCCUGAUCUGAUGCAGGUUGCCUUUGGAAGAGGGAUCAACAGGAUACUACCAAUCAAAGAGCUAGCGGUGAGAAGAGAGUGCUAGGGGUUCCUGAUUGAUUGAUGCUGCGAGAGUUGAUGGAGGAGGUGCAGAUUGUACCUCUCCUUGAGCAAAAGGUAUGAUCUCCACCUAAGGAUGAGGAUGAGGAGGAGGAGGCUGAGGAAUCUCCUCAAGUGCACAGCAGCGUCUUCUCCGAUCCAGGUCCUUCUACCAGAGGUGAGCCCGAGAUCAGGAGCUCAUCUCACUUGACUUGCUAAUGACUGCUUACAGCUAGAAAGGAUGUACUAUUUAAUUGCUUACAAUUCACCCCUGCAAACUAUGGAUUUCCGCAACCAAUUUCAUGAAAAAUGAGGACACAGCUUUAAUCUCCCCCCUUCUUCUAUGGGAUCUUUACUUGAUGUAAGGAUUGGCAAUGCUGCUUCGUGGCCAUGGCUCAUUAUUUUAUAAUUUUGACAGUAACAUGCAUUAUUUGUUAAUGAAUUAUAGCUUUGUUUUUGUAUGUUUAGAUGUUUUGAUCCGAGGAAAAGAGAUUGGGGCCCCUCCUUCACAAGGAUGCUCCAUGAGACCCCUUGUUGUGAAGCUGGAUAUGCUUAUGCAAGCUCCUCUUUCACAAGGAUGGUCCAACUCCAGGAGGGUCAAGAGGUUCAAGGACGGGAUGCGCCGCCUCAAAGAUGACGUUGAAAAGAUGGGCUCCUAGCUUGAUCAGCUGUCAGAGGUGGAGGACCCUCCCCUGGCAGCAAAUUGCUGGAUGAAUGAGGUGCGUAAUCUGUCUUAUGACAUGGAGGAUUACAUUGACAGCUUAAUAUUUGUGCGGCUUGAGCAUCCCUCCCUUGUUCCCAACAACAUCAAGACCACCUGGUCCGGCCUCAAAUUCAAACUCUGCCUCAAAUUCUACGGUCAUGCCAAGACUCCCAAGACUCAGCUUGUUAGUAUUGCGGAAACGCUAUCAGAAUUCAGGAUGUAUGUCCAGGUGGCGAUUGAACGGCACCAAAGAUACAGUCUUCAUUCUUGCAGCACAUUGAAGCGUAGGCUUGUGCCUACGCUUCCAAUUCCAACACUGUAUGAUGAAGAAGCUGUGCACAUCAUAAUCGAUGGUUGGAUUAAUGAAUUUAUCAACUCACUGGUAACUGAAGAAGUGGAGGAUCUAGAGCAGCAGCAGCUCAAGGUGGUAGCUCAGGUUUACGUGUAGCUUACCCGCAAAAAAAAAGGUUUAUGUGCAGCUUGGACCUGUUUGGGUGUUUUAUUUUCCGUACAACAGUAACAUUAAUCGUAGAGCUAAGAUAGAUCAAUUAUAUAGACCAGACGGUCAAGAUAUUUUUAAUGAUGUGGAUUAAUGUGGAAGCUCGUAUGAUGCAGCCAAUUAGUAAAUAUAUACUAGUCGUCAACCCAUGCGCCUGCACGGGCUAGGAACUACUCCACAUGAAGGCACUAUACAUACUCCAUGAUGGUACAUAUGUUAUAAUUGUAUGCUUCUAUGGAUAUUAUGUUAGUAAUUAAGGCAAAAUCGUAAAGAUGUCUAGUUCUCCAAAAAGGAUAUAAUUUAAUCAUAGUUAGAUUUCUAUAGGAUCAUGCAUAUAGAGUGGGCAUCAUUGAUUAUAAUGUGCCUACUGUCAAUGAAAACAUAACCGAAAAAAAGUAUGCAAUGAUACACACUCAACAUAACUAUUUUGCAACCACUUGAUAACUGAUUUUUUUGACACAUAUAAGAAAACAAUUCGCAUGUCUAUCACCAAUUGUUUCUCAGAAUUGUAUUGCCAAAAAUGAUGGAAACAAAUAAACGAAAAGGAGACAACUUGAGACAUAUUUUAAAAAAUCAAUGAAACGAACAAAAUAGCAGAAUAAAAAUAAAAGUUAGAUUAUACAUUCUCAAAUUUAAACCAAGGAAUGGUAAUCAUACGUAACUGCCUUAACCUAAAAAAAACCUAAAAAAACAUAUGCACACACGGCUGAAAUUGGCACUUAUAAUUUUUGGAUUGAUAUUAAUGGGCAAUUAUUAUUUUAAAAAUUCAUAAUAUAGGAAAAAGAUCUCACAUUUAUUAUAUGACAGCUAUGCAACAGAAUAACAAAUAGGUAUACAAAUCUCUAGGAUGUUUUUCUGAUAAACAAAGUGCUCUAUUGAUUUAACUGAAGGUAAUGAACGUAUGCCAACACGACAUUCUCAGAUUAUUAAAGAUGAUUUUGUUAUUAAAGGUGCAUGCACAACAACAAUUAUAUUAGUGUUUAAAGGAAAGAAAGAGAACACGCCAGGGAGAUGUUGGGGUUACUUUUGUUCAUGAGGUAGCAUCUUCUAAAUGACCUUGACUAUCAAAUUUAAAGGAAAGAAGUCAAGUUUUUUUUUUGUUUAUUCAGUACAAAGACGUGGGUGUUUUUUCUUUGCAGCUACCUUAGACAUGGUCGCCGUGGACCUUUUUUUUGUACGUAUGGGCUGUUAACUCCCUAGAAUAUCUCCCAUCCUCAACACACUCAAGAGAUUUUAGCGUUAGAGAGAAAGGACGUUAAAUGUAAAAAUAAUUUAUUUUUGACUAUUUUUUUGACGUGAGGUUUCAGGUCUAUUUUUAUGUACGUGCGUGGAUUUUGCUUUUUCAAAACUGAGAUUUGGACUCCUUUUUGACAUGGUGCUUCAAGACUUAUUAAUUUUUUUAGGGGAUUCCAGACUUAUUAUCUUCAUAUUUUUUUUGAAGCUUUAUCUUCGUAUUAUUUGAACACCAAUCUGUGUGUGUUUUGAAGGAAAGAAGGCAUGCUGUUUUUAUUUUUUUCAGAACGUAGAGGUGGGCUUUUUCUUUUGUACGUGUGAGCUGAAUCCUAGCACGUUCUAAUAUAUCUUGACCACCAAAUUUAAAGGAAAGAAACAUUUUUUUUACAGAGCCUAGACAUGUGUUUUUUCUUUUCUUUGCAACUAACUUAGAUGUGGGCGUUGACAACUUUUUUGUACGUAUGGGCUUAGUCCUAUUCAUGUACGUACGCGUUUUCUCUUUUGUUAUUGAGGCAGCGUCUUUUUAUUAGAUCUUGACCAUCAAAUUUAUAAUCAAUGGCUAAAUUAAUUUUGAUGAUGCGGAUUAACGUGGAGCUUAUUAUGGUGCCUCCAAUUACUAAAAAUGAAAAAGUAGUAUAUAUACUACCACAUAGUAGUAUAUGAGAAAUGGGUGUAGCUACACCCGGUAGUAGGAUGCAUAUAUAUGAGAAAUUGAAUUCAAAGUUUUCAUACCAUUUUGUUCUCAAUUCAUAUAAUGAUUUGACUUUAAUUUGGACUAACCUAUUGAUGAAGUGCAAGGAAAGCCAGAUGCAUGUGUAUCUGUCUGUUAAUUACAUGAUCUCUUGAAAUCCAAUUUUUUUUUCAAAUAAACUAUUUGCACAGACCUAAUUAUAAAGUGGAUGGUUCUGAUCAGCGAGUUUGAGAUGAGGUACAGAGCGGUGAAGUUGAAUGACCUUGCACAUGUGUUCCCAGUGGGCUCGGAUGUCUACUACACACCUUAUUCUUAUAGACUUGUAUUAUGCCUCCAAGCACAGAGUUUUGUAAUGCGGGAGGCGUAGGAUGAAGAUUGUCUCUCUCAAACAAUCCUGCGACCAAAUACAAGAAAUCUCUUGUGUCCCCAACACACACAAUACAAUGGAAAAUUGUAUAAGUGCACUAGUUCGACGAAGAGAUGGUGAUACAAGUGUAGUAUGGAUAAUAUAGGUUUUUGUAAUCUAAAAACAUAAAACAGCAAGGUAGGAAGUGAUAAAAUGGAGCACAAACGAUAUUGCAAUGCUUAAAAACAAGGCCCAGGGUUCAUACUUUCACUAGUGCAAUAUCUCAAUAGUGCUAACGUAAUUGAAUCAUAUAACAAUCCAUCAACAUGCAACAAAGAAUCACUCUAAAGUUCUUAUCUAGUGGAGAAUACGAUGGAAUUGUUGCGGGGUACGAAACCACCUCAAAGUUAUCUUUUUCGAUCAAUCUAUUGAGCCAUUCCUAUCAAGUGUCUGCUACUUCUUGAGCUUGCGUUGGUUUUUCCCUUGAAGAGCAAAGGGUGAUGAAGCAAAGUAGAGAUAAGUAUUUACCUCAGUUAAGAACCAAGGUAUCAAAUCUAGUAGUAGAACAAGCAAGUCCCGAAUCUAUGCACAUGCACAAACAAUCAAACACUUGCAACCCACGCGAUAAAAGGGUUGUCAAUCCUUCACGGUCACUUGCAAGGAUGAGAUCUGAUAGAGAUAGAUAUAAAAGAUUACUAAAACGUAAAACAAAAUAAAAGUAAAUAAAUUGCAGGAAGGUAUUUUUGGGCUUUUUGGUUUAUAGAUCUGAAAAUAUAUGAUGGAAAAUAGACCCGGGGGCCAUAGGUUUCACUAGAGGCUUCUCUCUUGAAGGCAAAUAAUACGGUGGGUGAACAAAUUACCGUCGAGCAAUUGAUAGAAAAGCGCAAAGUUAUGACGAUAUCCAGGGCAAUGAUUAUGCAUAUAGACAUCACGUCCGUGUCAAGUAAACCGAAACGAUUCUUCAUCUACUACUAUAAACGCCUUAAGUAAGAUGACAUGAUGUAGAGGGCUAAACUUAAGCAAUAUGAUGAAAACCCCAUCUUUUUUACCCUUGAUGGCAAAAAUACAAAUACGUGCCUCGCUACCCCUAUUUUGUCACUAGGUGAGGACAUCGCAAGAUUGGAGCCAAAACUAAGCACCUCUCCCAUUGCAAGAAGAACCAAUAUAGUUGGCCAAACCAAACCGAUAAUCAGGGCCGGUCCUGAAAUUUCGGGGGCCCGGGGCGAAACUAAAAACUCGGGCCCUUAACAUAAACUUUAUAUAAUACUCGAAAUGUAUUCAAUAAACACGUAAAUACGUCCAAAUGCAGUAUUAAUAUCAAUGAUUUAUAUGUGUUACCUUCAAAAGAAAUCUUGUUCCUUGGUAUAAAUUCAUUUAUGAUCAAUGUUAGGCUCAUCCAAUAAUUUCUUCUCUAUGCAUAUCGUUGCCAAAUCAUUCAAUCUCUCUUGUGUCAUUACUGAACUCAAAUAGUUCUUCAAUAAUUCAACUUUGAAAAGCUUAUUCAAGCUGAUGCGAUAGUCAUAUGUGCAGUAACUAAGAUGUGAUAAGCAAUGGAAACAUUAGGAUAAUAAUCAAACUCUAUCACAAGCUCAAAAAUCUUCAUAUCAGACAUUACGCCAUCUGGCAAAGUGAAUUUUAUAACCAUUAUUUGCAAAAUAAAAUCAUAUACCUCAACAUCAGAUGAACCAUUGAGAGACAAAGUUUAUGCAAUUUUUGUGUAACACUCUUGAAGUUCAAGAUCAUUGAAUGGCUUCAGUGUGCCGGCUCUCAAUAAAAAUCCGAAUAUAUCUUCAAACACCUUGAGUAUCGGCAAUUCAUCAUCUUGGUUCAUCAAAGCACUAGUAUACUCUUGAAUUUAUUUAUUUUGGCAAUAGCUCCUCUAUGUGAUUCCACGAAAAAGACCUCGGGUUGUUUCCUUUUUGUUUUAUUGCUACCAAAUGAGUACUUUUUGGACGACAUGAUAACACAAUGCUGAAAAUACAAAAAUUGUAUCAGAGGCUGCAUAGUGUUAAUUGAAGGUAAAUUACUUAAUUAGCAAAUAGCAACAUUUAAAGGAUUAGGGAAUAGGAAAUAGGGAAUGAUUAUUUGAUAUAUACCUAAUAUCAUGAAUUAGUCGAGAUCUCGUGGCGAUGAAACUUGGCGAUGACGCGAUGUACGUGUAUGCGUGCGUGAAGAAUGGAGAGUGAGGCGCUCGACGAUGUUGUGCGUGCUGCACCCCUGCGCCUCCGCUGCCGCAUGAGAUGGGAAUUGGGAGUUCUGGAUCAGGGGAAAAGAGAGUAUGUAAUUAGAGAUCUCACGAGCGUUUUUUAACGAAUGUCUCACGAUCAAAGGAAAACUGCAGUCUUUUUAGGCAAAUCAAAGGAAAUACGUGAGUACCCCAUCGCUAACGCUAACUGCAUGCGUACGCUGGGCCUUUUCUUUCUUAGAAUAGCGUACGCUGGGUUACCCCUUUUGAGAGAAGGUAGAAGUCCUUAUGGGCCACUUAUCUAUUUACAGCAUGAAUACCCUGGGAGGGGGCCCCUGUAUUUUGGGGGCCCGGGGCGGCCGCCCCCCCUGCCCCCCCUCAGGGCCGGCCCUGCCGAUAAUUCGAAGAAAAAUACAAAGAUAUCAAAUCAUGCAUAAGAAUUCAGAGAAGAUUCAAAUAAUAUUCAUAAAUAAUCUGAUCAUAAAUCAACAAUUCAUCGGAUCUCGACAAAAACACCGCAAAAGAAUAUUACAUCGGAUAGAUCUCCAAGAACAUCGAGGAGAACAUGGUAGUAAGAAUCAAAGAGAGAGAGAAGAAACCAUCUAGCUACUAUCAAUGGACCUGUAGGUCUGAGGUAAACUACUCACUGGUCAGUCUUGUGGAGCUCUUGGACAUUGUGCUUAAAAUUUCUGGUGCGCUAAAGGUGGAUUCUAAUAGUGGCGGAGCUACCACAAAAAGGUUGGGCGGGCCAUAGACUACAAAUUGUGUUAUCAAAUUGAAAAUAAAUGCAGGAUGUUGCAUUUUACUCCCCAAUCCUUUGUUUGGUUCUAUAUGAUGGGGGAUUAUACGUGUGAAUUUGGGAUGGGGGUUUCUUCCCCAAGUACGUAUAGUAGAAAGGAUUGUUUCAGUUAGAGGUGAAAACACAAACUUACAGGAUGUUCGCUGACAGAAAGCACUAGUUAUCCUUUUUUGGUAAAGCACUAGUUAUCCCCCAAAUCUCCUCCCAAUCAUUCGGUUUGCUCCUCAACACGGCUGCUGCCCUAAUUUUUGGCCCUCCCCUUCAUACACGGCGGCCAGAUACAGAAAGCGUCAGAAACCCUAGCGAGGUACAGAACAGAGCACUUACAAAUCAAGCCGCCAUGACUCGACCUCUGCCCCCUAAGACAAGACGCGGACGCCGGGGCAGGCGGGCAACCUCCUGCCGGUAGGACCAUCCAUCCUCAUCUCGCGCGUCGUUUCGUGGUCCCUGCUCUCUCGACUUCUCUGCUCAGGUGACGAACUGAGACGGAGACCGAAGCAGAGCACCAUGGUUACUCUUCUCUCUAGUAGUCUACUAAAAUAAUAUAGAUCUCUGCUUUGUUUUCUCUUGUAGGAGUAUACAUGGUCUAUUUGGGAAAGUUUGGCUGCCAGAGGUCAAAUCUUUUUAUUUUAGCGGCACUUCUUCUUUUAUUUUCCGUAGAUAUUAGGGCAUCUCCAACUCUGACCAUCCAAAACAGGCACUCUAUUUGUUCAUGGACUUGUCUGGAUCAAUCCGCCGACAUCAAUGCGGAAGCUGGCGAUCCAACCGCAUCCCCUAAACGUCGGGUCAAUUUGAAUUUCAAAUGCAUAGCAAUAGUAAGUUAAACGCCUGCCCAGGUCAUGGCUUCUUGGAUGGUGUACCAUCGAUGGACGAACGACUUUGUCCUACUCUGGCUGGUGGGUAUACGUGCUCGGCUGCAAGGUGUACAGGUUCGGCUGCAAGGUGCACGUGCCCGGCUAGGUGUAUGUGUCGGACUGUGUGAACGUGCCCGACUGCUGGCCGUGCAUCUCUGGCUUCGAGUCACCCACUUGCUGCAAUUCCAUGCCCACGAAGGGAAAAAGGCCCCGCGGCAUCUAGCAUGCAACCGUUUUGAUUGUUUGAGCAUUCGAUCUUUUGAACUUUAGGGGAUUUCAAAAUUUUGAAAUAUAACUUGUGGGAAUUUCAAAAGCUUGAUUUUUUUUUAAAUUUCAGAACUUAAGCAUCAUUCAGAAAGAUCAACUUAACAUCCGAGAGAGUGAGAGAGUGUGUUUGUCACGUGGUGGUCCCUCGUGAUUUUUCACACUUUCAUGUCACAAGGCACAUGGUGGGUUGAGAGAUUUGAUACCCACUGAACGCCUUGGGCGGUUGAGCUCACCCGCUCAAGGCCUAUGGGUGCGCUCUGUGCCAUUUGUCGCAUGCCACAGAACGCCUUGGGCGGGUGAGCGUGCCUACGUUUCAGAGACUCUUCCCGAUACUAAUAGUCGAAGAAGAGUACAUGUAUCUUUAUUUUUUUUUAAUGCGAGAGUACAUGUUUUUUUUUAGAAAAGGAGGAGGACCCCCGGCCUUUGCAUCUGGGCGAUGCAUACGACCACUUUAUUAAUUAUUCUCAUAAGACGUUACAAAGUCAUACAACAGUAAGACUAAAGCCGCCGUCUAAGCAACAAAUGUCGCUACACCUAUCCAGUUGAUGAAGGGGCCCAGAUAGCCUGGGCCUAAUACCAAACAGACAUCGCAGCCAAGCCUAACAUCUAAGACCUGAGACCCCAACCUAGCCACUUGCCGGGUCCGGGGCACACACUGGUCCGGCGUGCUCUCAGAGGCCGCCGCCGCCAACUGCCACCGGUCCAUCUUCAGAACUGUACUGAUGUAUAUUGGAUUCUCUAAGAUAUCAGAAACGAAGUACGCCUCCUUCCUAUCAAUCAAUCAAAAGUAUAUAAUACUCCUACCAGUUGAUCAGCAAUCAUGUAGGUAAGCCAUGAUACGAUCAGCUAGUACAUCCCACAAAAGGAAACCAGUCAUAUAAGUAUAUGGACAAGGAAAAGGUGGUGGGCUUUUGUAGAUCAAGAAUCCAAUGAGAUCUCUUCUCCAAUCCAAUUCCAGUGUUUCCAACUAAGUUAAUCGAGGUCACUUGAUAUAGAUAAGGCAGCAGGCACGACAGAAGAGGCUCAAGCACGUGAUGCACAGCGUGCGAUGCGUAUGAGAAAGACACGAAGAAGACUGAGAGAGACACAGCAAAGGCAACACUUCGCCUAGUCUCUUCUUGCCGGAACUCUAGCCACGGACACUCAUAGUCAUAUGCUACUCGGCUACGGCGUGGACGUGGACGAGCGAGACGUGUCCAAUAACAUUUGGUGUUAACCUACGUCGGGAUGCACUAACCUACUUUAAAGCAGUGCAAGCUUCCUCAAUCUCCAUGUACCUUUUCUUUACAUCAGAAUCCGUAGUUAACGGUUACGUAGAGAGAAACUGCUGCGAUCCGCACGCGAGGGGUGCAGCAGCAAUACUUCGAUGCCUCCAAGAAGGUAAACGACGGCCACUGCCAUCGCUCGUCACGACCACAAUCGAGACAGGGUUUUCACCCCAAGCUCCUAGCACCACCUCAUCCGCACAUCAUCUCACAACGGCGACCACCUAGAACAACCACUGAGGCAGCUCAGAGUCGAAGAUGCCCACCAUCAAAGUAGCGGAGACCGCCGACCAGCACCGACCGCUUGAUCCGCCAAUCACUGACUAAAGUCGGGUCACCAUACGGAUCAUGAUCAACCUCCAAUCCUUGCCGAGCACCACGCCACCACUUCUGGGUUUGAACUCGGGACAAGUGAUCACUUCUUCUAAAAGUGAAGAGGCAGUCAGUUUGAAAGAAAUUUGUGAAAAACAUAGACAAAUACCCGUUGGCGCAUACUCCUUCCAUGAGGAAUUACUUGUCGGGAAAAUGGAUGUAUCUAGACGUAUUUUUAUUCUAGAUACAUUCAUUUUUAUACAUUUCUGUGACAAGUAAUUCUAGACCGGGGAAGUAUUUGUUAGGAUAGUAACAUGAUGUUUUUUCAAAUUCUUAGUUGAUUUAUGCGAGAUCAUUAUAGGAUUACAUAUAAGAAUAUGGAACAUAUUACUAUUUUGUUUAUCCAAGUCUUUCAUGUCCCCUCGUCUUCAUCUCCUUUAUUUUUCUUCUUCCCUCGAUCUGACAUGUUAUAAUAUAUUUGUUGUAAUUUGUAAUGUAUCUAAAAAGUAAUUCUAUCAAGUUAGUUUCCGAGACUACUCUGCAUAUUUGAUUUUUAAGUCUUUUAGGAAGAAAAAAAACAUCAAUCAAUAGUAAAAAGAACGACAAAAUACAAUUCCUUCAGCUAGAAAGUAACAAUUGACAUAUUUAUUCACGGCCAUUCCAUUAGUUAAAGAUACCUAUGAGAGGAGCACUAGCUACAGCAAUGGAUCACAACAUUUCUUGCAUCAAGAGAGAGCGUAGAGACAAAUUACUCUCAUGCGUUGUAAUGGUUGUUUCUUCAUCCAUUGGGUUGGAGUAGAGAUAAAGAAAACACUCGACGGGGAAGUCAAUAUACAUCGAAUAUUCUGAGAGAUUUAUGUAACAUAGUUUAUGGAGAUGUGGAGUUUUUCCUUGUCCUGUUUACCGUAGAUACAAAAUGUUCUAGCUGCCAGUUAGCCAAGGUUGAGAUGCGACCUUGGGAGGUGCCAAAAUAACAUCGGAUGCUGCUGGUACUGAGUCGGGAUUCACAAGACGCUGCUUAGAAUAGAGUAUUGCGUUGGGGUGUAGUACUAACUUCUAUUAAAGCACUGCAAGCUUCCUCAAUCUCCAUGUAACUUCACAAGAUGCCUCCGCAGUUCACGGUUAAGCAGACAGAGAUUAUAUUGUUUAUCCACUGCUGCCGCGACACCCGCUCUGCAAAUUGUUAAACUUAGCUCCCGCUUCUCCGCCUAACUCGCCGAUCCAAGCAGCUGACAUUGUAGUAGUUUGCUGGCACGCAGAGCUUGCUACGGCAUCGAUCUGAACUGCUUGCCAGACUGCCAACUGUAGACAGACGACAGUGUUACAAUAGAUUGACUAGUCAGCUCAUGAGUCUUCCACGCCUUGCAUGUCGGCUCAUCAAUCCUGGCAGCUAGUGGUUCAUGGGUUUACUUCAACUUUGCAUGGAGUCGAAACUAGACUGUAUUAACGUUGAUUGGAGUAGCGAACUCAUAACUCUUUCACAGUACACCUACCAAAACUACAUUUUCCCAACUUUUUGGAUUUUGACUCUCUGGUACCUUGCCACCUGCUCUGCUAGUUGUUAAACUCCCCCUAGCUCGCCGAUCCAUGCGACGUCCAAAAAAAGUUGGUCCAUCCAAGCACUGUAUUAGUUUAGUGCUGGCCAAUUCAAGGCAGACAGUGUUGCAUUAGUUGUACUAAUCAACUCACCAAUCUUUCACGCCUAGCUGAUGAGCUCAUUAAUCCAAUCAGCUACUGGUGCACUAGUUUAAUUCCACUUUGCAUUGGCUCGAAACACACAACGUUAGCGUUGAACUUUUGAAAGUUGAAAACUUGCAGUGUUCUAGAAUUUCGAAAGUAGAGAUGCAAUGAUGCAUGCUUGUGUGAUUUAUUUUUGCAAAAGAAUCAAGGUAGGGUAGUCGCCUGACCUUGUCCUACGGGGUCCUCGCUAACAUGUUGGUGUAGCCUACGCCGAGGUGCACUAACCUACUUGAAAGCAGUGCAAGUUUCCUCAAUCUCCAUGUAACUUCACAAGAUGCCUCCGUAGUUCACGGUUACGGAGAGAGAAAUUGCAUUGAUUUUGGGGAAAUACAAACUAUUGUGCUCCACAAGCCGCCCUCUGACUUCAUGGUUAAAGUUGGCGCCGGUUUCUGCGCCUAGCUCGUCGAUCCAAAGCAGCUCACAUUGUAUUAGUUUAAGCUGGUAAGCAGAGUUUGGCACCGUAUCGAUAUGCACAAUGUGUCAGACUGCCAAAUCAAGAUACACAAUGUUACGUUAGAUGGACUAAUCAACUCGUGGAUCUUUCACACCUCGUCAACUCAUUGAUCCAAGCAGCUGGCGGUGCAUUUAGUUUACUUCACUGUGCAUUGAAUGGAAACACAAUGUCUCUUGAAUGGACUAUGAAUUCACAAGUCUUUCACAGUACAUGUACACCUGCUACCUUCUUUCUGGUUUAUUGGCCUCUUUCGUAAUUUUUGUCAAAUUAUGGCCAUAGAUUUUACUAACAAAAUUUUAAAGCAUGUCACAAAAUGUUAUAACAUUGGAUUCAUAUUCGAACAUAGUUUUGAAUUAUUUUUUUCUUAUGCAUAGUUUAUAUUUUAUUAGUUAAAAUCAUGGUGAAAAUAUGAAACUAAAUACGAGGGGCUGAUAAAUCAGGACGGAGGUAGUACCGAUACAACAUUUUCACAAUUUUUCAAUCUUCGCAUUCGAUAAAAUAAAAUCAGGCUCCAAUACUAUGAAUGAUGGAGGAUGAGAACUAAGGGUAGAUGAGAGCGGCCGGCAAGCUCAGCAGCAAUCAGACACUUCCGAGGGCUUAUAGGUGCUUGCCCCACUCCUAGCUCAAAUAGCAGGAGGAGCAAAAGGUAAAAUAUGUGAGGUGUGAACGCUUAUAUUAUACUCCCUCCAUCUUAAAAUAAGUGUCUCAACUUUGUACUAGUUCUAGUACAAAUUUGUACUAAGCUCAAGACACUUAUUUUGGGACGGAGGGAGUACUUAGUGUCUUGCAAAAUUUUUUUAAUUUGAUAAAUCUUUUUAAACAAUGUAAAAACCUAAAACGAACGUUUGAAAGUAACAAAUGGUACUCCUUCGACAAUUAAUUGGAUGGAGGGAGUAAGUUCGUAACCAUCCACACACGGGACAAUGUCGAUUGAAGAAGAUGAAUAAAAUGCAGUCAAAGCCCUUGCGACUUUAGCAGGCCUGGUCUAAUAGGCAACCUUAGGAGGGGUGAAAAACAGCAUGAAUGGUCUUGUCGCGGCCUUUCUUACAGCAUCUACAACUGGACACUUUACCUCCCCCCUAAACGUCUGGGCGGAACUCGAGUGAUGGAACAAAACUCACGGGAUGCAAAAAACGUAAAUUCAGAGGGAAAAUGGUGGCCCUUUGUAGGAUCAGGAAUCCAGUGAGAACUUAUCCAGUCUAAUCCCAGUGCUUCGAAAGAAACACAAAAUAAUUUGAUCGAGUCUAAUCCCAGUGCUUGGAAAGAAACACAAGAUAAUUUAAUGGAGCGCGCAUAGGGCCACAGGCAUAGCGUUUGAGGACGUAAUUUGUACAGUAAUAAAGAUAAGGCACAAGCACGUGAUGCAUAGCGUGUGAUGCAUGCGAGAAGGAGACGAAGAAGAGUGAGAGACACACAACAAAGCCACCACUUCGCUUAGUCUCGUCUGGCCGGAACUCUAGCCAUCGACACUCAUCUGCGGAUGAGGCCACCGGACAUGUAUGACCAUGGCGGCAGCUCGUCGUCCCGGCCGCGCGGCAAGGAGGAGCUGCAGCCGGAGGUGGUUCUCUACACGGCGUCAUCAGCUUCAGCGUCGCGCCGCAGAGCGCGCACCUCCGCCGGCCGCUACGCCUUGCGCGCGCUGCUGCAUGGCUACGGCCUGGCCGUGGACGAGCGCGACGUGUCCAGGAGCAAAGCGCAGCGCUGCGAGCUCAAGUCGUUGCUCGCGGCUCGGGGCUGCGCCUUCUCCCUCCCGCAGCUCCUCGUGGGCGGCCGGCUCGUCGGCGGCCCUGAGGAUGUUAGGCAGCUGCACCGGGCCGGCAGGCUGCGGCCUCUCCUGGACGCCGCCCCAAGGCCGAGCCCGGCCUUCGUCUGCCAAGCCUGUAAGAGGGUCGGCUCCGAGCCCUGCCCAAAGUGCAGCGAGUCCCGCAACAAGAUGCUGGAUCACGGCGUUAUUGCCGACGAGCAGGACAAGGUUGUCCUUUUUUAUCCAACCCAAGGUGACACUUCGCUUCGCUCCUUUCUACUCCCUCCGUUCCUAAAUACUUGUCUCUCUAGAGAUUUCAAAUGGUCACCACAUACGGAUGUAUAUAGACAUAUUUUAGAGUGUAGAUUCACUAUAUACAUCUAUAUACAUCCGUAUGUGGUGACCAUUUGAAAUCUCUAGAAAAACAAGUAUUUAGGAACGCAGGGAGUAACUCCUAUCCCUCUACUACAAAAAGAAAUGAAAAACCCCGAGAUUGAACUUGCUUAGAGAGCCGUUUCCUUUUCUUGAUGCUGACAUAACUCGAUCUGGUUGCGCAGCUCAUUUCUUCUGUUAGUUUGUAUUACAUGCAACAUCUGCUUGUGUAAACUAAAUCAUUCUUCCUUGUCUAUGUUUCUUUUUAGAUGUUUCAGCGGGAGGUAGAGGCAGAGAGAUGGAUGCGGGUUUCAGUGUUUCUCUGGGCGCCAUGAGACCCCUUCUUAAGAAGCUUGACAUGAUGCUAGGUCCUCAUGGAUGCAAGCUGAGCAAGGGGGUCAAUGAUAGGUCGCAGCUCCUCAAAGAUGAUCUUGAAGAAAUAGCCACAUACCUUGAAGAUCUGUUAGAGGUGGAGGACCCUCCCCUGGCGGCCAAGUGCUGGAUGAAACAGGCACAUGAGUUAUCUUAUGACAUCCUAGAUUGUAUUGACAACUUUGUGCCCCCUGAUCAGUCUCUUGGCUACAAAUUUGACCACAACAUGACUCAUGUUAAGAUUCCCAAGAGGCUCAAGUGGCAGAAACAGAUUGAAUAUGCAGCUCCUGAUGUGUCAGGACAUGUAAUCUCCAAAAUCAUCCGUGUUGAUGUAAUUUGUGCUCCCAGGAGGCUCAAGUGGUACCAGCAGAUUGUUGAAAAGGUAUCAGAAUUCAGGAUUUAUGCCCAGGAGGUGGUUCGACGGUAUGACAGAUACCAGGUCCACUGUUGUAGCACCUCGGUGGCAAGUAGAUUUUCGGCCAUUGGGCCUAUGAUGCCAAUGCCGCCACCGCCUUGUGAGAAAACUUGUUCCGGCCUAGUAAUUGAUGGUCGGAUGAGCAAGUUUAUCAACUCCCAGCUGGCUAAUGAUGAGAAUCGGCAGUUCAGGGUGGUGUCUAUUCACGGAUCUGGAUGUCUUGGUAAAACAAUGCUUGCCAAAGUGUUGUAUAAUAAAUUGGGGAGGCAAUUCCAUUACCGGGCUUUCAUCCGGGUGUCCAAAAAGCCUGAUAUGAAAAGGCUUUUCCGCGACAUGCUCUCACAAAUCCAGCGAAAGCAUCCCCAAGCAAGCGAAGACGCUUUUGAUGAACUUCACAUUACUGCUGAAAAUAUCAGGAAUUAUCUACAUGCCAAGAGGUACUUAUUUUCCACAUGCAAAUAGUAUGUAAUAGUUGUAUAGCAUAGUAUGUACUGCUUAUUUUCCACAUGGCCCAGAAUCGCAUGUAGAUUAAAUCCCUACAGGUGCAUGAUGAUAUAUAGUCCGUUUCUGAAAAGAUGUUUCUCAGACAAGCUUUACAGUGAGCUGAAAAAGCUUGAUAGCAAGCGUUAUAGUACAUGCCUGUCCAGUAACCGGACAUUAGUUUUACUCUUCAAGUCAGCACUAACUUGAUGCUGGUAGUAAUAUUUAACUUCAGGUUAAUACCAUAGGUCCUGGACAUGUAUGGACCAAAAUUUCAGUCUUUCCUAGUGUAUCUAACUGUUGUUACUGUUACCCGGACGCAUAAAUGUGACAUGUGUGCAUUCUUGACAUGCAGGUACCUAAUCGUUGUUGAUGAUUUAUGGGAUACGGCAGCAUGGGAUGUUAUUAAUCAGCUUUUCCCGAAGUGUAGUCAAGGAAGCAGAAUAAUAACAACUACACAGAUUGAAGACGUUGCAUUAGCAUGUUGCUGCGUUGACCCAGAACAAGUUUUUGAGAUGAAUCCUUUGGAUGAUGCUCACUCAAGGAAGCUAUUCUUUGGCAGGCUUUUUGGCUGUGAAAGUGACUGUCCUGAAGAACUGAAACAAGUUUCAAGCAAAAUUGUAGAAAUAUGUGGUGGUUUGCCACUAGCCACCAUCAGCAUUGCUAGUCUUUUAGCAAACCAGCCAAAAUUAUCAAUGGAUUUAUUGACACACGUACAUGAUUCCUUAAUCUCCUGUUUGUCAUCGAGUUCAACUUCAGAAAGAACGAGCAAAGUUCUGACGGUCAGUUACAACAGCCUUCCUCAUUACCUCAAGACAUGCUUGCUCCAACUUGGUAUGUACCCAGAGGGCUUCAUAAUCUUCAAACAUGACCUGGUCAGGCAAUGGGUGGCUGAAGGGUUUCUUGCUGCAAGUGAUGGGAAGAAUAUGGAAGAAGUUGCAGGGAUGUAUUUCGAUGAACUUGUUGAUAGAAGAUUCAUCCAACCUGUGUCUAUCAACUUCAACAAUGAGGGGGUGUCCUGCACAGUUCAUGCCAUAGUGCAUGAUUUUAUUGUGCACAAGUCUGCUGAAGAGAAUUUCCUUGUGGUAGUAGAUUACAAUCGAAAGAAUUUGGCACUUUCUCAUAUGGUCCGUCGACUGUCCCUCCAACUUGGUGAUGCAAAAUAUGCCAAGACACCAGCAAACAUCAGAAAGUCACAAGUACGUUCACUUGGAGUUUUUGCAUUAUCAGAGUGUAUGCCUUGCAUUGGAGAGUUCAACCUUGUUCGUGUUCUGAACCUUCAACUGUCUGGCCAUUAUAAUGGUGACCAAGACCUGACCAUAGACCUCACUGGGAUAUCCGAACUGUUCCAUCUUAUAUAUCUGAAGAUUGCUUGUGAUGUCUGCAUAAAACUUCCAAACCGUAUGAGAGGGCUGCAGUGUUUGGAAACUCUGGAUGUUAUGGAUACACCAAGAGGCACUCAUGUUCCAUGGGACAUUAUAUACCUCACACGCUUGUUGCACCUCAGUCUUCCUCCUGACACAAAUCUGCUGGAUUGGUCUUUCGAUGACGAUCUGAGCCUUUGCAGGCCGAACCACCUGCAGGAUCUUUGCAUUUCUACACCGCCUUCUUCUGAUUCUGACCAUCUGGAGAGAAACAUGUAUGCUCUAGAAUAUUUAAUGUAUGAACAUGAAAGCCUGAAAACUGUAAAACUGGUGACUCACGGAUCCUCGGUUAGCUAUGAUGACACUUCAAAAGAAAGAGUUUUGUGGGCGUUGGAUAUACCUAACCACCAUAUCCAGAGAUUUGAGGUCUCACCUCACAGCCCCGUCAUAUUUUCUGAAAUGCAUUCGUGGGAGAUCCAGUUUGGCAACCUAUGCAUUCUGAAGAUUGCAUUGAUGAACUAUCAGUAAAUGAUGUUGAUAUUCUUAGGGGGUUGCCUGCCCUCACUGCUCUGUCGUUGUAUGUGGAGAAGUCGCCUAAUAUCAAGAUAAUCUUUGGCACAGCUGCUGGAUUCACAGCUCUCAAGUACCUGAAGCUGAGGUUCAUGAGUGGAAUAGCUUGGCUAAUAUUUGAGGCGGACGCAAUGCCUAAUCUCUGGAAGCUCAGGCUAGUUUUCGAUGCCAUCCCCCAAAUGGAAAAACAACUUGAUCUUUAUUCAGAGGGUGACCGGUGGAAAAAAUACCGGCAUGGUAAUGCAUUAAUCAGCGUCGAGCAUAUGCCACGCCUUAGAGAGGUCUCCGCUAAAUUUGGGGGUGCAGCUGCUGAUCUAGAGUAUGUCUCCAGGAACUGCGUAGUUAGUAAUCAUCGGAGCAAUCCUAUAAUGGACGUGCAAUUAGUGGAUUCUGGUUCCCGUGGUGCUAAAAGGUAAAUGAUUGUUGUUGCUGUCGUAACUCUUCAGUUAUUCAAUUUAACCCGAUUUGACUAUUCAUGGUCUAAAUCUGCAGGAUAUCAUCGAGGUCACUGGAGUCAUCUUCGCGCCUGCAUCCUCCAGGUAUGCUUUUCUGUCAAUGGGAGUUCUAAUAGAGACGUGUCCGUCAUCCCCUUGCUCCAAAUCAAACAAACAAUUAGCAAAACGAUUGUUAACUUUUGUCAGGUGUAGCGGGUGGAGAGCAGCAGGAUGUGGUCUCGUGGAGCAAUACCAUUGGUGCGAUAGGUCGUGACCUCUUCAUCUAUUGCCUCCACCGUCUGUCCAGGUGGGACUAUGGCUCCAUCGCCUCCCUCAACCGCGACUUCAAUUUGGCGGUUCGCAGCGGGGACAUCUACCGCCUGCGUCGCAAGAAUGGGGUGGCGGAGCACUGGCUCUACCUCUCUAGCAAUCAUGAUUCCCACGAGUGGGAGGCUUAUGACCCGUCCACUGGGCGCUGGAUCCAAGUGCCCAACAUGCGAGCGUUUUGGAGGUCCAUCAUCUCGGGCUGGCAGUCGGUCGCUGUAGGAACCGAGCUGCUUGUGUUUGUAGACGGAAAGGCUGCCUUGAGAUAUAGCAUCCUUACCAAUUCAUGGACAGGGGUGGCUGAUGCGGUGAACAUCCCGCGGUACUCGUUUGGGUCAGCAAGUGUCGGUGAAAAGGCGUAUGUCGUGGGAGGCAUGGAUCUUUCUCUUAAUGUAUUGAGCUGCGCAGAGAUGUAUGACUCGGAGACACAUGCUUGGACACUCCUUCCCAGCAUGAAUAGGGCUAGGUCCAAAUGCUCUGGCGCGUUCAUGGAUGGCAAGUUCUAUGUGAUCGGUGGUCUUGCCGGUAGGUGGACGAAUGUAUUGACAUGCGGUGAGGAGUAUGACUUGAACCGGCGGUCAUGGAGGGUCAUCCACAACAUGUCUCUGGGGCUCAACGAGAUAAGCCACGGAGCUCCUCUGCUCCUUGCAGUUGUCAAGAAUGAGCUUUAUGCCGCUGAUUACAGUGAGAAUAAUGAUUUGAGGCAGUAUGAUAAGCUGGACAACAAGUGGAUCACUCUUGGAAAAUUGCCUGUACAGUCUAAGAAAAAUGGCUGGGACAUGGGUUUCCGAGCAUGUGGUGACCGGCUGAUUGUUAUUGGGCCUCCAAUCAACUCUACUGAUGAAAAGAUGGUUGAGCUUCAUUCAUGGAUCCCGGAUGAGCAACCGCCUGUGUGGAAUUUGGUUGCAACACGGCCAAUCAUGGGCUACGAGAUUCAGUGCGCCGUGAUGGGUUGCUGAGUCGGUCAACUGAAUAAAGGUUGGAUGCAUGCAUGCUAGAUAUGAGUAAGUUACUUACCUUGUACUCGCUUUGUAUAAUUUUUUCUUUAUCCGAUUUGCUCCGUGAUUUGAAUGACAGAUUUCUGUUCAUAUUUGCAUGCAGCGCUGGCUGUGCCUCAUUCUCAGUCUGAAUUUCCUGGGAGAGCUCCGCUGAUGAUACAAAAAGAGAAGACAUGAAUGAGUUCCAGAGAAAGUGCCUGCAGAAACAUCCGAGUUUUAGUCACUAGCUGUUAUUUCCAGUUGCAAUUUGUGUUCCAAUAAUGUUUCGACGCUUUCUACGAGAUUCAGUCAGCUGUUCUGAAAAUGUGUUUACUCGUAGUUUGGCAUAGAUUAAUUUGCUAUAAGAGUGUAAAAUCAUGAUUAAUUUUUCUUUCCAAUUGUUUAUUUUUCUUGAGUGAUUUGAACAACCUGCAACCGAAAAUAAGGAAAGGAUGAACAUGUUUUUCCUGCUUUUACUGCACUUGCAAUACUCGUGUUCUGUGUGACGCUGGGAUACAAACAGUGAAAUUCAUGUCUAGAUAUAGCUAGUAGCCUCAUACUGAUCGGCUCCUGAGUACAUGCAUACAAAUAAUGUGUACUGAUAAAGAUAGUACUGACUCUUGAAUACAUCUAGUUCCUCCAUUCAGUUACAGGAUCAUCUAUCUGUAUUAAGUUCCUGCAUUUUGCAGAGUUGUCAUUUUUCUAUUCCUUUUGGUUUCUGAUUGAAUGAAACUACUGCACAACCGAUCUUUUUAUCCCUAUCCCGUAUAAAUCGACAUCUUUUUAUCCCUAUUUCUGAACUAGAAAUUGGCACAUAAUGUGAAUGUGAGAAAGAAAAAAAAAUGCAGACUCCUCUGCUGCAGCGACUCCAUCAUAUGGACGGAGGGAGACCCUCACGCUAAUGGCGGAUGCUCGGCCACUAGUCUAAAUAUUGCGAGAAUCCCCACCUGAAUCGAGAGCAUCAUGAAUUCUCUCUCUGACUGAAUUUUCACCCUAUUCUUACUGAUAAUUACUGAAAAAAAAACCUUACAAUCCGAACUUCAAAAUUCAAAUGUAACAUCUCAUUUCCCCGUCGAUAAUAGAUCACCGAUCUGAGUGACAUCCGAGACGUAGCUAGGGUUUUUGAUGCCGUAUAUCGACUAUCACACAGUCUUGUGUGUAUUAUCCUCGUCCUUUUGUAUGUUAAAAGAAAGAAAGAGAGGGUAGAUAAGUACAUGAAGACUGAUCUAUAAGUGUGUGGAGGCAUCAAGGAGUUCAAGAGAAAGUGCAUGAAGAAACAUCUCAGGGCUUCCUGAGUUGCUUACUGUUGUUUUUGUUAUAAUUUUGGUGUGCAUUCAGAGUUUUGAUGCCUUCUGGAGGAGAGACUGAGAGAGAAAAGAGAGAAGGAGAGCAAGGCAACAGCAAGGCAAAUGGGAGGAAAUUGGGGCCUAAAUCCUAAUUGCUUUCUGCUGAGCAUCCUGUAGUACGUAGCUUUUGUUUUUAACUCUGAUCAAACUAAAUCCUUUUGCAUCCACAAGGAAGGAAGCAGAACAGUAUGUUUCAAGCUACUACUAGCAGUCCUUUUUUGCAUCUACCUGUCUAUGCUUUGUAAAGCAAAAUUUGGUUGAUGGAACAAGAAAUAGUAUUACUGUCAUGAAUACUUUCUUGCUUAUAAGGUACACCAAUUUGCAAUUGCCAUGAGUGCUUUGCUGAUUAUACGGUAAUCUUGUGGUGCUUAUCCUAGUAGUACUGCGGCUUCAGACGAUAACCCAACUACUAAUAUGCAUCUGCAUGUUGUUGCUCUGCUCUUCGCUACUGGGUGUGCCUACAUUGUCGCACCGUGCAUGAGCAGCAGUAGCCGCCGCUGCAGUAGGUGCGAGCAGAUUGAACAAGGGACAUACAGACACACACUAACCUUACCAAGUACAGUUAUAGCUAUCAAGAUGACCAAAGGAGACCGAAUCCCGCCGUCGACGGGAUGCGCGAAAUAAUCAGUACCCCUGAUGUCAGUAAUCGAGUUCAAGUUGAGUUACUUAAUUUGUCUCUGUCAUACGGUAGCGCGUUUAGCCGUCAGUUGAUUUGGAUUGUUCAUACACCUAUUUUUUCUUGAUACAAAGCACAGAGACACCUGAGGAUGUAGAGAUAUGUAGCUCAGGCUCACAGAGAAACCUGAAAUCUGAAGCUACAGGCAAGUACUCAGAGUUGAGAAAACAGAGCAAAAGCAGGGGAAAGCUAGCCACGAGCAAGCACAAUUGCAGCCUGCAUCUACAUGUAUCAGUUCUUAUUGCCCCAGUUCUGAAGCUACGGGAGCUUCACAGCUCGCUGAUAAUUGCAGGCUGGCGCAUUGGGUUUGCAAUCCAGGACCUUGUCUCAAAAGACAGACAAAAUUAACAACAUUAUCAUCAACGGAUGUCCGGUAAGUAAGCUUCACAACUCAAUUACUUGAGAAGAUGACACACAGGUAAUAACAAAUUCCAGCUGUCUUAGAUUCUUCCAAUGCUAUCCUAGUGAUGUACUCCCUCCGUUCCAAAAUAGAUGAAAGUUAGUACAAAGUAUGGAGGAACGUCGUGCCCAUCCUGGGCGACGGUUGCGUGUUUAUAUAGCCAGGUCGCGACCUCCUGGUAUAGCGUACAAGUUGGUUCAGAUUACAACUUGGAGAAGAAGAGAUAAGAGAGGUUACAAAGAUAAACGCAUAUGAGUUAGAUCCUAGUCUAUCUUCGGUUGGAGUCCUUGGCGAUGGUUUAUCUUCAGGACUCUGAAUCUCUGUCACGUACAGCACUAGGCGUUGCCAUAUUACGUUCAACAUCCUCCCUUAAUCACAACUUGGUCAAGUUGAGAUUACGCUUGAACUCUUCAAAAUUUUGUGUGGGCAAAGCUUUGGUGAAUCCAUCUGCAACCUGAUCACGAGAAUGAAUGAACCGAAUUUUCAACUGCUUGUUUGCAACUCGUUCUCUAACAAAGUGGAAAUCAAUCUCAAUAUGUUUUGUCCUUGCAUGAAACACAGGGUUAGCAGACAGGUAAGUAGCACCAAGAUUAUCACACCAUAAACAUGGAGCUUGGGUAGUCUUCACACCAAGCUCUCGUAGCAUGGACUGGACCCAAAUAAUUUCAGCUGUGGCAUUGGCCAAGGCCUUGUACUCAGCUUCAGUACUGGAUCUUGAUACAGUGGCUUGUUUCUUUGCACACCAUGAUAUUAAGUUUGGACCAAAGAAUACUGCAAAACCACCAGUAGAUCGUCUAUCAUCUAAACACCCUGCCCAGUCAGAAUCAGAGAAUGCACUAACAAGUGUAGAUGAAGACUUGUUGAAAGUGAGGCCUAGAUUAACUGUGUCCUUCACAUAUCUCACUAUACGUUUAGCAGCUGUCCAAUGAGUUAUAGUGGGUGCAUGAAGAAACUGACAAACCUUAUUUACUGCAAAUGAAAGAUCAGGUCUUGCCAAAGUCAGAUACUGAAGUGCACCUACCAAGCUCCUGUACCUGGUACUGUCAUCUUGACCCAAGGGCUUUCCUUCUGUAAGUGACAAUUUUUCUAUGCUGGACAGUGGAGUUGGUGAGGAUUUACAUCCUUGUAACCCAACUCUUCUUACCAGAUCAGUGGCAUACUUUUCCUGAGAAAGGUGAAGACUAUUUCCUUGUUUCUUGACUUCAAUCCCUAGGAAGAAGUGCAAGUCACCCAGAUCCUUGAGAGCAAACUCAGCAUUUAAAUCCUUCAACAUUCCUGAUAUAGCCUCAUUAGAUGAGCUUGUGACAAUAAUAUCAUCAACAUAUAUAAGAACGAAUAUUGUUGUUUUCAACUUGUUGUAAAUAAACAACGAUGUGUCAGACUUAGAAGGAACAAAGCCAAGAGUUUGCAAUUUGUGGCUUAAUCUAGAAUACCAUGCCCUAGGAGCUUGUUUGAGUCCAUAUAAUGCUUUAUCAAGCUUGCACACAUGGAACGGCUUAUUCUUGUUUUCAAAACCAGGAGGUUGUUUCAUAUAUACUUCCUCUUUCAGAACACCAUGAAGAAACGCAUUCUUGACGUCUAGCUGGCGAAGGCUCCAUCCCCUGGAAACAGCAAUAGAGAGCACAAGACGAAUAGUUGCAGCUUUAACAACUGGACUAAAGGUGUCCUCAUAGUCUAUACCAUACCGUUGUUUAAAACCCUUUGCAACUAGUCUGGCUUUGUAGCGAUCAAUGGUUCCAUCAGCCUUCUUUUUAAUUCUAAAUACCCACUUGCAAUCAAUCAAAUUUUUACCAUGCCGUGGCGGAACCAGAUGCCACGUUUUGUUUUGGAGAAGAGCCAUGUGUUCUUCCUCCAUGGCUGCCUUCCAAUUUUUGUCGCUGAGUGCCUCGCCAAGAGUACUUGGUUCAUCUGUGGAGCACAUUAAACUGAACUUUGUCAAUUGUUUGUAAUUAACUGGCUUUAUUACCCCUUUUUGGAGACGUGUCCGUGGAACAGCAGCAGGUGGUGAUGCAGAAAAUCCUGGGACGGCGGCGUCAGAAGAUCCCGUUAGAAUCCCCGCCUCGCUGCCAGCAGGAUCCUCUGCGCCAACGCGGUUGGGAGACGGUGUAGACGCGACGGAACCAGGCGCAGAAAAUCCUGUGCCGUGGGAGACAUCCAGCGCAGACCCAUCAUGGCACAAUGAUGAGGCAAAUCCAGGCGGGCCCGUGCCGGAUCGCGCGCCGGCAGGAGCUGACAGGGCCGAAUCUGCGGUGGGAUCAGCGCCUCCACCUGGCUCCUGGCGCUCCUGGCGAUCCCCGCCUGUCGGCUGGCGGCGUACGUAGUGGCGGGGCCCAUCACGGGCCCAGCGAGUCUCGGGCUGCCGUGUGGGGGCAUCCGAGUGGUGAAGGCGGGCCGAAUCGCCCUGGCCCAUGGCGAGACGCCGAGUGGCAGGCGCGGAGCCGCUGCUCGGCUGGCUGGCGGGCGACGCGGGUUUCCGCGCGGCGCUGCUCCCGGGCGACCCUGAUUCCGAGGAGGAUCCGCUGUCAGGCUGCGGUGGAACUGAUCCCGAGGAGGAUUUGUCCCCCAGCCCUGGACACAUGAAAUAUGGCGUUGUAGGCAGAUUUUCUUCGCCAUUUUGAGCGUGUUCUGCACCGUUUUCUGCGUUGUUCUCAGUUGCAUCAUCAUAGAGCUCAUGCACUUGGUUAUGAACAUUAGUCAAUAUUGGAUCACCACAAUCAUUAUCCCCAUCAGAGAUGCCGGUAAGACUAGAGGGUAGAAGGAGAAUUUCUUUGCGAAGUAGUGCCCCGGCAUUUGGGUGGAGUUCAGAGAAAGGAAAUUUUGUCUCAUCAAAAAUGACAUCGCGAGAGAUAUAAACUCGACCAGUGGAGAUAUCAAGGCACUUAACGCCCUUGUGUUGAGCACUAUAGCCAAGGAAAGCACAUUGCUUGGAGCGAAACAUGAGCUUGCGAGUGUUAUAUGGGCGGAGAUUUGGCCAGCAAGCGCAACCAAACACACGAAGAGUUGUGUAGUCGGGUUUUAUGUGGAGGAGACGCUCAAUAGGAGUUUCAUAGUUGAUGACACGGCUAGGUAACAUAUUUAUGAUAUGUACCGCAGCAAGAAAAGCCUCGUCCCAAAACUUUAGGGGCAUGGAGGCGCCGGCUAGUAAGGCAAGACCGACUUCAACGAUGUGUCUGUGUUUGCGUUCAGCAGACCCAUUCUGUUGAUGGGCGUGAGGGCAUGAUACGUGAUGAGAGAUGCCAAUUUCCUGAAAGGACGAGUUUAACUUCUCGUACUCCCCUCCCCAAUCAGAUUGGAGAGCCAGGAUUUUGCAAUCAAAUUGGCGCUCAACAAGAGCUUGAAAAUUCAGAAACACUUGAAACCCAUCGGACCUUUUUUUAAGAAGGUAAAUCCAUGAAAACUUGCUAUAGUCAUCUAUGAAACUCACAUAAUAUGUGUGUCUACCAACAGAGGAGGGGGCAGGCCCCCACACAUCAGAGAAAACAAGUUGUAGAGGCUUGGUAGAAACACUGGUAGAAAUUGGAUAAGGUAGCUGAUGGCUUUUAGCCUUUUGACAAGAAUCACAAAUUUUCUCAACAUCACGCUCUCCAACAUAUGGGAGCUUAUUUUUCUUAAGUAAUCUCUCAACUAAGGAAAAAGAUGCAUGUCCAAAACGAUCGUGCCAUCGUGUUGAAGACACUUUGGUGACACUAAAAACUUGUUUAUUGAACCUUCUAAUUUCCGGAAUCAAGGGGUAAAGCCCACGAACGCAUCUACCUCGAUAUAGCACCUUCUUCGUUGCCUGAUCCUUGAUCAGAAAGAAGUAAGGGUGAAACUCAAGAAAGACAUGGUUGUCAAUGGCAAUGCGAUGAACAGAAAGAAGGCUUUUUGAAGCACUAGGGACAUGCAAAAUUUUCCUAAGAUGAAUUUUUCGAUGAGGGGUUUUAAUAAUUGAGUGACCAACAUGACUAAUUUUCAUACCUUCUCCACUUGCUGUGUGGAUGUGAUCUUUGCCACGGUACUUGUCGCGCAUGGUCACCUUCUCCAGCUCACCGGUGAUGUGGUUUGUGGCACCGCUGUCGACAUACCAGUUGGUGUCGACGCCGUAGGAGCCAUCAGCAGCUCCAGCCACCUUCUCAUCUUGUGAGGAAUCAUCUUCGUCUUCUUCAAAACGGUACCAACAAUCUUUUGCCGAGUGUCCCGGCUUGCCACAGAUUUGGCACCUGAUUGCAUCAGGGCGUGAUCUGUUGUUGGAGGAGUUGCCGCGCCGGCCUCGAUUGUUGGAGGAGAAAGGCCGGCCGCCGCAUGUGUUGUUGGCGCCGCUGCUAGUUCCAUCGCCGGAGCCCCGGCCCUUGCCACUCCGAGGUGGGCCGCGGUAGCGGGAGCCUCCGCCCAGGCCGCGCGUGGCAGCGUUCGCUGACGACUUGAAGCCGCCCGCCGCGCCUGCUCCCUGGAACAGAGCCACCCGCUGGUCGAAGUUGCUCAUCUGCCCGAACAGCUCGUCGAGAGUGACCGGGGUGGUGCGGGCGUCGAGGGCGGACACCAAGGGCUGGUACUCCAUGUCAAGCGCGUUGAGGAUAUAAGAGAUUAACUCAUCGUCCUUCAACGGCUUGCCAGCCGCGGCGAGCUCGUCGGCGAGUCCCCGCAUGUACGCGAAGAAGGUGGCCACCGAUUGCGUUCCUUUCUGCGCAUUGGUGAGGGCGGCGCGGAUGUUGUUGACACGGGACAGCGACGUGGACGAGAACAUGCUCGCCAGCGCCGUCCAGAGUUCGCGUGCGUGCGCGAUGGAAGUGACCUGCACUAGCACCUCUUUGGAUAGGUUAUUCAAGAGAUAACCGAGUACCUGCUGAUCCUCUCGGAACCAGACGGCAUGGAGUGGGUUGGGGAUGGUUGCCUCCUUUCCAUCCUUGUCCUUGCCGACGACGAACUCGGCCGGCUCUGCCAUGCUUCCGUCGACGUACCCGAAGACUCCAGCUCCUCUCAGCUGCGGCGUGAUCUGAAUGCGCCAAAGAACAUAGUUGGUGCGGGUAAGGCGCUCGGUGAUCUGGCCGGAGAGAGGGGAGGAGGUGGCGGCGGAUGAGGCCAUGGCAGGAAGCUUCGGUGGAAGGAGGAGAGCUAGAUGGGAAGAGUUAGGCUCUGUAUACCAUAUGGAGGAACGUCGUGCCCAUCCUGGGCGACGGUUGCGUGUUUAUAUAGCCAGGUCGCGACCUCCUGGUAUAGCGUACAAGUUGGUUCAGAUUACAACUUGGAGAAGAAGAGAUAAGAGAGGUUACAAAGAUAAACGCAUAUGAGCUAGAUCUUAGUCUAUCUUCGGUUGGAGUCCUUGGCGAUGGUUUAUCUUCAGGACUCUGAAUCUCUGUCACGUACAGCACUAGGCGUUGCCAUAUUACGUUUAACACAAAGUUGAGUCAUCUAUUUUGGAACGGAGGGAGUAGCUAGUAGAGCUGAGGUGAAGUUAGGAAGUAGUAAUAUUCUUGAGUUAAUAAAUCUAUUCAGGUGAUAAUAGGAAGCCGAUGGAUAUAUUAUUUUUCGUAGCUAGAGGAGAAGUCUGGCAGUGUGCCUUGGGGUGGAGAAUCAAAGAUGGGAAAACUUGAUUCUGAGACCAUUGGGGGUGAAUAGGGUGGGUUUAGAAAUGAGGAUGAAGAUAGUUGUGCUAGAAGUAGACGCAAAUGUAGUUUGGGAGAGCAGUAGAGACGUAAUUAUGUUUUCCUGGUAGAACUGUAGAAGUAUACCCAGAUGUAGUUUCGUUGUGCUACUGAGACUGUUACCACAGUCUUUUUUUACCCUGUUUUGUGAAUGUUUGUGGAAUGUGGGGAACAAUCCUCCAUCCGAAGUUCCCAUGUGUAAUCCCCGUUCUUUUUUGCCAAGUCAAGUGUUUCGGGUGAAAUGCAACAUUCUAUUGUCUUUUCAUGCUAAGGUAAGAUUAGUACACACAAUCAGCACGCAUAAUUCAGGACACGCAUCAUCAUGUUUUAUACUAUUUUUGCGAGAAAAAGGGUGAUUUUCAUGAAACCAAUGGCUCGCUACACAACCAGCACAAUAGGCAUAUAGCUUAUCACAGUUUUCAUGUACAAUCAAAUGGGAUAUACAUGUGACCCGCGGUAUUUACUCGCUCCAAAUGAACUUAUCAGAAGCCCACCAAAUUAACAUAGGUUCAGGUUCUUUUGGUCCUUACAGGCUGCCUAUUUCUGCAUUUGGACCAAAUAUAUGUCCAACAACAACAACAUACAUGGUGGACUCUGUCACAGGACAGCAGAAAGCCACCAAAUCUGAAUUCAUGACAACAAACUCAUGGCGUUCAGGACGAACUUAUCAAAAGCACUUGAUCAACUUCACGAGACGACUCCCCAUAGCCGUAGCAGACAGUCUGGUACACCCAGCACCUGAGAAUACACCAUUAGCACAUCACAAAUUGUCAGCACAAUGUCCAAAGGCUCAUAAGGACAGCCCAGCUGCUGCUGAAGCAACAGAAGCCACAACUACUUAAAGCGGCAACCUGACACUGAAUGACUCGAAGCAAACCGCAGUCCCAUGCGGAGUAAGGCUAACCCAGCCCAGGCACAAACCGCCUGCAUAAAAAUUGGAAAACCGAGGCAGCAGUAGGAAACAUGUUUUUAAAGGCAACAUUUUUACCUAUCCAUAACUUCCAAACUAAAGCAGCAACUAUGGCAACCAUCAAAUUUCUGCGAGCUGAUAUACACAUGGCGCUGACACACAGGCGUCUCUCCGAAGCAGAGGAGUAGAGAGAGAUAUGCGGAAGAGGCGGCUGGUGAAUAAUUAUGCCGGCGGUGGUGGAAGUUACUCGACACCGGCGUCGGCUGCAUCCCAUAGCAGGCUCGAGUGGAGUCGUCGCUGCUUGAUCUGUAAGUGUUGGGUUUGUAUCUAGCUGUGGUUCCUGAUGACGUCGAUUCCGCGCUGUUAUCUAAAUAUCAGACAGUCUAGUGCAUAGUAGCCGGAAACGGGGAACGGUAGGCCGUCCCUCGACCCCGAUCAUCGACCCGGAAUCGGAUUCGGGAACGAGGUCGGAUCCGGUACGAUUCGAUGAAGAUUCGGCGUCCCCGUAGCCUGCUCCUCGAUUCAGGUUCCAGGAUCCAACAGCCAAAACGCGAGGCAUAAUUUACUCACGCCGUCGUUUCUUUUCUCAAGGAACCCUCGUUCUUCCUCCAGUCCAUUAAUUGCAAAGGAUCCAUUAACAGCAAGGAAUGCUGACCGUCAGGGAGUCUUCGUUCUUCAGGAACUGCGUUCCUCGACCCAUGGUACCGUACCGGGUUCAUCAUACCCAAACGGAUUGGAUCGCAUCCCCGCUAUAAAAAAAUCGUUCGAGAGAUGUAUACCCUUGUUGUACCCUAGUUUUUUUAGCCACCGACUCUCGUCCCUCGUUCCCGUUCCUCGUUCCCACCGUACCGGAAACAUGGCAACUAUGGUCUAGUGUGUACUCUCCCUGCUAACAAAAAGAACAAGAGGAUAUGUAGCAGCCUCCAUUAACGUGAGGAGGCAGGCAGCAUCUCCGUCUGUCCCGUGGUCGAAAGGAGGAAGAUUGUCGGGCCCCAAGUCAGAGUCAACCUGACGCAUGAAACCUCAAGCUACAGCCAAAUAUCCACAGUUGAGAACACAUAGAAAAACACAGAGGAAGCUAGCGAUAGGCAAAUAUUCAGAGUUGAGAAAACAGAGGAGUAGAGGAGGCUAGCUACAUGCAAUGUAGAGUUCAGAAAACAGAGAAAGGGCAGAGGUUGCGACACACAAGUAUUCAGAGUUUAGAGAGCAGAGCUAUAGGAAAGCACAACUGCAGUCUGUAUCUACAUAUGUAUGUAUGUAUGUAUGUAUCAGUUCUGAUUCUCGAUCUUUGUGCACUUCAUUCUGCCUUCACCCCUCGCUGACAAUGGCAGGCUCGAGCAUGUGGUUUGCAAUCCAGGCCCUGGGCUCAGGAGACACACAGUAUGAAUUGACGGCGUCCACCAUAUAUAUUGACUCUUGCUAUUUAUUCAGGAUGAUGCUUCUGAAUUCUAUCUACUCAACAUAAGAAACAAACACCGCCGUGUACGUGCAAUGGUUCAUUAAUUCAUGCCUUGUGAGCUUUAGCAAUCUGCUCUCCAUGGCUUCCUUAACUUGCUCCACAAGGACUCCAAUUUAGGACACAUGGGAUCAAAGAACAGCACGAGGCUUGCAGCCAGCCCCAUCAGUGCCCCCACCUCCUCCUCCUGACGGGAGCGUGCGGCCGGCGCGGAGGCGCCUCCGGCAGCAAAGAUUGGAGGACCGCGGUCGGGCGAGACGCAACGCGUGGCCUUGCAGGAGAGCGCGGCAACAGCGGGGCCGCGGAGCAGCCGAUGGCGGCGUAGGCGGCGGCGGGGGAGUCGCCAUGGGAUGGGAGUUCCGAUGGCACUGCGCUAGGCCCGGCAGCGCCUAAUCUUCUUCUUCUUUUACAUUAUUUUAUUUUAUUUUUUUACAUGUAUUUUUAGGGGUAAAUUACACAAAUAUCACGUGUUUGGAAAAUAAAAUAUGCAUGUGUUUCAAAAGUUAUUAUUCUCGGGUAUAAAAAUGUGCAUGUCUAUUUCAAAAAAAAAUUGUAUAACAAAAGAGUUAUCAUACCAUCAAACGAGAUACAUUCUUGUAUUUUAAAAACAAUGUCCUCGUAUGCCCAAAAACAUUUCCGUGAACAUAAGAACUGUAUGUGUACAGCGGCAAAAAAAAAACUGUAUGUGUAAUUUAGUAAAAGUUCUCCAUGAUUUCCAAAAUAUAUAACAUUGUCUGUAAAAAUGUUCAUCAUAUAUUUGAAAAAAAAUCAAUGUGUAUGUGAAAACAAAUCAAUGUCUGAUUUAAAAAUAUUACCGUGGCCUUAAAAAAAGGUUCAUCUAAUAAUUCAUAAAUAUUAAUCUUGUAUUUUAUAAAUAUUCAAGGUGUAUUAUAAAAUCCUCAUUGUGCAUAUAUAAAAUAAAAGGUUGACUGUGUAUUAACAUGAUGUUCAGCAUUUAUUUCAAAAAUAUUCGUCGUGCAUCUAAAAAUGUUCAUUGCGCAUCAAAACUAUUUAUUGUGUAUUUACGAAAAUGUUCAUCAUGUAUUGACAAAUGCUCACGUGUAAUAAAUAAAUAUUCAUCGUCUAAUAUUAAAUUUUCAACAUGAAUUAAAAAAUUAAAAUGUAAUUAAAAAUGCUAAUAUUUUCAUUUUAAAAUAAAAAUUGUGUAUUUUAAAUGUUCAGCAUGUAUUUAAAAAUACUCAUAGGGCAUUUGAUGUGAAAUGUCCAACAUGUAUUAAUAUGUUCAUCAUAUAUUUUGAAACAUCAUGUAUUAUAAAAAAUAUGAAUUUUUCAAAAUGUCAUAUAUUUUAUAAGGAAUAAGCAAAUAUUAUGUAUCAAGUACUUUUAUAAUAAAAAACAUACUUUUUGAAAUUUAGAAAAAAAAUUCAGGGUGAAAUAAAUGGUCAUGUACUUGAAAAUUAUACUUUAAAAAAUGUUAAUCCUGGAGAGAAGAUGAUAUGACUUCUUCCAUUUAUUUAAAUGACAAGGGGUGUUGAAAAUAUUUGAAUUUCAUUUGGAAAAUAUUUCCAACCCAAGAACUUUAUGCAACUCAAUGAUUUUCACGAGCGAAGAUAAAAUGACUUCUUCAAAACAUAUGAAAUAUGAGUUGGGAGUUUCAAAGAAUUAAAUUCAAAGUUCUUUUGAAUUUAUUUUCAAUUUGGAGUUAUUUGAGUUUUAUUCAAAUUAGUUUUCUCUGAAAAUAAAAUAUAUGGAAAAUAGGGUAACAUGAUUCCCUACAUCAAAAAAUUGGAGAGAAAUAAAUUUGAAUUAAUUUUGGUAUUUUUAAAAUGAUUUUUACUGGAUUUUACUAGAGAAGAAGCACUCUUUGUUUUAUUUGAAUUUGUGUGUAUUUUAUUUGACUUCGAAAAAAUGUUCAUGUCGUAGAAAAUCUUUUUCUUAAAACGUUGAUAUAUAAUAUGCCCAUAUAAAAUGAUAAUUAUAUUUUCGUUAUUCAGUUUUCCUUUCUGUUUCUAUUUAAGAAACUGUACGUGCGACCCAUAAGUAUUUAUCGCCCACGCGCGCAUCAUAGUAACAGCAAGCGCCCCAUCUUUUCUUUCCUAUAUGGGCCAGGCCCAGCCAGCCUUUUAUUUUUUAUUCUUAGGCCGAAUUUUGUAAAAAAAAAAACUGCUGCCGCAGCUUACGCGCGCGCGGCCGGCCGAAGGCCUCUAGGCCCAUGCGAGGCGCCUCUUCUUCUCUGUUUCUUUUCCUUUCAUCUACGUUUAGUCCCACAUUGUCUAACCUUUGACCCUGAAGCCUCUUUUUCACCAAUAAAUAUAGACCCAUAGAGCCUUCAAAAAUCAUCUGAUUCAGAUUUAAUCAAUGUUUUGGUUUGACUAGAUUCAUUUAAGAAAAAUAUUUUUCUCCUCUCCGGCGCGGCUUCUGUAAAUUGUCUUUUCUCUCCGAAGUUGUCUUUUCUCUGCCUUAUAAAGGUAUAUUUAUUCGUUCUCUGUAUUUAUAUGUUAGACCUAGAAUUCUUUUAGCCGUAGCUAUUUUUUCUUCUUUUGUAAAACAGCUUGGCCCUGAUUUUCCAAAUAGUCAUAACUUUUUACUCAUUCAUCCAAAUUAAAUGAAACCAACGUCCACUUCUUCGUUACGAUCUUCUCUAUCCAGUAAUCUAACUUAAACGUGAUUUUGAAAGUUUAAAAUUUGGUUUUCAAACAGAUUUGUAUUUGAACUUUGUUUGAUCAUAACUUGAGUUUUAUAACUCCGUUUGAGUUGAUUCUUUUUGCAAAUCGAAGCUCUUGAACCAAACUUUCUGAUAAGUACAAAUUCACAUAAUUUUGGUACUGUUAGGAAUUGUUUUAUGUUGCAAGAGUUAUUCGCUUGGUUUUGAUGUUUUCCGAAUCGUACUCUUCGUUCUUUCCGAUCUUUUGAGUGAUUGCUUAUGUGUGGUUACUAUUGUUUGCUCACGAUAGAUUGACCGGAGUUUUGAGUGCGAAUCAUCUUCAUCAACAUUGCAGGCUAGUUCACACUUUGAUCAUAUCCCUUCAUACCCAGUUUUUAUGCAUUAGCUUCUUCCUCAAACAUUGCAUGAUUAGGAUGCCUUUAAUUUGUGGGUUGGGAAGUAGUUGCUGAGGUAGAACCUAUUGCCCUGUUUAUUAUCAAACUCUUGGGAGUUACUUCUACGUUAUGCUUACGUUGUCAUGCUAUGCUCGUAGACGUGGAUUGGGUUUGAGUGAUAUCCAUGACAGAUAUGAGAUUGAUAAUUAAUGGUUUACUUAAGGUGGCAACUUUAAUACACAUCUAGGUGGAUUGAGGCACCUGGGGUUACCAGUGAUUGCCUGUUUUAUUUUUGGAAAUCCCGGGGUUACCGUGUGAUUCUCCUAUGGUCCGCCACCCAGGCUCAAAGGGAACUGAGUCUAUUCAUGCUAGAAAUUUCCGUGUGUAGCCGCAAGCUAUUAUGGGCUCUAGCAUAGUUGAGUAAGUUGCGUGAAGCUCUUGAAGAGGUGGAUCAGUAGGUAGUGGGUUUGUAGGUUUGGUAUGGUCUGCCCGGAGUAGAGAGUUAAUGCUUCUGAAAGACUGUGUCUCGGUUAUCCGUUUGUCAAACACCAUGUAGUGCGAGAAAACCAACGGAGGCAGUCGAGUCUUGCGGGGAAAAGCGCGCAAACCUCUGCAGAGUGUACAAUCUAAUCAUGGUUAGCCGUGUCCCCGGUUAUGGACAAUUCUGAGUAUCUAGUACUUUAGUAUUCGCAUGUAUCUCAACACUCUUAAAUUAAUAUUGUUGGUUGUUAAGUACUUUUAAUUGGGAUCAUUGAGUUGGGGUUACCUUCUCAAAUGAUGUUUCAACCACCAUGAUAGUCAAAUUAAAACAGAUUCCUUUGUAGUAGGAAAAAAUUGGCUUUUCGCAAAAACUGUAACCAUAAAGCUUUCCACCAGCCAAAUAUGCAUGUAGUGAUAGUUAUUAUUCAUCAUUGCUUUGUGGUGUGAAUUUGCCAGUACAUUCAAUGUACUGACGCUUGUGGCCGCAACGUCUCAUGUUGCAGGAUCUUACGACGAGUAAGUGAUACGUUAGGGUUACGAUUUCCUAUACUCAACUUUGCCGUUGGUGUUGAUGGGAAUCCACAACCUUGUUGCUUCCGCUAUUUUGGAUUGAGGUAAUAGUAUUUACGUUAUCUUAUACAUGUGAUUUACCUCUGUUAUAAAUCCUCGAGUACUGUGUGUGUCAGCAUACCGAUCCAGGGAUGACACGUAAGCACAGAGACUUGACCCAUUCGGGUCGGGUCGCUACAACAAUUUUGCAACAAAUAUAUGGUAGGUCCUUCACGAAAAAACCUCAUUUCGGGCACUCAGAAAAUGGAAAAUAAAUUUUCCGUGCAAAGAAAAUGAAAACUCAUUUAGGCAACAUUGUUUGGAAUUCCAAGAUGCCCCCUUGUGCAUGAUAUGAGAUCAUUUGAACAAACUAUGCCAUGAAUGUGGCCAUAAGAUUGAUCAUUUGGCUUGAAAGCCAUGAAUCUUCACGCAUGAUAGCUCGUUUCUAAGAACACUUAUUAAAAAUAAUUUCCGUAUUACAAAUUUAUUAUUUUCCUGGAAACUUGGUCACAUACGAUGACACAAUGCGCAGUUUUUCCAAUUUUUUGAUUUUUUUUGAAUUUUUUAUGCUCAUUUCAAAAUGCGGUCAAAACGGCGGGCUUGACUGUUCCUAGCUAGUGGUUGAAUCUUGGAUUUUUUUGGUAUUUCUAUGAUUAAAUAGAUACUUAUUUACCUAGAAAUGAUUUUUGGAAAAAAUAAAGAGCAAUAUGGGGCACCUGCAGUUCAAAUUUGACCCGCUUCCAGCUGAAUCGGCGGGAAUUUGUCUUUUUCACGAGAGGUGGAUCAAAACUUUUUACACCCAACCAUUUGGUCAAUUGUAUAUUAAAUAUGUCCUAGUAUUUUAUAAAAUUGAUUUGGUACAAUUUUGCAACAAAUAUAUGGUAGAUCCUUCACGAAAAAACCUCAUUUCGGGCACUCAGAAAAUGGAAAAUGAAUUUUCUGUGCAAAGAAAAUGAAAACUCCCUUAGGCAACAUUGUUUGGAAUUCCAAGAUGCCCCCUUGUGCAUGAUAUGAGAUCAUUUGAACAAACUAUGCCAAGAAUGUGGCCAUAAGAUUGAUCAUUUGGCUUGAAAGCCAUGAAUCUUCACGCAUGAUAGCUCAUUUCUGAGAACACUUUUUAAAAAUAAUUUCUGUAUUACAAGUUUAUUAUUUUUCCUGCAAAUUUGGUCACAUAUGAUGACAUAAUGCGAAUGUUUUCCAAUUUUUUGUUUUUUUUGAAUUUUUAUGCCCGUUUCAAAAUGCGGUCAAAACGGCGGGCUUGACCUUUCCUAGCUAGUGGUUGAAACUUGGAAUUUUUUUGGUAUUUCUCUGAUUAAAUAGAUACUUAUUUACCUAGAAAUGAUUUUUAGAAAAAAUAAAGAGCAUACUAUGAGGUAGCUACAGUUCAAAUUUGACCCGCUUCCAGCUGAAUCGACGGGAAUUUGUCUUUUUCACGAGAGGUGGAUCAAAACUUUUUACACCUGACCAUUUGGUCAAUUGUGCAUUAAAUAUGUCCUAGUAUUUUAUAAAAUUGAUUUGGUACAAUUUUGCAACAAAUAUAUGGUAGGUCCUUCACGAAAAAAACUCAUUUCGGGCACUCGAAAAAUGGAAAAUGAAUUUUCCGUGCAAAUAAAAUGAAAACUCCCUUAGGCAACAUUGUUUGGAAUUCCAAAAUGCCCCCUUGUUCAUAAUAUGAGAUCAUUUGAACAAACUAUGCCAAGAAUAUGGCCAUAAGAUUGAUCAUUUGGCUUGAAAGCCAUGAAUCUUCACGUAUGAUACCUCGUUUCUGAGAACACUUUUUAAAAAUAAUUUUUGUAUUACAAGUUUAUUAUUUUUCUGGAAACUUGGUUACAUAUGAUGACAUAAUGCGAAGGUUUUCCAAUUUUUUGAUUUUGUUUUGAAUUUUUUAUGCCCAUUUCAAAAUGCGGUCAAAACGGCGGGCUUGACCGUUCCUAGCUAGUGGUUGAAUCUUGGAAUUUUUUUGGUGUUCCUCUGAUUAAAUAGAUACUUAUUUACCUAGAAAUGAUUUUUGGAAAAAAUAAAUAGCAAACUACGAGGUAGCUACAGUUCAAAUUUGACCCGCUUCCACCUAAAUCGGCGGGAAUUUGUCUUUUUCACGAGGGGUGGAUCAAAACUUAUUACAUCCAACCAUUUGGUCAAUUGUGCAUUAAAUAUGUCCUAGUAUUUUAUAAAAUUGAUUUGGUACAAUUUUGCAACAAAUAUAUGGUAGGUCCUUCAUGAAAAACCUCAUUUCGUGCACUAAAAAAAAUGAUUGAAAAUAGAUAGAAAAUCAGAAAUGCAUAGAAAAUGGUGCUCAUCCAUAAAAUGUGGUCUAACUUGAGUGAAAAUUUGUGUGAUGCCUUUUGCGAAAAUAGUUUUGAUAGCUACUUCACAAAAUCCCUCUAUUUUUAGUAUUGAAAACUAUUUUAGAUCACUGAUUUUCUGAACCAAUCAAAAUUCUUACCACGGAUCGAUGACAUGACGCCCAUCCGGCCAUCCAUCCAUACAUAUCUCCACAUCCGUCCAUCCAUCUAUCUACAGAAAAAAAGGAGAUACCCCCUCCCCCCGCAGCCCAAACCCUAGAUCAGAUCCCCCAUCGCACCCCUCCUCCCUGCUCCCAAUGUCCCCGCCGCCGCCGCCACCUCCUCCCCGUACUCGCCCCAUCCCGAUCCAGUCCUCUCCCACCCACCGCCGACCUCGCCGUCCUCCUCACCCACCACCGCCGACCUCGUCCCUCCCUCCCCUCUCCGCAUCUCCCGGCCACCUCUACGUCCGAGGAGAUCGAGUGAGCGCCCGAGUGCGCCCGUCCUCGCAGCCUCCUCCCAGGAUUCCCCGCACCCAAGCCCCACAAGAGGAGCUCCUCCUGUGUGUUUGUACGCCGCCGCCGGCGACCACCAGCCACAGCUUGCCGGAGCCAGCAGAUGAGUGCCACCCUUCUUCUCUGUUCUCUUCUUCCCGUGCUCUCUUUCUUCCUCCUUUCUCUCUCACACACAUCUCGAUUUCUCUCUCUGUCUCAAACAGUGCACUUCGCCGCCAUGGACGCUCGCGUCCCCGACCUUGCAGCGUGCCGCCCCGAUGCGAACGGCGGACUCCUUCCUCUUCUUGGAAUUCUUCUCCGCCGGCCGGUCGCCGCCUCCGCCUCGUCGUCGGUGGAAUCCAUUCAUCGGAGAAGAGAAGAGAAGAAAAGAUGCUGCCUUGGAUCUUCAGCCGGAAGGGCGCCUCGGGCUUCUCCUGGGCCUCCACCGUCGACCACGUCACCGCCGGCAUCUCCGCGUCCGGCCUCACCGCAAUAGUCACGGGUGCGUCGAGCGGGAUCGGCGCGGAGACGGCGCGGGUGCUGGCGGCGCACGGGGCCCACGUCGUCAUGGUCGCCCGCAACCUCGCCGCCGCAGAGGACGUGCGCCAGGCCGUCCUCGCCGAGUCCCCCGCCGCCAGCCUCGACCUCAUGGAGCUGGACCUCUCCUCCCUCGCCUCCGUCCGCAAGUUCGCCGGCGACUUCGACGCCACCGGCCUCCCGCUCAACAUCCUCGUGUAAGGCAGCAGCCCCUCUCCUAAUCCCCACACCACUACCUAAUCCCCACACCACUACUAACUUGCAAUCAUGCGGCUCCACUGUUGCGAUUUGUGAGGACCAUCCAUUCAUUCAGGUUCAGGUUCAGUUUCAGUUUCAGUUUCAGUUAGCCAUUAAAUUCUUCUAUCCAGCGUGCGUGCUGAAUAUGUUCUCCACUGUCAAGGAUUUAUUUAUUGUCUUGUUAACUUCUAGCUACCUGCUGCUUGCGUUGCAUUGCAUUGCAUUGUGUGUCAAGUGAUUAAUCAGCGUGCGUGCUGAAUAUGUUCUUCACUGUCUAGAAUUUUCUGCUGUGUUUUUUUUUUACUUGUAAUAAAUACUGUUAAAGUAGGCAGCCACUGGGAUCUGAAGUUGCAACGCCAAGUUGCAAUUAGCUGGGAUGUGUAGCGUGGUUACUGUAGCUUACAUGACAUCCCUUGAGGAUGUUAGAGGAUCCGAUUCCGGCUAGCUUGUGUUGAUUGGUUUUGAGAUAUAACUAGAUCAUGGUUGGCACGCGUUGCUGCGCCCAUCUAUUUUGACGAUAGAAUGAUAGAAAAAAGAGAUAAACGCACCAUUGGUCAUUGAACUUUUACGAGAUGAGCACAUUGGUUACUCUUCUCUCAAAAUGUGAUAAACCGGUCACAACACUCAUAUAUAUGAGCAAACUGGUCACUCUGCCAUUUCCAGCCGUAACGGGCGCUGAAGUGCCGUGCUGACUCAGCGUCGGGCCCACAACUGCGGCACGUGCACAUAUUAGAGGGUGGGAUUCUUUGCAAGAAAGACCCUAAAAAUAUUAACUGAGAACAUGUCAUGGCUGCACCUGUUUCACACUAAAUUGGGACCACCUAUCAGCCUCUUACGGACCAUGCACGAGCAACUUAAACGCGGAUUACGAGCGCGAAACAGUGGCGACACACAUGUAGGCGCAGAAAGGAGCUACAGGAGGUGAGAUUGGCACAGGGGCUAUGCGGGAGUGAGGUCGCACCGGCUUGGGGUGGUGGGAGUGUGCGGGUUGGCCCCGGGCACUGAGCUCCAGCGGUGGCUGCAGCGCCACUAGGGCGCAUGCGGGCUAGAGAGGACAGCAGAGAGUGAGAAGAGGUGCACCAGCACCGAAGGCUCACCUAGAUCAUGUGUGAGCGGACUGAGAUGUCGGAGGCGAGGCCACGGCUGCCAGAGGCGGCGACCGGAGGAGGCUUGAGUGGUGAGGCCUUCUCUAGGAUGCGUGACAUGGUUGGAAUGUCACCAUAAGCUACAGACGAUUCCCACGGGGGCUACCAAGCUGAGAAUAAGAGCUGGGGUCUCCAGGGGUAGAUUGAUACGCGGCUAUCUUUCACCGGAGGGGGAGAAGAAGUGUGUGGCGCAGGUGCUACAUGGACUCCGGGUUCGAUUCCUAUGGCAGAAACUUAUAGGGAUUCUCGAUGAAGCCUUGGACAAGAUGGCGAGGCACAAAGUGGUUGUUGUCCGCACGUGCGACAAAGGACGCAGGCGACGGUGCACACUGGAUGCCGACACGAGCACUGUGGACUCCGCGAGCGUGGGUGUAGCUGCCUAGGCGGCGAUGUUUUGGUUAUUCGAUGAGAUGUCAUGGGGGAGAGAGACACUCAUGCGCUGGUCGACCACGGUAUUGGUAACGACGCGAGUGCUACCAUGCCGGAGAUGGAGAAGGGGACCGGGUCAGCCACAAUCGAGAAGGGGAGAGGUGUGAGAGGAUGUGGUUGACCUUCUGGUGAGAGCAAUUAUCAUGUAUCCUAUUCCUACCUGGCGUCCUGGCGGCGACGUCGGACGUCGUCGGCCGGGAGCCGGACCACCGGCGCAAGCAACACGAGGCGGUGCUCCGGGCGAGGUGAGCUUGCACAAAGCUACACCGCGUCCCACGGCUGCAUCUGAGCGUAGUACGUCCUCACGAACAGUAAGAAACACAGCGGGAGCGACACAAAUUCAGACAAAUACACGACGGUUGCGGAUCGAGGCUACUACGUCCAGGUUCCAUCAAAUCUACGGCCUUUUCUCCAGGUGGCUCGCUCGGGCGUAACAGGUGGCCACGGAGUGCAUGGGGUAGUGCGGUACAGCGGGCUAGCGGAUGAAGGAACCUCCAGUCCAAUUGAGGGAACACGACGCAACACCAGGAGUGGUCACCGAACGAAAGACGCAACGGGUUCGCGGUUGCGCUCGUCGGCGGUGGUAGCAACGGCGCAGGUGGCGCGCGAUGGCGGUGGUAGCAGUGCUGCAGAUCGCGUGUGACGGUCACGGUAGUGGCGUCGGGGCAUGGCAUGGCGUGGUGCAUCUCAGCAUGAGCGGCCUCGGCGACGGCCAUGGCGCCGCGGCGGUCGGCGGCACGCGGCAGCGUUCCUGGAUCCCGACGAGAGCCCAUGGCUCGGUAGCUUCGCGUCGAGUUUCUGUCAAGAACAAGGAACAAAAAAUCCUCCCGGCGUCCAAACUAUGCUCCACAUCUUCCCAGGGUCCUUCUUGCAAAAAAUCCAGACCUCUGAUAUGCGCAUGUGCUGUGGGCGUGGGUCCAAUAAUGCUGAGUCAGCACGCCACCUCAGCGACCGUUACGGUUGGAAACGGCAGAGUGACCAGUUUGCUCAUAAAAUUGAGUGUUGUGACCGGUUCAUCACAUUUUGAGAGAAGAAUGACCAAUGUGCACAUCUCACGAGAGUUCAAUGACCAAUGGUGUGUUUAUCUCUAGAAAAAAAUCUAUUAAUACGGAAGUGAUAUACAUAAACAAAACAUGGAAGCUGUAAUUGCAUGAAUUAAUCUAUAUAGUUGUUAAGAUACGAGUACAUGUUAAAUUGACAUGAAGCAAUAUAUAUUGUUCAAUCUUCAAUGGAGUAACUUAGGCAUGGUUAAGUCUUGAUUAUCAAGUAUCUUCAUGGGUCAACCUAUGCUAUUUCAUAAGAAAUGAAAAUAUUCAGUAAUUUGGAUUCUUAAAGAUAUUGUGUAGGUAUAUCCAUAUAGGCACCGAAUAGAUAGGAUGCGUCAUUAUUAAGUGGCAAACACCUUAGUUGAACAAUUUGUUCUUUAAAAUAAGUAUAUGUGUUGUAAUUAGUACAAGGAUUGUUAGGAAGUAACAUAUACAAGGAACACACACGUAGUUCUGAUGUAACAAGAUGUCUCAUCUAAGACUCUCAAGGCCAGGAGAUAUGUACGCAACGUAGUAUCCGUGAGCCUCCAAAUCCGAAGAUGGAUACUGAACAACAACAGGGCACUAAAUCUGAGAUGUUGUAUUCAGCGGCACCAAAUUAACAACAGGCCAUUUCUCCAUGAUUUCAGCUUGCGUAAAUCAUAUUUUCAUGUCGUGUAAAAGCCAAAAAAAAAUACUACACUUAAGGUAAAAACUACACAAGCGAGAAUCACCACCCAAACUUGUCAAAUCGAUAAUUGUCAAAUUAACUGUAAUAUCAAAAAGGCCGAAAUUCUAGAGCUACCCCAAGGAGCGGAUGAAGUACCAUGAAGAACCAUCCGACACUAAUAGCAGAGGUCUCGUGUUCCCUAUGUCAAAUCCAAAUAUGAAUCUUGGGCUAAUGUAUCCAUGGCUAUCCCUGGUAUUUUAGAUGGAGUGAGGAGCAUGAUUGCUUCAUGCAGCUGAUGAGGGACUCACAACAAUCUGAAAACAUGAAGAGAUGAGGUACGACAGCCCAUUGAACUAAUUUACCUCCUUGCAGACAUUGCAGAUUUUCGAGAGAAGAUUUCCCCAAAAGUUAAUACGAGAACCAGACUCCAAGAUUAUUUUCCCAUAGAACCAGGAGUCCUGGAUGAACACCACAUGUACAAAUCUGUGACUGGAAAGGCAGACACAAUGAAAUCGGGUAAAAUAGGGAAUCAUAGGGAAAAGAAAAAUGAAGACAGAGUGAAAACCUAGCCGAAAACCAUAGUUGCAGAAGGACCUGUGGGGGUGGGAGAGCGUAAGCUCACAUAUAUACAGGCGUGAAACUAAUGAAUCUGGGAAAACAAUAUCUUACUUCAUUAAUCGCUGCCGGUGAGUGGCGCACAUAAGCUCCCAUGAAGGAUUUUAGGAACUGAUGACUGAUUACCUCCCGGCGGAUCAACUUCACCUGCCUGCUUCACCGAACAGCCACGGUGCCGCUUCGCCUCUCCCUGCAAAUCAGUUCAAUAAUGGAGGCACACCAUCUCGUUUGGAGCCAAAGUACAGUGGGCAUGGGACGACGUCGGUCACAUCGGCCAGAUCACAUUGCAGUCGACAUGAGCCAUCUUCUGCCGUCACGGGAUGCCUGCGUCCGUGCGAACGAAAAGAGGGUUGUACAGGCUUUGAUUCUGGCUGGACAGACGGAAUGGUUGGAGUCUGUUACCAGAGCAGUGGCAAUCAUAAGGAAGUGAGUCGGCGUGGGCUAAAGAAAACCUGACAGCCGAAAACACCGAAAGCUGACGAUGCGAUGGCUGCGAAUGAUAAUAGCUUGCAGUCCAUUAAAAUCUGAGGGGGGAUCCUUUAUAUUUCACUUUGUUGUGUAAAUACCAUUCAAGUUCCACAAAGAAUAAUAUAGAAGGCUUACCUAUGCUGGAUGUGCACAACUCCCAGUUUUUUUCAAAAGAAAAUAAAAUCGAUUGUGCUUGCAUGGUGGAUGACAUCAAUCAAUAAGUAAUCGAUGGUGUAUCAUGGCACGAAGGGCAUUAACCUGUUCAGUAACCGAUGAACUUCAGUCGGGGACAUUGCAAUUGAAGUGAAGAAUCAGUACUACUCCAAGUACUGAAUAUUUCUUUAAAAUGCUAUAUUCAGAUGAUCUAUAUAUUUAACUAAAACAUGCAACCAAAGAAUGAGUUAUUAUAAAAUAAUGCCUCCAUUGUGAUUAAAGAGGAUGGUCAGAUUUGGCCAAUGCCUCAUAUAUUCCCAAACUGACGAUCCAAAUACUAAGAAGUGGUCAGUUCUGAUCAGUUUUGAGCUAACACAUUUGUACCUAGAACAUUAUUUAGAGACAAUUGAUGGCAUCUACUAUAAUGAUUCCAUUCAUUACUCCUCACACACACAAAAUAAUGCCGAUCGAGUGCAUGGUUAUUUUUGGGCAAAGCAUCAAACACAUAAUAUGCACAUCAACAUAUGGUUAAGGUAAUCAAAGUCUGAAUUAUGUAAAGAAAACAAACGACGUGAAGACUUAACCAGGAAGAUAGGCUGCGGCCAUUGCCCUUCUUGCCAUCAAAGAACCUCCCUCUUCCGCUUGCCUCUGGUCGCUUGUCGGCGCAGGGAACACCAAUGAAAUCUUCUACAUACAAGGAGUUUUGUGCCAAACUAAAUUCUAGCAAACCAAAAACAAAUAAAGGGGGAUUGAAGCUCGAAAUUAAAUCCAUGAAAAAUUUGUUGUACAUAUGCAAUCACAGAAAUCUCACCAUGGACGACUGGAACCUCGCCGUGGUAACUCUGCCACCGGUAACCAGUGUCUCUGAACAAAAAGAGAUUGAGGGCAACAACACAUCCUUCUCGUCGUGUUCCGACUUGGUUUUGAGUGGUGGAUCGAGAAGGAACUCGCCAUACCUCCGGCCGGGUGCUCAAGCGAGGUUGGAUCUAGCGGCGGCACGACACGAAGGAAAAAAAAUCUGGUUCAGCCGCCUCACUGGUGCACCACCUCAACCGAUCUGAGAGUGGAGCUCCUCCCUGGUAAGGACAUGAGAAGUAGAAUGAUGGCUAGGCGAAUACGAGGCGGCGCAACCUUCGCGAGGUGAGAGGCAAGAGGUCGGGUGGAACGGGAUGAAAUUCCCAGCGCAUAUCACGAUUGCCCAUACGUGAGAUCAGAAACCCUAUAGUGAAUGGGAGGACUCCGAUUUGUUUCGGGUGUAGCGGCCCUAGGGCCCAGGAGCAGCCCACGCGAAGAGAGAAAGCGCAUCAUACGGCCGAGAAUGAUCAGGACACGAAAUCUGACGUUCCAGAAUGAUGAGGGCGUGAGAGGCUGCCUAGAGUGCCCAGCUAUAAUGUCUUUAAAUUGGAAACUCAUUGUGUGUCAGUACAACAAACGUGAUGUUUUUUUAAUAGCAAACAUGCUGAUGGAAGUGUCCUUCCAUACGUGAUUCUAAUUUGCACUUCUCGGUCAGAGGCAUCUCCAGUACGUGACACACUUUGGAUGUGCAAACGAAUAUGUGCGUGUUUCACAUAUUACAUGAGCAAAUUUUGUUAGUUCUCGGCCAUUAUAAUUAGGAUCCGCAGCUUGUUUGCCUCGCUUUGCUAGGCUGUUUGGGAACGUAUGUCAUAGAUAGGCGUAGUUUUUUUUUUUUACAGGUACAUGGCCGUGUAGGAAUUGGACUCAACUCAUUGCUUUGCAUGGCAGUCUAGAAAUCAUAUGGGGUAUGGAGACAUCUAUACAUAGUUACUUUUUAAUAAUAUAAUAGAUUAGCUGUAAAUGUGCCCCCCUUACCGAAGAAGAUAAGAAUCCAUAUGGUUAUGCAAAAUUAACUUUGUCAUCUUGUAAGAGCUCUAGGCAGUGUCUAGAGGUUGAAAAAAUAUGAGAACAAAAAGAAUUACUGGAUUAAUUUACAACAUCCAUCCUUUACUUCGUCCAUGUCAUUGUUGUUUACCCCUGGGAGUAUUUUUAACUUGAAAAUCUCUGGUGAACUGCCAUUUAGAGUACAUUUGCUUGCUCUGUUAAUUUUUUUGGGUUACUCCAUCUUGCUCUGUUAAGUAAAAUUAGAUAUGUGGAGUAGCAGCAGUAAGCUAGACCCUCCAUCUUGCUCUGUACAUAGUCAAAGCUACUCCAAGUUAGCAGCAGUACUGUUAACUUCUCAAUUUGCUUGGAUUACAUUUAAAUUGUAGUACUCCAGUACUCCAGUAAUUUUGCUUAGAGUAUUUAACAAGAUUGAACUGUAUUUGUGCGGAGUAAUUUUUCUUGGAGUAUUUAACAAGAUUUAACUUUUCAACAUUUAACAGUACUUUUCAGUAAGUAUUCUGAACAUGCUUCUGAAUAUUUGCAGAUUCUGAACAUGCAAGCAAAUAUGCAAGAGUAAAGAAGUUCUUGCAGUAGAUAUUGUAAGUGUUUGUUCUGAACAUGUACUGUCACCGAAGAUAUUGCAAGUGGUCUGACAAGAUUUUCUUAAUUUGCAAGUUUAGUUACUUUUCCAGUUAAUUAACUGGACAUCUUGGAGUAGUUAGAAAAUCAUGAAUUAUUUGCAGAAAUAUGUAGAAGUAUUGUACUCCAGUGUGCAUUACUUACAUAAACUUGCUUGCAAGAUUAUUUUCUGACUUUCAUAUUCUGAAACUGAUAAGGCUUAGUUAAAUUCUAUUAAGUUUUAGUAAUAUUCAGUGGAGUGGAGUGUUUACCGUAAAUUUUGAACAUCACUUUCCCUUGCUGUUAACUUCUGUAGCAUUAGGAGUAGUUUUACUGCAGUACUGCUUGAACUACUCCAAGCAUUAGGAGUACUGUAAAGCGAGUAAAUGGAGGGCGAGGAAUUUUUACUGCAAUGUAGGAUUGCACAGGGAGUUGUUAGUAGUUGAUGUUGAUGAUCAUAGUCAGGAGAUGGAGGGUGACACACAGCCAUGGAGAGGAGCAGCAGCUCAAGGUCCUUUCUCCUCCACGCCACCUCUGCCCCUCUCUCGUUUUGAUUUGCUAUGUUGGGUUCCAAGAUUAGAAAUAUUUUUUGUUUCCAUCUUUAUGCAUGUGCUAUCAUUAACUCUGAGAAAAUGUUAUGUUUUUGCUGAUUAGUGGCAGUACAUCUUUGCUUUACUAUACCUAGCAGCUGCAGUUCAUCUACCAUAAACAUGUUGUGUACAUUCUGAACCCCCAAACAUGACACAAGUGAUAUGUAUAUGCAGCAGGGAAUCGUCAACUUGUACAGUUUGUUUACUGGAAUGUAACUUGUACACUUGAAUAUGUUCAGUUAUGAAGUCGUGUAGUUGUUUUUUCUCGUCAGUUCUAAACUGCAGUACUUUACUGAAUUGUUGGUGAUGCUGAAUGAAUCUAGCUUGUUGGGUUCAGUCUCUUGUUUAGAUGGAAUAGCAUCCCAUCACAUGUUGUUGUUGUUAUUCACCCUAUCCUUGCUGUUCUGUUUUCUUGUUGGCAGAUAUUUUGAGUAAAUUCAAUACGAAAGAUGUUCAAAGAAGGUCCAAGAGAUUCUUAUAUAGCAAGUUAUGUAAUAAUAGUUGGGUUAUCUGGGAAUUUAAUGUAUCUUCUCUCUGUUUGUGAAUGAAAUAGUAAUUAUGUAUGUGAAUUAAUGUAUCUUCUCUAUGUUUGUGAAUUUUAUGUAUGUUCCAGAAUUACAAUUUCUGUUUCAUAUAAAAUAGUAAUUAUUUAUGUGAUUUGAAAUGUGUGCAAUGGAAACAUGACUCAUGCGACCCACUUAUCAAAAUAAUUUGAGCACAUUUGACAUUUCUGACAUGUGGGACCAGUGUAUGAUAUUUGGGACAAAUGUAAAACAGUGGAACAUAAAAUGGCAAAAAAUAAAAGAUCAUACGCUGUAAAAGGCCGCAUCUAGAAAUAAAAAGGCUGAAUUGCUGGGCCAGGCCCAUGCAGUUAGCAAAAAUUAGUAGGAAAAACCAUGUAGAAAACCUAAUUGGACCGGGCUGAUUCUUGUGCCACAUUAGCUUGCCACGUUGGAUGCCUACGUGGCCUCGGGAGGUUGCUAGUGACCAAAACAGAACAGUAGGCAUAUUUUGGUCGUAAACGUCUAUGACCUUCUCAUAGAGAAGGUCGUGAAUGUCAGUUUACGACGGCCAGCUUUUGACCUUCUGUUUUUGGUCACAAUAAGGUCACAAAUGGAAAACAAUGACCUUUCAGUGACCAAUAGUCAAGGUCACAAGUUGACAUAUUUCUUGUAGUGUUGAUGCGUAGGUAAGAACGGUUCUUGCUAAAGCCCGUAGCAGCCACGUAAAAUUUGCAACAACAAAGUAGAGGACGUCUAACUUGUUUUUGCAGGGCAUGUUGUGAUGUGAUAUGGUCAAGACAUGAUGCUAUAUUUUAUUGUAUGAGAUGAUCAUGUUUUGUAACCGAAGUUAUCGGCAACUGGCAGGAGCCAUAUGGUUGUCGCUUUAUUGUAUGAAAUGCAAAUGCCCUGUAAUUGCUUUACUUUAUCACUAAGCGGUAGCGAUAGUCGUAGAAGCAAUAGAUGGCGUAACGACAACGAUGCUACAAUGGAGAUCAAGGUGUCGCGCCGGUGACGAUGGUGAUCACGACGGUGCUUCGAAGAUGGAGAUCACAAGCACAAGAUGAUGAUGGCCAUAUCAUAUCACUUAUAUUGAUUACAUGUGAUGUUUAUCCUUUAUGCAUCUUAUCUUGCUUUGAUUGACGGUAGCAUUUUAAGAUGAUCUCUCACUAAUUAUCAAGAAGUGUUCUCCCUAAGUAUGCACCGUUGCGAAAGUUCUUCGUGCUGAGACACCACGUGAUGAUCGGGUGUAAAACAGUUGCACACGCGGAAUACUCGGGUUAAACUUGACGAGCCUAGCAUAUACAGAUAUGGCCUCAGAACACGGAGAGCGAAAGGUCGAGCGUGAAUCAUAUAGUAGAUAUGAUCAACAUAAUGAUGUUCACCAUUGAAACUACUCCAUCUCACGUGAUGAUCGGACAUGGUUUAGUUUAUUUGGAUCACGUGAUCACUUAGAUGACUAGAGAGAUGUCUGUCUAAGUGGGAGUUCUUAAGUAAUAUGAUUAAUUGAACUUAAAUUUAUCAUGAACUUAGUAGUAUUUUGCUUGUCUAUGUUUGUUGUAGAUAGAUGACUUGUGCUGUUGUUCCGUUGAAUUUUAAUGAUGGUAGCAAUUACAUGGACUGGGUUCGUAACCUGAGGAUUAUCCUCAUUGCUGCACAGAAGAAUUAGUCCUGGAAGCACCGCUGGGUGCCAGGCCUGCUGCUGAUGCAACUGACGAUGUUAAGAACGUCUGGCAGAGCAAAGCUGAUGACUACUCGAUAGUUCGGUGUGCCAUGCUUUACGGCUUAGAACCGGGUCUUCAACGAGGUUUUGAACGUCAUGGAGCAUAUGAGGUGUUCCAGGAGUUGAAGUUAAUAUUUCAAGCAAAUGCCCGGAUUGAGAGAUAUGAAGUCUCCAAUAAGUUCUAUAGCUGCAAGAUGGAGGAGAAUAGUUCUGUCAGUGAACACAUACUCAAAAUGUCUGGGUAUAAUAAUCACUUGAUUCAACUGGGAGUUAAUCUUCCUGAUGAUAGUGUCAUUGACAGAAUUCUCCAAUCACUGCCACCAAGCUACAAGAGCUUCGUGAUGAACUAUAAUAUGCAAGGGAUGGACAAGACUAUUCCCGAGCUCUUCGCAAUGCUAAAAGCCGCGGAGGUAGAAAUCAAGAAGGAACAUCAAGUCUUGAUGGUUAACAAGACCACCAGUUUCAAGAAAAAGGGCAAAGGAAAGAAGAAGGGGAACUUCAAGAAGAACAGCAAACAAGUUGCUGCUCAAGAGAAGAAACCCAAGUCUGGACCAAAGCCUAGAACUGAGUGCUUCUACUGCAAGCAGACUGGACACUGGAAGCGGAACUGCCCCAAGUAUUUGGCGGAUAAGAAGGAUGGCAAAGUGAACAAAGGUAUAUGUGAUAUACAUGUUAUUGAUGUGUACCUUACUAAUACUCGCAGUAGUACCUGGGUAUUUGGUACUGGUUCUGUUGCUAAUAUUUGCAACUCGAAACAGGGACUAUGGUUAAGCGAAGAUUGGCUAAGGACGAGGUGACGAUGCGCGUGGGAAAUGGUUCCAAAGUCGAUGUGAUCGCGGUCGGCACGCUACCUCUACAUCUACCAUCGGGAUUAGUUUUAGACCUAAAUAAUUGUUAUUUGGUGCCAGCGUUGAGCAUGAACAUUAUAUCUGGAUCUUGUUUGAUGCGAGACGGUUAUUCAUUUAAAUCAGAUAAUAAUGGUUGUUCUAUUUAUAUGAGUAAUAUAUUUUAUGGUCAUGCACCCUUGAAGAGUGGUCUAUUUUUAUUGAAUCUCGAUAGUAGUGAUACACAUAUUCAUAGUGUUGAAACCAAAAGAUGAAGAGUUGAUAAUGAUAGUGCAACUUAUUUGUGGCACUGCCGUUUAGGUCAUAUCGGUGUAAAGCGCAUGAAGAAACUCCAUACUGAUGGGCUUUUGGAAUCACUUGAUUAUGAAUCACUUGGUACUUGCGAACCGUGCCUUAUGGGCAAGAAGACUAAAACGCCGUUCUCCGGAACUAUGGAGCGAGCAACUGAUUUGUUGGAAAUCAUACAUACUGAUGUUUGUGGUCCAAUGAAUGUUGAGGCUCGCGUCGGGUAUCGUUAUUUUCUCACCUUCAUAGAUGACUUGAGAAGAUAUGGGUAUAUCUACUUGAUGAAACACAAGUUUGAAACAUUUGAAAAGUUCAAAGAAUUUCAGAGUGAAGUGGAAAAUCAUCGUAACAAGAAAAUAAAGUUUCUACGAUCUGAUCAUGGAGGAGAAUAUUUGAGUUACGAGUUUGGUUUACAUUUGGAACAAUGCGGAAUAGUUUCACAACUCACGCCACCCAGAACACCACAACGAAAUGGUGUGUCCGAACGUCGUAAUCGUACUUUACUAGAUAUGGUGCGAUCUAUGAUGUCUCUUACUGAUUUACCGCUAUCGUUUUGGGGUUAUGCUUUAGAGACGGCCACAUUCACAUUAAAUAGGGCACCAUCAAAAUCCGUUGAGACGACGCCUUAUGAACUGUGGUUUGGCAAGAAACCAAAGUUGUUGUUCCUUAAAGUUUGGGGCUGCGAUGCUUAUGUAAAGAAACUUCAACCAGAUAAGCUCGAACCCAAAUCGGAGAAAUGUGUCUUCAUAGGAUACCCAAAAAAGACCAUUGGGUACACCUUCUAUCACAGAUCUGAGGGCAAGAUUUUUGUUGCUAAAAUCGGAUCCUUUCUAGAGAAGGAGUUUCUCUCGAAAGAAGUGAGUGGGAGGAAAGUAGAACUUGAUGAGAUAACUGUAUCUGCUCCCUUAUUGGAAAGUAUUUCAUCACAAGAACCGGUUCCUGUGACAACUACACCAAUUAGUGAGGAAGCUAAUGAUAUUGAUCAUGAAUCUUCAGAUCAAGUUUCUACUGAACCUCGUAGGUCUACUAGAGUAAGAUCCGCACCAGCGUGGUACGGUAAUCCUAUUCUGGAAGUCAUGUUACUUGACCAUGAUGAACCUAUGAACUAUGAGGAAGCGAUGAUGAGCCCAGAUUCCGCAAAAUGGCUAGAGGCCAUGAAAUCUGAGAUGGGAUCCAUGUAUGAGAACAAAGUAUGGACUUUGGUUGACUUGCCCGAUGAUGGGCAAGCCAUUGAGAAUAAAUGGAUCUUUAAGAAGAAGACUGACGUCGAUGGUAAUGUAACUGUCUAUAAAGCUCGACUUGUUGCAAAAGGUUUUCGACAAGUUCAAGGGGUUGACUACGAUGAGACUUUCUCACCCGUAGCGAUGCUUAAGUCUGUCCGAAUCAUGUUAGCUAUUGCUGCAUUUCAUGAUUAUGAAAUCUGGCAAAUGGAUGUCAAAACUGCAUUCUUGAAUGGAUUUCUGGAAGAAGAGAUGUAUAUGAUGCAACCAGAAGGUUUUGUUGAUCCAAAAGGUGCUAACAAAGUAUGCAAGCUCCAGCAAUCCAUUUAUGGACUGGUGCAAGCAUCUCGGAGUUGGAAUAAACGCUUUGAUAGUGUGAUCAAAGCAUAUGGUUUUAUAAAGACUUUUGGAGAAGCCUGUAUUUACAAGAAAGUGAGUGGGAGCUCUGUAGCAUUUCUGAUAUUAUAUGUAGAUGACAUAUUACUAACUGGAAAUGAUAUAGAAUUUCUGGAUAGCAUAAAGGGAUACUUGAAUAAAGGUUUUUCAAUGAAAGACCUCGGUGAAGCUGCUUACAUAUUGGGCAUCAAGAUUUAUAGAGAUAGAUCAAGACGCUUAAUAGGACUUUCACAAAGCACAUACCUUGAUAAAAUUUUGAAAAAGCUCAAAAUGGAUCAGGCAAAGAAAGGGUUCUUGCCCGUGCUUCAAGGUGUGAAGUUGAGUCAAACUCAAUGCCCGACCACAGGAGAAGAUAGAGAGAAAAUGAAAGAUGUUCCCUAUGCUUCAGCCAUAGGCUCUAUCAUGUAUGCAAUGCUGUGUACCAGACCUGACGUAUGCUUAGCAAUAAGUUUGGCAGGGAGGUACCAAAGUAAUCCAGGAGUGGAUCACUGGACAGCGGUCAAGAACAUCCUGAAAUACCUGAAAAGGACUAAGGAUAUGUUUCUCGUAUAUGGAGGUGACAAAGAGCUAGUUGUAAAUGGUUACGUUGAUGCAAGCUUUAACACUGAUCCAGACGAUUCUAAAUCGCAAACCGGAUACGUAUUUUUAUUAAACGGUGGAGCUGUAAGUUGGUGCAGUUCUAAACAAAGCGUCGUGGCGGGAUCUACAUGUGAAGCGGAGUACAUAGCUGCUUCGGAAGCAGCAAAUGAAGGAGUCUGGAUGAAGGAGUUCAUUUCCGAUCUAGGUGUCAUAACUAGCGCAUAGGGACCAAUGAAGAUCUUCUGUGACAAUACUGGUGCAAUUGCCUUGGCCAAGGAAUCCAGAUUUCACAAGAGGACCAAGCACAUCAAGAGACACUUCAAUUCCAUCCGGGACCAAGUCCAAGUGGGAGACAUAGAAAUUUGCAAGAUACAUACGGAUCUGAAUGUUGCAGACCCAUUGACUAAGCCUCUCUCAAGAGCAAAACAUGAUCAGCACCAAGACUCCAUGGGUGUUAGAAUCAUUACUAUGUAAUCUAGAUUAUUGACUCUAGUGCAAGUGGGAGACUGAAAUAAAUAUGCCCUAGAGACAAUAAUAAAGUUAUUAUUUAUUUCCUCAUAUCAUGAUAAAUGUUUAUUAUUCAUGCUAGAAUUGUAUUAACCGGAAACAUGAUACAUGUGUGAAUACAUAGACAAACAUAUAGUCACUAGUAUGCCUCUACUUGACUAGCUCAUUAAUCAAAGAUGGUUAUGUUUCCUAACCAUAGACAUGUGUUGUCAUUUGAUUAAUGGGAUCACAUCAUUAGGAGAAUGAUGUGAUUGACAAGGCCCAUUCCGUUAGCCUAGCACUUGAUCGUUUAGUAUAUUGCUAUUGCUUUCUUCAUGACUUAUACAUGUUCCUGUAACUAUGAGAUUAUGCAACUCCCGUUUACCAGAGGCACUCUUUGGGUACUACCAAACGUCACAACGUAACUGGGUGAUUAUAAAGGAGUACUACAGGUGUCCCCGAAGGUACAUGUUGAGUUGGCGUACUUCGAGAUUAGGUUUUGUCACUCCGAUUGUCGGAGAGGUAUCUCUGGGCCCUCUCGGUAAUGCACAUCACUAUAAGCCUUGCAAGCAAUGUGACCAAUGAGUUGGUUACGGGAUGAUGCAUUACGUAACGAGUAAAGAGACUUGCCGGUAACGAGAUUGAACUAGGUAUUGGAUACCGACGAUCGAAUCUCGGGCAAGUAACAUACCGAUGACAAAGGGAACAACAUAUGUUGUUAUGCGGUUUGACCGAUAAAGAUCUUUGUAGAAUAUGUAGGAACCAAUAUGGGCAUCCAGGUUCCGCUAUUGGUUAUUGACCGAGAAUAGUUCUAGGUCAUGUCUACAUAGUUCUCGAACCCGUAGGGUCCGCACGCUUAAACGUUACGAUGACAUUUUUAUUAUGAGUUUAUAAGUUUUGAUGUACCGAAGUUUGUUCGGAGUCCCGGAUGUGAUCACGGACAUGACGAGGAGUCUCUAAAUGGUCGAGACAUAAAGAUUGAUAUAUUGGACGACUAUAUUCGGACACCGGAAGUGUUCCGGACGUUUUCGGAGAAAACCGGAGUGCCGGAGGGUUACCGGAACCCCCCGGGAGAGUUAAUGGGCCACAUGGGCCUUAGUGGAAAGAGAGAGGGGCUGCCAGGGUGGGCCGCGUGCCCCCUCUCCCUCUGGUCCGAAUUGGACUAGGAGGGGGGGGGGUGGCGCCUCCUCUUUCCUUCCCCCUCUUCCCCUUCCUUCCCCCUCUUCCCCUUCCUUCCCCCUCCUAGUAGGAGUAGGAAAGGGGGAGUCCUACUCCUACUAGGAGGAGGACUCCUCCUCCUUGGCGCGCCCACAAGGGCCGGCCGGCCUCCCCCCUUGCUCCUUUAUAUACGGGGGCAGGGGGCACCCCAUAGACACACAAGUUGAUCUAUGGAUCGUUCCUUAGCCGUGUGCGGUGCCCCCCUCCACCAUAUUCCACCUCAGUCAUAUCAUCGCGGAGUUUAGGCGAAGCCCUGCACCGGUAGAACAUCAUCAUCGUCACCAUGCCGUCGUGCUGACGGAACUCAUCCCCGAAGCUUUGCUGGAUCAGAGCCCGGGGAUCGUCAUCGAGCUUAACGUGUGCUGAACUCGGAGGUGCCGUAAGUUCGGUGCUUGGAUCGGUCGGAUCGUGAAGACGUACGGCUACAUCAACCGCAUUGUGCUAACGCUUCCGCUUACGGUCUACGAGGGUACGUAGACAACACUCUCCCCUCUCGUUGCUAUGCCAUCACCAUGAUCUUGCGUGUGCGUCGAAUUUUUUUUGAAAUUACUAUGUUCCCCAACAUUGUCACCAUGUGCUUAUUGGAGUCAAGCUAGGAUGAUCAAUGAACUACUUUCUACCUUCAAUUGGUAUCUACUACAUCCUUCCAAUUCUAUCUCGGUAACAAGUAUCAUCAUCUACUACAUGCACACAUUAUUGCAUCAAUCGUUUGUAGAUUGUAUCAUGGCAUGCUAUUCUUUCUUUCUUGUGAUACUUGUUUCCUUUCUCAAAGCAUCCCAACAAUGAUCUCUUGUUGCUAGUUGUGAUGUCUUUGAUGGUUGUGUGGUAGGAAUUCAUUUAUAUACAAUAAGACCAUAUCUAGCCUUGGGCUAUGCUUCCAAGCACAUAUCUUAUUGGUAUAUGUAUGACUUCCUUUUGGAUAUCUUGUUCCUUCGUGUUGUAACUAUUUCGGGUGUACAUCCUUCUUUUUAGAUAUAUAUCGUCAUGAUUUCGUCAACCUAGACCCUUAUACACUUGAGAGAAAUUACAUCUCUAGAUGAUUUCCUUUCUUUCACGUCCACCUUGUCUUUCUUAUGUUAUUUCUUUGGUGGAUCUCACUAGUGCAGAACCGGGCAAUAGCACCGAUUCGUAAGGCCCUAUAGUGCCGGUUACAUAACCGGCACUAAUUUGUGGUCACUAAAGGCCCCCCCUUUAGUACCGGUUCAGCAUGAACCGGUGCUAAAGGGCAACCACGUGGCACGAGCCAGCUCCGGGGGCCUGGAGCCCUUUAGUACCGGUUGGUAACACCAACCGGUACUAUAAGGUUUGGUGGCUUUUUAGUUUUAUGAUUUCUUUUUCAUUUAAUUUUGUGUUUCCAUUUUAAUUCUUUUUCGUUUGCUGGUAUUUUACGAUACUACACAUUGUACACGUUAUGCAUCAUACAUCAUGCAUGCUUUGUUUAUCAACGCUGCUGCUAUGUUCAUUGCACCCGCAGAUAUAACAUGCUCAUGCAUGCUUUGCAUCAUUACAUCAUCAUAUAUAUAUAAUAACAAGUCCUACUAAUCAUGCAUCAUCAUACAACUUCUACUCGUUAUUAAUAAUAAGUCAUACGAUCAUCAUCCUCAUAUAUAGUCAUCGAACCCAACCCUACAUAAUUGUUCUUAGCACAUGAUCAUCAGUAUCAGGUAGGACCUAAACACCCUUAAGGUAAAAUAGCAUAAAACAAUAUAGACCCUGACUCUCCAUUAUGAAGAAUGACGAUCAUCCUGUCUCCAAUUCUUGCCUUUCGCUGCUUAUUGCUUCCAAGAAGCUCCUUAUGACUGUCCAUACAUUUUUCCAUUCUUUGAUUGUUAUGUCUCCACUUCUUUUAGAAACCCGGUAUGGACAGUUGAGAUUCGUAGGACGACCUGGUCGUAUGUUCAAAACAUGAAGGCUACCACGCGUAUACAUCAGAUGAGGCACACAAUCAUUCGGGAUUAUCUGUUGAAAAACAUAAUAAUAACUUUGUAGUUAGCAAUGAUGUACUAGUUUUAAAAGUGUGCAAAAAGAUGCACGGAUGUUGUAAUAGUAAAAAAUAAUCUUACCAGGGUAUCUCCAUGGUAAUUACCGUAGUUCAACACGUGCACUAGUGGCACGUAUUGACCAUAAUGUUGAGGAGUUUGAUUGUAGAUAUUGUAAUUCUCAAGAUCAGUACAAAAUCCGACCAGAUGAUUUUUCUCCUGAUAAGUUAAUUCGGAGCCUUCAGUGUAGUACGUUCUGUCUACCAUCUUCCGCACAUUCUUUGUAGAAUGAAAAUAAGCUGUCAAUGGAGAUAAGUUGUCAACAUUAUAUUUUGAAAUAAACAAUAUAAAUUACUUAAUAACUAUGUUUAGCUCACAUGAGGGAAGAACUGGAGGUGUAUCCACAAAGACCCAAAUCGAAGGUGUCUCUUGCUCGAUUGUAGGAUCACCAAGAUCCAUGGUGACAAGCAUACCCUCAUCAAGACCAUACAUCUUGCAAAAUGCAUUCCAAUUUUUGCAAUCAAAAUGGGUUACACUCUGAGCAUUGUACAACUUUACUUGAAAAUCCACACCAUGUUCGGUACUUAGGAUAAUUUUUUUGGUUUCGAAAUUUUCAUGGUCUUCAAAACCCAUCCUCUCCAAGACAUAGCGUCUUGCAAAGCAUGGGAUAAGCUAGUCGAAUUGGAAAAGAUGAAAAAUACACGUUAAAAUAGUUGAAGUCGUGCAUAAUUACAAAAAAAACUAUUGUCGUCGUUGCGUACCGUAUGAACAUCGCAGGUCUCCUCGAGCUUAAUGCUGAAGCGCCGAUCUUCGUUCAGCUCAAUGAACCUGUCGCAGAUACCUCGGUCGUCGUGGCACCAGUCGCACUCCCCCGGGCGGUUUUCGUCGUCCGAUGAGUACGACAUUUCCGGCCUACGUUCAUAAUUUAGUUUUAUUAAUUAAGUCAACUAUCUAGUUCAACUACUAAGCACUUACUAUAAAUAAAUAAGUAGUACUUACUAAAAACAAACUACUUCUAUAUAUAGUAAAAUAAAUUAGUUUAUUAAAUCAACUAGCUAGUUCAACUAUAUAUAAACUACUUCUUCUUUUUUUUCCUUUUUCUAAAUACUAUGAACAAAAAAAUCAUUAAAAUUCUAUGAANNNNNNNNNNNNNNNNNNNNNNNNNNNNNNNNNNNNNNNNNNNNNNNNNNNNNNNNNNNNNNNNNNNNNNNNNNNNNNNNNNNNNNNNNNNNNNNNNNNNNNNNNNNNNNNNNNNNNNNNNNNNNNNNNNNNNNNNNNNNNNNNNNNNNNNNNNNNNNNNNNNNNNNNNNNNNNNNNNNNNNNNNNNNNNNNNNNNNNNNNNNNNNNNNNNNNNNNNNNNNNNNNNNNNNNNNNNNNNNNNNNNNNNNNNNNNNNNNNNNNNNNNNNNNNNNNNNNNNNNNNNNNNNNNNNNNNNNNNNNNNNNNNNNNNNNNNNNNNNNNNNNNNNNNNNNNNNNNNNNNNNNNNNNNNNNNNNNNNNNNNNNNNNNNNNNNNNNNNNNNNNNNNNNNNNNNNNNNNNNNNNNNNNNNNNNNNNNNNNNNNNNNNNNNNNNNNNNNNNNNNNNNNNNNNNNNNNNNNNNNNNNNNNNNNNNNNNNNNNNNNNNNNNNNNNNNNNNNNNNNNNNNNNNNNNNNNNNNNNNNNNNNNNNNNNNNNNNNNNNNNNNNNNNNNNNNNNNNNNNNNNNNNNNNNNNNNNNNNNNNNNNNNNNNNNNNNNNNNNNNNNNNNNNNNNNNNNNNNNNNNNNNNNNNNNNNNNNNNNNNNNNNNNNNNNNNNNNNNNNNNNNNNNNNNNNNNNNNNNNNGCGGGGGCGGCGAGGGCGACGGCGGGGCAGACGAGCGGCGGGGGCGGCGAGGACGACGAGCGGCGAGGGCGAGGGCGAGGGCGUCGUCGGAGAUCGAGAAAAGUGGAACGAAGUGACGACGAUAACUGAUUUUUCGUAAGUGCCAUAUAUAUAGGGGGAGCCUUUAGUACCGGCUAGAGCCACCAACCGGUACUAAAGGCCAAUUUUGGCCAGCCCAAGCGGCGGGAAACGAGGCCCUUUAGUACCGGUUGGUGGCUCCAACCAGUACUAAAGGGCAACGCAUUAGUACCGGUUGGAGCCACCAACCGGUACUAAAGGCCGUGCGCUGCCACCCGCGGUGCGCUAUGUUUAGUCCCACCUCACCGAGCGAAGGGCAGCCGCACUGGUUUAUAAACCCAGCCGCGGCUGCCCUUUCGAACUCCUCUAUAUAGCAGGCUUCUGGGCCUAACUAUGGCGCGCUGCCCGGUGAGCCUCCUGGACCUUCUGGGCCUGCAUUUGCACACCCUAGGUCUUGUAGGCCCACCGGGCAGCGCCCCAACAUUUUUUUUCUUUUUUUUCUUUUCUGCAUUAUUUAUUUUCUUCUAUUUAUUUUUGAGUAAUUUUUUUAUAUAGUUAUUUAUUUUCUACAUUAUUUAUCUUGUAGGCCCACCGGGCAGCGCCCCAACAUUUNNNNNNNNNNNNNNNNNNNNNNNNNNNNNNNNNNNNNNNNNNNNNNNNNNNNNNNNNNNNNNNNNNNNNNNNNNNNNNNNNNNNNNNNNNNNNNNNNNNNNNNNNNNNNNNNNNNNNNNNNNNNNNNNNNNNNNNNNNNNNNNNNNNNNNNNNNNNNNNNNNNNNNNNNNNNNNNNNNNNNNNNNNNNNNNNNNNNNNNNNNNNNNNNNNNNNNNNNNNNNNNNNNNNNNNNNNNNNNNNNNNNNNNNNNNNNNNNNNNNNNNNNNNNNNNNNNNNNNNNNNNNNNNNNNNNNNNNNNNNNNNNNNNNNNNNNNNNNNNNNNNNNNNNNNNNNNNNNNNNNNNNNNNNNNNNNNNNNNNNNNNNNNNNNNNNNNNNNNNNNNNNNNNNNNNNNNNNNNNNNNNNNNNNNNNNNNNNNNNNNNNNNNNNNNNNNNNNNNNNNNNNNNNNNNNNNNNNNNNNNNNNNNNNNNNNNNNNNNNNNNNNNNNNNNNNNNNNNNNNNNNNNNNNNNNNNNNNNNNNNNNNNNNNNNNNNNNNNNNNNNNNNNNNNNNNNNNNNNNNNNNNNNNNNNNNNNNNNNNNNNNNNNNNNNNNNNNNNNNNNNNNNNNNNNNNNNNNNNNNNNNNNNNNNNNNNNNNNNNNNNNNNNNNNNNNNNNNNNNNNNNNNNNNNNNNNNNNNNNNNNNNNNNNNNNNNNNNNNNNNNNNNNNNNNNNNNNNNNNNNNNNNNNNNNNNNNNNNNNNNNNNNNNNNNNNNNNNNNNNNNNNNNNNNNNNNNNNNNNNNNNNNNNNNNNNNNNNNNNNNNNNNNNNNNNNNNNNNNNNNNNNNNNNNNNNNNNUUCUUCUUCUCCUCCUCCUUCCUUUUGCCAUAACAGAAGAAGUCCGGAGUUGUAAUAAGUUAUUAAAAAUGAAAAAGAGGUGCAACGCUCGUUAAUUUUCUUCAAGCCUUUUGGAAUAGUGUAAACUGCACUGCGCGUAGCUCCGUGCAAUCUACCAUAUUCCUAAAGGCUUGAAGCUAAGCAACGUGAGCAUUGAGCCUCUUCUUCAUCGUCUCUGCACCCAGGGCUUAUAAACCGCUCCUACUCCCUCUCUCUUGGCGAGGUGGGACUAAAAAACAGCUUACCCUUUAGUACCGGUUGGAGCCACCAACCGGUACUAAAGGUGGUGUGCUGCCUGCACAAAAUUUAAUUAGUGUCAUUUAGCUCAAAACAAAUCAUUAAAUGCAUGAAAAAUAUCAAAUGAAGGCAGAAAUGGUUGAAAGUUGAUGGCGUCGCUUUGAAUGAUGCAUACUGAAUGCACAAAAAGUCUGGAGUUGUAAUAAGUUUAAAAAAUGAAAUGUCUUUGUAACAGAUGAGUUUAAUUUCAUCAGAAACCUGAAUAGUUCGAAAGAGAUUGUCCAGUUUGUAAACGAAGUGCAUCCAGUUUUUGCCGUAACCCUCUCUACUUUUUUGAACAAUCUAUGUGGGUGAAAUGAUGAUACCAUGCCAAGUUUCAACUUUUUCAGAGUUCAUUUGUAGUGCUUUUCAAUUUUCAGGUCAUUUAGUUCUCAAAACAAAUCAUUGAAUGCAUGAAAAAUAGCAAAUGAAGGCAGAAAUGGUUGAAAGUUGAUGGCGUCGCUUUGAAUGGUGCAUACUGAACGCAAAAAAUAUAAGAGCAUUUACAUCACGAUCUUAUAUUUCUUUAGAGUCUAAACUGUCAAUAUGAUCUUAUAACAUCAAAAAUACUUUGAUCAUCAAUGAUCUUUGUGUGUACAAUCUGAAUUGUCAAUAUGAGUCAUCAACGAUUUAUAAACCGAUGAAGACUCAUAUUGCGGUCACAAAUUCUACACAUAGAGUUCAAUGAAGACCAAGUGCUUGUGAUAGUUUGAGAAAUAACAUAUUUAAGGUGGUAAAAGGCUUGUUAGGGGAGCGAGGUGGGACUAAAAACAGCUUGCAUAACCUCAUUAGUACCGGUUCGUGGUACGAACCGGCACUAAAUGGUGAUGGUGGGGCCAUAGCCUGACCACAGGCUGACACAUCCCCUUUAGUACCGGUUCGUGGCAUGAACCGGUACUAAAGGUUCGCCACGAACCAGUGCUAUUGAUCGCCGCCACGAACCGGUGCUAUUGUACACAUUAGUGCCGGCUGAAAUUCAAACCGACACUAUUGGGCUUCACGUAUGACCCUUUUUCUACUAGUGUCUAUGAAAGCUUUUGCCGUGAGUGCGUGUCUUAUCUCAUUGCAUCUUGAUGCACUCUUGUGUGUUGAAGAUUAUUUUUCUCAUGCUUGUCUUGACGAGGCUUUUCCCAUCUUAAUUGGUAUCCCCUGUCUUGAUGAUGCCUAUGUUUUCUAUCUUCACCUUGGGUUGUCACAAGUGUUGGUUAUUCAUUUUGCAUAUUUAGUGUUCUUGUGAACCCAUUUGCUUAGUUGUGUGUGAGAAUGAAAGGCUUUGCACCGUGUAUCUCAUUCAUUCGAGACUAUGUUGAUGCUUAUGCUCAUCCGUAUAUUAGUCUUCUCAUGUGCUUUGCCAUGGCUCACACACAUCAUUUUGGUUGAGCCUAUUCUUAAGUUGCCUCUUUUACAUGUUGCUCAACCAUGUGUUUGUUGCAAGUGCUAGGCUUAGUUUCCUUUAUGCUCACUUUCACUUGUUGUUUGUUUCUAUUGAUUUUGGGCGAGCUAUGAUCCUAUUUUGUGCACAUUGUAUCCAAAUACAAAAAUUAUUAUGUGUGCACAAAUCAUGGGGAGCUUCUCUAGCUUAUUUAGAACACUCGUUUGCUCAUAUCAUAAUAUCCUUCAUUCAUGUUGCUCAUAUCAUAAUAUCCUUCAUUCAUGUUGCUCAUAGGAUCUUUGGUCUAGUUGGUUCAAUUUAUAUCCUUUGAUUGCUUACUUCAAUUGGUAUCUUUUGAUUGCUCGAUUUCUUGUUUCUCUCUUUGUUAUGUCUUUGUGGCAUAUCAUUCUUUUGCAAUCUUUGGGCCUCAAUAUAGUUUGUCUUCCUCCAAGUAUUUACCAUUGGAUAUGUGUAUUGCAUUCCACUCUCUUUUUGAGAGAUACACAAUUUAUGGAGGAACCCUCUUUAUAUUGGCCUUCUAAGCUUUUCACCCAUUUUGGCAAUCGAUGCCAAUGGGGGAAGAGUUUCAGAGAGUUUUGUGGAGAAGUCUUCAGAGUUUUCUCUUUGCUUUGGUUUUGGUUCCUAAGCAUUUGCAUCCCAUUCUCAUGCAUCAUUGGUUGUUGCAUUGCAUGGUGAUGCAUAACUCCUUGUAUAAACUCUCCUAAAAGUGAUUGUCAUCAAUUACCAAAAUGGGGGAGAUUGAAAUAACAUGCGGAGCCCCCAUGUUUGGUUUUGGUAAUUGAUGACAAUCUCUAUAGACUAAUGGUUGCCUUGAGUUACAUUUGAAGGUCUUGUCCAAAGGAUUUUCUUGGAGUACAUGUGUUGGUUUCAAGGAGAGCUUGUGUCGACCAAUGUGCUAUUAAGGAAUUAUCCAAAGAUUGGUCAUGUGAGAGUUGAGCUUAUUGCAAGCAUGUCUUGAAGAAGAAGAUUGUGUGAUCAUUCAUGCUUACCUUCAAGGCAUUAUCCAAAUGAAGAGAGUUGGAAAGGUUCAAGGUUGAUCAAGACUAAUUCAAGAGUGAAUCAAGUUGAUCAACUCACAAAGCGUAGAAGAUGUACCGAGAGGGAUCAAGUGAUCCCAUGGUAUGGUAAGCACUGUCAAUUACGCUUUGUGUACUAACCCAUGGUCUUUGUGAGAGUUCUUUGUGGGGUUAGGUUGCGGUGUGCUCGUUCAACUGAUGCAUCACGAAGAGAUCAAGUGCUUGAAGCUUGCCAUCCAUUGUGGUGACAAUGGACUUGUGAAGAUGUGCCGAAGAGUGGCUCACUCAUAGUGGAGUAUGGGGGAGCAAUCUACUAGUCUUCACCGAGCCAACGCAAUCAAGAAAGGUGGUCCAACUUAAGGAAGUCAAGAUCGUCUACAUCAAGCUCAAGUCAACUUUGUGCAAGGCAAAUGUUUGCCCUUGAUGGGUUUUCUAUUUUACCGGUCUCAUGGUGGUAGUUGGGAGACCGGGUUAUAGGAUCGAUUGCCGUACUAUCAAGGGGGGCUCUUGAUGAAUAGCUUGAUCGUAUCGUUCGCAUAGAGCUCAAACCAUUGCAUCCUUGCAUCAUGUUUCUUGGUUCUUGUUUUGUUCUCUUUGUGAGUCUUAUAGCUUAUGGUCAUCUUGAUGACAAGCUUGAGUUCAUCGAAAACGGAGUUUGCAUGCGUCUUCUAUGAUGUUUUCGGUGUUGGAGGUUUUACCGGUCUUAUCCGAGGAAGAGUUCUCACCUUUUUAUUUUGGGCCUUUUCUCAUUUGCUUCUUAUUGGUAUUUCUAUCAAGAUUGUGUUAGCCCUUGUCGCUAGCUUUCCAACAAACUUGGUUUCAUCGAAUUCGGAGUCCGUUUGCAGAAGUUGUGUCAGUUUUGGUGUCCUUAAAAGGGGCUGCUGCGGAUGUAAUUUUUUAGUACCGCUCUUGGGAGUGGUGCUACUGCUUGGACUGGUACUACCGCGACUACUUCCGUGGCUACUUCCCCUUGGGACCAAAAACUUGUCACAAGUCCAGCGGUGGUAGGGACGGAUGUAAUUUUUUAGUACCGCUCGCAAGCACUAGUACCGCUACCCUUAACAGUAGUACCGCUCCUUGGAGCGGUAGUACCGCUCGGUGCGGGCUGUGAGCAUAACGGUUGGAUUUUUACCCACCUAUAAAAGGGGUCUUCUUCUCCAAUGAACCUUAUCCCUUGAGCUCGUGUUCUUCCCCCAUUGUUGACCUUCUUCGAGCAUGCUAACUCUCAAUCCCUCCAUGGAUUCUUGCUAGUUUUUGAGGGAAAAGAGAGAGGAGAUCUAGAUCCACAUUUCCAACAAUCACUUUCUCCUCUAUGUGACGAGAACCCCUUGGAUCUAGAUCUUGAAGUUCUUUGUGUUCUCCUUCUUGUUCUUCCUCUCAUCUUCCUCCCUAGCAUUAGUUGCUUCGGUGGGAUUUGAGAGAGAAGGACUUGGGCACUCCGUGUGCCCUUGCCAUUGCAUUUGGUACAUCGGUUUGAGUUCUCCACGUGAUAUGUGGAAGUUACAAGUUGAGAAGCUUAUUACUCUUCCCUUGAGCUUGUUACUCUUGGGUGUUUGGACACCCUAGAGCUUGUUCCUCUUGGGUGCCUUGGCGCCCUAGACGGUUGGUGUUAUUCGGAGCUCAAUCAUUGUGGUGUAAAGCUCCGGGAAAGCGCAGGGGUCUCCACUUAGGUUGUGGAGAUCGCCCUGAGCAAUUUGACGGGUACCAGUGACCGCCCCCAAGGGUUGCCAAAGUGUACUGGUUCGGUGACCGCCCCCAAGGGUCGCCAUUUGUACGGGUUCGGUGACCGCCCUCAAGGGUCCCUUAGUGGAAUCACGGCAUCUUGCAUUGUGCGAGGGCGUGAGGAGAUUUCGGUGGCCCUAGUGGCUUCUUGGGGAGCAUUGUGCCUCCACACCGCACCAAACAGAGAAUAGCAUCCACAACGGUGUGAACUUCGGGAUACAUCAUCGUCUCCGCGUGCCUCGGUUAUCUCUUACCCGAGCCCUUUACUUAUGCACUUUACUUUGUGAUAGCCAUAUUUUUCUUUGUCAUAUAUCUUGCUAUCACAUAGUUGCUUAUCUUGCUUAGCAUAAGUUGUUGGUGCACUUAGGUGAGCCUAGUUGUUUUAGGUUUUGUGCUUGACAGAUUAACUGCUAGGUUUAUUCCGCAUUUGUUCAAGCCUUAACCAUAAUUAUUUUAAAGCGCCUAUUCACCCCCCCCGCCCUCUAGGCGACAUCCUCGAUCUUUCACCUUCUAUCACAGAUCCGAAGGCAAAACAUUCGUUGCUAAGAAUGGAUACUUUCUAGAGGAGUUUCUCUCAAAAGAAGUGAGUCGGAGGAAAGUAGAACUUGAUGAGGUGACUGUACCUGCUCCCUUAUUGGAAAGUAGUUCAUCACAGAAAUCUGUUUCUGUGACACCUACACCAAUUAGUGAGGAAGCUAAUGAUAUUGAUCAUGAAACUUCAGAUCAAAUUACUACCAAACCUCGUAGGUCGACCAGAGUGAGAUCAGCACCAGAGUGGUAUGGUAAUUCUAUUCUGGAAGUCAUGUUACUAGACCAUGAUGAACCUACGAACUAUGAGGAAGAAAUGAUGAGCCCAGAUUCCGCGAAAUGGCUUGAGGCCAUGAAAUCUGAGAUGGGAUCCAUGUAUGAGAACAAAGUGUGGACUUUGAUUGACUUGCCCGAUGAUCGGCAAGCCAUAGAAAAUAAAUGGAUCUUCAAGAGGAAGAUAGACGCUGAUAGUAGUGUUACUAUCUACAAAGCUCGGCUUGUCGCAAAAAGUUUUUCGACAAGUUCAAGGUGUUGAAUACAAUGAGAUUUUCUCACUCGUAUCGAUGCUUAAAAGUCUGUCCGAAUCAUGUUAGCAAUUGCCGCAUUUUAUGAAAUUUGGCAAAUGGAUGUGAAAACUACAUUCCUUAAUGGAUUUCUUAAAGAAGAAUUGUAUAUGAUGCAACCAGAAGGUUUUGUCAAUUCGAAAGGUGCUAACAAAAUGUGCAAGCUCCAGCGAUCCAUCUAUGGACUGGUGCAAGCAUCUCGGAGUUGGAAUAUACGCUUUGAUGAUUUUAUCAAAGCAUAUGGUUUUAUACGGACUUGUGGGGAAGCCUGUAUUUACAAAAAGUGAGGGGGAGCACUACAGCCUUUCUGAUAAAUAUAUGUGAGUGACAUAUUGUUGAUCAGAAAUGAUGUAGAAUUUUCUAGAAAGCAUAAAGGAGUGUUUAAAAGGAUUUCUUCAAAGAAAGACCUCAGUAAAGCUACUUACAUAUUAAGCGUCAAGAUCUACUGAGAUAGAUCAAGAUGCUUGAUAAGAUUUUCAAUGAGUACAUACCUUGAAAAGAUUUUGAAAUAGUUCAAAAUGUAACAGUUAAAGAAAGAGUUCUUGCAUGUGUUGCAAAGGUGUGAAAUUGAGUAAGACUCAAAUCCCGACCAUGACAGAAAAUAGAAAGAGAAUGAAAGUCAUUCCCUAUGCCUCAGUCAUAGGUUCUAUAAAGUAUGCCAUGCUAUGGACCAGACCUAUUGUAUACCCUGCCCUGAAUUUGGCAAAGGAGUACAAUAGUGAUCUAGGAGUAGAUCACUGGACAUUGGUCAAGAAUAUCCUUAGUGAGGACUAAGGAAAUGUUUCUCGAUUAUGGAGGUGAUAAAAUAGUUUGUUGUAAAAGGUUAGAGCGGUGCAAGCUUUUACACCAAUCCAGAUGACUCUAAGUCUCAAUCUGGAUACAUCUUGAAAGUGGGAGCAAUUAGCUAGAGUAGCUCCAUGCAGAGCAUUAUAGACAUAGAAUAUUUGCGAAAUACAUACGGCUCUGAAUCUGUCAGACCCGUGACUAAACUUCUCUCACAAGCAAAACAUGAUCAUACCUUAGUACCCUUUGGGUGUUGAUCACAUGACGAUGUGAACUAUGGGUAUUAAUCAUAUACAGAUGUGAAUAUUGGUGUUAAAUCACAUGGCGAUGUGAACUAGAUUAUUGACUCUAGUGCAAGUGGGAGACUGAAGGAAAUAUGCCCUAGAGGCAAUAAUAAAGUUAUUAUUUAUUUCCUUAUUUCAUGAUAAAUGUUUAUUAUUAAUGCUAGAAUUGCAUUAACCGGAAACAUAAUACAUGUGUGAAUACAUAGACAAACAUAGUGUCACUAGUAUGCCUCUACUUGACUAGCUCGUUAAUCAAAGAUGGUUAAGUUUCCUAACCAUAGACAUGAGUUGUCAUUUGAUUAACGGGAUCACAUCAUUAGGAGAAUGAUGUGAUUGACUUGACCCAUUCCGUUAGCUUAGCACUUGAUCAUUUAGUAUGUUGCUAUUGCUUUCUUCAUGACUUAUACAUGUUCCUAUGACUAUGAGAUUAUGCAACUCCCGUUUAUCGGAGGAACACUUUGUGUGCUACCAAACGUUACAACAUAACUGGGUGAUUAUAAAGGAGCUCUACAGGUGUCUCCGAAGGUACAUGUUGAGUUGGCGUAUUUCGAGAUUAGGAUUUGUCACUCCGAUUGUCGGAGAGGUAUCUCUGGGCCCUCUCGGUAAUGCACAUCACUAUAAGCCUUGCAAGCAAUGUAGAUAAUGAGUUAGUUGCGGAAUGAUGCAUUACAUAAUGAGUAAAGAGACUUGCCGGUAACGAGAUUGAACUAGGUAUUGAGAUACCAACGAUCGAAUCUCGGGCAAGUAACAUACCGAUGACAAAGGGAACAAUGUAUGUUGUUAUUCGGUUUGACCGAUAAAGAUCUUCAUAGAAUAUGUAGGAGCCAAUAUGAGCAUCCAGGUUCCGCUAUUGGUUAUUGACCAGAAACGUGUCUCGGUCAUGUCUACAUAGUUCUCGAACCCGUAGGGUCCGCACGCUUAAAGUUUCAAUGACGGUUAUAUUAUGACUUUAUGAGUUUUGAUGUACCGAAGGUUGUUCGGAGUCCAGGAUGUGAUCACGGACAUAACAAGGAGUCUCGAAAUGGUCGAGACAUGAAGAUAGAUAUAUUGGAAGCCUAUAUUUGGAUAUCGGAAGUGUUCCGGGUGAAAUCGGGAUUUUACCGGAGUACCGAGGGGUUACCGAAACCCCCCGGGGGCUUAAUGGGCCAUAGUGGGCCUUAGUGGAGAAGAGGAGAGGCGGCCAGGGCAGGGCCGUGCACCCCUCCCCCUAGUCCGAAUAGGACAAGGAGAGGGGGGCGGUGCCCCCCCUUUCCUUCCUCUCUCUCCCUCCUCUUUCCCCCUCUCCUAGUCCAACAAGGAAGGGAGGCAGUCCUACUCCACCUACUCCCCCUGGCGCGCCUCCUCCCUGGCCGGCCGCCCCCUCCCCCUUUGCUCCUUUAUAUACGGGGGCAGGGGGCACCUCUAGAGACACAACAAUAGAUCAUUGAUCUCUUAGCCGUGUGCGGUGCCCCCCUCCACCAUAGUCCUCCUUGAUAAUAUUGUAGCGGUGCUUAGGCGAAGCCCUGCAAUGGUAGAACAUCAUCAUCAUCAUCACGCCGUCGUGCUGAUGGAACUCUCCCUCGACACUCGUCUGGAUUGGAGUUCGAGGGGCGUCAUCGAGCCGUACGUGUGCUAGAACUCGGAGGUGCCGUGCUUUCGGUGCUUGAUCGGUCGGGCCGUGAAGAUGUAUGACUACAUCAACCGCAUUGUUCUAACGCUUCCGCUUUCGGUCUAUGAGGGUACGUGGACAACACUCUCCCCUCUCGUUGCUAUGCAUCACCAUGAUCUUGUGCGUGCGUAGGAAUUUGUUUUGAAAUUACUACGUUCCCCAACAGCUCGACCCCCUCCCCCCUCCUCAUGUCGAGUUAUCGGGGAGGGGGUAUAUCGACCCCCCCCUCAUGUCGAAGUUAUCGGGGAGGUGGUAUAUCGACAACGACAUACCCAAUAGAAAAUAAGAAGAGGAAGAAGAAAAAAAAGAGGAGAAGAAGAAAGGAAUAGAGGAGAAGAUCGAAGAAAAUAAAAGAAGAAGAAAAAGAGGAGAAGAAGAAAGGAAUAGAGGUGAAGAAGAAAAAAUAUAGAAAUUACUCUGUUUUUUUCUUCUUCUCUUCUAUUCCUUUCUUCUUCUCCUCUUUUUUUUCUAUUUUUUCUCUUCUUAUUUAUUUCUCCUCUUCUUCCUCUCCUCUUCUUCUCCUUUUUCUUCUCCUUCAUCCUCCUCUUAUUUUCCUUUUUCCACUCCUUCUUUUUCAUCUUCUUCCUUCUUCCUUCUUCCUCUUUUCUUCCUUUCCUUAUUUUACAUUUUCCUCCACACUAACCUAAAAUGCACUAACCUAAAAUCGAUAUCUACUAAUUAACAACCUAAAUAAAAAAUUAAUACAUAUAUGAAAAAAACAUCAUAUGAAAAAAAACAUCAUAUGCACAAAAAAACAUCAUAUGAACAUCAUACGAAAAAAACAACGUAUCAACAUCAUCACAUAUAUGAAAAAAACAUCGGAAGGCCGCCGGACCGUGGGGCGGCGCGGCGACGGCCUCGGGGCAGCGGUGGCGCGGGGCAUUGAUGGCGUCGGGGCAGCGAGGGCAUCGGGGCGACGCGGGGCGGCGAUGGCGUCAGGGCGGCACGGGGAGGUGACAGUGACGGCGUCGAGACGGUGACGGCGCGCGGCGACGGCGUCGGGGCGGCUCGGGGUGGUGACGGCGCGGGGCGCGGGUGACGAUGGUGUCAACGGGGCGAGCUCGAGCAGCCUGGCAGCGUCGUCGGGGUGGGGCAACUGCAGAAAUGAAAAUGAAAACGCCUAAGUGUUUGCUUAUAUAGCAAAGCCAUUGGUCCCGGCUCGUGGCACCAACCGGGACCAAUUACCCCCUUUAGUCCCGGUUGGUGCCAUCGCCAAGUAAGAGUGUAGGGGAUCUAUCGUAGUCCUUUCGAUAAGUAAGAGUGUCGAACCCAACAAGGAGCAGAAGGAAAUGACAAGCGUUUUUUCAGUAAGGUAUUCUCUGCAAGCACUGAAAUUGUAUGUAACAGAUAGUUUUGUGAUAAGAUAAUUUGUAACGGGUAACAAGCAACAAAAGUAAAUAAAGUGCAGCAAGGGGCCCAAUCCUUUUUGUAGCAAAGGACAAGCCUGGACAAAUCCUUAUAAUGAGAAAAGCGCUCCCGAGGACACAUGGGAAUUAUCAUCAAGCUAGUUUUCAUCACGCUCAAAUGAUUCGCGUUCGUCACUUUGAUAAUCCGAUAUGUGGGUGGACCGGUGCUUGGGUAUUUGGACAAGCAUCCCACUUAUGAUUAACCCCCAUUGCAAGAAUCCGCAACUACAAAAGAAGUAUUAAGAUAAACCUAACCAUAGCAUGAAACAUAUGGAUCCAAAUCAACCCCUUACAAAGCAACGCAUAAACUAGGGUUUAAGCUUCUGUCACUCUAGCAACCCAUCAUCUACUUAUUACUUCCCAAUGCCUUCCUCUAGGCCCAAAUAAUGGUGAAGUUUCAUGUAGUCGAUGUUGACAUAACGCCACUAGAGGAGAGACAACAUACAUCUCAUCAAAAUAUCAAACGAAUACCAAAUUCACAUUACUACUAAUAGCAAGACUUCACCCAUGUCCUCAGGAACAAACGUAACUACUCACAAAGCAUAUUCAUGUUCAUGAUCAGAGGAGUAUUAAUAUGCAUUAAGGAUCUGAACAAAUGAUCUUCCACCGGAUAAACCAACUAGCAUCAACUACAAGGAGUAAUCAACACUACUAGCAACCCACAGGUACCAAUAUGAGGUUUGGAUACAAAGACUGGAUACAAGAGAUGAACUAGGGUUUGAGCGGAGAUGGUGCUGGUGAAGAUGUUGAUGGAGAUUGACCCCCUCUUGAAGAGAGGAUCGUUGGUGAUGACGAUGGUGAUGAUUUCCCCCUCCCGGAGGGAAGUUUCCCCGGCAGAACAGCUCCAUCGGAGCCCUAGAUUGGUUCCGCCAAGGUUCCGCCUCGUGGCGGCAGAGUUUCGUCCCGUAAGCUUGCCUAUGAUUUUUUCCAGGGUAAAAGACUUCAUAUAGCAGAAGAUGGGCAUCGGAGGGCUGCUAGGUGGCCCACGAGGCAGGGGGCACGCCCUGUAAGAGUGGGCGCGCCCCCACCCUCGUGGACGGUGGGUGGCCCCUCUCAGGUAUUUCUUCCGCUGAAUAAUUAUCAUUAAUUCCAAAAAUGACUUUCAUGGAGUUUCAGGACUUUUGGAGCUAUGCAGAAUAGGUCUCCAAUAUUUGCUCCUUUUCCAGCCCAGAAUCCCAACUGCCGGCAUUCUCCCUCUUCAUGUUAAACCUUGUAAAAUAAGAGAGAAUAGCCAUAAGUAUUGUGACAUAACGUGUAAUAACAACCCAUAAUGCAAUAAAUAUCGAUAUAAAAGCAUGAUGCAAAAUGGACAUAUCACAACACUGUUUCUAAUGACCUAUACUUGUUGGCGAGGGAACCAUCUUCGACUUUAAUGACGUACAAAGGGUACGAGAUAAAUGGGAAUACAUUUUACAUGAUCGCCAAAGAUCAAAAGAGCACCAACCAAAAUAGUGGUGUCCGCUUUGAUGCAGCAACCAAGAGGGGAAAGGACACAUAUUAUGGUUACAUAGUGGACAUAUGGGAACUUGACUAUGGAUAUGAUAUUAAGGUCCCUUUGUUUAAGUGUGAAUGGGUCAAUCUGUCAGGAGGCGGGGUAUAGGUAGACCCACAGUACAGAAUGACAACAGUGGAUCCAAACAAUCUGGGGUACAUAGACGAGACAUUCGUCCUUGCCAAUGAUGUGGCGCAUGCUUUCUAUGUGAAGGACAUGUCUAUCAAACCAAGAAAAAGAAAAGAAAAGGAAGUGGAUACAUCAUACGAUGAGCCAAAGCACCACAUAGUUCUUUGAGGAAAAAGAGACAUUGUGCGAUUAGAGGGCAAGACAGACAUGUCUGAAGAUUAUGAAAAGUUUCAUGAAAUUCCUCCUUUCAGAGUCAAGGCUGACCCAAGCACCCUGUUAAAUGAUGAACAAUAUCCAUGGUUACGGCGCAAUAAGCAAAGGACACAGGCGAAGAAAAAGUGAAGACUUUCUAUCCACAACUAUUAUGAUGAUGCCUUUGAUCCAGAAUAUCAUUGCAGUUACAUGUGAACAAGUGAAAUCCCUUUGUAACACAUGAGUUUUCGUCCGAAACCCUUAUACUUCCAAAGAGAUUGUCUGUUUUGUACGCGAAGUGCAUCCAAUUUUUGUUGUAACCCUCUCAACUUUUUAGCACAUGCUAUGUGGGUGAAAUGAUGAUACAUGCCAACUUUCAACCUUUUCAGAAUUCAUUUCUAGUGCUUCUCAUUUUAAGGGUCAUUUAGCUGAAAGAAUGAACUAAUAGCAAAAAGAAUGAACUAAAAAUAAUCAAUUAAAACAUUCUGUUGUGAUCAACUAAACAAAACUAUAAUAUCCUUCAAUAGCAAAAAGAAUCAACUAAAAGGCUUUUAGAAAACUCCAAUAGCAAAAUGAAUGAACUCAAAAACCUUUUAUAAACCUCUAGUAUUAUUGAAACUAAAAUUAUAUAAAAUUUAUACAACCAAAAUUACCAAGCUAUUUUCUGUUUGAAACAUUAAAGCAAAAAGAAUUUUCAUAAAAAUUUUUGUUAGAAACUUUAAUUGCAAAAAGAAUUAUCAUAAAGAAUUUUUUGUUAGAAACUAAAAUAACAAAAUAUAUUUUUGAAUAUAAUGAUAAAACACAGUGAUAUGAAAUAGCAGGAAAAAGAAUCACUCAAAAAUCUAUCUUUAUAGUAAAGUUAUUCAAAAACUAGUGAUUCACACAAAUUUUAAAAAAUUCAAAUCUAUACCUACUAAUAAAGCAAGGUGCGUUUCUCCGAUUUUUUCAUCCGUUCACCGACGAAAAGCUAUUUUUUAUCCGAGGUGGUACUAAAUUUUUGUUCAAAAGAAAAACAGAUUGUCCAGGAUUUCGUACCUAGGCCGUGCGCUGAGGCCCAGCCAAGCCAGACAGUUAUUUUCCAGCCCAUACAGCUCGCAGAACCCUAUUUCUGCAUGGAGCGUCAAAUACUCAAAGCUUCGCACAGGACCCCCAGUACUGGGCCGUCCAGUUUCGUUUUAUCCUGUGUUUUUUUUCUGCUCAUUUCUCCCUUUCUUUCAUAUUUCUUUUUACUUUUUUCCCCUUCCAAGUUCUUAGUAAAUUUGAAAUUUUCAAAAAAAAUCUCAAAAUUCAUUUUUUUAUGUUUUCGGUAAAUGUUCCAAAUUUAAAAAAUAUUUCUAUUUUCAAAAAUGUGAAGGAAUUUUUUCUUACUUCUUUUUAAAUAAACAAAUGUUCCCAAUUUUCAAAAAAUGUUUUUAGUUUCCACAAUUAUUCAUUAUUUCCAAUAGUUUUUUGCAUUUGUAAAAAUGCUUCAAAUUUGAAAAUGUUGUUGUUUUACUGAAAUUUGUAUGAAACUAAAAUAUUUUUGUUAAUUAAAAAACAUUUUCAAAUUUGUUCUGAAUGUUCAAACAUUUUACCAUUUAAAAAAUCGCUAAUUCAGAAAAUGUUUAAGUAAUUAUAAAAGGUUCAUGUUUUCAGAAAAUGUUUGUGAAUUUCAAAAAUAUUCCAAUUUAAUAUUUUGUUCACAUUUUUCUGAAAUAUUCAGAAUUAUCAAAAAGCUGUUUGGAAUUUGAAAAAUUGUUCAUGUUUCGGAGAAUAUACGCAAAUUCAUUCUUAUUUUUUAUGAUAAUUUCGAAAAAAAUCAGAAAAUGUUUCAAAACUGACGCUGCAUUAAAUUUUAAAAUAUUCAUGCUGGCCAUUUGUUGUUACGACGUGUUUCUGCGACUAGCUAGCAGCACAUCGUCGGGUCUUGGAUUUAUGUGCUGCAAUUAGUAAUGCAUCCAUCUACGUCGUGAUAGGAGACGCCAACAAACCCCAGCACUAUCAAGAUCUCAUACGGCAAACAUGACCCGCGACCACGGGAAAUCGCAGCUCCUAUCUUCGUCGGCCACCGCUGCGGAGACUCUUUUCGGAGGACACAUCAUUUCUCUCCCGUUGCUUCUUUUAAUAAAUAUAUCUCCCGUUGCAACACACGGGCAAGUGUGCUAGUUUGAACUAUUCAAAUUGGAAAAGAAAUGGCACUAACAGAAAGUUUAUAAAUUUAUUACCUAAAAGCAAAAAGAAUUAAAAAAUAAAGCUAAAAUUAACAGAAAAUAAAUAAUGCGAAAAACAAAACAAAAAACUGGAAAAACAAUGAAAAAAAUGCCACCUAAUGGGCCACCACGGCCUAGAUACGACUAGAAACCCAACUAGUUGUGCCAGGAUUUAUGCCCGCGGAAGGCCCAGCAGGCCCAGAGGCAUAGCAGUGUCAGUUUUGGGUGUGGCACCCCGGCUCAGAGCGAACGGUUUACCUUGCAUUGCCAACCCAUAGAUCAUGCUUCUGGCAACACACAACAUGUUGGUACAGAAAUCACCGCUUUAUUUAAACUAGCGGAAGCAUAGCUGUUACAUUACAUCAAGUAGCGAGGCCAAGCGACACACUCGGUGCGGCUGAACAAUAUGUACAUCAUUUAGUGAACAUAAAGGGGGCCUCGAGAACAACAUCUACACGGCAGCGGAACAACAACGUUGCGGGACUCCAUAGCACAGGGACACGAUGUGGACAUGGUGUAGAUGUCGUGGUUCUAAGUCUGACAGUAGAGUGGGGGGUAGGUAUAGAGAGGCAAGAUCCUAGCUAUGGAGAGGUUGUAAACACAAGCGAUGUACGAGUUCAGGCCCUUCUCGGAGGAAGUAAAAGCCCUACGUCUCGGAGCCCUGAGGCGGUCGAGUGGAUUAUGUGUAUAGGUGUUACAAGAGUGCGAACCCUUCUGCCUAUGGAGGGGGGUGGCUUAUAUAGAGUACGCCAGGACCCCUGCCAACCCACGUAAUGGAGGGUUUAAAGUAUAUUAAGUCUGGGGCGUUACUGGUAACGCCCCACAUAAAGUGCCUUAACUAUCAUUAUGUCUAUUCAAUUACAGGCCGUUGCAGUGCAGAGUGCCUUCUGACCUUCUGGUGGUCGAGUGUAUCUUCAUGGUCGAGUGAAUCUCCAUGGUCGAGUCCUUCUGGUUAGUCGAGUGGGUUCCUCGUUGGUCGACUGGAAGGUGAUCUCUUCUAAGGCUGUCCCUGGGUAGGACAUUCAGGUCAGGCCUAUGACCCUACCCUAGGUACAUGAAUCCAUCAUUAGCCCCCGAAUGGAUUGAGGCUUGAAUGAGGAAGGAGUUGAUGCUGUUUCCGAUUGACUUUUGCAUAUUGGCUAUGCGUCGUUCUGGAUUAAGAUCUUCUUUGUUGAUAAUCGAGCAACUUUUCUUCAGUCGACUCGAUCCAUUCUUGUCUUUCGUCGAGUGAUCUUUUAGACUUUGCUGGUUCCCGAGCGACGGAUCACAGGAAAUCUCGCGUCUGACAGACCGAUCUGCCGUUCGCGGAUUCCACGGGAUACGAAAUUUGGGGGAGCGCGCGAAGCGGAACGACCCGUGGCGCUCGGAUGGGACGGGACAUAGACGCCUCGAUCUCCGCGCCGCUUUUUCCGCCACGUAUCGUGUCGAUGCAACUGUUUCGGGAUAUGAUUAGGUUGCCUGGGUCCACCUGUCAUCCACUCGGAAGGGAUGUUAUAAAUGCAACCAGCGAGGGUUUUCUGAACAGUGCUCCAUUCUUUCUCUUCUGCUCCCCUCGUCUCCGCCCAAAUGCGCUCACUUUCGCCCCCGCAAAGCUCUUCCUCGCGCACCUCGCCGGUAGCCAUGGUCAAGGAGAAGAUGGCGGCGCUGGAGCGCGCAAAGAAGGCGUCGGCGACGGAGAAGGCGUCGGCGGCGGAGAAGGCGAAGGGGAGAUCCACCAGCCGGAGUGGGUCUUCGUCGAGAUCCCGCCUACCGAAGGGCUGGGUCCAGGGAGAUUGGAUCCAGUCGACCAUCAGGGAGAAGGAUCUCCUCGACAUGGCCGACGACGGGCUGAUCCCCCAUGGCGCCGCAAGACUUCCAGGAAAAGAGUGGCAACCUCAGCCGGAAGAGGGUGAGUGUGUGCUCCUGGCCACUCAUAUUGAUCGAGGAUUUUCUUUGCCUCCGAGCAUUUUCUUUCGUGGUUUUUUGAACUUCUUUGGAGCCCAACUCCACCACUUUACUCCAAACUCCAUCGCGUAUCUUGCUGCGUUUGUAUCCAUGUGCGAGAGUUUCCUGGGCUGUCGACCACACUGGGGCUUGUUCAAGCACAUCUUCACGUGUCGUUCUCAGACCGUGAAGAAGGCGAGUCCAGGCGAUGAGAAGACCCAAGUUGUCCAAAUGUGUGGGGGUCUGGGAAUUCAAGUGAGGAACAAGAGCACCUUCCCAGCUAUGACGUUUCCCGAGUCGGUCAGGGGCUGGCAGUCGACUUGGUUCUACUGCCAGAACGAGCUGACGCCGGGGCAGUCGAGUGGACUCCCCCCAUUCACCAUGAGUCGAGUGAACAAGCCCUCCUCUCUGAAGGUGGUUCCGGAGGAGAGAGAUGAUGUGAAGAUGUUGAUGGAUCGCGUGGUGCAGUUGGUUCGGGACGGCGUGACUGGCAUGGACCUUCUGGAGGUUUUCCUUCGGCGGCGAAUCCAGCCUCUUCAGUUCCGGAGCCAUGGCAUGUGGUUGUACCGCGGGACUGAAGACGAGACCCGAGUCCACCCGGAAGCAGUCGACGACGCCACGGUGGAAAGAUGGAUGGCCGCGGUCACUGGGAACAAGGAUAAUCCCCGUGGAUCCAGGAGGAUUCCUCCACUCGACCACCACACCGUUCCAGAUGAGGUAUAUUUGCUCUGCCUUCCAUUGUAUAUUUGUCGAAUUUGUUUCUGUAUGUUCUGUGACUUGGUCGACUGAUCUCUGUCUUGACGUCUUCCAGGCCCUCACCGACCUGUAUUCGAUGCCCAAUGGAGCUCUGGCUCCGACUGAGGAGUGAGAAGCCAGCGGGGGCGAGAGCCAGGAGGAGUGGGAUUCAGACGCUGCCGAAGAUGACGAUGAUGAUGACGACGAUGAUGAGGAUGAAGAAGAGGAGGUGGAGGAGGUUGCACCUCCGCGCUCGGAAAGGCGGUCGAAACUUGUCCAUGACCCUGCGACUGAAUGCGGUAAGGGGGCUGUGACUGCCCCGCAGUCGACCAAACGCCCUCGGACCGCUUCUCCGGUGCCGAGUGAAAAGGCGCCGAAGCAGUCGAAGGUGGCUCCGUCAAAACCUGCCAAGCUCCUGCCGAAGAUGAAGGUGUCCAUCCCCACCAUAUCCGAGUAAACAUGUCACUCGAGUCUCCUUGUUUUGUAUAGGCUUUAUCUCUGGUUGAUACUUGAGUUAGUCGACUGAUUCUUUGGAACUUCAGUGCUGCAACUUCUGAGACCUCAGGCAAGGCUGACGACCAUGAGAUGGAGGACGCAACAACCUCAAAUCCUGGUACUAUACUCUCAAUUCUGUCCUUAGUCGACUGACUCAUGAUUUCUAACUUUGAUUCUUUUUCUGAAGCUCCACCCCAUGACAUUAUCACCCUUCCUGAAGAUGAUGAUGAUGAGGAUGAAGAACCGCCGAGGCACAGGAUGAGCAGGAAGACGUCUACUGGUAAGGCAACCCAGGAUGCGACGGCGCCUGAGACUGUGGUCAUGGAGGAGGAGAACCCCACUCGACACACCGUGUCUUUCGCAGUGCCGUUGACGAGUGCUCAUCCCACUUCGUCGAGUGCUGCACAACCUUCGCUCUUCACAACACAUCAUGUCCCAGAGGACCAAGCCAGUGCUGCUAAGGAGGCGAUACGUCAAGCGGGGAUCAUGAUGGAGCAGGUGAAGAUCGUCCGGGAUGCAAGCCAAGCAGUUUAUGACGCUAGCUCCGCCCUUCAAAGCAAUGUUCAGGUCAGUCGACCACCGCCUGUUCUGUUAGGAUAUGCUAUCAAAACUUUUUCUUUCUGAAAUCCAUAGCAAUCACCCGCUGGGUGUGUGGAUAAAAAACUCCGUGUUAGCGGGGGCACGCUGAGUGCACCCGCUGGGUGUAGUCCCCAAGGCUAAGGUCGACUGCUGGCAGUCGGCCUUAGGCUUGAUAAGUAAAGGUUGUUCAUCAUUCGACUGGAUCGAAUGGUUUUCGACUGGUCGACUGGUCGACUCUGUCUUGAACAAAACUAGUGGGGGCACGCUGAGUGCACCCACUGGGUGUAGUCCCCGAGACUGUGGUCGACUGCUUGCAGUCGACUACAGUAUGAAGAGCACAUCUCCCCUUUUUUUUGGGUCGACUGGUCGACUCUGUUUUGAACAGAACUAGUGGGGGCACGCUGAGUGCACCCACUGGGUGUAGUCCCCGAGACUACGGUUGAAUGCUUGCAUUCGACUGUAGUCUUAGAAACGUAUGAUUUUUCCCUAUCCACUCGGAAGUGAAUCAUCUUUGAUAUUUUGUCGAUUGGUUCUUCGUAGAAAUCUUGUGACCUUGCGGCUCGCUAUACGGAACUGGAGCAGAAGCACAUUCAGCUCGAGCUGGAUCUGAAGCUGGUGCAGGAGAAUCUGACGAAGGCGAAGGAGGAGACCAAAGGUAUGUUCGGUGAGACCUCGAUGACACCUUUUUCCUUCCAUUUGUUUCAAAAUCUGACUUUGCUGUAACUUGCAGACAAGGUGCGGGAGGCCCAGAAGAAGAAGGACCUUGAGCUAGCUGAGAAGACCAAGCUUGCUGACGAGAAGUUAGCUUCAGUCACCAAGCUUGAAUAGGAAAAUCACAAUCUGAAAACUGCUCUGGCUAUUGCCUCCAAGGAUGUUGACCGACUGAAAGCUGACAAGACUACCCUGACCGAGAAGAUCAACCAAUUGACAGGGAAGAAGAAUGACCUGGAAGGCUUCCUGGGUGGUCUUGCCAAGAAAUUGUUCCUUAUGCUCGAAGGUAACCUUUUUCACUCGACCAACAUUUUCAACUGUGAUGCUUUCAUUCGACCAUUGUCUUGAUUCGGCGUUUUGUCCUUGCAGAAUUCUGUCGGAACUUUGAAGAAGAGACUAGCCAGUUGGAGCCGAACCUUGACCCUGUCAAUUCUCCGGUGAAUGAUGAAGUUGCCAUGAAUGUCUUCCGACUGGAGUCUCGCGUUGCAGCUGUCGUGGACUAUCUUGCAAGGCUGAAGGCCGCCACUUCUCGCAUCGACUCGACACUUUGGCCCGGGGCAACACUUCAGAAUGACCUCGAGUCAUUGAUGGCUCGACUAAACGCGGUCCCCGACCGUGUGCAAGAGUGGAAGAAGUCCUCGGCUCGGUGUGGCGCAGACGUUGCCCUGUGUCUGGCCCGAGUCCACUGCAAGGACGCGCGAGAAGAGAAGCUGGCGGCUCUCCGAGUGGCCAACACCAAGAAACACGACUUCAGAUCCUUCAUGGAAACUUUCAUCGCUGCUAAUACCCGGAUCGCAGACGGGAUCGACCUCGACGAGUUCGUUGCUCCUUCCAGCCCUCCACAGGAGGGGUAAAAAACUUUCUUUAAGCCCGACACUUUAAAUUUGCCUCGGUAUGCCGAGUGGAAUUGUAACCGGUAAACCUUAACAGGCUUAGUGCCUGAGCACUCUCGGUUCCUUUAGGUAUCGACCUAAACUUGGAUUUGAUGUUUGGAUAUGAUUGCUCCUGGUUCGAAUUGUCCUUUGCAGGUUCACAGCAAGAUGUCCACUGCAGUCGACUUAUUCCUUAGGCGAGCACUGGGCUGCAGCUAAGCCUCCGAGUGAGAGGUUUGCUCUUCACUCGGUAGGAUUUUUAUACCUUAGGCGAGCGCUGGGCUGCAGCUAAGCCUCCGAGUGAGAGGUUUGCUCUUCACUCGGUAGGAUUUUUUAUAACUUAGGCGAGCGCUGGGCUGCAGCUAAGCCCCCGAGUGAGAGGUUUGCUCUUCACUCGGUAGGAUUUUUCAUAACUUAGGCGAGCGCUGGGCUGCAGCUAAGCCCUCCGAGUGAGAGGUUUGCUCUUCACUCGGUAGGCUUUUUCAUAACUUAGGCGAGCGCUGGGCUGCAGCUAAGCCCCCGAGUGAGAGGUUUGCUCUUCACUCGGAAGGAUUUUUUAUAACUUAGGCGAGCGCUGGGCUGCAGCUAAGCCUCCGAGUGAGAGGUUUGCUCUUCACUCGGUAGGAUUUUUUAUAACUUAGGCGAGUGCUUGGACUGCAGCUAAGCCCCCGAGUGGAAGUCUGGCUUACCACUCGGUAGGAUUUUUUAUAACUUAGGCGAGUACUUGGACUGCAGCUAAGCCCCCGAGUGGAAGUCUGGCUUACCACUCGGUAGGAUUUUUUAUAACUUAGGCGAAACGGAUUCGCAGCUAAGCCUCCGAGUGGAAGUCUGGCUUACCACUCGGUAGGAUUUUUUAUAACUUAGGCGAAACGGAUUCGCGGCUAAGCCUCCGAGUGGAAGUCUGGCUUACCACUCGGUAGGAUUUGUACAAACUUAGGCGAAACGGAUUCGCGGCUAAGCCACCCGCUGGGGGAAAAAGUGACAAAAAUUAUGAAGGAAUUAUGGCACUAUUAUUUCGAGAUCCAUGAACUACAGAAGUAUUUUAUUACAACUCAUCCGAGUGGAAAACUUUUAAGUGUAAAACGGGCGGAGCAGAUCCGCAUUCCAAGCUCGGGGAUCUUCGAUGUUGUGUUCGACGUUGUAGAGACGGUAUGCCCCGUUGUGGAGAACUUUGGUGACGAUGAAGGGUCCUUCCCAAGAAGGAGCGAGCUUAUGUUGUUUCUGCUGAUCCACUCGGAGAACUAGAUCUCCUUCUUGGAAGGCUCGACCCCUCACAUUCCUGGCGUGAAAGCGACGCAAGUCUUGUUGAUAGAUGGUCGAUCGGAUCAGAGCCAUCUCCCUUUCUUCCUCUAGAAGGUCGACUGCGUCCUGACGCGCUUGCUCAGCUUCUGCUUCGUUGUAGAGUUCAACUCGAGGAGCAUUGUGAAGAAGAUCACUCGGCAAGACUGCUUCAGCUCCAUAGACCAAAAAGAAUGGAGUUCUUCCAGUCGACCGAUUGGGUGUGGUCCGCAAACCCCAAAGCACCGAAGGAAGUUCGUUGACCCAUGCUCCAGCCGCGUGCUUGAGAUCACGCAUCAGUCGGGGUUUUAAACCCUUGAGGAUUAAGCCAUUGGCUCGCUCCGCUUGUCCAUUCGACUGGGGGUGAGCGACUGAAGCGUAGUCGACUCGUGUGCCUUGAGCGUUGCAGAAAUCCUUGAAUUCUUCCGAGUCAAAGUUCGACCCAUUAUCCGUAAUGAUGCUGUGCGGGACUCCAUAUCUGAACGUCAGCUCCCUGAUGAAGGUUACUGCAGUACCGGCGUCAAGAUUCUUGAUUGGUUUAGCCUCGAUCCACUUUGUGAACUUGUCGACUGCGACCAGUACGUGCGUGAAACCACUUCGACCUGUUCUCAAGGGACCGACCAUGUCCAACCCCCAUACUGCGAACCGCCAGACGAGUGGAAUGGUCUUCAGAGCUGAUGCGGGCUUGUGUGACAUAUUGGAGUAGAACUGACAUCCUUCGCACUUGUCCACUAUUUUCUUUGCCAUCUCAUUCUCCCUUGGCCAGUAAAAUCCAGCUCGGUAUGCUUUGGCUACAAUGGUCCGACAGGACGCAUGGUGACCACAGGUCCCCGAGUGGAUUUCAUUAAGAAUGAUUCGACCUUCUUCUGGCGUUAUGCAUUUUUGACCCACCCCAGUCGGGCUUUCUCUAUACAGCUGUCCUUUGAUAACGGUAAAGGCUUUGUAUCGACGGACGAUCUGCCGAGCCUCUUCCUCAUCCUCUGGGAGCUCUUUUCUCAGGAUAUAUGCGAUAUAGGGAAUUGUCCAGUCGGGAGUGAUCACUAAAACCUCCAUGACCAAGUCGACCACUGCUGGGACCUCAACCUCAGUCGGAUCUGUGGCACUCUUGGGCUGUGGAGCUUCCUCUGUGAAGGGAUCUUCUUUAACUGACGGAGUGUGUAUAUGCUCCAAAAACACACCACUCGGAAUGGCUUCUCUUUUGGAACCUAUCUUUGCCAGAUCAUCUGCUGCUUGAUUUUUCAGUCGGGGGAUGUGAUGGAGCUCCAACCCCUCGAACUUCUUUUCCAGCUUCCUCACUGCAUUGCAGUAUCCAGUCAUGGCUGGGCUUCUCACGUCCCACUCCUUCAUCACCUGGUUGACCACUAAAUCUGAAUCGCCAUAAACCAUCAGGCGACGGACGCCGAGUGAGAUGGCCAUGCGCAAUCCAUAUAAAAGGGCCUCAUACUCUGCCUCAUUGUUGGAGGAAUCAAAGUGAAUCUGGAGCACAUAUCUAAGCUUAUCUCCUCUGGGGGAAACCAGAACAACCCCAGCACCAGAACCAUUCAGCAUCUUAGAGCCAUCGAAGAACAUGGUCCAAUGCUCCGAGUGAACUUGAGUUGGCUGUUGUUGUUCAAUCCACUCGGCGAGGAAAUCUGCUAUUGCGUAGGACUUAAUGGCUUUCUUUGCCUCAAACUUGAUAUCAAGGGGAAGAAGUUCAAUCGCCCAUUUCGCCACUCGACUAGUUGCAUCUCUGUUGUGCAGAAUCUCUAAUAGUGGGGCGUCGCUGACGACUGUGAUAGAAUGAUCAGAGAAAUAAUGAGCAACCUUCUUCGUGGUCAUGUAUAUUCCAUACACAAGCUUCUGAUAAUGAGGAUAUCUCUACUUGGAUGGAGUCAAGACUUCAGACAAAUAAUACACCGGGCGCUGAACUUUGAAGGCUUUUCCUUCUUCUUCCCGCUCGACCGUAAGUACUGUACUGACGACUUGUCCUGUGGCUGCAAUAUAAAGCAACAAAGGCUCUUUGCUGAUUGGAGCAGCAAGCACCGGCUGGGUGGAGAGCAGAGCUUUUAGCUCGGCAAACGCUGCAUCAGCUUCUGGAGUCCACUCGAACUUGUCUGCCUUCUUCAUCAGUCGGUAAAGAGGAAAUUCCUUUUCACCGAGUCGUGAGAUGAAUCGACUUAAUGCGGCCAAGCAUCCAGUAAGCUUCUGGACAUCGUGCACUUGCACAUGGCGUUUCAUUCGGAGAAUAGUGCCGAUCUUCUCUGGAUUAGCAUCGAUCCCUCGCUCGGAAACGAGAAAACCGAGUAACUUUCCACCAGGAUCUCCGAACGUGCACUUCGAUGGGUUGAGCUUGAUAUCGUACCUUCUGAGGUUGGCAAAUGUUUCGGCGAGGUCAGCAAGCAGGACGGAACCUUUUCGCGACUUGACGACGAUAUCAUCCAUAUACGCUUCCACAUUCCGACUGAUUUGAGUGAGAAGACACUUCUGAAUCAUACGCAUAAAUGUGGCUCCGGCAUUCUUGAGGCCGAACGGCAUGGUGAUAUAGCAGAAGCACCCGAAUGGAGUGAUGAAAGCUGUUUUUACUUCGUCGGGUCCAUACAGACGGAUCUGAUGAUACCCGGAAUAUGCGUCUAGGAAAGACAAUCUCUCACAUCCCGCGGUCGAGUCAACAAUUUGAUCUAUGCGAGGGAGAGGAAAGUGAUCUUUCGGGCAGGCCCUAUUGAUGUGCUUGAAGUCAAUGCACAUGCGGAGUGAUUUGUCCUUCUUGGGAACCAUGACGACAUUAGCGAGCCACUCGGAGUGGUAUAUCUCUCAGAUAAAUCCUGCCGCCAACAGUCGAGCCACUUCCUCACCAAUAGCUUUUCUCUUCUGGACAGCGGACCGCCGAAGAUGCUCUUUGACUGGUUUUGCUGAUUUGUCGACUCUGAGGCGAUGCUCAGCCAGUCCCCUGGGAACACCUGGCAUGUCAGCUGGCUUCCAUGCAAAAAUGUCCCAGUUCUCACGGAGGAACUGGAUGAGCGCUUCUUCCUAUUUCGGGUCGAGUGUCGUGGAGAUGUGGGUCGGGGCUGCAUCGGGGUCGGUCGGGUGAAUGUGAACAGGCUUCGUCUCACCAGACGACUGAACUGCAGAUUUUGUGGCUGGUUUCUUGGAUCGCAACAAAUCACUCGGAUCUGCGUUUUGCUUGUAUUCUUCGAACUCGACCGCUGUCACCUGGGAAUCGGCAAUCUUCGAGCCCUUCUGAAAGCACUCUUCUGCCUUUUUCCGAUCGCCAGUGACAGUGAUCACUCCUUUGGGACCUGGCAUUUUCAGUUUGAGGUACACGUAACAUGGUCGAGCCAUGAACCGUGCAUAGGCGGGCCUCCCCAAAAUGGCGUGGUACACGCUCUGAAAAUCCACAACCUCAAAGGUCAACUUUUCCUUGCGAAAAUGUUUUGAGUCGCCAAAAACUACGUCCAGAGCUAUUUGGCCGAGUGAGUUGGCUUUCUUCCCUGGUAUGACUCCGUGGAAACUCAUGUUGCUGGUGCUCAGUCGGGACAUCGGGAUGCCCAUUCCUUUCAGUGUGUCUGCAUACAACAAGUUUAGCCCACUACCACCGUCCAUCAGCACUUUCGUCAGUCGAGUGCCUUCGACAACUGGAUAGACCACCAAAGCUUGCCUCCCAGGGGUGGCAAUAUGAGUCGGGUGAUCAGAUUGGUCGAAUGUGAUGGGUGUUUGGGACCAUCUCAAAUAACUUGGUUUUGCUGGGGCAACCAUAUUCACCUCACGGUUAAUGACUUUCAGUCGACUCUUGCUUUCCACAUCCGCGAAGAUCAUCAAAGUGGAGUUGAUAUGCGGAUAUUCUUCCUCACUGUCCUCUUUGUCUUCGGCCUUGUCUGACUCCUUCUCCUUGUCCUUAGACUGUUUUCCCUGAAACUGCUGGAUCAGGAGUCGACACUGGCGAGUGGUAUGCUUUGGGUAAAUGAUGUUUCCCUCUUCAUCUUUCUUCGUGUGGAUGUGGCAUGGCAUAUCCAUCACGUCGUUUCCUUCUUUAUCCUUUACUUUCUUAGGAUUCCAGGAUCCUUUUGGCUUCCCUUUGAACUUCCCCUGAGCCACGGCCAAGGCCUCUCCAGGAGCUGCUGGCUCGGCUUUCCGCUUCUGUUUCCGACUGGAAUUUCCCUUCUCCGACUGACUUGGCUUAUAUUUGCCGCUCCGGAGUCGGCCCUCUUCCUCGCCAUUGGUGUACUUGGUAGCAAUCUCCAUCAUUCGACUCAGGGUCAUGUCCCCGGUUCAACCAAACUUUAGACUCAAUUCCCUGUUCUUGACGCCAUCUUUGAAAGCACAAACUGCUUGAUGAUCAGACACAUUUUCCACAGUAUGGUGCAGAGUGAUCCACCUCUGAAUGUACUCUCUGAGAGUCUCAUUGGUCUUCUGCGCACAAACUUGCAGCUCUGUCAAACCAGCUGGUCGCUUGCAGGUUCCUUCAAAAGUUCUGACGAACACUCGGAACAAAUCUUCCCAAGUGUAAAUACUGCUAGGAGGUAACUGAUUCAACCACGCUCUGGCUGAACCUUCCAGCAUGAGGGGCAAAUGCUUCAUGGACACCUCGUCAUUCCCACCGCCAAUCUGAACAGCCACUCGGUAGUCCUCAAGCCAAGUUUCAGGCUUGGACUCCCCAGUGAACUUGCUGACUCCUGUCGCCAACCUGAAAUUGGGGGGAAUCACUGCGGCUCUGAUAGCCCUGCUAAAACACUCUGGACCAGAAACAUGCACUCGACUGCUCGUGGGUGCAUCUCUCUCGGGUCCACCUCGAUGGGCUCUAUUUCGGUCGACCAAGCUUUGCACGAUAAUGGAUCGCGCGUCGAAGCCUGGUCCCCUGGGGUCGACUGGAACUCUUCGCCCCGCACUAAACUGACGCCUGUCAUCCUGUCGCCGAGGAGCGUAAGACCCUUCCCUCGGAGAGGAAACAGGCACUCGACGCCUGUCAUCUCGGUCAUGUCGGUCUCCAUACUGAUCACGCUGGUUGUCGCGCCCUUCCCGCCUCGGAAGCGAUCUGGGACUGUGAGCCAACUAAACCGUAUUCGCAGCGACGGAUCGACUGUGAAUUCUAUUGCGCGACUGCGACACAGCUGAGUUCUGGUCCCCUACUGCUCGGAGCAAAUCUCUGAUCUGCAUCAAGCCUCUCCCAGCUUCUGACUGUGAAGGCUGGAUGGACUCUGCUAUACGGGUUGCUGCUGCUAAAUUCUGAAUUGGCGUGCGGUAUACCUGAGUCGGCGGGAAGAGUCGACGUCGACUGGCUUCGGGGACUCGUUGCCGCGCGCGCUCGUCGAGUGCUCGCUGAAGGUUCUCCAGACGAGCGCAUUCAGCCACAUUGGCCAAACGUGCCUCCUCCAAGGCGCGAGCCUCGGGGGUUUCUCCCGCAAUGGGAGUAUGCAGGGCAUCCAUGUUCCUGCGGCGAAGCUCUUCUCUCUGCAGAGAGUCAAGUGUCUCGGGCUGGUACUCCUCGUGGUCCUGAGCGGGGCCACCUCCACCGCCUGCUCCGCCACCGUGGGCGAAACCGGGAGGACUGCGGGGUCCGUCGACCAUGAGAAUUUCCGCCGCUGGAUCACUGCUAUCGCAUUCGGAUGCAGUCUCUACGGAGCCAGUCGACAGAUCGAAUAGGCCGUAGAGAGACUCGUCGGGCUCGAUUGCCGCAACUUGUGCGAUGGCCGCCUGGCGAGCCACCGCGUGCUUCACCCACCGCUGAAGCCUCGACCGACCAGAGCGCUUGCGCUGGUGGGAGACCGGACGGGCGACCGAUAAAGGAGUCGACCGAUAGGGGGCCGACGGUUGCCGCAGCAGAACGCCGCGGACACAUGCGCGAAAAUGCGUCGCACCGCGGACGGGGAGCGCAUCAACGUCGAGUGGAGCCUCCUGGAGCCACGCGGAGUCGUCGGCGACAAAGGUGAGAGCGCCAAGACGGAUCUGGCGCCCCUCGACCAAAACUCCAGCAGUCAUCAUGAUGAAAGUACUCGGAAAUACUGCAACUUCUCCACAAAAUCGCUAAAACACCCGCCCCACGGUGGGCGCCAACUGUCGUGGUUCUAAGUCUGACAGUAGAGUGGGGGGUAGGUAUAGAGAGGCAAGGUCCUAGCUAUGGAGAGGUUGUAAACACAAGCGAUGUACGAGUUCAGGCCCUUCUCGGAGGAAGUAAAAGCCCUACGUCUUGGAGCCCUGAGGCAGUCGAGUGGAUUAUGUGUAUAGGUGUUACAAGAGUGCGAACCCUUCUGCCUAUGGAGGGGGGUGGCUUAUAUAGAGUACGCCAGGACCCCUGCCAACCCACGUAAUGGAGGGUUUAAAGUAUAUUAAGUCUGGGGCGUUACUGGUAACGCCCCACAUAAAGUGCCUUAACUAUCAUUAUGUCUAUUCAAUUACAGGCCGUUGCAGUGCAGAGUGCCUUCUGACCUUCUGGUGGUCGAGUGUAUCUUCAUGGUCGAGUGAAUCUCCAUGGUCGAGUCCUUCUGGUCAGUCGAGUGGGUUGUCACUGGAAGGUGAUCUCUUCUAAGGCUGUCCCUGGGUAGGACAUUCAGGUCAGGCCUAUGACCCUACCCUAGGUACAUGAAUCCAUCAGUAGACACGGCAGUACUCCGAUCCAGUUAGACUUUCCUGAAAGCUGGCAUAACACGCCAGGUCAGUACAUUGAAUGUACUUGCAAGCUCGCAACAAGCAAAACCGUAAUGACAAACAACAUCAUGAUAUUUAAACAAGUUCAAUGCAAAUAUCAAUAUGCUACUCAUGCAGUGACCAAACUUGUGCAUCGAGUCACUCGGACUCUCUUACCAACAGGUUACCUCGCAACCGAAUAGUGAUCACGAUAAACCACGAAUGAACCACUCUUGGUUCAACCGGUUACCUCGUAACCCAACAGUGGUCAUUCCCAGAUCACAAAUAGUACCAUAACCAUCAGGCUCACUAACAUCAUCGUAACUCAAUGGUACAAUGCAAAUAACUUAGUGUGCAAUUUUAUUGAAGUUCAUCCAUGGUGUGACUUACUUACGAACCGGACCCUUAUCCGCGGGCGCUGCUAUCGAUAGAUUAAUACACUCUAGAGAGGUAGCACACUUUACCCACACCACAGAACCCAUGGCCUCGCACUCCCAUAUGGGAGGAACAAUGGCAUACCGACAGAACCCUCCCAUUGCCAUGACACUCUUAUGGUCACUCCGACAAACUCCCCUCUGGGAUCAAUCCUGGGCGACCCCGCCUACCAAAGGCAACUACCACCGUCGUGGCAAAUAAACAGUCCGAAACGGGGACAACAACAGGUCCACAAGGUUAUGUCUCCUUACUGGGCAAGGGUAACGCACGCCCAUAACCUUCCCUAGUUGGAGGCACCGACAAGAGGCAUGACAACAGAAUGACUACGACCUCCCCAUACUAUGGCAAAUGUGGUUGCACUUGGCAGCCCGAUUCAGUGGCACCAUGACUCGACCAACUUUUAAGUUCAAGUUCAAUUAUCAUCAGGUUCAACUUGAAAAUAAAAAUUCCAAGGUCACAAUAUGCCAAGCUCAUACAACCAUGUAUCAUGCAUCAUAUAUCACUUUAACAAUACCAGGUCAACAUUAUUCAAAGUUCUACUUGCACCACCUCAACUUGCAACAUUUCUGGUCCUUUCUUACUGGUUACUUUUACUUAUUACUUUACUUGGCAUUUAUUAAAUAAAACUCAUUGUUCAUAUAGCAAAAUAAUGCUCAUGUUCAUACUACCAUAGUCAUGAAAUUUUUUACUUAGAUCAACUACUCAAGCUAUAACUCACAAGUUCAACCAUUUCUUUCUAUUAACUAAGCAUUCUGAUCAUAACAAACUAAAUAACACAACAUCAUUUAUUUUUAAUACUAUAUGCAAUGAAAACCAUAUAUAUUCAAGUAGAACAUCAUGGAUAUUGCAAUCCAUGAUCAUGUUGUUGUGGCUUGCCUUAGUGCAGAGGAGCUUCACACUCCUCCCGGAUGCCUUGAAGACAAGCUUCACCUUAUGAAAAUAAUUCAAAUGACAAAAAGAAAACAUCAAGAACACUUCUGAAAAUUACCAAAAAUUCUAGGAAGCAAAGAAAAUCCCCAUCUUGGGUGUGCUGCUAGGAUUUUCUAGUAAGAACAGAAUGCAAAAGGAAUCAACUCAUUUGGACUUGUAGAAUAAAAGUUAUAGCUGGUCAAAGUUCUGGUCAAAUUUGAACUAAAUUUGAAUUAAAAAGAAAAACUGGGAGGGGGGGGGGUGACGUCGAAGGCGUAAAACACCAUGGCGCCACCACUCAUAUCGCUUCGGGCGCGGCCUAAGGGGCUAACAGCGGGCCCCAGCUGUCAGGCCAGAGGGGGAGAGAGAGAGAAACAGAGGUGGGCGGCGCGGCGUUGGCGCUUUCUCCGGCGAGGAGUGCCCAGCGACGAGAUCUAGAGGGAUAGGAUUGACGAAGAGGUGGAGACGCACCUGCUCGUACCUGUAGCGUGGCUAGGGGUGGCCGGACGGGGUCGGAAUGGAGCUCUCCAGCGGCGGCAGCGGGCAGAGCUCGUCGGAGGUAGUGGUUCCGGUGAUGCAGGGCCAAUCCAGCUGCUCCAACAGCACCAGCACGCUCCAGUGGAUCACCACGAAAACGUCGGAGGGGUCAACUGAGAUCGAGCGGCUCUGGAGUGGGUGGGGGCAGAGGAGGUGGAUCGCCGGCGAGCUCGGGGCGGGGAUGGCAGCCAGAGGCCUGCCCGGCUGGGUUGCGACGCUCUACCGGUGUGUGGUGGUGUGAUGUGUGUGUGUGAGGAGAGGAACAAGCUCGGGGGAGCUCUAUGUAUAGCCGAGGCAGGGAUCGAGAGCUUGCUGGAGUUCUCUAGAGCCUCGGCCGACGACGAAUGGAGUCAGUGAGAGAGGGGGAAGACGCCGAAGGUCACGCGGCAGCUGUAGGCGAGCUGCGACGAGCACAUGAGCGCGGUACGAGACGAUCACAGGGGCACGGGCGCACUGUUGCAUUGGCCGCGACGUGCCCUUGCUCGCUGCGGCGAGCUCCAGCGUCGGUGAGUGCCAGGGUGCAGUUAAGGGGGCUCAACCGAAGAUGAUGGCGCGGUUUGGCAUGGUUUUGCAGCGAGGGCAGCGAGCACGCGCGAAACAGAGGCGUUGGCGCAACGCAGAGCGCGUCGGAUGCAUGCGAGCCACCUUGGACGAACAUGGUCACCGCAUGAACUAUGGCAUCAGGCUGACUAAGCCCAAACAACAUGUCUGGCAGCUAGUCCUUAGUGGUUUUAGUCGUUUCGCAUGCUUGGUUGAGUCACAGGUGCACUAUGGGAGUGGCUAUCUUUUUGGCAAGUUUUUGGACAGAAACUUGUGAGCUUAACUGAGAAUAAUCUAGUGAGAGUUAAGGGCUGUGCUUUGGGGUUUAGUGAUCUCUUAGGAAGGUAAUCAAGCUCAGUAAAGAUCAACCCUAAAAGAUCAAGCAAAAUAUACUUGUUGUGUAAAGUGAUCAUUUUGUCCAGAACAGAAAUGAUUUUCUGUAGCAAAAAUAUUACAAAAAGUUAUGCAAUAUUUUUCCGCAGGAAGUUGUCCUAGGGUUCAAAGAAUAUUUGUGAAUUACUCAGGAUUUUUGGAGCAAGAAAUCUAGGGGUCGCUUUGGAGCUUUCUUCUCUUAAGUGAUUUUCAGGGAGAAAAAUGAAUAUUUUUCUUUUAUGAAAAAUAUCCAUUGGGCUUUUGUGGGAGUUUUUCCAGAGAAGAGCAGGUGAGUUAGAGGUGGAUGGGUCACUUGGGUGAAAAUCAAGGGUAUGCCCAAGUGUUCAAGUCCAACUGAAUUGAUCCAAAACACCAAAUCCAAAGCAAAGGCAACUGAAUGUCCGGAAAAAGAGAGAAGGCAAAAACUAGGCUGUCACAAACCUCCCCCACUUAAGAUAAAUCUCGUCCUCGAGAUUCGGUUGCUUGGAAAAACAAUUCUGGGUAGGUUGUCCUUCAAAAUUCCUCUCUUUCCCAGGUUGCUUCUUCUUCUGUGUGAUGCUCCCACUGGACCUUGUAAAAUUUGAUAACUUUGCUGCGUGUGACCCUUUCUGCCUCAUCCAAGAUUAUGAACUGUCUCUCCUCAUAAGUUAAAUCCUUGGCAAUUUAAAUUUCUGACAUAUUAGUCCUUUUCUCGGGUGGUGAAAUACACCUUCUCAGCUUGUACACAUGGAACACGUUGUGUACAUCCAAUAAUUCAGGUGGCAAUUUCAACUGAUAAGCAAUGGUGCCAACUCGUGUCAUGACUGGGAACGGACCAAUAUAUCUUGGUGCCAAUUUGCCUCGGGUUUGAAAUCUCUUGACUCCCUUCAUGGGGGUGACUCGGAGAUACACUUGUUCACCGGGUUCAAAAUUGACUUGUCUAUGCUUGGCAUCAUAAUAACUUUUCUGUCGUGACUUAGCCAGCUGGAGUCUAUCUCGAAUUUCCUUGACUUGCUUCUCUGCCUCCAGUAUCGGAACAUUACUGAAGAUAGGGCUGUCUCCGGUUUGAGACCAAUUUAAUGGAUUGUGGCACUUAUGGCCUUAUAAUGCUUCAAAGGGUGACAUUUCCAGGCUGGUUUGAAAACUGUUGUUGUAUGAGAAUUCCGCAUAUGGAAGACAAUCUUCCCAUUUGGGUCCAUGGGCUAAGGCACAAGCUAUCAACAUAUCUUCAAGGAUUUAUUCACUCGCUCGGUCUCACUGUCUGUGUGUGGAUGAUAGGCGGUGCUAUAUUUAAGAGCGGUGCCCAAAGCUUGAUGGAGUCGGGACCAAAAUGCGGAGGUAAACAAUGAACCUCGGUCCAAAGUGAUUGUUCUUGGCACUCCAUGCAAACUGACAAUCCGAGAUACGUACAACUGUGUGAGUUGAUCAACAUGGAGGGUGGUGCGGAUGGGAAUAAAGUGAGCCACUUUUGUCAGCAUGUCCACUAUAACCCAUAUAGCAUCAUUGCCUCGGUGAGUCUUGGGUAGACCGGUGUAAAGUCCAUGCAGACAUCGUCCCAUUUCCAUUGUGAGACGGGUAGAGGUUGGAGAAGUCCGGCGGGUUUCUGGUGUUCCACCUUUACUUUGUUCCAGAUGUCACAACAAGCGACAAAAUAUGUGAUGUCCCUUUUAAUUCUAUCCCACCAAAAUAUCUCUCGAAGAUCUUCGUACAUUUUGGUGUUGCCUGGAUGUAUCGAAUAUGAAGAUUCAUGCGCUUCUGCUAAAAUUUUCUUCCUCAAAUCUGUGUGCUCAGGUACGCAUAUCCUUCCAUGGAACCUGAGUGUACCAGCGCGUCCUUUGAGAAAUCCUGAGUCUUGCCUUCAUGCAGAUGUUGGAGAUAUCCUUGCAGACAUUUAUCGUCAGCAUGUGCCAUGCAAAUCUCCUCUUCUAGAGUAGGAGGUACUUCCAGUAUAUUCGCAAGACCGGCAUUUACCAUUACCAAGUUUAGUUGAGCGAUCUCUUGGUGGAGUUUUGGAGGCAAAUACCCUAGCAUGGCGUUUUAACUGGCAGGCUUGCGACUGAGGGCAUCAGCGACCACAUUAACUUUUCCCGGAUGGUAAUUUAUUGUCAGACCAUAGUCCUUGAACAGCUCGAGCCAUCUUCACUGCCAAAGGUUCAAGUCUGGCUGAGUAAAUAUAUAUUUGAGACUCUUGUGGUCGGUGAAUAUUUGGCUUCUCUUCCCAAUGAGAUAAUGUCUCCAAAUCUUUAGAGAGUGCACAACCGCGACCAGCUCCAAAUCGUGCACAGGAUAAUUUCCUUCAUGAGGUCGUAGCUGGCGAGAUGCAUAAUCUACCACCUUGCCGUCUUGCAUAAGUACGCACCCAAUACCUUUUCUGGAUGCGUCACAAUACACAUCGAAGGUGCGGUAAAUAUCUGGGAGAGUCAGGACUGGUGCUGAUGUCAAUCUGGUUUUUAGCUCGUUAAAGCUCUGCUCGCAAUCCUCAUUCCAUUCAAACUUCUUGUCUUUCUUGAGGAUUUAUGUCAUUGGCUUGGCAAUUUUGGAGAAUCCUUCAAUGAACGGCGGUAGUAUCCAGCUAACCCAAGAAAACUCUGGACUUCGGAUACUGUCGUGGGUGCUGCCCAAUCAAGCACAUCUUUUACUUUGCUGGGAUCCACUGCAAUACCUUCUGCUGAUAGAACAAGCCCCAAAAAUCUGACUUGUUUGAGCCAAAACUCACACUUGAUGAAUUUUGCAUACAGCUGAUGGUCACGAAGUUCUGUAAAAUUGCUCGAAGGUGUUCCUUAUGUUCCUCGUCACUUUUAGAGUAUAUGAGUAUAUCGUCGAUGAAGACCACCACAAACUUAUCCAAGAAUUCCAUGAACACCUUAUUCAUCAUAUGCAUGAAAAAGGCGGGGCAUUUGUGAGACCGAAGGACAUCACCGUAUAUUCGUAAAGACCGUAACGAGUAGUGAACGCGGUCUUAGGAAUAUCUUCCUUCUUGAUCUUCAGUUGAUGAUAUCCGGUCCUUAAAUCAAUCUUGGAAAAUACUUUUGCACCACUGAUCUGGUCGAAUAAAUCAUCAAUCCUUGGUAGUGGGUAUUUGUUCUUGAUGGUGACAUCGUUCAACUGACGGUAGUCCACACGCAUUCUGAGACCACCACCUUUCCUGUCCACAAAUAUUGCAGGUGAUCUCCAUGGUAAAGAACUUGAGGGGAUAUAUCCUUUUGCAGCAUCUCAUCCAACUGCUUCUUUAAUUCGACGAGUUCAAAGGAAGGCAUUCGAUAAUACUUUCUGUACAACAGUGCAUUCCCGGGUAAAAGAUCAAUUGCAAACUCAAGCUCCCUGUCUGGUGGCAUUCCGGGUAAUUCUUCGGGGAAUACAUCAGGAAAUUCACUGACCACGGGAAUCAGAUCCAACUCUUUAGCUACUAUAGUGAAGACCAUCUCCCUUUUGGGUAUGCCUUUGCGGGCAUAAAAUUUUAUGGUUUUGCCUUCCUGUUUGGUCAGGGUGACUUCUCGGGUCGCACAAUUUAUGCAUACUUGAUAUUGAGUCAACCAGUUCAUUCCCAAAAUAACAUCGAGCUUGUCAGACUCGAUGACUAUCACAGUGGUUGGAAAACAGACUUCCUUGAUAUGAAUUUCCAAAUUUUUGCAGACCAGAUGGCUUUUGAUCACGGAGCCCGGGGAUUGAACCAGCAUACUUUUCACCAAAAGCGAGCAAGAAAAUUUGUUUUGGGCAACAAAUCUCCGAGAAACAAAAGAGUGUGAAGCCCCAGAGUCAAAUAAAAUUAUUGCAACUAUGUUAUUAAUGAGAAACAUACCAAUGAUGACUUCGGGGUUUUCCAGGGCUUUUUCUGCGGAGAGAUUAUUAACUUGACCUUGGAUGAUCCCCAUGUGAUUGACUUGCAAUCGGAAUGGAGCGUUUGACUUCUUGGGACACUAUCGAGCAUAAUGUCUGGUCAGGCCACAACUAAAGCAAGCGUUGUUGCGUUUGACGCUCUUCAUGCACUGGGCUGGUCACAACAUUCUUGAUUUGAGUAGUGGUCUUGUUCACAUUCUGCUGCCAAUUUGGUUUAUAUUCCACUUGAGUCUGUUGCCAGGUACGGGCCUUCUGAAUAGGCUGCCCAUCUGUCUUUGGCUCAAAUUUGCGCUUGUGGUCAUUAUUUGCGGGGCGGUUCUUUCAUAGGCUUGUACUCUCUUUCUGCAAUGAGAGCCUUGUUAACAAGAGACUGAAAAUCUGGAAAGUCGAGCAUGGAGAGAACACACCUGAGGUGCUGGUUUAGUCCUCCAAGGAACCAGUCUAUCUUUCUCUCUUCCGUGGCCACAUCAUAAAGGGAAUAACGGGCUAGAUGGUUGAACUUGCGCAAGUAUUCAUUUACUGAUAGACUGCCUUCAGUGAGACCAAGAAAUUCGCAGUGCUUGACCUUCAUGAUACCAGCUGGAAUAUGAUACUUGAGAAAUUGGUCCUUGAAAUUAUUGCACAUAAUUUCUUCUCCCGCAGGCCACAAUGCUUUAGCAUUAUCCCACCAUAUAGUAGCGGCUCCUUCAAGAUAGUGGGUAGAGAACGUAACCUUGUCAGCUUCAUCAGUGCGAGCAAUCUCAAGUUUCUUCUCAAUGGUUCGCAACCAAUCAUCUUCUUCCAAACGGUCAAUCGCUUGACUGAAACUAGGAGGCUUAGUUCUUUGAAAAUAUGAUAGCUUAGAUUGAUGUCCAUUUGGAUUUCCAUUCUGUCCAACCAUAGCUUGCACACCUUUUAACAACUCAAUCCGAUCAUUAUUUCUUGUUUCCUCAAACAUGCGCAUAAUUUGUUAAGUGGAGGGUGGAUUUGGCGUUGGAGGUGGUGGUUGCGGAUACGGCUCGGGAGAGUGUCCUGCCUAUCUUGCCAAACGACGAACACGGACAUCCUCACAAGCCUUCAAGCUGCUACCUCCCCGCUGUUUAUUUUUUCCAAUAAGAGCAACCGAGAUGAGAAACAUCCCAUCAUGGAGAGAAAAUCAAGCGACAAAACCCGGAAAAGCGAACAAACUGAAAACACAGCAAUCGAAUAAAAAGUUCCCACAUAAUUAUACAUAGACUCAUACAUGAAAGGUAAACAUCAUGACGGGUGCGAAUACUCGCAUACAUGCAUCAUAGCUCAUACAACUACAUCCGUACAUCUCAUGACUACUGCUAAUACUCAGACGCUCUAAGACUUGGUGCUGCCGGAUCCUCUCCUGAGUCAAACCCAGAUCCUGAACUGAGGACUCCAACCAAAAACUCCGGGUUAAAGGUAACACGACGACGCUGCCUCGAGGGCUCUCCCUCAGGGGCAGGUGCAGAACGAGAAGGGAUCACGGGAGCUGCGAGGGUAGCAAGAAGAGAUGACCACUCAACAGGAGCACUGUGUGGGUUCAUCAGUGAGGUUCCUUAGCUAGUCGUGGGGAUAACCGGAGAAACAGGCGAGCUAGAAUUGGGCACAAUAUAAGGAGUAAAUCCCAUAGAAGGUGGAGUAGGGUAGGAUCUAGCGGCGGCUAAAGCAGAACGAGCACGAUUCAGCUCUCGAGCCAACUCGUGAAUCAGAAUAUAACUAGAAGUGAUAUAUCGAGAAAGAUGGCUAGUAUCACUAUCAGACGCCGGAUCAACGGAAUGAAAGCGAACACGGCCAUCAUCGUGCAGGGAUGGGUAGAAACGAAAACCUGGGUGGUUCUGCAUCCGAGCCUCAGCAUAGCGUAACUCAAGAAGAAUCUCGAACGCAGCAUACUGGACGGCCUGAGUGGCGGUGGAUGCAUAACCUCUCCGAGAGGUACGAGUGUAAGAACCCGCUGAGGAACUGAUGCGCAGAGAAACCACAACAUGAUACUCAUACACGGAGUCGGCCAGACGCUCCCAGUACACCCGAUAUGCUGGGUCGUCACCGUGAGGGCACAGUCGGCGCCACACACCAUGGAGGAGAUGUGGAAAGAUGUAGGGCAUCAGCUGCAACUGACAUGGAUACAGAACCGGAGCCAUCUACACUCACAACCAUUAACAGGUUAGAAAUAACAAUAAGUCAAAUGCAUGCAAUGUAGUGUAGCAUCCAUUUGCAAAUUCUAAUGGCACCCAAUUAACAACUAGCUAACGUUUUCUUCGCGUGUUGGGGUCUAGCAUGUCCUACAGUCAACACAGCCCUGAUACGAAGCAUUGUGGCACCCUGGCUCAUAGCGACGGUUUACCUUGCAUUGCCAACCCAGAGAUCAUGUCUUCUGGCAACACACAACAUCUUGGUACAGAAAUCACUGCUUUAUUCAAACUAGCGGAAGCAUAGGUGUUACAUUACACAUCAAGUAGCGAGGCCAAGCGACACACUCGGCGCGGCUGAACAAUAUGUACAUUAUUUAGUGGACAUAAAGGGGGCCUCGAGCACGACAUCUACUGCGGAACAACAUAGCGGGACUCCAUAGCACAGGGACACCAAUGUGGACACGGUCUAGACACGGCAGUACUCCGAUCCAGUUAGAUUUUCCUGAAAGCUGGCAUAACACGCCAGGUCAGUACAUUGAAUGUACUUGCAAGCUUGCAAUAAGAAAAACCAUAAUGACAAACAACAUCAUGAUAUUUAAACAAGUUCAAUGAAAUAUCAACAUGCUACUCAUGCAGUGACCAAACUUGUGCAUCGAGUCACUCGGACUCUCUUACCAACAGGUUGCCUCACAACCGAACAGUGAUCACGACAGACCACGAAUGAACCACUCUUGGUUCAACCGGUUACCUCGUAACCCAACAGUGAUCAUUCCCAUAUCACAAAUAGUACCAUAACUGUCAGUCUCACUAACAUCAUCAUAACUCAACGGUGCAAUGCAAAUAUGAAAGCACAAGUGCUCCCUGGGUAAUUUUGGUAAUUAAUGUCAACAUAUCUCUUGUUGUACUAAUACUUUCAUCUAGUAUAUUUCAGGUAAGCCCAACAGUGAAGUAGCAUGGACAAGAGGAUGUGGAACCCCUUCAAGAUGCUAAGGAAAAUGGAUUGGCUCAAGCUCAAAGCUCAGGACUCUACAUUUUCCAUUUUCAGUGAUCAAAGAUCACAUUGAGUCCAUAGGAAAGCCAAUACUAUUAAAAGGGGAUGAUGUGUUGCUUAAUGGCCUGCUUGCUCAAAGUGCUUAGUGAUAUGCUCCAAAGCCCUCAACCACUUUCUCAUAUCCACAUAUGUCCCAAACCAAAAGUCAAACUCGGCCCCCCUGAUUUGAUCCAUCCGGCGCCACCGAAUUCAUUUGACAUAGCCACUGCCAAAAACCCUAAUCAGUUCAGUCACACCGAUGGGAUCUCGGUCUCACCGAGAUGGGCUUGCAAACUCUCUGUUGUCUAUUGCAAUAUUUUCGGUCUCACCGAGAAUAUGUAAUCAGUCACACCGAGUUUGCCUGACCAACUCUCUGUUUUGCUUAUUACCAAAUCGGCCCAUCGAGUUGUGUAAUCGGUCAAACCGAGACGAGGUUUUACCCUAACCCUUGCACAUCGGUCCUACCGAGUUGAUCAUAUUGGUCCCACCGAAAUUGCCUAACGGUCAAAUAUGUACCCACUGAGUUUGGUAUAAUGUGUGUAAUGGUUAGAUUUUGUGUGGAGGCUAUAUAUACCCCUCCACCCUCUCCUCAUUCGUGAGGGAAGCCAUCAGAUCGUGCCUACACUUCCACUACCCACUUUCUGAGAGAGAGCCACCUACUCAUGUGUUGAGACCAAGAGAUUCCAAUCCAACCAUAUGAAUCUUGAUCUCUAGCCUUCCCCAAGUUGCUUUCCACUCAAAUCAUCUUUCCACCAAAUCCAAUCCUAUAAGAGUGAGUUGAGUGUUGGGGAGACUAUCAUUUGAAGCACAAGAGCAAGGAGUUCAUCAUCAACACACCAUCUAUUACCUUUUGGAGAGUGGUGUCUCCUAGAUUGGUUAGGUGUCACUUGGGAGCCUCCAACAAGAUUGUGGAGUGAACUAAGGAAUUUGUAAGGGCAAGGAGAUCGCCUAAUUCAUGAAGAUCAACCCUAGUGAGGCAAGUCCUUCGUGGGCGAUGGCCAUGGUGGGAUAGACAAGGUUGCUUCUUCAUGGACCCUUCAUGGGUGGAGCCCUCCGUGGACUCGCGUAGCCGUUACCCUUCGUGGGUUGAAGUCUCCAUCAACGUGGAUGUAUGAUAGCACCACCUAUCGGAACCACGACAAAAACAUCCGUGUCUCCAAUUGCGUUUGCACACUCCAAUCCCAUCCCUAUACUUUCUUGCAAGUUGCAUGCUUUACUUUCCGCUGCUCAUAUACUCUUUUCAUGCUUGCUUGAUAUGUAUUGUGAAUGGUUAAACUUAUGCUAAAUGUCCACCUAAACUUGAGAAACUUAUAAUCUGCCAACUUUGUUUGUUGAGUGUCUAAUCACCCCCCUAGGCACCUCUUCUCGAUCCUUUCAAAAUAACUUAGUGUGCAAUUUUAUGAAAGUUGAUCCAUGGUGUGAAUUACUUACGAACUGGGCCCUUAUUCGCGGGCACGGCUAUCGAUAGAUUAAUACACUCUACAGAGGUAGCACACUUGACCCACACCACGGAACCCAUGGCCUCGCACUCCCAUUUGGGUGGACCAACGGCAUUCCGACAGAACCCUCCCAUUGCCAUGACACUCUUAUGGUCACUUCGACCAACUCCCCUCUGGGAUCAGUCCUGGGUGACCCCGCCUACCAGAGGCACCUACCACUGUCGUGGCAAAUAAACAGUCCCAAAUGGGGACCUGGUACCAUAACAACAACAGGUCCACAAGGUUAUGUUUGCUUACCGGGCCAGGGUAACACACACCCAUAACCUUCCCUAGUUUGAGGCACCGACAAGAGGCAUGACAACGGAAUGACUACGGCCUCCCGUACUAAGGCAAAUGUGGUUGCACUUAGCAGCCCGAUUCAGUGGCACCAUGACCCGACCAACUUUUAAGAUCAAUUUCAAUUAUCAUCAGGUUCAACUUGAAAAUAAGAAUGCCCGAGUCACAAUAUGCCAUGCUCAUGCAACCAUGUAUCAUGCAUCAUAUAUCACUUUAACUAUACCAGAUCAACCUUAUUCAAAGUUCUACUUGCACCAACUCAACUUGCAACAUUUCUAGUCCUUUCUUACUGGUUAUUUCUACUCAUUACUUUACUUGGCAUUUAUCAAAUCAAACUCAUUGUUCAUAUAGCAAAAUAAUGCUCAUGUUCAUACUACCAUAGUCAUGACAAAAUUUGCUUAGAUCAACUACUCAAGCUAUAACUUACUAGUUUAACCAUUUCUUUCUGUUAACUAAGCAUUUUGAUCAUAACAAACUAAAUAACACAAGCAUCAUUUAUUUUUAAUGCUAUAUGCAAUGAAUAUCAUGGAUAUUGCAAAGACACCAUGAUCAUGUUGGUGUGUCUUGCCUUAGUGCAGAGGAGCUUCACACUCCUCGUGGAUGUCUUCAAGACAAGCUUCACCUUCUGAAAAUAAUUCAAAUGACAAAAAACAUCAAGAACACAUCUGAAAAUUACCAGAAAUUCUAGGCAGCAAAGAAAAAUCCCAUCUUGGUUGUGCUGCUAGGAUUUUCUAGUAAGAGCAGAAUUCAAAAAGAAUCAACUCAUUUGGACUUGUAGAAUAAUACUUAGAGCUAGUCAAAGUUCUGGUCAAAUUUGAACUAAAUUUGAAUUAAAAAGGAAAAGCAGGGGGUGACGUCGAAGGUGUAAAAUGCCGGGGCGCCACCACUCAUACCGCUUCCGGCAUGGCCUGAGUGGUAGACAGCGGGCCCCAGCUGUCAGGCCGGAGGGGGAGAGAGAGAGAAACAGAGGCGGGCGGCGCGGCGGUGGCGCUUUCUCCGGCGAGGAGUGCCCUGAUACGUCCCCAACGUAUCUAUAAUUUUUUAUUGUUCCAUGCUAUUAUAUUACCCCUUUUGGAUGUUUAUGGGCUUUAUUUUACACAUUUAUAUCAUUUUUGGGACUAACCUACUAACUGGAGGCCCAACCCGUAUUGCUGUUUUUUUCCUCUUUCAGUAUUUCGAAGAAAAGGAAUAUUAAACGGAGUCCAAACGGAAUGAAACCUUCGGGAGCGUGAUUUUUGGAACAAAUGUGAUCCAGAGGACUUGGAGUGCAAGUCAAGAAGCAACCGAGGCCUCCAUGAGAUAGGAGGGCGCCCCCCUAUAGGGCGCGCCCCCUGUCUCGUGGGCUCCUCGGGCGUCCACCGACGUACGUGUUCCUCAUAUAUAAGCCUACAUACCCCGAAAACAUCUAGGGAGCCAACGAAACACAAUUUCCACCGCCGUAACCUUCUGUAUCCGCGAGGUCCCAUCUUGGAGCCUUCGCCGGUGCUCUGCCGGAGGGGGAAUCGACCACGGAGGGCUUCUACAUCCAAAUCGUUGCCCCUCCGAUGAGUUGUGAGUAGUUUACCACAGACAUAUGGGUCCAUAGUUAUUAGCUAGAUCGCUUCUUCUCUCUUUUUGGAUCUCAAUACAAUGUUCUCCCCCUCUCUUGUGGAGGUCUAUUCGAUGUAAACUCUUUUUGUGGUGUGUUUGUCGAGAUCCGAUGAAUUGUGGGUUUAUGAUCUAGUUUAUCUAUGAAUAAUAUUUGAAUCUUCUCUGAAUUCUUUUAUGUAUGAUUGAGUUAUCUUUGCAAGUCUCUUCGAAUUAUCAGUUUGGUUUGGCCUACUAGAUUGAUCUUUCUUGCCAUGGGAGAAGUGCUUAGCUUUGGGUUCAAUCUUGCGGUGUCCUUACCCAGUGACAGAAAGGGUUGCAAGGCACGUAUUGUAUUGUUGCCAUCGAGGAUAACAAGAUGGGUUUUAUAUCAUAUUGCUUGAGUUUAUUCCUCUACAUCAUGUCAUCUUGCUUAAUGCGUUACUCUAUUCUUUAUGAACUUAAUACUCUAGAUGCAGGCAGGAGUCGGUCGAUGUGUGGAGUAAUAGUAGUAGAUGCAGGCAGGAGUCGGUCUACUUGUUGCGGACGUGAUGCCUAUAUUCAUGAUCAUGCCUAGAUAAUCUCAUAAUUAUUCGCUUUUCUAGCAAUUGCUCGACAGUAAUUUGUUCACCCACCGUAAUACUUAUGCUAUCUUGAGAGAAGCCACUAGUGAAACCUAUGGCCCCCGGGUCUAUCUCUUAUCAUAUUUGCUUCCAAUCUACUUUUAUUUGCAUCUUUACUUUUUGUAUCUAUAUUAUAAAAUACCAAAAAUAUAUUUAUCUUAUCUUACUAUCUUUAUUAGAUCUCACUUUCGCAAGUGGCCGUGAAGGGAUUGAAAACCCCUUUGUUGCGUUGGUUGCGAGUUCUUUGUUUGUUUGUGUAGGUGCAUGGGACUUUUGAGGAGCCUUGUACUGUGUCGUGGAUUUGUCACGACAGAUGUCCUAGAGAAAGGACUUAGUCGUGGAGCCAUCGCUACGGGUUUACUUGAAGGGGUUAAAGCGGACACAAAGACACGAGGGUUUAUAAUAGUUCGGCCCCUUCGAUGAAGGUAAAGCCUACGUCUAGUUGUGAUGGAAUUGAUGUGGUAUCGAUGGCUAGGGAGCAAACAAGCUUCGCCUAGGCUCGAGUUGUUGUUGUCUGCCCUGAACCGCCGCCGGGUCAUCCCCUUAUAUACACGGGUGACGCCCUUCGGUCCAUAGAGUCCCUAACCGGUUCAUACUCGUAUUCCGGUUGGUAUCUCUCUAUUCCUAACUUACAAUACAAGUCAUACACAGGCCGGUUUACAGCUACAUGCUCUAACCGACUACAGGCCUUGGGCCUUCAUCUGUUUAUAUCACUAAUAAAGUUAACCCGGCCCAAGUAGGCCGGUUUACGCCUGGUGGUAAUAUCCCCAACAUUAGGCCCCAGAUUGAUUUGAACUGGUUCAUGUCAAUCCUUCACUCCAUCUUGCGUCUCGGAUGUCUUUUGUUAAUUGGUAAACCUCCAUAUCGUCAUCAUUUUUUGGUUGCUGUAAACCGGCAUGAUGUCAUCAGUGCUGGCUAUUAUGAACUGGCAUGACGCCAUCACAAAAUUUAUAACGCCCUUUCAAUGACAGCUCCUGGAUUCGCGCGCUUGACCUAGCCCAGUUGCCCUAUAAAUAAGGCCGAAGGGUCAUUUCUUUUCUUUUCCUCUUCGUCCCUUCUUCUUCUUCUUCCUCACGUUGCCGGCUUUGGAGCUCCACCACCACCGUCGACCUCUGCCUCGUCUCGGGCCGCUGCAUCAACCUGAGCGUACCAGAGUGUUGCGGCGUCUUUCCGCAUCUUCUCCUUCCCGGUAAGUUCUCUUUCCUUCUUACCCUAGAUCUGUUCUUAGGGUUCCAUGUUCUUGCCAUGUUCAUCGCGCGUUCAUGACUGUUCUCUGACCUUGACUGCAUCUGCGAACUCUUGCUGUGCUUAGUAGCGAUCCCUUUAGCAUCUGCUUGCUAUUUCUCAUCUAAACUCAUAGAUCUCCCGCACAUAUCCGCUCAAUGGUUCACUUCUGUUUCCGCCUUAGUCUUCGAGAUAUUUCCUGUUUUUGUGAACUUUCUGUAGAUCCGCGGCUGUAACACGAUUCAGUGAAACUUGUUUCUGCAUAACUAGUUAUCCAUAGCUUCAAUUGCUUCUGAUGCUUAGGCCAGGCGGUUUAACUCCACUAUAGAGAAAAAAUUGCUACACCGGUAUAUAUAUCAUUAGUCCCCUGGUUGAACCGCCAGAAUCCAUCUGAUGCCGCAUCAUAGAAGACCGGUUUAUGGGUAUUGCCUCCGGUUUACCGUAAUUAAAACAACACCUUUUUAUCCGGCAUGUCCUUGAACCGGAUCACCUGUUUCUUGUAGAUCUCGUCAUGGCCAAACAAGUGUACGAGUGCAACUGGGUUCCCUCCCGUGUCACUGAGUCACAGCUGGAUGAUCUAGUGCUGAUCGGCGCUUUAGAUGAUAAAGAUACGAUCCACUGGAGGGUUCCCGGAGAUGAGUGUCCUCCCACGCCCCAGGAAGGAGAGGUUGUGGUCUUCGCAGAUCACAUGGCCCGGGGCUUCAAACCGCCCGGCUCUAAAUUUUAUCGGGAUGUGUUAGCCAAUUUCCAGCUCCGUCCAUAGGAUAUUGGCCCCAACUCAGUCACCAAUCUAUGUCACUUUCAAGUACUUUCCGAAGCAUACCUUCAAGAGGAGCCUUCAGUCGAACUGUUUAGAGAUCUCUUUCAUCUGAACCGCCGUACUGAAUUCACCGAUGGUCCUAACACCGAACUGGGCGGCAUGGCCAUCCAGAAGAGGAAAGAAAUCACCUAUCCCCAUGUCAAACUUCAUACUCACCCUAAAGAGUGGAAUGCCACUUGGUUUUAUUGCAAGGAUACAUCUCCAGACAAUGAAAAUCCCUUGCCUGGCUUCCGUCCGGAACGGCUCAGCAAUACUCACCCCUUUCCACAAAGGCUAAGCGCCAAGGAGAGAAUCAAAUAUGCUCCCCAACUGUCCAAGCUUCGGGCCUUCAUGGCCAACGGUUUAACAGGAAUAGACCUUGCACGCUGCUGGAUAUCAUGGAGCAUUCUGCCUCUGAGCCGGCGCCCUAGUUUAAUGUGUGAAUAUACUGGCAGUGUCGAUGACCCACUCCGACAUAUCAAAAUCCAGGUCUCCGACGACGAGGUCACAGAAUCUGUGAAAAAGAUGUUGAAUGAACCGGAGCAUCUCUGUGCACAAACCGGUCUACUUCCUUACUGCACCACCAAUGAACCGCCAGCAGUAAGAUUUUAACUGCUCUAUUAUUGAACCUGUUACUAUUUUAUUUUGUCUGACCUUUAAUUAUUGUUGAUCCAGAGUGAUAAUCUGUUUUGGAGCAAAAAGCUUUCCCAAGAUAAAACGGAGAAAACAGGGCGGCCAACCCGGCCAAAGACCAAGGUUGUCAAGAAACCAGCUCGCAAGAGAAAAACCACCGCUUCAUCUGACCCAGCCCUUGAUGAUGAUGUGGGUAAUCCGGAUCUUGAGGUAGAACUUGAUUCACUUGGCUUGCUUUUUAUGCGCCUUAUUGAUGAUGAUGCUUGUCAGGAUGACGCUGAAGCCAGCAAUGCGGGAUUCGUUGAGGUAAUUAUUCUCUCUUCCGAUUCAGAAAUCUUGCCUUUGCCAAAAUUCCGCCGGGCAAACCGGAAAGUUAAAUUUUCUCAUCCGCUUGCUUAUUUGGAUCCCCAAUUUCUUAUGAAGACCCAGCAACACGAAACUCGCCGCACAACCCGGCACAGCGGCCAGGUAGUUACUUCUGCCGGUUUACCGAACAGCCCGGUUCGAAAACGCCGCUCCGAGGUCUCCGACCUUUUUAUUGAUUUAAAUCCUAAAGCGGGUUUCUUCCGUCAACCUCUUAAUCCAUCCGACUCCGAUUAUCAGGUCACUUCUCAUUCAUCGUCUGGUGAAUCAUCGGCCACUCAGCUACCACCCUUGAAAACAGUUGCUGGGUAAGUUUAAACUAAAUAUAUGCCUCCAGUAUGCUGCGUAACGGUUUAUGCUCUUCCUUGACUUUUGUUUUCUCCUCAGGGCUAAGCCGAAGCCAAGCAAAAAGGCCCGCCUGGAUAAAGCGACUGAAGAAGAUGUGGCCCCAGAACAUGACCAAGCACCGGAUCAUGAAGUGUUUACUUGUGAAGACACCCCCAAUGAUCCUCCUCUGCAAGACGACGUUAUCCCUGAAGAAGGGCUUAUUAAUGCUUCAGCCUCUGCUGAUCCGCCUGCCAACUCUGUCCAGAUUGAGAAAUCUCAUACUCCAGCUGAUAAACCGGCAGCGCCAACACAAACUGGCGAGUCAAAAGAUGAUGAUGUCGUGAUUACUGGCGUGGGCCGCUCUGAACCCGGGAAUCCUGCCACCCUUACGAGGCAUGUCACCAAAGAGGAUUUUUCCACUUUGAACAAAGGGAAAUGGGAUGUUGAAUUAGAAACAUACGCCGCUCUGAGUGCUCAAGAUCUUCACUCUGGCUAUCUAAACCGGCUUUACACUAGCCGUGAUUGUGAAGCUGGCCUGGUCAAAAUGAUGAGGGAUAAAUUUGAGGUAAAUUCCUUCUUUCCUUGCUGCCAUUGCAUUCAUCCUUGUAGCCCCCAAGGGCCGGUUUGUGACCUUGGUCAAGCCGGGACUUGAUCCUGAACAUUUUUGAAAUCCGUCGGCAUAACCCUCAAGGGCCGGUCUAACUUAGCAUAAGCAACCCGGGGCUUCAAAUAAAAAACUGUCCUUAGAACAUAACUUGAUCAAAUAGCCAUUAGCCCCCAAGUGCCAAGUUGAAUACUCGUAUUGAGCUUGGGACUUUGUAAUCUAGCAAUAUAUAAAAAUUGAAGGUGCAUUAGCCCCCAAGUAUCAGGCAUAUAACUUUGUUAUGUGAUUGAUACUUCAAUUUAUUGGAUCGCAUGUGCAAAGCUUAAAACGCUGUCUGUAUGCAGGCUGAGGUGAAAAUCAAGGAGGACCGGAUUGCCGAUUUGCAGGAGGCCUUGAAGACCCAGCAAGCUGAAACAGAUAAGUCAAAGCAAGAAUUAACCAGCGCCUUAAGCACGGCUGAACAGCUGAAAGAAAGCUUCAAGAAAGAGCGGGCUGAUUGGGCCACUGAGAAGGCCGCUUUAAUCGAACGAGCAGAAAAUGCCGAAGCUGCCCUUAAACCGGUGGUGGAUGAAUUGACUGCCGUACCUGCUGUAAUCUUUGGUAAGCUCCUUUUAACCUCUAUCAUAAUUUGGUAAGCUCCUUUUAACCUCUGUCAUAAUUUGAACCUGCUGUAGCAUAAACCCGGUUUGAGAUCCUUCCAAUCUUGUUGUAGGCACACGUAUUGGGCACUUAGGAAAUGAUGUACGGAUGAAACUGAAGGCUGCCUACACCUUGGUGGAACAACUGUAUACCGGAGCCCAACGGAUUAUCACCGCAGCGUCUCAUAACAACCUGGCGCCCUCCUUAAUCCAGGACACUCUUAGCCGGUUGUCAAUGCUUCCAGCCCGGAUUGAGGAGCUGAAAAAAUCCGCUGCCCGAACCGGAGCCAUCAAUGCCUUAAUCCGGGCAAAAACAUGGGUGCCCGAUUUUGAUCCUGUGGAAGCAGCCCAAGGCUAUCCCAGCCUGAAAGAGGAUGGCUCGGAAUUCAACGAGGAAGAUUUAAGGGCGAUAAACCGUGCAGUGCGCCCUCUGGCUUGCCAGCUAGCUGAAGAAGCAGAUUUGACGCAUUAUCAAGCGCAAUAUAAUGAGCAAAACAAGCGAGUGCCUGCCCCAACUGUUGAAGCGGAGAAUCUGAUCCCUCCAAUCCGUAAGCACACUUACGCCCCUGAUAUUGAACCGUCUUCCCUGAUCCAUGAAGAGGCUGUUUUCCAAGAUUUAAUGGGAAUCGACUGGGCCACUGUUGAUUUCCAGCCAAUGGGUAGAGACGAGGAAGCUGAAGCGGCGGAGGAUGAGGAGCAGGCUUGAACCGAAAGCCGGUUUGGAGAGUUAUUUGUAACAUCUUUCCACAAAAACAAUGAUCUUGUUUGGGCACCAUGCUGCCUUGUAAUAGGAUAAUUAAAACUUCUGCCUGGAAUAUGCCUUCGCGCAUAAGUACUGAAGCUUUUGCUUGAAAAACUUUUUAAUUCAUAUUUCCUGCAAUCAGAAAAAUUUGAACUUUGGUGGCGGUUAUACCGUCAGCCGGAUUAUGAUCUUGAUAUGUGUAUCAGAAAUAUAACCAAUAGCUGAUACAUAAAUACCUGCCAUGUUUGGGCAUAAAGCUGGCUUUAGCCAAGCCUGAAGCGGUGGGUUUAUAAACCAUUACCGUCAAAAAGGGAGAAGAUAGCUCCCGUAUACCCCGUAUUGAAUCAAUACGAGCUCCCUAGUUAUUCUUUGAUGUUAACAGGGAAAAGGUAAACCGGCCAGUCCCCUCCGGAUUAAAGGGGAAUCAAAAACCAUCAGUUUAACCGGAAAAAUAUGCUUGUUGACAUAAAGGAAAUCCAACAAAAACAAGAACAAACAAACCAUGAAAAUAACAUGGAAGCAAAGGCAAUGAUAAAAACCAUUUGCAAAUAUAUGCUAUACUGAGCUGUUCAGAUGGUAUUACCAUGGUCGGACAGGAUCAAGGCCCCCAAUAGGAGUGACAAUGAUUCAAGUCAGCCAGGUCCCCAAAUGACUCGUGGCAUGUAUGCCAGAUCAAGAGGCGUGACAAUGGUUCGGGUUCGACCAUGCCCCCAAGUGAUUUUGUGGCCUUUAGGCCGACCAAGAGGCGUGACUGGUUCAGGCUUGACCAUGUCCCCAAAUGAUCUGGUGGCUGUCGCCUAUCAAAGGGUGAUCGUUGGUUCGGACACGACCAAGGCCCCCAGCGAUAUAUAAAUAACAUAUGUCAAGGGGUAAACCGGAGGCCGCUUUUAACAGAACCACUCCGUGUAACCUCGCAUGAUGAAACAGAUAGAGACCCUGCUUUAGCUGAGGUUCCGGUUUAAUAUAUCAAAGAUAAUAUAUACAUUGUCAUGAUAUGUACAUAAUUAGAGCCGAUGGCUCAAGUAUAGUAAGGCCGAAGAUGAGCUAUGUUCCACGGCCUGUUGGUCUCCUCCUCUGAUGUACGUGAGUCUUGACGCUCUCGAAUAUCAAUCAGAUAGUACGACCCGUUGUGCAGAUUCUUGCUGACCACAAAAGGUCCUUCCCAAGGUGGGGAUAACUUGUGCAUAUCUGUCUCGUCCUGGAUUAAUCGAAGCACCAAAUCUCCUUCUUGAAAAGUUCUGGUUUUAACCCGGCGACUGUGAUAACGACGAAGAUCUUGUUGGUAAAUCGCCGAACGGGCAGCCGCUAGAUCACGCGCUUCGUACAAUAGGUCCAAAGCGUCUUGCCGUGCCGUCUCAUUGCCCGCUUCAACAUAAGCUGCCACACGAGGCGAAUCGUGCUGGAUAUCACUAGGGAGAACUGCCUCUGCUCCAUAGACCAUAAAAAAUGGCGUGUAUCCUGUGGACCGGUUUGGCGUAGUAUUGAUACUCCAAAGCACAGAUGGUAGCUCUUCAACCCAACAUCCUGGUGUUCGUUGCAAUGGGACCAUAAGCCGGGGUUUGAUGCCUCGCAGGAUCUCUUGAUUAGCUCGUUCUGCCUGUCCAUUGGACUGGGGGUGCGCCACUGAUGAUACGUCAAGUCGGAUGUGCUCACGUUCACAGAACUCCUUCAUAGCCCCCUUGGAUAAAUUGGUACCAUUGUCAGUAAUGAUACUGUGCGGAAAGCCAAACCGGAAAAUCACCUUUUUGAUGAACUGCACCGCUGUUGCUGCAUCGCACUUGCUGACAGGCUCUGCUUCAACCCACUUGGUACAUUUAUCAACUGCUACCAAAAGGUGAGUUUUCUUAUCCUUGGAUCUUUUAAAAGGUCCGACCAUAUCCAGCCCCCAAGUUGCAAAUGGCCAUGUUAUUGGAAUCAUCCUUAAUUCUUGAGCCGGCACAUGUGCACGCCUUGAAAUUUUUUGACAUCCAUCGCACCGCUGAACCAAGUCCUCUGCAUCAGCAUGUGCUGUCAACCAGUAAAACCCGUGACGAAAUGCCUUUGCCACCAGGGACUUUGAACCGGCAUGGUGUCCACAAUCCCCCUCAUGGAUUUCUCUUAAGAUUUCACAGCCUUCCUCAGGAGAAACACAACGUUGAAACGCCCCUGAUACACUGCAACGAUGCAAUUCACCAUUGAGAAUCGUCAUGGACUUGGAUCGCCGGACUAUCUGCCUUGCUAGAAUUUCAUCCUCUAGCAACUCCCCCCGGGUCAUGUAUGCAAUAUAAGGAAUCGUCCAAUUCGGAAUAGCAUGUAAUGCUGCCACCAAUUGAGCUUCCGGGUCAGGAAUAGCCAAAUCCGCUUCACCUGGGAGCUGGACUGACGGAUUGUACAACACGUCCAAAAAGACAUUGGGCGGGACCGGUUUGUGCUGAGAACCCAACCGGCUUAAAGCGUCCGCCGCUUCAUUCUUUCGACGGUCCACAUGAUCCACUUGAUAACCCUUGAAGCAACCUGCAAUAUUAUCCACUUCCCGACGAUAUGCAGCCAUGAGUGGGUCCUUAGAAUCCCAAGUGCUAGACACCUGGUGAGCCACAAGGUCCGAGUCACCGAAACACUUAACCCGGCUUAAGUUCAUCUCUUUAGCCAUCCGGAGACCAUGGAGCAAUGCUUCCUACUCAGCUGCAUUAUUAGUACAAGGGAACAUUAAACAGAGAACAUAAUAGAACUUAUCACCUCGUGGGGAAGUUAAUACGACUCCAGCCCCCGAGCCUUCCAAUUGCCUGGAUCCAUCAAAAUGAAUAGUCCAAUAUGUGUGAUCCGGCUUUUCCUCUGGCGCUUGUAAUUCCGUCCAAUCGUUGAUGAAAUCAACAAGUGCUUGAGACUUCACCGCCGUUCGAGGCACAUACUUCAGUCCGUGCGGCCCAAGCUCUAUAGCCCACUUGGCAACCCGGCCAGUGGCCUCCCGGUUUUGUAUGAUAUCACCCAAAGGAGCUGAACUGACCACUGUAAUGGGGUGCCCUUGAAAAUACUGCUUCAAUUUCCGGCUGGCCAUGAAGACACCAUAAACCAGCUUCUGCCAAUGCGGAUACCGUUGUUUGGAUUCAAUAAGCACCUCGCUGAUAUAAUAAACCGGCCGCUGAACCGGAUACUCCUUGCCUGCCUCUUUGCGUUCCACCACAAUGGCCACACUAACUGCCCGAGCAUUAGCUGCUACGUAUAAUAACAGUGGCUCCUUGUCAACCGGAGCUGCAAGAAUCGGCGGAUUGGCUAACUACCGCUUCAAGUCCUCAAAUGCUUCGUCAGCAGCCGGACUCUAGACGAAAUUGUCUGCCUUCCUCAGCAUUUGAUAUAAAGGGAUGGCCUUCUCUCCGAGGCGGCUGAUAAACCGGCUCAGCGCAGCGAUUCGGCCCGCCAAACGCUGAACAUCGUUGAUACAUUUCGGUUUAGCUAGUGAUGUAAUAGCCGUAAUUUUUUUCGGGUUAGCCUCAAUUCCUCUGUUAGACACCAGGAAACCCAGUAACUUGCCUGCCGGAACACCAAAAAUGCACUUGGCCGGAUUAAGCAUCAUCUUGUAAACUCGCAAGUUGUCGAAGGUCUCCUUCAAAUCAUCCACCAGCGUCUCCUUCUGCCUUGACUUUACUACAAUAUCAUCCACGUAGGCAUGCACAUUGCCGCCGAUCUGUUUAGACAGGCAAUUCUGCACGCACCGUUGAUGGGUGGCUUGGGCACUCUUGAGCCCGAAGGGCAUAGAUACAUAGCAGAAGGCUCCAAAGGGAGUAAUAAAUGCUGUUUUCUCCUUGUCCUUAACUGCCAUCUUGAUCUGAUGAUAUCCAGAGUAUGCAUCCAAAAAACUCAAACGCUCACAACCUGCGGUGGCAUCAAUGAUCUGGUCAAUGCGGGGGAGGGCAAAAGGAUCUGCCGGACAGGCCUUGUUAAGAUCUGUGUAAUCCACACACAUACGCCAAGUGCCAUUUUUCUUAAGAACCAGCACCGGAUUAGCAAGCCACUCUGGAUGGAACACCUCAACAAUAAAACCAGCUGUUAAAAGCCUGGCCACUUCCUCUCCAAUGGCUUUGCGUCUUUCUUCAUUAAACCGGCGGAGGAACUGUUUCACCGGUUUGUAUUUAGGAUCCACAUUAAGAGUGUGCUCAGCGAGUUCUCUCGGUACACCUGGCAUGUCAGACGGUUUCCAUGCAAAAAUGUCCCGAUUCUCACGGAUGAACUUGAUGAGCGCGCUUUCCUAUUUGGGAUCCAGGUUGGCGCUGAUAAUGAACUGCCUGGACGAAUCGCCGGGCACGAAGUCAACAAGCUUGGUCUCAGCUGCCGAUUUGAACUUCAGAUCUGAAUCAUGCUCUAUAGUUGGCUUCUUCAACGAGGUCAUAUCCGCCGGAUCAACAUUGUCCUUAUAAUACUUCAACUCUUCCGUGGCACAGACCGACUCCGCAUACGCCGCAUCACCUUCCUCACAUUCCAAAGCGACCCUACGGCUCCCAUGAACCGUUAUCGUCCCCUUGUAACCCGGCAUCUUGAGCUGUAAGUAGAUGUAACAAGGCCGCGCCAUGAAUUUGGCAUAAGCGGGCCGUCCAAACAAGGCGUGAUACGGGCUCCAGAUCUUCACCACCUCAAAGGUUAAUUUUUCUGUCCGAGAAUCGUGCUCGUCCCCAAAAGCCACAUCCAGGGCUAUCUUACCAACAAGAUAUGCAGAUUUGCCUGGCACAACACCAUGGAACACCGUAUUUGACGGUCUGAGAUCCUUGUCUGUUAGACCCAUGCGCCGGAAUGUCUCAUAGUAUAAUAUGUUAAUACUGCUUCCUCCAUCCAUGAGCACCUUGGUGAACUUAUAACCCCCCACCUGAGGGUCCACCACUAAUGCUAGCUGGCCCGGAUUAUCAACCCGGGGCGGGUGAUCUUCUCGGCUCCACACGAUGGGCUGUUCUGACCAGCGUAAGUAGCGUGGUAAGGCCGGUUCAACAGAAUUCACCGCUCGCUUGUGGAGUUUUCGUUCGCGCUUAUCCAAGCUAGUUGUGAAGACAUGGUAUUGCCCAUUGCUCAACUGCUUUGGCUGGCUCUGAUAACCCGACUGCUGUUGCCGCUGCUGGCCGUUUUGAUUAUUCUGGCUAUUGUGACCGCCCUGAUUGAAACCUGAACCGGAAGCUCCAUCGUGAUCCGGACCGUGUAAACCGGAUCCUGAACCACCACCUGACCCAUGGUCAUACUGGAAGGCAUUAGAGUUUUUAAACUCCUGCAUAAUAUAACAAUCCUUCCAAAGGUGGUUAGCCGGCGACUCCUUCGUCCCGUGCUUUGGGCAAGGCUGAUUCAACAAGUAAUUCAAACGGCUUGCGUUAGGAUUGGGACCCCCAUUACGAUUUGCCGCUUUACCUCUGCGCCGCUGCCCCCUGUCCUGUGCAUUAGUGUUGGUCACAAAAUCCAUGCUACCAUCCGCCUUGUGUUUGCCUCCGUUUCCAUGACCCGCCGGUUUAUAUUGCUGCGGUUUAGAGUUGCUAUUCUUUCUUCCUUUCCCUGCUUCAUCUUCAUCAGGUUCGGGAUCCUUGGUACUGUCCGAAUCAGCAUACUUCACUAAAGCAUCCAUGAGGGUUCCCAUGUCAUUACAGAGCCGCUUCAUGCGUACCAAUUUCAAUUUUAAAGGUUCAAACCGGCAGUUGCCUUCCAGAGUUAAGAUCGCGGAGUCAGCGUUAAUCCUGUCCGACGAGUGCAAAAUUUCUGAAACGCGGCGCACCCAACGGGUCGUUGAUUCUCCUUCCUCCUAAACACAAGCCGCCAGGUCUACUAUGGACUUAGGCUGCUUACAUGUAUCCUUAAAAUUCUGUAUAAACCGGGCCCGCAACUGGGCCCAUGAGCUGAUAGAAUUGGGUGGCAGGCUCUUCAACCAAGUACGAGCCGUGCCCUCAAGCAUCAUGGUGAAGUAUUUCGCACACGCGGCCUCAUCCACAUCCAACAUCUCCAUGGCCAUCUCAUAACUCUCUACCCACGCUUCAGGGGAUAAAUCUGCGGUGUAAUUCGGCACCUUGCCCGGACCCUUGAAAUCUUUGGGCAGGCGCACAUUGCGUAAAGCGGGGAUUAAACAAGGCACUCCCAAAGCGGAUGUAACUCCUGGUCCGGCGAAGGUGGUAGAGCGAACCGGUGUAAUCUGACCUGCAUUAUCCUGUGUUGCUAACUCGGCCUCCCUUCGUGCCCGGGCCCGGUCCACCACCUCCUGAGCAUCGCCGAUUCCACCUGCCGGGUUAUUGCCACGGGCCGCUUCACGGCCUCGCGCAUUGCUUGAUAUGGCCGGUUCAUCCAUGCGCCUGCUAUAGCUCUGGCUUGGACGGGGCGUAGAAUGAAUCCGAUCACGGCUGUAUGAGUAUGCCUCCUGCUGAAUCAGCGCAGUCCGGAGAAGCUCCUUAACCCGGCGCGUCUCUAUCGCUUGCGGGGAGUCUCCUUCGACCGGGAUGGCCUCCAACCGUGCAGCGGCCGCAACAAGGUUGUCCAUGGGAUUCGAAUAAUGGCCCAGGGGUGUCUGGACCGGCAGAGGGGCCACGAUGUUCUGUUGAGGGGGUUCCGUCAAGCGGGGCUGGACCGUCGCUCCUGGCCCCGGUGCUUCAAUCCGGUUUGCCUCCAGGUACUGCGGCGGAUUACUGGGCCCUGCUCCUGGAGUGUGAAAGAGAUUUCGGGGGUCAAACCCUAACGGCAGGUGUGAUCUGUGCUUCCGCUUCAAAACCUCCUGCGAUGCAUUCUGGUCGAGCAUAAGUUUGUAGGCCUGGGCGUCCAAAGCGGCCCGCUCUGCAGCCAUCCUGUCCCUCUCUGCCGCCAGAUCCGCUUUGGCCUGCACGAUCUGUUCUUUCACCUUUGCAAUCUCUGCGUCAUGAGCCUCCUGAUCCACCGGUUUGGCUUCCGCCACAAGCGCGGCCAGUGCGUCAAACAGGUCGGAUAGGACUUGAACCGGCGGGCGCAUAAGGCCUCCAACCCCUGCUGCCGCUGCCGCUGCUGACCCGGAGAGCAUUGCUGCGGUGGUCGAAAAAAGAUUCGCCGCCUGGGUGCCGGCCAUGAAUAUUGCAACCCGGUUGACCUGGCCUGGGGGGUCCGGAAUACUGUCGCCAUCGGAACAUCCCCUAACAUGGUCGUCCUGCAACUGGUAUAGCGAUUCGGUGUCUCCGGUCGAGGACUCAUCGCCGGAAUAAACGAUGGUCUCACCACCGUGUUCUGAUUUGUCCUCACGCUCUCCUCCGCGGAUGACCCCAACGAAGGCAUGCUUCACGGCCGGUUUAACCUGGGUAGGUCUCGCACGCUGAGCCGUCUCGACAAGGUCGGUGCAGAUGUCCGGCUCAGGCCCAGGCUCCCCAAUCUUGCCAAUGAAAACGUGUAUGCCGCCGAAGGGGACCCGGUACCCGUACUCGAUUGAAUCGGCCUCGGGACCCCAUCCCGCGUCGUCGAUGUAGAUCCUGCCGCGACGACUCUUCGUCAUCCGGCCCACAACAUAGCCUUCGAGUCCCUUGAGCUUGCCCUCCAAGAUCGUCAAACCAUCAUGCGAUAGCCCCACGGUGGGCGCCAACUGUCGUGGAUUUGUCACGGCAGAUGUCCUAGAGAAAGGACUUAGUCGCGGAGCCAUCGCUACGGGUUUACUUGAAGGGGUUAAAGCGGACACAAAGACACGAGGGUUUAUACUAGUUCGGCCCCUUCGAUGAAGGUAAAGCCUACGUCUAGUUGUGAUGGAAUUGAUGUGGUCUCGAUGGCUAGGGAGCAAACAAGCUUCGCCUAGGCUCGAGUUGUUGUUGUCUGCCCUGAACCGCCGUCGGGUCGUCCCCUUAUAUACACGGGUGACGCCCGUCGGUCCAUAGAGUCCCUAACCGGUUCAUACUCGUAUUCCGGUUGGUAUCUCUCUAUUCCUAACUUACAAUACAAGUCAUACACAGGCCGGUUUACAGCUACAUGCUCUAACCGACUACAGGCCUUGGGCCUUCAUCUGUUUAUAUCACUAAUAAAGUUAACCCGGCCCAAGUAGGCCGGUUUACGCCUGGUGGUAAUAUCCCCAACAUACUGGAUUGAUACGUUGGUUCUCAAAAACUGAGGGAAAUACUUACGCUACUAUUGCUGCAUCACCCUUUCCUCUUUAAGGAAAACCAACGCAAGCUCAAGAAGUAGCAAGAAGGAUUUCUGGUGCCGUUCUCGCGGAGGUCUUCGCUCAAGUCAAGACAUACCAAGUACCCAUCACAAACCCAUCUCCCUCGCAUUUACAUUAUUUUCCAUUUGCCUCUCGUUUUGCUCUCCCCCACUUCACCCUUGCCGUUUUAUUCGCCCUCUCUUUCCCAAUCUCCUCCUCCUUUUCCGCUUGCCCUUUUUCUGUUUGCUUGUGUGCAUGUUUGUCCUUAUGGCUUUUCCUAAGGGUUCCGACCACCUUCUUAGAAGGUUGGAAGAGAUUGAAUCAAAUAUAGAAGCUUUAUGAAUUUGCAAUUUGAGCAUAAUAAUUUCUUCAGAAAAGAGCUUAAGGAACAAAAAGGUUUUUUGGGGUUUAUGAACAAAGAGCUUGAUGAUAUGAAUAAAGAAUUUUAUGGUGUGAACUCUCACAUUGCCCGGCUUGAAGAUGCUAUAGCCAAAAUUUCUGAUAAGCAAGCCACCUUAGUCAAUAAGAUGGCCGCCAAACCAGAAAAGUUAGACGAAAAUAAUGAUGAAGAUCUUAAAGUUAUUGAUGCGUCUCCUAUUUGAUCUAUGUUUUGCAAUAUGAAUUUUGAUAAUUAUGGGACUGAUGAUAAACCAACUUUGCCUAGAAGGCGUCCCAAGAAUUCGGAAUUUUUAGAUCUUGAUGCUAAAUUUGGUAAAAGCAAGAUUGGAGAGGUUAUGACUUUAAAUAGUAUUGAACCCACUAUCUCGGAUUUCAAGGAAUUUGAUUCUGAUAAUUGUUCUUUAGAAGGUUGUAUUUCCUUGUUGCAAUCCAUUGUUAAUUCUCCCCAUGCUUAUAGUCAAAACAAAGCUUUUACUAAACAUAUUGUUGAUGCCUUGAUGCAAUCUUAUGAUGAAAAACUUGAUUUGGAAGUUUCCAUACCUAGAAAACUUAAUGAUGAGUGGGAACCUACUAUAAAGAUUAGAAUUAAAGAUCAUGAGUGUUUUGCUUUGUGUGAUUUGGGUGCUAGUGUUUCCACGAUUCCGAAAACUUUAUGUGAUAUUCUAGGUUUCCAUGAUCUUGAUGAUUGCUCUUUAAAUUUGCACCUUGCGGAUUCCACCAUUAAAAAGCCAAUGGGAAGGAUCAAUGAUGUUAUCAUUGUUGCUAAUAGAAAUUUGGUGCCCGUAGAUUUUAUCGUUCUUGAUAUAGAUUGCAAUCUUUCUUGCCCUAUUAUUCUUGGUAGACCUUUCCUUAGAAUGAUUGGCGCGAUUAUUGAUAUGAAGGAAGGGAAUAUUAGAUUCCAAUUUCCAUUAAAGAAAGGCAUGGAGCACUUUCCAAGAAAGAAAGUCAAAUUACCUUAUGAAUCUAUCAUGCGGGCUACUUAUGAAUUUAAUGCCAAAGAUGGCACCCGUUAGAUCUAUCUUCACUUUUAUGCCUAGCUAGGGGCGUUAAACGAUAGCGCUAGUUGGGAGGCAACCCAAUUUCCUUUGUCUUUUUUGUUUUUGUUCCUGUUCAGUAAGAAAUCUUGCAUCUACCUUCUGUUUAGAUGUGUUUUUAUCUUUUAAUUACUGUUUGUGCCAGGUAGAACCUAUAGGAUAACCUAUGAUGAUAGUUGAUUUGAUUCUGCUGAAAAACAGAAACUUUGCGCGCACGAAAAUAAUUUUGUUAAAUCACAGAGGCGUUCUUUUGCGUUGAUUCUUUUUUCUGCUGAUCAAUAAAGAGAUUGUCCAGGACUUCCUAUUUUGGUAGGAGUUUUGGAGUUCCAGAAGGUUGCGUUAGCUCCAGAUUGCUACAGACUGUUCUGUUUUUGACAGAUUCUGUUUUUCGUGUGUUGUUUGCUCAUCUAUGGCUAUUGGCUAGUAAAAUAGUUUAUAAACCAUAGAGAAGUUGGAUUACAGUAGGUUUAACACCAAAAAAAAUAAAAAAUGAGUUCAUUACAGUACUUAUGUGGUGGUUUGUUUUCUUUCACUAACGGAGCUUAUAAGAUUUCCUGUUGAGUUUUGUGUUGUGAAGUUUUCAAGUUUUGGGUAAAGCUUUUAUGGACUAUGGAAUAAAGGGUGGCAAGAGCCUAAGUUUGGGGAUGCCCAAGGCACCCCAAUACAUUCAAGAAUAGCCAAAAGCCUAAGCUUGGGGAUGCCCCGGGAAGGCAUCCCCUCUUUCGUCUUCGUUCAUUGGUAACUUUACUUGGAGCUAUAUUUUUAUUCGCCACAUGAUAUGUGUUUUGCUUGGAGCGUCGUGUAUUAUAUUAGUCUUUGCUUGUUAGUUUACCACAAUCAUCCUUGCUGUACACACCUUUUUGGAGAAGCCUAUUUGAUUAGAAUUUGCUAGAAUACUCUAUGUGCUUCACUUAUAUCUUUUGAGCUUGAUAGUUUUUGCUCUAGUGCUUCACUUAUAUUCUUUAGAGCACGGUGGUGACUUAAUUUUAAAGAAAUUGCUAGUCUCUCAUGCUUCACUUAUAUUAUUUUGAGUCUUUUAGAACAGCAUGGUAUUUGCUAUGGUUACAAAUUUGGUCCUAGAAUGAUGAGCAUCCAAGUUGGGUAUAAUAAAAACUAUCAUAGAAAAGAAUUGGAUGCUAUGAUCAAUAUGAUGCUUGAUAAUUGUUUUGAGAUAUGGAGGUAGUGAUAUUAAAGUCAUGCUAGUUGAGCUGAUUAUGAAAAAUACUUGUGUUAAGGGUUGUGAUUCCCGUAGCAUGCACGUAUGGUGAACCGCUUUGUGAUGAAGCUGGAGCACAAUUUUAUUUAUUGAUUGUCUUCCUUAUGAGUGGCGGUCGGGGACGAGCGGUGGUCUUUUCCUACCAAUCUAUCCCCCUAGGAGCAUGCGCGUAGUGCUUUGGUUUUUGAUGACUUCUAGAUUUUUGCAACAAGUACAUGAGUUCUUUUGACUAAUGUUGAGUCCAUAGAUUAUACGCACCCUUUCACCCUUCCAUCAUUGCUAGCUUCUCUUGUGCCGCGCAACUUUCACCGGUGCCAUACACCCAACAUUACCUUCCUCAAAACAGCCACCAUACCUACCUAUUAUGGCAUUUCCAUAGCCAUUCCGAGAUAUAUUGCCAUGCAACUUUCCACCGUUCUGUUCAUAUGACACACAUUACUUUUGUCAUAUUGCUCCUUGCAUGAUCAUGUGGUUGACAUUGUAUUUGUGGCAAGGCCACCUUCAUAAUUUUCAUGCAUGUCACUCUUGAUUCAUUGCAUAUCCCGGUACACCGCUGGAGGCAUUCAUAUAGAGUCAUAUCUUGUUCUAGCUUUGAGUUGUAAUUCUUGAGUUGUAAAUCCAUAAAAGUGUGAUGAUCUUCAUUAUUAGAGCAUUGUCCUAGUGAGGAAAGGAUGAUGAAGACUAUGAUUCCCCCACAAGUCGGGAUGAGACUUCGGACUUUACAAAAAAAAGAGAGAAAAAAAGGAAAGAAAAAAAAGAAAGGCCAAAAAGAAAAAGAAAGAAAGAAAAAAGAAGAAAAAAUAAAAUGAUAGAAAAUAAGAGAAUGGACAAUGCUACUAUCUCUUUUUCCACACUUGUGCUUUAAAAAUAGCACCAUGAUCUUCAUGAUAAAGAGUCUCAUAUGUUGUCACUUUCAUAUAAUAGUGGGAAUUUUUCAUUAUAGAACUUGGCUUGUAUAUUCCAAUGAUGGGCUUCCUUAAAGUGCCCUAGGUCUUCGUGAGCAAGCAAGUUGGAUGCACACCCACUAAGUUUAUUUUGUUGAGCUUUCAUAUAUUUGUAGCUCUAGUGCAUCCGUUGCAUGGCAAUCCCUACCCAGUCACAUUGAUAUCUAUUAAUGGGCAUCUCCAUAGCCCGUUGAUACGCCUAGUUGAUGUGAGACUAUCUUGUCCUUUUUUGUCUUCUCCACAACCACCAUUCUAUCCCACAUAUAGUGUUAUGUCCAUGGCUCACGCUCAUGUAUUGCGUGAAAGUUGAAAGAGUUUGAGAUUAAUAAAGUAUGAAAAAAUUGCUUGGCUUGUCAUCGGGGUUGUGCAUGAUUAAAUACUUUGUGUGAUGAAGAUAGAGCAACAGUCAGACUAUAUGAUUUUGUAGGGAUAACUUUCUUUAGCCAUAGUAUUUUGAGAAGACAUGAUUACUUUGAUUAGUAUACUUGAAGUAUCACCAUUUUCAUGUUAAUAUGAACUUUUAUUUUGUAUCAUUCGGAUCUGAACAUUUAUGCCACAAUAAAGAAAAUUACAUUGAGAAUUAUGCUAGGUAGCAUUCCACAUCAAAAAUUUCUUUUUUUAUCAUUUACCUACUCGAGGACGAGCAGGAAUUAAGCUUGGGGAUGCUUGAUACGUCUCCAACGUAUCUAUAAUUUUUUAUUGUUCCAUGGUAUUAUAUUACCCCUUUGGGAUGUUUAUGGGCUUUAUUUUACACAUUUAUAUCAUUUUUGGGACUAACCUACUAACCGGAGGCCCAGCCCGUAUUGCUGUUUUUUUGCCUAUUUCAGUAUUUCGAAGAAAAGGAAUAUCAAAUGGAGUCCAAACAGAAUGAAACCUUUGGGAGCGUGAUUUUUGGAACAAACGUGAUCCAAAGGACUUGGAGUGCAAGUCAAGAAGAAACCGAGGCCUCCACGAGAUAGGAGGGCGCCCCCCUGUAGGGCGCGCCCCCUGUCUCGUGGGCCCCUCGAGCGUCCACUGACGUACUUCUUCCUCCUAUAUAAGCCUAUGUACCCCGAAAACAUCCAGGGAGCCAGCGAAACACAAUUUCCACCACCAAAACCUUCUGUAUCCGUGUGAUCCCAUCUUGGAAUCUUAGCCGGCGCUCUGCCGGAGGGGAAUCAACCACGGAGGGCUUCUAAAUCAACAUCCUUGCCCCUCCGAUGAGUUGUGAGUAGUUUGCCACAGACCUACGGGUCCAUAAUUAUUAGCUAGAUAGCUUCUUCUCUCUUUUUGGAUCUCAAUACAAUGUUCUCCCCCUCUCUUGUGGAGAUCUAUUCGAUGUAAACUAUUUUUGCGGUGUGUUUGUCGAGAUCCGAUGAAUUGUGGGUUUAUGAUUGAUAACCCACAAGUAUAGGGGAUCAAUUGUAGCCUCUUUAGAUAAGUAAGAGUGUCGAACCCAACAACAAGCUAAAGGUAGAACAAAUAUUCCCUCAAGUUCUAUCGACCACCGAUACAACUCUAUGCACGCUUGACGUUCGCUUUACCUAGAACAAGUAUGAAACUAGAAGUACUUUGUAGGUGUUUCUGGAUAGGCUUGCAAGAAAGUAAAGAGCGGUAAAAUAAAAGCUAGGGGCUGUUUAGAUGAAGACACAACUAAAUUAGUUUUAGUAAAGAGCUUGUUGUCACGAGAAAGUUAUUUGUCCCUAGGCAAUCGAUAACUAGAGCGGUAAUCAUUAUUGCAAUUUUAUUUGAGGGAGAGGCAUAAUGAGGGAGUCCUGGAUUAGGGGGUGUCCGGAUGGCUGGACUAUCACCGUUGGCUGGACUCCUAGACUAUGAAGAUACAAGAUUGAAGACUCCGUCCGGUGUCCGGAUGGGACUUUCCUUGGCGUGGAAGGCAAGCUUGGCAAUACGGAUAUGUAGAUCUCCUACCAUUGUAACUGACUCUGUGUAACCCUAGCCCUCUCCGGUAUCUAUAUAAACCGGAGGAUUUUAGUCCGUAGUACGAACAACAAUCAUACUAUAGGCUAGCUUCUAGGGUUUAGCCUCUUUGAUCUCGUGGUAGAUCUACUCUUUUACUACCCAUAUCAUCAAUAUUAAUCAAGCAGGAGUAGGGUUUUACCUCCAUCGAGAGGGCCCGAACCUAGGUAGAAACAUCGUGUCCCUUGUCUCCUGUUACCAUCCGCCUAGACGCACAGUUCGGGACCCCCUACCCGAGAUCCGCCGGUUUUGACACCGACAUUGGUGCUUUCAUUGAGAGUUCCUCUGUGUCGUCACCUUUAGGCCCGAUGGCUCCUUCGAUCAUCAACAACGACGCGGUCCAGGGUGAGACCUUUCUCCCCAGACAGAUCUUCGUAUUCGGCGGCUUUGCACUACGGUCCAAUUUGCUAGGCCAUCUGGAGCAGAUCGAAAGCUACGCCCCUGGCCAUCAGGUCAGAUUCGGGAGUUUGAAUUACACGGCCAACAUCCGCGGAGACUUGAUCUUCGACGGAUUCGAGCCACAGCCAAGUGCGCCGCACUGUCUCAACAGGCACGAUCUAGCUCUGCCGCCGAACAGUACCCUGGAGGCUGCACCAGAGCCCGCUCCGACCCUUAGCUCGGAGCCGACUUCGCCGAUCGAGGAUGGGUGGCUGGACACCGCCUCGGGGGCUACGAUCUCUACGGCGAUCGAGUCGAACACCAUCCCUGUCCUUUGCGAAGAUCGUGACUCCAAGGUGCCGGACUCCUCUCCGGACUCCGAACCUUCCGCGCCCCUGCCAAUCGAAUCCGGUUGGGCGCCUGUUAUGGAGUUCACUGCCGCAGACAUCUUUCAGCACUCGCCCUUCGGCGACAUCCUGAACUCGCUAAAGUCUCUCUCUUUAUCAGGAGAGCCCUGGCCGAACUAUGGUCAGGAGGUUGGGACAAGGACGACGAAGAAAUUGAACGCGCACCCACCACCCACUUUGUAGCCAUUGUCGAUGAUUUAACCGACAUGCUCGACUUUGACUCCGAAGACAUCGACGGUAUGGACAACAAUGCUGGAGACGACCAAGAACCAGUGCCUACAGGGCACUAGAAGGCCACCUCAACUCAUGACGUAUAUGUAGUGGAUACACCUAAACAAAGCGAUAACGAGGAACAACGGGACGCUGCGAAGGAUAAUUCCCUCAAAAAGCAGUCAAAACGGCGACGUAAGCGCCGCUCAAAGUCCCGCCUCGACAAAGACAGCACCCAUACAGACCCAGCCAUAGAGCAGGGUGAACCGGCAGACGACGAACAUGCCAUCGAGCAACCAUACAGGAUAACUUGGAUAAACAAUCCGUCCCCGGCGAAGAUAACAGUCCGGACGAUCUCACGCCGGACACAUCGUUGGAGCAGAAGAACCUCCACAAAAGGCUCGUCGCCACUGCAUGUAGCUGAAAAAGCAGAAGCGGAAGCUCAAAACAGCGGAAGACGCACUCAGAAUGAGAUGGAGCAAAGUACUCAACUCCGCAGACAAAUACGGCGAUAGUCGCCAAACAAAGAGCUACCAGAAGCGCAAACUACUGCCCGAAUUUGACUAGGAGGCCGUAAAGCCCCCACAAUCAAAGAACAAAGAGGCCGCCCAGUCGGAUAGACGACCACAUGGCAAACAUAGAGCGGCAAGCGGCGCCGCACACAAGCCGGCACGCGAUCCGCAUAAGGAUCCGCACCAAAAGGAUGGCCCAGUCAGGUCUAUCUAUGGGCCAAGAAAGCAAGCUCUAGAAAGCAAUGCAACACGUCAAGUAUUCAAACACCACAGCACACCCAAAUACAGGGGUGCCGCACACCCACUAUGUUUCACCGAUGAGGUACUGGAUCAUGAAUUUUCAGUGGGAUUCAAGCCCGUAAACAUAGAGGCAUACGACGGAACAACAGACCCUGGAGUCUGGAUUGAGGAUUAUAUCCUGCACAUACACAUGGCUAGAGGAGAUGACCUCCACGCCAUAAAAUACUUACCCCUCAAGCUCAAAGGGCCAGCUCGGCAUUGGCUCAAAAGCCUCCCGGAAAAUACCAUUGGAAGUUGGGAAGAGCUCGAGGAUGCGUUUCGGGCAAAUUUUCAGGGGACUUAUGUCUGCCAUCCAGAUGCAGACGAUUUAAGUCACAUAACUCAACAGCCCGGAGAGUCAGCCCGCAAAUUCUAGAAUAGGUUCCUCACCAAAAAGAACCAAAUAGUCGACUGUCCGGAUGCCGAAGCCUUAGCAGCUUUCAAACACAACGUCCGAGAUGAAUGGCUCGCCAGACACCUUGUCCAAGAAAAGCCGAGAACAAUGGCCGCAUUAACACGCCUCAUGACCCGCUUUUGCGCAGGAGAGGAUAGCUGGCUGGCAAGAUGCAGCACCAGCGACCCAAGUACAUCCGAGGUCAGGGAUGGAAAUGGGAAACCACGACGCAACAAGGACCAGCGCCGGACCAAGGGAAAUAGUCCGAAGAGCACGACAGUCAACGCCGGAUUCAAAAGCUCUCGGCAGAACAAUAAAAAACUGCCUCUUAAGGACAACAGCGACGAGCUAUCCAAAUUAAACAAAAUCUUGGACAAGAUAUGCCAAAUCCACAGUACUCCCGGGAAGCCUGCAAACCAUACCCACAGAGAUUGUUGGGUCUUUAAGCAGUCCGGCCGACUUAACGCCGAACACAAGGGGCUCGACACACCAUGUGAGGACGACGACGAACCCCACAAGCAGAGCACCGGAAAACAAAAGAAUUUCCCGCAAGCGGUCAAAACAGUAAACUCACUUCAAGUGACAAAAGGGAAAAACAGAACAGCGCCGGCUGAAAUACACGCCGCACGGUCUACCCCAGCGGAGUCCCAACACUGGUUGUCAAAACCAAUCACCUUCGACCAUCAGGACUACUCCGGAAGUAUCCGGAACACAGGAUGUACUGCCUUGAUAUUAGAUCCUAUAAUCAACGGACUCCAAUUUACACAAGUCCUAAUGGACGGCGGCAGUGAUCUAAACCUGCUAUAUCAGGACACAAUCCGUAGAAUGGGGAUAGACCCAACCAAAAUUCGCCAUAGCAACACUUCCUUUAAAGGAGUGAUGCAGGCCCAUAUGCCCAUUGCACGGGCUCUCUACCACUAGAAGUUGUGUUCGGCUCAUCCGACAACUUCCGUCGCGAAAAGUUAGUCUUCCACAUCGCCCCAUUUAAAAAUAGCUAUCAAGCACUAUUGGGAAGCGAAGCUUUCGCCUGCUUUAACGCAAUACCGCAUUACGCAUCUCUUACACUCAAAAUGCCCGGUCCACGCGGCAUCAUCUAAUUAAAAGGGAAACUUCGAGUGUUCCUCGAAUACGGAAGAACGUGAGACUGCCUUGACAGCCACACACUAAUCCGGCUUUGCUGAUCAAAGCACCUAAACAGGUCAUUCAGACCCCGGACACGGUUAGGCGAGUCUGGCAUAAAUAAACAAGGGGCUUACUAGCCGCGUACCCCCUUACAAGGGGCUCCACGCAUGUACAACAAGAGAAAAUAAAGCUCAAUUUUAUUCAUUUAUUGAAUCAUACUCUGUUUAUUUUAAAAUACAUUUUCCGCACGAUCUUUUUUUCCCAACUAAGUUCUUCUCUUUUAGAGAUGAACACCGUGCUACACCCGUCCAGGAUAUGGCACAACAGAGACACAGGCGCAGACGUGCAAUAGGGACCCGUUGCAAUGAUUCUUUUCAGACUAAGACCCUGCGUAAACCUUUUUUACUGUCUCUUGUUGAUACACAUUGUUCGCACACGAACACAUCACCGUGUAUCUCCAACGCCGAGGGUGAUGCACCGCAGCUCACGUUGAAGGAGACCCGGCCGGAAGCGCGGUAUGCAGGCAAUCCGGCGGGUGCUUUUGAGGACCCGAAACCCCACACGCCCGGGACGGACCCCGUCUGGGCGUGCAGCGGCUAUGGGCUGUCCUAGGUCGACCUGACCGCCCCUAGGGCCUCGAGGUUCGCCGCCCUGCAACAAGAAGAACAGACGAAGAACAAGGAAGAAAAAGAACUAGGGUUAACGAGAAAAGAUAAAAGAUAAAAAGUGGUAGAUGAAUUGAUCGAUUGUGUGUUGUUCAAUCGGCCGUCACCCCUUAGGUAUAUAAGAGGCGGCUGGACUUCCCGUGCAAGGAAAAGGCUUGGAUUCACGUCCAAAACCCUAGUCAAAUUCGGAUUGGUUUUGUCCGAACUUUCCAAAACUGUUCAGUUUAAACUGGCUGCACCUUGCGGGUCUUUUUUGUGGUGGUAAACGAUCUCGGAUGGAAACAAGCCCAAAAGCAAUCUUGACCGUUUCGACGAGACGAACAACUUUUAUGUUGAACGUUUUUUUAUAAGAGAUCAUCUUGCGGGUCAAAGUGGUCGCGCAAAAUAGGCUAUCCCUCGCGCUACCCAUCAGACAGUGUGUCUGGUGGGGCGCGCCAGUUUUUGCCUCCUGACAGGGCUGUAUUCCAAUGGCUCUAAUUUUUGCAUCCGAACUCGGAUUGGAACGAUUUUUAUAUCAAAAUCGAUCGUUUCGACGAGACGAAGACAAUACCUGUAGAUAAUUUUUCCAUUUGAGGUCGUCGUGGGGGCUUAAUCAUCCAAACUGUACUCUGAAUAUAAGAUCUUAGUACUUUGAGCAUAGUUUCGGCCUUCGAGAUGAAAUCGGACUGUGAUGACCCAAACUUCAAAGAUGUUCAUAUCCACAAUACGGAACUCUUUCAUAAAGAUCACUUCUCCAUUUGAGGCCAUCUUAAAUAAGUUAUUGACCGUGCCAAAAUCUGGUGUCAACACAUGCCCCCCUGUUUUUCGGCAAAGUUUGUGUGCCAAAAAAUAACUUCCGCAUAGCUUGUUCUAAGGACGAUGUCAACACUCCAUCGACCAUUUUGCAUGUUCUUAGGAAGACAAGUAUAUAUCGGCCAUUGCUUGUUUGAACCUCUUGAUGCAAACUUGGGUGAAAACUUCUCAACUUCUAUAACAAUCCGGUGAUAAGGUUCCAUAGAUCUAAACCAUCCUCCGAACCAUAUUGUUCACCCUUUCGCUAGGAUUUUGCAGAUAAUCAAGAAUGAACUUCCUUCAAUCCUUACUUCGCCUGCAUAAAAGUUUCAUUAGUGGCCGAAGCGGUAGGCUUCGAUUCAGCCUUACCUAUGUUGACAAGACCUAGCAUCGGCUGUUGAUAGAAAUGCAAUACACGAUGGUUAACAUAGUAGCCGGACGCAAACCUUCGGCUUAACUGUUUUUGGCUUCCAUCCUUCUCUUUCUUCACUUUUGUAACACUUGUUGCAAUAGAAGGUUGCACAUCACUUUCAUUUUGACUGCUCCUCUUCAGAACCCAUGCCAUGUUCUUCUUUUUCAGCUCUUGUGCACUAAGUUUUUGUAAUUCCUUCUUUCGCCAAUACGAUAAACCGAGUGGGCAUCUCGGCUGUGAUUUUGUUUCAACAAAUGGCAACUCUUUUUGGGCCUUGUGCACCCUCAACUUCUUUUCUUCAGAUUUGGCACUCUGAUUUUUAUCAAUUGAUUGUUUUGUCUCAUUGCCUUUAGUAGCCAAUGUCAACACUUUAAUUGGCUCUUUUUCAUUUGUGAUCAAAUCUGAAAUUGCACUCUUACGAACAUCUCUUUUAAUGCGGUAAACCUGCUUGACCACCUCUUUCUUCUUCCUUGAGCUCUGGACCGAUUCCUUAUGAUUGAAACGGUCUUUGACGCGUGAUUGUUCAAAAGUUGAUCUUCUUUGAGCUGCAUAGUAUUGGUGAGAUGGUCUAGGAUAAGAUGUAGAAUGUGCCCUUGUAUCAUACCUGUCCCGUGAUGUAUAUGUAUCUAUAUGAGCAUAGGGAGGUAUCCACGGCAUUGACAUUGACGGCCCAAAAUAAGGAUAUGAAUAUGUUGCAUUAAAAUUAUCACUUUGCCAAUACCAAUCCUCAUAUUUGCACCUUGGGGGUGAUCUUGGUUUCUUUGCAUGAUUUGGCCGAUAAGCAUUCUUCUCUUCACUCUUCUUUUGAUAUUUUUCCAAUAGUUGUGCGAAAGUGACUUUCGGCUUUUUACCUUUGUGCUUACGUUGUUUUCUUUGAUUGUGCUUGCACCGAUCUUUGGAUUUGCUUGCUGCCCCCCAGUACUUGGUAUCUCCAUUGUAGCUUUGAUGGAAUUGUCACCCUCAAGAUUACGUUCAUUAUGCUCUUCAACAACUUCUUUACUUGAAAGCUUGAUCCCAUCACCUGUAGUUUUUACCUUCUCUUUAAAUGUAUCGGCUUGAAGCAGCUGUUGCAAAAACUUUUUGCCAUCAGGACCAAUCGGAAUAGACUGGUCAUCUCUUGUUGUUUCAACAAACUUCAAUCGUCCUUUUUCAAUGGCCGAUUUAACUAUUUGACGGAACAUGUUGCAAUCCUCAAAAUUAUGCUUGAACGAAUCAUGCAACUUACAAUACAUUCGUCCUUGGAUAGAUGACUCAACAUGGUGACCAAGAAUUCUUAUGUAAUUAUUUUUCAGCAAUAAAUCAAAUAUUUGGUCACACAUGCUUGAAUUGAAGGUAAACUUCUUAUUUUCUAGCCGAUCCUGCUGUGUGAACGGCUUUGGAGAUAAGCAAACGAAUGGUUCAGAUUUGGAAUCUCCCCAUUCGGCUAUACAUUGUGUUUUCCACUCUAUCUCUGGUGUCUUUGGAUAAGAUAUUAUAUUAGCAUCGGAUUUCUCAAAAGAAAUUAACCUUGGCUUUAAACUUCUGAAACGAAAAUAUUAAAGAACACACAUGUCUCAAUUGAGACGAAGUGCAAGCCAAGUACGAAAUAAGCAAAGCUACCCAACUAGAUACGAACUUUAGAUAAAGCAACGGGAAAAGCUUUGGCUGUAACAAUAAGUCAUUAUCGGUCUUUAUAAAUGGCGCAAUGUGUUGACCGAUAUGUUCCAUAACAAGUUUAUUGCUAACAAGUAAAUUACCCUUCUUCAUUGGUCUUUCAAAAUUAUUUAUGAGAAUAUUUCUUAUAGAUGCAUCAAUAAUGAAGUUGCGACCAAAUCUGAAAAUAGGCAACUUACUCUCUAUGCAUACCUCUUCAAAUAUGUUGGGAGAGCAUGAUGGUGGUGCCACUUGAAGAACAUCUUGCUCCGUCUUCGGAUGGCUCCACAACACCUUGUCAUCAUCUUUUUCUUGAUUCCAUGCAUCAUUGCUUUGAAGAUCCAUGUCAGUCGAACUUUGUUCGGCUACUUGUUCUUGUCCUUGAGGCUUGUCAAUUUCUAUGGCACGAAACUCAUAGGGCAGGAAGUAGGUUCCAUUGACUUUGGAAAAAUCAAGUAUGGUUGUUUUGCUAUGCUUUCCAUGCCCUUUCUCAAUAAUGCUUGCCUCUUUGGAUUUGAUGGUCUCAGAAUAUAUACUACUUGAUUCGGCUUUUCUAAUAACCGAAUUUUCUUUGUUACCUGAAUCAACAACUUUAUCUUUUUGAAUUUGCAAGGCUUCUCGCUCUCGUCUAAUUUUAGCCCACAUCUCAGCUUGGCGAGCUUUAAACUUUUUCAUCUCAAUUUCCAUCCACUCGUCAUGAGAUUGCCCCCUAAUACUUUGAGACUCUUUCGGCAAUGAGGUGCCGAAACAUUGCGAUUUUUUAGGUGGUACACUGGAUGGUACAGCACUGGGCGACUGCAUCAUUUGCACAAUUCUAGCUUUUAUAGCAGCAAAAUCAUGAGGCUUCCCGCCUUCUAUUAGUUCCUGGCGAAUAGAGUUGCACAAAUCCCAAGAGAAUAUAAGCUUGUUCUCAAUUACCCAGUCUGGAUAUGGUUGCCCCCCAAUGCUUUUAGACUCUUUCGGCAAUGAGAUGUUGCCGAAAUUCUGUAAUUGUGUAGGGGGGACAUGAUAUGCCACGGUAGUUGGUGAAGGAAUUUGUGCUCCUGCAGAAGUUUCACUUAUUCGGCCAUGGCCAUGAAGGUGCUGAGCCAAAUUAUGGACAUCAACAGUUGCGUAUGGUGCCAACAAAUUAGUAGCGUUAGCUGUAGCAUAUGAUGUUUGAGUGUAAUUGGCCAAAUAACUAGUAGUAACAUGCCAAUUCCCCUCUCCACCGGCACCUUUGGAUUAGCGUACUGCAAGUUAUUUGCCGAUGAAUAAAAACUUGAAACACUUUGUUGCAUACCAUUGGAAGUUCCUACAUAGGGUGUCUCAACUUGAUUAACCGAACUCAUCAUGUUAUUCAUCAGCAUAUAAAUUUGUGGGGUUGCCGAUGCAUGGGAGUUGGGAUACAUAUGUUGCAUGUUGCUAAAAUUAUAUGAAGUAGAAUCAUGGAGAUUUUGUUGCAUCAGCCCUUGCACAUAAUUAGAUGCAUGAUUGAUAAAGCUAGGGCUAGCCGAUACAUUAUGCUCAUUAGAUGAUCUAGCAACAACAUAUGCACUAUUUGCAUCAUAUGUGAAUUGGGUAUUCAUAUUACCUUUGUAGAUUGCAAACCCUACAUGACGAUCUCUUCGUAGCAAGAACGGGCCGGAGACCGUUCAAAGAUUCGUCCCCAGUGGAGUCGCCAAAAAGUGUGUUCGCACACGAACACGUCACCGUGUACCUCCAACGCCGAGGGUGAUGCACAGCAGCUCACGUUGAAGGAGACCCGGCCGGAAGCGCGGUACGCAGGCAAUCCGGCGGGUGCUUUUGAGGACCCGAAACCCCACACGCCCGGGAGGGACCCGUCUGGGCGCGCGGCGGCUAUGGGCUGCCCUAGGUCGACCUGACCGCCCCUAGGGCCUCGAGGUUCGCCGCCAUGCAACAAGAAGAACAGACGAAGAACGAGGAAGAAAAAGAACUAGGGUUAAGGAGAAAAGAUAAAAGAUAAAAAGUGGUAGAUGAAUUGAUCGAUUGUGUGUUGUUCAAUAUGCCGUCACCCCUUAGGUAUAUAAGAGGCGGCUGGACUUCCCGUGCAAGGAAAAGGCUAGGAUUAACGUCCAAAACCCUAGUCAAAUUCGGAUUGGUUUUGUCCGAACUUUCCAAAACUGUUCGGUUUAAACUGGCUGCACCUUGCGGGUCUUUUUUGUGGUGGUAAAUGAUCUCGGAUGGAAACGAGCCCAAAAGGAAUCUUGACCGUUUCGACGAGACGAAAAACUUUUAUGUUGAACGUUUUUUGAUCAGAGAUCAUCUUGAGGUUCAAAUCGGUCGCAUAAAACAGGCUAUCCCUCGCGCUACCCAUCAGACAGGGUGUCUGGUGGGGCGCGCCAGUUUUUGCCUCCUGACAGGGCUGUAUUCCGAUGGCUUUAACUUUUGCAUACGAACUCAGAUUGUAACGUUUUUUGUAUCAAAAUCGAUCAUUUCGACGAGACGAAGACAAUCCGUGUAGAUAAUUUUUCCAUUUGAUGUCGUCUUGGGGUCUUAAUCAGCCAAACUGUACUCUGAAUAUAAGAUCUUAGUACUUUGAGCAUAGUUUCGGCCUUCGAGAUGAAAUCGGACUGCAAUGACCCAAACUUCAAAGAUGUUCAUAUCGACAAUACAGAACUCUUUCAUGAAGAUCACUUCUCCAUUUGAGGCCAUCUUACAUAAGUUAUUGACCGUGCCAAAAUCUGGUGUCAACACACAUCCCCCGGUUUCUUGCUAUAACCGAGGAGGAGGCUGGCGUUUUGGCAUCGGCCGCGUCAGCAAUUUUUGCGCGUACCUGGACACUAGGGGCUUAGGGCAUUGUUCUGCCCGUUUUCAUAAAGAACGAAUACCUUAGGGAGUGUUCGGCGUCUUGAGUUAGGCCUUAUAUGCAUCAGCUCUGAAUCAUGUCUUUGGUCAAAUGUUGGGUUUGCCCGGCUCCUGUGUUUUGCUGCCUUACGUUCCGCUCUAUCGGCUAACGCUGCACUAGGAGAACUACUGCGAUUGUGCCCCGGUUCGGCCUAGUGAGCACCUCAGUAGAGAAAGCCGAAAACUGACUGUCAUGAUAUAGCGUGAGACUGGUCAACCACUCGAUGACCCACCGGAAUGUUCAGAAAUCCUCCGCAUUAACGAAGGACCGUUUCCCGGUCAGGCACAUACGCGCCCCGAAUUCGGAGAGCGUGGUGACCCUAGGGGCUAUAUAGUAGCCCCACCAUCGAACCCCUAUGGCUAAGUGAAAGUGAUAAAGCAUUAUACUCCGGUUGCCUAGUUUGCUACGCUAUCACCUCCUUCACAGGACCAAGACAUUGGAUUAAGUGUGAAAAUGCGCUUUUUUUGCAAACACCCCCGCACUAUGUGCGUGGGGGCUGAAGCCGAAGACUGCCAUCUUUCAGGUUAUAUACACAUAUACAUUAACGGCCGCAGAUGAGGUAGCUCAAUACUUGAACGCGCAAGUAUAGAAAGCCCUUAUAUUAUAUUGAAACAUCAUUUCACAAAUCAUACAUGUCAUUAGAACAUAAUAUCCUUCGAGCACUGCGUCUCUAUUAAACGAGCGCCCUGCAGGACUUCCUCAAAAUAGUGCUCGGCAGGUACUCGGCUUCUGUCCGAAUCCUGGAAUGCAACGUCGGUGGCCUUCAUCUCUGCCCAGUAUGUUUUGACACGGGCAAGAGCCAUCCGCGCACCCUCUAUGCAUGCCGACCGCCUCAUUGCAUCGAUAUGCGGCACCGCACCAAGGAACUGCUGCACCAAGCUAAAUAACUCUUCGGCUCGGGCCUUUUCGGCCACAAAUGAGUCACGACAUCCUUCAUGGCAAGUCCGGACAACCUAUUCAGCUGAGCCCAUUCGGCCAAACGAUCGGUCAAUAAAAGCGGACGCUCUGGACUAUGGAACUGCGACCAAAAAAGCUAUUCCAUUCGGUGAUCCUUUUGGCCUCGGAAGUGUGUGACUGCGUCUGCGACACUCGCCGCCAAAUCCAGAUAAGCAUCCUCCACACCCCACAGCUGGCCCAACUGAGCAUACGUCGGAUCCGUGAACUUCCUCCGUAGCAGAAAGGGCUUUCCAGCCGCGAUAUCCCCGGCUUGACGUAGCUCUUCUCCUUUAUAGCUCUCAUCGUGGAGCGGGCAUCCUUGGCUUCGGUGGUGGCCUUCUUCAGGUCCUCUUGCUCCGCUCGGUGUUCUUUUUCAAGAAACUUGCAGCGGUUGGUAGCAUUCUUCAACUUCCCGGCCAUCUCGGCCAUUUCCUCCGUGCUUCGGCAGUGAACAGCCUGUUCGGCUUUUAGCUCCUCGGCCGCCCUCAAGGCAGCCGCAUCACUUUUUCUGGCUUGCUCCUUGACUCGGGCUAGCUCCGCCCGAAGGUUCUCUAUAGCAGCGGCACCAUCUGCAUAAAGCAUAGAUGUUGUAAGGCAUGGGCAUCAAGCUCCCUUACCAGGUGUCCGCGGAGAAGUUGCAUACCUUGCAACUCGUCAAGCCGCUUAUUGACAAGCGCAAUGUCCGCAUCCGCCACGUCAAGUUGCCGCUUCAGUUCAGCAAAUUGAUCAGUCUGGCUGGCCACCGGACGCUCCGCCACCUAUAUAGGACAGGCGACAUCUUACAACUGAGAUUAUGAUCCUCGGCGCGCUGUCACUUUCGGGCUACUAUCUAUACAGGGCGCAUUCUAUAUGCAAAACUGUCAUAAGGUAUAUCAUUUUCGCAUACCUCAAACCCCGUCAGUAAACUUCUGACGGCUUCAUGCAAUCCGCUCUCAGCGGAUUAAAUCCUUUCAAUCACCGUACCCAUUAACGCACGGUGAUCUUCUGAGAUAGACGCUCGCCCGAGCAGAUCCUUCAGCUCCUCCGACCGUACACCAGUUGGUGCCGGACCUCCCGGCCCCGCCGGACUCGGGGAAACCCUCCGCGACGACACCUCAGGGUCGUCCGCCCCGCAUGACGGUGCGGCAGAUGGAGGCGUUUCGCUCUUGGUCGUCUCCGGACGAAGAUCCCCCGAAGAUGAGCUCUACUGAGAAGGGCUGAGAUCCGAACUACAAGGUAAAACUUCGGUUAUCUUCAGAAAUAAAAACAGGGAUGUCGCUUAUUACAAAACUCCCCUUUCUACUUACGGCUCGCUGGAGGGCUGAUUCCCUUGGGGAAAUAGUGCGGCCGGGGCUUCUCCUGGUGCAGGACCCUCUAGUGAAGAUUCCUUCCCCCGCUUUGAGGCCUUGGCCUCCGGAUCUUCAGAAGCGGUCCUCUUCUCCCCCUGGAGGGAGGGAUUCUCAAUCCCCCCUUUCUUGAAAGCCUCCUUCGCGGAGGCAGUAGCUUCCCUGUUCCCCCCUUUGCCCUCUUCCAAAGGCGCAGCCUCCAGCAUCUUGGUUAACACAGGAUCCGGCGUGGUCUCAGGGAGGGGGGUCGGACACCUUAUUAGUUUUGCUUUCGCUAUCCACUCCUAUUCAAAGGACAACUCUUUAAAGGGCAAGUUUAUGAUAAAUGUACGGAUAGCGUGUCUAGGCACAGGACUACUUACUUGAGUAUCCGGGCGAUUGCAGCUCAGACCUGCGUCCUCGGUCAAGUCCGGACACAUCUCUUGUGAUCUGAAGAACAGUUUAUACAUCUCCACGGUGUCGCACCCAUGAAGUGUUGGAGAGCUCGUGGUCCCUCCAGAUUAAAUUCCCACAGGCGCCGAAUCAGCAUGACCUGCGCCACUACGACCAGAUUGAUCUCUCUCUCUUGGAGGUCUUGAAUACGGCCCUGCAGCAGAGGUACAUCCUUGGACGGCCCCCAGUCGAGCCCUUUGUUGACCCAUGACGCCAGCCGCUAUGGAGGACCUGAGCGGAAGGCAGGUGGCACCACCCACUUGGUGCCCCUGGGAGCGGUGAUGUAAAACAACUCUCGUUGCCAUAAACCGAGCACCUCUUGAAAAGAGCCCUCGGGCCAUGGAGCGUCAGCAUUUUUGCUUAUAAUAGCCCCUCCGCACUCUGUCUGCUGCCCCUUGAUCAUCUUUGGCUCCACUUUGAAGGUCUUGAGCCACAAUCCGAAGUGAGGGGUAAUGCGGAGGAAGGCUUCGCAUACGACAAUGAACGAUGAGAUGUGGGGGAUGGACUCCGAAUCCAAGUCGUGGAAUUCCAGCCCAUAAUAAAACAUGAGCCCCCUCAUGAAGGGGUCUGUCGGGAAGCCUAAACCCCGAAGGAAGUGAGACACGAACACCACGCUUUCACCAGGCUUGGGAGUGGGAAUAACUUGCCCUUGGGCAAGUAGCCUAUGCGAAAUUUCGCCGGUUAGAUACCUGGCGUCUCUCAGCUUUAGCAUGUCUUCUUCCGUGAUGGAAGAGGCAUCCACCGACCUUGCAGGUCGAAGGCGGACAUCGUCGAAGGUCCGAAGCGCCUGAAUCUGGAGCUUUGGGUGUUGGAACUUGAGGCGAGGGGCGGAUUCGAUUGAGAUUGAAAGAAAGGAGCAGGUCUUGGUCUCGUUAUAAAGAGGUUGAAUACCAAGAGCCCUCCCCGUGGUUGUUUGGGACUCGCCUUCGAUAGAGGGGGCGUGCCAACAGGCACGCUUGGGUUACCCACGCCUGUAUUGAUGAGGAUCCCGGAAUAAGGGGGCAUGAUCUUCGCUUUGAUAAGACGUGCCAAGGAAACCGCAUCGCUAAAUGCGCUGAGGUGGGACAGUAAAAAACGAUUCGAAUGAAGGCCUGGCCGUGGUGUGAUGUCACGCCGCGGAAUACGUCAGUAGAUCUGUGUAAAGAUUAUUCUCUCUACGGUGGUAUGUGGAACUUGUUUUGCAGAGCCGGACACUAUCCUUGUGUUCAAAAUCUUCUAUGAAGUAUUCGGAGGAGGAACCCGCCUUGCAAUGCCGAAGAUAAUAUGCGCGCUGGACUCGUCGUCAUUGAAGCCUGGUUCAGGGGCUACUGAGGGAGUCCUGGAAUAGGGGGUGUCCGGAUGGACGGAGUAUCACCGUUGGUCGGACUCCUAGACUAUAAAGAUACAAGACUGAAGUCUCCGUCCCGUGUCCGGAUGGGACUUUCCUUGGCGUGGAAGGCAAGCUUGGCAAUACGGAUAUGUAGAUCUCCUACCAUUGUAACCGACUUUGUGUAACCCUAGCCCUCUCCGGUGUCUAUAUAAACCGGAGGGUUUUAGUCCAUAGGACGAACAACAAUCAUACCAUAGGCUAGCUCUAGGGUUUAGCCUCUUUGAUCUCGUGGUAGGUCUACUCUUGUACUACCCAUAUCAUCAAUAUUAAUCAAGCAGGAGUAGGGUUUUACCUCCAUCGAGAGGGCCCGAACAUGGGUAAAAACAUCGUGUCCCUUGUCUCCUGUUACCAUCCGCCUAGACACACAGUUCGGGACCCCCUACCCGAGAUCCACCGGUUUUGACACCGACACAUAAGCUAACAUACUUUCUCUACUUGGAUCAUAUGCACUUAUGAUUGGAACUCUAGCAAGCAUCCACAACUACUAAAGAUCAUUAAGGUAAAACCCAACCAUAGCAUUAAGGCAUCAAGUCCCCUUUAUCCCAUAUGCAAACAACCUACUUACUCGGGUCUGUGCUUCUGUCACUCACGCCACCCACCAUAAGCAAAUCAUGAACAUAUUGCAAACCCUACAGCGGGAAUCCCUCACACUUGCGGGACACGGAGAGCACCAUAGGACAGCACCAAUAAUAAAACAUGCAACUCAAACCAAUCUUGAUCAUCAAAUAGCCCAUAGGACAAAACCGAUCUACUCAAACAUCAUAGUAUAGCCAUACAUCAUUGGGAAAUAAUAUAUAGCGUUGAUCACCAUGUUUAAGUAGAGAUUACAGUGGGUAAGAGAGAGGUUACACCUCUGCAUAGAGGGGGGAAGAGUUGGUGAUGAUGGCGGUGAAGUUGUUGGUGAAGAUUGCGGUGAUGAUGCUGGCCACGGCGGUGUUCCGGCACCACCAGAAGAGAAGGGGAGAGGGAGCCCCUUUGUCUUCUUCUUCAUUGACCUCCUCCCUAGAUGGGAGAAGGGUUUUUCCCCUCUGGUCCUUGGCCUCCAUGGGGUGGGAGGGGCAAGAGCCCCUCCGAGAUUGGAUCUAUCUCUCUGUUUCUGCGUUCUGUUUCACCGUUUCGUGUAUAUAUGGAGAUCCGUAACUCCAAUUGGCCUGAAACUUUCGCCAUGAUUUUUUUUCAAAAAUUAGCUUCCUUGCGGCAAAAGAAGAGCGUCAAACGCCUUACAGGUGGGUCACGAGGGUCAGGGACGUGCCCUAGGGGGGGCACGCCCCCCUACCUCGUGCCCACCUCGGACACUGGUUCGUGUUGAUUUUUCAUCCAGAUUUUCCAAAUAUUCUGAAAAGUAUCUCCGUCCCUUUUUAUCCCGUUUGGACUCCGUUUGAUAUGGAUAUUCUGCGAAACCAAAAACAUGCAACAGACAGAAACUGGCACUGGGCACUGGAUCAAUAUGUUAGUCCCAAAAAUAGUAUAAAAAUUUGCCAAAAAGUAUUGAAAGUUGAAUAAUAUUGGCAUGGAACAAUCAAAAAUUAUAGAUACGACGGAGACGUAUCAGCAUCCCCAAGCUUAAUUCCUGCUUGUCCUCGAGUAGGUAAAUGAUAAAAAAGAUAAUUUUUUGAUGUGGAAUGCUGCCUAGCAUAAUCUUGAUAAUAUAUCUAAUCACGGCAUGAAUAUUAAGACACGAGUGAUUCAAAGCAAUAAUCUAUCUUUUGACAUAAAAACAAUAAUACUUCAAGCAUACCAACCAAGCAAUUCUGUCUUAUUGAAAUAACAUAGCCAAAGAAAGCUCAUCUCUACAAAAUCAUAUAGUCUGGCUAUGCUCCAUCUUCACCACACAAAAUAUUCACAUCAUGCACAACCCCGAUGACAAGCCAAGCAAUUGUUUCAUACUUUUGACAUUUCUCAAACCUUUUCAACUUUCACGCAAUACAUGAGCGUGAGCCAUGGACAUAGCACUAUAGGUGGAAUAGAGUAUGAUGAUGGGGGUUAUGUGGAGAAGACAAAAAAGGAAAGUCUCACAUCAACUAGGCGUAUCAACGAGCUAUGGAGAUGCCCAUUAAUAGAUAUCAAUGUGAGGAGUAGGGAUUGCCAUGCAACGAAUGCACCAGAGCUAUAAGUGUAUGAAAGCUCAAACUGAAACUAAGUGGGUGUGCAUCCAACUUGCUUUCUCAUGAAGAUCUAGGGCAUUUGAGGAAGCCCAUCGUUGGAAUAUACAAGCCAAGUUCUAUAAUGAAAAUUCCCACUAGUAUAUGAAAGUGAUAACUCAAGAGACUCUCUAUAUGAAGAACAUGGUGCUACUUUGAAGCACAAAUGUGGUAAAAGGUUAGUAACAUUGCCCCUUUUUUUCUUUUUUUUGCGGGCUUCUUUGGCCCCAUUUGUUAUUUAGGCUUAUUUGGCCUCUCUCUUUUUGGAUGGGGCAAUGCUCCAAUAAUGAUGAUCAUCACACUUUUAUUUACUUACAACUCGAUAUUACAACUCGAUACUAGAACAAAGAUAUGACUCUAUAUGAAUGCCUCCGGCGGUGUACCGGGAUGUGCAAUGAUCUAGCGUAGCAAUGACAUCAAAAAACGGACAAGCCAUGAAAACAUCAUGCUAGCUAUGUUACGAUCAUGCAAAGCAAUAUGACAAUGAAUGCUCAAGUCAUGUAUAUGAUGAUGAUGGAAGUUGCAUGGCAAUAUAUCUCGGAAUGGCUAUGGAAAUGCCAUGAUAGGUAGGUAUGGUGGCUGUUUUGAGGAAGAUAUAAUGAGGCUUAUGUGUCACAGAGCGUAUCGUAUCACGGCGUUUGGAUGCACCGGCGAAGUUUGCUCCAACUCUCGAGGUGAGAAAGGGCAAUGCACGGUACCGAAGAGGCUAGCAAUGAUGGAAGGGUGAGAGUGCGUAUAAUCCAUGGACUCAACAUUAGUCAUAAAGAACUUACAUACUUAUUGCAAAAAUCUAUUAGUCAUCGAAACAAAGUACUACGCGCAUGCUCCUAGGGGGAUCUAUUGGUAGGAAAAGACCAUCGCUCGUCCCCGACCGCCACUCAUAAGGAAGGCAAUCAAUAAACACCUCAUGCUCCGACUUCUUUACAUAACGGUUCACCAUACGUGCAUGCUACGGGACAUGCAAACCUUAACACAAGUAUUUCUCAAUUUCACAAUUACUCAACUAGCACGACUCUAAUAUCACCACUUUUAUAUCGCAAAACUAUUGCAAGGAAUCAAACAUAUCAUAUUCAGCGAUCUACAAGUUUUAAGUAGGGUUUUAUGACUAACCAUGUGGAUGACCAGUUCCUGUCAUCUCUCUAAAUAGAUAUAAGUGAAGCAAGAGAGUUUAAUUCUUUGUACAAAAGAUAUGCCCAUUCUCUAACAAAUAUAAGUGAAGCAAAAGAGCAUUCUACAAAUGGCGGUUGUCUAUGUAAAGAUAAACAGGCAAUCCAAACUUCAAAAGAUAUAAGUGAAGCACAUGAAGCAUUCUAUAAAGCCAUACUCAAAGAAUAUAAGUGAAGUGCGUAGAGCAUUCUAUAAAUCAACCAAGGACCAUCUCAUACCAGCAUGUUGCAUAAAAGAAAAAUGAAAGCUAAAUGCAAAAGACGGUCCAAGACUUGCAUAUAUCACAUGAAUGAAACGAAUCCGAAAACAUACCGAUACUUGUUGAAGAAAGAGGGGAUGCCUUCCCAGCAUCCCCAAGCUUAGACGCUUGAGUCUCCUUGAAUAUUUACUUGGGGUGCCUCGGGCAUCCCCAAGCUUGAGCUCUUGCCUCUCUUCCUUCUUCUCACAUCGAAACCUUCUCAAUCAUCGAACACUUCAUCCACACAAAACUUCAACAGAAAACUCGGUAAGAUCCGUUAGUAUAAUAAAGCAAAUCACUACUCUAAGUACAGUUGCAAACCAAUUAAUAUUUUAUUUUUGCAUUGUUUUUACUGUAAUAUAACUUUUUCAUGGCUUAAUCCACUGAUAUAAAUCGAUAGUUUCAUCAAAACAAACAAACUAUGCAUCAAAAAAAGAAUCUGUCUAAAACAGAACAGUCUGUAACAAUCUGAACAUUCACCAUACUUCUGUUACUUGAAAAAUUCUGCGAAAAUUUGGAAAAAUAAAAAAUUUGUAUAUCAAGACAGUGCAAAGAGAAUCAGAACCAUUUGAUGUUCCAGUAAAAAAGUAAAAUUCGCGCACUACAGCCAAAGUUUCUGUCCUGCACCGCACAAACCAACAAGCAUGGUAAACAUCCUAAAGGCAAACCUUGGCACAUUAUUUUUAUAAUAUAAUGGAAUUGUACAAGGGGAAAAUUAUUUUUGUUGAAAAUUUUCUGUAAUCAAGAUUCACAAAGUUGCCGUGAGCAUGAACAAAGUUCAAGGAGCUCUCCCACUUCAACAAUGCUUAUCUUUCUCACUUUCGCUUUCCUUUUUGAAAAAGUUUUGGGUUCCCCUCUUUAUUUUUGUUGUUUUUAAACUAUAUGAAAGAACUCAACAGAAAUAAAUGACCCUCUAAAACUUCUGGUUUGUCUCCCUGGCAGCGCUUUCUUUAAAGCCAUUAAGCUAGGCAUCAAUCGUUUGGACGUGGUAAAGGUUGUCGCAGCACCUGUAGUAGGACAGAGGACUUAUCGCGAUGCCCGCGGACCAAUUUACUAUGUCUCUGUCGCUGACGUUGGUCAAAGAGGCCACGUGGAUUGGCCUGGGUCUUCUUCGGCUAAUGAGACCUCGAUCCCAAAGCCUUCGGAGUGCUCAAGUAAUGAAUCGACCCGGAUCCCAAGGUAUAUCAAAGUCAAUUUUAAUUAGCAAUGAUUUGUAAUUUAGUAGUGAGCAAAAAGCAACAUAUAUCAUGUAACAACAGAGUCUAACUCUCUUCCUAUGCAUCGGCAUGUCAUAAAAUAACAAUUCAUGCACACAAAGUAAAGGCCAAUGCAUAGUAUAAACAGUUUCUUGCAAUUUUAUCGUGUUGGAAACAUAGAGAGGUGGAGAUAUAGUUCCUAUCUCAUAAUAAUUGCAAGUAUGAGCAGCAAGCACAUGCAUAUUAUAUUCAUCAAAAUCAUCAUGUGCAACGGUAAAAGGCAACCCAUCAAUAUAAUCAUUAAUAAAAGCAAACUUCUCCGAUGUAGUGUAGUUGGGAGAAUUCAAAAAGAUAAUAGGACUAUCAUGCGUGGGUGCAAUAGCAACAAUUUCAUGUUUAACAUAAGGAACUAUAGCAAUUUCAUCUCCAUAAGCAUAAUUCAUAUUGGCAUCUUGGCCACAAGCACAGCAAGCAUCAUCAAAAAGGGAUAUUUCAAAAGAAUCAAAGGGAUCAUAAAAGUCAUCAUAGCAAUCAUCCUUCAGCACUACAAAUAAAAUACACUUCGGUGAUGAUACGUGUUUGUCACAGUAGGUCGCGUUUUUUGUAAUGCAUGUACAUCCAUGACGAUUUUAUGACAGAAUCAAGAUAGUCAUACCUGUGCUGUCGUAGAAGUGUUCCAUGACAUUACCAAAAUUAUCAUCACAGAAGUGUCCACUUCCAUGACGAUAAAUCGCGCAUCACAGAAGUGCUUUCGUCAAGGGUGACCGACACGUGGCAUCCACCGUAACGGAACGCCGUUAAGCUAUCGGGUCGGGUUUUGGAUCCGAUAACCCGUUAACAGCCCCGACCAAUGGGGAUUUUCCACGUGUAAAAUCAUCAUUGGUUGGAGGAAACACGUGUCGACUCAUCGUUGGGACAGAUGUCAUCCACUCAUUGGACAAAAGGCGCCUAUGAUACGUCGACAUGUGGCACGGCCCAACAGAGGCCCAUUCCUGUGAAAAGGCCGGCCCGUUUGACUUGGUCAAAAGGUGGCAGGCCGGCCCAUGGAAAGACUGUUAACGGCCUGUUCGCAGCCCAUUUAUAGCCCACUAACCCAAGGCCUGUUACGCCCUAUCCGAAUUAGGCCCAGUAGCAUCAUCUGGGCCAUCCAAUAUGACUCCAGCCCAUUUUCACUUCUGGCCCAUGUAUGGCCCAUGACGUCUUUCGGCCCAUAUGAGGCCCUAUGUAACUCUUGGCCUAUUAACGGCCCGUGGUGAAACUAGCCCGCAAUGAACAGUGUAUCACUUUACACCCAUUAACGGCCCGUGGUGAAACUGGCCCGUAAUGAACACUGUAUCACUUUAUACCCAUUAAGGGCCCGUUAUUCAGUUGGGCCGUUUCAAGCCCAUGUUAUCUUUCGGCCUUCUUAGAGCCCAUUUAUUCUUGGGCUCAUUUCCAGCAUUCGUUUACUUAUGGCCAGUUACUGUCAUUUUUUGCUUGUGGGCCAAAUUCAGCUCGUGGUUACAAUCGGCCCGUUUGUGGUUCGUUAAUAUGUUGGGCCGUUUUCAUAGCGUCAUCAAAUGCGGCCUAUUAACGAUGGCCCGUUAUGGUCGGCCCAUGAAUGGGCGAUUCCAACUCUAGCUCGUUUACGACCAUAAUGCGGCCUGUUAUUGGCCCAUGUUUGGCGAAUCGAUCAUACGGCCCGUAUAAGGCCCAUUGAUGAUACGGCCCGUAGAAGGCCCAUUGUUUCUACGGCCCGUAGAAGGCCCAUUGUUUCUACGGCCCAUAGAAGGCCUACUGUUUAUAUGGCCCGUAGAAGGCCCACUAUUUCUACGGCCCAUGGGAGGCCCACUAUUUCUACGGCCCGUGGGAGGCCCAGUGUCACUACAGUAAAUAUUAGCCCAUGGUUAUUGUGGCCUAGUUUUAAAAAAUAGGUUAUUGCAGCCACUAGCAAACCGCGGAAAAAGAACUGCACUGACUACAGGCAAACAAAAAGCAAGUCAACAAGGAAAUAAAUAAGCAAGCAACUUAUGCUAGGCUAUCACGGCUAUUACACAUAUUACAUCCACUGGGCAUCAAAGUUAUUCACCAGUGCAAAUAUAGGGAACAAAGCAGCAUAUCAUAUACACUGGUUGUCAAAGUUGGCGACCAGCGCAAAUAAAUGCCGCAGCAAAACAAAUCCAGAACUGAAACCACUUCAGAAGAUCUCAAGAAACAAUAUCCUGGGGACCCAUAAUGCUGUCAAGAUGCUUAGCAAGCUUAUUAACUUUCUCUUAUUUGGCGCUUAAAUCCUCCAGUGCUUGCUGUUGCGCCAGAAAAUAUGCAUCUGAAUUCUGCAGGGACUUCCUCAGUCCUUCAGCUUCCUGUCACAGCACAUCUGAUCGAUGUCUUUCAACUUGAAGUUGAGACUCAAGAAGAUGAACUGAUUCAGGCAGUGAGUUCGAAGAGCUUGUGCCAGCAGUAGUGGCCAUUAACUCGAACACUACAGCAAGACAGGACUUUUGGGUUCCCUCACUGUCGUCAAGAUAGUUUUGGAUAACGCGGUACUGUUCCCUCACUGUCGUCAAGAUAGUGGCCAGUAACCUUAUCUGCAUUACUUCCUUUACCAUUGGAUAACGCGGUACUGUUCUCCAAUAUUUUGUCCGAAUUCUAAAAGAGAAACAAGAAGACACAUCACAUUUUUACCAUGUUGUAUAUGAAACUCAUUUUGGUAAAUGAGUUCAGUAGUAAAGUGGACAGGAUAACAGCAUGAAACAAACAUAUAUCUAUGUACCAUGGUCACUUUAUGGUCUAUAUCAUUCUAGUUUUUGUUGCCAAAUCAAGAUAGAGACACAGUUCAAAUAAUAUUUGUCAAGACAAAGCAGAAUAGACAGAAUAUAAGUGUGGGUAACUAUAGAGCAAUAACAACACUUGUAAUGUGCAUGCCAUGAGAACAUAAGUGUUUAUUCAAUUGAAACCGAAAUCAACAUAGAGCAGGUUACAACAGCAAACCAGUUAAAGAAACAGGUUUAAAACAUACCUGUUGCACCAUUGGAGUUUCAAUUCCAUCCUUCAAAUUUGAAAAUAGUUGGUAUUAGUAAAUACAGUAAUGCAACAACAAAGGAGUAUGAACCAUAGCUACAGAACCAGACCUGAGAACAAAUCUUCUUCUCCUUUAAGCAUUGAGUUGGGAUUCAGAGUGGUGGUCCUCGUGCUUUGGGCAAUACAGUUCCCUUACUAACUGCUCGUGUUUGGGUGCUCUGUGGUGGAGACGGUGCUAUGUCAACUGGAACUGGGUUACUAUCUGCCAGGGUUGGGGUUAGAAAGGGUGUAGCUGGUUCUCUGUCCAACUGGGUAGGGGUACAAUCUGUGAGAGUCUGGGUUAUGUGUGGUGGAUCUGGUCCUUGGGCAAGUACAACCGUGGUUCUAUCUGCAUCACCUGGUAGCACUAUCUUUUCUGAAGACCGUGUUGUUACUCCCAUAGAUACUGCCAUCACGCUCUCCAAUUCAAAUGGCUGAUAAACAAGAAAAGUAAUUGAAAGUAUAGACAUUGUAUGAUACACAGGUGCAAUGGAUAGUGGGGAAUGAAAUAAUUCAUAUUUAUGUUGUCUAACCAAACAGGAUAGCGUGACACAAUUUCACAUAUAUGAUGGCUAACUAAACAGGAUAGCAUGACACAAUUUCACAUUAUGAUGGCUAACUAAAAAAGAUGGAAAGACAUAGUUCAAAAUAUGAGACUAUGUAAAUAGGAUGACAUGACAUAACUAUAUAAUGUGUCUAUUAAAUAGGUUGGCAUGCCAUAAUUCACAUAAAUUCACGGAUAGAAUGCCAUAAUUCAAAAUAUGAUGCGUGUAAACACUAAACAGGAUGAGAUGAUAUAACUAUAUGAUGUCUUUAUUAAAUGGGUUGCCAUGCCAUAAUUCAGAUAGAUGAUGUCUAUGUACUAUGUAAACAUGAUGGCAUGAUAUAAUUCAAAUAUAUGAUUUAUAUUUUAAGCAAGUAAGCAGAUGGCAAUCCAUAUAUGAUGUAAAAACUAAGCAAUGCAAGACAACAUGCAUGACAUGGGUAAUAUAACCUUGUCAGUUUGACAAUAGACCUCAGGGGGGAAAUAGGACUGGUUAUCAGUCUCUGAAUCAUCCUCUGAGGAGCUAUCUGUAACCAGCAAGAUGUCUGCUUCAGCAGGUAGCAUAGUCUGCUGUGAAUACCUUGUUUUCACUCUAGAUACUUCCAUCACCGCUUUAAAUUGCUGAUGCAUAGGAAGAGUAGUUGGAUAUACAAACGUUGUCGAUAAAUGGAACACGUAAUACAAAAAAAUGAUAGCAUGAUAUAAUUCACAUACAUGAUGAUUGGCUAAACAGCAUGGCAUUGCAUAAUUCACAUAUAUAAUGCCUUUGCAACACGAUAGCAUUGUAUAAUUCACAUAUAUAAUGUCUUGCAACAAGAUGGCAAUGCAUAAUUCACAUAUAUGGUAAUUAGACACUGAACAGGUGGCAUUCACACAAAUCAUGUCUAAACUAAUCAAAUGACAUAGCAAUGCGAGACACCAUACGCAUGAUAUGAGAACCAUAACCCUGCCAAGUUAGAGCAUACACCUCGGGGGGGGGGGGGAAUAGGACUGGUCAUCUGUCUCUGGAUCCUCCUCUGAGGAGCUAUCCGUAACCAGCGAGAUAUGCGCUUCGUCGGAUAGCAUAGUCUGCUUUGAAGACCUUGUUUUCACUCCAGAAUUUGCCAUCACCGUGUCAAAUGGCUGAUGCACACGAAGAGCAGUUGAAUGUACUAACAUUGUUGACAAACGUAAUAUGUAACGCAAAAAAAAGGAUGGCCUGAUAUAAUUUACAUAUAAGAUGACUGGCUAAGCAGGAUGCCAUUGCAAAAAUUCACAAAUAUGAAGCCUGGCUAAACAAGAUGGUGUUGCAUAAUUCACAUAAACGAUGAAUAAACUAAACAGAUGGCAUUUACACAAAGGAUGUCUAAACUAAGCAGAUGACAUAUUUGAUGUAUAAAGUAAGCAAUGCAAGAGACCAUAUGCAUGAUAUAACCAACAUCAGCAUGCCAAGUUAGAGCGAAGACCUCGGGGGGUAAAUAGGAGUUGUCUUCUCCUUCUAAAUCCCCCUCAGAACAGAUAUCUUCCUCUCGAUUACAAUCCAAAAUGCAUGGAGGGGGGAUGCCUUUGCACCUACCAUGGAGCGAUGUCUGCAUGAAAUUUUAUUUCCAUGCAAGGCUCGUCUCUUUUGCUCUACAUGUUCAGUUCCAUUGUUUACAAUAACUGUCAUGCAUAGGAACAAAACAUAGUGAUAUUAUUUAAGGAGUGCAUGCAGAAAUCCAGAGUGAUGGUAGCAACCUGUGGAUAGACGCAAAACCAAUAAUAGCAGGCAGAUAAUGGUUUCAGUUAAAAAAUACAGAUAAUGGCUUCUUUACUGUUUGUUUCCCACCCAACAUGAAACUCAUAGUAGACACCGGAGAUUAACCAGAUAAUAGAUAUAUACUAUUGAUAGCGGCCCCGAUAUGUACCGCACAACCAUUUAUAAACUCAAGUUUGACCAUUAGUUUGGAGCUGACUUAGAGUCUAAUCGGUGAACAGGACGAUAAAGUAGCAUGUAAUAUUAAGCGAUGCAUAACGUAAGCAGACACGAAACAGUGCGACCUCUCUUGCGAACCCGUGUAGUCCUCGAGGUCAUCUGCUCAGUCGAUGAUGGUAAUACAGUUUUCAUGGCUGCCAGCAGCGGGGAAGAAGAUCUGAGGCGGCGAAAGACAGUCUGGAGGCCGGAUCCCUGCUAUGCUGGACCCUUCUGUCGUUGGAGCAACUGAGUUGGGGUGGACGACGGAGCAGCAGGAGCGGGACAAACCACGCAAGGUUUUCUUUGACAACUAUCUGUAAGAGAAGUAAUUCUGUAAGUGCUCGUUUGAAUUGGAGGAUUCCAACAAUGCAGGGAUAGGGAAUAGAAAUGAAUAGGAUUGGAAUACACGUGCAAAACAGAGAAUUUAAAAACACAGAAUUUCUGCCAAUCUGGGUGUUUGAUUCACAAUAAUUGGAAGAUCACAGCAUGCAAAGAAGCAUGGUGAGAUUAAGUCAAACCACAAGAAAAUGUACGGUUAUAAUGCUAUUAUGCUACUAUCUCUUAGUCUUCUGCUUCAUGAAUAGGAAUUUGAAAAGGAGGACACGCAAAAAUUAAUUCCUACGUUUUUUCUUUCAAGGAGACACUAAAGGAACAAAUUCGUAUGCUCAGUGGACAAUAUAUAUAACAUGUAGAGUAAAAAAGAGAUGCAACAAGUGUACGGCCUCUUUGGCGAAGCCAUGUCGAUCUCAGCGUGAUUGAGUUGGCCGGUGAGGAUGCUCCGGCUGAUUUUGCUGUCGGAGGAGGGGAAGAAGAUCAUUGGCGUCUGGAGAUGGAGCCUGAGGUACUGCUCCGCUGUGAUGGAGGGUUUCAUCGUUGGAGCAGCUCCGGUGAGUUGUACAAUGCUUACGCUGAAGUAGGACAAGAGAGACAACGAACAACGUUAACCCGAGUGGAAUUCUAAUAGCAUCUCCAAUACAUGACGUAAAAUACAUAACCACAACGUGCUAGAUGUAAAAUACAUCAGACGCUCAUCUCUGAACUUAACUGUCGAAACUGAACUUAACUGUCGAAACUGAACUUAACUCUCGAAACUGAACUUUGCUGUCGAAACUGAAUUUUGCUAUCGAAACUGAACGCACUAGCAAGGUGAGGCUACACAUCGGUCGACUGACUUUUUCAUCUCUGGUCAGUCGAUUUUGCAGUCGUUGGAUACGAAAUCAAGGGCAUGCGGUUCAUCUUCAACCUCCACCCCCUUGAGCCGCCAGCCACCACCGGCCAAACAGCAGCCCCCCGCCGCCCGCGGCCGGCGGUGCGCUGCCCCGCCCGCUCCGAAAACACUCCCCACCACCGGUCCGCCGCCGCCCCGGCCACCCCUCUAGGCCCCCACGUGCUGAGAUUUUUCUCCGGCGAUCCCCACGCCACCGCCCUGCCAACGCCCCACCACCGCUGGCGACCACCGCUCCCAUCCUGAACCCUAAGAUAGAUAGUGGGGUACCCCCCCGGCGAGCCCCCUCCCCGCUGUGACUAGUUCUUCCUUCACCCCGGCGAGCCCCCCCCCACCCCCUGAAAAUCGACUGACCCAAAAAUCGCUUCAGUCGACUGAAGUGUAGCUAAAUCAGAGCAGCAUCGCAAGCAAGAGCAAGAGCGAGAGCAGCAGCGCGAGCAAGAGCAAUAGCAGGAGCAGAGUAGGAAGGGGACCGAGAGCAAGAGCAGAGCAGCAGCGCGAGCGAGAGCUAAAGUAGCAGCAGCUCGUACUGAUGUGGAUGUCGCCGCCGAGGGAGCGACGCCGUGGAGGAAGUGGCUGGCGACGCCGCCGUGGAUGGAGCCGCGCCGUGUCGGCUCCGGACCGAGCGCCGGCAGCACCAUGAGAUCGAAUCAAGAAGAAAAUGCGGCGAUUAGUGUACAACCUCUUUGGUGGCGCCGAUUAGGCUGCAGCUUCAUCCGAGGAAACGGUGAUGAUGAUGCUCUUCCGGUGGUGCAGGUGAAGACGGCGGUGUGGGAAUGGAGGUGGCGCGAAAAUGAGGGGAACGUCGGGGCAGCUCCUUAGAGGUGGAGGACGGGGUGGCUGAACUGGUGGGACGAUGAGAUUGACGAUGGAUCCUCAUCCGGUACGGUGGAUGAGGGACGUCGAGGUGUUGUUGUGGACGACGUCGUCGAGGAAGAGGCUCCGGCUGGGUGGCGGACGGAGCAGGGUGUGGGGUUUCGUCGCGGGUUUUCGCGGCCUCGGUGUACGAAUGGAUGGGCGGAUGGGAUGGUAGUGGGGAACCAUGGCUUGAAGACGCGCUUAUCCGAAAUGUGGGCUGAUUUAGAAAGUACCCCCCACCGAUUUGAGGCGGUUCUUUCGGUUCAAGGGUACCACGGGCAUUUCGCGUGUCGGGAUUUCACAGGAGGUGGGAGUUUUCGCGCGCGUUGUAAUUUCGGAAUAGCAAGGCGCGGGUUGAGAUGGAGGGAGUUGUCGGAGCACAACGAGACAAAGAUAUAUCUUAAAUAUUUCGGGCUAACAAGGUGCGGGUUGAAAUUUCCGGACAAGCCUAACGUGUACUGUACCAAAUCAAUGCGCACUACAAAUGUCAUUCAAAACUUUGAAGCCAUGUUAUGUUCAAUUAAAAUAUUCCGCUACGUGUAUAAUGCAUGCAACCUACUACUCAAAUGAACAUCUUAGUGCAUUCCAAACGUAUAUACUACCGCUUCAAUAUGAACUAAAUUUGAAUUCGUUUCUCUACUUGAAUAAGAUCUACAGUAAUGAUUGUUGUGAAGUCAAAGCAUUUGAAUUUGUUUCUCUAUUUUAAUAAGAUCUACAAUCAUCGUUAUUGUGAAGUUAAACCAUCGUUUGUGUAUUAUCUUCACAGCACACCACAUGAUUAGUCUCGAGUUACAUAUGAACUAUGUGUACUAUAUGAACUCGAACUAGAUUUUUUGAAUCCACUUUAUUUUGAUUUCAAAUAACAUUACAUUUCUAGCUGUAGCUAGAUCUUCAUAAUCUAAACCAUGUCUCAUAUGUAUAAUGUGUUUAUCACAUUAUGUAUGGUGCCCCGCCCCCUACGCCUACAAGUAUUUAGAUGUGAGUUGCAAACACCACACAUUACAAAAAAUUCAAAUGAAAUGUGAGAAUGUUCGAUAUAUAGUAUUGUUUAGAUUGUUCGAUAUUUAGUUGUAAGCUGCAAACGCCACACAUUAUCACAAAUUCAAAUAAAAUGUGAGAUUGUUUGAUGUAUAGUAUGGUUUAGAUUGUUCGGCAUUUAGUUGUGGGUUGCAAACGCCAUGCAUUAUCACAUUUUGGUAUAACAUGUGCACAACACGUCUAUCACCUCUAUAUUCAUGCAUGCAAUGUUUAAAACACUAUGUUCUCCUGUUCAAAUAUACGAAUCCGCUUUCAUAUCAAAUUAUGAUCUUUGUUAGUCUCUUACACCCACACAAUCCUCUAACCUUUGUAGCUACCACUAACUUUCUCUCAUGCAUGCACACGCCCUCCUCGCCCUCCCCCUCCCUCGGCAUUCUAUCCACCAGGCACAUUCAUUUUUUUCUUUAGGUCGUUCUCCCAGAGUCUCCACAACUCCUUUCCGACACACACCGGUCGAUAAACCUCUCCAGCGAUGCCUGCCUACAACAUACACACACACCUUCAAUCUCCUCCUUUAUGUGUCCUUGCCUCGUGUCUCUCAUACGGUCAGACACACGUGUAAACUCUCGCCCCUCCUUUCAUCGAUCUCACAACAGCACACUCCUCCCCCUAUCUAGCUAGUAGUUGGGCCUCUCGCACCACCUCCUAGCUCCAUUCUCUCUGUCUAUCCAUCUCGCUGGGCCUUAUUUGCCUCUAACAAAUGGACGUACACCGACCGGUCUCUCGCUAUACAUAUAGCUAGCUAGGUCCUAGUAACUCGUUUUUACCCACAUGUCGAUCGAUCUACCUAAUUAGUUGUGUCUCUCCCUUCAUCAGACAAACAACAAUUGUUCUACCGAUCUAGUUAGGUUUGCUUACCAAACACAUGGUUCCCCUUCAUCAUCCAUGGAUGCGUCCCGACAGAUCUAUCACGCACAGGCACACACAGAAACACAUCCCCACUCUUAUUGAUAACAUUGCAGUUCCACCCUUAGUUUGUCUAGUAGGCCUCUCCCACCAUUUCCGAGAAGCAACUCCAUCACCCUUCCAGCACUCUACCCCUCUCCCUCCCUCUCCAUCCCUUUCUCUCUCUCCUCUCUCUCUCUCUCUCUCUCUCUCUGUCCCAUCAUAUUUCUCGUCCUUCAUUUAUGUAUGGAUGUCGACUGAUCUCCCUCAAGACAUAGCUGGGUCUCUCCUUCUCAACACAUAUAUGAGUCGUUCUACCUCUAUAGUUAGGCCUCGCCCUCCCCCUCGCCCCCCCCCACACACACACACCGAUACAUCGAGCACUCUAGUCAUGUCUCCCUGCCACACACAAACUUGACAUGUGCCCUCUACCGUUCCGGUAGGCCAGUCGCCCUAUAUCUUUGACUUGCACACACACACAAUUUCGAUGGCUCUCUUCAUCGAUCUCGCACCCACCCACUUGAUCCUCUCUUCAACUCUAUCGAUAGCUAUGACCCCUCCCUCUCUUCUCGUGGAUUGCCCAACCCUCUAUGUAUGAUAUGGAUAGGCCUCCAUUUCACACACAUUGCAUGCAAAAUUUUGUUUGAGAUGUCAUCAACACAUAUUCCCACAAAUAAUUCACGAAAUCAACCCCCACCCCAAAACAAAAAACACUCACGAACGCGGUUCAUAUCUCUCACACACACCCACGUAGGUGGGGGACGUGCAGGAAGAGAAGAGGUGCAUGCACGGCGCACGUACUCCCGCCUCUUUCCCAACCACACCCGCGCGGGUACACGGUGGAGCUCAAUUCUGUACGAAAAAGGCAGCCCACGUGGUAAUUUGGCACGUGUACUGGUUGUCCACUUGGUGGAGGGAGGAUCGUCUACCACGGGUGAACAAACAAAUUGCGACUUGACGUGUUAUGUCAAAAAAAGAGGCAAACCAUGUGGGGCCUACCUUAGAGGCAAGACUUUUGAUGUGUCCCGUCAACUCGCAGAAUGAGGAGAAGCUUGCUUAGUACGCCGUCUCCCCCGCCCACGGGCGCGGUGGCUCGCAGGAUGAGGUGAAGCUUGCUCCGCCUUGCGCCCGCUCCCUCGCCCAUGCGUGCGGUGGCUCGCAGGAUGAGGAGAAAAUUUUACUACUCCCUCCAUUUACUCCUCGUCCCUACCAGCUUUGUUAUAGAGAUUAUAUCAUGUUGUUUGGAAUAUAUAUGUCCUUUAGUAGAUUUGAAUAUGAACUACUAGUACAUACUCCAAACACUGAUGUAUAUAGACGUAUUUUAGAGUGUAGAUUCACUCAUUUUGCUUCGUAUGUAGCACUCUCCCUCGCCCCUCGACCCUCGCCCACGUGGUGGACGUGCAGCAAUUCAUUCGGUCUCAUAUAGCCAGAACGAUAUAUACUGCACUACCAUUAUUGCUCAACUUCCCGAAGAGGCGAAGAGCCAAUCGCAAGGUUAAUAUUUAGGAGAUGCCAAGCACAAGGUUAUAGGAGAACGAGUAGUAGGUCCGUGUCAUUUAUAAAUAAAGUUUUUUUUCUUCAGUGGCACGUACGCAAUAUGAUAGGUUCAUAUGGAGAGAAAAGGAAACCGCUCCACUAUAUACAUAGUCAGGACGGGCCAGCCUACACGGUUGCUUGCUGGGGUUGCUCUCUUCACACUCUCUCGCACAAAACGACUGUGGCCACAUAUCUAACAUCCUGGCGGAUCACGUCCGCUUGGGGAAGGGGUGUAUGCUUAGUGUAGAUGCGGUGGCCGUCGCCGACGGUGAAAACCCACUGUCGGCACGUCCCGAUCAGGGGUCCCCGCCGUUCUCUCUCACAAAGCCGGUGAGAUUGCCUUCGUCCCUUGCUCACUGCCGCGACGUGGGCAGUUGCCGCCUCCCGCCGCCCUCCUCAAGGUUGAGCUACGUCCCUCAAUUACAACUCCCUUUACAGCCGGCUUGCACCACUACUCCAGCUGCCCACAUCACUCCCUGUGGAUAUUUCUCUACUUCUUUGCCCCGCACAUACCUCUACUGGCUUCUACGUACUGUAUUUGUGAUGAGUUUAUGUCUCAUCAACUAGUCCUAGUAAUCUUAUUCUAAUCACGCUUCUUCAAUUUCUUUGCCACAGGGAUGCUCAUCUCGAUUUUGGUGAAACUGCACAAAAUGAUCCGAUGGUCAAAAGGUUGCAAACUUCAUUUAUUAGGAAGCUCGAACAUUGCCAGCAAAUUGAAGGCCGGUCAGGGUUCACGGUUCAAGGGCUAGGGACUGCAUGGAUCAUUUUUUUCUUUAGCUGCCUCUAUUCCAAAAUAAGUGUCAACUUUACUAGUAGUACAACUUUGUAGAUGAUGAUGUGGCUCAAAAUUAGAUGAUGGAUUAUUUUGUAGAUUAUUUUGAUGAUGUGGCUCAAAAUUGAUGAUGAUCGGGCUAGACGUUGAACUAAAUCAGUCCAUAAUAGCCGUCUGAUCUAGACGUUGAGAGGCUCCGCACUAAGCCACAUGCAAGCAUGCAGAAAUACCGUAGCACAUGCAUGUGAGUGGGUUUUAAAUCACAUCAACAUGUCUGCAUGCAAGCAUGCACCGGUAGCAUGCAUGUAAGUGAGCUUUUAAGUCCCAUUAACAUGUCAAAAAGAAAAAUAUAAUCCCAUUAUGCAGUAGGAGUUGGCUGAUCUUUUUUCCUUACGUGGGAUGAUCUAAAUGAUGAUGGGAGUUUAUUUAGUUUGGCUACCACAUUUGUCAUGCGGUUAUAGAGUUUUUUUAGUUCUAUGAAAUCGAUAAUUUUGUGCAGAGAGAUAUACCGCUGUUCCGCGGCAACGCGCGGGGACUCAUCUAGUAAUAUUUAGGAACGGAGGGAGUACUAUGUAAAGAGUUAGCUGUCGCACGGUGAUAGUGUGAGGUUGGCCAUGUAAUCACUGAGCCUGUGUGUUUUCGCUGCUCUUGCACUCCUCCGCUGUAAGAAUGGAGAAAAUUGUAAUCUAGUACGCCGAAAGCAUGGGACAUCCAGCAGUCCUACCACCUCAGUAAUAAAGACCAAUAAGCCGUCAAAUCACAUAGACCCAGCAGUAAGUUGGAAGGGCAAAGCAACCAUCACUCUUGCGCCAGUGAGAGGUCGCGUCCGCUCUGCCCAGGCAUGCAUGCAGCACCGAUUCUUUGGAGCGACGCUGACCAUUUCGGGCGGGAAGCACGCGCGGGCGAUGGAGGGGCUUUGGGUGGGCCAGGCUGGUCAGGAGCGGGCGUGGCAGCUGUCCGCAUGUCCCUACCGGACACACCCGGAAACGAGAGGAUGCACCGACUCUUGCGGCUAAAAUCGUACACUACACACCAUCUCUCUGUAGGAGUAGGUCGAUCUGUCGCACUCUCUAACACACACAUGUUGUUAAACACACACACGCACCUUGGUCCCGUUGCACCUUCUGACGUGACUUAUUACACCUAGACGGAGGGAGUAGUAAGUAUACGAGAUACGGUGGCACACUGACUUAAGUCGAAUACAAGUGCCCAAAAUUUGUGUGCAUGUUAUAAUAAGGAUUCACUUAAAAUAGUACGUGAGCGAACAGAGGGAUCAAUUGGACAGUGUUCCCGAGUAGUAGCGAGAUGUGUGAGGUAAGAUACACCGCUGGCGCUUUUAAUUUUUCUUAUUAAUUUAUCUGUUUCACCCUCUGACUGGUGGGACCCAAUGUACUACGUGGAGAGAGGUAAGGUGACUAAGGCUUCAUUAUUUCUGCACCACUGUGGAUAGUCUUACCACCAAAGCCACAUGACACGAUUAUGAUUGAAAUCUCAAUGACUCCCACACACACAAAAAAACACGGCAUGCUUGUCACACAAAUGCAGGAACGUAUAAAAGGUUAUUUUCCUCUCUUUGAACAUAACGGGGGGGUUGUGUAGCUGGUUAGCCUGUUCGCUCAUCAAACUUGAGGUCUCGGGUUCGAUAACUACACUUGAGCAUAAUCCUUGCCAGGAGGAUUCUUUGACUGGUCAAAAUGUUUUCUAGGGUUUGCACGCUUCACACUCUCUCUCCAGUAUAUAUAUACACGCUGGAGCCUCAGCGCUUGUUGUUGCUCUCUUCACACUCUCUCGCCCUCUCCCGCAAGAGCCUCAGUGCUUGUAGUUUCUCUCUUCACACUCUCUCGCCCUCUCCAGAUCUAAACAAGACUUCGUUGGCCUCUCUCUCUCCCCUCACUGCUGCUCAAAGAGCCGGCAGGAUCCGUCCACCGGGAAGGGAAGGAGGCUUAACGCUGUUGCUGUCGGCGAGGGAGGGAAUCCACUACCGGUGCAGUUGUUCACUUUCCACCCAGCGACAAUGCGGGAGGGCCUCCGACCCCUUCUUCUUCGCUGCCAUCCCGUCGCCCACCGAACCAGGCCCCAAGAACCUUAAGGUACAAUUUACUUACUACACAUGCAUUGCUCUAGCUGCAUGUAUACCAUGAAUAUAGGACGUGGUUCAAAGAGGAAAGGAGUGGGGGAAAGUAGUGGGAAAAGUUGUAUAUAUAGCAUAGAUCGAGGAUGUGGUUCAAAGAGGAAACGAAGGGGGAAAGUUGUAUAGCAUGAAUCUAGGACGUGUUUCAAAGAGGAAAGGAAUGUGGGAAAGUUGUGGGGAAAGUUGUAUCGCAUAAAUCUAGGACGUGGUUCAAAGAGGAAAGGAAGGGACAAGGCUGAAGAGUUUGAGCAGGACUAGAUUUGCUACGCUCACAUAGGGAAGCACUGUUUCGGAAGCUGACCUGUGGGCCUACUAAGUUGACGUACCAAGGGAUUUGUCAACUUAGUCAAUAUAAACGAUUCUAGCAGCAGUGACCGCACGAUGUCCAUCCAACGUCCGUCGUGCUUCUUCAACCUCUGGUCUUCUUGCUCCAGCCGCCCAAAGCAGCGCCGGUCGUGCCGCCUGCUCCUCCCUCCCAUGGCCGGCUGUGCUGCCGCGGAGGCCUCACCGCCCCCUACUACUCCCACCGCUGGCCAGGCCAUCCCUCCACUCACCCACACCCCCUGUUAUUCUAUGGCGACGACAGUGCAGCUGAACCAGUGAACCCUCGUACUCCUCUCCGUGUGUGCAUCCACUGCCGCAUCUUCCCCGGCUCCGUGUCGUCCCCUUCCUAGGCCUCGCCGUCGUCCACCGCCGUGGUGCUCUCGGCGCGGCAUGGUCAACGUGGUCAAGGAAGGACUUCCAUCGAACAUGGACUGUACGUGGAGAGGCUGGCAGCUGGGUCCACGGCAACCGCAAGGAAGUGCCUCCUUAUUACGUGCAAAAUAAUUAUUCCUACACCUGACAGCGGGGACCCACCGGACGGGCCAUCGUAUUUCGCAAAAAAAAUGAUUCGCCCCCUGACUUCUGGGACCCACGAGCUACAUCUUCGCACGCAAGGAAGUGCGUCCGGGAAAAAAACGAUUCGCCCCCCUAACUGCUAGGACCCACCAGCUACAUCUUCGCACGUAAGGAAGUGCGUCCGAAAAAAACGAUUUGCCCCCCGACUGCUGGGACCCACCUGCUACACCANNNNNNNNNNNNNNNNNNNNNNNNNNNNNNNNNNNNNNNNNNNNNNNNNNNNNNNNNNNNNNNNNNNNNNNNNNNNNNNNNNNNNNNNNNNNNNNNNNNNNNNNNNNNNNNNNNNNNNNNNNNNNNNNNNNNNNNNNNNNNNNNNNNNNNNNNNNNNNNNNNNNNNNNNNNNNNNNNNNNNNNNNNNNNNNNNNNNNNNNNNNNNNNNNNNNNNNNNNNNNNNNNNNNNNNNNNNNNNNNNNNNNNNNNNNNNNNNNNNNNNNNNNNNNNNNNNNNNNNNNNNNNNNNNNNNNNNNNNNNNNNNNNNNNNNNNNNNNNNNNNNNNNNNNNNNNNNNNNNNNNNNNNNNNNNNNNNNNNNNNNNNNNNNNNNNNNNNNNNNNNNNNNNNNNNNNNNNNNNNNNNNNNNNNNNNNNNNNNNNNNNNNNNNNNNNNNNNNNNNNNNNNNNNNNNNNNNNNNNNNNNNNNNNNNGCUCCCCUGACUGCUGGGACCCACCAACUGCAUCUUCACACGCAAGGAAGUGCGUCCGGGCAAAAAAACGAUUCGCCCCCUGACUGCUGGGACCCACCGGCUACAUCUUCGCACGCAAGGAAGUGCGUCCGGGCAAAAAAAUGAUUCGCCCCCCUGACUGCUGGGACCCACCAGCUACAUCUUUGCACGCAAGGAAGUGCCCGAUAGUCGGGACCCACCUGGUCUGAGCGUACGUGGCGUUGUCAUUCUGGUCGUGAACGUGUACGUACAUACUGGUCGUUGUAGAGGCGCGCAUGAUAACCCACAAGUAUAGGGGAUAGUUGUAGCCUCUUUCAAUAAGUAAGAGUGUCGAACCCAACGAGGAGCUAAAGGUAGAACAAAUACUCUCUCAAGUCCUAUCGGCCACUGAUACAACUCUACGCACGCUUGACGUUCGCUUUACCUAGAACAAGUAUGAAACUAGAAGUACUUUAUAGGUGAUAGGAUAGGCUUGCAAGAAAGUAAAGAACACGUAAAUAUAAACUAGGGGCUGUUUAGAUAAAGACACAACUAAAUUAGUAAAAGAGCUUGUUGUCACGAGAAAGUUAUUUGUCCCUAGGCAAUCGAUAACUAGAAAGGUAAUCAUUAUUGCAAUUUUAUUUGAGGGAGAGGCAUAAGCUAACAUACUUUCUCUACUUGGAUCAUAUGCACUUAUGAUUGGAACUCUAGCAAGCAUCCGCAACUACUAAAGAUUCAUUAAAGUAAAACCCAACCAUAGCAUUAAAGCAUCAAGUCCCCUUUAUCCCAUACGCAACAAUCCCUCUUACUCGGGUUUGUGUUUCAGUCACUCACCAACCCACUAUAAGCGAAUCAUGAACGUAUUGCAACACCCUACAGCGGGAAUCCCUCACGCUUGCGCGACACGGAGGGCACCAUAGGACAGCACUAAUAAUAAAACAUAAAACUCAAACCAAUCACGAUCAUCAAAUAGCCAUUAGGACAAAACAGAUCUACUCAAACAUCAUAGGAUAGCCAUACAUCAUUGGGAAAUAAUAUAUAGCGUUGCGCACCAUGUUUAAGUAGAUAUUACAGCGGGUAAGAGAGAGGUUACACCGCUGCAUAGAGGGGGGAAGAGUUGGUGAUGAUGGCAGUGAAGUUGUUGGUGAAGAUCGCGGUGAUGAUGAUGGCCCCCGGCGGCGUUCCGGCGCCACCGGAAGCAAGGGGGAGAGGGGCCCCCUUCUUCUUCUUCUUCCUUGACCUCCUCCCUAGAUGGGAGAAGGGUUUCCCCUCUGUUCCUUGGCUCCCAUGGCUUGGGAGGGGCGAGAGCCCCUUCGAGAUUGGAUCUAUCUCUCUGUUUCUGCGUUCCCUGAUUCUACCCCUUCACCGUUUCUUUUAUAUCCGGAGAUCCGUAACUCCGAUUGGGGUGAAUCUUUUGCUCAGAUCUUCCUUGUAAAAUUAGCUUUCUUGCGCCAGAAGGAGAGCAUCAACGGCCUUACGGGUGGAUCACGAGGGUCAGGGGCAUGCCUAGGGGGUAGGGCGCGCCCCCCUACCUCGUGACCACCUCGGAUACCGUUUCGCGUCGAUUUUACUUCCCAAAAAUCAUAAAUAUUCCAAAAAAAAAUCUCCGUCCGUUUUUAUCCUGUUUGGACUCCGUUUGAUAUUGGGUUUCUGCGAAACAAAAAACAUGCAACAGACAGGAACUGGCACUGGGCACUGGAUCAAUAUGUUAGUCCCAAAAAUAAUAUAAAAAGUUGCCAAAAAGUAUAUGAAAGUGAAUAAUAUUGGCAUGGUACAAUCAAAAAUUAUAGAUAUGACGGAGACGUGUCAGCGCACGUGUCGUAGUAGAGGCGCGCACGUAGCAUGUACACGUACGUAUAGCGGCCAGGGUGCAAGAAAGAAAAUACGGCCACGUAUGUGUACAUACUGGCGGGGUCUCGAAUGCCUACUCGCGCAUACGUACGGCCAGGACUCGUGUACAUGGCUGGGUCGGAACGGAGAAACAGCGUUAUCGUCGUGUUCAUGGGGAGGCAACGGAGUGCGUCGUGUUAAUGGGGAGGCAACGGAAUGCGUCGUGUUCAUCGGGAGGCAACAGAACGCGUGGGAGCCAACCGGCUUGGUUGGAACAUGCGACGGAAACGAGGCCUGGCGUACCGCACAAUGGAGGAAACGGACCUCCUACGUUCGAAACGUGGUCCUGUUGAUCAAGAGGGGUGUGGCGUACUGCAAAACGGAGGAAACGGACCUCCUACGGUCGAAACGGGGGUCCUGUUGAUCGGGAGAGGUGUGGCGUACCGCAAAACGGACGAAACGGACCUCCUACGGUCGAAACGGGGGUCCUGUUGAUCGGGAGGGGUGUGGCGUACCGCAAAACAGAUGAAAUGGACUUAUGUUGGAGCGCUACGGUCAAAACGGGGGUCCUGUUCAUCAGGAGGGGUGUGGCGUACUGCAAAAUGGGACUCCACGGGAUACUGUUCAUCUCCACCGUCGACCUCCUCCAGCCUCCACGGGCUACCAUCGACCUCCUCCAGCCUCCACGGGCUCCUGUUCAUCUAGCCUCCACUGCGCGCUACUCCACCGGCUACUGUUCAACCACCCCCUCCACGGGCACCCCUCCACCGUCUACUGUUCAUCCAGCCCUCCACACCAUGGGGUCUUGUUCAACCACCCCUCCACGGCCACCCCUCCACCGUCUAUUGUUCAUUCAGCCCUCCACACCACGGGGUCCUGUUCAUCCAGAGGCAACGCCACCGCUCACUGUUCAUCNNNNNNNNNNNNNNNNNNNNNNNNNNNNNNNNNNNNNNNNNNNNNNNNNNNNNNNNNNNNNNNNNNNNNNNNNNNNNNNNNNNNNNNNNNNNNNNNNNNNNNNNNNNNNNNNNNNNNNNNNNNNNNNNNNNNNNNNNNNNNNNNNNNNNNNNNNNNNNNNNNNNNNNNNNNNNNNNNNNNNNNNNNNNNNNNNNNNNNNNNNNNNNNNNNNNNNNNNNNNNNNNNNNNNNNNNNNNNNNNNNNNNNNNNNNNNNNNNNNNNNNNNNNNAUCCAAUUGAUCGGCUUCAGUUAGCAGCAGUAGCGAAAGAAUCGCUCCAUCGGGUUCAGUUAACAGCCAUUGAUCGAUCGCUCGGGUUUAGUAACGUGUAGCCUGCAGUGCAAUCGCUCGGGUUCAGUUAGAGCCCAACGCCUCGCUCGGUUCAGUUAGAGCCAAUGCCUCGCACACACGCGCGUAUGUGUACGAGAGAAACGCGCAUCGCGGCCCCCAACCUCCCACCGUAACCGGCAACUCCCUGAAAUUUUCCUCGCCCUCGCUUCCACCACGGUUUUUUCCAUCAUGGACGGCCCAAAGAAUGUCAUACAACUAUGUCUCCGGCCCGCCCAGGACGAAAAGCUCAUUUUCUGUCAUGAUUUUUUGUCAUAGAAGUAGGAGCCCACCACAUCUAUGAUGAUACCGGGUUUUGUCACAAUUAUCGUCACAGAAGUGUUAUAUGUAUGACAGAAAUUUUUUUCGUUCGGCCCAAAAUGUCACGGAUGUGUCUUUUUUUUGUAGUGCAGUAAGCACGAAGGGGAAUUAAACAAUGUAUGAGUUGAAGAGUUACUCUCAUUAGAAGGUGGGCACAGGUGAUCAAUCCGUUCUUCCUCCUUUUGUUCUUCACUCUCCUCCUCAUCUUUUUCAUCCAAUGAGCUCACAGUUUCAUCAACUUCUUCUUCCAUAGAUUCCUGCAAAAUAUUAGUCUCUCCUUGGACAGCAGAGACUUUCUCAAUAAGUGCAUUAAUUUCGUAAUUGUAUUCAUAAUUCUUAUAACAAUAUUUGAGGAUAGCUAAAUUUUUAGGUCUAUAAACAGCAUCAUCAAAAUCUUCAAACUCUUUAAACAUAGAUUCAAUUUCAUAAGCACCCAUAAAAGCAACAAAUUCUUCUAUUUGUUCCACAUCAUAAUAAUCAUAUAUACCAUUAGCAUAAAAAGCUAAGGUUUUAUUAUCAUUAAAUUUGCAUGAAAAGGGAAGGUGUGGAGCCUUCAUCCUAGAGCAACAAGUAUAAUCAUAACUCAAGCAUACUUGCCGAGCAUACCACUUCAAUAUAUGAAUUUGAUCCCAUAAUAGUUUCCCUUUUUGUGUCAAGCGGUAAUCCCUAAAGUAUUCACAUUGAUCCAACGUUACUCCCAUUACAUAAUUGAAUGGGGUUUUCUCAGGAUUAUCAAAGUAGUACAUAAUAUCUUUCACAUAACCAGCAUCGAGGGUUCUAGGAGGUUCCCCAUCUCCAUGGGUAGCAAGUACACCUAAUUUUUUUGGUAUUUCGUGUUCCAUAUCCAUAACAAAAGAUAGAUAACAACUAAGAACAACAAAUAAAAAUUACUUAGUGGUAAAGCAAACAAGCACACACGAGAAUAUUCACCCCACGCUAUGACUCCCCGGCAACGGCGCAAGAAAAAGGUCUUGAUAACCCACAAGUAUAGGGGAUAAAUUGUAGCCUCUUUCGAUAAGUAAGAGUGUCGAACCCAACGAGGAGCUAAAGGUAGAACAAAUAUUCCCUCAAGUUCUAUCGACCACCGAUACAACUCUACGCAUGCUUGACGUUCGCUUUACAUAGAACAAGUAUGAAACUAGAAGUACUUUGUAGGUGUUUUUGGAUAGGCUUGCAAGAAAGUAAAGAGCGAGAAAAUAAAAGCUAGGGGUUGUUUAGAUGAAGACACAACUAAAUUAGUUUUAGUAAAGAGCUUUUUGUCACGAGAAAGUUAUUUGUUCCUAGGCAAUCGAUAACUAGACCCGUAAUCAUUAUUGCAAUUUUAUUUGAGGAAGGGGCAUAAGUUAACAUACUUUCUCUACUUGGAUCAUAUGCACUUAUGAUUGGAACUCCAGCAAGCAUCCGCAACUACUAAAGAUCAUUAAGGUAAAACCCAACCAUAGCAUUGCUACGUCUCGAGCUUGCUUUGGUUUUCCCCGAAGAGGAGAGGAUGAUGCAGCACACUAGCGUAAGUAUUUCCCUCUGUUUUUGAGAACCAAGGUAUCAAUCCAGUAGGAGGUCACGCGCAAGUCCCUCAUACCUGCACAACACGAUAGCAACUCGCAACCAACGCUUAGGGGUUGUCAAUCCCUUCACGGUUACUUACGAGAGUGAGAUAUGAUAGAGAUAAUAUUUUUGGUAUUUUUGAUAGAUAGAUGCAAAGUAAAAAGUAAAGGAAAAGUAAAAGCAAAGCAAGUAAAUAAAGUGAUAUAGAAUGAUAUGAUGAGAAUAGACCCGGGGGCCAUAGGUUUCACUAGUGGCUUCUCCCAAGAGCAUAAGUAUUCUACGGUGGGUGAACAAAUUACUGUUAAGCAAUUGACAGAAUUGAGCAUAGUUAUGAGUAUAUCUAGGCAAUGAUCAUGUAUAUAGGCAUCACAUCCGUGACAAGUAGAUCGAAACGAUUCUGCAUCUACUACUAUUACUCCACUCAUCGACCGCUAUCCAGCAUGCAUCUAGAGUAUUAAGUUAAAAACAGAGUAACGCCUUAAGCAAGAUGACAUGAUGUAGAGGGAUAAAUUCAUGCAAUAUGAUAAAAAAACCAUCUUGUUAUCCUCGAUGGCAACAAUACAAUACGUGCCUUGCAACUCUUUCUGUCACUGAGUAAGGACACCACAAGAUUGAACCCAAAGCCAUGCACUUCUCCCAUUGCAAGAACUACCAAUCUAGUUGGCCAAACCAAAUGGAUAAUUCGAAGAGACUUGCAAAGAUAACUCAAUCAUACAUAAAAGAAUUCAGAGAAGAAUCAAAUAUUUUCCAUAGAUAAUACUGGAUCAUAAACCCACAAUUCAUCGGUCUCAACAAACACACCGCAAAAACAAGAUUACAUCGAAUAGAUCUCCAUGAGAGAGGGGGAGAACAUUGUAUUGAGAUCCAAAAAGAGAGAAGAAGCCAUCUAGCUACUAGAUAUGGACCCGAAGGUCUGAAGUAAACUACUCACACUUCAUCGGAGGGGCUAUGGUGAUGAUGUAGAAGCCCUGCAUGGUGGAUGCCCCCUCUGUCGGAGCUCCGGAACAGGCCCCAAGAUGGGAUCUCGUGGAUAUAGAAGGUUGCGGUGGUGGAAUUAGGAUUUUGGCUCCGUUUCUGGUCUAUUGGGGAUACGUAGGUAUAUAUAGGAGGAAGGAGUACAUCGGUGGAGCUCCGAGGGGCCCACGAGGUAGGGGGCGCGCCCAGGGGGCGCGCCCUCCACACUCGUGACCUCCUUGGAAGCUUCUUGGAGUAGGGUAUAAGUCUCCUGGAUCACGUUCAGUGAGAAAAUCACGUUCCCGAAGGUUUCAUUCCGUUUGGACUCCGUUUGAUAUUCCGUUUCUUCGAAAUACUGAAAUAGGCAAAAAACAGCAAUUCUGAGCUGGGCCUCCGGUUAAUAGGUUAGUCCCAAAAAUAAUAUGAAAGUGUAAAAUAAAGCCCAAUAUAGUCCAAAACAGUAGAUAAAGUAGCAUGGAGCAAUCAAAAAUUAUAGAUACGUUGGAGACGUAUCAAGCAUCGCCAAGCUUAAUUCCUGCUCGUCCUCGAGUAGGUAAAUGAUAAAAAAGAAUUUUUGAUGCGGAGUGAUACUUUGGCAUAAUUUCAAUGUAAAUCUUCUUAAUCAUGGUAUGAAUAUUCAGAUCCGAAAGAUUCAAGAUAAAAGUUCAUAUUGACAUAAAAAUAAUAAUACUUCAAGCAUACUAAUCAAAGCAAUUAUGUCUUCUCAAAAUAACAUGGACAAAGAAAGUUCAUCCCUACAAAAUCAUAUAGUUAGGCUAUGCUUCAUUUUCAUUACACAAAGAUGUUCCCAACUUCUAUACCCCCGAUGACAAGCCAAGCAAUUGUUUCAUACUCAAAUAAUCUCAAACUUUUUCAACCUUCACGCAAUACAUGAGCGCGAGCCAUGGAUAUAGCACUAUGGGUGGAAUAGAAUAUGAUGAUGGGGAUUGUGUGGAGAAGACAAAAAGGAGAAAGUCUCACAUUGACGAGGCUAAUCAACGGGCUAUGGAGAUGCCCAUCAAUUGAUGUCAACAUGAGGAGUAGGGAUUGCCAUGCAACGGAUGCACUAGAGCUAUGAAUGCACAACAAAAGAAAACUAGUGGGUGUGCAUCCAACUUGCUUGCUCAUGAAGACCUAGGGCAUUUGAGGAAGCCCAUCGUAGGAAUAUACAAGCCAAGUUCUAUAAUGAAAAAUUCCCACUAGUAUAAAAAGACAACUUAUGAGACUCACUACAUGAAGAACAAGGUGCUACUUUGAAGCACAAUAUAUGAGACUCACUACAUGAAGAACAAGGUGCUACUUUGAAGCACAAGUGUGGUAAAAGGAUAGUAACAUUGUCCCUUCUCUCUUUUUCUCUCAUUUUUUUAUUUGGGCCUUUUCUCUUUUUUAUGGCCUCUUUUUUUUAUUAUUAUUUGGGCUUCUUUGGCCUCUUUUUUUUCGUCCGGAGUCUCAUCCCGACUUGUGCGGGAAUCACAGUCUCCAUCAUCCUUUCCUCACUUGGGACAAUGCUCUAAUAAUGAUGAUCAUCACACUUUUAUUUUUCUUACAACUCAACAAUUACAACUCGAAACUAGAACAAGACAUGACUCUAUAUGAAUGCCUCCGGCGGUGUACCGGGAUGGUGCGAUGAAUCAAAAGUGACAUGUAUGAAAAAUAAUGCAUGGUAGCUUUGCCACAAAUACGAUGUCAACUACAAGAUCAUGCAAUGGCAAUAUGACAAAAGUAAAGUAUGUCAUGAUGAACGGAACAGUGGAAAGUUGCAUGGCAAUAUAUCUGGGAAUGGAUAUGGAAAUGCCAUAAUAGGUAGGUAUGGUGGCCGUUUUGAGGAAGAUAUAAGGAGGUUUAUGUGUGAAAGAGUGUAUCAUAUCACGGGGUUUGGAUGCACCGGCGAAGUUUGCACCAACUCUCAAUGUGAGAAAGGGCAAUGCACGGUACCGAAGAGGCUAGCAAAGGCGGAAAGGUGAGAGUGCGUAUAAUCCAUGGACUCAACAUUAGUCAAAAGAACUCAUAUACUUAUUGCAAAAAUUUAGAAGCCAUCAAAAAUCAAGUACUAUGCACAACGCUCCUAGGGGGAUAGAUUGGUAGGAAAAGACCAUCGCUCGUCCCCGACCGCCACUCAUAAGGAUGCACAAGCCAGGUACACUUCAUGCUUCAAAUUUGUUACACAACUUUAUCCAUAUGUGCAUGCUACGGGACUUACAAACUUCAACACAAGUAUUUCUCAAUUUCACAACUACUCAACUAGCACGACUUUGAUAUUAUUACCUCCAUAUCUCAAAACAAUUGCUAAGCAUUGAAUUUAUCUUAGUAUUCAAUUCACUCAAAAGAAAGUUUCACAUAUCUUGAACACUAAGUAUAUUAACAUUAAGCAAAUUACCAUGCUAAUAAUGACUCUCAAAAUAAUCUAAGUGAAGCAUGAGAGAUCAAGUUUCUUUAAAACAAAUCCACCACCGUGCUCUAAAAGAUCUAAAUAAAGCACUAGAGCAAAAACUAUCAAACUCAAAAGAUAUAUGUGAAGCACAUAGAGUAUUCUAACAAAUUCCAAAUCAUGUAUGGCUCUCUCAAAAGGUGUGUACAGCAAGGAUGAUUGCGGUAGACUAACAAGCAAAGACACAAAUAAUACAAGACGCUCCAAGCAAAACACAUAUCAUGUUGGUGAAUAAAAAUAUAGCUCCAAGUAAAUUACCGAUGGAAGUGGACGAAAGAGGGGAUGCCUUCCGGGGCAUCCCCAAGCUUUGACUUUUUGGUGUCCUUGUAUUAUCUUGGGGGUGCCAUGUUCAUCCCCAAGCUUAGGCUCUUGCCACUCCUUGUUCCAUAAUCCAUCAAAAGAAUUCACCCAAAACUUGAAAACUUCACAACACAAAACUCAACAGAAAUCUCGUGAGCUCCAUUAGAGAAAGAAAACAAAAGACUACUUCAAGGUACUGUAAUGAAGUCAUUCUUUAUUUAUAUUGGUUUUAAGCCUACUGUAUUCCAACUUCUAUAUGGUUUAUAAACUAAUUUACUAGCCAUAGAUUCAUCAAAAUAAGCAAACAACACACGAAAAACAGAAUCUGUCAAAAACAGAACAGUCUGUAGUAAUCUGUAACUAACGCAAACUUCUGGAACUCUACAAUUUCUACAAAAAUAGGAAGUCCUGGAAAAUCUGUUUAUUGAUCAGAAGCAAAAAGAAUCAACGCAAAAGCACUCUCCAGUAAAAAAUGACAACUAAUCUCGGUAGCGCUAAAGUUUCUGUUUUUCAGCAGAAUCAAAUCAACUAUCAUCGUAGGUUAUCCUAUAGGUCUUACUUGGCACAAACACUAAUUAAAACAUAAAACCACAUCCAAACAGAAGGUAGAUGGAUUAUUUAUUACUAAUCAUAAGCAAAAACAAAAAACACAAAAUAAAAUUGGGUUGCCUCCCAACAAGCGCUAUCGUUUAACGCCCCUAGCUAGGCAUAAAAGCAAGGAUAGAUCUAGGUUGUGCCGUAAUAAUAAGAUAGAUCUUGAAAGCUCAUCUCGUAUUCCCUAUGUUCGGCAGCAAGUUUCCUUUGAGGCAAGAAAAAAUAAUCAAAAGGGCUAAAUUUAGCGGGACAAAAAUCCCCAAGAUCAAUCACGGGAGGAACGGGUUCCUCCCUUGGCCCUUCAUAGUGCACAACUAUUUCAUCACUGAAAGCAUUCUUUUGGCAAAAUAUUGUGAGCUUAUACUCGAGAGAGUAUCCUAGCUCAUUAUUUCUAAGGGCAAAAUCAUUAUUAAGCUCGUUAAUGCAAUCAACUAAGACAUUGAUAGGGACCUUUUUUCUAAGGUUUUCAUUGAAAGUGACAUAGUCCGAAGAUUGAAAACGUCUAAUUUCCUCUUGAUCAUAGAGGAUUGCUUAUAUGGGUGGACGACCGGCGUCCACCCUAUAGUGCGAAAAGAUUUCUUUGGCUUCUCUUAUGAUAAAUCUAAAUUCAUGAGCCAAAAAGAUAGUAACUACGCGCUAAAUAGAAUAGUGCUCAAUAUUAGAGAAUUCUAAGAAAAUUCUCUGUAUGCAAGGGUGCAUAUGCAUAAAUUGUCUUUCAAGUUCAACCACAAGCAUAGCUAUAGCAUCCGCAAGGCUACUGGUUCUAUGAAGAAUAGAACAGCCCAUGGAAGGUAAAGCACCGACACAAGUAAAAAAUCUUGAAUAACGCCUUUGCCAAUGAUGUUACCACUACCGAUUCGAAACUUUUUGGUAUGCAAGAUGGGAGGUUCAUCGGCCGGAGCCUUGGGAUUUUCUGUAUUAUCCUUAUUGUCCAUAUCGACGAUAAUCUCCCCAAUUUCAGACAUAGCGGUAGAAAAAGUAAGGCGGAAGAAACCAAACAAAAGGGAAAGGAGGAGGAGAUUGGGAAAGAGAGCGCGAAUAAAACGGCAAGGGUGAAGUGGGGGAGAGGAAAACGAGAGGCAAAUGGCAAAUAAUAUAAUGCGAGAGAUAGGGAUUGCGAUGGGUACUUGGUAUGUUGACUUUUGCGUAAGCCUCCUGGGCAACGGCGCCAGAAAUUCUUCUUGCUACGUCUCGAGCUUGCGUUGGUUUUCCCCGAAGAGGAGAGGAUGAUGCAGCACAAUAGCGUAAGUAUUUCCUUCAGUUUUUGAGAACCAAGGUAUCAAUCCAGUAGGAGGUCACGCGCAAGUCCCUCGUACCUGCACAACACGAUAGCAACUCGCAACCAACGCUUAGGGGUUGUCAAUCCCUUCACGGUUACUUACAAGAGUGAGAUAUGAUAGAGAUCAUAUUUUUGGUAUUUUUGAUAGAUAGAUGCAACGUAAAAAGUAAAGGCAAAGUAAAAGCAAACCAAGUAAAUAAAUUGAUAUAGAUUGAUAUGAUGAGAAUAGACCCGAGGGCCAUAGGUUUCACUAGUGGCUUCUCCAAGAGCAUAAGUAUUCUACGGUGGGUGAACAAAUUACUGUUGAGCAAUUGACAGAAUUGAGAAUAGUUAUGAGUAUAUCUAGGCAAUGAUCAUGUAUAUAGGCAUCAUGUCUGUGACAAGUAGAUCGAAACGAUUCUGCAUCUACUACUAUUACUCCACUCAUCGACCGCUAUCCAGCAUGCAUCUAGAGUAUUAAGUUAAAACAGAGUAACGCCUUAAGCAAGAUGACAUGAUGUAGAGGGAUAAAUUCAUGCAAUAUGAUAAAUAAAACCAUCUUGUUAUCCUCGAUGGCAACAAUACAAUACGUGCCUUGAAACUCUUUCUGUCACUGAGUAAGGACACCGCAAGAUUGAACCCAAAGCCAUGCACUUCUCCCAUUGCAAGAACUACCAAUCUAGUUGGCCAAACCAAACGGAUAAUUCGAAGAGACUUGCAAAGAUAACUCAAUCAUACAUAAAAGAAUUCAGAGAAGAAUCAAAUACUUUCCAUAGAUAAUACUGGAUCAUAAACCCACAAUUCAUCGAUCUCAACAAACACACCGCAAAAAGAAGAUUGCAUCGAAUAGAUCUCCACGAGAGAGGGGGAGAACAUUGUAUUGAGAUCCAAAAAGAGAGAAGAAGCCAUCUAGCUACUAGCUAUGGACCCGAAGGUCUGAAGUAAACUACUCACACUUCAUCGGAGGGGCUAUGAUGAUGAUGUAGAAGCCCUCCGUGGUGGAUGCCCCCUCCGGCGGAGCUCCGAAACAGGCCCCAAGAUGGGAUCUCGUGGAUACAGAAGGUUGCGGCGGUGGAAUUAGGUUUUUGGCUCCAUUUCUGGUCUAUUGGGGAUACGUAGGUAUAUAUAGGAGGAAGGAGUAUGUCGGUGGAGCACCGAGGGGCCCACAAGGUAGGUGGGCGCGCCCAGGGGGCGCGCCCUCCACCCUCGUGACCUCCUCGGAAGGUUCUUGGAGUAGGGUCCAAGUCUCUUGGAUCACGUUCGGUGAGAAAAUCACGUCCCCGAAGGUUUCAUUCCGUUUGGACUCCGUUUGAUAUUCCGUUUCUUCGAAAUACUGAAAUAGGCAAAAAAACAACAAUUCUGGGCUGGGCCUCCGGUUAAUAGGUUAGUCCCAAAAAUAAUAUAAAAGUGGAAAAUAAAGCCCAAUAUAUUCCAAAACAGUAGAUAAAGUAGCAUGGAGCAAUCAAAAAUUAUAGAUACGUUGGAGACGUAUCAAGCAUUAAGGCAGCAAGUCCCCUUUAUCCCAACAACCUACUUACUCGGGUCUGUGCUUCUGUCACUCACGCCACCCACCAUAAGCAAAUCAUGAACAUAUUGCAAAUCCUACAGCGGGAAUCCCUCACGCUUGCGCGACACGGAGAGCACCAUAGGACAGCACCAAUAAUAAAACAUGCAACUCAAACAAUUCUUGAUCAUCAAAUAGCCCAUAGGACAAAACGGAUCUAGUCAAACAUCAUAGGAUAGCCAUACAUCAUUGGGAAAUAAUAUAUAGCAUUGAGCACCAUGUUUAAGUAGAGAUUACAGCGGGUAAGAGAGAGGUUACACCGCUGCAUAGAGGGGCGAAGAGUUGGUGAUGAUGGUGGUGAAGUUGUUGGUGAAGAUUGCGGUGAUAAUGCUGGCCACGGCGGUGUUCCGGCGCCACUGGAAGAGAAGGGGAGAGGGGGCCCCUUCGUCUUCUUCUUCCUUGACCUCCUCCCUAGAUGGGAGAAGGGUUUCCCCUCUGGUCCUUGGCCUCCAUGGCGUGGGAGGGGCGAGAGCCCCUCCGAGAUUGGAUCUAUCUCUCUGUUUCUCUCUGUUUCUGCGUUCUGUUUCACCGUUUCGUGUAUAUAUGGAGAUCCGUAACUCCGAUUGGCCUGAAACCUUCGCCGUGAUUUUUUUUCCGAAAAUUAGCUUUCUUGCGGCGAAAGAAGAGCGUCAACCGCCUUACAAGUGGGUCAUGAGGGUCAGGGGCGUGCCCUAGGGGGGGCCUACCUCGUGCCCACCUCGGACACUGGUUCGCGUUGAUUUUUCCUCCAGAUUUUCCAAAUGUUCCGAAAAGUAUCUCCGUCCGUUUUUAUCCCGUUUGGACUCCGUUUGAUAUGGAUAUUCUGCAAAACCAAAAACAUGCAACAGACAGGAAUUGGCACUAGGCACUGGAUCAAUAUGUUAGUCCCAAAAAUAGUAUAAAAAGUUGCCAAAAAGUAUAUGAAAGUUGAAUAAUAUUGGCAUGGAACAAUCAAAAAUUAUAGAUACGACGGAGACGUAUCAAUGAUCAAGUUUAUCUAUGAAUAAUAUUUGAAUCUUCUCUGAAUUCUUUUAUGUAUGAUUGAGUUAUCUUUGCAAGUCUCUUCGAAUUAUCAGUUUGGUUUGGCCAACUAGAUUGAUCUUUCUUGCCAUGGGAGAAGUGCUUAGCUUUGGGUUCAAUCUUGCGGUGUCCUUACCCAAUGAUAGAAAGGGUUGCAAGGCACGUAUUGUAUUGUUGCCAUCGAGGAUCACAAGAUGGGGUUUAUAUCAUAUAGCUUGAAUUUAUCCCUCUACAUCAUGUCAUCUUGCUAAAUGCGUUACUCUGUUCUUUAUGAACAUAAUACUCUAGAUGCAGGAAGUAGUCGGCCGAUGUGUAGAGUAAUAGUAGUAGAUGCAGGCAGGAGUCGGUCUACUUGUUGCGGACGUGAUGCCUAUAUACAUGAUCAUGCCUAGAUAAUCUCAUAAUUAUUCGCUUUUCUAUCAAUUGCUCGACAGUAAUUUGUUCACCCACCGUAAUACGCACCCACCGUAAUACUUAUGCUAUCUUGAGAGAAGACACUAGUGAAACCUAUGACCCCCGGGUCUAUCUUUUAUCAUAUUUGCUUCCAAUCUACUUUUAUUUGCAUCUUUACUUUUUGCAUCUAUAUUAUAAAAUACCAAAAAUAUAUUUAUCUUAUCUUACUAUCUUUAUUAGAUCUCACUUUCGUAAGUGGCCGUGAAGGGAUUGACAACCCCUUUAUUGCAUUGGUUGCGAGUUCUUUGUUUGUUUGUGUAAGUGAGUGGGACUUUUGAGGAGCCUCCUACUGGAUUGAUACCUUGGUUCUCAAAAACUGAGGAAAAUACUUACGCUACUAUUGCCGCAUCACCCUUUCCUCUUCAAGGAAAACCAACGCAAGCUCAAGACGUAGCAUGCUCGGUGACGAGAUCUAGAGGGAUAGGAUCGAACAGGAGGUGGAGAUGCAGCUGCCAGUACCCAUUGUCGGUGUCAAAACCAGCGGAUCUCGGGUAGGGGGGGCAGAACUGUGCAUCUAAGGCUAAUGGUAACAUGAGGCAGGGGACACAAUGUUUACCCAGGUUCGGGCCCUCUCGACGUAGGUAAUACCCUACUUCCUGCUUGGUUGAUCUAGAUGAUAUGAGUAUUACAAGAGUUGAUCUACCACGAGAUCAUAGAGGCUAAACCCUAGAAGCUAGCCUAUGAUUAUGAUUGUUCUUGUCCAACGGACUAAACCCUUCGGUUUAUAUAGACACCAGAGGGGCUAGGGUUACACAGAGUCGGUUACAGAGAAGGAGAUCUAUAUAUACGAAUUGCCAAGCUUUCCUUCCAUGCAAAGGAGAGUCCCACCCGGACACGGGACGAAGUCUUCAACCUUGUAUCUUCAUAGUCCAACAGUACGGCCAAAGUAUAUAGUCCGGUUGUCCGAGGACCCCCUAAUCCAGGACUCCCUCAGUAGCCCCUGAACUAGGCUUCAAUGACGAUGAGUCCAGCGCGCAGAUUGUCUUCGGCAUUGCAAGGCGGGUUCCUUCUUCGAAUACUCCAUAGAAGAUUUUGAACACAAGGAUCGUGUCCGGCUCUGCAAAAGAAAUUCCACAUACUACCGUAGAGAGUACAAUAUUCCAAAAAUCUAAUCUGCUGACAACUUUUCAUAGCGUGACAUCACGCUGCGGCCUGGUCAUUAUCCGAACCGUUUUCCAACCUACUAUCGCACAUAUCACGAGGCGGUUUAUCGGCACGUCUUGUCGAAGCAGAGAUCGUGUCCCCUUAUCACGGGAUUUUCAUCAAUACGGGUUUGGGUAACCCAACCGUGCCAUCAACGCGGCGCUUGGGGAACAAGCGAGUUUACCGGGCAACUGGGGAGGCGCAGGAUCCCUGCCGCCUUUAUAAAGAGAUAAGGGCUCCCCUUUUUCACCCAUGCCUUCUUCUUCCUCUGCUUAUCCAUUCUAUCUCGCCCGAGCUCUAGCGCCCAAGCAUUCGUCUUCUCUGCCCACAAAGGCCCUCCGGAAAUGUCCGGAUCCGGAGCAGGAGGCAAGUGGAUGGCCUCUACCAUCCGGGAAAAGGAUAUCAAAAAGCUUCGGGAGGCUGGGUAUCUGGCUAAUAACAUCAGGCAUCGUCUCCCGAUGGCGGGACAGAUCGUCCCAACCUCGGAACCCCAUGAGAGGGUUGUAUUCCUCCCUCACUUUGUCCGCGGGUGAGGGAGUCCUGGAUUAGGGGGUAUCCGGACGGCCGGACUAUAUUCUUCGUCCGAACUAUUGUAGCGUGAAGAUACAAGACUCAAGACUACGCCCCCUUUCCGGAUGGGACUCUCCUUUGUGUGGAAGACAAGCUUGGCGAUCCGAAUAUUAUAUUUCCUUCCUUGUAAUCGACUCAAUGUAAACCCUAGCCCUCUCCGGUGUCUAUAUAAACCAGAGAGGUUGGUCCUUAGAAGGACGAUCAGAAUCAUACACAUCAUAGACUAGCUUCUAGGGUUUAGCCUCUACGAUCUCGUGGUAGAUCAACUCUUGUACUACUCAUAUCAUCAAUAUCAAUCAAGUAGGAAGUAGGGUUUUACCUCCAUCGAGAGGGCCCGAACCUGGGUAAACAUUGUGUCCCUUGCCUCAUGUUACCAUUAGCCUAAGACGCACAGAUCGGGACCCCCUACCCGAGAUCCGCCGGUUUUGACACCGACAUUGGUGCUUUCAUUGAGAGUUCCUUUGUGUCGUUGCUGCAAGGCUCGAUGGCUCCUUCAAUCAUUGUCAACAACAUGGUCCAGGGUGAGACUUUUCUUCCGGGAUAGAUCUUCGUGUUCGGCGGCUUCGCACUGCGGGCCAAUUCGCUUGGACAACUGGAGCAGAUCGACAGCUACGCCCCUGGUCACCAGGUCAGAUUCAGAAACCUGAACUACACGGCCAAUAUCCGCGGAGACUUGAUCUUCAACGGGUUCAGGCCUGCGCCAGGAGCGCCGGACAAUCACGAUGAGCACGGCUUAGACCUGCUGUCGGAUAACGCUCGGGAUAUCACCCCUGUAGUAGCCCCGGACCUAAAUCCGGAGCAGAUUGUGUUGCCCAAGGACGGGUGGAUGGACCCCGUCCUGCAAGACGCACACUCAUCGGCGGUAGAGCCGAACACAGGCCUCACCCCUAAAGAAGCCUGUGACACUGGACCCCCGGACUCGUAUCCGGCUGUAGGUUCCAGUCUGCGCGCUCCCGAGCCCGCCGAACCUGGUUGGGCUCCAGUAAUGGAGUUCACCGCCGCGGAGAUCUUCCAGCACUCGCCCCUUGGCGACGUACUGAACUCCUUAAAAUCCCUCUCUUAGUCAGGAGAAUCUCGGCCAAACUAUGUCCGGCUCGAGUGGCAAGCAGGCGACGAAGGAAUUCGUUGCCAACCCACCACCAACUUCAUUGCCACGGUCGAUGAUUUAACUGACGUGCUUGACUUCGACUCUGAAGACAUCGAUGGUAUGGACGACGAUGCAGGAGAAGAACAGGAACCACCGCUCAUGGGGCAGUGGACAGCCACCUCCUCAUAUGAUAUGUAUAUAUGGUGGACACUCCGACGAAAACCAAUGGCGACGAGGCAAUGGAGGAUAACCCCUCGGGGAAGAAAGCUAAGCAUGGGCGGCGUCAACGCCACUCCAAGCCCCGCCACAACAAUACCGGCAUAGGAAACGAGAACAAUCUGAAUGGUGCCAAAGAUGAAUACAACCCUGAUCAACCUGCCUUCAAGCAGGCCGGACUGGCCAUGGUCGGAUACUUAGAGAGGAACAACAAUAUGCCCCCUCCGAAGACGAGGUAAGCCUUGCCGAUGAUGAAUUCGGCGUGCCUGAGGAUCCCGUGGAACAAGUUCGCUUCAAGCAACGGCUCACGGCCACUGCGAGGAGCCUGCAAGGAAAGCAACAGCAGCUCAAAGUUAACCAAGAUUUGCUCAUGGACAGAUGGACCAAGGUCCUGGCCACCGAGGAACACGGACUCGACCGCCCCGACAAAGGGCACACACGGCACAAUUUUCUACCUCAACCUAAGAAGGAGAACCUAAGGCACAUACCCCGACGUCAACAUACCACCACGAUCCAAGACAAUACGAAGGAAACACGAGGAGGCAUCCUCAAGCCUCGGCGCAAUCGUCAUAAAUGUCAAGUCAGGGAAGUUGGUGCCGAAUUCCGCGGCCCCCAGUCCGGUCAGCGGAAAAAGAACAGCUCGGGCCAAUUCGGCCCUUGCAGCAUACUAGAUCAACCAUGUGAAAUUCAUGGUACCCCCAGAAGGGCGACCAAGCAUACCAAUAGAGAAUGUCGGAUCUUCCAAACAAAACGGCCGAUCUUGCCCCCGAAACAAUGAAGGGAGGUCUCAAACAACAAAAGACCAUUCAAACAUGGUGAGGAAGAUCCCCUCACAGUACAAAAAUACGGCCGAUCGUCCCUUAUCACAUCGAUCGUCCGGACAACACCAGCCAUAGCAAUUUUAUUGCACUCACUAUCUACCCAGUGGCUUGGGGGCUCCAUUUUACAUGAGCCCCCACAGGCAUAAAACUAUUAAUAACAUCUCCUCAAAGAUGCAAGGUGCAAAGGCCAGGUUUUAACUGACUCACCAUAUUAAUGGUUGUCUUCGAAUCACCAAACAAAUACCACACUGAAGAAUAAGUCUUCAGCAUUAUCCCCUUAUAUAGUGAUUACCACAUACUACCGGGACAAACCACGUUGGCUAGAUUCAACGAGGUACAACAUCAGGCCAGUCCCGCAUGACAUAGUCACAGCUAUGGGCAAGGCCGAACCCCACCAUUAGAGUGGCAAUCAUACCGCCGCUGGAAUAGCGAGUCGUGCAUGUUUAUCAAAUUUUUAUUUGGCAGCCAAACACCCGGACACCAAUUCAGGAAUCGGAACUACUUUAUGGCAUGGUUCAGCCAGGCUCCGCUCAGGCACCCGCGAUUCAACCACAACGGUAUAUGCAGAUGCCUUUAAAGCAUUUGUCUUUACAGACUAACUUUGGCGCAGAACAAGACUGGCGGCGCGGAAUCAGCUUGGACGCACAAGGCAGGCAGUCCGGAUACACCUCAGAUCCACACACAGCCUCCUCCAGUCCGGUCACGACAGGUUCUGCCAAAAACACUCCCUUUCAUAAGCAUAAAACGCACUCAUAUGCAUAGACAUGCCAUUUUACUACAAUGCGUAGACUUAAAUAACAUUUACCGGUUUCUCAUUGACGCCUCUUUUUCACAAACAGCACCCACGCCUUGUGUUAUGCCCGAUUAUGCCAGGGGCUUCAUAGUACGGCAAUAAAGUCCGACCACCUUUUCGGUCGCUCGGCACCCCAAACAUAUAGCACUAUAUGCAUCAGCUCCGAAUCAUGUCUUGGGUCAUUAGUUGGGUUUGCCCGGCUCCCAUGUUUUGGUACCUUACGUUCCGCCCAAUCGGCUAAGGUAGCGCUGGGAGAACUACUGCGAUUGUGUCCUGGUUCUUCCGGACGAGCACCUCAGUAGAGAAAGCCGAAAACUGACUGUCAUGAUAUAGCGAGAGCUGGUCAGCUGUUCGAGAGGUUGUAAAAUCUUUAAGGAUUUAUUCCGCAUAAUGCCAUUAUAAAUGCAAAGUGCGAUGGAUCAGUCUUCCGACCAAGCGCCGAUAGAGCCCCUAGUUCGGCCUUCCGAACACUAGGGGCUGCUGAGGGAGUCUUGGAUUAGGGGGUAUCCGGACAGUCGAACUGUAUACAUCGUCCGGACUAUUGAAGCGUGAAGAUACAAGACUCAAGACUUCAUCUCGUGUCCGGAUGGAAUUCUCCUUGGCGUGGAAGGCAAGCUUGGCGAUCCGGAUAUUAUAUUUCCUUCCUUGUAACCGACUCCGUGUAAACCCUAGCCUUCUCCGAGUCUAUAUAAACCGGAGAGGUUGGUCCUUAGAAGGCCGAUCACAAUUACAAUCAUACCAUCACAGGCUAGCUUCUAGGGUUUAGCCUCUACGAUCUCGUGGUAGAUCUACUCUUGUACUACCCAUAUCUUCAAUAUUAAUCAAGCAGGAAGUAGGGUUUUACCUCCAUCGAGAGGGCCCGAACCUGGGUAAAUAUUGUGUCCCUUGCUUCCUGUUACCAUCAGCCUAAGACACACAGAUCGGGACCCCCUACCCGAGAUCCGCCGGUUUUGACACCGACAUUGGUGCUUCCAUUGAGAGUUCCUCUGUGUCGUCGCUACAGGGCUCGAUGGCUCCUCCAGUCAUCGUCAACAACACGAUCCCAGGUGAGACCUUUCUCCCCGGACAGAUCUUCGUGUUCGGCGGCUUCGCCCUGCGGGCCAACUCGCUUGGCCAUUUGGAGCAGAUCGACAGCUACGCCCCUGGCCACCAGAUGAAGUUCGGAAACCUGAACUACACGACGGACAUUCGCAGAGACUUGAUCUUCGACGGAUUCGGACCUAUGCCAGGAGCACCGGACAGUCACGACGAGCACGGCUUAGACCUGCUGUCGGACAAAGCUCGGGGUAUCACCCCCGCAGUAGCCCCGGACCUAAAUCCGGAGUAGGCUGCGCUACCUAAGGAUGGAGGGAUGGACCCCGCCCCACAGGUCGCACACUCAUCAGCGGUGGAGCCGAACACGGGUCUUACCUCUGUGGUGGCCUAUGACUCCGGACCCCCGGAUUCGUAUCUGGACGUUGGUUCCAGUCCGCGCACUCCCGAGCCAGUCGAGCCAGGUUGGGCUCCGGUAAUGGAGUUCACCGUUGCGGAUAUCUUCCAGCACUCGCCCUUUGGCGACAUGCUGGACUCAUUAAAGUCUCUCUCUUUGUCAGGAGGCUCUUGGCCGAACUAUGUCUGGCUCGAGUGGGAGGCAGGCGAUGAAGGAAUUUGUUGCCCACCCACCACCCACUUCAUUGCCACGGUCGAUGAUUUAACCGAGGUACUGGACUUCGAAUCCGAAGACAUAUGGACAACGAUGCAGGAGAAGAACAUGAACCACCGCUCACUAGGCGGUGGACAGCCACCUCUUCCUAUGAUAUAUNNNNNNNNNNNNNNNNNNNNNNNNNNNNNNNNNNNNNNNNNNNNNNNNNNNNNNNNNNNNNNNNNNNNNNNNNNNNNNNNNNNNNNNNNNNNNNNNNNNNNNNNNNNNNNNNNNNNNNNNNNNNNNNNNNNNNNNNNNNNNNNNNNNNNNNNNNNNNNNNNNNNNNNNNNNNNNNNNNNNNNNNNNNNNNNNNNNNNNNNNNNNNNNNNNNNNNNNNNNNNNNNNNNNNNNNNNNNNNNNNNNNNNNNNNNNNNNNNNNNNNNNNNNNNNNNNNNNNNNNNNNNNNNNNNNNNNNNNNNNNNNNNNNNNNNNNNNNNNNNNNNNNNNNNNNNNNNNNNNNNNNNNNNNNNNNNNNNNNNNNNNNNNNNNNNNNNNNNNNNNNNNNNNNNNNNNNNNNNNNNNNNNNNNNNNNNNNNNNNNNNNNNNNNNNNNNNNNNNNNNNNNNNNNNNNNNNNNNNNNNNNNNNNNNNNNNNNNNNNNNNNNNNNNNNNNNNNNNNNNNNNNNNNNGGAAACAAAUGGCGAUGAGGCAACGGAGGAUAAAACCUCAGGGAAAAAAGCAAAGAAUGGGCGUCGUCGGCGCCACUCCAAGCCCCGCCACAGCAAUACAGGCCCAGGAGACGAAAACAAUCCGAAUGGUGCCAAAGAAGAAUACAACCCUGAUCAGCCCGCCUUUGAGCAGGCCGAAUAGGAAGAUGAGCAGGUCAACCCAGAAGAAUAGGCGACGGACGAAUACCUAGAGGAGGACAACUACAUGCCCCCCUCCGAAGACGAGAUUAGCCUCGGCGACGACAAGUUUGGCGUGCCUGAGGAUCCCGUAGAGCAGGAGCGCUUCAAGCAUCGACUUAUAGCCACUGUGAGGAGCCUGAAAAAGAAGCAGCAUCAACUCCAAGCUGAUCAAGACCUGCUCACAGACAGAUAGACUGAAGUCCUGGCAGCCGAGGAAUAUGGACUCGAGUGCCAUACGGCUGACCGGCCACCUCGUGGCCGGGAUAAAACGGCAUAUCAGCCCGCAUACCAGCCAGCACCCCCACGCCAACAUACCACGGCCCAGGGCAAUAGGCAGGACCUGCAAGAUAUACUGGAAAACAGAGCAGGACAGCCAAGAUCGAUCUACGGAUCGCAAGGGCCUGCCUCAGCACGCGACGAUGACCGUCACGCCGGAUACACCUUCAACAAGUCCGGCCGGGCCGGACAUAGCCACCCAGAGCAAUUCAAACUGCGUAGCCACAUAGCCCGGCACAGAGGCGCAUCGCACCCCCUCUGCUUCACCGACGAAGUGAUGGAUCAUGAAUUCCCAGAAGGGUUCAAACCCGUAAACAUUGAAUCAUACAAUGACACAACAGACCCGCGGUAUGGAUCGAAGAUUUCCUUCUCCACAUUCACAUGGCCCGCGGAGACGAUCUACACACCAUCAAGUAUCUCCUCCUUAAGCUCAAAGGACCAGCCAGGCACUGGCUAAACAGUUUGCCAGCAGAUUCCAUUGGCUGCUGGGAAAACCUGGAAGACGCAUUCCUCAACAAAUUCCACGGCACAUAUGUGUGACCACCAGAUUCUGAUGACCUGAGCCACAUUACUCAAAAACCCGGAGAGUCAACCAGGAAAUUCUGGACUCGGUUCCUAACUAAAAAGAACCAAACAGUUGACUGUCCGGACGCCGAAGCCCUGGCGGCUUUUAAGCACAAUAUCCGUGACGAGUGGCUUGCCCGACACCUCGGCCAGGAAAAACCCAAGUCAAUGGCAGCUCUCACAACACUAAUGACCCGCUUUUGCGUGGGCGAGGACAGCUGAUUGGCUCGCAGCAGCACUACGCCACAUUCUGGCACUCCGGACGGCCGCGGCAAUAACGACAAGCCAUGGCGUAAUAGACAUAAGCGACAGAACAACGAUGACAGCACUGAAGACACGGCAGUCAACGCCAGAUUCAGCGGAUCCAAGUCUGGUCAGCGGAAGAAGCCGUUCAAAAGAAAUAAUCAGGGAUUGUCUAGUCUAAACCGUAUACUGGAGCGCUCAUGCCAAAUUCAUGGCACCCCGGACAAGCCAGCCAACCACACCAAUAGAGACUGCUGGGUGUUCAAACAGGCCGGCAAAAUAAACGCCAAAAACAAGGACAAGGGGCUACACAGCGACGAUGACGAAGAGCCCCGGCGUCCGAACAUGGGGGGACAGAAGAAAUUUCCCCCCUAGGUGAAAACGGUCAACAUGAUUUAUGCCACACACAUUCCCAAGCGGGAACGGAAGCGAGCACUACGAGACGUCUAUGCAAUGGAGCCAGUCGCCCUCAAAUUUAACCCAUGGUCAGCUUGCCCGAUCACCUUUGACCGUAGGGAUCACCCUACUAGCAUCCGUCAUGGCGGCUCAACCGCAUUGGUCCUAGACCCAAUCAUCGACGGAUUCCACCUCACGCAAGUCCUUAUGGAUGGUGGCAGCAGCCUGAACCUGCUUUAUCAGGACACAGUGUGCAAAAUGGGCAUUGACCCUUCAAGGAUCAAGGCCACCAAAACCACCUUUAAAGGUGUGAUUCCUGGAGUAGAGGCCCGUUGCACGGGCUCUAUAACAUUGGAAGUGGUCUUCGGAUCUCCGGAUAACUUUCGAGGCGAAGAGUUAAUCUUCGAUAUCGUCCCUUUCCGCAGUGGUUACCACGCACUGCUCGGACGAACUGCAUUCGCUAGAUUCAAUGCGGUACCACACUACGCAUACCUCAAGCUCAAGAUGCCAGGACCACGCGGGGUCAUAACAGUGAAUGGAAAUAUGGACCGCUCUCUCCAAACAGAAGAGCAUACUGCAGCCCUCGCGGUGGAAGUACAAUGCGGCCUCCUCCGACAAACCCAUCCGGCAACAACAACUUCAAGCACCGUCAAGAGAGUCCGGAGCACCCCGCAACAGGAUCAUCAGGCACGCCAAGAGCGCGACUAGUAGUCCGGCCUCCGCUUAAGCCCCAUCAAAGCAGCAUUCGUGCCACGCGUACACAAUUACGCACUCAAGAUACCAUGGGCGUAGGCGGAGGCGCAACAACGACUCAGUCAACAGUGCGGGAUAACCGCCACAUACCUUCAUAACCUGUCCUUAUUCUUUUUCAGGACAUUGCUUUAGAGCAGCCUCUUCAGAAGAGCCGGAUUGUCGGACUUACAUAGGAGAGAAAACCAAGGAGGCAACAGGCUUCGCACACAGAAGGAAACACCCAGGUGGAAUCUAUUUACGAUCGUUAUACCUGUUUUAUACAUCCUUACGCGGCCUGCCCCUGGAUAGGACAUGUUAAAUAGUCCUAUUUAUCUCCGCUUAAUGCAUUCAUUGUAAACAUACGCUUAAACGUAUUUUCAUCAAUGGGAGAUUAUAUAUAGCGUCAGCUCACUAUUCUUAUUUGAACAUUUUUCUUACAAAUGUCUCUUUGAUAUUGCAUCCGUACACUUUGGUACGGUCCGUUUGCCAGGGGGCUUCCUAUGGUGCCCCGUUCUACGGCAAAUAAAGUCCGAACACUUUAAACAGUGCGGCACCCCGAACUUAUAGCACUAUAUGCAUCAGCUCCGAAUCAUGUCUUGGGUCUACAGUUGGGUUAGCCCGGCUCUCUUGUUUUGGUACCUUACGUUCCAUUAUAUCGGCUAAGGUAGCGCAGGGAGAACUACUGCGAUUGUGUCCCGGUUCUUCCGGAUGAGCACCUCAGUAGAGAAAGCCGAAAACUGACCGGCAUGAUGAGGCAAGAGCUGGUCGCUGUUCGAGAGGUCUUAAAAUCCUUAAAGAUUUUUUCCGCUUUAGGCUAUGAAUCGGCCUUGUCCGAUUUAGGCGUAUAUAGCGCCCCAAUUCGACCCUCUGAAUUCUAGGGGCUUCGCCAAAAAUUAAAAUUAUAGACUUCUAUGGCUAAGUGAAAGUUAUAAAGCCACAUAGUCCGAUUGCCUUGUUCGCUGCGCCGGAUACCUCCUUAAGGGACUAAACAUUUGGAUAAAGAGUAUCCGGGUUUUUCCAGGAACACCCCGGUACUAGGUACGCGAUGGUGGAAGCCGACGACUGGCCUACUUUCAGAAUUUUAUAAACAGCCGCACAGAUGGUAAUAUUUUAAAUCAAAACAGUGCUACAUAGCACAGGCAACUCCGUCCUUAAAUUACAACAGCGGCAGAGGUACAUUUAGUCAAAGAUCUUGUCUUUAGUACAUUCGUCGGCCACGAGACGAGCGCCCUUCAUAACGCCAUCAUAGUACUUCUCGGGAUGGCGAUGCACCUUGCCCUCCGGCGGCCCGUCCUUCACUAGCUUCUCUGCAUCCCACUACUAGGGAAAAGCCUAGCAGCAGCGCGGGUACCGCGCUACUAAUAAGGCGCUACAGCUAACUUAUAGCAGUAGCGCGGGUGCCACCCGCGCUACAGCUAACGUAUAGCAGUAGCGUGGGUAAAAACCCGUGCUACUACUAAUCUGUAAUCUCUCGAAAAAAUUGAACUUUUUCGAAAAAAAAUUUGAUUUUUUUUUCGAAAUUUUCAAAUUUAUGAAUUAUUUUAACCUCAAAUCUCUAAUCACCCCUCAUUGCUGCUCAAUUUAAUCUCUAAUCACCCCUCAUCAUUCCAAAUCAUCUAACUUCCCGGACGGUCACCCAUCCUCUCACUACUCCAGCCUGGGCACGCUUAACUUCCGGGUUCUAUUCUCCCUCAUUUCCAAGUCUGCACUUGUUGUUUUCCUAACAAUAGUAAGAUGUCAAUCCUAUUAACCUCAGGAAUUUAGCUUGAGCAUGAAGUCACACAUUUCACUGUUUGAGUUUGAAACUAUUGUUCUAAAAAUAAUCAAAAGGGCUAAAUUUAGCGGGACAAAAAUCCCCAAGAUCAAUCACGGGAGGAACGGGUUCCUCCCUUGGCCCUUCAUAGUGCACAACUAUUUCAUCACUGAAAGCAUUCUUUUGGCAAAAUAUUGUGAGCUUAUACUCGAGAGAGUAUCCUAGCUCAUUAUUUCUAAGGGCAAAAUCAUUAUUAAGCUCGUUAAUGCAAUCAACUAAGACAUUGAUAGGGACCUUUUUUCUAAGGUUUUCAUUGAAAGCGACAUAGUCCGAAGAUUGAAAACGUCUAAUUUCCUCUUGAUCAUAGAGGAUUGCUUCUAUGGGUGGACGACCGGCGUCCACCCUAUAGUGCGAAAAGAUUUCUUUGGCUUCUCUUAUGAUAAAUCUAAAUUCAUGAGCCAAAAAGAUAGUAACUGCGUGCUUAAUAGAAUAGUGCUCAAUAUUAGAGAAUUCUAAGAAAAUUCUCUGUAUGCAAGGGUGCAUAUGCAUAAAUUGUCUUUCAAGUUCAACCACAAGCAUAGCUAUAGCAUCCGCAAGGCUACUGGUUCUAUGAAGAAUAGAACAGCCCAUGGAAGGUAAAGCACCGACACAAGUAAAAAAAUCUUGAAUAACGCCUUUGCCAAUGAUGUUACCACUACCGAUUCGAAACUUUUUGGUAUGCAAGAUGGGAGGUUCAUCGGCCGGAGCCUUGGGAUUUUCUGUAUUAUCCUUAUUGUCCAUAUCGACGAUAAUCUCCCCAAUUUCAGACAUAGCGGUAGAAAAAGUAAGGCGGAAGAAACCAAACAAAAGGGAAAGGAGGAGGAGAUUGGGAAAGAGAGCGCGAAUAAAACGGCAAGGGUGAAGUGGGGGAGAGGAAAACGAGAGGCAAAUGGAAAAUAAUAUAAUGCGAGAGAUAGGGAUUGCGAUGGGUACUUGGUAUGUUGACUUUUGCGUAAGCCUCCUGGGCAACGGCGCCAGAAAUUCUUCUUGCUACGUCUCGAGCUUGCGUUGGUUUUCCCCGAAGAGGAGAGGAUGAUGCAGCACAAUAGCGUAAGUAUUUCCUUCAGUUUUUGAGAACCAAGGUAUCAAUCCAGUAGGAGGUCACGCGCAAGUCCCUCGUACCUGCACAACACGAUAGCAACUCGCAACCAACGCUUAGGGGUUGUCAAUCCCUUCACGGUUACUUACAAGAGUGAGAUAUGAUAGAGAUCAUAUUUUUGGUAUUUUUGAUAGAUAGAUGCAACGUAAAAAGUAAAGGCAAAGUAAAAGCAAACCAAGUAAAUAAAUUGAUAUAGAUUGAUAUGAUGAGAAUAGACCCGAGGGCCAUAGGUUUCACUAGUGGCUUCUCCAAGAGCAUAAGUAUUCUACGGUGGGUGAACAAAUUACUGUUGAGCAAUUGACAGAAUUGAGAAUAGUUAUGAGUAUAUCUAGGCAAUGAUCAUGUAUAUAGGCAUCACGUCUGUGACAAGUAGAUCGAAACGAUUCUGCAUCUACUACUAUUACUCCACUCAUCGACCGCUAUCCAGCAUGCAUCUAGAGUAUUAAGUUAAAACAGAGUAACGCCUUAAGCAAGAUGACAUGAUGUAGAGGGAUAAAUUCAUGCAAUAUGAUAAAUAAAACCAUCUUGUUAUCCUCGAUGGCAACAAUACAAUACGUGCCUUGAAACUCUUUCUGUCACUGAGUAAGGACACCGCAAGAUUGAACCCAAAGCCAUGCACUUCUCCCAUUGCAAGAACUACCAAUCUAGUUGGCCAAACCAAAUGGAUAAUUCGAAGAGACUUGCAAAGAUAACUCAAUCAUACAUAAAAGAAUUCAGAGAAGAAUCAAAUACUUUCCAUAGAUAAUACUGGAUCAUAAACCCACAAUUCAUCGAUCUCAACAAACACACCGCAAAAAGAAGAUUGCAUCGAAUAGAUCUCCACGAGAGAGGGGGAGAACAUUGUAUUGAGAUCCAAAAAGAGAGAAGAAUCCAUCUAGCUACUAGCUAUGGACCCGAAGGUCUGAAGUAAACUACUCACACUUCAUCGGAGGGGCUAUGAUGAUGAUGUAGAAGCCUUCCGUGGUGGAUGCCCCCUCCGGCGGAGCUCCGAAACAGGCCCCAAGAUGGGAUCUCGUGGAUACAGAAGGUUGCGGCGGUGGAAUUAGGUUUUUGGCUCCAUUUCUGGUCUAUUGGGGAUACGUAGGUAUAUAUAGGAGGAAGGAGUAUGUCGGUGGAGCACCGAGGGGCCCACAAGGUAGGUGGGCGCGCCCAGGGGGCGCGCCCUCCACCCUCGUGACCUCCUCGGAAGGUUCUUGGAGUAGGGUCCAAGUCUCUUGGAUCACGUUCGGUGAGAAAAUCACGUCCCCGAAGGUUUCAUUCCGUUUGGACUCCGUUUGAUAUUCCGUUUCUUCGAAAUACUGAAAUAGGCAAAAAAACAACAAUUCUGGGCUGGGCCUCCGGUUAAUAGGUUAGUCCCAAAAAUAAUAUAAAAGUGGAAAAUAAAGCCCAAUAUAUUCCAAAACAGUAGAUAAAGUAGCAUGGAGCAAUCAAAAAUUAUAGAUACGGUGGAGACGUAUCAAGCAUUAAGGCAUCAAGUCCCCUUUAUCCCAUAUGCAAACAACCUACUUACUCGGGUCUGUGCUUCUGUCACUCACGCCACCCACCAUAAGCAAAUCAUGAACAUAUUGCAAAUCCUACAGCGGGAAUCCCUCACGCUUGCGCGACACGGAGAGCACCAUAGGACAGCACCAAUAAUAAAACAUGCAACUCAAACAAUUCUUGAUCAUCAAAUAGCCCAUAGGACAAAACGGAUCUAGUCAAACAUCAUAGGAUAGCCAUACAUCAUUGGGAAAUAAUAUAUAGCAUUGAGCACCAUGUUUAAGUAGAGAUUACAGCGGGUAAGAGAGAGGUUACACCGCUGCAUAGAGGGGCGAAGAGUUGGUGAUGAUGGUGGUGAAGUUGUUGGUGAAGAUUGCGGUGAUAAUGCUGGCCACGGCGGUGUUCCGGCGCCACUGGAAGAGAAGGGGAGAGGGGGCCCCUUCGUCUUCUUCUUCCUUGACCUCCUCCCUAGAUGGGAGAAGGGUUUCCCCUCUGGUCCUUGGCCUCCAUGGCGUGGGAGGGGCGAGAGCCCCUCCGAGAUUGGAUCUAUCUCUCUGUUUCUCUCUGUUUCUGCGUUCUGUUUCACCGUUUCGUGUAUAUAUGGAGAUCCGUAACUCCGAUUGGCCUGAAACCUUCGCCGUGAUUUUUUUUCCGAAAAUUAGCUUUCUUGCGGCGAAAGAAGAGCGUCAACCGCCUUACAAGUGGGUCAUGAGGGUCAGGGGCGUGCCCUAGGGGGGGCCUACCUCGUGCCCACCUCGGACACUGGUUCGCGUUGAUUUUUCCUCCAGAUUUUCCAAAUGUUCCGAAAAGUAUCUCCGUCCGUUUUUAUCCCGUUUGGACUCCGUUUGAUAUGGAUAUUCUGCAAAACCAAAAACAUGCAACAGACAGGAAUUGGCACUAGGCACUGGAUCAAUAUGUUAGUCCCAAAAAUAGUAUAAAAAGUUGCCAAAAAGUAUAUGAAAGUUGAAUAAUAUUGGCAUGGAACAAUCAAAAAUUAUAGAUACGACGGAGACGUAUCAAUGAUCAAGUUUAUCUAUGAAUAAUAUUUGAAUCUUCUCUGAAUUCUUUUAUGUAUGAUUGAGUUAUCUUUGCAAGUCUCUUCGAAUUAUCAGUUUGGUUUGGCCAACUAGAUUGAUCUUUCUUGCCAUGGGAGAAGUGCUUAGCUUUGGGUUCAAUCUUGCGGUGUCCUUACCCAAUGAUAGAAAGGGUUGCAAGGCACGUAUUGUAUUGUUGCCAUCGAGGAUCACAAGAUGGGGUUUAUAUCAUAUAGCUUGAAUUUAUCCCUCUACAUCAUGUCAUCUUGCUAAAUGCGUUACUCUGUUCUUUAUGAACAUAAUACUCUAGAUGCAGGAAGUAGUCGGCCGAUGUGUAGAGUAAUAGUAGUAGAUGCAGGCAGGAGUCGGUCUACUUGUUGCGGACGUGAUGCCUAUAUACAUGAUCAUGCCUAGAUAAUCUCAUAAUUAUUCGCUUUUCUAUCAAUUGCUCGACAGUAAUUUGUUCACCCACCGUAAUACGCACCCACCGUAAUACUUAUGCUAUCUUGAGAGAAGACACUAGUGAAACCUAUGACCCCCGGGUCUAUCUUUUAUCAUAUUUGCUUCCAAUCUACUUUUAUUUGCAUCUUUACUUUUUGCAUCUAUAUUAUAAAAUACCAAAAAUAUAUUUAUCUUAUCUUACUAUCUUUAUUAGAUCUCACUUUCGUAAGUGGCCGUGAAGGGAUUGACAACCCCUUUAUUGCAUUGGUUGCGAGUUCUUUGUUUGUUUGUGUAAGUGAGUGGGACUUUUGAGGAGCCUCCUACUGGAUUGAUACCUUGGUUCUCAAAAACUGAGGAAAAUACUUACGCUACUAUUGCCGCAUCACCCUUUCCUCUUCAAGGAAAACCAACGCAAGCUCAAGACGUAGCAUGCUCGGUGACGAGAUCUAGAGGGAUAGGAUCGAACAGGAGGUGGAGAUGCAGCUGCCAGUACCCAUUGUCGGUGUCAAAACCAGCGGAUCUCGGGUAGGGGGGGCAGAACUGUGCAUCUAAGGCUAAUGGUCACAUGAGGCAGGGGACACAAUGUUUACCCAGGUUCGGGCCCUCUCGACGUAGGUAAUACCCUACUUCCUGCUUGGUUGAUCUAGAUGAUAUGAGUAUUACAAGAGUUGAUCUACCACGAGAUCAUAGAGGCUAAACCCUAGAAGCUAGCCUAUGAUUAUGAUUGUUCUUGUCCAACGGACUAAACCCUUCGGUUUAUAUAGACAUCAGAGGGGCUAGGGUUACACAGAGUCGGUUACAGAGAAGGAGAUCUAUAUAUACGAAUUGCCAAGCUUUCCUUCCAUGCAAAGGAGAGUCCCACCCGGACACGGGACGAAGUCUUCAACCUUGUAUCUUCAUAGUCCAACAGUACGGCCAAAGUAUAUAGUCCGGUUGUCCGAGGACCCCCUAAUCCAGGACUCCCUCAGUAGCCCCUGAACUAGGCUUCAAUGACGAUGAGUCCAGCGCGCAGAUUGUCUUCGGCAUUGCAAGGCGGGUUCCUUCUUCGAAUACUCCAUAGAAGAUUUUGAACACAAGGAUCGUGUCCGGCUCUGCAAAAGAAAUUCCACAUACUACCGUAGAGAGUACAAUAUUCCAAAAAUCUAAUUUGCUGACAACUUUUCAUAGCGUGACAUCAUGCUGCGGCCUGGUCAUUAUCCGAACCGUUUUCCAACCUACUAUCGCACAUAUCACGAGGCGGUUUAUCGGCACGUCUUGUCGAAGCAGAGAUCGUGUCCCCUUAUCACGGGAUUUUCAUCAAUACGGGUUUGGGUAACCCAACCGUGCCAUCAACGCGGCGCUUGGGGAACAAGCGAGUUUACCGGGCAACUGGGGAGGCGCAGGAUCCCUGCCGCCUUUAUAAAGAGAUAAGGGCUCCCCUUUUUCACCCACGCCUUCUUCUUCCUCUGCUUAUCCAUUCUAUCUCGCCCGAGCUCUAGCGCCCAAGCAUUCGUCUUCUCUGCCCACAAAGGCCCUCCGGAAAUGUCCGGAUCCGGAGCAGGAGGCAAGUGGAUGGCCUCUACCAUCCGGGAAAAGGAUAUCAAAAAGCUUCGGGAGGCUGGGUAUCUGGCUAAUAACAUCAGGCAUCGUCUCCCGAUGGCGGGACAGAUCGUCCCAACCUCGGAACCCCAUGAGAGGGUUGUAUUCCUCCCUCACUUUGUCCGCGGGUGAGGGAGUCCUGGAUUAGGGGGUAUCCGGACGGCCGGACUAUAUUCUUCGUCCGAACUAUUGUAGCGUGAAGAUACAAGACUCAAGACUACGCCCCCUUUCCGGAUGGGACUCUCCUUUGUGUGGAAGACAAGCUUGGCGAUCCGAAUAUUAUAUUUCCUUCCUUGUAAUCGACUCAAUGUAAACCCUAGCCCUCUCCGGUGUCUAUAUAAACCAGAGAGGUUGGUCCUUAGAAGGACGAUCAGAAUCAUACACAUCAUAGACUAGCUUCUAGGGUUUAGCCUCUACGAUCUCGUGGUAGAUCAACUCUUGUACUACUCAUAUCAUCAAUAUCAAUCAAGUAGGAAGUAGGGUUUUACCUCCAUCGAGAGGGCCCGAACCUGGGUAAACAUUGUGUCCCUUGCCUCCUGUUACCAUUAGCCUAAGACGCACAGAUCGGGACCCCCUACCCGAGAUCCGCCGGUUUUGACACCAACAUUGGUGCUUUCAUUGAGAGUUCCUUUGUGUCGUUGCUGCAAGGCUCGAUGGCUCCUUCAAUCAUUGUCAACAACAUGGUCCAGGGUGAGACUUUUCUUCCGGGAUAGAUCUUUGUGUUCGGCGGCUUCGCACUGCGGGCCAAUUCGCUUGGACAACUGGAGCAGAUCGACAGCUACGCCCCUGGCCACCAGGUCAGAUUCAGAAACCUGAACUACACGGCCAAUAUCCGCGGAGACUUGAUCUUCAACGGGUUCAGGCCUGCGCCAGGAGCGCCGGACAAUCACGAUGAGCACGGCUUAGACCUGCUGUCGGAUAACGCUCGGGAUAUCACCCCUGUAGUAGCCCCGGACCUAAAUCCGGAGCAGAUUGUGUUGCCCAAGGACGGGUGGAUGGACCCCGUCCUGCAAGACGCACACUCAUCGGCGGUAGAGCCGAACACAGGCCUCACCCCUAAAGAAGCCUUUGACACUGGACCCCCGGACUCGUAUCCGGCUGUAGGUUCCAGUCUACGCGCUCCCGAGCCCGCCGAACCUGGUUGGGCUCCAGUAAUGGAGUUCACCGCCGCGGAGAUCUUCCAGCACUCGCCCCUUGGCGACGUACUGAACUCCUUAAAAUCCCUCUCUUAGUCAGGAGAAUCUCGGCCAAACUAUGUCCGGCUCGAGUGGCAAGCAGGCGACGAAGGAAUUCGUUGCCAACCCACCACCAACUUCAUUGCCACGGUCGAUGAUUUAACUGACGUGCUUGACUUCGACUCUGAAGACAUCGAUGGUAUGGACGACGAUGCAGGAGAAGAACAGGAACCACCGCUCAUGGGGCAGUGGACAGCCACCUCCUCAUAUGAUAUGUAUAUAUGGUGGACACUCCGACGAAAACCAAUGGCGACGAGGCAAUGGAGGAUAACCCCUCGGGGAAGAAAGCUAAGCAUGGGCGGCGUCAACGCCACUCCAAGCCCCGCCACAACAAUACCGGCAUAGGAAACGAGAACAAUCUGAAUGGUGCCAAAGAUGAAUACAACCCUGAUCAACCUGCCUUCAAGCAGGCCGGACUGGCCACGGUCGGAUACUUAGAGAGGAACAACAAUAUGCCCCCUCCGAAGACGAGGUAAGCCUUGCCGAUGAUGAAUUCGGCGUGCCUGAGGAUCCCGUGGAACAAGUUCGCUUCAACCAACGGCUCACGGCCACUGCGAGGAGCCUGCAAGGAAAGCAACAGCAGCUCAAAGUUAACCAAGAUUUGCUCAUGGACAGAUGGACCAAGGUCCUGGCCACCGAGGAACACGGACUCGACCGCCCCGACAAAGGGCACACACGGCACAAUUUGCUACCUCAACCUAAGAAGGAGAACCUAAGGCACAUACCCCGACGUCAACAUACCACCACGAUCCAAGACAAUACGAAGGAAACACGAGGAGGCAUCCUCAAGCCUCGGCGCAAUCGUCAUAAACGUCAAGUCAGGGAAGUUGGUGCCGAAUUCCGCGGCCCCCAGUCCGGUCAGCGGAAAAAGAACAGCUCGGGCCAAUUCGGCCCUUGCAGCAUACUAGAUCAACCAUGUGAAAUUCAUGGUACCCCCAGAAGGGCGACCAAGCAUACCAAUAGAGAAUGUCGGAUCUUCCAAACAAAACGGCCGAUCUUGCCCCCGAAACAAUGAAGGGAGGUCUCAAACAACAAAAGACCAUUCAAACAUGGUGAGGAAGAUCCCCUCACAGUACAAAAAUACGGCCGAUCGUCCCUUAUCACAUCGAUCGUCCGGACAACACCAGCCAUAGCAAUUUUAUUGCACUCACUAUCUACCCAGUGGCUUGGGGGCUCCAUUUUACAUGAGCCCCCACAGGCAUAAAACUAUUAAUAACAUCUCCUCAAAGAUGCAAGGUGCAAAGGCCAGGUUUUAACUGACUCACCAUAUUAAUGGUUCUCUUCGAAUCACCAAACAAAUACCACACUGAAGAAUAAGUCUUCAGCAUUAUCCACUUAUAUAGUGAUUACCACAUACUACCGGGACAAACCACGUUGGCUAGAUUCAACGAGGUACAACAUCAGGCCAGUCCCGCAUGACAUAGUCACAGCUAUGGGCAAGGCCGAACCCCACCAUUAGAGUGGCAAUCAUACCGCCGCUGGAAUAGCGAGUCGUGCAUGUUUAUCAAAUUUUUAUUUGGCAGCCAAACACCCGGACACCAAUUCAGGAAUCGGAACUACUUUAUGGCAUGGUUCAGCCAGGCUCCGCUCAGGCACCCGCGAUUCAACCACAACGGUAUAUGCAGAUGCCUUUAAAGCAUUUGUCUUUACAGACUAACUUUGGCGCAGAACAAGACUGGCGGCGCGGAAUCAGCUUGGACGCACAAGGCAGGCAGUCCGGAUACACCUCAGAUCCACACACAGCCUCCUCCAGUCCGGUCACGACAAGUUCUGCCAAAAACACUCCCUUUCAUAAGCAUAAAACGCACUCAUAUGCAUAGACAUGCCAUUUUACUACAAUGCGUAGACUUAAAUAACAUUUACCGGUUUCUCAUUGACGCCUCUUUUUCACAAACAGCACCCACGCCUUGUGUUAUGCCCGAUUAUGCCAGGGGCUUCAUAGUACGGCAAUAAAGUCCGACCACCUUUUCGGUCGCUCGGCACCCCAAACAUAUAGCACUAUAUGCAUCAGCUCCGAAUCAUGUCUUGGGUCAUUAGUUGGGUUUGCCCGGCUCCCAUGUUUUGGUACCUUACGUUCCGCCCAAUCGGCUAAGGUAGCGCUGGGAGAACUACUGCGAUUGUGUCCUGGUUCUUCCGGACGAGCACCUCAGUAGAGAAAGCCGAAAACUGACUGUCAUGAUAUAGCGAGAGCUGGUCAGCUGUUCGAGAGGUUGUAAAAUCUUUAAGGAUUUAUUCCGCAUAAUGCCAUUAUAAAUGCAAAGUGCGAUGGAUCAGUCUUCCGACCAAGCGCCGAUAGAGCCCUUAGUUCGGCCUUCCGAACACUAGGGGCUGCUGAGGGAGUCUUGGAUUAGGGGGUAUCCGGAUAGUCGAACUGUAUACAUCGUCCGGACUAUUGAAGCGUGAAGAUACAAGACUCAAGACUUCAUCUCGUGUCCGGAUGGAAUUCUCCUUGGCGUGGAAGGCAAGCUUGGCGAUCCGGAUAUUAUAUUUCCUUCCUUGUAACCGACUCCGUGUAAACCCUAGCCUUCUCCGAGUCUAUAUAAACCGGAGAGGUUGGUCCUUAGAAGGCCGAUCACAAUUACAAUCAUACCAUCACAGGCUAGCUUCUAGGGUUUAGCCUCUACGAUCUCGUGGUAGAUCUACUCUUGUACUACCCAUAUCUUCAAUAUUAAUCAAGCAGGAAGUAGGGUUUUACCUCCAUCGAGAGGGCCCGAACCUGGGUAAAUAUUGUGUCCCUUGCUUCCUGUUACCAUCAGCCUAAGACACACAGAUCGGGACCCCCUACCCGAGAUCCGCCGGUUUUGACACCGACAUUGGUGCUUCCAUUGAGAGUUCCUCUGUGUCGUCGCUACAGGGCUCGAUGGCUCCUCCAGUCAUCGUCAACAACACGAUCCCAGGUGAGACCUUUCUCCCCGGACAGAUCUUCGUGUUCGGCGGCUUCGCCCUGCGGGCCAACUCGCUUGGCCAUUUGGAGCAGAUCGGCAGCUACGCCCCUGGCCACCAGAUCAGGUUCGGAAACCUGAACUACACGACGGACAUUCGCAGAGACUUGAUCUUCGACGGAUUCGGACCUAUGCCAGGAGCACCGGACAGUCACGACGAGCACGGCUUAGACCUGCUGUCAGACAAAGCUCAGGGUAUCACCCCCGCAGUAGCCCCGGACCUAAAUCCGGAGUAGGCUGCGCUGCCUAAGGAUGGAUGGAUGGACCCCGCCCCACAGGUCGCACACUCAUCAGCGGUGGAGCCGAACACGGGUCUUACCUCUGUGGUGGCCUAUGACUCCGGACCCCCGGAUUCUUAUCUGGACGUUGGUUCCAGUCCGCGCACUCCCGAGCCAGUCGAGCCAGGUUGGGCUCCGGUAAUGGAGUUCACCGUUGCGGAUAUCUUCCAGCACUCGCCCUUUGGCGACUUGCUGGACUCAUUAAAGUCUCUCUCUUUGUCAGGAGGCUCUUGGCCGAACUAUGUCUGGCUCGAGUGGGAGGCAGGCGAUGAAGGAAUUUGUUGCCCACCCACCACCCACUUCAUUGCCACGGUCGAUGAUUUAACCGAGGUACUGGACUUCGACUCCGAAGACAUAUGGACAACGAUGCAGGAGAAGAACAUGAACCACCGCUCACUAGGCGGUGGACAGCCACCUCUUCCUAUGAUAUAUAUANNNNNNNNNNNNNNNNNNNNNNNNNNNNNNNNNNNNNNNNNNNNNNNNNNNNNNNNNNNNNNNNNNNNNNNNNNNNNNNNNNNNNNNNNNNNNNNNNNNNNNNNNNNNNNNNNNNNNNNNNNNNNNNNNNNNNNNNNNNNNNNNNNNGGAAACAAAUGGCGAUGAGGCAACGGAGGAUAAAACCUCAGGGAAAAAAGCAAAGAAUGGGCGUCGUCGGCGCCACUCCAAGCCCCGCCACAGCAAUACAGGCCCAGGAGACGAAAACAAUCCGAAUGGUGCCAAAGAAGAAUACAACCCUGAUCAGCCCGCCUUUGAGCAGGCCGAAUAGGAAGAUGAGCAGGUCAACCCAGAAGAAUAGGCGACGGACGAAUACCUAGAGGAGGACAACUACAUGCCCCCCUCCGAAGACGAGAUUAGCCUCGGCGACGACAAGUUUGGCGUGCCUGAGGAUCCCGUAGAGCAGGAGCGCUUCAAGCAUCGACUUAUAGCCACUGUGAGGAGCCUGAAAAAGAAGCAGCAUCAACUCCAAGCUGAUCAAGACCUGCUCACAGACAGAUAGACUGAAGUCCUGGCAGCCGAGGAAUAUGGACUCGAGUGCCAUACGGCUGACCGGCCACCUCGUGGCCGGGAUAAAACGGCAUAUCAGCCUGCAUACCAGCCAGCACCCCCACGCCAACAUACCACGGCCCAGGGCAAUAGGCAGGACCUGCAAGAUAUACUGGAAAACAGAGCAGGACAGCCAAGAUCGAUCUACGGAUCGCAAGGGCCUGCCUCAGCACGCGACGAUGACCGUCACGCCGGAUACACCUUCAACAAGUCCGGCCGGGCCGGACAUAGCCACCCAGAGCAAUUCAAACUGCGUAGCCACAUAGUCCGGCACAGAGGCGCAGCGCACCCCCUCUGCUUCACCGACGAAGUGAUGGAUCAUGAAUUCCCAGAAGGGUUCAAACCCGUAAACAUUGAAUCAUACAAUGACACAACAGACCCCGCGGUAUGGAUCGAAGAUUUCCUUCUCCACAUUCACAUGGCCCGCGGAGACGAUCUACACACCAUCAAGUAUCUCCUCCUUAAGCUCAAAGGACCAGCCAGGCACUGGCUAAACAGUUUGCCAGCAGAUUCCAUUGGCUGCUGGGAAAACCUGGAAGACGCAUUCCUCAACAAAUUCCACGGCACAUAUGUGUGACCACCAGAUUCUGAUGACCUGAGCCACAUUACUCAAAAACCCGGAGAGUCAACCAGGAAAUUCUGGACUCGGUUCCUAACUAAAAAGAACCAAACAGUUGACUGUCCGGACGCCGAACCCCUGGCGGCUUUUAAGCACAAUAUCCGUGACGAGUGGCUUGCCCGACACCUCGGCCAGGAAAAACCCAAGUCAAUGGCAGCUCUCACAACACUAAUGACCCGCUUUUGCGUGGGCGAGGACAGCUGAUUGGCUCGCAGCAGCACUACGCCACAUUCUGGCACUCCGGACGGCCGCGGCAAUAACGACAAGCCAUGGCGUAAUAGACAUAAGCGACAGAACAACGGUGACAGCACUGAAGACACGGCAGUCAACGCCAGAUUCAGCGGAUCCAAGUCUGGUCAGCGGAAGAAGCCGUUCAAAAUAAAUAAUCAGGGAUUGUCUAGUCUAGACCGUAUACUGGAGCGCUCGUGCCAAAUUCAUGGCACCCCGGACAAGCCAGCCAACCACACCAAUAGAGACUGCUGGGUGUUCAAACAGGCCGGCAAAAUAAACGCCAAAAACAAGGACAAGGGGCUACACAGCGACGAUGACGAAGAGCCCCGGCGUCCGAACAUGGGGGGACAGAAGAAAUUUCCCCCCUAGGUGAAAACGGUCAACAUGAUUUAUGCCACACACAUUCCCAAGCGGGAACGGAAGCGAGCACUACGAGACGUCUAUGCAAUGGAGCCAGUCGCCCUCAAAUUUAACCCAUGGUCAGCUUGCCCGAUCACCUUUGACCGUAGGGAUCACCCUACUAGCAUCCGUCACGGCGGCUCAAUCGCAUUGGUCCUAGACCCAAUCAUCGACGGAUUCCACCUCACGCAAGUCCUUAUGGACGGUGGCAGCAGCCUGAACCUGCUUUAUCAGGACACAGUGCGCAAAAUGGGCAUUGACCCUUCAAGGAUCAAGGCCACCAAAACCACCUUUAAAGGUGUGAUUCCUGGAGUAGAGGCCCGUUGCACGGGCUCUAUAACAUUGGAAGUGGUCUUCGGAUCUCCGGAUAACUUUCGAGGCGAAGAGUUAAUCUUCGAUAUCGUCCCUUUCCGCAGUGGUUACCACGCACUGCUCGGACGAACUGCAUUCGCUAGAUUCAAUGCGGUACCACACUACGCAUACCUCAAGCUCAAGAUGCCAGGACCACGCGGGGUCAUAAUAGUGAAUGGAAAUAUGGACCGCUCUCUCCAAACAGAAGAGCAUACUGCAGCCCUCGCGGUGGAAGUACAAUGCGGCCUCCUCCGACAAACCCAUCCGGCAACAACAACUUCAAGCACCGUCAAGAGAGUCCGGAGCACCCCGCAACAGGAUCAUCAGGCACGCCAAGAGCGCGACUAGUAGUCCGGCCUCCGCUUAAGCCCCAUCAAAGCAGCAUUCGUGCCACGCGUACACAAUUACGCACUCAAGAUACCAUGGGCGUAGGCGGAGGCGCAACAACGACUCAGUCAACAGUGCGGGAUAACCGCCACAUACCUUCAUAACCUGUCCUUAUUCUUUUUCAGGACAUUGCUUUAGAGCAGCCUCUUCAGAAGAGCCGGAUUGUCGGACUUACAUAGGAGAGAAAACCAAGGAGGCAACAGGCUUCGCACACAGAAGGAAACACCCAGGUGGAAUCUAUUUACGAUCGUUAUACCUGUUUUAUACAUCCUUACGCGGCCUGCCCCUGGAUAGGACAUGUUAAAUAGUCCUAUUUAUCUCCGCUUAAUGCAUUCAUUGUAAACAUACGCUUAAACGUAUUUUCAUCAAUGGGAGAUUAUAUAUAGCGUCAGCUCACUAUUCUUAUUUGAACAUUUUUCUUACAAAUGUCUCUUUGAUAUUGCAUCCGUACACUUUGGUACGGUCCGUUUGCCAGGGGGCUUCCUAUGGUGCCCCGUUCUACGGCAAAUAAAGUCCGAACACUUUAAACAGUGCGGCACCCCGAACUUAUAGCACUAUAUGCAUCAGCUCCGAAUCAUGUCUUGGGUCUACAGUUGGGUUAGCCCGGCUCUCUUGUUUUGGUACCUUACGUUCCAUUAUAUCGGCUAAGGUAGCGCAGGGAGAACUACUGCGAUUGUGUCCCGGUUCUUCCGGACGAGCACCUCAGUAGAGAAAGCCGAAAACUGACCGGCAUGAUGAGGCAAGAGCUGGUCGCUGUUCGAGAGGUCUUAAAAUCCUUAAAGAUUUUUUCCGCUUUAGGCUAUGAAUCGGCCUUGUCCGAUUUAGGCGUAUAUAGCGCCCCAAUUCGACCUUCUGAAUUCUAGGGGCUUCGCCAAAAAUUAAAAUUAUAGACUUCUAUGGCUAAGUGAAAGUUAUAAAGCCACAUAGUCCGAUUGCCUUGUUCGCUGCGCCGGAUACCUCCUUAAGGGACUAAACAUUUGGAUAAAGAGUAUCCGGGUUUUUCCAGGAACACCCCGGUACUAGGUACGCGAUGGUGGAAGCCGACGACUGGCCUACUUUCAGAAUUUUAUAAACAGCCGCACAGAUGGUAAUAUUUUAAAUCAAAACAGUGCUACAUAGCACAGGCAACUCCGUCCUUAAAUUACAACAGCGGCAGAGGUACAUUUAGUCAAAGAUCUUGUCUUUAGUACAUUCGUCGGCCACGAGACGAGCGCCCUUCAUAACGCCAUCAUAGUACUUCUCGGGAUGGCGAUGCGCCUUGCCCUCCGGCGGCCCGUCCUUCACUAGCUUCUCUGCAUCCCACUACUAGGGAAAAGCCUAGCAGCAGCGCGGGUACCCGCGCUACUAAUAAGGCGCUACAGCUAACUUAUAGCAGUAGCGCGGGUGCCACCCGCGCUACAGCUAACGUAUAGCAGUAGCGUGGGUAAAAACCCGCGCUACUACUAAUCUGUAAUCUCUCGAAAAAAUUGAACUUUUUCGAAAUUUUUUUUGAUUUUUUUUCGAAAUUUUCAAAUUUAUGAAUUAUUUUAACCUCAAAUCUCUAAUCACCCCUCAUUGCUGCUCAAUUUAAUCUCUAAUCACCCCUCAUCAUUCCAAAUCAUCUAACUUCCCGGACGGUCACCCAUCCUCUCACUACUCCAGCAUGGGCACGCUUAACUUCCGGGUUCUAUUCUCCCUCAUUUCCAAGUCUGCACUUGUUGUUUUCCUAACAAUAGUAAGAUGUCAAUCCUAUUAACCUCAGGAAUUUAGCUUGAGCAUGAAGUCACACAUUUCACUGUUUGAGUUUGAAACUAUUGUUCUAAAAAAUUAGUAACACUAAUAUUUCUUGAAUAAUUAGUUUGACCAUAGUUUGACCACAGUUUGACCAGAUUUGACCACAGUUUGACCAGAUUUGACCAAAAUUCAAAAAAACUAAAAUAAUUAUUUAGUAACACUAAUAUUAUUGAAUAAUUAGUUUGACCAUAGUUUGACCAGAUUUAACAAAAAUUAGAAAAAACUAAUUUUUUUUUGAAUUUUUUUGCCUCUAGAUCUUAAAAGCAUCGUAGCUUUUUUUUGUUAGGUUUUUGAGGAUUUUAAAAAUGUUUAACGGGGUUCUCCCCGUUAAAUUCGGAUGUAACUUUUCGAGUAGAUGAUUUUUCAUAUAAAAAACUUUUUCAUCCGAGUUCGUAUGCAAAAGUUAUGGCCAUUUUACAAAUUUCCAGAGAGAUUUUGCAAAUAAAGUCGAAAUUCAUAUUUGUAAAUUUUCCCAACAACUAGACCACAUAUCACAUGGGAAACUUAUUUUCUUUUAUUUUUUUUGACAUUUUUAUCAUUUUNNNNNNNNNNNNNNNNNNNNNNNNNNNNNNNNNNNNNNNNNNNNNNNNNNNNNNNNNNNNNNNNNNNNNNNNNNNNNNNNNNNNNNNNNNNNNNNNNNNNNNNNNNNNNNNNNNNNNNNNNNNNNNNNNNNNNNNNNNNNNNNNNNNNNNNNNNNNNNNNNNNNNNNNNNNNNNNNNNNNNNNNNNNNNNNNNNNNNNNNNNNNNNNNNNNNNNNNNNNNNNNNNNNNNNNNNNNNNNNNNNNNNNNNNNNNNNNNNNNNNNNNNNNNNNNNNNNNNNNNNNNNNNNNNNNNNNNNNNNNNNNNNNNNNNNNNNNNNNNNNNNACUACUAAGUUGAUAGCAGUAGCGCGGGUUUAUAACCAUCGCUACUACUAUGGCAUGGUCCAGGGGCCACUUAGUAGUAGCGAGGGUUAAAAACCCGCGCUACUGCUAUCAACUUAGUAGUAGCGAUGUUUAAAAACCCGCGCUACUACUAUGGCAUAUCCCGGGGGGCACGGUAGAGACCGCUUAGUAGUAGCGAGGGUUACAAACUCGCGCUGCUGCUAUCAACUUAGUAGUAGCGAGGUUUAAAAACCUGCGCUGCUAGUAAGUAGCAGUAGCGAGGGUUUUUAACCCUCGCUGCUGCUAAGAUUCUGUGUAUAGCCUUUUCCCUAGUAGUGUCCAGCUUGCCCCAAUGCACCUUCGCACGGGCAAAGGCCCGGAAGGCACCCUCAAUGCAAACGUAUCGCUUGAUUACUUCAAGCCGCGGACAGGCAUUCACCAUCCGCUUGAUCAGGCCAAAGUAGCUAGUGGGCAGGGGCUCACCAGGCCACAUCUGGACUAUGAAAUCUUUCAUAGGCACUUCGGCCGCCCUGUGGAGUUCGACCAACUGCUUCAGUCGGUCACUCAGAGGCAUCGGAUGUUCUGCCCCAGCAUACUGGGACCAGAACAACUUCUUCGUUGAGCUCCCCUCCUCGGCACGGUAGAACACCGCGGCGUCAGAGACGCUGCAUGGCAGAUCUGCGAAUGCCCCUGGAGAGCUCCGAAUUCGGGUAAGUAAAAGAAACGCCUCCUACACAUGUUUGCUUUGCAUAAAGAAUUUCUUACCCGACGUUAUCUUCUUGGCGUCCUGGAUUUCCUGCUGUGCCUUCUCGGCUUCGGCCUUGGCAUCUCUCAUACUCACAAGGGCCUUCGCAAGCUUGCCUUCUUUCAUCAUCAGAUCAUGCUCCACGGACUCGAACUUCUUGCCGAGGUCCUGGAGCUCUUGCUGUACCUCGCCCACUCUAGCACUUUGCUUCUCGCGCUCCUUGCAUUCCAAGGCCGCCUUGUUUUCAGCCUCGGAUAGCGAUUUCUUCAGGGACGCCACUUCGGCGGUGGACCCUAUUGCACAGUCACGAUGCUUCGUCGUCAGACUAAACAAUUUCAUCUAUCUUUACAUACAUAAGAGCGGAUAAUCACUCACCUUUGCUCUCUUCGAGCCGCCUCUUCGUGAGGUCGAGCUCUCCCUGCGCCUGCUCCAGGUCCUGCUUUAGUUCGGUAUCCUCGGCUGUGCGGGCAGCAGCGGCAAGCAGCACGGCCUGCUUAUUCACAUAAAAGCUUAUUAGACUCCUGCGGAUUAUAAUUGACCCUCCAUUUGGCUUUUCUUUCCAACACCAAACAGAGUAUCAGGGGCUACUACCUAUCGGGAGGUAAUUUCACACAUUUUUAUUACUUACCUCGAAGCCCGUCAGGAGGCUUGUGCAGGCUUUGGUUAGUCCGCUUUUGGCGGACAGAACCUUUUGAAUCACGCACUCAUAAGAGUAUGGUGCUCGUCAUCCAUGGAAGCGCCUCGAAGCGCUUCCACCAGACUAUCCGGCACCACUGGCGCGACGGAAGUCCUCGGCACGGAAGGCUCGCCCUCCCUAAUGAGGGGCUUUACACCUAAAUCCGGAACCGUCAAGGGUUCCGGAACAGUGUUCGGUCGAGAGGCCGCCUUGCUGCGGCUCUCAUCGACGCGGUCCGCGGGGAUCUUGAACCCCGCGUGUCCGACAUCUGGAACUCCGCCUUGGGGCGUCUCCAGGGUCACCUCCCCCCGCUCGGGGAACCUUCGGGACAACACCUCCGUGUCAUCCGUAGGCUGAGGAGUGGUGGCCGUCGGGAGCGAGUCCAUCUCUGAAGCGCUCAGAGACCCAUCUGAAGACGACACCUCCGGAUAAGUCCUGGCCGGACUGCAUAUAUGUUCGGCGUUAUUAAACAACUAUGAAGUAAAAUCACGAUAGAGUGCGGACACUUACGAUCGCGCUAGGGGCUUCCCCCUGGGCAGCCACUCUUCCUCGCUAUGAGUGGUCGUGGUGGAGUAGUCCGGAAGGGACGUCUUUCCCUUCUUGGGCGUCCCAGCCUCCCCCUCCGGGGCGGCUUUCCUCUUUUUCUCCUCCCCAGUGCGUGGAGGUAGAGUUUCUUCUUGCUUUCCCCCGCCUCCACGGGAGGAAUCUGUUUCGUCGUCAUCGGACAACGUGGGUAUGACGGCCUUGUGUAGAGGGCCUCUCCCGGCCCCAUGGCCCGUCUCUCCUUUCCGGAUGGGGCGGCUUAUUCUUCUUCCUCCUCCUCUUCGGGGGAGGAGUGUACCUCGUCAUCUUCGGACGAGGCUUCCAGCACGACCUUACGCCGGAGACCCUUCCUGGUCCCCGGGGCCUUCUUUUCGGCCUUCUUCUCCGGUGCCUUAUAGGGCGCCAGGAUCAGCAUCUCCGUCAGGAGAGCAUUAGCUGGAUCUUCUGGCAGUGGAGCCGGACAGUCAAUCUGCUCCGCUGUCUCCACAUAGUCCUGAUCAAAUAUACACAAAUACUUAAGACUCCCCCAUGAAUGUAUUGGGAAAAACCGAAUCCGAUGGUAGUCCCAAAACUCACCGGACGCGGGGGCCGCGCUGCAUGGAGUCCGCGGUCCUCAGAUGAGGGAGGAGGUACUUCAGAGAUCUUGAACAACACCUUCCAUGUGCCCUUAUGCGUCAUGUCAUAAAGCCUCCGAAGCGUCUGGUGUUCGGCCGGAACGAACUCCCACAGAUUGAAUGCCCGCCUUUGGCACGGCAGGAUCCGGCGAACGAGCAUGACCUGGAUCACAUUGACAAGCUUGAUGUUCUUGUCCUUCAUGCUCUUGAUGCAGUUUUGGAGUCCGGUCAGCUCUGUAGGUUCACCCCAGGCCAGGCCCUUCUUUUCCCAGGAGGUGAGCCGCAUGGGGGUUCCGGAUCGGAACUCGGGGGCCGCUGCCCAAUUGGCGCCGCGCGGCUCGGUGAUGUAGAACCACCCCGAUUGCCACCCUUUGACGGUCUCCGCAAAGGAGUCGUCAAGCCAUGUGACAUUAGGCAUCCUGCCCACCAUGGCCCCUCCGCACUCCGCUUGCUGGCCGCUCGCGAUCUUCGGCUUAACGCAGAAGAUUUGCAGCCACAGGCCAAAGUGAGGCCUGAUGCGGAGGAAGGCCUCACAUACGACGAUGAACACCGAGAUGUUGAGGACGAAAUUCGGGGCUAGAUCAUGGAAAUCUAGCACGUAGUAGAACAUGAGCCCGCGGACGAAGGGGUGAAGUGGAAACCCCGGUCCGCGGACGAAGUGGGCGACGAACAUGACCCUCUCGUGGGGUCCCGGGGUCGGAAUGACCUGCCCAGCAUCCGGUAGCCAGUGUGCAAUGUCUGCGGCCAAGUAUCCAGCCGCCCGAAGAUUUGUGAUGUGCUUCUCCCUCACGGUGGAAGCCACCCACUUGCCUCCUGCUUCGGACAUGUUUAGCUGUGCGGAGAAGACUUGGGCUUGGGCGCUGGAGCUCAAGGGGGCAAGAGUGGGCAAAGGAGGAAGAAGGCGUGGGUAAAAAUGGGGAACUCUUAUCCCUUUAUAGAGGCGAUGAAAGCGGUGUGCCUCCCCACUUGCUCGUUGGGAAUCGCUUGCUUCCCAAGCGCCAUGAUUGAUGGCGUGGUGGGAUUUCCCAUACUCGUAUUGAUGAGAAUCCCGUGAUAAGGGGACACGAUCUCUGCUUUGACAAGACGUGUCAAGGAAACCGCCUCGCAAUAUGCGUUGUGGCCGGUUGUGGGAAAACGGUUCGAAUAAUGACCCGACCGUAAUGACACGUCGCGUUGCCUAAAAAGUUGUCAGCAGAUUGCAUUUGUGAAAUACCAUUCUCUCUACGGUGGCAUGUGAAGAUCAUUUGUUGGAUCCGGACACGCUUCAAGUGUUCGAUAAUUACUUUGGAGUACACGGAGAAGGAACCCGCCCUACAAUGCCGAAGACAAUACUGCGUGCCGGACUCAUCGUCAUUGAAGCCUGGUUCAGGGGCUACUGAGGGAGUCCUGGAUUAGGGGGUAUCCGGACAGCCGGACUGUAUACAUCCUCCGGACUAUUGAAGCGUGAAGAUACAAGACUCAAGACGUCAUCCCGUGUCCGGAUGGAAUUCUCUUUGGCGUGGAAGGCAAGCUUGGCGAUCCGGAUAUUAUAUUUCCUUCCUUUUAACCGACUCCGUGUAAACCCUAGCCUUCUCCAGUGUCUAUAUAAACCAUAGAGGUUGGUCCUUAGAAGGCCGAUCACAAUUACAAUUAUACCAUCAUAGGCUAGCUUCUAGGGUUUAGCCUCUACGAUCUCGUGAUAGAUCUACUCUUGUACUACCCAUAUCUUCAAUAUUAAUCAAGCAGGAAGUAGGGUUUUACCUCCAUCGAGAGGGCCCGAACCUAGGUAAACAUUGUGUCCCUUGCUUCCUAUUACCAUCAGCCUAAGACGCACAGAUCGGGACCCCCUACCCGAGAUCCGCCGGUUUUGACACCGACAGCUGCGCCCACCAUACUCGAAUUCCUAUGGCUAAGUGAGAGUGACAAAUCCCUAUAGUCUGAUUGCCUAGUUCAUGGUGACAAACACCUCCUUAAAAGGACCCAACAAUGGGAUAAAGAGUGUUCAGGUAUGUCCCAAACACCCCCGUACCUUUUACAUGGGGGCAGAAGCCGACGACUGGCCAACUCUCAGGAUUUACAUACACUAAACAGCCGCACAGGAAGAACAAACGUUCAAACAAAACAGGCAACAAAUAAUAAAAUUGCCAUUAUCCCGCAUUACAAAGAAUGGCACGACUGCCUUCAGGGAAAUAUAAUGUCUUUGGUACACUUAUCCGCCACAAGGCGGGCUCCUUUUAGUACACCUUCAUAGUACAACUCGGGCUUGCGAUGCUCCUUACCCUCCGGCGGCCCCUCAGUCAUCAGCUUCUCAGCAUCACACUUCCCCCAAUGCACCUUCGCACGGGCAAACACCAUGCGCGCACCCUCUAUACAGACCGAUCGCUUAAUGACAUCAAGCCGAGGGCAAGCGCCAACAAUCCGCUUCACGAGUCCGAAGUAACUGCUUGGAAUGGGCUCCGCGGGCCACAGUCGGACAACCAAGUCCUUCAUGGCCAGUUCGGUUGCCUGGUGCAGUUCGACCAGCUGCUUCAGCUGAUCGAUAAAGGGCACCGGAUAAUUCGGUGCCAAAUACUGCGACCAGAAAUCCCUCUCCGCAGACUUCUUCUCCUCGGUCCGGUAGAAUUGAGCAGCAUCUGAUAUGCUGCGAGGCAAAUCCGCAAACGCCCAUGGAAAGACAAGCAUUCAGCUCGUCGCUUAGCGCCCCUAUUACUAUGCAAAAAAAUGGCUUUGAGUACAAAAGGCCUUACCAGCCGCAACCUUCCGUGCCUCCUGAAUGUCCUUCAGAGCACCUCGGGCUUUCUUCCCGAGCAUCCUCCGCGGCUUGGAGAGCUUGGGCGAGUUCGAUUUCUUUCCCUAUUAAACUCUGCUCCAAGGCCUCACUCUUCUUCACAGCCUCCUGGAGCUCUCGCUCAGCUUCGAUGACCCUGGCCUCGUGUUUCUCACAAAGAGCCUGUUCGGCGGCAGCCUUCUUGUUGGCUUCAGCCAGAGUCUUCUUCAGUGCCUCAAAUUCGGCACUCGCUCCUAAAGCAUACAAUACAAAUACUUUUCAUCAGGCACAAUUACUCAUUCGUGCCGAAUUUAGGACAAAGUUUUAACAUACCUUGCUUGUCCCACAAUUGCUUCUUCACACGGCAAGUCCCUCUUCGGCCCGUUCCAGACUCUGCUUCAGUCCGGACACCUCCGCAUUAUGAGCGGCGGUCUUCUCUGCAGACGCCUGUUUUCAAACAAAGGGAUAUCUUGAUGCCCCUUGAGUGAAGAUUGAUUCUGCAUAAUAGAGUAAGAUCAACUAAAUAUUAGAAUAUCCAUCGUUGUUGCCUUGGCGUUUAGGGUAAUCCCUAUUUGAUGUGGCAAAUCCUAUUCGGCGCUUAGCACGCCGAAUAUAGGNNNNNNNNNNNNNNNNNNNNNNNNNNNNNNNNNNNNNNNNNNNNNNNNNNNNNNNNNNNNNNNNNNNNNNNNNNNNNNNNNNNNNNNNNNNNNNNNNNNNNNNNNNNNNNNNNNNNNNNNNNNNNNNNNNNNNNNNNNNNNNNNNNNNNNNNNNNNNNNNNNNNNNNNNNNNNNNUUCUUCUGUAAAAGUCCAAAAAAGCAUGAUUCAACAAAAGAUCGAAGUCGCUUCCUCGAUUAAUUGUACUAACCACGGUAACCAACUUUCUUUUAAAAACGGCGAUCCUUUUCUUCAUACACGUGAACUUUUUUCAAAUUCAAACACCAUUUUUUCAUCCAUGAACUUAUUUAUUAAAAAUUAGUGAAAUAUAUUUCUCGAAACAUGUGCACUUUUUUUCAAAUUCAUGAACUUUUUCCUUAAAUCCAUUAACUUUUUUCAAAAACCGUGCACAUUUUUCAAAACCUAUGAAGUAUUUUUCAAAAUUGGUGCUUUAUUUUUUCAAAAUGAAUGAACUCUUUUUAGUUUGGUGAACUUUUUUUUAGAAUUCGUUUACCAUUUUCCACAAUUAAUGAACUUUUUUUCAAAAUCAAUGAACUCUUUUUAACUGGGUGAACUUUAAAAAAUAUGGUUGAACAUUUUUCAAAAUCGAUGAACUUAUUAUCUAAUUCGUUGAAUUUUUAAACAAACUAUGAAAUAUUUCAAAAUUUUGAAUUUUUGUAAAAGUUAAUGAACUAUUUUAAAAUUUGGGGAGAGGUUUUUUAAAAUAUAUUAACAUUUUUUCAAAUUCGAUUUUUUUUGUAAAUUCAUAAAUUUAUUCCAAAUUUCGUUAACAUUUUCCUAAAUUUCAUUAACAUUCUCAAAAUUCCUGAACUUUUUUCAACUCGAUGAUUUUUUUUCUUAAUUCGUGAAAUUUUCUCAGAUCGAUUUUUUAUUUCCUUGAAAAUUUUCCAAUUUGUAUAAGCCUUUCCAAAUUCGUGGUUGUUUUCACUAGUGAUCUGUGUUUCAGAGCACCAUACUGGGCCGGCCCGCUACAGGUCGCCUGUGACGCGGAGGGUGCCGGCAAAGGUGCUGAAGGUGCCCGCAAACUGCUCGCACACGUCAAACUGCUACGCUUUUGCUGAAGGGCGCAAACUUCGAGCGUUCAAGCACUGCCAAGCAUGCCACUUUUGUGUUCCCUCAACCAGUUUUUUAUAUUUUUCUAUUUUGCCAUUUCCCCACUUUUUCUGUUUUUUAUCUUUUGCUUUUGCUUUUUAUUUUGUAUUUUGUAUUUUUUUCUUUUUUCCUUUUCUUUUCUUUUAUAUUUUUUCGCUUUUAUUUUUAUCCUUUGUAUUUGAAAAAGUAUGAAAUUCCAAAAAAAAUCAUGUUCAAAAAUUAUUCAUGGUUUUCAAAUUUUGUUCAAUUUUAGAAAAUUUGUGCACAAUUAAAAAAAUCAGCGUAUAUCACAAAAAUAUUCAAUGUGUAUUUAAAUGUUGUUCAUCGUUUAGCUAGAAAUUGUUCAGUGUAUAUUACGAAAAUGUUCAUAAUGUACCACAAAAAUGUUGAAUGUGCUUUAAAUAUUGUUUUGCGUAUAUCACAAAAAUGUUCACUGUGUAGUUAAAAUUGUUCAGCUUUAUUACAAAAUUGUUUAAUUUAUAUUUGAACAAAAUUGUUCAGCCUUUUCCUUCUCCCCACACAAGGUGUUGGCUUUUGUAACUGGACAUGAAAAAGAGCAGAGCCGGCUUGUGUUACUGGUUCAGUGGGGAGAUGGAAAAGGGGGCAUUUGUUGCCUGAAAAACUAACCUGUGUCACUGUGUGUGUGUGCUGCUGCCCUGUUUUAACUCGUGUCCAUUUGCUGGAACACCUUGUGUGCGUGUGAGCAUCCACUGAGACCAAGGCGAGAGGAAGACAGGAGAGGCAGGUUGGAUGAGAACGGCCGAGCAAGCAUCAGCGCCAACAGCCCUGUUCAUCUACGUCGUCGUCCUUCUUCAGUGACCAGCUCCAACAGCAAUUUUGGUGCAGCCUGCAGGAAGUUGCUGCUGUUCUUUGCCCAUUUCUCGUGUCACCUAUUCAUGUCUCAGUUAAUGACCACUUCACAUGCAAUCCACAGUAAUUUCUUCAGGUUCCUAUGCAGGCUGUUUGUAACUUGCAAGGGCAAAGCACUGUCAGUACCCUAAUUUUUACUGUCAGAAAAAUGUCUGAGUCUGACCGAUGUUGCCCACAAAGCAAAAUCUUCAGCCAUCAAACAAGCUCAUCUUUUGAAUCAGCCAAAGUGUCUAUGGUUCAAUUGGCGAUGAGGCAUAAGCCGCCUGUUACAACACUUUUGUCCACCAAGGCAGUAAAUCCCUGAAACGUGAUGCAAAUCCAAGGUUGAGCUAUGAACCAGAAUGUGAAUCCACUUCAGUUGUUGAGCGAGAAUCUAUCUUCUCUUUCUCGUUGAUUGAUGUGGUAUGGCCUCACACUGAAUUAGGAUCUCCUCGGUAGAAGUAUUCUUCAGUACUAUGUAGGCUGUAACUGAAACUUGCGACAUCAAACUUGUCAUCAGGCAAUUUCCUUCGACAUCUGCAUUACUUUCAUAUACAUAUUCUUUUUCCUUCAGCAAAAGUGAAAGCUAAUUUUAUUUCUCUAUAAUGCAGAUAUGUUGAUUGGGAAGGGAGAAUUACAAGGCACAGUUUUCAUGGCAACUUAUAGAUACUGCAAAUAAGAUUCUGAAACCUUGAGUUAAUGCAACAAGCGUUCAUCUCGCAGAGAAUGAGAUGGUAACCAGCUUGCAGCAUGAGAAUAUUCUCUCCAUAAUUGAUUCAACUUUGAUGCAGUCUUGUCUUGGUGUACGAUUAUAUGCACCAGGGAAGCUUACAGUGUUUUAUGGUAAAAGCAUCAAGAUGAAAUAUGCCUUCUAUUUGAUUCCUAAUCUCUUAGUAAGUAGCCUAAUACUCCCUCCGUCUCAAAAUAAUUGACUCAACUUUUAAUAAGUGCUUAUUUUGUGCUAACUUUAUAAAGUUAGUACAAAGUUGAGUCAGUUAUUUUGGGACAGAGGGAGUACUAUGUAACUCCAACUAUUCUUCAGGCGAGUGUGAGAAUAUUCAGUCUGAAUUGUUUCUUCACAUCACAAAAGGUGCCUGAAUUUCUGCAUCAAGUUGGUGUUACUCGAUCUGUGAUCUCAUGGUAAGUUAUCCACGGUAUGCGUCAUUGUAGAUGCACCUGGUUUUGAUGUUAUCAAAAAUAAAAGUGAGAAUUUUGAAUUGCCUUUCGCACAUUGUCCGCCUUUUGCAUGGUUUGCACAUAGACGACUAUUUAUCCUGAAAGACCGCAGCUUGAGGAAUACACCUGCACCCCCAUGACAUCAUGGUGGAGACCGGCCGGCGUGUGCAGCCGGAGGGUAACAAGCUCUGGAAAUAGUCCAAAGAUCUUCAGAUCUGGACUCUCCACAUCUUUUGAUAAAAGGGUGAGGUUCGGAAGAAGUGAGGAACCGAUCUUUGCUCAAAGCCCAGGUUGUUUGCGCGACAUGUGUAGAACAUGGGAGUUGUGUAGGGGGCACAUAACCUUCGAAGCAGCUGGUGCCCUCAUCAUACUUACUGGACAGAAUAGUAGAACCGUCCAUGACUUGGAUUUUCUGCAGUUUGGCCAAAGACUCCACGCGAGCUCUUAUCGAGCUAGCAGUAUAUAACCAUAAAAUUCCGCUGAUGCGGAGCUUCCUCAACCCUGUCAGGUUGCUGAUAUAUGUCCCGUUUAGUGUCACAGACCCCCAUUGGGUACAAGUGAUUUGGCAGGAUCAAGCUUGAGUAGAACCAAGAUGCUUGCAUGUCAUGUUGUUUUUGAGGAAAAUGUUCUUAUUUUAUGAUGAUGAUGAUGUCAUGUUUCAUUCGGAAGCCAUGGAUAAUCAUUUCAUUGUGCCAGAGUAUUUGAUGUUCCGUGAAAAUUUAACUUGUUUAAGGCAGCAGCAAAAAUUCGAUUUUGUUAUGCUUCAUUUCAUCACAGAUUGUUUGUUAUGCCCAAGGAUAGAAACUAUUAUUUUUUGCUCAGAUUCAGAAGUGGAACUUCCCUGAAAUUCACAUCUCUGCAAGUGAUAUGACUACUCACCUGAACCUGUCUGAAAUCUUUGAUAGAAAGUGUUGUAUUCAAAUACAUCAUGUUGAAGGCUGAACUCGAUUAAGCUAGUAUCUAAAAACGAGAGAAAUGAUCAGUUGUUCUGAAAGUAGUUUUCUCUGGAUGCCACCUUCAGGUUGGAAAAAAAAAACUGUGCUAGCUUUACAAUUGGAUCUGAUCAGCGAGAAUCCACGCGAUGAAGCAACUUGGUGUCAUUUCCGUCAGUAGCACAGGAGCAGUGCCCGAGCGGCGGCGAGGUUGAACAUCGAGUGCACCUACCGCGUACAGGAGCAGCAGUAGCACAUCAAAGUGUCCUCCUUGGUGCAUCAAGGGUUUGGAAAGGCUGAAGAAAAUAUUCUGCAACAGUUUGGACGACUGCAGGUAAUCAAGUUUCUCCACCAACAACAGGCCUUUUUGGCUCUCAGUCGAAUACCCACGCCUGCCAAUGUCAACAAUUAGUCGUGCCACGGGAGAUCCAUUUCCCUUCCCUUUUGCGUGCACCCAACAGACUACAAAGUCACAGGACCAAAUUAAAACUCACCGGAAUAUAUAUGGUCGCACCGGACUCAGAUGGCUUUCUCCAGUCGACGUAAACCGGCAGCGUCAGGGGGUAAUCGCUGUUCAGGGAGUAUGUCAGGAAGAGAUCCUACGUGGAGAGAUCUUCGAACUGAGCGUUGCACAGGAGGCUUAUGAAGGCGCGCUAGAAAUGAGUUGCAAACGCAAGCCUUGUUUUCAUCAUCAAACAAGCAGUGAAGCAUGGUUAGUACUAGUAGUAUCAAUUUAAUUUAGUUGGGCAAGUAUAACCAAAGCAAAUUGAGAGUGUGUGGGUGUCACCUGGUGGGAGAAACAG